RNAcentral lists this long non-coding RNA (381716 nucleotides) under Citrus x clementina. Its description in RNAcentral is "Citrus clementina (C. clementina) long non-coding RNA (CCLE_LNC002914)". Lineage: Eukaryota; Viridiplantae; Streptophyta; Magnoliopsida; Sapindales; Rutaceae. The record is from RNAcentral.
GAUUGACAGUGGGACCAAUUAAGCCGGAAUCAAUUACCGCCUGAAUCUGCUCCCCGUUUCCAGCUGUAAUAUUUGAAAUAAUCCAGCUGACUUCCUUCUUGAUGCUCUCUUCAUGCUUAUGGACCAACAUGUCCAAAAGGUAUGGCAGUGCACCACAGUUAAUUAUACACUGAGUCUGGAAAUCGUUCCCCAUCACAAUAUUUCCAACAGUCCGCAGGGCAGGGGUAAGCACUGAGGAUGAUGGAUGACCAAGGAGCUCAACAAGUCGUCGACAGACACCUGCCUCGAUCACAGCUUGAAUUUUGUCAUUCGUACCAUCAGAAAGAUAGGAGAGUGUCCAACAGGCGUCACUCAACACCUCUUCAUCAUCUAAAUGAAUAAGCUGUGCAAGUGCCGGAAGAGCUGGCCUUACCUGAUCAAAUGGUGGUUCUGGCUUGCCCUUGCAUAAAUUAGACAAUGUCCUUGCGGCAAUUCUCAGCAUUGAAAGCUUAGCAUGCUCAUUUAACUCUGCCAGCAAUGGAAUCAAAGCUCCUUCACCAAGCACUAGAUCACGGCAUCCAGAUGAGUCACCAGCAACAUUUCCCAAUGCCCAAACAGCCUGCUCGCGGACAUCAUCACUUGGGGAAGCAAGCAGCUUCACAAAUAUUGGAACGGCACCGUGGUCAAUCACCACCUUAAUGUUCUCUGAAGUUCCAGAAGCAAUGUUUGAAAGAGCCCAAGCAGCCUCAUACUGAAGUUGCGGAUAGUCUUCCCUCAUAAGAAACUCAACAAAGCGCGGGACAACGCCAGAUUGUAUGACUUUAUCAAUUUGUGGACUCCUCUCAAUCGAAAGCAGUUUGCUGAACUGAGUAGUUGCUUCCAGCUGCAAGCCGCUGUCAUCUGACCAAACCCCAGCAACCAUCCCGGGUAAACUCGCAUACUUAUUUUAGGAGCAGGAGCAAGAGGAGGAAAUUAAGUUAGGGAUUUGGAGUGAGAGUGAAAGUGGAGAAAAAGCAAGAGAGGGAAAAAGCUAAUUGUUGAGAAAUAUAUACCUUUCGUAUGGUUGUGUUAAGGUCGUCCUUCCAAUCCCAACAUGCUUCACCCCGCCGCUGCACUUUGUGUAAUUUGGGUGUACUUAAUUUUCCUUCAGAGAAAAUUUUCAUAUUGGGGCAAUUAUCCACCACUAAUCUUUCCAAAAAUGGGAACUUGAAAGCACAAUUGCCAGAGCAGAAGCUUGUCAGGUAUUUUAAGUCUAAAAGCUUCAACUCCUUCAAUUCUCUGAAAGUAAUAACCUCAUCUUGUGCUACAACAUCAUCCACCAGUACUAUUUCUGUUAUCUCAUCGCAUGAUUCUAUCUCCAUAUAUCUAAGUCGCACCAGAGUCUUUGCAAUUGAGGGUGUUAAUACGAUUUUCAAGCCUUCGCAACAAUACGAUUUUCAAGCCUUCGCAACACGAUACCACCAGAUUUGCAAGAUUCUGAAAGGAUGUCGAGGAUGGCACUAGAUUGACCAAACGGUCACACCCCAUUACGCGUAGAAAAACCAAGUUGUUCGUAACAGAAGACUCCUCUAUCAAAAUGUUCUCCAGAUCAUAACAAUUAUAUGCUUCGCUUAUUUCUACCCUCAUCCCAUUUUCAACCUUCUCUUCCGGCAACCAAGCACCAUGUCCUCCUAUUUGGAGGACUUUCAUUGUGUGAAGUCUCUGGAGGAAGUCACCAAGUGAUAAAAUAGUCCGCUCAUCACCUAACUCCACAGAAAGAUAUUUUAGUUUGCAAAGCAAGCCUUCAGAAAAUAGAUACUUAUUUGUUACUACGUGCUUUGCAUCAACUUCCAACUUUUCCAAAUUAGGGAAUACCUGGGAGAUCAAUCAGAACCCCAAAAAAAAAAAAAAGAAAUACAAGAUGAAUCAAUUGAUGAGAAAUAUAAGUUACCACUAAUUUAUAAAAUAUAUUUUAUUCAAUAAAUCUUAACCUUUAAAAAAAAUAGUAAUAAUAGUACGCCUAACAUCUAGAAUAAUUAUGAAUGAAUACCAUACACUAAUCUGUAAGAGAGUUACGUAGCUGACAAUUUGACUUUUAGUAAGAAACCAAGCAAUGAAGGCAAAGGCAAUAUAACUCUAAGCUAUAUGAUAUAAACUUUCACAGUACAUACAUAAGAAUUGAAAAUUUGAUUAUAAAAUUCUUGUACGUACCCUUUCCGUCAAGAUAUUAGUAGUUCUUUUGUAUCUCGCCAUGAAUUCAGGACAUGCAGAUAUCCAUAAUCCUUUCAAGGAUGGAAAUUCAAGAAUAUCAAGAUCUCCAGUGCAGAAGCUUGUGAACUUUUCAAGACCAGACAUCUUCAGAUAUUGCAACUGGGGAAACGUUACAAUAUUAUUCGUCAUUUCUUCUUGGUUGUCCACGACUAUUAACUCUUCCAAGACGGGACAUCUGACUAUCUCAAUGCUUUGGAGUCGAACAAAGCUACUAACAGUAGAAGAUGAAAAUAUACAUCUUAAAUUCAUACAUCCGUGCAGGAUCAAGUGUGUUAAAUUCUUAAUACCACAAGACAUGGCUGUAACUUGGUUUUGCCAAAUCCUUCCAACGUUUAUUGAAUACAACUCCAAGUUCUCCAAAUUUGGUAAUGCAACCUGUUCGAUCAAAAAGUUAACUUGUUAAUUACAAGCAACAAUGAUUUCUGUUGAUGGACAAAUCAAUAAAAUUACUCUUUCUCUGGUUAUAGUUCUUUUCAGUUUUUCAUACAAACAACCGUUAAUCAAGUUUUCCAAAUUAUUCCUUACAAAAUGUAUAGAUUUAGAGGGCGGAUAAUAUAAUUCAUAUUGCAAAAAUUCUUUGAUUGUAACGAAUUUUGUAAAAUUAAAUUUUGGUUGAUUCGCAAUAGGACCUACUAUCCAGCGCGAGCAGUUCUCGGGGAUUUAACUACUGGCACCUCGAUUAUAUAAAAAUUUGGAAUAUUUUCAAAGGAAAUCACAUAAUUCCCCCUUGCAAAUAGUAAUUAUCAUCAAUUGCCGCGGGUUCACAUAUAAUUCUAAGAAAUUAGGCGAGAAGAGUCUCAUCAACAAUCAAUCAGCAGAUAUCACGUUUGGCAGAUCAUCAUGAUUUCCUCAGAUGCUAGAGAAUCAACGUGAUUUCCGCUCAUGCAGGAGUGGACACAUUAUCUUAGAGCAUCCCUCACUGAGAUCUUUUAAAAAAUUUAUAUUAUAAAGUGAACAACAUAUUUAGUAUAGAUUUAGACGGCGGCUAAUAUAAUUUAUAUGUAUUCUAAUGACGUAUAUUAAAGAAAAUGACUAACCAUAAUUUCAAUCAACUUAUAUAUAUAUAUAUAUAAUAUUCAGUGAUUACAACAUAUUUAGUAUUUUGUAACAUGAUGUUUAUAAUAAUAAUUAUUAUUAAUUCACUUAUUGUGUCGAGUACCUUUUCUUUCUCUAAGAAUGUAUUUGUUACACCCUACUAUACUUCGGAUGAAAAAUUUAGAAUAAUUGUGAAAUAUGAUUAUUAAUCACUCUUUGCCAUAUUUGCUACCAAACAAGAAUGCAACAAAGAAAAAAAAAACAAAAAUUAUAGAGAAUUAAUAAGACCAUUGACUUAUCAAUAAUUGACCUUGUCAGCGAAAAGUGUAUUAGAAAUUUGGACAUUGUCCUCCAAAAUGAUUUCAUGUGACCGCAAAUCAUUAGCUGAUUCCUCCUGUCUCUGCUAACAUUGCAGGUGUAUUGAUUUUAGAGUGUAAGCUUAAUUGUGAGCACAACCUUAAUGCAUAGAUACAAGAUCUUUAAAAAUUAGUACAAUAAACUUAGCACUAAAUCUAAAUUUGAUAUUUUGGAUUCUAUGAUUAAGAUUUUUUUUAAAUGAAAAUUUAAUAGAGUUAAUUUAAAAAUAAAAAUUAAAUAUGAAAAAUUAGACUUGCAAUUAUGGAUUUAAUUUUGAUAAAUAAUGAAUGUUCUCUUAAUAUUUUUUUUAAAAGGUAAAAGAGCGUACAAAGCCCAAAUUCAUUUUUUUAGUCCCUUACUCUCCCAUGAUUCAAACUUGGGUGGUUGUAGGACUGAAAAUAUAUAAGACAGUUAACUUUACUUUUUUUUUCUUUUUUGUUUAGAGAAAAGAGAAGAAGGAUAUUACAAAGCAUGAAGCUCGUGCAAUAUAAGGGCAAUUAUGGUUUUUUCUUUAAAUUAAAAUGGUAAGAUUCUGAAGCUAAAAGAUUAAAAUAUUAAUUAAAUUACAAACAUUAAAGAUUUUUUUUUUUCAAAUGGUUGCUUUGAAAAUGAGAAUAAUAUAAUAUUUGAAGACUUUUCAAAAUUAAUUACUGUGAUGCACUAGAAAUUUCUAGCUUUAGUCUAAUGUAUAAAUUGACAAAACGAUAUUAGAAUCCCAGGAGAAAAGAACCCUCUCAUACCAAUUAUUUAAAUUAGGAAUGAUCAUACCUUUGACUCUGCCGGAUUGAGGGCGAGGUCUGAACCCUCCAGACGGAGACGCUUGAGAUGGGAAGAGCCCACUUUGACUAAUUCAUUACGAAAAUAAUCGACAUCUUGCUCUUGCAAUUCACUUAACUCAAGGUCUUCAAUUCUCUGCAGUUGCACGAUCAGCGAAUCCUUCAAGCAAAUCUUGUUAUUUAGCUCGACUCUGAAUUGACGACACCAAAUGCCGGUUUUCCUCGAAAAAUAACGUCGAAUAUAUAUGCUGUACCUUUCCAGCUUCUCCAAGAGCAGGCCUCUGGGCAGACUGCUGACGUCACGGACGUGUACUUCCAAAGAGGUCAAGUUGGGCAAAUGCUUCAAUUCCUCAAGGCUUGCAUUCUUAACCCCUUCCACCUCCUCCUCCCAAUCAACAAAGCUUUCACGACCUAUAUAUAGUUCUUCUAAAUGUGAUAAUUUUGACAGUAUAUUUGGUGGAAUAACUUUCAGAAAACAACAAUCCCUCAAAUCAAGCAACUUUAGCCAAGUCAAUUCACCUACUUCUACUGGCAACUUCACAAUAUCAGAACCUCUUAAGCAAAGGAUUUCUAGUUUCUUCAAGUAUCCUACAAAACUUAUAUCAGGCAAGCCGCAGCUACACAAACUCAGUGUUCGAAGGUUUGACAGGAGACCAAGUGAUGAAGGCAGUAUCAUGUCAGUCAAGUUUACAACUCUGACCUCGAUCAUGCUCUUGAAAAAGUUGUCUGGAAUUGUUACUGGUGAAGUUUCCCAAGGAUCAUCACGACCACCACCACGUAUAAAAAGAAGUUCGAGUUGAGGACAUUCCAGUACUUCAGGAAGCAAAUUAGGCUUAAUACCAUGUAAGACGAUUGAAGUGAAAUGCUUUAUUGUACUUCCGUCUGACCAUUCCCUGCAACCAUCAACCUGCUCAUUUGUAGCAGUAAACACAUUUCGUUUAGUAGAUGCAAUUGAUAUGGCGACAUGGCGAACUACAUCAUGCAUAGAAAACAACUCUUCCUUCUCGCUUUCAUGGUCAAGCAACAUACAAGAAGCUUUGAGUGUGCGCACCAAUGCAUGUACUCGAUUUCGUGCUGCUUCCAUCUUAUUCACACCUUGAAAUAAACCCAAUCCCAUACCACACAUUAACAAGUCAUCAAUAGAUGCUAUGGCUGUAUAUCCUAUUAGCAAAAAGAUGUUCUUGAGAUCAUCCCUUCCUAGUUUAUUGUAGCUCAACUCGAUAGCUUUAUAUGCAGCUGGCUGUACAUCCUUAAAAUGGAACACAAGUGACCACAACAAGAUGGAACAAAAUAAAAAGGAAAAAAAUACAAAGAGUGGAUGGAGAAUAAAACAGAGACAGCGGCACAGCUGGACACAACUAGAUAGAGAACAGAGCAAAACCAAAUAACAAGACUUAAGAUUACAACAAACUGUGAAGAUAGCUCAUUAUGGAGAAAGAAGCAAUGGAAAGCAGAAGAAGGAAAAGCUUAAGUUGAAGCAGGAUACAGAGUAUAGUAGCAGCUCAGUUGCCAGCUCAGCAUAGUUAGUUUCAGUUCGUUAGAAGUGCAAAAUGUAUUGUGAUGAGUAUUAGCUAAUAACUUCCUUAAUUAGUUACAUUGAUUGUGAUUAACUAGAUGUUAGUAUAAAUACUCACGAAUUGUAUUACUCUGUAAUUAAGGAAAAUAACAAACUCUGCUCAAGAGUAUUUCAGAAUCCUUCGUUUAAUAUUUUCUCUAGAAACAAACAACUCUCUUUUAUAAUUCUUUUAUGGUAUCAGAGCCACUCAUGGCUAGUUCAAGCAAUACAAUCUUCAAUCCAAAUCAUAUUACUUCAAAUCAAUCAACUCAGAUAUCAUUUUCCUUUAGUUCUCCAGUCAAGCUAGAUAGAUCGAAUUUUAUGCUAUGGCGCAAGCAAGUUCUUACUUCGAUUAGAGGAAAUCGACUUGAGCAUCUAAUUUCUGAUAAUCAAGUGACACCAGAUCGUUACAUUACUCACACGGAAGUUGAUGGAUCUAUACAGAAAGUAGAAAAUCCAGCUUUUGUUCAUUGGAGAGCACAGGAUCAAACUCUUCUUGGCUGGAUCUUAUCCUCAAUUAGCGAAGGUAUUCUCAGCUCAAUUCUUAACUGUGAUAGUGCAUUUGAAGCUUGGAAAUGCAUUGAAAAACAAUUUGGAGUUCAAUCUGAAGCUAAGCUCAUGCAACUUCGUUAUGAACUAAAUAUUCUUAGGAAAGAAAAUAUGACUGUUGAGGAAUACUGCUUGAAGGUUAAAGCACUUGCUGAUAAACUCGCAUGUUCUGGAAGUCCUAUUUCUGAAAAAGAUCUACUGAUACAAAUCUUGAAUGGAUUAGGUCCAGGAUACUUAGAUCUUGCAUCAAUAAUUACUGCUAAUAAAAUGUCAUAUGAUGAUGCAUAUGCACUGCUAUUAACGCAUGAAGCUAGAAUGGAACAAAGUCAAAAUGCUAAGAGUGUGUUUAAUGCCAAUUAUGGCAUGAUGAAUGGGAAUUAUCCUCAAACUAAGGGCUAUAAUAGAAGAGGAGGUUAUAAUGGAUAUCAGGGACACUUCAAUGCUGGAAAUAGAAAUUUUGGUGCAGGAAGGGGAAUAAUGUUUACAAAUUCAAGAGGAUUUGUCAAUGGUGGUCAUGGUCCUGGUGCUUAUAAUUCUGGUAGGGGACAACUAAUGCACAUGCAGGCAUAUAGACCAACCACUUAUAAUAGAAACAUCUCUAAUGCUAACCUUGGUGCUGAAAAUGGAUCUGGAGAUAAUGUAUUAAUAUGUCAAAUUUGUCAUAAGUCUGGGCACACUGCAGAUGCUUGUUGGUAUAGGUUUGAGAAUUAUGUGCCUCCACCCAGAAACUUUGGAAGAGGGAGAGGUCAAAGGUCAGCAUAUAUGGCAAAUUUUGAAUCAUGUCCAAGUGCUGCUGGAUAUCCAAGUGCUGCUGGACCUUUUGAAACACAAUAUUAUCCAGACUACUCUAGUCAUCAGAUGUCUGAUUUGAAUUCAAUGAAUCACUCACUGGACUCUUUCUCUGCUCCUGGAGCUGCCUAUGUUGCUAACUAUGAAAGACCAGCUGAUGAGGGUUGGUAUUUAGACAGUGGAGCCACACAUCAUUUGACAAACAACAUGGCAAAUAUGCACAUCAGGGAGCAAUUCAGUGGAUCAGAUCAACUCAUUAUUGGCAAUGGACAAGGUCUGAAUAUAACUCAUAUUGGUGAUGCUUUUCUCAAUUUCAAAAGUUCAAAUGACAAACACAAACACACACCCAUAGCACUAAAAGACAUAUUGCUUGUUCCUUCAAUUACUAAGAACCUUUUGAGCAUUUCUAAACUUACUGCUGAUAAUAACCUGUCUGUUGAAUUUCUUGGAAAUAUCUGUGUUGUGAAGGAUACUCUGAAGGGGCAAAUACUGAUGCAGGGCCUUGCUGAGAGAGGAUUAUACAGGCUGUUAAUAAAUUCAUCUUCUUCAAAUACUCAGUCAUCUUCUUCUUUUCAUUCCCAUAUGUCUUCUAAUAAACCACUUUCAAUGUUGUCCUUUUAUCAUUCUGAUUCUGCUGGUCACACUGAUGUCGUUAGUGGAACUGCAAAUUUGAAAACUUGUUAUCAGACUGCUGUAUUACAUUAUACUAAAUCAAUCAAUAAAGCUUUACUUUUUCAUAGAAGAUUUGGUCAUCCUAGUGUUCAAGUGCUAUUACAUAUGCUCAAAAUUAACAAGUACAUUUCCAUUCCUACAUAUCAAAUUCAUCAAAUGCAUCAAACAACAUGUGAAGCAUGUCAAAAGGGCAAAGUUCAUAGGCUUCAUUUUCCCUGCACAGACACUAAAACUACCCAAGUUCUUGAGCUCAUACACACAGACUUAUGGGGACCCUCACCCACUCUAUCUAGGGAUGGAUAUCGAUAUUAUAUAAGCUUUGUUGAUGACUUCAGCAGAUAUACCUGGAUAUACCUUUUAAAAGUUAAGUCAGAUGCAUUAGAAGUUUUCAAACUCUUCAAGUUGCAAGUGGAAAAUCAGUUUACCACCACCAUUAAAACUCUGCAAUCUGACUGGGGAGGGGAGUAUAGAUCUUUUACAGAAUUUCUAAACCAAUCUGGUAUUAUCUUUAGGCAUUCAUGUCCUUAUACACAUCAUCAAAAUGGAUUGGUUGAGAGGAAACAUAGGCAUAUUGUAGAAUCAGGAUUAACUCUGCUGGCUCAAGCUCAUUUACCUUUUCAAUUCUGGUGGGAUGCCUUCCAUACAGCAGUUUACCUUAUCAACAGAUUGCCAUCACCUGUUCUGAAAUUUUCAAACCCAUAUGAAAAGAUUUUCAAGCAUAAGCCUAAUUAUGAUAUGCUCAGAUGCUUUGGCUGCACAUGUUACCCUUAUUUAAGAGAUUACAACAAACAUAAAUUUGCCUAUCACUCUAGCAAAUGUGUAUUCAUUGGGUAUAGUCCAUCACAUAAGGGUUAUAAGUGCUUACAUGCUUCAGGAAAAAUUUAUAUUGCCAGACAUGUUGUCUUUGAUGAGUUCACUUUUCCAUAUACCACAGACUCUUCUUUUCUUAAACAUUCAGCCUCUGAUUCUCAGUCUUCAUAUUCUAUUACUCCUCAACAAGUUCAUCAUCUUUCUACUUCACCUAUCCUACCAAUAUUUCUCAAUGACAACACUAAUAAUGCAAUCUCAGUGAGUUCAGAAAGCAUUGGUACAAGCACUUCAGUUCAUCCUACACAGCAAGAAGUUAAUCUAGAAUCACAGCAAGGUACGAUCAGUAACUCUUCACCUGUUCUUAUGUGUCCAUCCUCAGUUUAUGAACCUGUACCUAAUUCAUCACUUCCCCAUACUCACAACUCCCCUCAACAACAGUUCAAUAAUCCCAUUACACAUUCUCAUACACCUCAGAAUACACACCAAAUGAUAACUAGGGGAAAAGCUGGUAUCUUCAAACCCAAAGUGUAUAUUGCUGAUCUUGUUCACAAAGAACCAGACACUAUACAUGAAGCAUUAAAUGACUCAAAAUGGCUACAAGCCAUGAAGGAGGAGUUUGAUGCUUUAAUAAAAAAUGAUACAUGGACAUUGGUUCCAAGAGCAGCUAAUCAGCAAGUUGUUGAGAAUAAAUGGAUUUACAUAAUUAAGUACAAUACUGAUGGAAGUGUGGCUAAAUACAAGGCACGGCUAGUUGCUAAAGGAUUCCAACAAAUAGCAGGUGUAAACUAAUUUGAAACCUUCAGUCCUGUUAUUAAACCAGCAACUGUCAAAGUGGUAUUUGUUGAGUGUUAGAAAAUGUAUAUUUAUAAAGGAGAAAACCGUCAUUUUACAUUUCAAGUCUUACUAACAACCCUUACUUUUAUGUAUUUAACCUCCUUGUGAUUUAAUUACAUGUGUUUUAUUUUAAUUAAGUAUUUUAUGUAUUUUAGGGGCAUUAUAGUCAUUUCACAAUAAAGGAGAGAUCAGACGGCAAAACGGACAUCACUUUUGAACUCAGGACGAUCGAAAACCUUAGGAGGAGCAUAAAAGGAAAAAUGGCACUAUUCACAUGUACGGUACUAUUCACGUGUACGGUACUGUAUACGUUACUGUUCACGACACUGUUCACAUAGACGGACGAUGACGUGGCAUUGACCGAUGAUGUGGCAUUGACUGAUGAGGUGUCACGAUCCUGUUGGGCUAAAAUUCUUAUGUACUGUUGAUGCUGACGUGGCAGCAUAUCAGUGGAUGAAAAAUCUCGCGUACGGUACAUACAUCACACAGGAUUAUUUUCAAUCAAACCGCAUUACUGUUCAUCCGGGUCAAACCGUGUUACUGUUCAUCCGCGUGGUCAAACCGUGGACUGUUGACUGAUGACGUGGCGCAAUCCUGAGCGUUCAAACUGUUUUUAAUCCGAUGGCCAUGAUUUACUCCAUGUAUCUAUAAAAAGGGGGCCUCUCCCCCCUAAUUUGAUAUCUCUGAAUCCAUUUUUGGGAUCCAUUUUCUGUAAUUCCCUCUCCAUCUUGUAUUUUCUUCGUAUUUUAAUAAAUUCCCAUUUUGCCCCUAGUUCAAUUAUGAGUAGCUAAUUUCCUUUCAAGCUUGGGUUGAAGGUGAAGUCUCAACAUAUGCCAUGGGCUUAAUUUGGUAAAUUUAUUUUCUCUUCCCCUCUAGUUUUUGUGGAUGUUUUGACUUCUCGUCGACAAAUAAUACUAAUCUUAUCUAGUACCGCCUUGGUUUCACCGGCCCUCUAGUACAAGGUUAUUAUUAUUUGGCACGAUAAGCCCUUAGCACCAUAUUGAUUAGAGUGUGGUUCAUGAGGUGUGGAUUUCCCCCUCAUGAUUUAAUUGGUAUUAAUAAGGAAUAUUUAGCCCAUGGUGCAUGUUGAUACGGAUCCGGAUACCCAAGUGCUUCAUUUCAAUAGAUCUAUCUUCAAUUUAUUCUCGCCAUUACAAUUCCAAUUUUAGAAUUUAUUCUCGCCAUUUUAAUUUAAGUUUUAGCAUAUUCCAAAUCAUUUCCACCACAAAUCCAAUCCCCGAUUUACAAAAUUAAUUCUAUACACAAUUAAAAUCCACCUCCUCGUGGGAUCGACACUCGUCACCAUUAGUCUAUACUACAAUAGAUUUGUGCGCUUGCGAGUACAUUAAAAUUUGCACAACAAGUUUUUGGCGCCGUUGCCGGGGAGGUAAGUAAUUUUAAUUCAUAAAAUUAAUUUUUGUGAAUAAUUUCUUUUAUUUGUUUUCUUGUAUUUUUUAUUAAAAAAAAAAGUAAAUCUACAUUUAAAGGUUAGUAUUUCUUUUCUUUUUCUCUUCUUUAAAAUUCUGUAAUUUAAUUUUCAAUUUAUUUUUUCUUUGUAAUUUUUGUUUAUUUUAUUAAUUUAAUUUUUAGUUAAUUUAUUUCACGUAUUUGUUUUUGUGUAUUUUUAUAGAAAGGUUGUAAUAGCGCAAUAAGGUUAGUAUCGUAAUUUCUCCCUCUUCUUUAUUUUUAUUUGUUUUGUUCCCAUCUUUAUUUUUAUUUUAUUUGUUUUGCAUGCAUGGUCGUAGGUCAUUAUUACCUAAUCUUAAACCUAUAGACCUUGAAUUAGAAAAAACACUUCGCACACAAAAGCACAUUAAUAAAUUUGGAAUGGAUUUACAAGCACCACAGGAGAGGUCAUUCAAGGACUAUUUUAGUCCUUUAGCUAAUUUGAGCACAUCAUGUAUAAGAUACCCAAAUGUAGCUACUAGGAGUUUUGAAUUAAAACCUAGUGUGCUAAAUUGUCUCCCCACAUUUUAUGGCCUAGAAAAUGAGGACCCAUAUAAUCAUCUGAAUGAUUUUCAUGCCAUUUGUCAAACUUUUAAAUAUGAAAAUUUUUCAGACGAUGAUGUUAAACUUAGAUUAUUCCCAUUUUCUUUAAAGGAUAGAGCUCGUUCAUGGUUAAAUACUUUGCCUGCUAAUAGCAUUGCAUCAUGGGAACAAAUGGUAACUAAAUUUUUGAAUAAAUAUUUCCCAGUGCAUAAAACCAAUGCUAUUCGCAGGGAAAUCUCAGAGUUUACUCAGAGAGAGGACGAGCAGUUUUUCGAGACAUGGGAGCGAUUCAAUGGGCUACUCUUGAAGUGUCCACAUCAUGGGUACGAGAAAUGGCAUCAAUGCCAAUACUUUUUGGAGGGAUUAUUGCCGAAUGUGCAAGAAUGGCUAAUGGCAACAAGUGGAGGAGAGCUAAUAUCAAAAAGUGCAUCAGAGAUUUGGGAAUUCUUCCAGCGACAAGCGGAUAAUUCCCAACAACGGAGUCGAUCACUCAGGAAUACUAGAAGAAUUAAGGGAGUAAAUGAGGUUCAAAUUGGCGAGUCAACUUCGGGAAUCAAAGAAGUCAAGGAGAUGGUUGAAGGUCUUGCUCGACAAAUAGCAUCGUUGUCGACUGCUAAAUCAACAGAACCACAUGACCAUGACUCAUACUCCGAUCAAGCCAAUGCCAUAGGUGUAAUCAGAAAACCAUCGAAUUACAACCCAUACUCCAACACAUAUAACCCUGGAUGGAGAGACCAUCCCAAUUUUUCAUGGUCUCAAGGAUUCCAACAGAAUGGACCAGCAGCUCCAGCUCCGCCAAUUCCUCAAGUUCCUCAAGCCUCUCAGCCCCCAUUUAGACCAUACAAUCAGAACCAGAACUACUCUCAACCUAGACCAUGGGAGGAUUCAUUCCAGAAUCUCAAGAAUCUUACUCACUCUACGAUUGAGCAACAGAACCGCACCAUUGAUGGACUACGAAAUGAGUUGAGAGCGGGCUUCAACUCACAAGCCCAAUCAGUUUCAAGCCUCGAGAAGAUGGUGGGACAACUUGCUUCUUCAGUUCAGACCUUGGCAAUGACUGUUGAUAAAGGUAAAUUUCCAAGUCAACCAGUGCCUAAUCCUAAAGGAGUACAUGAAGCAAGUACUAGUUCACCACAGCAGCAUGGAGAGGUCAAAGCAAUCAUGACCUUGCGAAAAGGAAAGGAAGUCGACAACAAAGUGGAGAUGCCUGUGACAAAAGAAAAUCAAAUUGUACCUGUGAAUGUUGAAGACUCACCACCGGAGGAGAAAGAAGAAACCAACCCACGAGAAUACGUUCCGAAAGCUCCAUUUCCUCAGAGGUUAGCGAAAGGAAAGAAGGGAAAAUCCACAGGUGAGAUUCUUGAAAUCUUCAAACAGGUAAGUGUUAACAUCCCUUUGCUUGAUGCUAUUAAACAAGUUCCAUCUUAUGCCAAGUUUCUUAAAGACCUUUGUACUAAAAAGAGAAACAUGCAUGUUCAAAAGAAGGCAUUUUUAACAGAAAACGUUAAUUCUAUACUCCAACAUAAAAUUCCUUUAAAAUGCAAAGACCCAGGCUCCCCCACUAUCUCAUAUAGUAUAGGGAACCACACAAUUGAGAAUGCUUUGUUGGAUUUAGGAGCUAGUGUAAAUCUGUUGCCUUACUCAGUAUUUUUGAAACUUGGACUGGGAGAAUUACACCCAACUCCAGUGGUGUUACAGCUUGCAGAUCGGUCCACGAAAAUACCUCGUGGUAUUGUGGAGGACGUGCUUAUCCAGGUAGACAAGUUUUAUUUUCCUGUUGAUUUCAUUGUAAUUGACACUCAACCAAUACAGGAUUCAAGGAAGCACAUCCCCAUUAUCCUAGGCCGACCUUUCUUGGCAACUGCGGAUGCUCACAUUCAAUGCAGGACUGGAAAUAUGCAGUUGUCCUUCGGCAACAUGACUAUGGAGCUAAAUAUUUUCAACAUUGCCAAACAACCUCACAGUGCAGAUGAUGGAAUUGUUGAUGUGGAUUUAAUUGAAGCAUUAGUUGAUGACACUUUUAUUUCAAACCUUAGUGAUGAUCCUUUACAGACAUGCUUAACUCACUUUGGUUUUGAUUUUGAUAUUGACAGAUCGGUUGAUGAGGUCAACGCUCUACUUGACUCAACACCAUCCAUGGACACUAAUAAAUGGAAGUCAAGAGUUGAACAACUAGCACCAUCAGAAAAGAAACUCAUCCCAUCAUCAGAAUCACCACCGAAACUCGAGCUCAAACCAUUGCCCAACACUCUGGAAUAUGCAUUUUUGGGAGAAGAAAGUACUCUGCCGGUAAUCAUCUCAUCAUCCCUAAAUGACGAACAAAAAGGUAAGUUGUUGGAUGUUUUAAAAGAGCAUAAAGGAGCAUUAGGAUGGACCAUAGCAGACAUAAAAGGUAUAAACCCCGUAGACUGCAUGCAUUACAUUCACCUUGAUGAAAAUGCUAAAUCUACUAGGGAAAUGCAACGUCGGUUAAAUCCUAAUAUGAAAGAAGUUGUUAGAACUGAAGUCCUUAAGCUAUUAGACGCAGGUAUCAUUUACCCAAUUUCUGAUAGUUCAUGGGUCAGUCCUGUACAAGUUGUCCCCAAAAAGUCAGGAGUCACAGUAGUUACCAAUGCUGAUAAUGAAUUGAUACCAACUAGAGUAACUACAGGAUGGCUUGUAUGCAUUGAUUAUAGAAAGUUGAAUUCUGUCACACGUAAAGACCAUUUUCCUUUACCAUUUAUUGAUCAAAUGCUUGAUAGAUUAGCAGGCCAUGAAUUUUAUUGCUUUCUAGAUGGCUACUCAGGAUAUAAUCAGAUUCCCAUAGCACCAAAAGAUCAGGAGAAAACUACUUUCACUUGCCCUUUUGGCACUUUUGCAUAUAGGAGAAUGCCAUUUGGAUUAUGUAAUGCACCUGCUACAUUCCAACGAUGCAUGUUGAGCAUUUUUUCUGAUAUGGUUGAACGAUUCCUUGAAGUCUUUAUGGAUGAUUUUUCUGUCUUUGGUGACUCGUUUGAUCAAUGUUUACAUCAUCUAACACUAGUUCUGCAGAGAUGUAUUGAGAAGAACUUAGUCUUAAAUUGGGAGAAGUGCCAUUUUAUGGUAAAACAAGGUAUUGUUCUCGGUCACAUCAUUUCGAGCAAAGGUAUUGAGGUUGACAAAGCCAAGGUGGAUCUCAUUUCUAAUCUUCCUCCACCUAAAACAGUCAGAGAAGUAAGAUCUUUCCUUGGACAUGCUGGUUUCUAUAGACGUUUCAUUAAAGAUUUUAGCAAAGUUUCUAGACCCUUAUGCAAUUUACUUGCUAAGGAUGUACCUUUUAUCUUUAAUGAUUCAUGUCUCAUGGCGUUUGAAAAAUUAAAGCAGUUGUUGACAUCAUCACCCAUCAUUCAGGCCCCAAACUGGAGCUUACCAUUUGAGCUCAUGUGUGAUGCAUCUGAUUAUGCAGUAGGAGCAGUAUUAGGACAAAGAGUUGAUCGAAUUCCGCAUGUUAUUUACUAUGCUAGUAUGACAUUGAAUGAUGCACAGUUGAAUUAUUCAACUACUGAAAAAGAAAUGCUAGCAGUAGUGUUUGCAUUAGAGAAAUUUCGAUCUUAUCUCAUUGGUUGUAAAAUAAUUAUAUUCACAGAUCAUGCUGCUCUUAAAUAUCUUCUCACAAAGAAAGAUGCAAAAGCUAGACUAAUUCGUUGGGUGUUACUUUUGCAGGAAUUUGACUUGGAAUUCAAAGAUAAGAAAGGGACAGAAAAUGUUGUGGCGGACCAUCUCUCUCGUCUCCAUUUUGACACAAUUACAGAGCCAUUAAUAUUGAAUGAGUCAUUCCCAGAUGAACAAUUAAUGAAUGUGGAAGUAUUACCUUGGUAUGCUGAUAUAGUUAAUUAUCUUGUUACAGGUAAACUUCCAGAGCAUUGGACCAAGCAAGACAAGGCUAAAUUCUUUGCAGAAAUAAAGAAUUUCUUUUGGGAUGACCCGUAUUUGUUCAAGUAUUGUGCAGACCAAAUUGUUAGACGAUGUGUCCCAGAAAGUGAAAUUCAGAAUAUCCUUUCAUUCUGCCAUGAACAAGCUUGUGGAGGCCAUUUCAGUGCUAAGAAAACAACGACUAAAGUUUUAAAAUGUGGUUUCUAUUGGCCAACUAUAUUUCGAGAUGCUUACACUUUUUGUUCUUCAUGUGAUAGGUGUCAACGAAUGGGGAGUAUUACACGAAGGAACAUGAUGCCACUAAAUCCAAUUUUAGUGGUUGAGAUUUUUGACGUAUGGGGUAUCGACUUCAUGGGACCCUUUCCCCCUUCUUUUGGCCAUCAAUACAUAUUGGUUGGUGUUGACUACGUCUCAAAAUGGGUAGAAGCAAUUCCAUGUAGAACCAAUGAUCACAAGGUGGUGAUAGGAUUUUUGAAAAGCAACAUUGUUUCGCGCUUUGGAUUCCCUCGAGCAAUAAUCAGUGAUGGUGGUGCCCACUUUUGUAACAAAGCAUUCAAAGCUCUUUUGACAAAGUAUUCAAUCACACACAAAGUGGUGACCCCGUAUCAUCCGCAAACCAGUGGCCAAGUUGAGAUAUCCAAUCGAGAAAUAAAGCACAUAUUAGAAAAAACGGUGAGGCCAGACAGGAAAGAUUGGUCAUUAAGACUUGAUGAUGCAUUAUGGGCAUACAGAACGGCUUUCAAGACCCCGAUUGGGAUGUCACCCUACAGGCUAGUGUAUGGAAAAGCUUGCCACCUACCUGUGGAACUCGAGCAUCGUGCGUAUUGGGCCAUCAAGAAAUUCAACUUUGACAUGCAGCAAGUCAGCUCAGAAAGAAGAUUACAACUGGCAGAACUUGAAGAAAUUCGCAAUGACGCAUACGAAAAUGCCAAGAUUUACAAGCAACAGAUGAAAAUCUUUCAUGACAAGCAAAUUAUGAGAAAAUCGUUCACUCCAGGUCAGAAAGUGCUUUUAUUCAAUUCUCGUUUGCACCUAUUCCCAGGUAAGCUACGCUCUCGAUGGUCUGGUCCCUUUAUUGUUCAUACUGUUUUUCCACAUGGGGCAAUUGAAAUUAAGGACCCAAAGAACGGUGUCACGUUUAAAGUUAAUGGUCAAAGAUUAAAGCCAUAUCUAGAGUACCAACCACAUGGAGAAGACACCGAAAUAAAUUUGAGUGACCCACCAGAUUUGAAUUGAUUUUUUCUUUUUAUUGAUUUGAUUUUUCUUUCUUUCUUUUUAUUGUUCUUUUGCUAAUUGAAAUUAUUUUUGCAUAAGUGUGUUUGUUUUACCAUUAAGUUUUUUUUUCUUAUCAUUGUUAAUCAUGAGUACCAUACUUAGACCGUUCCUCCUGAACAUUCUUAAACCACUUCAGCGUGUCAAAACUCAUCUCAAAAAGCAGAUUCAAUUUUGUAAAACACAACGCAUUUGGGCUUUACAACCACCAGAGUUAGUAGCCUAUGUUGAGGGUUUAGAACGCCAACUCAGAGACAUUGAGAGAAGUGUUUACGACAUCCAAUUGGAGCUUGAGGUAAAUUCAAUAAGAGGACGAUUUUAAUUUUCUUUGUGUGUUUUAAUUUGUUUUUCUGUUUGUGUGCUUUAGUUUGUUACCCCGGUGAAGUGGCGGAUAACGGUACUCUGUGACAAUCAAGUCGGUUACUUCAGUUUCCCAUAAUAACUGACAUUCUGAGGCAAAAGUAUGGACAGAAACGAGAUUCUAGCGAAGCUUCACAAGCGAUUCCCUUCACUUCCUCAGAAUGCCCUCCUUAUGAUCUAUAAAGCUCGGUCCGAACGCAUGCGAUUGCUCAUGAGGAAUAACAUACCUGCUGAUAUCCGUUGGUUAAUCGAGGCGAAAGUACGAUCGGCAGGUGAGUUACCUCCAAAAUUUAUUGCAUACAUGUCUGGUUGUGGUAAAGGAAAUUAUGCAAGAAAACGACGAGCUCGACGAAUUUCUGUUGCUUGUCAUAAGUGUGCCAGAAUGAGUUGCAAUAAAAACCCAUGUUCUUUAGGAAUGAUGUCUGAUAACAGGGAAGACAAGAUUCAAUUCAUUAGGGAUGGCUUGAAUAAGGAGUCAUUGGAUGAUAUCCUUUUGUCUCUUGAAACGCAUCCCAGUGGAUAUGUGCAAGGAGCGAUUCUCCAGUUAUGGCUAUUAUUCCAGAAAGAGCAUGCACGAUACAGUCUCGGGAAUCUGACUAUAAACGACCAUGUUUGCCAGUUUGUAAGAAAACUGGAUAGGAAGCCUAUCCUCGACUCAUAGAGGGCGUUCAAGCCGUUUCUGGACGUAAAACCAGAGGAAGAUGUGAGCCACAGUCGCAACUACGUGUAAAUAUCCUUUUACUUUACUGUACUUUUUCCUCCUUACUGUUUGCUUUUUUCCUUAUUACUAUUUGCUUUUUCCUUUUUACUGUUUCCUUUUUGACUCGCGAUCCACGUGCUUUACGCAUUAUUUGACACUGACAUGUUACCUCAUACACCACUAUGACCCACUAUCACCAAGACUCUUAAAUGUGAUUUCUUUUUUGUCAAGCACUCACAAAUUGUUUUUGAGAAGUAUCACAAUGGCCGCUACUCCCAAUAGACAAUUCAAGAACAUUUGUGUGCUUUCUGGAUUUACCUAUGGCAAACAUAAAGAGUUCGUGGAGGCAGCCAUAGAUCUUGGUCGAAGCAUAGCAGCGAGAAAAUUACACUUGGUGUAUGGAGGAGGUAACCGAGGGUUAUAAAAAAUGGUCUCAGAAGCAGCUUUUAUCAGAGGAAGUCAAGUGUUAGGCAUCAUCCCAAGAGUCCUAAAACCAUUGGGCAGUUCGUCUGACUCAUCAACUGGAGAAGAGUUAGUUGUCUCAGGUAUGCAAGAAAGAAUAACUGAAAUGCUUAAUCAUGCUGAUGCUUUUAUUUUCCUUCCAGGAGAUCUUGCAACACUAGAGGCACUUAUCACACUAGCAUCCUGGGCCCAUCUGCACAUCCACCAGAAACUCAUCGGUUUGUUAAAUGUCAAUAACUUUUAUGAUGGCUUUAUCGCAUUUCUUAACCAUGCAAUAAAAAACUACUUCAUUCCUUCCCAUGCGAAAAAACUUUUUAUUUGUGCUCACACUGCUAAUGAGCUACUUGAUCUGUUACAAGCUUAUAGACCGGAGCCAGACCCCUGGACCUUUGUGUUGGAGCGCCCAAAUAAUGAUGGUAACAGUAGCCGCAGUAAGAAGUACAAAUUAGAUUUAACUCUCCGCUUGUGAAUAUUUUCUUUUGUGUUGCACCACCCAGGUGAUGUCUUCUAAACUCUACUUCUUUCCUUUAAAACAUUGAGGACAAUGUUUCGUUCUGGUUGGGGGGAGGGAAUAGUCGACAAUUGUGGAAUCUUGGUUAAGUUUUUACUGAUUUUUUUUGUUGUAGAAACUAACUAUUGCUAACUUUUUGUGUUGAAGAAGGCUGAAUAUGGAGUGUAGUGACUCUAGAAACGCAUCUUCUUCACAGAGAUCAACGAUGCGUACUGUCUUCUAACAGAGGAUGGAGAGCCUCCAACUUUUCAUGAAGCUUUAAACAGUUCAGAUGUUGCUUUGUGGAAGACAGCAAUGCAGGAAGAAAUUGAAGCUCUAUACAAGAACAAGACAUGGGAACUUGUACCACUACCACACGGAAGAAAAUCCAUUGGAAACAAAUGGGUCUACAAGAUCAAACGUGAUGGUAAUGAUCAAGUGGAGCGGUAUCGUGCAAGACUGGUGGUGAAAGGAUAUGCUCAGAAAGAAGGUAUUGACUUCAACGAGAUAUUUUCUCCGGUGGUUCGACUCACAACAGUCAGAAUAGUCUUGGCAAUGUGUGCUACAUUUGACCUACAUCUAGAGCAGUUAGAUGUUAAAACUGCAUUUCUUCAUGGAGAACUUGAAGAAGAAAUUUAUAUGCUCCAACCAGAAGGUUUUGCAGAAACAGGAAAAGAGAACUUGGUUUGCAGGUUGAACAAAUCUCUAUACGGUCUCAAACAGGCACCGAUGUGUUGGUAUAAGAGAUUUGAUUCCUUCAUUAUGAGCCUUGGAUACAACAGACUCAGUUCAGACCAUUGUGCAUAUUACAAGAGGUUUAAAGAUAAUGAUUUCAUCAUUUUGCUGUUGUAUGUGGAUGACAUGUUGGUAGCAGGUCCCAACAAAGAUCGAAUCCAAGAAUUGAAGGCACAAUUGGCUAGGGAGUUUGAAAUGAAGGACUUGGGACCAGCAAACAAGAUUCUAGGGAUGCAAAUUCACCGAGACAUAAAUAACAGGAAGAUUUGGCUUUCGUAGAAGAAUUAUUUGAAGAAAAUCUUGCGGCGCUUCAACAUGCAAGAUUGUAAGUCAAUUUCUACCCCACUUCCUGUUAAUUUCAAAUUAUCCUCAAGUAUGUGUCCUAGCAAUGAAGCAGAGAGGAAGGAGAUGUCUCGAGUACCGUAUGCAUCAGCAGUGGGAAGUUUGAUAUUCGCUAUGAUAUGUACAAGACCGGACAUUGCACAAGCAGUGGGAGCAGUCAGUCGAUACAUGGUGAAUCCUGGUGGAGAGCAUUGGAUAGCUGUGAAGAUGAUUCUGAGAUACAUCAGAGGAACCUCAGAUGUUGCAUUAUGUUAUGGAGGAUCAGAGUUUACUGUCAGGGGCUAUGUGGAUUCAGAUUUUACAGGAGACCUUGAUAAAAGGAAAUCCACUACUGGUUAUGUGUUUACACUUGCGGGAGCAGCUGUAAGCUGGGUUUCGAAACUGCAGACAGUUGUGGCUUUAUCUACAACAGAAGCAUAGUACAUGGCAGCUACACAAGCUUGCAAGGAAGCUAUUUGGAUACAAAGAUUAUUGGAGGAGCUCGGGCACAAACAACAGAAAAUUCUUGUGUUUUGUGACAGUCAGAGUGCCUUGCACAUUGCAAGGAAUCCAGCCUUUCAUUCCAGGACAAAGCACAUAGGAGUUCAGUAUCAUUUCGUUCGAGAAGUAGUGGAAGAUGGAAGUGUGGAUUUACAGAAAAUCCAUACGAAGGAGAACCUAGCAGAUGUUUUGACCAAGCCGAUAAAUACUGAUAAGUUUGUCUGGAGUAGAUCAUCUUGUGGCCUAGCAGAAACGUAGGCAACAUGAUUAUGGCGAAGCAGAAAGGACGGUGUGGAGAUUGAUUGUUUUUCAAUCUAAUCUCCAAGUGGGAGAAAUGUUGAAUAUGGGGCACCACUCUUCUAGAAAUGUUGAAAAUGGGCCCUCUUCUAGAAAUGUUGAAAAUGGGCCGAAAUGCUUGAAGAGGAAAAUGGAAAAAGAAAUGUUUGAAGAAGAAAAUGAGGAACACGGUUUUGACUUUCUUGGCCAUCAUUUUGCUAUAAAUAGAAGUGCAAAUGAAGAGCUUAAGUAUUCCAUUCUGAGAGUAAUUUAGCAGUUGAGAGAGAGUUUAGAGAGCUUGAAUUUAUAAGCUCUUGUUAUAGUGAUUUUGAGAGUUUGGGUGUAUUGGAGUUUUGGGAAGUGAGCUAAAAUACUACAAUACUUGUAACUCCUUUUCACUAGUAAAAUAUUUCCUUCUGUCUUCGCCCGUGGAUGUAGGCUAAAAGCCGAACCACGUAAUUUCUGGUGUCCUCUAGUGUGCUUGUUCUUUAUUUUCUUCCAAUUUUAUUUUAUCUGCGUGUAUGCUUCACCCACCAAUUUCCUAGCAGUGGUAUCAGAGCUAUUGGUUGUAUUUUUUGGAGUCAGGAACUAUUCACGUAAUGGGUACUAUUCACGUAUAUGGCACUAUACACGUACACGAUACUAUUCACGUAUACGGUACUGUUCACGUAUACGGUACUAUUCACGUGAAACGGUGGAAGCGAUCCAAGAAUUUUGCGGUGCAAAGCAGGGAAUAGUGGUGUGAGUAAAGCAACUGUGUGGUUUUGUACAUGUCUAGGAAAGUUCUGUCACAAAGGCGAUAAGAGCUUAAGGAGUCUGGGUUUUAAGUGGGACCAUUGUGACCCCUCAAGUCUUUCCUGGGAACUUUCCUGGUGUGCAUUCUCACACAUACUCACAACUAUUCAAGGUGGUAUACUAGCUUGUGUGCAGUAUUUAUCAACAAAAUAGCGGCAAAGUAUGAAAUUGAGAAAUUUAACGGAAAUAAUUUUUCGUUGUGGAAAAUGAAGAUGAAAGCUGUAUUGAGGAAAAAUAAUUGCUUGGCAGCAAUUGGAGAAAGGCCCAUGGAGAUAACUGAUGACAAGUGGAACGAGAUAGAUGGCAACGCCAUUUCUGAUAUACACUUGGCACUUGCAGAUGGAGUAUUAUCUAGUGUGGCAGAGAAAAACACAGCGAAGGAAAUAUGGGAUACUCUUACAAAAUUGUACGAGGCCAAAUCACUACACAACAAAAUCUUCUUGAAGAGAAAACUCUAUACUCUUCGAAUGGUGGAAUCUACAAUGGUGACCGACCACAUCAACACCUUGAAGACUCUAUUUUCACAACUCACAACGUUGGGUCAUAAUAUAGAGGAAAAUGAACGUGCAGAGCUUCUACUUCAAAGUCUACCAGAUUCAUAUGAUCAACUCAUUAUCAACCUGACGAACAACAAUCCAGUGGACAGUCUAGUUUUCGACGAUGUUGCAGCCUCCAUAUUAAAUGAGGAAAGCAGGCGGAAAAAUAAGGAAAACAGACAAGCAAGUUCGCAGCAAGCGGAGGCGCUAUCAGUGACGAGAGGGAGAUCAACGGAACGUGGCCCCAGUGGGAGUCAAAAUCAUGGUAGAUCAAAAUCCAGAAGUAAGAAGAAUGUUAAAUGCUACAACUGUGGCAAGAAAGGGCACGUAAAAAUGGAGUGUUGAAGUAACCAGAAGAGAAGAGAGGGUAAAGAACCUGAGUCAUCAAAUGCUCAGGGGUGUGUAGCAAGUACCUCAGAUGAUGGCGAAAUACUCUACAGCGAGGCAACAACUGUUUCAGAAGGCAGAAAAUGACUUUCUGAUGUCUGGCUUAUAGACUCAUGAGCUACCUGGCACAUGACCUCUAGGAGAGAAUGGUUCCACACAUAUGAACCUAUCUCAGGAGGAUCUGUAUAUAUGGGUAACGAUCAUGCAUUGGAGAUCGCUGGUAUUGGUACUAUCAAAAUAAAAAUGUUUGAUGGUACAAUUCGCACAAUUGGGGAGGUACGACAUGUCAACGGCCUGAAGAAAAAUCUAUUGUCUUUGGGACAAAUAGACAAUCAUGGGUGCAAAACUCAUGUGGAGAAUGGAAUUAUGAAGAUCGUUAAAGGAGCACUUGUAUUGAUGAAGGCAGAAAAGAUCGGUGCUAAUCUAUUCAUGCUUAAAGGAGAAACACUACAGGAGGCUGAUACGUGUGUCGCAUCAAAUGGAGAAGAGUCAACGAUGAUGUGGCAUCUCAAACUUGGCCACAUGUCAGAACAAGGUUUGAAGAUUCUCUCUGAGAGAAAAUUGCUUCCGGGGCUCAAAUCGGUAAGUUUACCAUUUUGCGAGCAUUGUGUUACAAGUAAGCAGCAUAGAUUAAAAUUCAGUAGAUCUAUUGCUAGAAGUAAAUGCAUUCUAGACUUGAUUCAUUCUGAUGUUUGGGAAUCACCGGAUAUAUCCAUGGGAGGUGCAAAGUACAUGGUGACUUUCAUUGAUGAUUAUUCCAGAAGAUGUUGGGUAUAUCAAAUUAAGAAAAAGUCAGAUGUAUUUCUAGUGUUUAAAGAAUACAAAGCGCGGUUGGAACUUGAAUCUGGUAAAAAGAUCAAGUGCUUGAGGACGGAUAAUGGUGGAGAGUAUACAGAUGGCGAGUUUCUUGCUUUCUGUAAGCAAAAAGGUAUUCAGAGGCAGUUCACGGUGGCAUACACUCUUCAACAAAACGGAGUGGCGGAGCGGAUGAACAGAACUCUUACAGAAAGAAUAAGAGCUAUGUUGAGGACUGCUGGUCUACCCAAUUCAUUCUGGGAAGAAGCAGCCAAAACUGCCUGUUAUAUAGUAAAUCGAUCGCCAUCUACAGCUAUUGGGCUGAAGACAGCGAUGGAGAUGUGGACUAGAAAGCUAGCUGAUUAUUCUUACCUACAUGCAUUUGGAUGUCCUGUGUACAUAAUGUACAAUGCCCAAGAAAGAACAAAGCUGGAUCCAAAAUCUAGAAGAUGUAUCUUCUUGGGGUAUGCUGAUGGAGUAAAGGGGUAUCGUCUGUGGGACCCCACUGCCCACAAGAUCGUCAUCAGCAGAGAUGCUAUCUUUGUAAAAGAUCAACUGCAAAGGAGAGAUGAGGAUGAUGGCACUACAAAAGAAAAGUCAGAGACUGUUCCAGUAUAUGUGGAAAAUAAUCUAGAAGAUUCAGAUUCUUCUGAAGUAGCACCAGAGCACGAGGAACAAGAACCAGUCGACUCCGAGACUCCAGAAGUUUGUCGGUCAACUCGUGAGAGACGACCGCCAACGUGGCACUCAGAGUAUGUCACAGAGAUCAACGUUGCGUACUGUCUUCUAACAGAGGAUGGAGAGCCUCCAACUUUUCAUGAAGCUUUAAACAGUUCAGAUGUUGCUUUGUGGAAGACAACAAUGCAGGAAGAAAUUGAAGCUCUAUACAAGAACAAGACAUGGGAACUUGUACCACUACCACACGGAAGAAAAUCCAUUGGAAACAAAUGGGUCUACAAGAUCAAACGUGAUGGUAAUGAUCAAGUGGAGCGGUAUCGUGCAAGACUGGUGGUGAAAGGAUAUGCUCAGAAAGAAGGUAUUGACUUCAACGAGAUAUUUUCUCCGGUGGUUCGACUCACAACAGUCAGAAUAAUCUUGGCAAUGUGUGCUACAUUUGACCUACAUCUAGAGCAGUUAGAUGUUAAAACUGCAUUUCUUCAUGGAGAACUUGAAGAAGAAAUUUAUAUGCUCCAACCAGAAGGUUUUGCAGAAACAGGAAAAGAGAACUUGGUUUGCAGGUUGAACAAAUCUCUAUACGGUCUCAAACAGGCACCGAUGUGUUGGUAUAAGAGAUUUGAUUCCUUCAUUAUGAGCCUUGGAUACAACAGACUCAGUUCAGACCAUUGUGCAUAUUACAAGAGGUUUAAAGAUAAUGAUUUCAUCAUUUUGCUGUUGUAUGUGGAUGACAUGUUGGUAGCAGGUCCCAACAAAGAUCGAAUCCAAGAAUUGAAGGCACAAUUGGCUAGGGAGUUUGAAAUGAAGGACUUGGGACCAGCAAACAAGAUUCUAGGGAUGCAAAUUCACCGAGACAUAAAUAACAGGAAGAUUUGGCUUUCGUAGAAGAAUUAUUUGAAGAAAAUCUUGCGGCGCUUCAACAUGCAAGAUUGUAAGUCAAUUUCUACCCCACUUCCUGUUAAUUUCAAAUUAUCCUCAAGUAUGUGUCCUAGCAAUGAAGCAGAGAGGAAGGAGAUGUCUCGAGUACCGUAUGCAUCAGCAGUGGGAAGUUUGAUAUUCGCUAUGAUAUGUACAAGACCGGACAUUGCACAAGCAGUGGGAGCAGUCAGUCGAUACAUGGUGAAUCCUGGUGGAGAGCAUUGGAUAGCUGUGAAGAUGAUUCUGAGAUACAUCAGAGGAACCUCAGAUGUUGCAUUAUGUUAUGGAGGAUCAGAGUUUACUGUCAGGGACUAUGUGGAUUCAGAUUUUACAGGAGACCUUGAUAAAAGGAAAUCCACUACUGGUUAUGUGUUUACACUUGCGGGAGCAGCUGUAAGCUGGGUUUCGAAACUGCAGACAGUUGUGGCUUUAUCUACAACAGAAGCAUAGUACAUGGCAGCUACACAAGCUUGCAAGGAAGCUAUUUGGAUACAAAGAUUAUUGGAGGAGCUCGGGCACAAACAACAGAAAAUUCUUGUGUUUUGUGACAGUCAGAGUGCCUUGCACAUUGCAAGGAAUCCAGCCUUUCAUUCCAGGACAAAGCACAUAGGAGUUCAGUAUCAUUUCGUUCGAGAAGUAGUGGAAGAUGGAAGUGUGGAUUUACAGAAAAUCCAUACGAAGGAGAAUCUAGCAGAUGUUUUGACCAAGCCGAUAAAUACUGAUAAGUUUGUCUGGAGUAGAUCAUCUUGUGGCCUAGCAGAAACGUAGGCAACAUGAUUAUGGCGAAGCAGAAAGGACGGUGUGGAGAUUGAUUGUUUUUCAAUCUAAUCUCCAAGUGGGAGAAAUGUUGAAUAUGGGGCACCACUCUUCUAGAAAUGUUGAAAAUGGGCCCUCUUCUAGAAAUGUUGAAAAUGGGCCGAAAUGCUUGAAGAGGAAAAUGGAAAAAGAAAUGUUUGAAGAAGAAAAUGAGGAACACGGUUUUGACUUUCUUAGCCAUCAUUUUGCUAUAAAUAGAAGUGCAAAUGAAGAGCUUAAGUAUUCCAUUCUGAGAGUAAUUUAGCAGUUGAGAGAGAGUUUAGAGAGCUUGAAUUUAUAAGCUCUUGUUAUAGUGAUUUUGAGAGUUUGGGUGUAUUGGAGUUUUGGGAAGUGAGCUAAAAUACUACAAUACUUGUAACUCCUUUUCACUAGUAAAAUAUUUCCUUCUGUCUUCGCCCGUGGAUGUAGGCUAAAAGCCGAACCACGUAAUUUCUGGUGUCCUCUAGUGUGCUUGUUCUUUAUUUUCUUCCAAUUUUAUUUUAUCUGCGUGUCUGCUUCACCCACCAAUUUCCUAGCAUUAACUAAAUAUUUUUUAACCAUAUAUGUAUAGUUGGAUUAAAUAGUGGAGAUUACAACAAAACAUAUGCGAAUUAGUUGUGAUGUUGAGUUCAGAAGAUUGAAGUUAAAAAAAUUAAAGGUUUCUUGAUCAAGGGAAAUUUCAAAAGAGUGAAGCGUCUUCUAGAUCAAGACGAAAAUAAGGAAAGGGUAAGGGUGUAUUUUCAAAGUGAUUCUAUUGAAAGAUCUUUGAAGAUUACUUUCGUUAAGAGCAGGAUCCCACACUCUUGAGCCUUUGUCGUCCCAGUCAACUAUAAAGACACAUUAUUAUUGAGUAUGAACAUUGCGACUUAUAGAUCACCAAAUUUUCAAACUUAUGAUCUUCGUUGAAUCUGCAAUCCCUUUUGAAAAAAAAAAAAAAAAAAAAGGAAAACUGCAAAUAAUGAAACAAAAUUCUGUUCCUUGAUAGAGUUACGCGGCUUCAACUUGCAAGUGCUGUCGGCAUUUUCAAACUUGUAAGACCCUUCAACUUGCUUUCCAAGAUAGCUAUAAUCAAUAAUGACAACCGAAGACGGCUACGUUUGCGGUACAAAAGUUGCACCAUAUUAGACGUUCUUUUUAGGGAUGGCAAUGGGGCGGGGUGGGGGUGGGGAUGCCUACCCCAUUCCCCACCCCAUUAAAAUUUUUUGCCUCCAUUCCCCACCCCAUUCCCCAAUAAAUUUAGUGGGUUGGGGAUGGGGAAUCCCCACGUGGGGAAUGAUUCCCCCAUCCCCACCCCAUUCCCCAUUUACAUAUUUUAUAGUAAAUAUAAAAAUAUGAUUUCAGUAAAUUAAAAAUUAGAGACUUAAGAUAAAAUCAUCACAAUAUUAUAAAGUAUUUAAUUUUAAAAAAAAAUCUCUAAAAAUUUGAAACAAUAUCUUAAAAUGAUAUUAAAAGUGAAAAAUAUUUAAAGAAAGCAGCACCUUAAAAGAGAAAAGAAAAUAUAUUAAUGUUUUAAAGUUGAAAAAUAUUGUAGAAUUUUCUUUUAUUCAUAUUCUAUUUAUAUUACAUAAAAAUUAAAAAAAAAUUAUUAAUUGACAUUAUAGUUGAUAAAAUACAAAUUAUUAAAUAAGAAUUAAAAACAUAUUUAUAUAUAAUGGGGAUUGGGGUGGGGGUGGGGUGGGGAGUGCAAUACCAAACCCCACCCCGUUAACAAUUUGGGGAUUACUUUUCUCCCACUCCCCACCCCAUUCCCCAAAAAUUAUUAAAAAAUUUCCCCAUUUGGGGUGGGGCUCCAUGGGGCCCCAACCCGUGGAGGAUUUUGCCAUCCCUAGUUCUUUUUUGUUCUUAUCCGAAGUAACCGUUGGAUUCAAAGGAAAGUGAUCAGACAUUCAAUAGCUUCACACGUGGACAUUAUAGGAUACCGGUCAAAUCGGUUAGUGCUCCUCCACAUCAAACUCACAAGCAUGGCUAUCAUCGUAUCAGCUUGGAAACUUGUUACAAGUGACGAAGAGCAACAGGGUCCGCUCCUCUAGAGUCGGUUAGUGCUCAAUAAUGUUACAGGUUUUAUAAUCUAUGUAACUGGUACGAUCGCUGUCUCAAGUGGUAAACUUUUGAGGCACAAAUUUAGAACGAAAAGUUUCCAAUAAAAUAAGUUAUUUAAUUAAUUAAAUAAGAAUAAAAUGAAUUUGUAAAAAAAUUUUAAAUUUAAUUUUGAAUUAUUUUGACCAAAAUUUAAGUUUUUUUUUUUAAUUUGUUUAAGAAAAUGUGUUGUAAUUGUCUUGUUUUAAUUGGAAAAUCAAUGAAAAAAUUAUGUAAAAAAAAAAAAAAGCAAAACGCUUUGUUUUGGAUGGAGGCCAUAGAUUCCAAUAUUUCCUUAACGAAAACUACAAAAAAAUUAUCAAAGGCAUCAAUUUCUACACUCUCACCGAGCAAUACUCUUAUGCUGUGUUUACUUGCUGGAGUGGGAGUGAGGAGUGUGGAUUCCUCCCACUCCAGCGUUUACUUACUCAAAAUGGGGAGGGAUUAGGAAUCUCACUCCGUGGGCCCCAUCCAUUUUUGAAGUGGGGAGUGGGAGUGGGACUCCGAUUGGGGGAGGUGGGAGUGGGAAUCCACCCCCACCUCUCCCAUUUCUACCCUUUUUUUUAAUUUUAUGUUUUAUAAUUAAUAAAAUAAAAUAAAUAAUAUUAUAUUUAUUUGAAUAAUAUUAUUAUAUUUAUUUGAAUAAUAAUAUUAUAUUUAACUAAAUAAUAAUUUACAUUGAUUCUAAGUUAAAAUUAUUUUAAAAUAAUAUUAUUAUAUUAAUAGAGAAUUAAUAAAUAUAAUAUUAUUAUAUUUAUUUUAAAAAUAAUAGUACUAUAUUUAUUUAAUAUUAAUAAUAAUAAAUAGUUUAUUCUAAGAAAAUAUUAAUUUUGUACUAAAUAAUAUUAUUUUAUUAUUUUAUAUAAUAAUAAAUUUAAUAUAAUUAUAUUAAAUAAAAUAAAAUAACAUUUCAUUUUAUAUUAAAAUUAAAAUUAAUAAUUUAUUGUUCAUAAUUAAGAAUAUUAAUAAUUAUAAUAAAUUUACAAAUAUAAUAAAAUAAAUAUUAUUCAUUAAAUAUAUUUUUUAUUAGUUUUGUAAUUAAAAACUAUAAUUCUUUAAAUAAGGAUAAAAUUGUAAUUUGAAACUAUUUACUCCCAAUCCAAGACAAAGUAAACACAUAAAUUGAAUUCUGAUCUCCAUUCCAUACUUCUAUUCAAGUGUAAGUAAACAACCUACUCUCACUCCCACUCCACACUCUCAAUCCUAGGAUUCCCACUCCUCAGGAUUCCCAAUCCAAUCCAAAAAAUAAACGCUACCUUAACCCAGAAGGAAGUGUAUAAACCAACCCCAAUCAGUCCAUCAAUGUCGUCAACCUCAUACAGCAUAAAAAAAAUAUGUGUCCAUUAAACCGCCAUUUUUUUUUUUUGGUUAAACCACGAGGUAUCCUGGUAGGGCCCCAACUGUGGGAGGCACCUUUAAGCCCGUACCACAACCCAGACUAUAGCUCCCCGCUCGCACGUUGUGGCUAGUGCUCCCAACAAAUGCGACUUCUCUGCGACUCGAACUGGGGAGCAAACCCAGUCAAACCACUUAAGGGGGCUCCAGUUGCCAGAGGAGCCAACACUUUGUUGGUAUUAAACCGCCAUUUAAACUGACUUUAUUGAGUCAUUAGACUAUUGGUGUCAUCUUCCCAUCUCGUUGUAGCAUUUUACCGUUCAAAUCUAGUUAUCAAUUGUGGAAAAUGGGGACCAAUCUGCAAGUCUUUAAAAUAGAAAGAAACUUUAAUUGGGCACUAUGUUCACGGUAGUGGACACAGCAGCAGCUAUUUGUGCUUUAAAAAUUAUUUUACACUCUAAUUUUAAUAAAAAUAUAUAUUACAAAAUUACUUAUCAUAUAAGUUACUGGAUAAUAUAUUAUAAGUCAACAUUAUAUAAUUACUUUGAACACUUAUAUAGCCCAAUCCUAAUUCAAUUUAUUAUUCUCAUAACUUAAAUAUAAGUCAACAAUAUAAGGGGGUUGUGACAUGGGUUUAAACAUGAUUUAACAAGUGCCACCUGUGAAUUGUCAGAGAUUGUAUUUUCAUACACAUGUCAAAUUUUCAAGUCCAACAAAUUGUUAUCUUUCUAAAGAGGCUAAUAUUAUUAUUAUCUAUGCAUAGCAUGCUAUAAACAAUUCAUAUUCUGUACACAACAUAUGGACAGAGGAACAAAUCCCUGAGCUAAAAUCAUCAUAUUCUAAAAUAUUCUAUUAAAUCAACACCACAAAACGCGAACGCUAAACAGAAUUGGAGCAAUUUACCAAAGCUAUUUGUCACGCAAAGCACUAGUACCUCAGAACCCAAUUUGCAAAAAAGCACCAAAAAUGAAAAAUAACAAAUGCCCAGAUGAAAAAUCAGGAAAAAAAAAAAUGCUCAAAUCCAAAUUACAACCCCAUAAGCUGAGUUGUUCUCUUCGAACUGAAUUAAAAAAAAAUUAAAUAGGGAGAUUGACCUCAAACUUUGGAAACAGAAGCGACAGCGAUCUGUUUCUUGUCUGGAGUGUCCAUUUCUAUAAUCUACUUUGUCCGCUUUCAGUCGCUCUGCCACAGAGCUUCUUCCCUCUGAAGCUGAAGCUCACACACACUUGCAAAACGAAAGCAUUUUUUAUUGAUUGAGAGGCGGGAAGGCGGGAAAAUGAGAGAAAUUUGCAUUUGUUUUCUCUUGGUUUGGUCAUACCUGUGCGGGCCCCAGCUUGACAAGCGGUAUUAUUAUUAUUUGUAUAAUUUACAUGACGCGUGUCACGCAAUGACGAUAAAAAAUAUAUAUAUAUAUUGUUAAUUUUUCACUUAACAUUGAAAUAUCAUAUAAUUUUUCCAAUUUUAUGGUUAUUUUCUCGCCCUUAUGCCACAUUCUUUUGAUCAAAUAAUACAGUAAAACUUUUCUAUAAUCAUAAUAUUAAAGCCAAAUUAGCUUUAUUUAUGUAAAGAGGCUAUAGCUUAAUAAAGGUAAAAUUAUAAAAAUUAUUAUUUUGACUCAGUUAUCUUUAGUGUAAGUGAUAUAAAGUAUAAAUAUAUGAUAAUUAAUUAAUGAACUAUGUCAAAUACAAUAUGCUGACAAUGAUAAAAAAGAUAGACAUAAUUUCAAGAAACUAAUACAUAUAUUUAUGUAGUGCUGGGAUUAUACAAAAUCAUCUUAAAAGUGUAAAGUAUUAUUCUGAUUAAUUUAAAAUAAUUAUUAUUGGAUUCAAAUCAUGUCCUAGGCAUUUUUUCUUCUAGUUGGAGCUUCCAUUUGUUCUAGAGAUUCAAAGGCAGCAAGCUGCUUCCCCAGUGCUACUAAUUCUUCCCCGGCAUUGCAUGUGUAGCCUGAGGCUUGUCUACCAGACAAAGUUGCUCCUUCCAUACUAUCUAUGUAAUCCUGUGAGAGUGAAACCAUUUAGAAGACAUAUCUCUUUUUUUCCAAUAUUUGGAAUGAAACAAUUAUAUACAGUUACCUGUUUUGUAUAUGAGCUGGCGAGGAAGAAGUUCUUCACUGGUAUCUUUUGAUCAGGUCUGAAGGGGUCUUUACCAGGUCCCUCACCUCACAAAGAUUGCCGGAUUUUGACGACAGAUAACCAAAUAACUUCUAAACCUUGGGAUGAUGGAAAUAGAGCUAAAACCUAAUAAAAGGAACCGUGAAUGGAUAGUAUGGAUUCAUGUAUAUUAUCCAGAAAGUUGCAUGACCUUUUGUGGUACUCAGGUCACUAAAAAACGUGAGAUAAACAUCUAGGAUAAGAAAAGCAAAAAAGCAUAACCUAAUACGUAUUAUAUGAAUUGAAGGUGUCACUGAACACUACUAACCUGCUUUGCCACUCUCCUUAUGAUUUCAUCAUUUGAUAAGGGCAUAUAAGGAUCUCCAGGCGUCAAAACGCAUCUGAAAGAUAAUAUGGUUAUAGGAAGCAAGAUGGAAUACAAAGACACUUGGCAAAAGGAAGUCAAUCAGAUUCCAUGCACAAAAAAUAACUAAUAAUGACGAGGAUAAGAAAUGUUUCUUACUGGAGAAAUGAACCUUGCCCUUCUCUGUAGUAGUAUUCUGGUGAAGUGAGUGCUAGAUCUGCAAAGCAAGGGAAAUCUGCAUCUGGAGUAUAUAAAAGGUUAUCUAGCCCCACAGCUUGCUUCUAUUGCCUACAUGUUCAAUACAAGGAUCCGUUAAAAAAUGGAAAUUUCUUCAAUGCAUUAGUAAAGGGGAGUGAAGUGAAAGCUGAUUUCUUAGGCCUUCACAGAGCAUCUUGUGUUUGACAGCAAGCACUAAAGAAUAAACUCAAAGUCAGUGCUUCUAACAGAUGAUAUAAACAACAAAUUUACAAAUAUCAGGUCAUUGCAUUAGCUCCAUGCCUCCAUCAGAGCGAACAUUAAUAGAUGCGUAAAAAAAAAAUAAGAGCCAUAUGUGAAACAAUUUACCUUAGACAUGGCAAGUCCUUUGACAAAUGUUUCCCCGUUAGCAAAUUUAUCAUAAUGCAUCUCUCUGCAUCCCCACCUAAGAUGGAACCUGUUCUCACAAGAACAGACUCCAAGGUUGGGAAAAUCAAUUGAUCAUCGGAGAAAACAAACAGGAUUAACAAAUCACUACAAUGGUGUGAACCCGUAAAUACAAAUGUACCUGCCCCCUUUAUUUGCGAUAUAUUUUCUUAUUGGCCCAAUCAAAUAAACAUCCGGAGAACCCUUGAGCAUCUGUAAUAGGGAAGCCUCGGUCUUAGUCGCAAACAGUGCAAAUAUAGUAUGCAUACAACGAGCAAUGAUGUUAUCACAAUCAAUAAACCCAAGGGCAAACGCAACAGAAUCUUACAUUCUUUGGAUACUCAUCCAUGUACCACCCUUGGACAAAAACCAAUCAGAGAAGCUUAUCUGUAAGAAGAAAUGAAGUUUUAGGUAAAAUAAAAAUUUGUAGGAACAGGGAUUGAAAUUCAACAAACAAGAGCAAUAGCAUUUCUUGAUUUAUCAUAAGUCUGCACUUGAAAUUCAAGAAGUGCCUUUACAACAGGACUCAGCGCAAGAGCAAUAGCAUUUCUUGAUUUAUCAUAAGUCUGCACUUGAGCAAUAUACGAGGCAAAGUACAUCAAAAGAGAAUCCAAAAGAGGCAAGAAGCUUCAACAUGAAAAAAGGAGUACUGCCUCGUCAUACUGCUUUGCAAUCACAGUGCAAAAGAUAACAUCAACAAAAUCAAAAUCGAGCAUAAAUCCGUAUGCACUACCUUAAGCUGAUUUGUAGACAAAAAUGCAUGAAUCCCAUGUAAUGGAGCUCUAAUCGGAAACCGGAAAUCAAGUUCUGGAGUUGAAAAUCAAAAUCAUGAAUCAAAUCAGAGUUGUUAUUGAAUUAGACAAUCCAUAAACCAAUAGAAGGUGAUGUCAAACCAUCAAGCAUAACUAUUAGUUGUUUUAAGUGAUCAAGAAAUAACUAUACCACCAAUUUCACCACCCUUAUUUACAAAUUUAUGAGUAUGAUCCUUCAUGAGUAAAUUUUCGUCCGCACCGACCUGUCGACAUCCAUGAAAAACUAUCAGAUCAUAAACACAGGUUCCAGUUAAAGAGGAUCUAUGAUUCUGAUCCAUCAUGUUAUUUGAACAACAUAUUCGGAUUUUCUUACAACCCUAAGCUUUUAUCAGUUAUCAUCGCUACAAAUGAUAUGGUCAAGAGGAAUGAUAGUUCUUGUUUCAAGAAUCUCAAAUCGUAAUUCUUUUGCAUGGCUUCUGUGCUUUUAUAAUCAUUCAAACACGCAUAUCCACAACUAAGCAAGCUUUACCUUUUUUGUCAAUCGGAACAGAUUAUUGUAGCAUCCAAAGAAAACGUGCAGGCUGAUUUCAAUAUGGUUUCCACGUUUACAGACAAAUGAAGCCACUUUACCACCAAUAAAAGACCUCAACUCAUAUAUAUCCACCUGGAAGAAAGGAAAAGUUUAAAAAAAAGGAAUAAAAAUUCUUCUAAUUUCUUUCACCAUCAACAAAAUCAGAAAAACACAUACUAAUUCAAAAUGAAAUAAAGUUUGUGAAUUGAAAUAAUGCCAACUCCUAAGAAAAAUUAUGACUGCUGAUAUUUUUUCCGAAAUGCUGAUAAAAGCUUCUGCUAUUUACUUCGAAAAAAUUGAGGUUAGAAGCCUAUUUACUUGAAAUUUUGAGUUUAGGCAAGAGGAUGAAUGGUAAAAGUGAAACAUUUUAGGGAAAAAUGUACGUCAGAGGCCAAUGAAAGCAUUCAGAAGAUUGAAAUCUAAAUGAGCAAAACCCCGUGGCCUUGAUCCAACAAAUCCACUGCUGUUGACAUGCCUGCAAGCCCAGCUCCAAUAAUAGCCACUCUCAGCUUUGGUCCUCUAUAAUGUUCCGGUUCUGGUAGAAACAAACCCUUGGGAGCUGCCAAGUAUACCAUCCAAUUAUCCACAGCGAUAAUGGAAAUAUAUAUGUGUUUAAAGGUACUAAAUUCCUAAACAUGAAAUGUAUCCAAAGAGAGACACAAAGCAGAAUUGUGAAAGCAUUUCAAUUCCCAAUAAAUUUUAAGAAUACAAAAUACUCGGUCUGUUCCUCAAUUCCUUUAAUAAAAUUUCCACUAGAGGCUACGGAAGCCACUCAAUAACACUCCAAAGCCAGAUUUUAAACGUUAUCUUUAUCUUUAACUCCAAUCCAUAAACAAUUCUGCCACAAAUUCAAUCCAAAAUUGUUCAAGUGCACCGCCAAUUCUCCGUCAAUUCCCUCAAAAAUUCAUAAUUGGCAAACACUACAAACCCAAAAGAGCUUCCAGCAAUAAACGCAUAAAAAUCCACCAAGCAACAGAAAACAAAAUACCCAGAAACCAGAAAAGCCAAAAGAUCAAUGCUUGGCAAACAAGCAAAUCAAAUAAAACAAAAAGAAGAGAAAUUUACCAUUAACGCUCAUAUCAGAAACAUUAGCGUCCAAAGAAGCCCGUACACGGAAUCUUGGACCCUUCACUUGAACCCGAGACCAUGUAACGCCAGUAACUGAAGUUGCAGGAAACAGAACUGAAGAACCCAUAUUGCAAAUCCUGAGCUGAAAUCAAAGAAAUUCAAUUGGAACUCAAUUCAGCUCAACCGAGCGGCGCUCUCUUUUGCUUCAAUAACAAAGUAUUUUUCUUUCAUAUCAACAAAGAUUUGUCAACAUCAACAAAAUUUAACUAAGAAACUAAAAUAAUGAGGUAUCUUUGAGUUUAAGAAUCUAACAAGAUGCUAAGGAAGAGAGUUUUGUCAGGGAACUGUUUCGGAGAGGUUGGCCAAGUGGUUCUUUGUUUUUUUCUUCUUUUUUGGCCCUUUUCAUUAAUACACAACAGUAGUACUCGUGAAGAGCACAAAAUGUUGGUGACUUUGUCACUAACGAUACCAAAGUGGAGUGACCAGAGCAACCAACUAAAUUUUAAAGAGAGGGAGUGAUAAGUAAUAUUUUCUUUGGGUGAUUAAUUAAUUUAUUAUCAAAUAAUUUUAUUUAUUUAAUUAAACGACAUCCUUAUCUUUGUACAAGGCUGAUGAAAGACGACGAUGUUGUGUUGUCACAUAUUUUUGGGCCGACCGUUUCUUGUUUCGGCUUAAAUGAGGCUUUUGUAAUUUUGUGCUGUUUUUUAACUGAGUAUUUUGUGCUAAAUUACGCCAAAGAAAAAGUGUAAUUGUUAAAAGAUCUGCUGACACUCAUAACCUCUUAAGCGGAAUUUAUAAUGUGACAGUAUUGAUAUCUAAGUUCAUAAUAUCUAUGGGAGUGAUAAAACGAAUAAAUGAAUCGAAUCGUAAAUGAAUUUAGUUAAAAUUUAAUGGAUUUGAAUUCGAUGUGUUAUCAAGCGAAUCAUAAUUUUAAGAUUCAAACUCAAUUCAUUUAUUUAAUGGAUAUCUAUUUAAUUCGUUUAUUGUAAAAACUUAAACAAAUUGAGUUGAAUUUGGAUUCGUUUACAAUUUGUUUAAUUCAUUUAUGCAAAAUUAAUAAUAAAUCAAUCAAAUGUGGAUUUGUUUAAAAAAUAAUAAUAAUUAAUAAAAAAAAUAAAGUAAAAUAAAAUAUAAAAAAUCAUAAAAUUAACAACCUACAAAAUACAAACAAAUUAGUGACCCCAAACUCGGAUUCGAUUCAUUUAUUUAAUGAAUUGAAUUGAAUUCACUUAUUUGUUAAUGAAUUAUUUUUUUAAAAUUCAGACCUAUUUAAUUUGAAUCUAAUAAACAAAUCCUAACCUAAAUUGCCAUCUCUAAAUAUGAUGGACCUACUUAAAAUAUAUGAAUACCAAAAUGUGUGGGCUAAAAAGUGGUUUACCAUGCAGCAAUAAGAAUUUUAAGCUCUCUUUUCUUAUGUCACCCAAGGCAUUGGCUGGAUGGCCAAACAGCAGAGUUCAAGUCUACAAUAGAGAAUCGAAAUUUUCCUUUGUAAAUGUUCGUAAGUAUUUAGCAUAGAUUUUUAAGUUAUUCUUGAUAGAUCCCCUACCACAUACGCUAUAAUAUUUCUCUUCUUUUAAUUUAAAAGUAAAUCAUGCAUAAUAACGGGUUUGUAAAGAAAUGAAAUUUCUGGUAAUUAACUGUCAAAAAAAAAGGAUGGAUUAAGCGAAAGAAGUUAAUAUAGAGUUAAGUCGAGUACUUGACAAUAGGGGUGUUCGCGGAUCGGAUUUUACAGAUUAGACAUCAAUCUAUAUCUGAUCCAUAAUUUUACGGAUUAUAAUUUUUCAAUCCAAUCCAAUCCACAGAUUGAUAUAAUUCAAUUCAAAUCCAAUCCAUACAUCUGCAGAUCGGAUGCGAAUUUGACUCAAUCCAUAUCCAAUCCAUAAGUCUGCGGAUCGGAUGCGGAUUUGACUCAAUCCAUAUCCAAUCCACCAUUUUGCGCAUUAGUUUUCGAAUUAAAAAUUUUUAGUUCUCUCCAACUAAUGAAAUAAAAAAAAAAUCUAAUAUAAAAAUAAUUUUGCUACCAAUUAAAUUUAAAAUUGAAUAAAAUUUAAAUAAAUUAAUUGUUUAAAUAAAGCUAAAAAAAUACAUUUAAAAUUUUAAAAUAUAACACAUCGAGACUAAUUAUUCAAAUAAAGCUACAAUAAUACGUUCAAAGUUUCAAAAUAUAAUACACCAAGCUUAAUUGUUCAAAUAAAGUUACAAUAAUACGUUAAUAUAACACCGAAAUUAAUUAUUGAAAUAAAGCCACAAUUAAUUGAAAUGACGAAGCUUCGGAAACCAAACACAGUCUAAUCCUUUACCAGGGCUGUUGCGCUUGUCGAAAAGUGGUGAUUACGGAGCCGUCCACGAUGGGAACUAGGAGAAGUCGUCGAGUGGCAAUCUUGAAGGUUGUGAUAAUGAAAUUGUUCAGCUGGAACCAGUGAAUGUGAAGUGGCUCGGUGGACUUGGGAAAGAAGAUGGCUUGCUCUCGCUGUAAUCGCGCGGCCGAUGUCCUUCAAAUCCGUGUCGAGAGUGUAUCCAACCAGUAUUGAAUGUUGCUAGUGUGUGUCAUGGCGGGGAAGCUUAGGGUUUUUUGUUUGCAAAUUAUUUGUGACUUAGCGUCAUGUUACUUUACUUUUGGGUGACUUUGCAAAUUGUUGGUGAUUUGGCGUUAUGUUACUUUGCUUUUGCUAAUGUGUGUGACUUUGCUUUUAUUUUGUUUUACAAUGUCUACAAGUUAUAUUUGUAUAUUUGAUUAUUUAAUUAUUUUUUAUUUUAUAUUAUUAUUGGGUAAUGGCUAAGAUAUGUUAUAGUGUUUAUGUAACUAUGUAAUGUCACAUUUAUAAUUUUUUUAAUUAAAUUUAUAAUAAUUUUUUAAUUAUAUAUAAAUAUAUAUAAUUAAAAAAUUAUUAUAAAUAUAUAUAAUAUUAUUAGAAACUAUUAACAACGGCACAAAAUGCCUGUGAUAAUGAAACAAUGUGCCAUCCUUAAACUAAUAUUAUUAGAAACUAUAAGUGAAAGUUUUCAGAAAACACGCACGUGAUAAGUUUUCUCCUUUGUUUUGAUUUACGCGAGAGAUAGUUGUAAAGCGUAAAAUUUUAAAAUCCGUAACAAAACAAAAACUUACAUGGGUUGGGCGCACCAUGUGCAUACCAAAUUAGAAUAAUUGACGAAUCGUAAUAAAAAAUUUAUAUAUAAGAAUUGAAUGAGAUCCAUGGUUCACAAUUGCAAAUUAAAGGUUGGUUUUAUAAUAAAAAUCUUUUUGUGCAUACCAAAUUAGAAAAGAUUAUAAGUAAAUUAAGAUUUUCAAAAUUUGACUAGUAUUAUAUUACGUUCAUCAAUAAAAUAUAAAUUUGUUAUAUAUAUAUUUUAUUCUGUAACCAAUGCUUUCAAAAACUUUAUACUUAUAUGUUUGAACAACUUUUUUCGUUUUCUAUUUAUAUACGAUAUCAUUUAUGUUUACAUAAAUUUUCAUAUGUACCCAAAUUAAGCAUUAAAUACACACACUUUGGUAAGACACAUUAAUUUCUAGUAUCAGACAAUGAUAUUAUAUUGAAUGUAAUGCUUCAAUGAAUUUUAUUACUAUAUACUAAAAUACUCAACGAUCUCCAUUAAAAAAAGAAAAGAAAUUGCAUGAUUAGAAUGAUUAAAGAUCAUUUGAUGAGGAGUUUCAUCAUUAACUGUGUCGAAACACAGCAGCAAUCCACAAUACACUUAACAGGAGAGGGGCACACAAGCAUGCAUGAAUCUUCCACCAUUAAACCUGAAAUCAUAAAAUAAAAGAAACAAGAUGAGUGUUGUUUUACGGUCUGAAAGCCGAUUCCAAUUAAUAAUAAUAAUAGUAAUAGUAAUAAACCUUUGUUAAUAAUUACUACUAGUUGUCUCUGCCUUUUGCAUCUUCCUCCUUUGUAUCAUCGUCCUCUUCCAAUCACACGGCUAGACCAGUAUGUCUCGAGAAUCUUUACUGCCUUCUCAGAGAUCCCGUUGACGUCACGACUUCGUAGAUUUUCAAUCUUUUCUAAUCCCUCAGCCUCCUCAACCAACUGGGCAUAUUGAUUAAAAUCUCCAACGGCGGUACCCGUAUUCAUUUCAGCUACCCCGACCUUCAAAAUGUUCUCUAAUCCUUCUAAGCAAACAGUGACGAUCUUUGGAUCAGCACAUUGAAGGAGACCACACAAUGGUUUUAUACACCCCGUUCUCACGAGGUACUUGAUUUGAUCAUGAGUGCCACGCGAGCUGGCAUUCGAAAUUGCCCAAGCAGCCUCCUUCUUUGUAUCAAAUUCAGCAUUUUGAAGUAGAUUGACAAUGGGACCAAUUAAGCCGGAAUCAAUUACCGCCUGAAUCUGCUCCCUGUUUCCAGCUGUAAUAUUUGAAAUAAUCCAGCUAAUCUUCUUCUUGAUGAUCUCUUCAUGAUUAUGGACUAAAAUGUCCAAAAAGUAUGGCAGUGCACCACAGUUAAUUAUAUACUGAGUCUGGAAAUCAUCUCCCGUCACAAUAUUUCCAACAGUCCCCAGGGCAGGGGCAAGCACUGAGGAUGAUGAGUGACCAAGGAGCUCAACAAGUCGUGGACAGACACCUGCCUCGAUCACAGCUUGAAUUUUGUCAUUCGUACCAUCAGCAAGAUACGCGAGUGUCCAACAGGCAUAUGUCAAGACCUCUUCAUCGUUUGAACGAAUAAGCUGUGCAAGCGCCGGGAGAGCUGGCCUUACCUGAUCAAAUGGUGGCUGUGGCAUGCCCCUGCAUAAAUUAGACAAUGUCCAUGUGGCAGUUCUCAGCAUUGAAAGCUUAGUGUGGUCCUUUAAUUGCUCCAGCACUGGAAUCAAAGCUUCUUCGCGAAGCACAAGAUUACGGCAUCCAAGUGAGUCACCACCAAUAUUUCCCAUUGCCCAAACAGCCUGCUCGCGGACAUCCUCACUUGGAGAAGCAAGUAGUUUCACAAAUAUUGGAACAGCACCGUCGUCAAUCACCACCUUAGUGUUCUCUGAAGUUCCAGAAGCAAUGUUUGUAAGAGCCCAAGCAGCCUGAAAAUGAAGUUGCGGAUAGUCUACCCUCAUAAGAAACUCAACAAAGCGCGGGACAACGCCAGAUUGUAUGACUUCAUCAAUUUGUGGACUCCUCUCAAUCGAAAGUAGAUUUCGGAACCAAGUAGUUGCUUCCAGCUGCAAGCCGCUGUCAUCUGACCAAACCCCAGCAACCAUCCUGUGAAAACUCGCGUACUUGUUUUAGGAGCAGGAGCAGGAGGAGGAAAUUAAGUUAGGGAUUUGGAGUGAGAGUGAAGGUGGAGAAAAAGCAAGAGAGGGAAAAAGUUGAUUGUUGAGAAAUAUAUACCUUUCGUAUGGUUGUGUUAAGGUCGUCCUUCCAAUCCCAACAUGCUUCACCCCGCCGCUCCACUUUGUGUAAUUUGGGUGUACUUAAUUUUCCUUCAGAGAAAAUCUUCAUAUCGGGGCAAUCAUCCACCACUAAUCUUUCCAAAGAUGGGAAAUUGAAAGCACAAUUGCCAGAGCAGAAGCUUGUCAGACUUUCUAAGAGUAAAAGCUUCAACUCCUUCAAUUCUCUGAAAGUAAUAACCUCAUCUUGUGCUACAACAUCAUCCCCCAGUACUAUUUCUUUUAUCUUAUCGCAUGAUGCUAUCUCCAUAUAUCUAAGUCUCACCAGAGUCUUUGCAACUGAGGAUGUUAUUACGAUUUUCAAGUUGUUGCAACGCGAUACCACCAGAUUUGUAAGAUUCUGAAAGGAUGUCGACGAUGGCACUAGAUUGACCAAACGGUCACACCCCUUUACACGUAGAAUAACCAAGUUGUUCGUAACAGAGGACUCCUCUAUCAAAAUGUGCUCCAGUUGAUAUUUUGCUUCUAUUAUUUCUACCCUCAUCCCAUUUUCAACCUUCUCUUCCGGCAACCAAGCAUCAAGUCCUCCUAUUUGGAGGAGUUUCAUUGUGUGAAGUCUCUGGAGGAAGUCACCAAGCGAUAAAAUAGUCCGCUCAUCAUCCAACUCCACAAAAAUAUAUUUUAGUUUGCAAAGCAAGUCUUCAGAAAAUAGAUAUUUAUUUGUUACUACGUGCUUUGCAUCAACUUUCAACUCUUCCAAAUUAGGGAAUACCUGGGAGAUUGAUCAGAGCCCAAAAAAAAAAAAAUACAAGAUGAAUCAAUUGAUGAGAAUUAUAAGUUACCACUAAUUUAUAAAAUAUAUUUUAUAAAUUAGAAUAAUUAUGAAUGAAUACUAUACACUAAUCUAGAAUAAUUAUGAAUGAAUACUAUACACUAAUCUGUAAGAGAGUUACGUUGCUAACAAUUUGACUUUUAGUAAGAAACCAAGCGAUAAAGGCAAAGGCAAUAUAACUCUAAACUCUAUGAUAUAAACUCUCACAGAAUAAGAAUUGAAAAAUUGAUUAUAAAAUUCUUGUACGUACCCUUUCCGUGAAGAUACUAGUAGUUCUUUUGUAUCUCGCCAUGAAUUCAGGACAUGCAGAUAUCCAUAAUUCUUUCAAGGAUGGAAAUUCAAGAAUAUCAAGAUCUCCAGUGCAGAAGCUUGUGAUCUUUUCAAGAUCAGACAUCUCCAGAUAUUGCAACAGAGGAAACAUUACAAUAUUAUUCUUCCUUUCUUCUUGGUUGUCCACGACUAUUAACUCUUCCAGGACAGGACAUUUACUUAUCUCAAUGCUUUGGAGUCGAACAAAGCUACUAACAGUAGAAGAUGAAAAUAGACAUCUUAAAUUCAUACAUCCGUGUAGGAUCAAGCGUGUUAAAUUCUGAUUACCACAAGACAUGACUGUAACUGGGCUCAGCCGAAUCCUCCCAACAUUUAUUGAAUCCAACGUCAACUUCUCUAACUCUGGUAACCGAACCUGCUCGAACAAAAAAUUAACUUGUUAAUUGCAAGUAAACGAUCAUUGAUUAUAAAAUUCUUGUACGUACCCUUUCCGUGAAGAUACUAGUAGUUCUUUUGUAUCUCGCCAUGAAUUCAGGACAUGCAUAUAUCCAUAAUUCUUUCAAGGAUGGAAAUUCAAGAAUAUCAAGAUCUCCAGUGCAGAAGCUUGUGAUCUUUUCAAGAUCAGACAUCCCCAGAUAUUGCAACUGAGGAAACAUUACAAUAUUUUUCUUCCUUUCUUCUUGGUUGUCCAAGACUAUUAACUCUUCCAGGACAGGACAUUUACUUAUCUCAAUGCUUUGGAGUCGAACAAAGCUACUAACAGUAGAAGAUGAAAAUAGACAUCUUAAAUUCAUACAUCCGUGCAGGUCCAAGUGUGUUAAAUUCUGAAUACCACAAGACAUGACUGUAACUUGGCUCGGCCAAAUCCUCUCAACAUUUAUUGACACCAACUCCAACUUCUCUAACUCUGGUAAUGCAACCUGCACGAUCAAAAAAUUAACUUGUUAAUUACAAGCAACAAUGAUUUCUGUUGAUGGACAAAUCAAUAAAAUUACUCUUUCUCUGGUUAUAGUUCUUUUCAGUUUUUCAUACAAACAACCGUUAAUCAAGUUUUCCAAAUUAUUCCUUACUAAAUGUAUAGAUUUAGACGGCGGCUAAUAUAAUUCAUAUUGCAAAUAUUUUUUGAUUGUAACGAAUUUUGUAAUAUUAAAUUUUGGUUGAUUAACAAUAGGACCUACUGUCCAGCGCGAGCAGUUCUCGGGAUUUAACUACUGGCACCUCGAUUAUAUAAAAAUUUGGAAUAUUUUCAAAGGAAAUCACAUAAUUCCCCCUUGCAAAUAGUAAUUUCAUUAAUUGCCGCGGGUUCACAUAUAAUUCUAAGAAAUUAGGCGAGAAGAGUCUCAUCAACAAUCAAUCAGCAGAUAUCACGUUUGGCAGAUCAUCAUGAUUUCCUCAGAUGCUAGAGAAUCAAAGUGAUUUCCGCUCAUGCAGGAGUGGACACAUUAUCUUAGAGCAUACCUCACUGAGAUCUUUUAAAAAAUUUAUAUUAUAAAGUGAACAACAUAUUUAGUAUAGAUUUAGACGGCGGCUAAUAUAAGUUAUAUGUAUUCUAAUGACGUAUAUUAAAGAAAAUGACUAACCAUAAUUUCAAUCAACUUAUUAGUCUAUAUAUAUAUAUAUAAUAUAUAUUCAGCGAUUACAACAUAUUUAGUAUUCCAUAACAUGAUGUUUAUAAUAAUAAUUAUUAUUAAUUCACUUAUUGUGUCAGAGUACCUUUUCUUUCUCUAAGAAUGUAUUUGUUACACCCCACUAUACUUCGGAUGAAAAAUUUAGAAUAAUUGUGAAAUAUAAUUAUUAAUCACUCUUUGCCAUAUUUGUUACCAAACAGGAAUAUAACAAAGAAAAAAAACAAAAAUUAUAGAGAAUUAAUAAGACGAUUGACUUAUUAAUAACUGACCUUCUCAGGGAAAAGCGUAUUAGAAAUUUGGACAUUGUCCUCCAAAAUGAUUUCAUGUGACUGCAAAUCAUUAGCUGAUUCCUCUUGUCUCUGUUGACAUUGCAGGUGUCUUGAUUUAAGAGUGUAAACUUAAUUGUGAACACAAUCUUAAUUAAUGCACUUGUCUCUGUUUUACAUUGCAGAUGUCUUGAUUUUAGAGCGUAAACUUAAUUGUGAGCACAAUCUUAAUGCAUAGAUAUAAAAUCUUUAAAAAUGAGUACAAUCAACUUAGCACUAAAUCCAAAUUUGAUAUUUUGGAUUCCAUGAUUAAGAUUUUUUAAAUAAAAAUUUAAUAGAGUUAAUUUAAAAAUAAAAAUUAAAUGUGAAAAAUAAACUUGCAAUUAUGGAUUUAAUUUUGAUAAAUAAUGAGGUUCCGCCUAUGUUGCAACAGUUGCAACAUACCACUUCUUUUGUCAUUUUGUAAUUUAGCCAUUGGAUCCAAGACAAGAAUGGUAAAAGCAAAUCUAACGGCAGAGUGUAUUUAUUUAGGUUAUUUUCAUUGUAAUCCCUCUUGUUUUCUGAAAUGUCAGGAAAAAACAUAAUUAUUAUUUUUUUAUUUAUUGGCUUAGUUGUUAAAUGAUAUGAAUAAGAAGUAGGAAAUUUAAGAGGACUUUUAUUAUUGAUAUUAUGUAAUUACAAUGCAUGAUUCAAUACUAGUUUAUAAGAGUCACAACUUGUUAAAUAUAAAAUAAAGUUUAUGUUUGCAUCCUAACUUCAAAAAGAUAAAUACGUUUAUUUAUUCCACAAAUUAAUAAAUAUUUCAUAUUUUUUUAAUUAUUACUAUCAUUUCUAGAUCUACUCUCAUUAUGUAAAUUUAUUAAAAAUUAUAUUUAAUUAUUAUUUUAUAUUAAUUAUUAAUAUAUAAAUAUAAUAUGAUAUAAUAAAAUAAUAUUAUAAUAUAAUUUAUUUUUAAUAUUUUAAUUAUUAUAGUAAAAAUAAAAAUAUAAUAAAAAUAUAUUUUUAAUAUUUCAAUUAAGAAAAAUUUUAGCACAUUGUAGUGAAUUAUAUAAUUGACCACAAUCUAACUUUUAAAACUUCCAAACAUAGGUAAGUAAUAAAUUAAUGUGAACAAUAUUAUAACAAUAUACAAUACUGUGUUCUAAACACAUUCUAAUGGUGCGUUUAUUAAAUAAGAAUCGAAAUGAGCUAGAAUCAUAAUAAGGAAUCGGAAUGAACAACAUUCCCAUUGAUGUGUUUACUUUUUUUUAUAAUUGGAAUAAACUAUUAUAAGUUAUUAAAAUGCCCUUUGAUAAUUGUGUCCCUAAUAUUAUUUGUAUCUAUUAUAAUUAAAACAAUAAUAAUAAUAAUAAAACUAAAAAUAAUAAUUAUGAAAAUAAUGUUAAUUAAAACAAAAAAUUAAUAAAAUUUAACAACAAUAAUAAUAACAACAACAACAAAAUUAACUGAAAUAAUAAUAUUAAUAAUGAUAAUAAUAAUUAUUAUUAAUAAGUUUUAAUAAUAAUAUUAUUAAUAAAAAUAAUAACAACAUUAAUUAAUAAUAAUGAAAAUAAAAAAGUUAAUAUAUUUUAAUAAUAACAUUAAUUUUAAUCAUAACAAGAUAAAUAUUAAUAAUAAUGAAUUAAUUACAGUAUAAUAGCAAUUAAAAUAAUAAAAGUAAUAAAUUUUAAUAAUAAUAAUAAUGACAAUAAUAAUCAUAAAUAAUAAUAAUUAAAAUAAUAAAAUUUAAUAGCAAUAUAACUCUUAAGCUUUAUGAUUUAAACUUUCACAGUACAUACAUAAGAAUUGAAAAAAUGAUUAUAAAAUUCUUGUACGUACCCUUUCCGUCAAGAUAUUAGUAGUUCUUUUGUAUCUCGCCAUGAAUUCAGGACAUGCAGAUAUCCAUAAUUCUUUCAAGGAUGGAAAUUCAAGAAUAUCAAGAUCUCCAGUGCAGAAGCUUGUGAUCUUUUCAAGAUCAGACAUCUCCAGAUAUUGCAACUGAGGAAACAUUACAAUAUUAUUCUUCCUUUCUUCUUGGUUGUCCACGACUAUUAACUCUUCCAGGACAGGACAUUUACUUAUCUCAAUGCUUUGGAGUCGAACAAAGCUACUAACAGUAGAAGAUGAAAAUAGACAUCUUAAAUUCAUACAUCCGUGCAGGAUCAAGCGUGUUAAAUUCUGAUUACCACAAGACAUGACUGUAACUUGGCUCGGCCAAAUCCUCUCAACAUUUAUUGACACCAACUCCAACUUCUCUAACUCUGGUAAUGCAACCUGCACGAUCAAAAAAUUAACUUGUUAAUUACAAGCAACAAUGAUUUCUGUUGAUGGACAAAUCAAUAAAAUUACUCUUUCUCUGGUUAUAGUUCUUUUCAGUUUUUCAUACAAACAACCGUUAAUCAAGUUUUCCAAAUUAUUCCUUACUAAAUGUAUAGAUUUAGACGGCGGCUAAUAUAAUUCAUAUUGCAAAUAUUUUUUGAUUGUAACGAAUUUUGUAAUAUUAAAUUUUGGUUGAUUAACAAUAGGACCUAGUGUCCAGCGCGAGCAGUUCUCGGGAUUUAACUACUGGCACCUCGAUUAUAUAAAAAUUUGGAAUAUUUUCAAAGGAAAUCACAUAAUUGCCCCUUGCAAAUAGUAAUUAUCAUUAAUUGCCGCGGGUUCACAUAUAAUUCUAAGAAAUUAGGCGAGAAGAGUCUCAUCAACAAUCAAUCAGCAGAUAUCACGUUUGGCAGAUCAUCAUGAUUUCCUCAGAUGCUAGAGAAUCAACGUGAUUUCCGCUCAUGCAGGAGUGGACACAUUAUCUUAGAGCAUCCCUCACUGAGAUCUUUUAAAAAAUUUAUAUUAUAAAGUGAACAACAUAUUUAGUAUAGAUUUAGACGGCGGCUAAUAUAAUUUAUAUGUGUUCUAAUGAUGUAUAUUAAAGAAAAUGACUAACCAUAAUUUCAAUCAACUUAUUAGUCUAUAUAUAUAUAUAUAUAAUAUAUAUUCAGCGAUUACAACAUAUUUAGUAUUCCAUAACAUGAUGUUUAUAAUAAUAAUUAUUAUUAAUUCACUUAUUGUGUCAGAGUACCUUUUCUUUCUCUAAGAAUGUAUUUGUUACACCCCACUAUACUUCGGAUGAAAAAUUUAGAAUAAUUGUGAAAUAUAAUUAUUAAUCACUCUUUGCCAUAUUUGUUACCAAACAGGAAUAUAACAAAGAAAAAAAACAAAAAUUAUAGAGAAUUAAUAAGACGAUUGACUUAUUAAUAACUGACCUUCUCAGGGAAAAGCGUAUUAGAAAUUUGGACAUUGUCCUCCAAAAUGAUUUCAUGUGACUGCAAAUCAUUAGCUGAUUCCUCUUGUCUCUGUUGACAUUGCAGGUGUCUUGAUUUAAGAGUGUAAACUUAAUUGUGAACACAAUCUUAAUUAAUGCAUAGAUACAAGAUGUUUAAAAAUUAGUAUAAUAAACUUAGCACUAAAUCCAAAUUUGAUAUUUCGGAUUCCAUGAUUAAGAUUUUUUAAAUAAAAAUUUAAUAGAGUUAAUUUAAAAAUAAAAAUUAAAUAUGAAAAAUAAACUUGCAAUUAUGGAUUUAAUUUUGAUAAAUAAUGAAUGUUCUCUUUAUAUAUUUUUUUAAAAGGUAAAAGAGCGUACAAAACCCAAAUUCAUUUUUUUAGUCCCUUACUCUCCCAUGAUUCAAACUUCACUUUUUUUUUCUUUUUCUUUUUUUUCUUUUUUUGUUGAGAGAAAAGAGAAGAAGGAUAUUACAAAGCAUGAAGCUCGUGCAAUAUAAGGGCAAUUAUGGUUUUUUCUUUAAAUUAAAAUGGUAAGAUUCUGAAGCUAAAAGAUUAAAAUAUUAAUUAAAUUGCAAACAUUAAAGAUUUUUUUUCCAAAAUUGGUUGCUUUGAAAAUGAGAAUAAUAUAAUAUUUGAAGACUUUUUCAAAAUUAAUUACUGUGAUGCACUAGAAAUUUAUAGCUUUAGUCUAAUGUAUAAAUUGACAAAACGAUAUUAGAAUCCCAGGUGAAAAGAACCCUCUCAUACCAUUUUCUUAAAUUAGGAAUGAUCAUACCUCUGACUCUGCCGGACUGAGGGCGAGGCGUGAACCCCUCAUACGGAGACGCUUGAGAUGGGAAGAGCCUACUUUGACUAACUCGUUACGAAAAUAAUCGACAUCUUGCUCUUGCAAUCUACGUAAUUCAAGGUCUUCAAUUCUCUGCAGUUGCACGAUCAGCGAAUCCUUCAAGCGAAUCUUGUCAUUUAGCUCGAGUCUGAAUUCACGACACCAAAUGCCAGUGCUCUCCCAAUAUUCCCAACCCUCAUCCUCAUCCUCAUCCUCAUCAUCUCCAAUGCGGAUGAUAUGUAUGCUGUACCUUUCCAGCUUCUCCAAGAGCAGGCCUCUGGGCAGAGUGCCGACGUCAUAGACGUGUAAUUCCAAAGAGGUCAAGUUGGGUAAAUGCUUCAACUCCUCAAGGCUUGCAUUCUUAACCCCUUCCACCUCCACCUCCCAAUCGGCAAAGUCAAAGAGUUCACUAGCUAUAUAUAGUUCUUCUAAAUGGGAUAAUUUUGACAGUAUAUUUGGUGGAAUAACUUUUAGUGCAAAACAAUCUCUCAAAUCAAGCAACUUUAGCCAAGUCAAUUCACCUACUUCUACCGGCAACUUCUUAAUAUAAGAACCUCUUAAGCAAAGGAUUUCUAGUUUCUUCAAGUCUCCUACAACACUUAUAUCAGGCAAACUGCAGCGACACAAACUCAGUGUUCGAAGGUUUGACAGGAGACCAAGUGAUGGAGGCAGUGACCGUAUGUAAGUCAAGUUUACAACUCUGACCUCGAUCAUGCUCUUGAAAAGGUUGUCUGGAAUUGUUACUGGUGAGGUUUCGCAAGGAUCAUCACUAAUAAAAAGAAGUUCGAGCUGAGGACAUUCCAGUACUUUAGGAAGCAAAUUAGGCUUGAUAUCAUGUAUGACGAUUGAAGUGCAAUGCUUUAUUGCACUUCCGUCUGACCAUUCCCUGCAACCAUCAACCUGCUCAUUUGUAGCAGUAAACACAUUUCGUUCAGUAGAUGCAAUUGAUAUGGCGACAUCGCGAACUACAUCAUGCAUAGAAAACAACUCUUUCUUCUGGCUUAUAUGGUCAAGCAACAUACAAGAAGCUUUGAGUGUGCGCACCAAUGUAUGUACUCGAUUUCGUGCUGCUUCCAUCUUAUUCACACCUUGAAAUAAACUCAAUCCCAUACCACACAUUAACAGUUCGUCAAUAGAUGCUAUGGCUGUAUAUCCUAUUAGCAAAAAGAUGUUCUUCAGCUCCUCCCCUACCAAUUUGUCGUAACUCAACUUUAUGGCUUUAUAUGCAUCUGGCUGUACAUGCUUAAAAUUCGAUGAAGAGGGCCUUCCUAGUUUUUCCAAUGCAUCCUUCCAUUCCUGUAUGUUCUUGUUCCUUAAUGCCCUUGCAACCGUCACAAUGGAAACUGGCAGACCUGCACAUCCCUUUGCCACAUCCCUUGCUACCGAUUGGAAUUCACUACCUUCAAUAUAAUCACCUGCCAUCUUCUUGAAUAGAUUCCAAGCUUCUUCUUUGUUUAAAACACCAAUUGAGAAAUUUGUUCGACAAUCCAUCUUCUCAGACAAUACAUUUAGACUUCUGGCCGUCAACAAUACUUUACAACCAUCUCCAAGAGGAAUUCGGACACUCCCCAAAUUAAGAUUUUCCCAAAUGUUGUCUAAAACUAUCAGGAUCUUCUUCACUUUUUUUAUACCUUCAUAUAAGCUGCCUGCCCUUCCUUCAUCACUUUCCUCAUGCAACUUCAGGCCUAAUUUAUCUGCGAUUACUCCUUGAAUCUUUCGUAUGUCUUGAUUCUGAGACACCUCAACAAAAACCACCUGAUCAAAGAGUUUGUCACUCUUGACUUUCCUAGCAACUUCUUCGGCCAGCAUCGUCUUUCCGAUGCCACCCAUUCCAUAAAUCCCAAGCAUGUUGACAUCGCGAUCUUCUAGUGCACUGAGUAUACUCCUCAAAGUGGACAUUCUUGAUUCAAAGGGCUCGUAGUCUUUGUUAGGGAUAAGCCGAAUAUCCUCUGGAGCAGUACGGUAGGAAAUUCUAUCAAAUCUUCUAGCGUCCAGGACUUUGACAACAGCCUCCUUCUGCCUCUCUGCUUCCUUGCUAAGUCGACGGCGGGUCUUCAAAUUAGGUAUUAACCCCUUGAAACAACGCUUAUUUUCAAUGGCUUCAUCGUCUGUAAAUUUAUCUGCCUUAACAAUGACAUCAUUUGCCCCUUCGAGCCAAUUCUCAACGUUCUCUUCAAUCGCUUCCCCUUUUGUUUUAGCCUCAGCAACCCGGUGCUCUAUACUAACCUUCUCAGACUUCAGAUUGUCAACUUCAGUCUUGAGAUUGUCUAAGAUGCUCGUGUACUUACUCUCACGCAAAUAGCUAAUUUGGCGAUAUGCGGGAGGAGCCAAGCACUUCACAACUUCUACAACAAUAGUAAGAAUGAUUUCAGCCAUCUUCAAUCCUUUGUCCUUGUCUCUCUAUCUCUCUUUUUUCUGAAUUUGUGAAAAACAAUUGAUCCAGUUAGGAAGCACACUGAGUGAUUGAACACAAGUGACCACAACAAGAUGGAACAAAAUUAAAAGGAAAAAAAUAGAAAGAGUGGAUGGAGAAUAAAACAGAGACAGCGGCACAGCUGGACACAACUAGAUAGAGAACAGAGGAAAACCAAAUAACAAGACUUAAGAUUACAACAAACAGAGGCCAAGUAUUGUUGAGAUCAGAAGAUGGAAAAUUCAAAAGAGUUGAUGACAGAUGCUGAAUAACAGAACAACAAUGAACGCAAUAAACAGAAGCAAAGUGUGGUUGUGAUCGACAGACGGAAGUAAGGAAAAGCGGUUGUCGAUUGAAAAUGAAUGAAUGCAAGGAAAGACUGAUAUUGAAAAUUGACGUCAAUAGCGAAGGAAUAAUUGAACUUUCGCUUAAUUAUUGUUUGUGGCCUUGUUUUACUUUUUAUUUGUGGGUCAUGUCUUUUGGAACUAAUCAUCUUAGCUUAUGCUUUACAGCUUUAAGGCCAGUAACCGGUGUCCGUUGGAUAAGCAUAUAGAAAUCCAACGGUGGAUAUAUAUCCUUGGGAAUAAAAUUCAAGAGCAAAGGGAGUGCUGGGCUGCAGUUUCUUAAGGAGAUUUAUAUAUCCUCCUCAAAAAUAAAUGUUUUAAGGUAGAUAUUUAGACUAUUUCAUCAUAAAAUGAAUGUAAUUAAUUUUCAAUAAAUAUCUUAUAUAAAUAUUUAUUUAUUUUUUUAAUUACUAAUGACCUUUGAAUAUACAUAUAUACAUAUCACUAAUUCAAAAAUAAAUUGUGAUUAUUUGUUAAUAUAUGCGAUUACUUGUGAUGGUAAACAAAGUAGAUAUGGUAUAUUUUGAAGUUAAAUUAAAAAAAAAAAAAACAGAGCUUUUACCAUUACUUGCCUUAUCAUCUUUUAAAUUAGAAUUAUUAUUCUUUUAUUUUUCAAGUUGCCAACUCAUCCGCAUUCUCUUGUAUUGAAUUUGAAGAUCAAUGAUUAUAAAUUUGUGUGAAAAUUUUAAGUCAAAACUUUAAAUUAAAAUAAUCUUUAAGUUAUUGGGAAAUAAUACCUUAGUAUAACAAAUAUUAUAUCCUAUACUUUAUUGCUACAAAAUUACGAAACCUUAUAUUAUAUUAUGUUUCCAUAUUUCUCCUUUAUAGUGAAGACUCGUACUUCUUCUCUAAUAAAUGCUAAAGUAUUGGCUUAAAUUUUUUAACCGGCACAGUAGACCCUUAAGCUAUAUAUACUAUAAUGUCCCUCUUCUCUCACAGAUUAAACCAAUCUGAUCUCAGAGUGAGUUGAUACCAUGACUUUGCAUCAUUCGUGAUCAAAGGAGCAUCAUUACUAACUAAUAUAGGCUCGAUCAAUAGGCAUGAUAAUAAUUUUUUUUUAUCUACAAACACUAUUUUUCAAAAUAUUUUAUCUUAAGACUAACUAAAUAUUUUUUAACUAUGUAGAUAUAGGUUGUUUGAUCUCUUUUAAAUAGUGGAGAUUACAAACAAACGGAUGCGAAUUAGUAGUGAUGUUGAGUUCAGAAGAUUGAAGUUAAGAAAAUUAAGGGUUUCUUGAUCUAGGGAAAUUUCAAAAGAGUGAAGCGUCCUCAAAAUCGGAAGACGAAAAAUAAGGAAAGGGUAAGGGUGUAUUUUCAAAGUAAUUCUAUUAGUAGAUCUUUGAAGUAGGGGUGGGCAAAUCAGGUUAGUUCGGUUUAAAACGGAUUGAAACAAUUUAAUCCAAAAAUUCUACCAACAACCACUUAAAAUCCAAAAAUCUUAAUUCCAAACAUCCUUAAUAACAAAUAUCAACUACAAACCAUCAUUAACAAUAUUUCAACAAUAACAAUAACAAUAAUAACAACAACAACAACAAUAAUAAUAACAACUAUGAAUUAGCAAUUCAGCAUAUUGCCAUAUUCUAAAUUUAAAAAAAAAACACAAAUUAAUUAAUUAACAAUCUCCAAUUUAAUUUAUAAUAACAGCAAAAAUCCUCCCCAAUUUAAUUAAUAUCAGUCUCCAAUUAUUCAAUUAUCAGUCAAUAGCAACAAACCCACUCCAAUAUAAUUAUAACAAUCUCCAAUUGUUCAAUUAUCAGUCAACAACAACAAAUCCUCUCCAAUUUGUCACGAACAGCCUCUAAUUGUUUAAUUUUCAGUCAACAACAACAAACUCACUCCAAAUAAUUGAACAAUUGUUAAUUAAUUAAUUAAAAAUAUCCAAUUUAAUUAAUAACAACACCCAAGAGCAAGUCAGCAAUAAACCCACUCCAAAAUCCAAAUAUCAGUAUAAACUAAGUGUCAAACCUUGAUCGGUGGGAAGCUACAACGUCGGCAAAGCGUGACCAUGUGGGGCUGAGUGAGACCGUCGACCGAGGGUGUGUGAAGGGAGAAGAGGGAGCAGGGAGGUAACGUGGUGUGUGUGAGUUUAUAUAUAUAUAUUAAAAGCUAAAACUUAAAAAAAAAAAUUUAACUCAAUCCAAACGCACACCUAGAUUACUUCCGUUAAGAGCUGAAUCCCACACUCUUGAGCCUUUGUCGUUCCAGUCAACUAUAAAAACAAAUCAUUAUUGAGUGUGAACAGACUUAUUGAUCACCAAAUUUUCAAACUUGUCAUCCUUAUUGAAUCUGCGUUCCCUUUUAAUAAAAUUUAAAAAAGUACAAAUAAUGAAACAAAGUUAUGUUCCUUCAACAGUUGAUAGAGUUACGCGGCUUCAACUUGCAAGUCCAGUCGGCAUUUUCAAACUUGUAAUACCCUUACAACUUGCUUUCCAAGAUAGCUAUAAUUAAUAAUGACAAUAGUCUCCCCUAUAGCGACUAGUGAGCAACUUGUUUCGUGAAAUUAACGGCAUCUUCUCUCGCAUUUUAAAAAAAAAUUGAAUUAUAUAACCCACCAAAACUAUAAAAGAAUUGUUAGUUUUUCUUCAUUAAAAUUAAUAUAUUGCUCCUCAUAUUGAAAAAUCAAAAUUCAGAAUAAGAAUGAUUGAUACUUUUUAUUUACUAAAAUGAAAAUAAAAUAUAUGAAGCCUACAUAUUUUUUAAAUUAAAAAAUAAGAACUUUAUUUUCUACGGGGAGUGUUGGGAAUCAAGUUCUCAUUAUUUAAACUCUCAAUUGUACUUCAUCGAAAUUUCAUAAUUUCACUUUUGUUCUCAAUUAAAAUAUUAUUGUAGUUAUUAUUCUUAUUUUUAUAGUUGUUGUUGAUGAUGAUGGUGAUAAUGAUGAUGAUGAUGAUACAAGAUAAUAAAAUUAAUGAUAAUUAAACCAAUUUGAAUUCAGAGUGAGUGAGUACCAUUACUUCGCAUCAUUUGAUAUCAAAGGAGCAUCAUUACUAACUAAUAUAGGCUCGAUCGAAUUCAUUAUGCGAAGUAUAUUAUCGGCUGUAGGUAUGGAAAUAAAUUUUGUAUCCACAAACACUAUUUUUCAAAAUAUUUUAAGACUUGACUUAGCAUUUUUUAACCAUAUAUGUAUAGGUUGUUUGACCUAUUUUAAAUAGUGGAGAUUACAACAAAUGAACAGAUGUGGAUUUGUAGAGUUGUUGAGUUCAGAAGAUUGAAGUUAACAAAGGGUUUCUUUAUCUAGAGAAAAUUCGAAAGAGCGAAGUGUCUUCGAGAUCAAAAGACGAAAUAAGGAAAGGGUAAGGUUAUACUUUCAAAAUGAAUCUGUUGAGAGAACUUUAAAGAUUACUUCCGUUAAGAGCUGGAUCCCACACUUGAGUCUUCGUCGUCUCAGUCAGUCAACUAUAAGGACAAAUUAAUUUUGAGUGUGAAAGGACACAAUUGAUCACCAAAUUUUCAAACUAGUGAUCCUUAUUGAAUCUACAUUCCCAUUUGAAAAACAAUAAAAGAUUAACAUUAAUUUAACUUCAUCUAAAUUCCCAUUUGAAUCUGCAUUCCCAUUCCCUUGUUCUCUGGGAAUGCACAUAAUCAAACAAAAUCCUAUCCGCAUUUUCAAACUCGUGACCCUUCAAGCUUUCUAUGACAACUAUAAUGAAUAAUUACAACAAUGCUACCUAAUAGUGAGAACUUGUUUGAUGAAAUUAACAGCUUCUUUUCUCUCAUGUAUUUUAAAAAAAAUUAAAUUAUCAAAGUUUUUAUUUCAAAAUUAGUGCUAUAGUUCAUUAAUUUUUCAAAUUUUCCUUUUUCUUUCCACACAACAGAUUGAUUUGCCCUCCAAAAAAUGUAUUAUAUUGUUUAAUAUUGUAACUUCAAGAAACUUAUAAUAAAUUUUUAAAGAGAUAAAUAGAGAAUAUCAGUCUCCCAUCUACUCAAAAUUAAUAUAUAUCAUUAACUCUUGAUUAUUUUUAUAAAAACUAAUAACUUUUUUUGCAGCAUAAUUUUACAGUAUCAUCCUUGUUAGUAAGUAUAUUUUUAUUCAUAUUUAUUAUAAAUUAAUUAAAUCAUAUCAAUGAAAAUUGAAAUAAAAAUUGAAGUACUACAAAUUAAAAAAAUAUGUUUUGGUGUGAAUAAAAAAUUGAAAAUAAAAAUAUUUUUCUUAUAUUUUUUGUUAUUUUUAAAUUUUUCUUAUAAUAAAUGUAUAUUUUAUGUGCUCAACUUUUUCUUUAAAUUUUUGUUAUUAGGAGGAUUUUUAGAUAUAAUGAAAAUUGUAAAGUAGUAAGUAAUAUAUAAUAAUUUUAAUAGAGAAAAGUAAAAAAUCUCUUAUUUUAAAAUACAAGGAGAAAAAUAAUUAAUUUCAAGACAUUUUAGAAGAUAUUUCAAUAUGCGGUGGACCACAAACUCGAGUCUUUGUCAUCUCAGUCAAACUAAAAGGACAGAAUAUUGAGGGCAUGGCUAACGUGCAGAAGCUACAAGUAACAGCUUCGAACUUUCCCAUUUCCAUCACCUUGCAUUGGGAGUUUGGGACCUCUUUCUCUCUCCUCUAGCAGCCGUGGAAGUUCCCCAUUGGCUACUGUUACUUACAGAAGCUGUAACAUAGACUUCUCCGAAUAUUGACCGCGAAGGGCUCAAGUGAUUGUUCAUUUCACAGCAAUUGCCUUUUUUCUUUUUUUCUAAUUAUUGGGAAAUAAGAACUUAGUAUAACAAAUAUUAUAUCCUAUACUUUAUUGCUAAAAAAUUACAAAACCUUAUAUUAUAUUAUGUUUCCAUAUUUCUCCUUUAUAGUGAAGACUCAUACUUCUUCUCUAGUAAACGCUAAAGCAUUGGCUUAAACUUUUUAACCAGCACAGUAGACCCUUAAGCUAUAUAUACUAUAAUGUCUCUCUUCCCUCACAGAUUAAACCAAUCUAUCUCAUAGUAAGUUUGCAUCAAAGGAGUAUCAUUACUAACUAAUAUAGGCUCGAUCAAUAGAGAUGACAAUAAUUUUUUUAUCUACGAACAUUAUUUUUUCAAAAUAUUAUAUCUUUAGACAUAACUAAAUAUUUUUUAACCAUAUAUGUAUAGUUUGAUUAAAUAGUGGACAUUACAACAAAACAUAUGCGAAUUAGUUGUGAUGUUGAUUUCAGAAGAUUGAAGUUAAAAAAAUAAAGGGUUUCUUGAUCUAGGGAAAUUUCAAAAGAGUGAAGCGUCUUUUAGAUCAUGACGAAAAAAAAGAAAGGGUAAGGGUGUAUUUUCAAAGUGAUUCUAUUGAAAGAUCUUUAAAGAUUACUUUCGUUAAGAGCUGUAUUCCACACUCUUGAGCCUUUGUCGUCUCAGUCAACUAUAAAGAUACAUUAUUAUUGAGUGUGAACAUUCCGACUUAUAGAUCACCAAAUUUUCAAACUUGUGAUCUUCGUUGAAUCUGCAAUCCCUUUUGAAAAAAAAAAAAAAAAAAGGGGAAAACUGCAAAUAAUGAAACAAAAUUCUGUUCCUUGAUAGAGUUACGCGGCUUCAACUUGCAAGUGCUGUCGGCAUUUUCAAACUUGUAUGACCCUUCAACUUGCUUUCCAAGAUGGCUAUAAUUAAUAAUGACAACCGAAGACGGCUACGUUUGCGGUACAAAAGUUGCACCAUAUUAGACGUUCUUUUUUGUUCUUAUCCGAAGUAACCGUUGGAUUCAAAGGAAAGUGAUCAGACAUUCAAUAGCUUCACACGUGGACAUUAUAGGAUACCGGUCAAAUCGGUUAGUGCUCCUCCUCAAUCAAACUCACAAGCAUGGCUAUCAUCGUAUCAGCUUGGAAACUUGUUACAAGUGACUAAGAGCAACAGGGUCCGCUCCUCUAGAGUCGGUUAGUGCUCAAUAAUGUUACAGGUUUUAUAAUCUAUGUAACUGGUACGAUCGCUGUCUCAAGUGGUAAACUUUUGAGGCACAAAUUUAGAACGAAAAGUUCCCAAUAAAAUAAGUUAUUUAAUUAAUUAAAUAAGAAUAAAAUGAAUUUGUGAAAAAAAAUUUAAAUUUAAUUUUGAAUUAUUUUGACCAAAAUUUAAGUUUUUUUUUUUAAUUUGUUUAAGAAAAUGCGUUGUAAUUGUCUUGUUUUAAUUGGAAAAUCAAUGAAAAAAUUAUGUAAAAAAAAAAAGCAAAACGCUUUGUUUUGGAUGGAGGCCAUAGAUUCCAAUAUUUCCUUCACGAAAACUACAAAAAAAUUAUCAAAGGCAUCAAUUUCUACACUCUCACCGAGCAAUACUCUUAACCCAGAAGAAAGUGUAUAAACCAACCCCAAUCAGUCCAUCAAUGUCGUCAACCUCAUACAGCAUAAAAAAAAUAUGUGUCCAUUAAACCGUCUUUAUUGAGCCAUUAGACUAUUCGUAUCAUCUUCCCGUCUCGUUGUAGUAUUUUGCCGUUCAAAACUAGUUAUCAAUUGGGGAAAAUGGGGACCAAUCUGCAAGUCUUUAAAAUAGAAAGAAACUUUAAUUGGGCACUAUGUUCACGGUGGCAGACCCAGCAGCAGCUAUUUGUGCUUUAAAAAUAAUUUUACACAUUCUAAUUUUAAUAAAAAUAUAUAUUACAAAAUUACUUAUCAUAUAAGUUACUGGACAAUAUAUUAUAAGUCAACAUUAUAUAAUUACUUUGAACACUUAUAUAGCCCAAUCCUAAUUCAAUUUAUUAUUCUCAUAACUUAAAUAUAAAAAUUUUUAUUUCCAACUUCUUAAUUAAUAUGUAGAUGAAUAAUAAGGAAAUUAACUUUGAGAAAAAAUUAAAUACAAAAUAUGUGUAAUACUUUCAAAAAAAAUAAACAAAAGUAUUGCACAAGAUAAUUUUUUUUGGGGGGGGGGGGGCUUUGGCCAUUCUUCUUCUUCUCCUUCUCUCUCUCUUUUUUUUUUUUUGUAGUAUUUAUGGAACAUUUUCUAUUGUUAUGUUCUCAUUGCAAGUUAUUUUGGGUGUAAAAUUCAACAUUGAAAAUAAAUUAAAUAAAAAAAUUAGUAACUAAAAUUAUGUUAAAUUAUUUUUUAACUUAAUUUUUAAUUAUAUUAUUAGUAUAUGUUAGAUCUCUUAAAAAUCGAGUGUUGAAUAAUUUUAUUAGUUUUUUAAACAAAUAAAGUUAAAUAACUUAAAAAAUUUAAGUAAGGAUAUUUUUAAAUUUUUAAACAGUAUACAAAGUAAAGUUUAUUUUCUUGUCAGUGGCAAAUGAUCACGACAAGAAAUCUAAAGUAGAAACAGCAGAGCUCAACAAAUCACUAAGAGAAAAUAAGACCAAUAACCAAGCAGAUAAAAGAAAAGCAAAAUAACCCAUCUCAAAUCACCACAUGCACAAUUUAAGGGGUUUGUGACAUGGGUUUAAGCAUGAUUUAACAAGUGCCACCUGUGAAUUGUCAGAGAUUGUAUUUUCAUACACAUGUCUAGGGGUGGGCAUAUUUUAACCGAACCGAUCCAAACCGAUCCAAACCGACCAUUUGGUCGGUUUGGAUCGGUUUCAUUAGUAAAAAAACUGGUUUCGGUUUAUUGGAUUGCAAACCGACAUCACUCGGUUUGGAUUUCGGUUUGGAAUGAUUCCAAACCGAUUCAAACCGAUCCAAUCCAAAAAUAUUAUAUAAUUACAUUAUAUUUUAAGUUAAGCAAUCUAACUAAUUAUAUUUAUCAUUUUAUGCAGAUUUUGACAAAUCAAAACUAAUUAGGCCAUAAGUUUUGACGGACAAGAUGCACAAUAUUUUAAUUGUCAAAUGUUGUUCAAGUUUAUUUUAAUUUUGUGAGUUUGUUUUGAAUGAAUAUGUUAAGAACUUCUUUAUUAGGAUGUAUUAUACCGUAAACUUGUAUGGAUGUAUCUUUAAAUUGUUAUGUAGAUGUCAAAGUAGAUAUGAAUAAUAUAAAAGAGGUAUCAAUUUGGAUUACGGACACAAAAAAAUAACAAAUAAUUUAGGUAAAAUAAUAAAAAAAGUGGGCUUUUAGCUAAUAAACUCAAACUGAGAAUCCAAACCGAUCCAAACCGAUCCAGUCGGUUUGGAUCGGUUCGGUUUGAAAAAUUUUUAAGUUGAUAUCGGUUUGAAAAUAUUUCAAACCGAUAAGUUUGGAUCGGUUUGAGAAUAUGUCUCAAACCGAUCCAAACCGACUUUGCCCACCCCUACACAUGUCAAAUUUUCAAGUCCAACAAAUUGUUAUCUUUCUAAAGAGGCUAAUAUUAUUAUUAUCUAUGCAUAGCAUGCUAUAAACAAUUCAUAUUACUGGGCCUUUGUUUUGUGUACACAACAUAUGGACAGAGGAACAAAUGCCUGAGCUAAAAUCAUCAUAUUCCAAAAUAUUCUAUUAAAUCAGCACCACAAAACGCGAACGCUAAACAGAAUUGGAGCAAUUUACCAAAGCUAUUUGUCACGCAAAGCACUAGUACCUCAGAACCCAAUUUGCAAAAAAGCACCAAAAAUGAAAAAUAACAAAUGCCCAGAUGAAAAAUCAGGAAAAAAAAAAUGCUCAAAUCCAAAUUACAACCCCAUAAGUUGAGUCGUUCUCUUCGAACUGAAUUAAAAAUAAAUAAAAAAAUUAAAAUGGGGAGAUUGACCUCAAACUUUGGAAACAGAAGCGACAGCGAUCUGUUUCUUGUCUGGAGUGUCCAUUUCUAUAAUCUACUUUGUCCGUUUUCAGUUGCUCUGCCACAGAGCUUCUUCCCUCUGAAGCUGAAGCUCACACACACUCGCAAAACGAAAGCAUUUUUUAUUGAUUGAGAGGCGGGAAGGCGGGAAAAUGAGAGAAAUUUGCAUUUGUUUUCUCUUGGUUUGGUCAUACUUGUGCGGGCCCCAGCUUGACAAGCGGUAUUAUUACUAUUUGUAUAAUUUACAUGACGCGUGUCACGCAAUGACGAUAAAAAAUAUAUAUAUAUUGUUAAUUUUUCACUUAACAUUGAAAUAUCAUAUAAUUUUUCCAAUUUUAUGGUUAUUUUCUCGCCCUUAUGCCACAUUCUUUUGAUCAAAUAAUACAGUAAAACUUUUCUAUAAUCAUAAUAUUAGAGCCAAAUUAACUUUAUUUCUGUAAAGAGGCUAUAGCUUAAUAAAGGUAAAAUUAUAAAAAAAAUAUUAUUUUGACUCAGUUAUCUUUAGUGCAAGUGAUAUAAAGUACAAAUAUAUGAUAAUUAAUUAAUGAACUAUGUCAAAUACAAUAUGCUAACAAUGAUAAAAAAAGAUAGACAUAAUUUCAAGAAACUAUGUAUUUAUGUAGUGCUGGGAUUAUACAAAAUUAUCUUAAAAGUGUAAAGAGUAAAGUAUUAUUCUGAUUAAUUUAUAAAAAAAUUAUUUUAUCUUAAUCUUUAAUGCAACAUAGCUUUUUCUUUUCUUAACAACAAAGCAUUGUUUCAAAUAAUAAUUAUUGGAUUCAAAUCAUGUCCUAGGCAUUUUUUCUUCUAGUCGUCUUAAACUUUUAAUGAUUUAUUGGGAUGUGUCAAUCAUUAAUGAAAUUAAAUAACUAAGACUUUGUUUUAAUUAACGUUUACAUAAAUAGACAUCAAAACUCAAGUGUGAUUCUUAUCAAUUUUUUCCUGCAAAUUCUUUUCCUCUCAACUAUUCAUAUUUUGACAUUAAUUUCCAGCAAAUUAUUAAAAAAAAAAAGAAGCGUAAAAUGGAGAAAAGUGAUUGACAACAAGGUUUGCAUCUUAAUUUCAAAAUUUUCCUUUCUUUGCUAUUUUUGUGAGUUCUACAAUUGUUGUUUUCACUCUCAGCUGCAGUUCAAUGAACUCUAUUAAUAACCAUGAAGCUUAAUGUAUCAAUUCCAGUACGAGAAGUCCUUCUACGCAUGUUACAACACUUUUUGGUCAUUAUAGGUUGCAAAUGUUCCGUAAUGUACUCAUUCAUAUAACGGAAACGCUAUUAUCAAUAAUGAAAGUUGACUAAGUUUGUAAAUUCUAUUUAACGAAAAAGUAACAUAAAUUUAGUUGAACAAGAGGUAAUCAAUAUGUAAUCUAUGAAACUAGGGUGUGACUAAGUUACAUAGUAAUGUAACUUACAUGAACACAAAAAUAAUUAGUUUUUAAACUACAAGUAAUUUUGGAACUGCUCUUAAAUUGAUAUAAGUUUUAUUAUUAUGUAACUUAGCAAGGUCAGGUAUUUUAAUAAUAGCACAUCACUAUUGUUUCAUGUGAAUGAUGCAAUUGGAUUAGCCAAUACAUACUGUCAUCCCCGGGAGAUGCUAUGGCAAUAGCUUACUCUACCGUGCCAAUGUCAUUAGUAUUAAUCUGUUGAGCCUAAGACCAGAUCUAAGCUGAUCUAGAUUCCCCAAGAUCGCACACCACACAGUGAUUAAUGAAUCAAGAACAAUAAACCAUCAAAGAAUCGCAAACUUACAUGUCGGGUUACAUGUAAUAAAUGUUUUAAUUAUUAGAUGAUUCAUAAUGUUAGACCAUUUUUUGUAUGUUUUGUAAUCUACGUUUGAUAAUUUAAUUAGCUGAUAAACAUUUGAAUAAUAUUAUUUCAUUAGCUAUGUCAUUGAUCCCCAGGAAAAAAAAAAAAAAAAAACCCAAUUUGGGAUGUUAUACAUUACUUUUUCAUUACUUCCCAUUUUAGAUUAAUAUUUAUCACAUAUAUUCUUAGCAACUUGUAACCCUUUUUGCUAAGGGUGAAAUGUGUUUGUUACCCCUUCUAUUUCUGAGAUUGUCCUUACAAUAAGGAUGCCGGCCCCAAUGUCAAAAACUGCUAUCUCUAGGUGUAAAUUCCUUAUAAAAUUCUUUUUUAAUUGAAAUUACUUAAAUAAUUGAAGAUAAAUUAAUUUUUUAUUUCAUUCAAAUAAAAAAAAAUAAUUAAACACUUAAAUAAGCUAUCCUUUUAAUUUUUUUUUUUACACCCAUCCAGUUUCAUAAUUUAUAUUUAUAAUUUAAAUUUUAAUGGAAAAUAUUUUUUUGAAAAAUUUUAAGAAUUAAGAAUUAUGGGGAUAAAAAUUAUGUAAUAAGAACAAAAUAAUUUAAAAUUUUAAAAUUUGCAUGUAUUAUGAACAAAAACUUGAAAGAAAUACUCUUUUCAGGGUGAGAUUUAAUCAGAAAAAGAUUAAUUUUCAUUUAUGGAUCAGUAUUUUAUAAAUUAAACAGAGGUAUUUUAAGAAAUAGAAUUCAAAAGGCAUGGGAACAAGGGCAUUGGGUUUCCUUUUGUUUUGUAUGGAUUGGGAAAAAUACACGGACAGACAAAGGGAACAGUCAUUAUAAUGCUGCGGAGCUUGUCGGAGAUUCCCUGCCCAUUUGUAGCUUAGACUCCUGGGGUUUUGUUCAUGUCUUUUCUGUAUCCCACUUUCUCAUGCAGCAGAUGUACAUAUGAUGAGAUGAAAACAACAGCAAAAAUUGCUGUCUCAUAAGAGAAAUAGUCAUACAUAGUUGGUUAGGCCUCCAGUCCAUUAACUUAAUAAUGAAUUUUACGAAAAUUGAUUAUCUCAUUGGAAUUACAUAGAUAUUGGAAAUCAUUACUCCAGCCCCACCAUGCCAACCAUUUACUUAGUUCAUCAGUAAAAGCUGGAUUUUCCAUUUGUUCUUGAGAUUCAAAUUAAGGCAACAAGUUGCUCAUUCUAUAUUAUCUAUGUAAUCCUGUAAAAGUGAAGGGCGUUUAGAUGUGGAAAAACCUUACUCCUGCCGCAACACCUCAAACAGAUUGUGAUCAGACAAGACUUAGUUCAUCAUUAGUAGUAGUUGGAGCUUCCAUUUGUUCUAGAGAUUUAAAGGCAGCAAGCUGCUUCCUCAGUGCUACUAAUUCUUCCCCGGCAUUGCAUAUGUAGCCUGAGGCUUGUCUACCAGACAAAGUUGCUCCUUCCAUACUAUCUAUGUAAUCCAGUGAGAGUGAAACCAUUUAGAAGACGUAUCUCUUUCUUUCCAAUAUUUAGAAUGAAACAAUUAUAUACAGUUACCUGUUUUGCAUAUGAGCCGGUGAGGAAGAAGUUCUUCACUGGUGUCUUUUGAUCACGUCUGAAGGGGUCUUUACCAGGUCCCUCACCGCACAUAGAUUGCCCGAUUUUGACGAAAGAUGACCAAAUAACUUCCAAACCUUGGGAUGAUGGAAAUGGAGCUAAAACCUAAUAAAAGGAACCGUGAAUGGAUAGUAUGGACUCAUGUAUAUUAUCCAGAAAGUUGCAUGACCUUUUGUGGUACUCAGGUCACUAAAAAACGUGAGAUAAACAUCUAGGAUAAGAAAAGCAAAAAAGCAUAACCUAAUACGUAUUAUAUGAAUUGAAGGUGUCACUGAACGCUACCAACCUGCUUUGCCACUCUCCUUAUGAUUUCAUCAUUUGGUAAGGGCAUAUAAGGAUCUCCAGGCGUCAAAACGCGUCUGAAAGAUAAUAUGGUUAUAGUAAACAACAUGGAAUACAAAGACACUUGGCAAAAGGAAGUCAAUCAGAUUCCAUGCACAAAAAAUAACUAAUAAUGACGACGAUAAGAAAUUUUUCACACCGGAGCCUUCUCUAUAGUAGUCUUCUGGUGAAGUAAGUGCUAGAUCUGCAAAGCAAGAGAAAUCUGCAUCUGGAGUAUAUAAAAGGUUAUCUAACCCCACAGCUUGCCUCAAUUGCCUACAUGUUCAAAACAAGGAUCUAUUAAAAAAUGGAAAUUUCUUCAAUGCAUUAGUGAAGGGAAGUGAAGUGAAAGCGGAUUUCUUAAGCCUUCACAGAGCAUCUUGUGUUUGAAUUCCGGUAACCUCACAAAAGAUUAGAGCAUCACCUUGACCGUUCUAGGUCUUGCAACUCAGUAACCCAACCAUUGUAUCUAAGCUGCACUGUGACAACAUGAACUCCAACGAGCUCAUAAAUAUUGUUGAAAAAUUUCAUUUCCCUCCAGCCUCCACAAUGAUGAAAGCAAUCUUUUAAUUCCAGGGACAUCACAUGCUGCCAUUAAAUAAGAAGUUGAAUAAAGAAAAAUCGUUCAACUAAAUGAUUCAGGAGUUAAAAAAAAAUGUAGAAGUAGAAAUAAAUAACAAAGAUUUAACCAUAAACCUGCAACAUUUGCAUCAGCUUGCACAACCUUCUUGUCAGUGGCCUGAAAUAGAAUGAGAACUUGAAAGACAGUAAGCAUAAAAGAAUAAACUCAAAGAAGCUGCUUCUUACAGAUGAUAUAAACAACAAAUUUACAAAUGUCAGGUCAUUGCAUUAGCUCCAUGCCUCCAUCAGAGGGAAUAUUAGUAGAUGCAUAAAAAAAUAAUUAGAGCCACAUGUGAAACAAUUUACCUUAGACAUGGCAAGUGCUUUAACAAAUGUUUCCCCGUUAGCAGAUUUAUCAUAAAGUAUCUCUCUGCAUCCCCACCUAAGAUGGAACCUGUUCUCACAAGAACAGAUCCCAAGGUUGGGAAAAUCAGUUCAUCAUAGGAGAAAACAAAUAAGAUUAACAAAUCACUACAAUGGUGUGAACCCGUAAAUACAAACGUACCUGCCCCCUUUUUCUGUGAUAUAUUUUCUUAUGGGCCCACUCAAAUAAACAUCCGGAGAACCCGAGCAUCAGCAAUAGGGAAGCCUCGGUCUUAGUCGCAAAUAGUGCAAGUAUGGUAAGCGUACAAUGAGCACUGAUGUUAUCACAAUCAAUAAACCCAAGGGCAUACGCAACAGGAUCCCACAUUCUUUGGAUACUUGUCCGUGUACCACCCUUGGACAAAAACCAAUCAGAGAAGCUUAUGUGUAAGAAGAAAUGAAGUUUUAGGUAAAAUAACAAUUUGUAGGAACAGGGAUUGAAAUUCAACAGACAAGGAAAUAUGAUAUCAUUCUUACACUAUCCAAAUCUCAUAUGUCCUUCAAGGCUCCAUCAGGAUCAACAAGUGCCUUUACAACAGGACUCAGAGCAAGAGCAAGAGCAUUUCUUGCUUUAUCUUAAGUCUGCACUUGAGCAAUAUACCAGGCAAAGUACAUCAAAAGAGAAUCCAAAAGAGGCAAGAAGCUUCAACAUGAAAAAAGGAGUACUGCCUCAUCAUACUGCUUUGCAAUCACAGUGCAAAAGAUAACAUCAACAAAUCAAAAUCGACCAAAAAUCCAUAUGCACUACCUUAAGCUGAUUUGUAGACAAAAAUGUGCGAAUCCCAUGUAACGGAGCUCCAAUCAGAAACCGGAAAUCAAGUUCUGGAGUUGAAAAUCAAAAUCAUGAACCAAAUCAGAGUUAUUAUUGAAUUUGACAAUCCAUAAACCAAUAGAAGGUGAUGUCAAACCAUCAAGCAUAACUACCCACCAAGCAAAACUAUUAGUAGUUUUAAGUGAUCAAGAAAUAACCAUACCACCAAUUUCACCACCCUUAUUUACAAAUGUAUGAGUAUGAUCCUUCAUGAGUAAAUUUUUGUCCACACCUACCUGUCGAAAUGCUUGAAAAACUAUCAGAUCAUAAACACAGGCUCCAGUUAAAGAGGAUCUAUGAUUCUGAUCCAUCAUGUUAUUUGAACAACAUUUUCGAAUUUUGGUACAACCCUAAGCUAUAAUCAGUUGUAGUGGUACAACCCUAAGCUAUAAUCAGUUAUCAUCACUACAAAUGAUAUGGUCAAGAGGAAUGAUAGUUCUUGUUUCAAGUAUCUCAAAUCAUAAUUCUUUUGCAUGGCUUGUGUGCUUUUAUAAUCAUUCAAAUACGCAUAUCCACAACUAAGCAAGCUUUACCAUUUUCAUCAAUCGGAAGAGAUUAUUGUAGCAUCCAAAGAAAACGUGCAGGCCCAUUUCAAUAUGGUUUUCACGUUUAUCGACAAAUGAACCCACUUUACCACCAAUAAAAGACCUCGACUCAUAUAUAUCCACCUGGAAGAAAGGAAAAGUUAAAAAAAAAAAGUGUUGAGAAUUAUGUUUGAUUAAACUUAAUUCUUUCCCCAAGAAAUCUCCACACACUGAUCUUAUUGAAACAAGAAUGAAUACCCAAGAUAGUAAUCAGAAAUAAAGCAAGAGUGUUUAGACAGAAAUAGAGAUUAAAAGCAUAGAAUAAACCGGACACAAGGAGAAUUAUAGAGGUUCGGCUGGGUAGCCUACAUCCUCUUGAGAAACAGAAGCCAUAGCUUUUCUUUGAUGCUUAACAGAUUACAAGACUUAGAGAGUUUGUUACAAAGAACGUUGGUUAUCUAAACUUGGCCUUGGAGACCUUAUAUACAGCUCUCGAAGGAUCCAGAUAAGUGUGCUGCUUGCCAGCUCUUGUUCUGGGUUUGUUGAAACAAACCCAGAAAGUUCCCGCCAAGGCUAACCGUUGAUAACAGCCUUUUAAUUAGAAACGACACUUGCUGCUGCCGUUUAACUAAAGCUUGAAUCCGUAGAUGCUCGUGCAAUUCACGUGCAUUACUUAAGCUAUUCGUGUGACAGGAUAUGGUUGUCAUAUGCACAGCAUUAUCUGUCUGAUUGCUUUGUCGUUACUUGAUUAAUCCUAGACACGACAAAGUCAUCUUCUCCGUAAGCUCUUAAUUCAGGUUCACAAUUAACAAAAAGGAAUAAAAAUUCUUCUAAUUUCUUACACCAUCAACAAAAUCAGAAUAACACAUACUAGUUCAAAAUGAAAUAAAGUUUGUGAAUUGAAAUAAUGCCAACUCCUAAGAAAAAUUAUGACUGCUGAUAUUUUUUCCGAAACGCUGAUAAAAGCCUCUGCUAUUUACUUUGAAAAAAUUGAGGUUAGAAGCCAAUUUACUUGAAAUUUUUGAGUUUAGGCAAGAGGAUGAAUGGUAAAACUGAAACAUAUUAGGGAAAAAUGUACUUCAGAGGCCAAUGAAAGCAUUCAGAAGAUUGAAAACUAAAUGAGCAAAACCUCGUGGCCAUGAUCCAACAAUUCCACUGCUGUUGACAUGCCUGCAAGCCCAGCUCCAAUAAUAGCCACUUUCAGCUUUGGUCCUCUAUAAUGUUCCGGUUCUGGUAGAAACAAACCCUUGGGAGCUGCCAAGUAUACCAUCCAAUUAUCCACAGUGAUAAUGGAAAUAUAUAUUUGUUUAAAGGUACUAAAUUCCUAAACAUGAAAUGUAUCCAAAAAGAGACACAAAGCAGAAUUGAGUAAGCAUUUCAAUUCCCAAUAAAUUUCAAGAAUACAAAAUACUCGGUCUGUUCUUCAAUUCCUUUAAUAAAAUUUCCACUAGAGGCUACGCAAGCCACUCAAUAACACGCCAAAGCCAGAUUUUAAACGUUAUCUUUAUCUUUAACUCCAAUCCAUAAACAAUUCUGCCACAAAUUCAAUCCAAAAUUGUUCAACUGCACCGCCAAUUCUCCAUCAAUUCCCUCAAAAAUUCAUAAUUGCCAAACACUGCAAACCAAAAAGAGCUUCCAGCAAUAAACGCAUAAAAAUCCGCCAAACAACAUAAAACAAAAUACCUAGAAACCAGAAAAGCCAAAAGAUCAAUGCUUGGCAAACAAGCAAAUCAAAUAAAACAAAAAGAAGAGAAAUUUACCAUUAACGCUCAUAUCAGAAACAUUCGUGUCCAAAGAAGCCCGUACGUGGAAUCGUGGACCCUUCACUUGAACCCGAGACCAUUUAACGCCAGUAACUGAAGUUGCAGGAAGCAGAAGUGAAGAACCCAUAUUGCAAAUCCUGAGCUGAAAUCAAGAAAUUCAAUUGGAACUCAAUUCAACUCAACCCAGCUGAGCUCUCUUUUGCUUCAAUAACAAAGUGUUUUUCUUUUAUAUCAACAAAGAUUUGUCAACAUCAACAAAAUUUAACUAAGAAACUAAAAUAAUAAAAGAGGGCACCUUUGAGUUUAAGAAUCUAACAAGAUGCUAAGGAAGAGAGUUUUGUCAGGGAACUGUUUCGGAGAGGUUGGCCAAGUGCUUUUUUGUUUGUUUGUUUGUUUUUUUUUUUUUUUUUUUUUAUCAUUUUGGCCCUUUUCAUUAAUACACAACAUUAGUACUCGCGAAGAGCACAAAAUGUUGGUGACUUUGUCACUAACGAUAAUGGAUGGAGCGACCAAAGCAACCAACUAAAUUUUAAAGAGAGGGAAUGACAAGCAAUAUUUUAAUUGGGUGAUUAAUUAAUGUAUUAUCAAGCAAUUGCAUUUAUUUAUUUAAACGAGGGUUUGGCUACAAUGCCGUUGGCAUUGUAGCCGGCACCAUGCCGGGCUCUCAAAAAGAGAGCCCGGCUGUCUUUGGCUGCCAUCUGGCAGCCAAAGACUUGGUGCAGCCAGUUAACAAACCGGUUGCACCAUAUUUUUUUAAAAAAUAUAUUAAAAAUAUAAUAUAAAAAUAAAAAAAUUAAAUAAAAUGUCAAAAAUAAUUUUUUAUAAUAUAAUUAAUAGCAAAAGAUAAAGAAAUUAAAUAAUAUAAUACAAACCCUAUAAUACAAUAUAAUAUAAUUAAAUAAAAUGGCAAAAAAUAAAGAAAUUGAAAAUGAAAAAAAUAGUAUUUCAGGUUUAACGUCAGUUGUUGCAUGUCCGAUGUCUCGAUUGCAUGUUUGACGUAAGAUGUUGCAUGUGUUGAAUAAAGCCAAAAUAAAGAAUAUUCUCGAAUAUUCUCGUCCGUUUCAUGUUUGACGUCGAAGUUGCGAACUUUACGUGAUAAGUUGUAUAUUUCGCGUGAAGUGUUGUAAGUUUCAUGUUUAACGUCCGUUGUUGCAUGUCGGACGUCACGGUUGCAUGUUUGACGUAAGCUGUUGCAUGUCUUGAAUAAAGACAAAAUAAAGAAUAUUCCCGAAUAUUCUCGUCCGUUUCAUGUUUGACGUCGAAGUUGCGAACUUUACGUGAUAAGUUGCAUAUUUCGCGUGAAGUGUUGCAAGUUUCAUAUUUAACGUCAGUUGUUGCAUGUUCGACGGUUGGAUUUCAUGUUUGACAUACGAUGUUGCAUGUUUUGAAUAAAACCAAAAUAAAGAAUAUUCCCAAAUAUUCUCGUCCGUUUCAUGUUUGACUUCAAAGUUGCAAACUUUACGUGAUAAGUUGCAUAUUUCACGUGCAGUGUUACAGGUUGCAUGUUUAACGUCCGUUGUUGCAUGUCGAACGUCACGGUUGCAUGUUUGACGUAAGCUGUUGCAUGUCUUGAAUAAAGCCAAAAUAAAGAAUAUUCCCGAAUAUUCUCGUCUGUUUCAUGUUUGAUGUCGAAGUUGCGAACUUUACGUGAUAAGUUGCAUAUUUCUCGUGAAGUGUUGCAAGUUUCAUAUUUAACGUUAGUUGUUGCAUGUUCGACGGUCGGAUUUCAUGUUUGAUGUAAGCUGUUGCAUGUCUUGAAUAAAGUCAAAAUAAAGAAUAUUCUCGAAUAUUCUCGUCUGUUUCAUGUUUGACGUCGAAGUUGCAAACUUUACGUGAUAAGUUGCAUAUUUCACGUGCAGUGUUGCAGGUUGCAUGUUUAACGUCCGUUAUUGCAUGUCGGACGUCCUGCUUGCAUGUUUGACGUUCGAUGUUGCAUGUUUUGGAUAAAGCCAAAAUAAAGAAUAUUCUCGAAUAUUCUCGUCCGUUUCAUGUUUGACGUCGAAGUUGCAAACUUUACGUAAUAAGUUGCAUAUUUCGCGUGAAGUGUUGCAAGUUUCAUAUUUAACGUCAGUUGUUGUAUGUUCGACGGUUGGAUUUCAUGUUUGACGUAAGCUGUUGCAUGUCUUGAAUAAAGCCAAAAUAAAGAAUAUUCUCGAAUAUUCUCAUCCGUUUCAUGUUUGACGUCGAAGUUGCAAACUUUACGUGAUAAGUUGCAUAUUUCACGUGCAGUGUUGCAGGUUGCAUGUUUAACGUCCGUUGUUGCAUGUCGGACGUCACGGUUGCAUGUUUGACGUAAGCUAUUGCAUGUCUUGAAUAAAGCCAAAAUAAAGAAUAUUCCCGAAUAUUCUCGUCUGUUUCAUAUUUGACGUCGAAGUUGCGAACUUUACGUGAUAAGUUGCAUAUUUCGCGUGAAGUGUUGCAAGUUUUAUAUUUAACGUAAGUUGUUGCAUGUUCGACGGUUGGAUUUCAUGUUUGACAUAUGAUGUUGCAUGUUUUGAAUAAAGCCAAAAUAAAGAAUAUUCCCGAAUAUUCUCGUCCGUUUCAUGUUUGACGUCAAAGUUGCAUAAUUUACGUGAUAAAUUGCAUAUUUAACGUGACUUGUUGCGGGUUUCAUGUUUUACGUCUAUUGUUGCAUGUUGGACGUCACGGUUGCAUGUUUGACAUUAGAUGUUGCAUGUCUUGAAUCAAGCCAAAAUAAAGAAUAUUUCCGAAUAUUCUCGCUUGUUUUAUAUUUGACAUCAAAGUUGCAUACUUUACGUGAUAGGUUGCAUGUUUGACGUAAAAUAUUGUAGGGUAGGUUUAUAUAAAAUAACUAAUUAUAAAAUGAGAGUGCAUUUCAAAAUUCCUUGACAAAUCAAGUGAUAAUUUAUAACUAAACUUAUUUUUUUCAAAUUUUUUAUUAUUAAUUAAGUUUAAUUAAGCCAAUCUAUUAAGAAACAAAUGAAAAUAUAUUAAAAUUAAAUUAAAUGCAACUUUUACCCAAUAAAUAUAUUUAGGAAUAUAUCUAAUUAAAUUGGUACACAAAUUACAAAUGUUUUCAAGAAAUUACACACAUAAGUUUAAUAGUCUAACUAUUUUUUAUAUGAUUGAUAAAAUGAUGGCUUUGGAAAGAACUUGUGAUUUGAAAAGAAAAAUCUAGUUAAUUAUAAUAAAAUUACAUAUCUAAUCCAACCUUUUUUCCUUAUUUUAGUCAGAUAAUAGUUUUGAAAAUAAUUUGAUAAUUCAAGUGAUAAUGUCUAUUCUUAUUUGUUGUAUAAUAUUUUUUUAGGUGCAUUUCAUUUUAUUUUUAUUUUUUUAGAGAAUCUAAUCAUGGUGGAUAUUUUAAAUUACUAAGUCAUGAAAAUUUUGAAUUCAAUUGAAAUUUACAAUCUUUUAUGAAUGAAAAUAUACAGCAAGACAAAAAAAUUGAGAGAUAAAAAGAAAAUGUGGUAGAAAGAAAAGGCAACAUCAAUAUGAUCAUUUUCUAAGAAAAAUUAAGGCAAAAUCUUCCAAGUAAUAUGGUCAAUUUCAAUAAAAUUACAACUUACUAGAGUAAAUCCAUCUACUAAACAUCCAAAGUUCACAACAUAAUAUUUGAAUAUCACCAAUAACAUCCCCAAUCCUAAAGAUUGCAACAAAUUCAUGUAACAUUUGAGGGUAUUGUUUGGGGGUAAAAAUAACGUGACCAAGUACACAUAAGUAGAACGUGCACCCCUCAGUCGGCCUAAGGCGACUCCUUGAGGAAAGUCUUCCCCGAUGAGUUGAGCAUUGGAGGGUUUAUGUUAGAAAAAUCUCCGACAUCCCCUAACUAGUUGUUAUGAACGCAAGCAUCCUUGGAGAAAGAGCUUGAGGUCCCAAGAGCCUAUUCGAUAAGAAAGAUAGAAGUACAAACCGACUCCCCAACAACUACUAAUUUAAGUGUUGGCGUGGUUGUCUGGUCGCUUCACAGCUCGACGAGAAUUCAACAUCAACAAAUAUUUUAGAACCUAGUGUAUCUUCAAUCAUUUUGGAUUAAAUUCUAUGACACUUUUUUCUUUUCUUCUCUUUUUUUGUGAAAACAAAUUUUAGUACACUUAUUUUAAAAGAAAUUUGUUAAUGAAAAACAAAAUAAUGACAAUGAAGAGCACUCAUUUAUAAAAAUAAGCUACAAAUAGAAAAACAAAAUUCAUAUAAGUAGAAUCUCCCAAAAACUAAAAGCAUUGUCGAAUUGAGUUACAAACUAAUAAUAAUUUCAUCAAAGUUUGUAAACCAAAGAUUGUCCUAAUAUCAAAAAGUUUCCAAUAAAACACUCCAACUGAAUUCUCCCCUGGAAAUAAUUAAAAUUUUCAAGUUAGUCAAUAAGAAAAAACAGCCAUCAAUCAUAAUAAGAAGCAACAGCAAAUUACACUAAAAAAAUGGCAGAAAAAAGCACCAAAACAACAAAUAUAAACAAGAAACAACAAUUAAAAAAAACCCAAAAAUGGCAUAAAAAGAUGCUCAAAGCAGCAAUAAAUUUAUAAAAAAUACCCUAAAAUAGCAGUGAAAAGUGCUUUAAAAAGCAUUAAAAAAUCCAAAAACAAUAGUAAACAUGCCUAGAAACAGUAGAAAAAACCCCCUAAAAUAGCAAGAAAACUGCCUAAAACUAGAAAAAAAAUCUAACAGCAAAAUCUUCCAUUGCCAGAUAAAGCUACGAAAGAAAAGAAAUAAAAUUCAUAAAGAGUCAAAGCUAACAUACUGACCACUUGCUAGAAAUUAAGCUAUAAAUCCCAAAUUUUUACACAAAUUAGUAUCUGAAACAAGAUUGGUUUGAUAUAUGAUAGUCAAGUAAAAUACCUAUAAAGUAGUACAAAUUCAGCAAACCUAAUGGCUUCACUCCACUGAUUUUCUUAAGACUCCAGUGAUGAGAAGCUGCCAACAGAAUGAUAAAUUGAGGUUUGACAGGAAGCACACAAACUAAACAAGAUACAUAACAACUUUGUUAUCCAUGUUACACCCUAGAACCAUUUCUAGGAAUAUUUGUUAGAAUAGCCACCAUAACAGUUGAUGAGCAACAUAAAACAGAGACAACAACAAAACCAGCAACCUGCAAAGUGCCAAUUCUUCCAUAAUUAAAUCAGAUACACAAUAGAAAUAAUUUACUAUUAAAAUCCCAAAUUCAUUUUAUCUUCUUCCUGCAUUUUCUCAUCAAUCAAACAUAAAAGAGAGCUCCUAUCGACACAUGCAAACAGCACCCACCAUCUUGUCGCAUUCAAACACAACCCAAGAUCACAAAAGUUAAUUUUCUAGAUUUAGUUAACCAAAGAAAAUAUACCAUCAACUGGAUCACCUUAUAAAUCAAAUACAAUUCCACAAUAUUACCAACCUCCCAAAAAAAAAAGGCACAAACUUUAAAAUGAAAACAACAACACCAUGAAAAAUAAGCAAAAGUGGGUAUUUAAAUCAAACAUGAUAGAAUGCAACAAAAGCAAAAAAGCUUUCGAUAGAAGCCAAAGCUAGAUGGGGUACAAGCAAGCUAGGAGGUACCAAUUAAAGAUGCUUCAUUCAAGAACAGAAAAGCUACCAGAAUGAUAAAAGUAGAAAAAAUGAAACAAUAAACAGAAAAUUGGGUGAAAGCUGCAACAAUAGUUUCAAUCACUUAACAGUACCAGCAAACUUAUAGUAAACUUUAAGAACUAGAUGUUUAAGCCACAGAUAAUGGGGACGUACCCAUGAGGAUAAAGACACAAGCGUGAGACCAGUAAAGCCGCCCAUCCUUAACUUGUGCAGGAAACAAAGUCGAAUGAAAAAGGAGGCAACGACGGUAGCGACGAAAACAGCUGGAUCGGAAGCGAACAGCUCAAGAUGAAAGCAACAAGUUAAUGGAUUGGAUUGUGUGCGCGAGAUGUGGCUUCGAUUUUAUUUGAUUAGUCAAGAAAUCGAAGAGAGAAAUUUGAGAGAAAUUUGUGAUUUCUGAGAGAGAGGCAAGAAAUUGAGAGAGAUUGGGCACGGUUGAAACACCUAAAUUAUAAAAAUAUAAAUUUUGCAGCCUUUGGGAACUGGUUGCUUCGGUUGCCCUUUUUUUGUUUUUUUUUUUAUUUCUUUUCAAUGUCAGCCGUUGGAUUCAUUUUACUUGAAUCCAACGACUGCAUUUACAAGCCAGCACAAUGCCGGGCCUCAAUGCCCGGCAUUGUAGCUUUAGCCUUUAAACGAUGUCCUUAUCGUUGGACAAGGUUGAGGAAAGACAGCGAUGUUGUGUUGUCACGUAUUUUUGGGCCGACCGUUUCCAGUUCCGGCUUAAAUGAGGCUUUUGUAUUUUUGUGCCCUUUUUUUUACUGAGUAUUUUGUCCUAAAUUACACCAAAGAAAAUGUGGACUUUAGAAUGUGACAGUAUUGAUAUCUAAGUUCAUAAUAUCAUGAUAAAACAAAUAAAUGAAUAGAAAUGUAAAUAAAUUUGGUUAAAAUUUAAUGGCUUCGAAUUCGGUAUGUUAUCAAACAAAUCAUACUCUUAGGAUUUGGAUUCAAUUCAUUUAUUAAUUGGAUGUCUAUUUAAUUCGUUUAUUAUACAAAAUUAAAUGAAUUGAAUUGAAUUUAGAUUCAUUUACAAUUUGUUUAAUUUAUUUAUGUAAAAUUAAUAAUAAAUCAAUCAAAUGUGGAUUUGUUUAAAAAAUAAUAAUAAUUAAUAACAAAAAUCAAGCAAAGUAAAAUAGAAAAAAAAUCAUAAAAUUAACAACCUACAAAAUAAAAACGAAUUAGUGACCGCAAACUUGAAUUCAAUUCAUUUAUUUAACGAAUUGAAUUGAAUUCACUUAUUUGUUAAUGAAUCAAUUUUUUUUUUAAAAUUCAAACCUAUUUAACUUGAAUCAAAUAAACACAUCCUAAUCUAAAUUGUCACCUCUAAAUAUGAUGGACCUAUUUAAAAUAUAUGAAUACCAAAAUGUGUGGGCUAAAAAGUGGUUUACCAUGCAACAAUACAAAGUUUAAGCUCUCUUUUCUUAUGUCAUCCAAGGCAUUGCCUAGAUCGCCAAACACUAGAGUUCAAGUCUACAAUAAAGAAUCGAAAUUUUCCUUUGUAUAUGUUCGUAAGUAUUUAGCAUAGAUUUUUUAGUUAUACUUGAUAGAUCCCCUACCAUAUUUGCUAUAAUAUUUCUCUUCUAUUUAAAAGUAAAUAAUGCAUAAUAACGGAUUUGUAAAGAAAUGAAAUUUCCAGUAAUUAUCUGAAAAAAAAAAGAUGGAUUAAGCGAAAGAAGUUAAUAUAGAGUAAGUCGAGUACUUGACAAUUAAAGUAAUUUUACUCGAGGUUGAGUAAGGAUAGUAGGAUACUUUCCCAAGUUUUCCGAGGACAUUCAUGUAACAUUGGACUAUUGACUAUAGUUAGAGAGAAGUCCUAGGAUGUAAGUGAUGAUGAUAGAUUCACAAUUCUUUUGAAGAAAAUAUUUUAUAUAAACUUAAUUAUAUGGUAUAAAAUGAUUGGCCUUAAUAAAAUUAAAAAAUAAUAAAAAUAAUACACGCCUGGGUCAUGCAAUAUUUUCAACCAACUAAUUUACACGCAAAAUUAAACCUUAUGAGUGAGAACAUUAUGGUACAUUUAUUUGCUAGCAAAAACUCCGCAAAAAUUUUCCGAAGUGUGAAAAUGAACACUUUUAACAAUGGCACAAAAUUCCCACCCCCCAUGAUUAAUUCUCUUAUCUGGAAUAUUAGGGGGCUUCCCCUGCGGAAAUUAGUUCGAUUACAUCGAUUGUCUUUGAUUUGUGUGUUGGAGCCAUUUAUUUCCGUUGAUCGUUUAGAGGCUCUUCGGGUGCGACUUGGGAUGGAUCAUGCUUUAUCUUCCCAAUCUGGGAAGAUUUGGGUUUUCUGGUCCGCACCUUUCUCGGUGGAGCUUUUGCAUGACAUGGGCAAGGUGAUUUAUUAUCGGGUUAGUCACUCUUUUUUUCCUGAUCCUGUGUAAGUUUCAUAUGUGUACUCUAGUUGUUAUAUGGAUGUGCGAGAGAAUUUAUGGGAUGCUCUUAAGACCUUUGUGGAUAGUCAUGACCUACCUUGAAUCGUGGGGGGAGAUUUUAAUAUGAUUCAGGCGGUCUCGGAGAUUUCUGGCUGGCAUCUACAGACUCGGGGAGCUAUUGAUGCCUUUAAUUUAGCGUUGCUUGAUUGUGGGUAGGAGGAUGCUAGCUUUGUUGGCAGUCCUUUUACUUGGACUAAUGGGCGCCCAUGGAGGCAGCUUGAUAGGGUGGUCUGCAACACUCACUAGUAUGCUUUCUUCUCAGUAUUUCGGGUCUCUCAUCUGAAUCGUACUGCCUCAUAUCAUUCUCCUUUGCUUUUUUUUUGGUGAUCGGGACGCUGUUAAAGGACCUUUACGGUUUAAAUUUCUUCAUGUGUGGCUCAUGCAUCCAGGUUUUCUUGAUACUGUGCGGCAGUCUUGGGGUGCUCCGGUGGUUGGUUUUGGAAUGAGAGCCUUUCAACAAAAACUCACUCGGUUAAAGUUCUGCCCAAAAGCUUGGAACAAAAAUGUCUUUGGUAACGUUUUUUAUCGGGUCCAACAAGCAGAGGAGGACGUGGCUCAGAAGGAGAGAUUGUAUGAUAUUUCUGGCUCCGCCGAUUACAGAGCUAAUUUUUCUGAGGCCAGGGCCUGGUUGCAGCAUGCUUUGCUUCGUGAGGAGAUUUUUUUUUGCGUCAGCAGUCCUGUGUUCGAUGGGUUCGAGAGGGCAAUACUAAUACCUAUUUUUUCCAUGCGAUGAUCCGGAAAAAGCGCCAGUUGUUUUAUAUUCACAGGAUUCGAGUUGAUUGUUUCUCAGAGUGGAUUUCUGAGCCCUCCGCCAUUGUAGAUUAUGAUGUCGAUUAUUUUCAAGAUUUAUUAACGGGAGAUGCCAGUCAAUUUCAGCAGACGGACUUCGAAGUUAUUCCAUCUCUUGUGUCUGUAGAGGAUGAUGUAGAGUUAUGUAGAGAGCCGUAUAUGGAUGAGAUUAGACAUGCGGUAUUUUUUAUUGAUCCAGAUAGUGCUCCUGGACCGGAUGGUUUUUGUAGCAGAUUCUAUCAGUCGUGUUGGGACAUCAUUUGCCAUGACUUGUUAAAUGUUGUCCUCGAUUAUUUUAGAGGUUCGGCAUGCCCAGAGGUUUCCAAAGUACUUUAUUGGUCUUUCUGCCUAAGAAGGCUUCUCCGGCUUCUUGGGCUGAUUUCCGUCCAAUUAGUCUUUGUAAUGUGAGCAACAAGGUCCUUACUAAGUUGCUUGUCCCAUCUCCUGCCUCACAUUAUUUCUCCUACUUAGAGUGGUUUUAUUCCUGGUCGAGUGAUUCAUGAUAACAUGCUCCUGGCUCAGGAGUUCGUUCACGAUCUCAAUCGCCAUACUCGAGGGAACAAUGUGGUUCUGAAAUUAGAUAUGGCGCAGGCAUACGACGUAUGUCAUGGCCUUUUAUUAUUAAGAUGAUUCACUGUUUUAAGUUCUCGAAGCGUUGGAUUGCUUUGAUUUGGCGAGCGAUUUACGGUCCUUAGUUUUCAGUGCUUAUGAACGGGGUCAGUAACAUAUAUUUCCAGUCCCAGAGUGGUCUUUAGCAGGGUGAUCCCCUUUCCCUUUGCUUAUUUAUUAUUGCUGCAGAAUUUUUAUCUCCAGGCUUAGAUCAUUUGUAUUCUCAAUAUCCCUCUGUUCGGUAUUGUUAUACUGCACCUACUUCUAUCUCCCACUUGAGUUUUGCGGAUGGUAUUGUUAUUUUUGCAAAUGAGAGCCGAUCUAACUUACAGUGGCUUGUGGAUUUCUUACACCAUUAUAAGGCGAUCUCAGGGCAGUUGAUUAGCGAGGACAAGAGUAACUUCUACAUUGGGAAGCCAGCUUCGACCUCCCGCCAGGCCAUUGUUCACUCUGUGCUUUCAGUGACGUCAGCUUCCGUUUACUUAUCUUGGGUGCCUGAUCUUUACAGGGCACCUCAAGAUCUCCUAUUUUGAUGACAUGGUCCGGAAGGUCAAGGAUAAGAUUUCUGGCUGGGCUAACCGUCUGCUUUCCUUUGGUGGGAAUCUCGUCCUCAUUCGCCAUGUGUUAUCCUCUAUGGCCCUGCACUUAUUUCACGUCCUCCGUCCUUUUAUAACGGUAGUUUAACGCCUAGAGCGAUUAUUCACCCGAUUCCUAUGCGGUGAUUUUGAGGGAAGACACCGGAUCCACUAGUGUAGAUGGCCAAAGGUUUAUUAUCCAGUUGACGAGGGUGGCCUCGAUAUACGAUCUUUUGAUGAUAUGGCGGAGGCUUUUGAGAUUAAACUUUGGUGGCGGUUUUGUUAGCAGAGUUCCUAUAUGAAGUCUAAGUAUUGCAGAUCUACGCAACCAAGCCUUAUCCAGUUUCGCUAUCUUGCCUCUCCUUUAUGGAGACACCUUUAUAAGAUUCGUUGCACGACUAAACCUCAUGUGCGUUGGCUCGUUAGGAGUGGAGAUUGUAGCUUCUGAUAUGAUUGUUGGCUGAGUUCUUGCCCUUUAUUUUUUUAUAACCCUACAACGGCUUUGUCGGUGUCGGUCUAGUUCUUUUGGCAGGGUACAAUCUGGGACAAAGGCAAACUAAAGGAUGUCUUGCCUUCAUCUAUUGUUGAGCAGAUCCUAUUAGUGCCUAUUUCUAGUGGGAAUCCAGACCUGAUUCGUUGGGACCUUGCCCCCGAUGGCACGUUUAACUUGCGGACUGCUUGGGAGCUUGUACGGUGCUCGAGGCCGAGGGAUGAGCUUUUCUCGAUGAUUUGGUAGAGGCAUAUCCUGUCACGAGUUUCCUUUUUUCUCUGGCAGCUACUUCACGGAUUCCUAGCUACUGAUGAUGCCUUAUACUUGAGGGGUUUCUACAUGGUUUCUCGAUGUAUUUGUCAGCGGGUUGCUGAGACUUCUCGGCAACUUUUUAUGGAUUGCCCGCGGGCCCAUCAUAUUUGGGUUCAUUACUAGCGGAUCAUGGGGAUGCGUGAGCUUUAUUUUCUGUCUCCCCGUACUUUGCUUUUAUUUUGGAAACAUUGUGCCCCUUCUCAGAAUCAUCAUCGGGUCCUUCUGCCUUACUUCAUUUUGUGGCAAAUUUGGAAGGCCCUAAAUGCUUUCUGGUUUCAUUCACAAUCUUUCUCCACUGAUGCGGUUAUCUUUCAGGUCGACUCUGAUCUCAGGCUUGCUAGUUCUGCUUUUGGAUUCAAGCCUCCCCAACUGAGGGGAGUCUUGGGUUCUCGUAUUGCGGAGAGCUUGCGAGUGACGGCUCCCCGUAGGAGGUCGAUUCGUCUAGUUGCUUGGAUGAGGCCAACUUCAGGGGUGGCUAAGCUGACUGUGGAUGGUUGCUCUAGGGGCAACCUUGGGAUGGCUGCUUCCGGGGGUAUUCUUCGGGAUCACCGGGGCGUGGUUUUAACGGCUUUUGGAUCCUUUUUGGUUUACAAGCCGAUCUUAUAUGCUGAGCUCAUGGUGGUGUGCGAGGGUUUGGAGCUUGCCAUUCAGCUUGGGUACUCAGUGCUCGAGGUUGAGUCAGACUCGGCUAUAGUGAUGUCAUGGAUUCACACCUCAGGGUCCUGUUCGAUGGGAAUGUUUUUAUUCUCUGCGCUGGGUGUGCCGUCUGGUAACGUCAUUCCCCAUUCAGGUGAGACAUGUUCUUCGCGAGGCUACUUAUGCUGCUGAUGUUCUAGCCAACUGGGCACGCACUCAUCGGACUAGCUGAUGUUUCUUAUCUCCUCGAGAGCUUCCCAAAGGCUUAUCUGGUAUUCUUUACUUAGAUGCCCACGCAAUCCCCCAUGUCAAACGUUAGGAUUUUAUCUUUUUCUUAUAUCUCAUUUUCUCUAGGAGGUUUUGGCUUAUAUCCCCUCCUUUGUAUCUAAUUCAUUUUCAGAUUUAUAUUAUAGGUAAGGGUUCCGUCUAACCCCACCACUCUGGUGGUUUAAAAAAAAAAAAAAACAAUGGCACAAAAUGCCUGUGAUAAUGAAACAAUGUGCCAUCCUUAAACUAAUAUCAUUACAAACUACAAGUGAAAGUUUUUGGAAAACAUGUGAUAAGUUUUUCUCGGAAUUUGUUUUCUUCUUUGUUUUGAUUUAAGUGUAAAAUUUUAAAAUCCGUAACAAAACAAAAAUUUACAUGGGUUGGGUGCACCUUGUGGUUCGUGCAUGCUUUCGUCUAAUAGUAUUUGAUACAUACAUAUUCAUUUUAAAAUUGACGAAUCGUAAUAAAAAAAUUUAUAUAUAAUAAUUGAAUGAGAUCCAUGGUUCACAAUUGCAAAUUAACGGUUGGUUUUAUAAUAAAAAUCUUUAUGUACAUACCAAAUUAAAAAAAGUUAUAAGUGAAUUAAGAUUUUCAAAAUUUGACUCGUAUUAUAUUGUGUACGUCAAUAUAAUAUAAAUUUGUUAUAUAUAUAUAUAUAUAUAUAUAUAUAUAAUCCAGUGCUUUGAAAAACUUUAUACUUGUUUGAACAGUUUUUUUGCUUUCUAUUUAUAUACGGUAUCAUUUAUGUUUACAUAAAUUUUCAUAUGUACCCAAAUUAAGCAUUAAAUACACAAACACUUUGUUAGGGCACAUGUAUAAUUAAUCUUAAUAAUUCUUAUACAAUCCUCUAUUUAACACCAGCAACGUCACCCAUUAUAAUUUAUCACUAAAUAUUGUAAAACUAUUGGUUUUCACGAAUAACUAAUAAAAAUUAUUUUUUUUAAAAGAAAAAUACUGCGAUUCCUUUCACUGUUGUAGUAGUAUAGUUAUCGUGGACGAUGAAUUUCUAGUAUUGUACAAUGAUAUUUAUGUUGAAUAUAACGCUUCAAUGAAUUUUAUUACUAUAUACUACAAUACUCAACCAUCUUCAUUAAAAAAAAAAAAAUUGCAUGAUUAGAAUGAUUAAAGUUCAUCUAAUGACGAGUUUCAUCAUUGACUGUGUCCAAACACAGCAGCAAUCCAGAAUACAUUUAACACGAGAGGCGCACACAAACAUGCAUGAUGAAUCUUCCACCAUUAAACCUGAAAUCAUAAAAUGAAAGAAACAAGAUGAGUGUUGUUUGUCUGAAAGCCGAUUCGAGAAAAAAUAAUAAUAAUAAUAGACCUUUGUUAAUAAUUAAUACUAGUUGUCACUACCUUGUGCAUCUUCCUCCUCUGUAUCAUCGUCCUCUUCCAAUCACACCGCAAGACCAGUAUAUCUCGAGAAUCUUUACUGCCUUCUCACAGAUCCCAUUGCUGUCAUGUCUUUUGAGAUCUUCAAUCUUUUUGAAUCCCUCAGCCGCCUCCACCAACCGUGCAUAAUGAUUAAAAUAUCUAUUGGCGGUACCCGUAUUCAUUUCAGCUUCCCCGACCUUCAAAAUGUUCUCUAAUCCUUUUAAGCAAAUAGUGACGAUCUCUGGAUCAGCGUAUAGAAGGAGAUCACACAAUGGUUUUAUACACCCCUUUCUCACGAGGUACUUGAUUUGCUCAUGAGUACCACCUGAGAUGGCAUUUGAAAUUGCCCGAGCGGCCUCCUUCUUUGUAAAAAAUUCAGCAUUUUGAAGCAGAUCGACAAGGGGACCAAUUACGCCAGCAUCAAUUACCACCUGAAUCUGUUCCCUGUUACCAGCUGUAAUAUUUGAAAUAGUCCUGCAUGCCUCUUUCGCAAUGCCUGUACACUGAGUCAGGAAACCAUCUCCCUUCACAAUAUAUCUGACAGUCCACAGGGGAGGAGUGAGCCCGAAGGGGAAGGGUAAUGGAUGAAGAAGGAGCUUAACAAGUCGUGGACAGACAUCUGCCUCGAUCACAGCUUGAAUUUUGUCAUUCGUACCAUCAGAUAGACAGGAUAGUGCCUCGCAGGCAUAUCUCAAGACAUCGUUGUCAUUUGAAUGAACAAGUUGUGCAAGCGCAGGAAGAGCUGGCCUCACCUGAUCAAAUGGUGGCUCUGGCUUGCCCUGGCAAAAACGAGACAAUGUCUUUGUGGCAUUUCUUAGCAUUGAAGGCUUAGCAUGCUUAUUUAACUGUGCCAGCAACGGAAUCAAAGCUUUUUCACUGAGCACAAGAUCACGGUCUCUAGGUGAGCUACGAGCAAUAUUUCCCAGUGCCCAAACAGCCUUCUCUCGGACAUCAUCACUUGGAGAAGAAAGUAGCUUCACAAAUAUUGGAACAGCACCGCCGUCGAUCACCACAUUAGUAUUCUCAGAAGCAAUGUUUGUAAGAGCCCGAGCAGCUUCCAACUGAAGCUGCGGAUUGUCUUCCCUAGUAAGAAACUCAACAAAGCGCGCGACAACGCCAGAUUGUAUGACUUUCUCACUUGGUGGUAGGAGCAGUUUUCGGAACCAAGUAGUUGCUUCCAGCUGCAAGCCACUGUCAUCUGACCAAACCCCAGCAAGCAUCCCAGGUAAACUCACCAACUUAUUUUAGGAGCAGGAGCAGGAGGAGGAAAUUAAGUUAGGGAUUUAGAGUGAGAGUGAAGGUGGAGAAAAAGCAAGAGAGGGAAAAAGCUUAUUGUUGAGAAAUAUGUACCUUUUGUAUGGUUGUGUUAAGGUCGUCCUUCCAAGCCCAACAUGCUUCACCAUGCCGCUCCACUUUGUGUAAUUUGGGUGUACUUAAUUUUCCUUCAGAGAAAAUCUUCAUAUCGGGGCAAUCAUCCACCACUAAUCUUUCUAAAGAUGGGAACUUGAAAGCACAAUUGCCAGAGCAGAAGCUUGUCAGGCGUUCUAAGUCUACAAGCUUCAACUCCUUCAAUUCUCUGAAAGUAAUAACCUCAUCUUUUGCUACAACAUCAUCCCCCUGUACUAUUUCUGUUAUCCUAUCGCAUGAUUUUAUCUUCAUAUAUCUAAGUCGCACCAGAGUCUUUGCAAUUAAGGAUGUUAAUACGAUUUUCAAGUUGUUGCAACGCGAUACCACCAUAUUUGUAAGAUUCUGAAAGGAUGUCGACGGUGGCACUAGAUUGACUAAAUGGUCACACCCCUUUACACGUAGAAUAACCAAGUUGUUCGUAACAGAGGACUCCCUUAUCAAAAUGUGCUCCAGAUGAAAUGCUUCUCUUAUUUCUACCCACAUCCCAUUUUCAACCUUCUCAUACGGCAACGAGGCACUAUAUCCUCCUAUUUGGAGGACUUUCAUUGUGUGAAGUCUCUGGAGGAAGUCACCAAGUGAUAAAAUCGUCCGCUCAUCACCCAAGUGAUAUUUAUUUGUCACUACGUGCUUUGCAUCAACUUUCAACUUUUCCAAAUUAGGGAAUACCUGGGAGAUCGAUCACAACCCCAAAAAAAAGAAAAAAAAGAAAUACAAGAUGAAUCAAUUGAUAAGAAAUAUAAGUUACCACUAAUUUAUACAAUAUAUUUUAUUCAAUAAAUCUUAACCUUUAAAAAAAAUAGUAAUAAUAGUAUGCCUAACAUCUAGAAUAAUUAUGAAUGAAUACUAUACACUAAUCCGUAAGAGAGUUACGUUGCUGACAAUUUGAGUUUUAGUAAGAAACCAAGCGAUGAAGGCAAAGGCAAUAUAACUCUAAACUCUAUGAUAUAAACUCUCACAGUGCAUACAUAAGAAUUGAAAAAUUGAUUAUAAAAUUCUUGUACCUACCCUUUCCGUGAAGAUACUAGUAGUUCUCACCAUGAAUUCAGGACAUUUAGAUAUCCGUAAUUCUUUCAAGGAUGGAAAUUCAAGAAUAUCAAGAUCUCCAGUGCAGAAGCUUGUGAACUUUUCAAGAUCAGACAUCUUCAGAUAUUGCAACUGAGGAAACAUUACAAUAUUUUUCUUCCUUUCUUCUUGGUUGUCCAUAACUAUUAACUCUUCCAAGACAGGACAUCCGACUAUCUCAAUGCAUUGGAGUUGAACAAAGCUACUAACGGUAGAAGAUGAAAAUAGACAUCUUAAAUUCAUACAGCAGGACAGGGUCAAGCGCGUUAAAUUCUGAAUACCACAAGACAUGACUGCAACUUGGUUUUGCCAAAUCCUUUCAACAUUUAUUGAAAGCAAAUGCAACUUCUCUAACUCUGGUAACCGAACCUGCUCGAUCAAAAAAUUAACUCGUUAAUUACAAGCAACAAUGAUUUCUGUUGAUGGACAAAUCAAUAAAAUUACUCUUUCUCUGGUUAUAGUUCUUUUCAGUUUUUCAUACAAACAACCGUUAAUCAAGUUUUCCAAAUUAUUCCUUACUAAAUGUAUAGAUUUAGACGGCGGCUAAUAUAAUUCAUAUUGCAAAUAUUCUUUGAUUGUAACGAAUUUUGUAAUAUUAAAUUUUGGUUGAUUCGCAAUAGGACCUACUAUCCAGCGGGAGCAGUUCCUUGGGAUUUAACUACUGGCACCUCGAUUAUAUAAAAAUUUGGAAUAUUUUCAAAGGAAAUCACAUAAUUUCCCCUUGCAAAUAGUAAUUAUCAUUAAUUGCCACGGGUUGACAUAUAAUUCUAAGAAAUUAGGCGAGAAGAGUCUCAUCAACAAUCAAUCAGCAGAUAUCACGUUUGGCAGAUCAUCAUGAUUUCCUCAUAUGCUAGAGAAUCAACGUGAUUUCCGCUCAUGCAGGAGCAGGAGUGGACACAUUAUCUUAGAGCAUCCCUCACUGAGAUCUUUUAAAAAAUUUAUAUUAUAAAGUGAACAACAUAUUAAGUAUAGAUUUAGACGGCGGCUAAUAUAAUUUAUAUGUAUUCUAAUGACGUAUAUUAAAGAAAAUGACUAACCAUAAUUUCAAUCAACUUAUUAGUCUAUAUAUAUAUAUAUAAUAUAUAAUAUAUUCAGUGAUUACAACAUAUUUAGUAUUCCAUAACAUGAAGUUUAUAAUAAUAAUUAUUAUUAAUUCACUUAUUGUGUCAAGAACAUUUUCUUUCUCUAAGAAUGAAUUUGUUACACCCUACUAUACUACGGAUGAAAAAUUUAGAAUCAUUGUGAAAUAUAAUUAUUAAUCACUCUUUGCCAUAUUUGCGACCAAAGAAGAAUAUAACAAAGAAAAGAAACAAAAAUUAUAGAGAAUUAAUGAGACCAUUGACGUAUUAAUAACUGACCUUCCCAGUGAAAAGCGUAUUAGAAAUUUGGAUAUUGUCCUCCAAAAUGAUUUCAUGUGACUGCAAAUCAUUAGCUGAUUCCUGUUGUCUCUGUUGACAUUGAGUGUAAACUUAAUUGUGAGCACAAUCUUAAUGCAUAGAUACAAGAUCUCUAAAAAUUAGUAUAAUAAACUUAGCACAAAAUCUAAAUUUGAUAUUUCGGAUUCCAUGAUUAAGAUUUUUUAAAUAAAAAUUUAAUAUAGUUAAUUUAAAAAUAAAAAUUAAAUAUGAAAAAUUAGAUUUGCAAUUAUGGAUUUAAUUUUGAUAAAUAAUGAAUGUUCUCUUUAUAUUUUUUUUUAAAGGUAAAACAGCGUACAAAGCCCAAAUUCAUUUUUUUAGUCCCUUACUCUCCCAUGAUUCAAACUUGGGUGGUUGUAGGGGGACUGAAAAUAUGUAAGACAGUUAACUUCACUUUUUUUUUUUUUUGAGAGAGAAAAGAGAAGAAGGAUAUUACAAAGCACGAAGCUCGUGCAAUAUAAGGGCAAUUAUGGUUUUUUCUUUAAAUUAAAAUGGUAAGAUUCUGAAGCUAAAAGAUUAAAAUAUUAAUUAAAUUGCAAACAUUAAAGAUUUUUUUUCCAAAAUUGGUUGCUUUGAAAAUGAGAAUAAUAUAAUGUUUGAAGACUUUUCAAAAUUAAUUACUGUGAUGCACUAGAAAUUUCUAGCUUUAGUCUAAUGUAUAAAUUGACAAAACGAUAUUAGAAUCCCAGGUGAAAAGAACCCUCUCAUACCAAUUAUUUAAAUUAGGAAUGAUCAUACCUCUGACUCUGCCGAACUGAGGGCGGGGUCUAAACCCCUCAUACGGAGACGCUUGAGAUGGGAAGAGCCCACUUUGACUAAUUCAUUACGAAUAUAAUCGACAUCUUGCUCUUGCAAUCCACGUAAUUCAAGGUCUUCAAUUCUCUGCAGUUGCACGAUCAGCGAAUCCUUCAAGCAAAUCUUGUCAUUGAGGUCGAGACUGAAUUCACGACACCAACUGCCGUUGCUCUCCUCAUCAUCUCCAAUGCGUAUGCUGUACCUUUCCAGCUUCUCCAAGAGCAGGCCUCUGGGCAGAGUGCUGACGUCAUAGACGUGUAAUUCCAAAGAGGUCAAGUUGGGCAAAUGCUUCAACUCCUCAAGGCUUGCAUUCUUAACCCCUCCCACCUCCAUCUCCCAGUAACGAAAGCUUUGAUCUAUAUAUAGUUCUUCUAAAUGUGAUAAUUUUGACAGUAUAUUUGGUGGAAUAACUUCUAGAUAGCAACAAUCCCUCAAAUCAAGCAACUUUAGCCAAGUCAAUUCACCUACUUCUACCGGCAACUUCUUAAUAUAAGAACCUCUUAAGCAAAGGAUUUCUAGUUUCUUCAAGCCUCCUACAACACUUAUAUCGGGCAAGAUGAAGCCGCACAAACUCAGUGUUCGAAGGUUUGACAGGAGACCAAGUGAUGAAGGCAGUGACCGUAGAAACAUGCCAGUCAAGUUGACAACUCUGACCUGCAUCAUCCUCUCGAAAAAGUUGUUUGGAAUUGUUAAUGAUGAAAAUUCCCAACGAUCAGCACGUAUAAAAAGAAGUUCGAGCUGAGGACAUUCCAGUACUUCAGGAAGCAAAUUAUUCUUGAUACCAUGUAAGACGAUUGAAGUGCAAUGCUUUAUUGCACUUCCAUCUGACCAUUCCCUGCAACCAUCAACCUGCUCAUUUGUAGCAGUAAACACAUUUCGUUCAGUAGAUGCAAUUGAUACGGCGACAUCGCGAACUACAUCAUGCAUAGAAAACAACUCUUUCUUCUGGCUUAUAUGGUCAAGCAACAUACAAGAAGCUUUGAGUGUGCGCACCAAUGUAUGUACUCGAUUUCGUGCUACUUCAAUCUUAUUCACACCUUGAAAUAAACCCAAUCCCAUACCACACAUUAACAAGUCAUCAAUAGAUGCUAUGGCUGUAUAUCCUAUUAGCAAAAAGAUGUUCUUGAGAUCAUCCCUUCCUAGUUUAUUGUAGCUCAACUCGAUAGCUUUAAAUGCGGCUGGCUGUACAUCCUUAAAAUUCGAUGAAGAAGGCCUUCUUAGCUGUUCCAAUGCAUCCUUCCAUUCACGUAUGCUCUUGCUCCUUAAUGCCCUUGCAACCGUCACAAUGGAAACUGGUAGACCUGCACAUUCCUUUGCCACAUCCCUUGCUACCUCUUUCAAUUCAUUAUCUUCAACAUAAUCACCUGCCAUCUUCGUGAAUAGACUCCAAGCUUCAUCUUCUUUUAAAAAUCCAACUGGGAAAUUUUUUCGAGACUCCAUCUCUCCAGACAAUACUUCUUCACUCCUUGCCGUGAACAGCACUUUACAUCCCAUGUGAUCAUCUCCGUGAGGAAUUCCGACAUCCAACAAAUCAAGAUUUUCCCAAAUAUUAUCCAAGAUUACAAGGAUCCUCUUCUCUUUCUUCAGUCGAUCAUAGAGUCUUCUUGCCCUACCCGAUUCACUCUCCUCAUCAAAUUUUAGACCUAGUUUAUCCGCGAUUUCUCCUUGAAGCUUUCUUACGUCUCGACUCUCAGACACCUCAGAAAAAACCACCUGAUCGAAAAGCUUGUCACUCUCUGCUUUUCUAGCAACUUCUUUAGCUAGCGUCGUCUUUCCGAUUCCGCCCAUUCCAUAAAUCAAAAGCAUGUUGACAUUGGGAUUUUUUAAUGCAUCAAUUAUUUCAUUCAGAAUGGACGUUCUUGAUUCAAAGGCCUCGAAGUCUUUGUUAGGCAUAAGCAAGGUAUCCUCCGGAAUGAUGCUGUAGGAAAUACUAUUAACUGGUCUAGCGUCCAGGACUUUGACAACAGCCUCCUUCUGCCUCUCUGCUUCCUUGCUAAGUCGAGGGCGGGUCUUCAAAUUAGGACAUAACCCCUUGAAACAACGCUUAUUUGCAGUGGCUUCAUCUUCUGUAAAUUUAUCUGCCUCUUCAAUGACACUGUUGGCCGUUGCAAGCCAAUUCUCAACGUUCUCUUCAAUCUCUUCUCCUUUUCUUUUAGCCUCAUCAACCUGGUGCUCUGUAUUCACCCUCUCAGACUUUAGUUUCACAACUUCAGUGUUGAGAUUCUGUAAGUUGCUCGUGUACUUACUCUCACGCAAAUAGCUAAUUUGGCGAUAUGCGUGAGGAGCCAAGCACUUUGCAACUUCUAAAGCAAUAGUAAGAAUGAUUUCAGCCAUCUUCAGUCCUUUGUCCUUGUCUCUCUAUCUCUCUUUUUCUGAAUUUUGGAAAAACAAUUCAACAAGUGACCACAACAAGAUGGAACAAAAUAAAAAGGAAAAAAAUACAAAGAGUGGAUGGAGAAUAAAACAGAGACAGCGGCACAGCUAGACACAACUAGAUAGAGAACAGAGGAAAACCAAAUAACAAGACUUAAGAUUACAACAAACAGAGGCCAAGUAUUAUUGUUGAGAUCAGAAGAUGGAAAAUUCCAAAGAGUUGAUGGCAGAUGCUGAAUAACAGAACAACAAUGAACACAAUAAACAGAAGCAAAGUGUGUUUGUGAUCGACAGACGGAAGUAAGGAAAGCGGUUGUUGAUUGAAAAUGAAUGAAUGCAAAGAAAGACUGAUGUUAAAAAUUGAUGUCAAGGAAUAAUUGAACUUUCGCUGAAUUAUUGUUUGUGGCUUCUUUUACUGUUUAUUUGUGGGUCAUGUCUUUUGGAACUAAUCUUGUCCAAAAAAUGUUGUUUAUUUGUGGGUCAUGUUAUUCAGCAUCUGCCAUCAACUCUUUUGUUUAUUUAUUCAAAAAAUAAAUUGUGAUUAUUUGUUAAUGUAUGCGAUUACUUGUGAUGGUAAACAAAGUAGAUAUGGUAUAUUUUGAAGUUAAAUUAAAAAAAAAAAAAACAGAACUUUUACCGUUACUUGCCUUAUCAUCUUUUAAAUUAGAGUUAUUAUUCUUUUAUUUUUCAAGUUGCCAACUCAUCAGUGUAUUCUUUUAUUGAAUUUAAAGAUCAAUGAUUAUAAAUUUUUGUGAAAAUUUUAAGUCAAAACUUUAAAUUAAAAUAAUCUUUAAGUUAUAGGGAAAUAAUAACUUAGUAUAACAAAUAUUAUAUCCUAUACUUUAUUGCUACAAAAUUACGAAACCUUAUAGUUUCAAAAACAAAAAUUACGAAACCUUAUAUUAUAUUAUGUUUCCAUAUUUCUCCUUUAUAGUGAAGACUCAUACUUCUUAUCUAAUAAAUGCUAAAGUAUUGGCUUAAAUUUUUUAACCAGCAUAGUAGACCCUUAAGCUAUAUAUACUAUAAUGUCCCUCUUCUCUCACAGAGUAAACCAAUCUGAUCUCAGAGUGAGUUGAUACCAUGACUUCGCAUCAUUUGUGAUCAAAGGAGUAUCAUUACUAACUAAUAUAGGCUCCAUCAAUAGGCAUGAUAAUAAUUUUUUUUUUUAUCUACAAACGCUGUUUUUCAAAAUAUUAUAUCUUAAGACUUAACUAAAUAUUUUUUAACUAUGUAGAUAUAGUUUGUUUGAUCUCUUUUAAAUAGUGGAGAUUACAAACAAACAUAUGUGAAUUAGUAGUGAUGUUGAGUUCAGAAGCUUGAAGUUAAAAAAAUUAAGGGUUUCUUGAUCUAGAGAAAUUUCAAAUGAGUGAAGCGUCCUCGAAAUCGGAAGACGAAAAUAAGGAAAGGGUAAGGGUGUAUUUUCAAAGUGAUUCUAUUAAGAGAUCUUUGAAGUAGGGGUGGGCAAGUCGGGUUUUGGUUCGGGUUGUUCAAAUUUCGGUUUGGGUUUUAACCCAAUCGGGUUUGAGAAUUAAACUCAAUCGGGUUGAAAACGCCAAUCCAAACUAAACCGAACCAAAUUUAAUUCAGUUCGGGUUCAUAAUUCGGAUCGGACUGGGUUGAUAAUUCAUGUUAAAAUUUCGAUUCGGGUUAAUUUGGGUUAGAAUAAUUCAAUCUAAAAUUUUGGGUUAGUUCGGUUUAAAACGGGUUGGAACUAUUUAAUCCAAAAAUUCUACCAACAACCACUUAAAAUCUAAAAAUCUCAAUUCCAAACAUCCUUAACAACAAAUAUCAACUACAAACCAUCCUUUACAACAUUUCAACAAUAACAAUAGCAAUAAUAACAACAACAACAAUAAUAAUAAUAAUACCAACAACUAUGAAUCAGCAAUUCAACAUAUUGCCAUAUUCUAAAUUUAAAAAAACACACAAAUUAUUUAAUUAAUUAAUUAAUUAACAAUCUCCAAUUUAAUUUAUAAUAACAACAAAAAUCCUCUCCAAUUUAAUUAAUAACAGUCUCCAAUUGUUUAAUUAUCAGUCAACAGCAACAAACCCAAUCUAAUUUAAUCAUAACAAUCUCCAAUUGUUCAAUUAUCAGUUAACAGCAACAAAUCAUCUCCAAUUUGUCACGAACAGCCUCUAAUUGUUUAAUUAUCAGUCAACAACAACAAACACACUCCAAAUAAUUGAACAAUUAUUAAUUAAUUAAUUAAAAAUACCCAAUUUAAUUAAUAACAACACCCAGGAGCAAGUCAGCAAUAAACCCACUACAAAAUCCAAAUAUCAGUGUAAACUAAGUGUCAAACCUUGAUCGGUGGGAAGCUACAGCGUCGGCAAAGCGUGACCGUGUGGGGCUGAGUGAGACCGUCGACCGAGGGUGUGAGAAGGGAGAAGAGGGAGCUGGGAGGUAACAUGGUGUGUGUGAGUUUAUAUAUAUAUAUAAUUUUUAAAAGCCAAAACUUAAAAAAAAAAAAAUUUAACCCAAUCCAAACGCGCACCUCAGAUUACUUCCGUGUUAAGAGAUGAAUCCCACACUCUUGAGCCUUUGUCGUCCUAGUCAACUAUCAAAACAAAUCAUUAUUGAAUGUGAACAGAAUUAUUGAUCACCCAAUUUUCAAACUUGUCAUCCUUAUUGAAUCUGCAUUCCCUUUUAAAAUUUUUUAAAAAAGUACAAAUAAUGAAACAAAGUGUUGUUCCUUCAACAGUUGAUAGAGUUACGCGGCUUCAACUUGCAAGUGCUGUCGGCAUUUUCAAACUUGCAAUACCCUUCAACUUGCUUUCCAAGAUAGCUAUAAUUAAUAAUGACAACAAUCUCCCUUGUAGUGACUAGUGAGCAACUUGUUUCGUGAAAUUAACGGCAUCUUCUCUCACAUUUAAAAAAAAAAAAUUGAAUUAUAAAACCCACCAAAACUAUAAAAGAAUUGUUAGUUUUUCUUCAUUAAAAUUAAUAGAUUGCUCCUCAUAUUGAAAAAUCAAAAUUCAGAAUAAGAAUGAUUGAUACUCUUUAUUUACUAAAAUGAAAAUAAAAUAUAUGAAGCCUACAUAUUUUUGAAAUAAAAAAAAAGAACUUUAUUUUUCAUGAGGAGUGUUGGGAAUCAAGUUCUCAUUAUUUAAACUCUCAAUUGUACCAUUAUUUAAACUCUCAAUUGCACCUCACCGAAAUUUCAUAAUUUCACUUUUGUUCUCAAUUAAAAUAUUAUUAUAGUUAUUAUUCUUAUAAAUGUUGAUGAUGAUGAUACAAGAUAAUAAAAUUAAUGAUAAUUAAACCAAUUUGAAUUCAGAGUGAGUGAGUACCAUUACUUCGCAUUAUUUGAUAUCAAAGGAGCAUCAUAACUAACUAAUAUAGGCUCGAUCGAAUUCAUCAUGCGAAGUAUAUUAUCGGCUGUAGGUAUGGAAAUAAAUUUUGUAUCCACAAACACUAUUUUUCAAAAUAUUUUAAGACUUGACUUAGCAUUUUUUAACCAUAUAUGUAUAGGUUGUUUGACCUAUUUUAAAUAGUGGAGAUUACAACAAAUGAACAGAUGUGGAUUUGUAGAGUUGUUGAGUUCAGAAGAUUGAAGUUAACAAAGGGUUUCUUUAUCUAGAGAAAAUUCGAAAGAGCGAAGUGUCUUCGAGAUCAAAAGACGAAAUAAGGAAAGGGUAAGGUUAUACUUUCAAAAUGAAUCUGUUGAGAGAACUUUAAAGAUUACUUUCGUUAAGAGCUGGAUCCCACACUUGAGUCUUCGUCGUCUCAGUCAGUCAGCUAUAAAGACAAAUUAAUUUUGAGCGUGAAAGGACACAAUUGAUCACCAAAUUUUCAAACUCGUGAUCCUUAUUGAAUCUGUAUUCUCAUUUGAAAAACAAUAAAAGAUUAACAUUAAUUUAACUUCAUCUAGAUUCCCAUUUGAAUCUGCAUUCCCAUCCCGUUGUUCUCUGGGAAUGCACAUAAUCAAAAAAAAUCCUAUCCGCAUUUUCAAACUUGUGACCCUUCAAGCUUUCUAUGACAACUAUAACGAAUAAUUACAACAGUGCUACCUAAUAGUGAGCAACUUGUUUGAUGAAAUUAACAACUUCUUUUCUCUCAUAUAUUUUUAAAAAAUUGAAUUAUCAAAGUUUUUAUUUCAAAAUUAGUGCUAUAGUUCAUUAAUUUUUCAAAUUUUCCUUUUUCUUUCCACACAACAGAUUGAUUUGCCCUCCAAAAAAUGUAUUAUAUUGUUUAAUAUUGUAACUUCAAGAAACUUAUAAUAAAUUUUUAAAGAGAUAAAUAGAGAAUGUCAGUCUCCCAUCUACUCAAAAUUAAUAUAUAUCAUUAACUCUUGAUUAUUUUUAUAACAACUAAUAACUUUCUUGGCAGCAUAAUUUUACAGUAUCAUCCUUGUUUGUAAGUAUAUUUUUAUUCAUAUUUAUUAUAAAUUAAUUAAAUCAUAUCAAUGAAAAUUGAAAUAAAAAUUGAAGUACUAAAAAUUAAAAAAAUAUAUUUUGGUGUGAAUAAAAAAUUGAAAAUAAAAAUAUUUUUCUUAUAUUUUUUGUUAUUUUUAAAUUUUUUCUUAUAAUAAAUGUAUAUUUUAUAUGCUCAACUUUUUCUUUUAAUUUUUGUUAUUAGGAGGAUUUUUAGAUAUAAUGAAAUUUGUAAGGUAGUAAGUAAUAUAUAAUAAUUUUAAUAGAGAAAAGUAAAAAAUCUCUUAUUUUAAAAUAUAAGGAGAAAAAUAAUUAAUUUCAAGACAUUUUAGAAGAUAUUUCAAUACGCGGUGGACCACAAACUCGAGUCUUUGUCAUCUCAGUCAAACUAAAAGGACAGAAUAUUGAGGGCAUGGCUAAGGUGCAGAAGCUGCAAGUAACAGCUUCGAACUUUCCCAUUUCCAUCACCUUGCAUUGGGACCUCUUUCUUUGUCCUCUAGCACCCGUGGAAGUUCCCCAUUGGCCACUGUUAGGAGCUGUAACAUAGACUUCUCCGAAAAUUGAGCGCGAAGGGCUCAAGUGAUUGUUAAUUUCACAGCAAUUGCCUUUUUUCUUUCUUUUUUUUUUUCUAAUUAUUGGAAAAUAUAAUUUAGUAUAACAAAUAUUAUAUCCUUUCCUUUAGUGCUGCAAAAAUUCCGAAACCUUAUAUUAUAUAAAGUUUUCAUAUUUCUCCUUUAUAGUGAAGACUCAUACUUAUUCUCUAGUAAAUGCUAAAGCAUUGGCUUAAACUUUUUAACCAGCACAGUAGACCCUUAAGCUAUAUAUACUAUAAUGUCCCUCUUCCCUCACAGAUUAAAGCCAAUAUGAUCUCAGAGUAAGUUUGCUUCAAAGGAGUAUCCUUACUAACUAAUAUAGGCUCGAUCAAUAGGGAUGAUAAUAAUUUUUUUUUAUCUACGAACAUUAUUUUUUCAAAAUAUUAUAUCUUUAGACUUAACUAAAUAUUUUUUAACCAUAUAUGUAUAGUUCGAUUAAAUAGUGGAGAUUACAACAAAACAGAUGCGAAUUAGUAGUGAUGUUGAGUUCAGAAGAUUGAAGUUAAAAAAAUAAAGGGUUUCUUGAUUUAGGGAAAUUUCAAAAGAGUGAAGCGUCUUCUAAAUCAAGACGAAAAUAAGAAAAGGGUAAUGGUGUAUUUUCGAAGUGAUUCUAUUGAAAGAUCUUUGAAGAUUACUUUCGUUAAGAGCUGGAUCCCACACUCUUGAGCCUUUGUCGUCCCAGUCAACUAUAAAGACACGUUAUUAUUGAGUGUGAAUAUUCCGAGUUAUAAAUCACCAAAUUUUCAAACUUGUGAUCUUCAUUGAAUCUGCAAUCCCUUUUGAAAAAAAAAAAAGAAAAAGAAAGGAAAACUGCAAAUAAUGAAACAAAAUUCUGAUCCUUGAUAGAGUUACGCGGCUUCAACUUGCAAGUGCUGUCGGCAUUUUCAAACUUGUGAGACCCUUCAACUUGCUUUCCAAGAUAGCUAUAAUUAAUAAUGACAACCGAAGACGGCCACGUUUGCGGUACAAAAGUUGCACCAUAUUAGACGUUCUUUUUUGUUCUUAUCCGAAGUAACCGUUGGAUUCAAAGGAAAGUGAUCAGACAUUCAAUAGCUUCACACGUGGACAUUAUAGGAUACCGGUCAAAUCGGUUAGCGCUCCUCCACAUCAAACUCACAAGCAUGGCAAUCAUCGUAUUCGUAUCAGCUUGGAAACUUGUUACAAGUAACGAAGAGCAACAGAGUCCGCUCCUCUAGAGUCGGCAACAGAGUUUUAAUUAACGGCAUCUUCUCUCACAUUUUUUUUUAAAAAUUGAAUUAUAUAACCCACCAAAACUAUAAAGAAUUGUUAUUCUUCAUUAAAAUUAAUAUACUGUUCCUCAUAUUAAAAAAUCAAAAUUCAGAAUAAGAAUAAUUGAUACUGUUUAUUUACUAAAAUGAAAAUGAGAAUAAAAAUAAAAUAUAUGGAGCCUAUAUAUUUUUUAAAUUAAAAAAUAAGAACUUUUCAUGAGGAGUGUUGAGAAUCAAGUUCUCAUUAUUUAAACUCUCAAUUGUACCUUACCAAAAUUUCAUAAUUUCACUUUUGUUCUCAAUUAAAAUAUUAUUACAGUUAUUAUUCUUAUUUUUGUAGUUGUUGUUGUUGAUGAUGAUGAUUAUGAUGAUACAUGAUAAUAAAAUUAAUGAUAAUAAUAAUGAUAAUGAUAAUGAUAAUAAUAAUAAUGAUAUGAUAAUGAUGAUAAUAAUUUGAACAACAACAACAACAAUAAAUAAUAAUAAUAAUAAUGAAAAUAAUAACUAUAAUUUUAACAACAAUAAUAAUCAUUAAUAUUAUUAUUGUUAAAAUUAUUAUUAUUAUUAGAUAAUUAUUUUGAAUAAUAAUAAUCACAAGUCUAUUCUGAUUCCAGUUUAUUCCGAUUAUCGAUUAGAAAAUGCAUCAUUACUGUUUUAAUAAUAACUAAUAAUUCUCUUGACAUCAUAAUCGUAAUUCUUAUACUAUUAUCCUUAUUUUAAAAUCCACUACCAUGAGCUUGCAUCAUUUGAAAUGGUAGGUACUAGGUAGCAAUUGCUUACAUCAAAAUAUCUAGACUCACUCGGCAAAGUAUCCGAGGCCAAAACGCCAAAAGAUGGGACACCCACAUGUGCAUCUAAUUACAAAAUCUAAAGUUAAUGAAAAAGAAAAAAGAAAAAGUAUAAAUGAACGGUAUUGGCUGUAGGACAAGGGGAGGGGAAAAAGGACCAUUUUGUUUUCUUUGCUAAUUCACAUGGGGAAGGGAAAAAAAGAAAAAGACAGUUUUGAUUAAAAAACACAGAAUAUUCAAUUCACAAGCCACCAAUGCUUGUGGACCAAUGGUCGAUAUAUGAAAGUUAGAGAUUCUGGCAAAAUGAGCAAAUAUUUUGAGUUGAUUAAUGGAUUUGUUUGUAAUGCAAUACAAGAUAGCAUUUUAAAGCUGGCAAGAAAGAAAGAAAUAAGUCAAUAAUUGAGAUAUUUAAAGAAGCUCAAGUGGUCAUGAAAUCUCUCCUUAAAAACUAUACAAGAUAAUGUUAAUGAUAAAGUUAGCCAACCAAGUCGUUCAAUCAUUGCUAGAAGCAAGCAGCCAUUGAAGUUGAUAGAAGCUAAUGCAUGGAAAAAGGUUCGUUACAUAAAGGAGAUAAUGAGAAAAUUGAUGAACCCCUAUCAUCCAUGUUUUGUUUCAAUCAAAAGGUUUGAAUUUUAAGGCCGAUAUUUUGGACUGAAUCCCCCUGUCUGCUUCCAAAGGGGAGGAUGUGCAUGUAGUUGAUUGGGCCGAUGAUUGUGAUGGGAGGGAACUUUUAGCUUGGAAAUGGACCUAGCAAGCCCAUGUUUGAUUCGGUAAGUUGUGACUUCUCAUGGGCAUUUGAAAUUUUUAAAUGGCCUUUUAUAACCUUUGUCAAGAUUCUCAGAAAUCGAAUCAUUCGGUGAUUACUUGCAAAUUCGGAAAGGAAAUUGGAAUCAAACUGGGGUUCUAAUUAAAAAAAAAAAGGGUUCAGAAUCAGAAUUUUGUUCUUUUGACUGACUAAACUACCCUCAUUUAAUUUUCAAAAUGCCCAAAUUUUUAUCAUGCUCACUUGGCGUUAUCUCGUCUUGUGGGAGCUGUAGGACAGUUGAGAUAAAAGAUAUUGCUCCAGUAUCUACUGUUUUCUCAUCCUGAUCUUCAGAGUUAUUCUCAACAAUGGACAAAUUUGAGUUUAGAACAGCAUCAGAAACCAAUGACACCCAGUCGCAUCCAGCUACUUCUUCACUUUGCUCAAUUCGACAGAUUUUACGCAAAUUUGUUUUGUUCUCAAAAUAGUCUGCUGCUCCCGGAUUGUCCUCAUUACAUUGAACGAAUGAUGACGACGCUCUGUCCGUUUCUGGCUCUCUGCUUUUCUCUUUCACAUCACGAGACACCUCGUUUCUAACUGGGGUACCACCAUCACAUUUAACUGUUAUUGGCAACUCAAUAGCUAAUUCCAAUGUUUCCUCAAGCAGUUUAGAGAUAAACUCUCUCGCUGAACUCCCUGGAGUAACACAAUCCAGUUUUCCAGUGCAAUCAUCAAACAGUUGAACAGCUCCUGAAUUCCCUUUGCUUUUCUUGUUUUCUUUUCCAUGUAAAGGGAGCUCAGGCUUCAAUAUAUCUGGGGAUUGAUUACUAAUGAUAAAGACAACAUGCUGUAGAGGACACAAAUUGUUAUUAAACAACGAUGCACUUUUCAUUUUUCAACUGAGUACGGUAAAGCAAGAAUGGGUAAUUAGUUUUACCUGCUAAGCGAAAAUCUACACUCCCGAAGGUAACCGAUCUUGGGUGAAGCAAAUAAAGACGAAGGCGAAGUAAAAUUCACUGAGUUGAAUGAGCGAUCAUUGCUGAUAUAAUUAAAGACUGGUGAAUCCUGCAUGUUGACAAGCAUCAUUUUUAAUCUAACAUAGAGUCUUAAAAACCUGGUCAGUGGCAAAUGAUCACGACAACAAAUCUGAAGUACAAACAGCAGAGCUCAACAAAUCACUAAGAGAAAAUAACACCAGUAACCAAGCAGAUGAAAGAAAAGCAAAAUAAUCCAUCUCAAAUCACCACAUGCACAAUUUAAGGGGGUUGUGACAUGGGUUUAAGCAUGAUUUAACAAGUGCCACCAGUGAAUUCUCAGAUUGAAUUUUCAUACACAUGUCAAAUUUUCAAGUCCAACGAAUUGUUAUCUUUCUGAAGAUAUUAACUAUGCAUAGCAUGCUAUAAACAAAUCAUAUUAUUAGGGCCUUUGUUUGCUGUACACAACAUAUGUACAGAGGAACAAAUCCAUGAGCUGAAAUCAUCAUAUUCCAAAAUAUUCUACCCAAUCAACACUACAAAACCGUAACGCUAAACAGAAUUGGAGCAAUUUAAGAAAGCUAUUUGUCACACAAAGCACUAGUACCUCAGAACCCAAUUUGCAAAAAAGCAACAAAAAUGAAAAAUAACAAAUGCCCAGAUGCAAAAUCAGGAAAAAAUGCUCAAAUACAAACUACAACCCCAUAAGCUGAGAUUGACCUCAAACUUGGAAACAGAAGCGACAGUGAUCUGUUUCUUGUCUGGAGUGUCCAUUUCUAUAAUCUACUUUGUCCGUUUUCAGUCGCUCCGCCACAAAGCCUCUUCACUCCGAAGCUGAAACUCGCCACACACUUGCAAAACGAAAGCAUUUGAUUGAUUGAGAGGCGGGAAGGCGGGAAAACGAGCGAAAUUUGCUUUUGUUUUUUCUUCGUUUGGUCAUACAUGUGCGGGCCCCCCAGGUUGACAAGCGUUAUCAUUACUAUUUGCAUUAUUUGAAGGACGCGUGUCAUGCAACGACGAUAGAAAAAGUGGUGCAAAACUCCAAUUGUCACGAAAUGAUGAUAAAAUAAAAAUAUAUCGUUAAUUUUUCACUUAACAUUGGAAUAUCAUAUAAUUUUAUGGUCAUUUUCUCGCCGCCACAUUCUUUUGAUAAAAUAAUACGGUAAAACUUUUCUAUAAUCAUGAUAUUAGAACCCAAUUAACUUUGUUUCUACAAAGAGGUUAUAGCUUAAUAAAGUAAAAUUGUAAAAAAUAUUAUUUUGACUUAAUUAUCUAAAGAGUAAAUAUAUAAUAAUUAAUUAAUAAAUUAUGUCAAAUACAAUAUAUGGACUAUGAUAAAAAAGAUAGACAUAAUUUCAUAAAAUUAAUACAUAUGUUUUUGUAGUGCUGCGAUUAUACAAAGUUAUCUUAAAAGUGUAAAGAGUAAAGUAUUGUUUUAAUUAAUUUAAAAAAAUAUUUUAUUAUUAACCUUUAAUGCAACAUAGUAAUUUUUUUUCCCUGGCAACAAAGUAUUGUUCCAAAUAAUUAUUAUUGGAUCUAGAUCCUGCCCUAGGCAUUUUCUCUACUAAUCCUCAUAAACUUUUAGGGUAUGUUUGGCACGUAAGAUUAGAUUGGACAAACUAUUAUGAUUGGACUAACUUAGAAUGGAUUAGAUUAGAUUGGAUUAUAUAUAGUGCUGACUUAUGUUUGGUAUGGUAUUGGAUUAGAUUAUGUUAAAUUAAAUUUACAUAAAAUUAAAUAGUAUUUACAUUAAUAUUUGAAUUUAAAUAUCAACUAUUUAUAGAUAUUUAACAAGAAAUAUUAUAAUUAAUUAAAAAUAGCAAUUGGGUAGUCAUAAUUAUAAUAAAGAAAUAUAAAUUAUUUAAAUUAUAGGUUAUUUCAAAGAGUGAUGAUACAACCACAAAUUCUUGUACAAACUGAUUUGGCAUUAAUUCAUUUAUUGAAUGAAAAUAUAAAAUAAUAAAAAUAAAUCAUGUGGGCCCAAGAUAUAUUUAAUUCAACCAAUUUUAUCAUGCCACAUCAGUUUGUACAAAAAUUUGUGAUUAUAUUAUUACUCUAUUUCAAAUGAGAGAUAUCAUUUCAUUGAAUAAAAUAAAUAAAAUUAUUCAAAUAAUAAAUUAAUUAAUAAAAUUUAAGUAAAUCAUGAAUAAAAAAGAAAUCAAUUAAUUAAAAACAGUAAAUAAUUAAAUAAUUUUUAAUUUAUAAAUAAAAUGGUAUAAUAAAUUAUGGAAGAUACUAUAAAUACACAAAUAUUUUUUUCACAUUAUCUAGUUCUAACUAAACACACAUAAAAAUUAGGAUUAGCAAUCCCAUGAAUUUAGGAUUAAAAUUUGAAUUUAGUCGAUUAAUCCAAUACAAGUGAGCAUGCUAAAUAUGGUAUUAAUAUUUUAUCCCAGUAAUAAGUCCAAUUCUACACUUAAUCGUACCUCCCAAAUAUAAUCUUAAGGAUCUAUUGACAUGUGUCAUUAAUGAAAUUAAAUGGCUAAGAUUUUGUUUUAAUUAUUUUUUACCUAAAUAGACAUCAAAACUCAUGUGUGACUCUUGUUAAAUUUUUUCUUACAAAUUCUUUUCCUCUUAAUUCUUUAUAUUUUGACACUAAUUUCCAGCAAAUUAUUUAAAAAAAAGGAGCACAAAUUGGAAAAAAGUGAUUGACAACAAGGUUUGCAUCUUAAUUUCAAAAUUUUCCUUUCUUUGAUGUUUUUGUGGUUUCUAUAAUUGUUGUUUUCACUCUAAGUUGCAAUUCAAUGAACUAAAUUAGUGUUGCUACUUUAUAAACUGCUAUUACUGGGCAUAUAAUUCUAUUGCUACAAUUUUUUUGAGUUUAUAGUUUCUGUUCUAUUCUCUUUUUGGGUUUGCAACUGCUGUUUGUUGUUUUUUUAGGUUUUAUAGUUGAUGUUUUGGGAAAAAUAAAAAUAAAUGUGAUCUUGAAUUCUUUAACUACUAUGAAACAAUUAAAUUAUUUAGCUGCUGCAUUUUCUGCUGUAUUAUUAUAGGCGAGAUGUGUGUCGAAAGGGAAAGAAUUUGCCUAAAAAAAAAAAUUGACAAGAGUCACAUGUGAGUUUAGAUGUCUUUUUUAAGUAAAAAUUAAUUAAAAUUAAAUAUUAGCCAUUAAUAACACAUGUCAAUAAAUUUUUCAAAGUCUAAGAAGAUUGGAAGAGGAUCCGAUCUAUUAUUUACUCUAUAAAAGGAAGUUCCUUGAAGACAAGAACUAUAAAUAAAUUAAUAUAAUGAAUUUAUUCUUAACCUAGUCUAAAUUGAGACUAAAAUUUUUUACUUAAAAAUUUACUAGCUAGCUUUACCUUGAUGGACUAGCUAUGGCCCAUACACAUUUCUCCAAUUUUAUUAAUAUUUUUGUGCAUAGCAAUUAGGGAUACGUGACAAUAAAUUAUCCUUUUAACAUAUAAAAAGUAUUCUCACAAGUAGUGUGCCCCUCCAAAGGGCACAGACAGACUUUUAGCCUCUUUCUUCGGUUUACCACUCCAGUUGGAAUCUUCAAUAAGAUUAAACAUUGAAUAUAUCUAAAAUAUUAGCAAUAUUUGUACUUAUAUUUAACAAAACUAGAGUAAUAUAUUGAUUAAUCUACAUAAUUUUGGGCGGGUUCUUAUGUAAUGUUACAAUUAACAUAGAUUAUUUUCACGGUAUAAGGCAAAUCUUGAGAAUGAACCCAUUUCAAUAUGGUUUCCACAAUAAAUGAACCCACUUUACUACCAAUGAAAGGCCUUGACUCAUAUAUAUCCACCUGGAAAGAAGGGGGGGGGGGGGGAGAGAAGAAAUCUUCUAAUUUCUUUCACCAUCAACAAAAUCAGUGAAACACAUACUAAUUCAAAAUAAAAUAAACUUUGUGAAUUGAAAUAAUGCCUGCUCUAAAGAAAAUGAUAACUGCUAUUCAUUUUUCUGAACUGCUGAUAAAAGCUUCUGCUAUUUACUUCGAAAAAAUUGAGUAACUUCAAAUUUUGAGUUUAGGCAAGAGGAUGAAUGGUAAAAGUGAGACAUUUUAGGGGAAAAGUAAAUACUUGAUAGGCCAAUGAAACAUUCAAAAGAUUGAAAUCUAAAUGAGCAAAACCUCAUGGCCUUGAGGCCCUUGAUCCAACAAUUCCACUGCUGUUGACAUGCCUGCAAGCCCAACUCCAAUAAUAGCCACUUUCAGCUUUGGUCCUCUAUAAUGUUCCGGUUCUGGUGGAAACAAACACUUGGGAGCUGCCAAGUAUACCAUUCAAUUAUCCACAGCGAUAUUGGAAAAACAUACAUGUUUGAAAGUACUAAAUAUCAAAUGUCUCCCGAAAAAAAUACAAAGCACAAUUGCAUAAGCAUUUCAUUUCCCAAUAAAUUUCAAGAAUACAAAAUACUUGGUCUGUUCUUGAGUUCCUUUAAGAAAAUUUCCACGAGAGAGCACGCAAGCCACUCAAUAACACUCCAAAGUCAGAUUUUAAACGUUAUCUUGAUCUAUAAGUACAAUCCAUGAACCAUUCUGCCACAAAUUCAAUUAAAAAUUAUUCAAGUAAAAUGCCAAAUUCUCCUUCAAUAGCCUCAAAAAUUCAUAACUAGCAAACACUACAGAACAAAAAGAGCUCCCAGCAAUAAACGCAUAAAAAUCCCACCAGAAACCAGAAAACCCAAAAGAUCAAUACUUGGUAAACAAACAAAUCAAAUCAAAUAAAACAAAAAGAAGAGAAAUUUACCAUUAACACUCAUAUCAGAAACGUUAGUAUCCAAAGAAGCCCGUACACAGAAUCUUGGAACCUUCACUUGAACCCGAGACCAACAAACACCAGUAACUGAAGUUGCAGGAAACAGAAGUGAAGAACCCAUAUUGAAAUAAAAGAAUCCAAACCCAAAGUGCCACAUCUAAAUAUGAUGGAUCCACUUAAAAUAAACAUAUAAAAAUCUUCAAUAUGAGUGCGAAAAUGUGUGGGGGAAAAAACUAAAAAGUGGUUUACCAUGCAGCAAUAUGAAUUUUAAGCUCUCUUUUCUUAUGUCACUCAAGGCAUUGGCUGGAUGGCCAAACAGCAGAGUUCAAGUGUACAAUAGAGAAUCGAAAUUUUCCUUUGUAAAUGUUCAUAAGUAUUUACCACAGAUUUUUAAGUUAUUCUUGAUAGAUCCCCUACCACAUACGCUAUAAUAUUUCUCUCCUUUUAAUUUAAAAGUAAAUCAUGCAUAAUAACGCACUUGUAAAGAAAUGAAAUUUUCGGUAAUUAACUGACAAAAUAAAAAAAAAGGAUUAUGCGAAAGAAGUUAAUAUAGAGUAAGUCGAGUACUUGACAAUCAAAGUAAUUUACUCGAGGUUGAGUAAGGAUAGUACGAUACUUUCUCAAGUUUUCUGAGGACAUUCAUGUGACAUUGGACUAUUGAUUAUAGUUAGAGAGAAGUCCAAGGAUGUAAGUGAUGAUGAUAGAUUCAGAAUUCUUUUGAAGAAAAUAUUUUAUAUAAACUUAAUUAUAUGGUAUAAAAUGAUUGGCCUUAAUAAAAUUAAAAAAUAAUAAAAAUAAUACACGCCUGGGUCAUGCAAUAUUUUCAACCAACUAAUUUACACGCAAAAUUAAAACUUUAUGAGUACAUUUAUUUGCUAGCAGAAACUCUGCCAAAUUUUCCGAAAUGUGAAAGUGAACACUUUUAACAGCGGCACAAAAUGCCUGUGAUAAUGAAACAAUGUGCCAUCCUUAAACUAAUAUUAUUAGAAACUAUAAGUGAAAGUUUUCAGAAAACAUGUGAUAAGUUUUUCUCGGAAUUUGUUUUCUCCUUUGUUUUGAUUUACGCGAGAGAUAGUUGUAAAGAUUGUUUUGAUAAGUUUUCAGAAAACAUGUGACGAAUCGUAGUAAAAAAUUUAUACAUAAUAAUUGAAUGAGAUCCAUGGUUCACAAUUGCAAAUUAAAGGUUGGUUUUAUAAUAAAAAUCGUUUUGUGCAUACCAAAUUAGAAAAGAUUAUAAGUAAAUUAAGAUUUUCAAAAUUUGACUAGUACUAUAUUACGUACAUCAAUAUAAUAUAAAUUUGUUAUAUUUAUAUAUGUUAUUCUGUAACUAAUGCUUUCAAAAAUUUUAUACUUGUAUGUUUGAACAACUUUUUUUCGCUUUCUAUUUAUAUACGAUAUUAUUUAUGUUUACAUAAAUUUUCAUAUGUACCCAAAUUAAGUAUUAAAUACACACACUCUGGUAAGACACAUUUCUAGUAUCAGACAAUGAUAUUAUAUUGAAUGUAAUGCUUCAAUGAAUUUUAUUACUAUAUACUAAAAUACUCAACGAUCUUCAUUAAAAAAAAAAAAAAGAAAUUGCAUGAUUAGAAUGAUUAAAGUUCAUUUAAUGACGAGUUUCAUCAUUGACUGUGUCGAAACAGAACAGCAAUCCACAAUACACUCAACACGAGAGGCGCACACAAGCAUGCAUGAAUCUUCCACCAUUAAACCUGAAAUCAUAAAAUGAAAGAAACAAGGUGAGUGUUGUUUUACGGUCUGAAAGCCGAUUCGAAAUAAUAAUAAUAAUAGACCUUUGUUAAUAGUUACUACUAGUGGUCACUGCCUUGUCCAUCUUCCUUCUCUGUAUUAUCGUCCUCUUCCAAGCCGCUGUCAUCUGACCAAACCCCAGCAACCAUGGGAAAAAUCACCUACUUGUUUUAGGAGCAGGAGCAGGAGCAGGAGGAGGAAAUUAAGUUAGGGAUUUGGAGUGAUAGGGAAAAAGCUGAUUGUUGAGAAAUAUGUAUACCUUUUGUAUGGUUGUGUUAAGGUCGCCCUUCCAAGCCCAACGUGCUUCACUCCGCCGCUGCACUUCGUGUAAUUUGGGUGUACUUAAAUUUCCUUCAGAGAAAAUCUUCAUAUCGGGGCAAUCAUCCACCACUAAUAUUUCCAAAGAUGGGAACUUGAAAGCACAAUUGCCAGAGCAGAAGCUUGUCAAACUUUUUAAGUCUAAAAGCUUCAACUCCUUCAAUUCUCUGAAAGUAAUAACCUCAUCUUUUGCCACAACAUCAUCCACCAAUACUAUUUCUGUUAUCAUAACGCAUGAUUUUAUCUUCAUAUAUCUAAGUCGCACCAGAGACUUUGCAAUUGAGGAUGUUAAUACGAUUUUCAAUCUUUCGCAACUGAAUACCACCAGAUUUGUAAGAUUCUGAAAGGAUGUCGACGAUGGCACUAGAUUGACCAAACGGUCACACCCCUUUACACGUAGAAUAACCAAGUUGUUCGUAACAGAGGACUCCCUUAUCAAAAUGUUCUCCAGAUGAUAACAAUUAUUUGCUUCACUUAUUUCUACUGCCAUACCAUUUUCAACCUUCUCUUUCGGCGACCGGCCACCAUAUCCUUGUAUUUGGAGGACUUUCAUUGUGUGAAGUCUCUGGAGGAAGUCAUCAAGUGAUACAAUAGUCGGCUCAUCAACCAACUCCACAAAAAGAUAUUUUAGUUUGCAAAGCAAGUCUUCAAAAAAUAGAUAUUUAUUUGUUCCUAUGUACUUUGCAUCAACUUUCAACUCUUCCAAAUUAGGGAAUACCUGGGAGAUCGAUCAGAACCAAAAAAAAAAAAAAUACAAGAUGAAUCAGUUGAUGAGAAUUAUAAGUUACCACUAAUUUAUACAAUAUAUUUUAUUCAAUAAAUCAAUAAAUACAAGAUAAACUUUCACAGUACAUACAUAAGAAUUGAAAAAUUGAUUAUAAAACUCUUGUACGUACCCUUUCCGUCAAGAUAUUAGUAGUUCUUUUGCAUCUCGCCAUGAAUUCAGGACAUCCAGAUAUCCCUAAUUCUUUCAAGGAUGGAAAUUCAAGAUUAUCAAGAUCUCCAGUGCAGAAGCUUGUGAACUUUUCAAGAUCAGACAUCCUCAGAGAUUGCAACUGGGGAAACGUUACAAUAUUAUUCUUCAUUUCUUCUUGGUUGUCCACGACUAUUAACUCUUCCAGGACAGGACAUUUGACUAUCAUAAUGUGUUGGAGUCGAACAAAGCUACUAACUGUACAAGAUGAAAAUAGACAUCUUAAAUUCAUACAGCUGUACAGGGUCAAGCGCGUUAAAUUCUGAAUACCACAAGACAUGACUGCAACUUGGUUCAGCCAAAUCCUCUCAACAUUUAUUGAAUACAACAUCAACUCCUCCAAAUUUGGUAAUGCAACCUGCACGAUCAAAAAAUUAACUUGUUAAUUACAAGCAACAAUGAUUUCUGUUGAUGGACAAAUCAAUAAAAUUACUCUUUCUCUGUUUAUAGUUCUUUUCAGUUUUUCAUACAAACAACCGUUAAUCAAGUUUUCCAAAUUAUUCCUUACUAAAUUUUGGUUGAUUCGCAAUAGGACCUACUAUCCAGCGCGAGCAGUUCUCGGGGAUUUAACUACUGGCACCUCGAUUAUAUAAAAAUUUAGACGGCGGCUAAUAUAAUUUAUAUGUAUUCUAAUGACGUAUAUUAAAGAAAAUGAUUAACCAUAAUUUCAAUCAACUUAUUAGUCUAUAUAUAUAUAUAUAUAUAUAUAUAAUAUUCAGCGAUUACAACAUAUUUAGUAUUCCAUAACAUGAUGUUUAUAAUAAUAAUUAUUAUUAAUUCACUUAUUGUGUCAGAGUAUCUUUUCUUUCUCUAAGAAUGUAUUUGUUACACCCUACUAUACUUCGGAUGAAAAAUUUAGAAUAAUUGUGAAAUAUAAUUAUUAAUCACUCUUUGCCAUAUUUGUUACCAAACAGGAAUAUAACAAAGAAAAAAAACAAAAAUUAUAGAGAAUUAAUAAGACGAUUGACUUAUUAAUAACUGACCUUCUCAGGGAAAAGUGUAUUAUAAAUUUGGACAUUGUCCUCCAAAAUGAUUUCAUGUGACUGCAAAUCAUUAGCUGAUUCCUCUUGUCUCUGUUGACAUUGCAGGUAUCUUGAUUUUAGAGUGUAAACUUAAUUGUGAGCACAAUCUUAAUGCAUAGAUACAAGAUCUUUAAAAAUUAGUAUAAGAAACUUAGCACUAAAUCCAAAUUUGAUAUUUUGGAUUCCAUGAUUAAGAUUUUUUAAAUAAAAAUUUAAUAGAGUUAAUUUAAAAAUAAAAAUUAAAUAUGAAAAAUAAACUUGCAAUUAUGGAUUUAAUUUUAAUAAAUAAUGAAUGUUCUCUUUAUAUUUUUUUUAAAAGGUAAAAGAGCGUACAAAGCCCAAAUUCAUUUUUUUAAGUCCUUUACUCUCCCAUGAUUCAAACUUGGGUGGUUGUAGGAGGACUGCAAAUAUAUAAGACAGUUAACUUCACUUUUUUUUUCUUUUUUUUUUUGUUGAGAGAAAAGAGAAGAAGGAUAUUACAAAGCAUGAAGCUCGUGCAAUAUAAGGGCAAUUAUGGUUUUUUCUUUAAAUUAAAAUGGUAAGAUUCUGAAGCUAAAAGAUUAAAAUAUUAAUUAAAUUGCAAACAUUAAAGAUUUUUUUUGCAAAUGGUUGCUUUUAAAAUGAGAAUAAUAUAAUAUUUGAAGACUUUUCAAAAUUAAUUACUGUGAUGCACUAGAAAUUUCUAGCUUUAGUCUAAUGUAUAAAUUGACAAAACGAUAUUCGAAUCCCAGGUGAAAAGAACCCUCUCAUACCAAUUAUUUAAAUUAGGAAUGAUCAUACCUUUGACUCUGCCGGAUUGAGGGCGAGCCAGAGACGCUUGAGAUGGGAAGAGCCCACUUUGACUAAUUCAUUACGAAAAUAAUCGACAUCUUGCUCUUGCAAUCGCCAUAACUCAAGGUCUUCAAUUCUCUGCAGUUGCACGAUCAGCGAAUCCUUCAAGCAAAUCUUGUUAUUUAGCUCGAGACUGAAUUCACGACACCCAAUGCCGGUGCUCUCCCAAUAGCCAUCAUCUCCAAUGCGUAUGCUGUACCUUUCCAGCUUCUCCAAGAGCAGGCCUCUGGGCAGAGUGCUGACGUCACGGGCGCGUAAUUCCAAAGAGGUCAAGUUGGGCAAAUGCUUCAACUCCUCAAGGCUUGCAUUCUUAACCCCUUCUUCCACCUCCACCUCCCAAGCAGCAAAGCUUUGACCUAUAUAUAGUUCUUCUAAACGGGAUAAUUUUGACAGUAUAUUUGGUGGAAUAACUUCUAGGUCCUCACAAUGUCUCAAAUCAAGCAACUUUAGCCAAGUCAAUUCACCUACUUCUACCGGCAACUUCUUAAUAUCAGAAUCUCUUAGGCAAAGGAUUUCUAGUUUCUUCAAGUCUCCUACAACACUUAGAUCAGGCAGGUAGCACCAACACAAACUCAGUGUUCGAAGGUUUGACAGGAGACCAAGUGAUGAAGGCAAUGACCGUAGAUCCAUGUUAGUCAAGUUUACAACUCUGACCUCGAUCAUGCUCUUGAAAAAGUUGUCUGGAAUUGUUACUCGUGAAUAUUCCCAAGGAUCAUCACUUAUAAAAAGAAGUUCGAGCUGAGGACAUUCCAGUACUUUAGGAAGCAAAUUAGUGUUGAUAUCAUGUAAGACGAUUGAAGUGCAAUGCUUUAUUGCACUUCCGUCCGACCAUUCCCUGCAACCAUCAACCUGCUCAUUUGUAGCAGUAAACACAUUUCGUUCAGUAGAUGCAAUUGAUCUGGCGACAUCGCGAACUACAUCAUGCAUAGAAAACAACUCUUUCUUCUGGCUUAUAUGGUCAAGCAACAUACAAGAAGCUUUGAGUGUGCGCACCAAUGUAUGUACUCGAUUUCGUGCUACUUCAAUCUUAUUCACACCUUGAAAUAAACCCAAUCCCAUACCACACAUUAACAAGUCUUCAAUAGAUGCUAUGGCUGUAUAUCCUAUUAGCAAAAAGAUGUUCUUGAGAUCAUCCCUUCCUAGUUUAUUGUAGCUCAACUCGAUAGCUUUAAAUGCGGCUGGCUGUACAUCCUUAAAAUUCGAUGAAGAAGGCCUUCUUAGCUGUUCCAAUGCAUCCUUCCAUUCACGUAUGCUCUUGUUCCUUAAUGCCCUUGCAACCGUCACAAUGGAAACUGGUAGACCUGCACAUUCCUUUGCCACAUCCCUUGCUACCUCUUUCAAUUCAUUACCUUCAACAUAAUCACCUGCCAUCUUCGUGAAUAGACUCCAAGCUUCAUCUUCUUUUAAAAAUCCAACUGGGAAAUUUUUUCGAGACUCCAUCUCUCCAGACAAUACUUCUUCACUCCUCGCCGUGAACAGCACUUUACAUCCCAUGUGAUCAUCUCCGUGAGGAAUUCCGACAUCCAACAAAUCAAGAUUUUCCCAAAUAUUAUCCAAGAUUACAAGGAUCCUCUUCUCUUUCUUCAGUCGAUCAUAGAGUCUUCUUGCCCUACCCGAUUCACUCUCCUCAUCAAAUUUUAGACCUAGUUUAUCCGCGAUUUCUCCUUGAAGCUUUCUUACGUCUCGACUCUCAGACACCUCAGAAAAAACCACCUGAUCGAAAAGCUUGUCACUCUCUGCUUUUCUAGCAACUUCUUUAGCUAGCGUCGUCUUUCCGAUUCCGCCCAUUCCAUAAAUCAAAAGCAUGUUGACAUUGGGAUUUUUUAAUGCAUCAAUUAUUUCAUUCAGAAUGGACGUUCUUGAUUCAAAGGCCUCGAAGUCUUUGUUAGGCAUAAGCAAGGUAUCCUCCGGAAUGAUGCUGUAGGAAAUACUAUUAACUGGUCUAGCGUCCCGGACUUUGACAACAGCCUCCUUCUGCCUCUCUGCUUCCUUGCUAAGUCGAGGGCGGGUCUUCAAAUUAGGACAUGACCCCUUGAAACAACGCUUAUUUGCAGUGGCUUCAUCUUCUGUAAAUUUAUCUGCCUCUUCAAUGACACUGUUGGCCGUUGCAAGCCAAUUCUCAACGUUCUCUUCAAUCUCUUCUCCUUUUCUUUUAGCCUCAUCAACCUGGUGCUCUGUACUCACCCUCUCAGACUUUAGUUUCGCAACUUCAGUGUUGAGAUUCUGUAAGUUGCUCGUGUACUUACUCUCACGCAAAUAGCUAAUUUGGCGAUAUGCGGGAGGAGCCAAGCACUUUACAACUUCUAAAACAAUAGUAAGAAUGAUUUCAGCCAUCUUCAGUCCUUUGUCCUUGUCUCUCUAUCUCUCUUUUUCUGAAUUUUGGAAAAACAAUUCAACAAGUGACCGCAACAAGAUGGAACACAAGUGACCACAACAAGAUGGAACAAAAUACAAAGGAAAAAAAAUACAAAGAGUGGAUGGAGAAUAAAACAGAGACAGCGUCACAGCUAGACACAAUUAGAUAGAGAACAGAGGAAAACCAAAUAACAAGACUUAAGAUUACAACAAACAGAGGCCGAGGUGGAUAUAUAUACUUGGAGAAUAAAAUUCAAGAGCAAAGCGAGUGCUGGGCUGCAGUUUCUUAAGGAGAUUUAUAUAUCAUCCUCAAAAAUAAAUAUUUUAAGGUAGGUAUUUAGACUAUUUCAUCAUAAAAUAAAUGUAAUUAAUUUUCAUAAAUAUGUGAUAUCAAUAUUUAUUUAUUUUUUUAAUUACUGAUGGCCUUUGAAUAUACGAUACAUAUUACUAAUUCAAAAAAUAAAUUGUGAUUAUUUGUUAAUGUAUAUGAUUACUUGUGAUGGUAAACAAGGUAGAUAUGGUAUAUUUUGAAGUAGAAAAAAAAAAACAAAAGAAAAAACAGAGCUUUUACCAUUGCUUGCCUUAUCAUCUUUUAAAUUAAAGUUAUUAUUCUUUUAUUUUUCAAGUUGCCAACUCAUACGCAUUUUCUUUUAUUGAAUUUGAAGAUCAAUGAUUAUAAAUUUGUGUGAAAAUUUUAAGCCAAAAUUUUAAAUUAAAAUAAUCAUUAAGUUAUUAAAAAAUAAUAACUUAAUAUAACAAAUAUUAUAUCAUAUACUUUAUUGCUACAAGAUUACAAAACCUUAUAUUAUAUUAUGUUUCCAUAUUUCUCCUUUAUAGUGAAGACUCAUACUUUUUCUCUAGUAGAUGUUAAAGUAUUGGCUUAAACUUUUUAACCAGCACAGUAAACCCUUAAGCCUAUAUAUGCUAUAAUGUCCCUCUUCCCUCACAGAUCAAACACUAUUUUUCAAAAUAUUAUAUCUUUAGACUUAACAAAAUAUCUUUUAACCAUAUAUGUACAGUUUGUUUGAUCUCUUUUAAAUAUUGGAGAUUACAACAGAACAGAUGCGAAUUAGCAGUGACGCUGAGUUUAGAAGAUUGAAGUUAAGAAAAUUAAGGAAAGGGUAAGGAUGUAUUUUCAAAGUGAAUUAUUGAGAGAUCUUUGAAGAUUACUUCCGUCAAGAGCUGGGUCCUAUACUCUUAACCCUUUGUCCUCCAGUCAACCAUAAGACAAAUUAUUAUUGAGUGUGAGCAGACAUUAACCACCAAAUUUUCAAACUUGUGAUCCUUAUUGAAUCUGCAUUCCCCUUUACAAAAGUAAAAAAAAAAAGUGCAAAUAACGAAACAAAAUUCUGUUCCUUGACUGCAAGUGCUGUCGGCAUUUUCAGACUUGUAAGACCCUUCUACUUGCAAGAUACCACUGAAUUUGUCUUUUUUUUUUUAAAUUACACUAUAUUAUCUUAUAUUUUAUAAAAAAUUUAAUAAAUAUUAUAAAUUAUAAAUUUUUAUAUUUAAUAUUCUCAAAAUAAAUUAUCAAACAAAUGAUUCAUUUAUUAUUUUUUCUUUUAAAUUUUUGUUAUUAAGAAGAUUUUUGGAUAUUAAGCGUGAAGGGCUCCACUGAUCGCUAAUUUUGCAGCAAUUGCCCUUUUCUUUCUCCCCUAAUUGUUUUGAAAAAUAUCUAGUCUCAUUCAGCGAAGUAUCCAAGGCCAAAGGGCUAAAAGAUGGGACACCCACAUGUGCUUCUAAUUAAAAAGGGUUAUUUUUCGCUACCCCACAUGUUUUGACAAAUCAUAUUGUGUACCCAUUUGUUUCAACAAUCAUCAGUGUGCACCCAUUCUGUUAAAUUCAGCCGUUUAGUUUAACCAAUCAAGGGUAAAAUGGAUAUUGUACAAUAAAUGAAUAAAAAAUCAAGUUAAACUGUUUACACAGAAGAAAGAGAACAAGGAGAAGUAAAAGAACAACAUCAUUUCUGAAAAAACAACUCCAUCUCUGCAAAUCGUACCAUCCAAGAGCAUAAAUCAAAGCAAAUAUGGAGGGAAAAUAUUAUGUGUUGGAGUUGAUGUUCUUAUAUCCCCAUCUAGAGUAAGAGGUUUUGACAUGGUAGCGUCUUAUGACACCAUUGUAUUACAAGUUAUCAUUGGUAGUUUUUUGGCUGAAGGCUGGAAGGAGUCAAGAUCAUGGAUGCAACCAAAACCAUUGUCUUCUUCUAUGCCAAAAUUCAUCCUAGAAGCAUCAGCAAUUGGAAGCCCACCAUCACAUGGAAACUUAAGUGAAUCAUCUGGUGGACCUGGAAGCCCUCUAAACCACAGCACCGAAGGAGGCUGCAGUAACAGCAAUCCGCCAAGCAUACUGAAAUUUAAUGAGUUGGUGUUGUGUGAUUCAGCAUCAGUUUUUAUUUUUUAAAAUGCAUAUUAACAGUGACUGGUGGCAUUUUUGAAAUUUAAUGAUUUGAAAUUCAAAUUGGGGACAAAAUCACCAUUUCACAAAAUAAUUGUCAGAAUGGUUAAAAUAAACGGCUGAAUUUAACGGAAUGGGUGCGCGGUGAUAAUUGUUGAAAUAAGUGGGUUUACGGUAAAAUUUGUCAAAACAUGUGGGGGGUGGCCAAAAAUAACCGAAUUAAAAAAUCUAAAGUUAGGGGGACCAUAACUUACAUUUAAUAUAAUUUAUGAUAGGAGUCCACUUAUGUUACCACUGUACAACAGGUUUGGUCUUUUCUGACUCAAUUGCUGUAAAAGUUUGUUGAGCCCCUUGUACUCGAUAUUAUUUACUAUUUAUUUAUAAGUAUUAUAAAAAUUUUUGCUUACUUGUUAAAACAAACCUCUCGGCCCCACUUCCCUUUUUUUUUUUUUGAAAAGCCCCACUCCCCUUGUACUCGAUAUUUUUUACGCGUUUCUCUUUUCUCUCCCCCACGUGAACACUUUUGCCUUUUGCUCGUUCACGUGAAAGUCAGUUUAGAAUUUUGAUCUUAUUUCACAGAGCUAAUUUUUUUAUCACAAGCAGGAGAGAAACGGCAUUUCUUAGCAGUAGUUCAUCACUGUAGUAGCGAGCGAGUGAGGAACAAAAUUACCAACAAUUCUCAAAAAAUAAUUAUAAAAAAUGAUCACAUGCUAUAAUUAAUCAUGACACUUUGACAACAUUACUCCCACCGAGCAAAAGUUAACAGCAUCUUCUCCCACAUUUUUAAAAAAAAAAUUGUAUUAUAUAACCCACCAAAAGUAUAAAGAGUCUUUUCUUAUUAAAAUUAAUAAAUUACUCUUUAUAUUGAGAAAUUAAAAUUUAAAAUGAGAAUGAUGGGCGAUGUUCAUUUCUUAAAAUAAAAAUAAAAUUUAUGAAGUUUAUCUAUUUUUAGAAUUAAAGAAUAAGAACUUAAUUUCUUAUGGGGAGUGUUGGAAAUCAAGUUCUUAUUCCUUAAACUCUCAAUUUUACCUCACAAAAAUUUAUAAGUUCACUUUUAUCUUUAAUUAAAAUAUUAUUAUGUUAUUAUUAUGGUUAUUAUUCUUAUUUUUGUAGUAGUUGCUGUUGUUUUUGUUGAUGAUGAUGAUAAUAGUUGAUAAUAAAAUUAAUAAUAAUAAUGAAAAUAUAACUAUAAUUUUAACAGCUACAAUAAUAAUCAUUAAUAUUAUCGUUGUUGUUCUUAUUAUUAUUAUUAUUAUUAUUAUUACUACUACUACUAUCCUAUUAUAUUAUUAUUAUUAAAUAAUUAUUUUGAAUAAUAAUAAUCUCAAUUAUUAUAACAAACAACGACAAUAAUGAACUAAUGUCAUUUUCAUAACUUAUAACAAUUUAUUUUUUAUUUCAAGACAAAAUAAACAUAUUAAUAAUAAUACAGGUCAUUUCGAUUAUGAUUCUUACAGGUAAAAUAAAUAAUUUAUUAUGAUUUUCACAUCAUAAUCAUAAUUCUUAUAGUAUUAUCUUUAUUUUAAAAUACUUUUUUUAUUUAUAUUUAUUAUAAAUUAAUUAAAUUAUACCAAUGAAAAUUAAAUAAAAAUUUAAGUAAUAAAAAUGAGAAAAUAUAUGUUUCCGUUUGAAUAAAAAAUUAAUAAUAAAAUAUUUUUCUUAUUUUUUAAUAUUUUUAUUAUGAAGAAAAUAUAUUUUUCUUUUUUUAAUUAUUUUGAAAAAAUAUCCAGACUCAUUCUGCAAAGUACCCGAGGCCAAAGCGCCGAAAGAUAGGACACCCACAUGUGCUUUUAUUUACAAAAUCUAAAGUUAGGGUGGGUGUCCGAAACUUAAAUUUAAUAUAAUUUAUAAUUAGGUAAAAUUCUUUGAUUGACCCAUUAAAUUUUAUUAUUCUACUACUUAUUUUUAUAUUAAAAAAUUAGUAAUGUAGAAAAAUUCUUAAAAGUUAAUGGAGAAGGAAAAGAAAAAGAAAAAGUGUAAAUGAACUGUAUUCACCUAAGUUUCAAACACGUGGUUCAAUCUGAAUUCGCUUUUUUCAAAAGUAAAUACAAAAGAAAAUAUAAAGAAAAAAAAUUAAACGAGACAAAAAUCUGUGGCGUGGGUCAUUCAUAUCUUUUGUCAUUUCUUUUUUAGAGGUACAUGGGGUGGAUAUUUUGAAGUGACAAGCAGAGCUUUUACUGUUGCUUGCCUUAUCAUCUUUUAAAAUUAGAGUUACUAUUCUUUUAUUUUUAAGUAGCCAACGGAUGGUAGCCAACUCAUCCAUGUUCUCUAUUAUUGAAUUUAAAGAUCAAUGAUUUAUGUUAAUAAAUAUUUUGUUAACUAUCAAAGUUUUUAUUUCAAAAUUACUGUUAUAAUUCAUUAAUUUUUCAAUUUUUCCUUUUUCUAUUCACACAACAGAUUGAUUUGCCCUCCAAAAAAAUGUAUUAGAUUGUUUAAUAUUGUAACAUCAAGAAACUUAUAAUAAAUUUUUAAAGAGAUAACUAGAGAAUGUUAGCCUCGCAUCUACUCAAAAUUAAUAAAUAUACCACUAAUUCCUUAUUAUUUUUAUAAAACUAAUAACUUUCUUGGUAGUAUAAUUUUAUAGUAUUAUCCUUAUUUGUAAGUAUAUUUUUAUUCAUAUUUAUUAUAAAUUAAUUAAAUCAUAUCAAUAAAAAUUAAAAUAGAAUAAUAUGUUUUGGUGUGAAUAAAAGAUUGAAAAUAAAAAUAUUUUUCUUAUAUUUUUUGUUAUUUUUAAAUGUUUUUCAUAUAAUAAAUGUACAUUUUAUAUUCUUAAGAUGAAUUUUGAGUAAAUGACUCAUUUACUCAUUUUUUUUCUUUAAAUUUUUGUUACUAGGAGGAUUUUUAGAUAUAAUGAAAAUUGUAAGGUAGUAAGUAAUAUAUAAUAAUUUUAAUAGAGAAAAAUAAAAAAAUCUCUUAUUUUAAAAUAUAAGAAGAAAAAUAAUUAAUUUUAAGAAAUUUUAGAAGAUAUUUCAAUAUGCUGUGGAUCACACCCUCGAAUCUUUGUCGUCUCAGUCAACUAAAAGGACAGAAUAUUGAGCGUGAAGGCUCAACUGAUUGUUAAUUUCACAGCAAUUACCUUUUUUUUCUUCUUUUUUUCCUAAUUAUUUUGAAAUGGUAGGUAGCAAUUGCUUACAUCAAAAUAUUUAGACUCACUCGGCAAAGUAUCCGAGGCCAAAAUGCCAAAAGGUGGGACACCCACGUGUGCAUCUAAUUACAAAGUCUAAAGUUAAUGAAAAGAAAAAGAAAAAGUAUAAAUGAACGAUAUUCAUUCAAACAUCUAGUUCAAUAUGAAUUUCUUUUUACCAAAAGUAAAUUUGGGCGAGACUUUGCGAGGGGCCUCGGUGUGCCCGCGGGGAGUCGUCGGCUGAGCGCUGCCCAAAAAUAAGCGUCCGAAGGUCGUACGCUCGCGUGUGAGGCUGCCCUUGCUCGCGCGGCAACGUAGAGUAUGCUCACGCACGAGGCUGCCCACGCCCAGUCGCAAGUAGGGCAGCGCGCGCGACAAGUGGUUGCCCACUCUCGCGCACAAAACAAGCUUAUAAUAGAGCAGCUCCAGGCAUAUGAGGCAGUAGCCAUAAGACAUAAUUUUGAGAAUGGUGAGUGUGGAAACAGGGAGGAAUUUCAUAAGGUCAAAAAUGGGAUAUUGGCGGGCGAGGCUUUGCGAGGGGCCUCGGUGUGCCCGCGGGGAGUCGCGGGCACAGCCGCACCCCAAAAUAACGCCCCAAGGUCGGGGUGAUAAAAAGGCCUCAGUGCCCCGAGACGGGUGUGCUAUAGCCUUGGUGGGGGGCGCGGGCGAAGUUCGUCCGCCAGCGCGGCCGUGCCCGCAACUUCCGGCGGGCACACUGAGGCCCCUCGCAAAGCCUCCCCCUAUACCGAGUCCGGCGGACGAACUUCGCACGCGCCCCCCACCAAGGCUAUAGCCCACCCGUUUCGGACGAGACUUUGCGAGGGGCCUCGGUGCACCCGCGGGGAGUCGCGGGCACAGCCGCACCCAAAAAUAGUGCCCCAAGGUCAGGGUGCCGAAAAGGCCCCUAGGGGCCCCGAGACGGGUGGGCUAUACUGCCUCAAGGUCGGGUGCUAAAAAAGCCCCAGGGGCCCCGAAACGGGUGGGCUAUAGCCUUGGUGGGGGGCGCGGGCGAAGUUCGUCUGCCGGACUCGGAAUGAAGCGAGGCUAAACGAGAGCCCUCGGGUGCGCGGGCGAUGCUCGUAUGCCGGACUCAGAAUGGGGCGAGACUUUGCGAGGGGCCUCGGUGUGCCCGCGAGGAGUCACGGUGCCAAAAAGGCCCCAGGGGGCCCGAGUCGGGUGGGCUAUAGUCUUGGUGGGGGACGCAAGCGAAGUUCGUCUGCCGGACUUGGAAUGGGGCGAGGUUUUGCGAGGGACCUCGGCGAGCCCGCAGGGAGUCGGCGGCCGAGGACCAUCUUGAAGUCAUCCAUGAGGACGAUGGAGAAAUCAAGCUUUCCGCUCCACGUACUGAGUGUUAAGUGCACGCCUUGUGCAAUUCCUGCAAUUGACUUGGCGGGUGAGUUUACCGCUUUCAUCGUGCCUCUUUUCAUCUCGAUUCCCGAGGCCCGCUGGUCCCAUUGGACGAAACGGAACCACAAUCAGAUGCCUCGAUCAUGAGUUACGGCCAAAACCGGUAAAAACAACCCCGAUCUUACCCCCCGCUGGCGAUCAAAACCCGCUAACGCACUAGCGGAAAAAGGCCCCGAGACGGGUGGGCUUUAGCCUUGGUGGGGGGCAUGGGCGAAGUUCGUCCGCCGGACUCGGAAUGGGGCGAGGCUUUGCGAGGGGCCUCAGUGUGCCUGCGGGGAGUCGUGGGCACCCUGCCCUUCGGGGCCCAAAAAUAAGCGCCCGAAGGUUGGGGUAGCAAAGGCCCCAACGAAAAAAGGCCCCGAGACGGGUGGGCUAUAGCCUUGGUGGGGGGCGCCGCCGCACAAUUCAUCCUCCGCGGCCCUUUCCCCACUCCCCGGUGGGUCCGAGGUGUCCCGGAGAGUUACGAACUUGACGUGAUAAGUUGUAUAUUUCACGUGAAGUGUUACAUCCUUACUUCUUCAGCUUCCUUGUACGUUCACUUCUUAAGAAUCUGGCUAUGUUUUUUUAAUUUUAGGUAUUUUUAGUGUUGAAAUCUGGCUUGUAGUUGGGCUUAAUGAGUAGUGUAAAGAUUGUUGAUCAAUGAUUAAUGUGCUUGUUGCUGAUUUAUUUCUGUUUUUGUUUCAGAUUGGUGAGUGUCGCCUUGGUGGGGGGUGAGGGCGAAGUUCGUCCGCCGGACUCGGAAUGGGGCGAGGCUUUGCGAGGGACCUCGGGGAUGCAGCCCAGCCUCGCAUGCCAGCAGCACAUGCUCGCGGGCAAGGAUGGGCGCUCGCGCGGGGCAUACAGUAGGCAGUCGCGCGGUAAACUGCCCACGCUCUCGAGGCAAGCAGCUCCUAGUCGGGCAAGGCAGUGCGCGCUCGCCACCAAGGCAAGUAGCCCAAGCUCGCGCGAGGAAGUCAGGCCAGGCUUGUGCGCGCGCGUGGGGUGAGGCUUCGUAAGGGGCCUCAGUGUGCCCGCGGGGAGUCGUGGGCAUAGCCGCACCCAAAAAUAGUGCCCCUAAGGUGGUGGGGGGCACGGGCGAAGUUCAUUCGCCGGGCUCUGAAUGGGGCGAGGCUUUGCGAGAGGCCUCGUUGUGCCCACGGGGAGUCACGGGCACAGUCGCGCCCAAAAAUAGUGCCCCAAAGUCGGGGGGCCAUUGACUGGUGUACCACGAUCAUAUUUAACUGUUGUAUGCAUGAAUCCUUGUGACAUGACAUAUAGCCAAUUAAAUUCUGACAUGCGUGCAAUAAAGACUGUAAAGUGACCGGUUAUUCCGGUUGAAUUCACAAGAACUCUUGUUUGUGUGUUUAUGUUCCAAGUUGUGUACUCUUUGUUACGAGUUCUCUAAUUAGUCUGAUAUUAUCGCAACUGAUGCUCAAUAAUGUUACAGGUUUUAUAAUAUAUGUCACUGGUACGAUCGCUGUCACAAAUUUUGAACGAAAAGUUCCUAAUAAAACAAGUUAUUUAAUUAAUUAAAUAAGAAUAAAAUGAAUUUGUGAAAAAAAAUUUAAUUUAAUUUUGAAUUAUUUUAACCAAAAUUUAAGUUUUUUUUUUAAUUUGUUUAAGAAAAUGCGUUUUAAUUGGAAAAUCAAUGAAAAAAUUUAUGUAACAGAAAAAAAAAAAAAGCAAAACGUUUUGUUUUGGAUGGAGGCCAUAGAUUCCAAUAUUUCCUUCACGAAAACUACAAAAAAUUAUCAAAGGCAUCAAUUUCUACACUCUCACCGAGCAAUACUCUUAACCCAGAAGAAAGUGUAUAAACCAACCCCAAUCAGUCCAUCAAUGUCGUCAACCUCAUACAAUAUAAAAAAAAUCCGUGUCCAUUAAACCGUCUUUAUUGAGCCAUUAGACUAUUCGUGUCAUCUUCCCAUCUCGUUGUAGUAUUUUGCCGUUCAAAUCUAGUUAUCAAUUGGGGAAAAUGGGGACCAAUCUGCAAGUCUUUAAAAUAGAUAGGAACUUUAAUUGGGCACUAUGUUCACAGUGGUGGACCCAGCAGCAUUAAUAUUUAAGGUGGAGCUAUUUGUAUCUUAAAAAUGAUUUUAAAUAUUCUAAUUUCAAUAAGAAUAUAUAUUAUAAAAAUAUUUAUUAUAUAAGUUAUUGGACAAUAUAUUAUAAGUCAAUAUUAUAUAAUUACUUUGAACACUUAUAUAGCACAAUCCUAAUUUAAUUUAUUAUUCUCAUGACUUAAAUAUAAAAAUUUUUAUUUCCAACAUCUUAAUAAAUAUGUAGAUGAAUAAUAAGGAAAUUAACUUUGAGAAAAAAUUAAAUACAAAAUAUGUGUAAUACUUUUAAAAAUAAAAUAAAACAAAAGUAUUGCACAAGAUUUUUUUUGGGGGGAGGGGGGGGGGGGGGGCUUUGGCCAUUCUUCUUCUUCUUCUCCUUCUCUCUCUCUCUUUUUUUUUUUGGGUAGUAUUUAUGGAACAUUUUCUAUUGUUAUGUUCUCAUCACAAGUUAUUUUGGGUGUAAAAUUCAAUAUUGAAAAUAAAUUAAAUGAAAAAUUAGUAACGAAAAUUAUGUUAAAUUAUUUUUUUAUAACUUAAUUUUUAAUUAUAUUAUUGUGAGUAUAUGCUAAAUCUCUUAAAAAUAGAGUGUUGAAUAAUUUUAUUAGUUUUUUUUUAAAUAAAUAAAGUUAAGUAACUUAAAAAGUUUAAGUAAGGAUAUUUUUGAAUUUUAAUUAGUGUACAAAGUAAAGUUUAAUUUUUUUAUAAUUAAAUUAUAAACGUGAAAAAUAAUAGAAUGUUCAAAAUAAUAUUUAGAGUACUAAUAAUCCUACCUUAAUCUUUAUCAUCACAUUAUUUUUCAUAAAAAAUUUACAAUUACCUCUUUAUUGGAUAAUUUUGUUCCCUCUCUUACCUUAUGUUCCCUUACAUUCUCAUUUCUGCAUCACCAUUUAAAUUGUAAUCAUAACGUUAAUCUUUAUCCAUCACAUAUUUUGCCAAAUUUAUUCGCACCGCAAAGCUCUUUCCUUUUUUUUUUUUUCCUCCGUUAAGUUUGCUAUAAUGUACGUGAAGAAUAGUUAAAGAGCUCUUUCGUGUCCUUACCCUUUUUUUCGGGUUCACUUUUGCUGCUUUUUAACGUUUCUCCAGAAUUCACUUCAACAUGACUGGCGCAUUUUCUUCUUUCUCGUUGCAACAUCAACUGGGCCACCACCUCUUGCCUCUCCCGGUUCCCCUCAAUUUUCGUAUUCAAUGUCCACCGUUGAUUGUACAUUUAUUAAAACUCUGUGGUUAUUGUUUUUUUGCAUACAUUUAAUUCCACACGGUCUAUCAAUAGAGCAGGUGCAUCGUAGUUGUGGCCUUAACUGUUAUUGGUAACUCAAUAGCUAAUUCUAAUGUUUCAUCAAGCAGUUUAGAGAUAACCUCUCUCGCUGAACUCCUUGGAGUAACGCAAUCCAGUUUUCCAGUGCAAUCACCAGACAGUUGAACAGCUUCUGAAUUCCCUAUGCUUUUCUUGUUUUCUUUUCCAUGUAAAGGGAGCUCAGGCUUCAAUAUAUCUGGGGAUUGAUUACUAAUGAUAAAGACAACAUACGGUAGAGGACACAAAUUGUUAUUAAAGAAUGAUGCACUUUUCAACUGAGUAUAGUAAAGCAAGAAUGGGUAAUUAGUUUUACCUGCAACGUGAAAAUCUAGACUCCCGACGGUAACCGAUCUUUGGUCAAGCAAAUAAAGAAGAAGGCGAAGUAAAAUUCACUGAGUUGAAUGAGCGAUCAUUGCGUAUGGACUUGACUUGUUCAAUGGGUGAAAGACUGCUGAUAUAAUUAAAGACUGGAGAAUCCUGCACGUUGACAAGCAUCAUUUUUAAUCUAACAUAGAGUCUUAAAAACUUUGUCAGUGGCAAAUGAUCACGACAAGAAAUCUGAAGUAGAAACAGCAGAGCUCAACAAAUCACUAAGAGAAAAUAAGACCAAUAACCAAGCAGAUAAAAGAAAAGCAAAAUAACCCAUCUCAAAAUCACCGCAUGCACAAUUAGGGAUGGCAAUUUCCGGGUCCGGGUCCGGGUCCGGGUUUGGCUGUUCCGGAUCCGGACCCGGACACGAAAUUUUCAUAACCGGACCCGCAUUAAACCCGGGUUUUUUUAAUCCGGGUCCGGUCCGGGUUCAACCCGGAAAAAUCCGGGUUUCCGGAUUCCGGGUUUUGAACCCGGAUUGCUUAUUUUUUUUUUUUUAGAGACCAUAUAACUUAUUUUAACAAGGCACAGGGGAUGGGGUUUAAUGUUUUAAUCUUUUCCCCAACAACACACUACACAAUUCUUCCUAGAAUUGGUUCAAUAAAAUUUGAUGGAUAAAAGGCAAAAUAAAAGAACAUAUAACACAUCAGUGACAUCACUAGACUACUAGAACCAAAUUGUUUAACUUUGGUUCAUCAAAAUUUGCCGGACAUAGGGCAAAAAAACAGAACAUAUAAACACAUCCAGAACCACCAGCCCACUAGAACCAAAUUGUUUAACUUUGGUUCAUCAAAAUUUGCUGGACACAGGGCCAAAUAACAGAACAUAAUAACACAUCCAGCUUCUAAAACAAAUACAACACAAAUACACAAUAUAAAAUCUAAAAUUCAAAGUUUUAAAGUAAUAAACAUCCACAAAUACAAAUUCAUAACAUAAUUCUAUAAUUUAAAGCUGAAAUUUCCAGCCACUGCCCACUAGUGCUCAGAUUUCUAGCCACUGCCCACAGCCCACCAAUGCUCAAAUUUCCAGCCACCGCCCACUAGUGCUCAUAUUUCCAGCCACUGCCCACAGCCCACCAGUGCUCAAAUUUCCAGCCACUGCGGCACUGCCCACCAGUGCUCAAAUUUCCAGCCACUGCCCACCAGUACUAAAGACUAAACUCUGAAUCAUGCACUUCAUUGGACUGUUGUUCACUCAUCAAACUUUCAUCAAUCAAAUGCUCUGCAGAAAGUAUUGCUUCCUCUGGAAUUCCAUUUACAAAAAAUGUGUAAAUCAUAAACAUAAUGAACAAGACAACCAAUUAGUGACAAAUUGAUAAUAAGAACAAUACAACAAAUAAUUUGAUUCUAAUAAAUAAAAUUUUCAUACCUUUUAAGUUUUGUUCAAGCCAAAACCAAUUUUGAGUGCACACUAAUGCCUCUACUGUGGAUGGGUGAAGUCUACUACGAUGAGGGCUCAAAUGUCUACCUCCAGUGCUAAAAGCAGACUCUGAAGCAAUUGUUGAUACAGGAAUGGCCAAAAAGUCCCUUGCAAUCUUUGCAAGUAUAGGAUAUUUGCCUUGAUUAUUCUUCCACCAUGAUAAAAUGUCAAAUUGACUAGUUGAAGGCAAAGUACACUCCUCAAGAUAAAACUCUAAUUCUGAUUUGGAAUGAGUAUUUUGCGUGUUUUCAUUUCUAAAUAAUGCCCACUCAUCAGCCAUUUCAUCCAAAUCUAAAUCUAACAUAUUAGAGUCCUCUCCUCCAGCAGCUUGAGAAUUGGCACCAUUAACCCCCCCACUUGAAUUUGAUAGAUGAUUUACUUCAUACUCAUGUACUAAAUCAACAAAUAACUUACGCACUCUUUCAAUUUCAGAUUCAGCUCUUUCCCCAUAUAUUUUAGGAAAUAAAAAGUUAAUCAAUAACAUUUUACGCCUAGGAUCUAACAUAGUCCCCACUGCAAGAACUCCAUGAAUAACAUCCCAAUACUUUUCAUACUUUGCAAUCAUCCUAGUAGCCAUAUUUUUUAUCCCCUCAAUUGGUGAUUGCAACCAUGCAUUCAUUGACAAUCUAAUUUCACAAAUCUUGGCAAAAAAUAAAUUAGAUGUCGGAUAUUGUGUCCCCGAAAAAAGUUCUGUCAACUUAUAAAAGCUUUUUAAAUACUCACACAUAAGCUUUGACAAAUUCCACUCUGACUCACUAGGUAAAGAUGUAUAAUUUCUCUCACGUUCCUUUAAACGAUCAAAUACAUUUUUAUACAGCAAUGCAGUACUAAGCAUCAAGUAAGUAGAGUUCCAUCUAGUUUUACAAUCAAGUACUAAGUUUUUGGUUUCCUUAAUACCUAAUUGUUUUUUUGCAUUCUCAAAUUUUUCAACUCUAGCUGGUGUUGCUGUCCAAUAAUGAACACUAUCUCUAAUUUUCUCAACUCCCUUUUGUAUCACUGACAAACCAUCUCUAACUAUCAAGUUCAAUAUAUGAGCACAACAACGCAUGUGAAAGAAUUUGCCACCCAUAAUCAUUGAACUAGUAGAAAAUUUCCCCAACAACAAGGCAAUCAUAGAAUCAUUUGCAGCACAGUUAUCAGCAGUUACAGAGGACAAUUUUCUAUCUAUAUUCCAAUCCAUCAAACAAUCAUAUAACUCAUUACACAUUACCUCAGCACUAUGUGGAGCUGGCACAUAUAUAAACCUAAUAAUGUGAAAAAAUAAUUAAAAUAUUAGACAGGACAUUAAUUUAUGCUUAAACCAGAAAAAAAAGUUUCAAGAAUAUUACCUCAUAAUACGACUUCGCAACACCCAUGAACUAUCAAUGUAAUGUGCCGUAAUAACCAUGUAUCCUUUUUUUUGGUUACUAGCAGUCCACAUAUCAGUAGUAAUUGCGAUUCUACUCUCACAAGCUUCCAAAAUACCCAUUGUCUUUUUCUUUUCAACAUCAUAAAGCCUCAAAAUUUCAGCUUUGAUGGUGUUUCUACUAAUAGUCUCAAUAGAAGGUUGGAGUAGCUUCAACAAGUCAUAAAACCCAACAUACUCAACAAAUGCCAAUGGGAGCUCAUGUAAUACAAUCAUUCUAGCUAUAAAAAGCUUUACUGUAGCCAUAUCCCAUUUUGACUCAGAACUAAAAUUACUAAGUGAAGUGCUUCCAUCAACUUUAGAAGAAAAGGAUAGGUGCAUUUGCUGUACAUUCUUAAAUGACCUUCUAGGACAACGUUUAGCAUGGUUUAUUAAGUGAUUAGUACCCCUCGAAUAAUGUCCUUGCAUAACUAACCCACAGUAAUUGCAAAUUGCCUGAACUUCCUCACCCAACUUAACUUUUUUGAAAUGAUUCCAAGCAUCAGAGACUACUCUACCACCACUAUCUCGUUUUUGUGAAGUGACAGAAUUAGUAUUACCCCUACGGCCACGGCUACGGCCACGACUAUUCCCCUGAACUGCUGCUGUUGAAUUUGGUUCUAAUUCAACAGCUGUAUCGUUAUUAUUUUCUAAUUCUGUCCUAACUCUCACACAAACACUUUCAUCACUUUUUUCAGAGGCGUCCAAGUCGAUUCUUUGUUCAUUUUCCAUAUCAAAUUUUCACUCUACAAAAAUUAUGUCAAGAUAUAAUUAAUUCCAGCAACUUCUUCCAAUUUAUAUGCUAUGUUUAACCGUAAAAGCUAUAAAUAAUAUUUUAGAGAUACCAUUUCUAUUCUAUUAACAGCAACAAUAAAAAUAAUUCAAAAAAUAAACUAUAAAUAAUAAAAUUGAAGCAUAACAAAGUAUAGAUACUAAAAAUCACAGAGUUUAGCUAUUAAAGUCACAAAGUAUAGAUAUUAAAAUUACAAAGAGAGCAAAACAGAACACAGAACACAGAGCACAGAACACAGAACAUAUUUGAUUUGAAAACUCAAUGUUAAUGGGUCUUUUAAGCAAAGGUAUGUUAUCAAGUUUUUAUGCAACCUUAGAGAUAGCUAGUAUAUUUAAUCUAUCUCUACAGAAUUCUGAUACAGAUUAGUAUGAUUUACUGUGUUAACCGAUAUUAGACUUCUUUUGCAGACUCAAAAAAGUGCCUGCGACAAAUUUGCAGAUAUCCUAAACAAUUCUUACUGCAUUGGCAGAUUAUUCUAAAUUUCUAAUCGAGGAAAAGGAUCAGGAGUGUACAAUACUAACUGGAAAGAGUCAUUACUCUUCAAGCAACUCAGUAUACACAAGUAGUAAAAGCACAGGACAAGGUCGAACCCAAUUUCAGUGAGAGAAAGCAGAAGCAAGCCAAACAGAGUAUUAAUGCUAGUCAGGCUCAGAACUACCAUUCAUGCAGCUAGCCAUAGGCAGCAGCCCUUUGGCUAAUUAUACUUCAAAUUCAAUUCUAAGCUUACUCACUAACCAACUCUUAAUGCACAAAACCAACAAUACGCGGCAGAAGAAAAAUGGCAACUGUUCUGUUUUAGACAACAAUUUCUCCUUGUGCCAGAAAAACAAAGAACAAAAAGAGGCAAAUAAUUCAGAAAAACAAAAAGCUUAUAAUUAGUCAAGUGCUCUCAUAUGUCAUAUACAAAGAAAACAAUGUAUGAGGAAAAAUCAAAUUGUGCCAGCAGCAAUACAAGCUCAAAGCAUAACAGCACAAAAAUUGCAAAGAGGGAAAAUCAAAGUGUAAUAGAGCAUAAAUUGUAAAGAGAAAAGCCGAGACUCACAAAUAUUCACAGCGGCAACUGAAGUAUAUGCUGAUGAACACAGAACACAGCAGCGAGACUGAGGUGGAUUUCAACCCCUUUUGCUGGCCGCGACAGAGUGAGAGAUCAGACGAGUGAUGAAACGAACAAAGCCUCGCCGUGAAGGUGAUGACAAGCCACGACGCGAAGGAUCUGAUCUGAUCUGAAGAAGAGAUUACAGGAGAGUUGCAGAGAGAGUGAGAGAGAUUAAGUGACGAUGGAGGACUGAGAUGAGCAAUGAGUCACGGCUCACGGGUGAGAGAGAUUGAGAGAGGAACGGAUUACGGUUUACGGAUGAGACUUGAGAGAUUGAAAGGAGAAAUUACAGAUUUACAGUAAUUUUUUUUAGGUUGAAGGAGAAAUUUCGAGAGAGGAUUAGAGGAACGAGACGAGAGAGAUCUAGAUUCUAGGGUUCACUUUUGUUUUCGUUUUUUUUUUUUCUAUUUAUAAUUACGGAUUUACGGAUCAAAAUUAAUAUUAAAAUAAAUAAUAUCCGGGUCCGGGUUCCGGAUUUGCGGGUUCACCUGAAACCGGAUCCGGACCGGAAAAAUGCGGGUUGUCAAAAACUGAUCCGGAUUCCGGAUAAAAACUAUGCCGGUGCGGGUUGAACCCGGACCGGAUUUUCCGGGUUCAAUCCGGGUCCGAUCCGGGUCCGGGUUUGAUUGCCACCCCUAUGCACAAUUUAAGGGGUUUGUGACAUGGGUUUAAACAUGAUUUAACAAGUGCCACCUGUGAAUUGUCAGAGAUUGUAUUUUCAUACACAUGUCAAAUUUUCAAGUCCAACAAAUUGUUAUCUUUCUAAAGAGGCUAAUAUUAUUAUUAUCUAUGCAUAGCAUGCUAGAAACAAUUCAUAUUACUAGGGCCUUUGUUUUCUGUAAACAACAUAUGGACAGAGGAACAAAUCCCUGAGCUAAAAUCAUCAUAUUCCAAAAUAUUCUAUUAAAUCAACACCACAAAACGCGAACGCUAAACAGAAUUGGAGCAAUUUACCAAAGCUAUUUGUCACGCAAAGCACUAGUACCUCAGAACCCAAUUUGCAAAACAGCACCAAAAAUGAAAAAUAACAAAUGCCCAGAUGAAAUAUCAGGAAAAAAAAGGCUCAAAUCCAAAUUACAACCCCAUAAGCUGAAUCGUUCUCUUCGAACUGAAUUAAAAAAAAUUAAAAAAAUUAAAUAGGGAGAUUGACCUCAAACUUUGGAAACAGGAGCGACAGCGAUCUGUUUCUUGUCUGGAGUGUCCAUUUCUAUAAUCUACAUUGUCCAUUUUCAGUCGCUCUGCCACAGAGCUUCUUCCCUCUGAAGCUGAAGCUCACACACACUUGCAAAACGAAAGCAUUUUUAGUGAUUGAGAGGCGGGAAGGCGGGAAAAUGAGAGAAAUUUACAUUUGUUUUCUCUUGGUUUGGUCAUACCUGUGCGGGCCCCAGCUUGACAAGCGGUAUUAUUACUAUUUGUAUAAUUUAAAUGACGCGUGUCAGGCAAUGACGAUAAAAAAUAUAUACAUAUAUUGUUAAUUUUUCACUUAACAUUAAAAUAUCAUAUAAUUUUUCCAAUUUUAUGGUUAUUUUCUCGCCCUUAUGCCACAUUCUUUUGAUCAAAUAAUACAGUAAAACUUUUCUAUAAUCAUAAUAUUAGAGCCAAAUUAAAUUUGUUUCUGUAAAGAGGCUAUAGCUUAAUAAAGGUAAAAUUAUAAAAAUUAUUAUUUUGACUCAGUUAUCUUUAGUGCAAGUGAUAUAAAGUACAGAUAUAUGAUAAUUAAUUAAUGAACUAUGUCAAAUACAAUAUGCUGACAAUGAUAAAAAAGAUAGACAUAAUUUCAAGAAACUAAUACAUAUAUUUAUGUAGUGCUGGGAUUAUACAAAAUUAUCUUAAAAGUGUAAAGAUUAAAGUACUAUUAUGAUUAAUUUAAAAAAAUUAUUUUAUCUUAAUCUUUAAUGCAACAUAGUUUUUUUUUUUCUUAGCAACAAAGCAUUGUUCCAAAUAAUUAUUAUUGGAUUCAAAUCAUGUCCUAGGCAUUUUUUCUUCUGGUCGUCUUAAACUUUUAAUGAUUUAUUGGCAUGUGUCAUUAAUGAAAUUAAAUAACUAAGACUUUGUUUUAAUUAACGUUUACAUAAAUAGACAUCAAAACUCACGUGUGAUUCUUAUCAAUUUUUUUCCUGCAAUUUUUUUCCUCUCAACUAUUCAUAUUUUGACAUUAAUUUCCAGCAAAUUAUUAAAAAAGAAGAAGCGUAAAAUGGAGAAAAGUGAUUGACAACAAGGUUUGCAUCUUAAUUUCAAAAUUUUCCUUUCUUUGCUAUUUUUGUGGGUUCUACAAUUGUUGUUUUCACUCUCAGCUGCAGUUCAAUGAACUCUAUUAAUAACCAUGAAGCUUAAUGUAUCAAUUCCAGUACGACAAGUCCUUCUACGCAUGUUACAACACUUUUUUGUCAUUAUAGGUUGCAAAUGUUCCGUAAUGUACUCAUUCAUAUAACGGAAACGCUAUUAUCAAUAAUGAAAGUUGACUAAGUUUGUAAAUUCUAUUUAACGAAAAAGUAUCAUAAAUUUAGUUGAACAAGAGGUAAUUAAUAUGUAAUCUAUGAAACUAGGGUGUGACUAAGUUACAUAGUAAUGUAACUUACAUGAACACAAAAAUAAUUAGUUUUUAAACUACAAGUAGCUUUGAAACAGCUCUUAAAUUGAUAUAAGUUCUAUUAUUAUGUAACUUAGCAAGGUCAGAUAUUUUAAUAAUAGCUUACUCUACCGUGCCAAUGUCAUUAGUAUUAAUCUGUUGAACCUAAGACCAGAUCUAAGCUGAUCUAGAUUCCCCAAGAUCGCACACCACACAGUGAUUAAUGAAUCAAGAACAAUAAACCAUCAAAGAAUCGCAAACUUACAUGUCGGGUUACAUGUAAUAAAUGUUUUAAUUAUUAGAUGAUUCAUAAUGUUAGACCAUUUUUUGUAUGUUUUGUAAUCUACGUUUGAUAAUUUAAUUAGCUGAUAAACACUUGAAUAAUAUUAUUUUAUUAACUAUGUCAUUGAUCCCCAGGAAAAAAAAAAAAACCAAUUUGGGAUGUUAUACAUUGCUUUUUCAUUAAUUCCCAUUUUAUAUUAAUAUUUAUCACAUAUAUUCUUAGUAACUUGUAACCCUUUUUGCUAAGGGUGAAAUGUGUUUGUUACCCCUUCUAUUUCUGAGAUUGUCCUUACAAUAAGGAUGCCGGCCCCAAUGUCAAAAACUGCUAUCUCUGGGUGUAAAUUCCUUAUAAAAUUCUUUUUUAAUUGAAAUUACUUAAAUAAUUGAAGAUAAAUUAAUUUUUUAUUUCAUUCAAAUAAAAAAAAUCAAUUAAACACUUAAAUAAGCUAUCCUUUUAAUUUUUUUUUUACACCCCUCCAGUUUCAUAAUUUAUAUUUAUAAUUUAAAUUUUAAUGGAAAAUAUUUUUUUGAAAAAUUUUAAGAAUUAAGAAUUAUGGGGAUAAAAAUUAUGUAAUAAGAACAAAAUAAUUUAAAAUUUUAAAAUUUGCAUGCAUUAUAAACAAAAACUUGAAAGAAAUACUCUUUUCAGGGUGAAAUUUAAUGAGAAAAAGAUUAAUUUUAAUUUAUGAAUUAGUAUUUUAUAAGUUAAACUGAGGUAUUUCAAGAAAUAGAAUUCAAAAGGCAUGGGAACGAGGGCCUUGGGUUUCAUUUUGUUUUGUAGGAAUUGGGAAAAAUACACGGACAGACAAAGGGAGCAGUCAUUAUAAUGCUGUGAAGCUGGUCGGAGAUACCCUGCCCAUUUGUAGCUUAGACUCCUGGGGUUUUGUUCAUGUCUUUUAUGUAUCCCACUUUUUCAUGCAGCAGAUGUACAUAUGAUGAGAUGAAAACAACAGCAAAAAUUGCUGUCUCAUAAGAGAAAUAGUCAUACAUAGUUGGUUAGGCCUCCUGUCCAUUAACUUAAUAAUGAAUUUUAUGAAAAUUGAUUAUCUCAUUGGAAUUACAUAGAUAUUGGAAAACAUUACUCCAGCCCCACCAUCCCAACCAUUUACUUAGUUCAUCAGUAAAAGCUGGAUUUUCCAUUUGUUCUUGAGAUUCAAAUUAAGGCAACAAGUUGCUCAUUCUAUAUUAUCUAUGUAAUCCUGUAAAAGUGAAGGGCGUUUAGAUGUGGAAAAACCUUACUCCUGCCGCAACACCUCAAACAGAUUGUGAUCAGACAAGACUUAGUUCAUCAUUAGCGGUAGUUGGAGCUUCCAUUUGUUCUAGAGAUUCAAAGGCAGCAAGCUGCUUCCUCAGUGCUACUAAUUCUUCCCCGGCAUUGCAUAUGUAGCCUGAGGCUCGUCUGCCAGACAAAGUUGCUCCUUCCAUACUAUCUAUGUAAUCCUGUGAGAGUGAAACCAUUUAGAAGACAUCUCUUUUUUUUUUUCAAUAUUUGGAAUGAAACAAUUAUAUACAGUUACCUGUUUUGUAUAUGAGCUGGCGAGGAAGAAGUUCUUCAUUGGUAUCUUUUGAUCAGGUCUGAAGGGGUCUUUACCAGGUCCCUCACCUCACAAAGAUUGCCGGAUUUUGACGACAGAUAACCAAAUAACUUCUAAACCUUGGGAUGAUGGAAUUAGAGCUAAAACCUAAUAAAAGGAACCGUGAAUGGAUAGUAUGGAUUCAUGUAUAUUAUCCAGAAAGUUGCAUGACCGUUUGUGGUACUCAGGUCACUAAAAAACGUGAGAUAAACAUCUAGGAUAAGAAAAGCAAAAAAGCGUAACCUAAUAUGUAUUAUAUGAAUUGAAGGUGUCACUGAACACUACUAACCUGCUUUGCCACUCUCCUUAUGAUUUCAUCAUUUGGUAAGGGCAUAUAAGGAUCUCCAGGCGUCAAAACGCAUCUGAAAGAUAAUAUGGUUAUAGGAAGCAAGAUGGAAUACAAAGACACUUGGCAAAAGGAAGUCAAUCAGAUUCCAUGCACAAAAAAUAACUAAAAAUGACGAGGAUAAGAAAUGUUUCUUACUGGAGAAAUGAACCUUGCCCUUCUCUGUAGUAGUAUUCUGGUGAAGUGAGUGCUAGAUCUGCAAAGCAAGAGAAAUCUGCAUCUGGAGUAUAUAAAAGGUUAUCUAACCCCACAGCUUGCCUCAAUUGCCUACAUGUUCAAUACAAGGAUCCGUUAAAAAAUGGAAAUUUCUUCAAUGCAUUAGUAAAGGGGAGUGAAGUGAAAGCUGAUUUCUUAGGCCUUCACAGAGCAUCUUGUGUUUGACAGCAAGCAUUAAAGAAUAAACUCAAAGUCAAUGCUUCUAACAGAUGAUAUAAACAACAAAUUUACAAAUAUCAGGUCAUUGCAUUAGCUCCAUGCCUCCGUCAGAGCGAACAUUAAUAGAUGCGUAAAAAAUAAAUAAGAGCGAUAUGUGAAACAAUUUACCUUAGACAUGGCAAGUCCUUUGACAAAUGUUUCCCCGUUAGCAGAUUUAUCAUAAUGCAUCUCUCUGCAUCCCCACCUAAGAUGGAACCUGUUCUCACAAGAACAGAUUCCAAGGUUGGGAAAAUCAAUUGAUCAUCGGAGAAAACAAACAGGAUUAACAAAUCACUACAAUGGUGUGAACCUGUAAAUACAAACGUACCUGCCCCCUUUAUCUGUGAUAUAUUUUCUUAUUGGCCCACUCAAAUAAACAUCCGGAGAACCCUUGAGCAUCUGCAAUAGGGAAGCCUCGGUCUUAGUUGCAAACAGUGCAAAUAUAGUAUGCAUACAACGAGCAAUGAUGUUAUCACAAUCAAUAAACCCAAGGGCAAACGCAACAGGAUCUUACAUUCUUUGGAUACUCAUCCAUGUACCACCCUUGGACAAAAACCAAUCAGAGAAGCUUAUCUGUAAGAAGAAAUGAAGUUUGAGGUAAAAUAAAAAUUUGUAGGAACAGGGAUUGAAAUUCAACAAACAAGAAAAUAUGUUGUUUGUUGAAAUUCAACAAACAACAAACAAGGCUCCAUCAGGAUCAAGAAGUGCCUUUACAACAGGACUCAGCGCAAGAGCAAUAGCAUUUCUUGAUUUAUCAUAAGUCUGCACUUGAGCAAUAUACGAGGCAAAGUACAUCAAAAGAGAAUCCAAAAGAGGCAAGAAGCUUCAACAUGAAAAAAGGAGUACUGCCUCGUCAUACUGCUUUGCAAUCACAGUGCAAAAGAUAACAUCAACAAAAUCAAAAUCGAGCAUAAAUCCGUAUGCACUACCUUAAGCUGAUUUGUAGACAAAAAUGCACGAAUCCCAUGUAAUGGAGCUCCAAUCGGAAACCGGAAAUCAAGUUCUGGAGUUGAAAAUCAAAAUCAUGAAUCAAAUCAGAGUUAUUAUUGAAUUAGACAAUCCAUAAACCAAUAGAAGGUGAUGUCAAACCAUCAAGCAUAACUAUUAGUUGUUUUAAGUGAUCAAGAAAUAACUGUACCACCAAUUUCACCACCCUUAUUUACAAAUUUAUGAGUAUGAUCCUUCAUGAGUAAAUUUUCGUCCGCACCGACCUGUCGACAUCCAUGAAAAACUAUCAGAUCAUAAACACAUGUUCCAGUUAAAGAGGAUCUAUGAUUCUGAUCCAUCAUGUUAUUUGAACAACAUUUUCGGAUUUUCUUACAACCCUAAGCUAUUAUCAGUUAUCAUCGCUACAAAUGAUAUGGUCAAGAGGAAUGAUAGUUCUUGUUUCAAGAAUCUCAAAUCGUAAUUCUUUUGCAUGGCUUCUGUGCUUUUAUAAUCAUUCAAACACGCAUAUCCACAACUAAGCAAGCUUUACCUUUUUUGUCAAUCGGAACAGAUUAUUGCAGCAUCCAAAGAAAAUGUGCAGGCUGAUUUCAAUAUGGUUUCCAUGUUUACCGACAAAUGAAGCCACUUUACCACCAAUAAAAGACCUCAACUCAUAUAUAUCCACCUGGAAGAAAGGAAAAUUUAAAAAAAAGGAACUUCUAAUUUCUUUCACCAUCAACAAAAUCAGAAAAACACAUACUAAUUCAAAAUGAAAUAAAGUUUGUGAAUUGAAAUAAUGCCAACUCCUAAGAAAAAUUAUGACUGCUGAUAUUUUUUCCGAAAUGCUGAUAAAAGCUUCUGCUAUUUACUUUGAAAAAAUUGAGGUUAGAAGCCUAUUUACUUGAAAUUUUGAGUUUAGGCAAGAGGAUGAAUGGUAAAAGUGAAACAUUUUAGGGAAAAAUGUACGUCAGUGGCCAAUGAAAGCAUUAAGAAGAUUGAAAUCUAAAUGAGCAAAACCUCAUGGCCUUGAUCCAACAAUUCCACUGCUGUUGACAUGCCUGCAAGCCCAGCUCCAAUAAUAGCCACUUUCAGCUUUGGUCCUCUAUAAUGUUCCGGUUCUGGUGGAAACAAUUAAACAAACCCUUGGGAGCUGCCAAGUAUACCAUCCAAUUAUCCACAGCGAUAAUGGAAAUAUAUAUGUGUUUGAAAGUACUAAAUUCCUAAACAUGACAUGUAUCCAAAAAGUGACGCAAAGCAGAAUUGCGGAAGCAUUUCAAUUCCCAAUAAAUUUCAAGAAUACAAAAUACUCGGUCUGUUCUUUCAAUUCCUUCAAUAAAAUUUCCACUAGAGGCUACGCAAGCCACUCAAUAACACUCCAAAGCCAGAUUUUAAACGUUAUCUUUAUCUUUAACUCCAAUCCAUAAACAAUUCUGCCACAAAUUCAAUCCAAAAUUGUUCAAGUGCACCGCCAAUUCUCCAUCAAUUCCCUCAAAAAUUCAUAAUUGGCAAACACUACAAACCCAAAAGAGCUUCCAGCAAUAAACGCAUAAAAAUCCACCAAGCAACAUAAAACAAAAUACCCAGAAACCAGAAAAGCCAAAAGAUCAAUGCUUGGCAAACAAGCAAAUCAAAUAAAACAAAAAGAAGUGGAAUUUACCCUUAACGCUCAUAUCAGAAACAUUAGUGUCCAAAGAAGCCCGUACACGGAAUCUUGGACCCUUCACUUGAACCCGAGACCAUCUAACGCCAGUAACUGAAGUUGCAGGAAACAGAACUGAAGAACCCAUAUUGCAAAUCCUGAGCUGAAAUCAAAGAAAUUCAAUUGGAACUCAAUUCAGCUCAACCGAGCGGAGCUCUCUUUUGCUUCAAUAACAAAGUGUUUUUCUUUCAUAUCAACAAAGAUUUGUCAACAUCAACAAAAUUUAACUAAGAAUCUAACAAGAUGCUAAGGAAGAGAGUUUUGUCAGGGAACUGUUUCGGUGUGGUUGGCCAAGUGCUUCUUUGUUUGUUUUUUUUUUUUUCUUUUUUUGCCCUUUUCAUUAAUACACAACAGUAGUACUCGUGAAGAGCACAAAAUGUUGGUGACUUUGUCACUAACGAUACCAAAGUGGAGUGACCAGAGCAACCAACUAAAUUUUAAAGAGAGGGAAUGAUAAGUAAUAUUUUCUUUGGGUGAUUAAUUAAUUUAUUAUCAAAUAAUUUUAUUUAUUUAUUUAAACGACAUCCUUAUCUUUGUACAAGGCAGCUGAAAGAUGACGAUGUUGUGUUGUCACAUAUUUUUGGGCCGACCGUUUCUUGUUUCGGCUUAAAUGAGGCUUUUGUAAUUUUGUACUAAAAAGUGGCAUUGGCUGGAUGGCCAAACUGCAGAGUUCAAGUCUACAAUAGAGAAUCGAAAUUUACCUUUGUAAAUGUUCAUAAGUAUUUACCACAGAUUUUUAAGUUAUUCUUGAUAGAUCCCCUACCACAUACGCUAUAAUAUUUCUCUCCUUUUAAUUUAAAAGUAAAUCAUGCAUAAUAACGGGUUUGUAAAGAAAUGAAAUUUCUGUUAAUUAACUGUCAAAAAAAAAAAGAUGGAUUAAGCUAAAGAAGUUAUUAUAGAGUAAGUCGAGUACUUGACAAUCAAAGUAAUUUUACUCGAGGUUGAGUAAGGAUAGUACGAUACUUUCUCAAGUUUUCUGAGGACAUUCAUGUGACAUUGGACUAUUGACUAUAGUUAGAGAGAAGUCCAAGGAUGUAAGUGAUGAUGAUAGAUUCACAAUUCUUUUGAAGAAAAUAUUUUAUAUAAACUUAAUUAUAUGGUAUAAAAUGAUUGGCCUCAAUAAAUUAAAAAAUAAUACACGCCUGGAUCAUGCAAUAUUUUCAACCAAAUAAUUUACACGCAAAAUUAAACUUUAUGAGUACAUUUAUUUGCUAGCAGAAACUCUGCCAAAUUUUCCGAAAUGUGAAAGUGAACACUUUUAACAACGGCACAAAAUGCAUGUGAUAAGUUUUUGUUAGAAUUUGUUUUCUUCUUUGUUUUGAUUUACGCGACAGAUAGUUGUAAAGCGUAAAAUUUUAAAAUCCGCAACAAAACAAAAACUUACAUGGGUUGGCCGCACCUUUCGUGCCUGCUUUCGUCUAAUAGUAUUUGAUACGUACAUCAAUAUAAUAUCAUGGACAUUGAAUUUCAAAUUAACAGUUGGUUUUAUAAUAAAAAUCUUUAUGUUAUAUUACGUACAUCAAUAUAAUAUAAAUUUGUUAUAUAUAUUUUUUUUUCUGUAACCAAUGCUUUCAAAAACUUUAUAUUUGUAUGUUUGAACAAUUUUUUUUUGCAUUCUAUUUAUAUACGGUAUCAUUUAUGUUUACAUAAAUUUUCAUAUCUACCCAAAUUAAGUAUUAAAUACACAGACACUUUGUUAAGACUCGUGUAAUAAUUAAUCUUAAUAAUUUCUUAUACAAAUACAAUCCUUUAUCUAAGACCAGCAACGUCACUCAUCAUAAUUUUUCACCAAAUAUUGUAAAGUUGUUGUAGUAGUAUAGUUAUCAUGGACAUUGAAUUUCUAGUAUCAGACAAUGAUAUUAUAUUGAAUGUAGUGCUUCAAUGAAUUUUAUUACUAUAUACUAAAAUACUCAACGAUCUUCAUUAAAAAAAAAAAAAAUUGCAUGAUUAGAAUGAUUAAAGUUCAUUUAAUGACGAGUUUCAUCAUUGACUGUGUCGAAACACAACAGCAAUCCACAAUACACUUAACACGACAAUCAUGCAUGAAUCUUCCACCAUUAAACCUGAAAUCAUAAAAUGAAAGAAACAAGAUGAGGGUUGUUUUACCGUCUAAAAGCCGAUUCGAAAUACUAAUAAUAAUAAUAAUAAUAGACCUUUGUUAAUAGUUACUACUAGUGGUCACUGCCUUGUCCAUCUUCCUUCUCUGUAUCAUCGUCCUCUUCCAAGCCGCUGUCAUCUGACCAAACCCCAGCAACCAUCCUGGGAAAACUCGCCUCCUUGUUUUAGGAGCAGGAGCAGGAGCAGGAGGAGGAAAUUAAGUUAGGGAUUUGGAGUGAGAGUGAAGGUGGAGAAAAAGCAAGAGAGCGAAAAAGCUGAUUGUUGAGAAAUAUAUACCUUUCGUAUGGUUGUGUUAAGGUCGUCCUUCCAAUCCCAACAUGCUUCACCCAGCCGCUGCACUUUGUGUAAUUUGGGUGUACUUAAUUUUCCUGCAGAGAAAAUCUUCAUAUCGGGGCAAUCAUCCACCACUAAUCUUUCCAAAGAUAGGAAAUUGAAAGCACAAUUGCCAGAGCAGAAGCUUGUCAGACUUUUUAAGUGUAAAAGCUUCAACUCUUUCAAUUCUCUGAAAGUAAUAACCUCAUCUUUUGCUACAACAUCAUCCACCAGUACUAUUUCUGUUAAACCUGAAAUCAUAAAAUGAAAGAAACAAGAUGAGGGUUGUUUUACCGUCUAAAAGCCGAUUCGAAAUACUAAUAAUAAUAAUAAUAAUAGACCUUUGUUAAUAGUUACUACUAGUGGUCACUGCCUUGUCCAUCUUCCUUCUCUGUAUCAUCGUCCUCUUCCAAGCCGCUGUCAUCUGACCAAAAACUCGCCUACUUCUUUUAGGAGCAGGAGCAGGAGGAGGAAAUUGAGUUAGGGAUUUGGAGUGAGAGUGAAAGUGGAGAAAAAACAAGAGAGGAAAAAAGCUAAUUGUUGAGAAAUAUAUACCUUUCGUAUGGUUGUGUUAAGGUCGUCCUUCCAAUCCCAACAUGCUUCACCCCGCCGCUGCACUUUGUGUAAUUUGGGUGUACUUAAUUUUCCUUCAGAGAAAAUCUUCAUAUUGGGGCAAUUAUCCACCACUAAUCUUUCCAAAAAUGGGAACUUGAAAGCACAAUUGCCAGAGCAGAAGCUUGUCAGGUUUUUUAAGUGUAAAAGCUUCAACUCCUUCAAUUCUCUGAAAGUAAUAACCUCCUCUUGUGCUACAACAUCAUCCACCAGUACUAUUUCUGUUAUCUCAUCGCAUGAUUCUAUCUCCAUAUAUCUAAGUCGCACCAGAGUCUUUGCAAUUGAGGGUGUUAAUACGAUUUUCAAGCCUUCGCAACACGAUACCACCAGAUUUGCAAGAUUCUGAAAGGAUGUCGAGGAUGGCACUAGAUUGACCAAACGGUCACACCCCAUUACACGUAGAAUAACCAAGUUGUUCGUAACAGAGGACUCCUCUAUCAAAAUGUGUUCCAGUGGAUAUUUUGCUUCUCUUAUUUCUACCCCCAUCCCAUUUUCAACCUUCUCAUACAGCAACCAAGCACCAUAUCCUCCUAUUUGGAGGACUUUCAUCGUGUGAAGUCUCUGGAGGAAGUCAAAAAGUGAUAAAAUAGUCCGCUCAUCACCCAAUGUCACAUAAAGAUAUUUUAGUUUGCAAAGCAAGCCUUCAGAAAAUAGAUAUUUAUUUGUUACUAAGUGCUCUGCAUCAAUAUCCAACUCUUCCAAAUUAGGGAAUACCUGGGAGAUCAAUCAGAACCCCAAAAAAAAAAAAAAAAUACAAGAUGAAUCAAUUGAUGAGAAAUAUAAGUUACCACUAAUUUAUAAAAUAUAUUUUAUUCAAUAAAUCUUAACCUUAAAAAAAAUAGUAAUAAUAAUACGCCUAACAUCUAGAAUAAUUAUGAAUGAAUAAAAUUCACAGUACAUACUUAAGAAUUGAAAAUUUGAUUAUAAAAUUCUUGUACGUACCCUUUCCGUCAAGAUAUUAGUAGUUCUUUUGUAUCUCGCCAUGAAUUCAGGACAUCCAGAUAUCAUUAAUUCUUUCAAGGAUGGAAAUUCAAGAAUAUCAAGAUCUCCAGUGCAGAAGCUUGUGAACUUUUCAAGACCAGACAUCCUCAGAUAUUGCAACUGGGGAAACGUUACAAUAUUAUUCUUCAUUUCUUCUUGGUUGUCCACGACUAUUAACUCUUCCAGGACAGGACAUCCGGCUAUCUCAAUGCUUUGGAGUCGAACAAAGCUACUAACAGUAGAAGAUGAAAAUAGACAUCUUAAAUUCAUACAUCGGUGCAGGGUCAAGCGCGUUAAAUUCUGAAUACCACAAGACAUGACUGUAACUUGGAUCGGCCAAAUCCUCUCAACAUUUAUUGAAUCCAACGUCAACUUCUCUAACUCUGGUAACCGAUCCUGCUCGAUCAAAAAAUUAACUUGUUAAUUGCAAGUAAACGAUCAUUGAUUAUAAAAUUCUUGUACGUACCCUUUCUGUCAAGAUAUUAGUAGUUCUUUUGUAUCUCGCCAUGAAUUCAUGACAUGCAGAUAUCCAUAAUUCUUUCAAGGAUGGAAAUUCAAGAAUAUCAAGAUCUCCAGUGCAGAAGCUUGUGAACUUUUCAAGAUGAGACAUCUUCAGAUAUUGCAACUGGGGAAACGUUACAAUAUUAUUCUUCAUUUCUUCUUGGUUGUCCACGACUAUUAACUCUUCCAAGACAGGACAUCUGACUAUCCCAAUGCGUUGGAGUCGAACCAAGCUACUAACAGUAGCAGAUGAAAAUAGACAUCUUAAAUUCUCACAGUCCCACAAGGUCAAGUGUGUUAAAUUCUGAAUACCACAAGACAUGACUGUAACUUGGUUUUGCCAAAUCCUCUCAACAUUUAUUGAAUGCAACUCCAACUUCUCUAACUCUGGUAACCGAACCUGCUCGAUCAAAAAAUUAACUCGUUAAUUACAAGCAACAAUGAUUUCUGUUGAUGGACAAAUCAAUAAAAUUACUCUUUCUCUGGUUAUAGUUCUUUUCAGUUUUUCAUACAAACAACCGUUAAUCAAGUUUUCCAAAUUAUUCCUUACUAAAUGUAUAGAUUUAGACGGCGGCUAAUAUAAUUCAUAUUGUAAAUAUUCUUUGAUUGUAACGAAUUUUGUAAUAUUAAAUUUUGGUUGAUUCGCAAUAGGACCUACAAUCCAGCGCGAGCAGUUCUCGGGGAUUUAACUACUGGCACCUCGAUUAUAUAAAAAUUUGGAAUAUUUUCAAAGGAAAUCACAUAAUUCCCCCUUGCAAAUAGUAAUUAUCAUCAAUUGCCGCGGGUUCACAUAUAAUUCUAAGAAAUUAGGCGAGAAGAGUCUCAUCAACAAUCAAUCAGCAGAUAUCACGUUUGGCAGAUCAUCAUGAUUUCCUCAGAUGCUAGAGAAUCAACGUGAUUUCCGCUCAUGCAGGAGUGGACACAUUAUCUUAGAGCAUCCCUCACUGAGAUCUUUUAAAAAAUUUAUAUUAUAAAGUGAACAACAUAUUUAGUAUAGAUUUAGACGACGGCUAAUAUAAUUUAUAUGUAUUCUAAUGACGUAUAUUAAAGAAAAUGACUAACCAUAAUUUCAAUCAACUUAUUAUUCUAUAUAUAUAUAUAAUAUUCAGUGAUUACAACAUAUUUAGUAUUCCAUAACAUGAUGUUUAUAAUAAUAAUUAUUAUUAAUUCACUUAUUGUGUCAAGAACCUUUUCUUUCUCUAAGAAUGAAUUUGUUACACCCUACUAUACUACGGAUGAAAAAUUUAGAAUAAUUGUGAAAUAUAAUUAUUAAUCAAUCUUUGACAGAAUUGCUACCAAACAGGAAUAUAACAAAGAAAAAAAAACAAAAAUUAUAGAGAAUUAAUAAGACGAUUGACUUAUCAAUAACUGACCUUCUCAGUGAAAAGUGUAUUAGAAAUUUGGACAUUGUCCUCCAAAAUGAUUUCAUGUGACCGCAAAUCAUUAGCUGAUUCCUCCUGUCUCUGCUAACAUUGCAGGUGUAUUGAUUUUAGAGUGUAAGCUUAAUUGUGAGCACAACCUUAAUGCAUAGAUACAAGAUCUUUAAAAAUUAGUACAAUAAACUUAGCACUAAAUCUGAAUUUGAUAUUUUGGAUUCCAUGAUUAAGAUUUUUUUUAAAUGAAAAUUUAAUAGAGUUAAUUUAAAAAUAAAAAUUAAAUAUGAAAAAUUAGACUUGCAAUUAUGGAUUUAAUUUUGAUAAAUAAUGAAUGUUCUCUUAAUAUUUUUUUUUAAAAGGUAAAAGAGCGUACAAAGCCCAAAUUCAUUUUUUUAGUCCCUUACUGUCCCAUGAUUCAAACUUGGGUGGUUGUAGGAGGACUGAAAAUAUAUAAGACAGUUAACUUCACUUUUUUUUUUUUUUUUUUUUUGAGAGAAAAGAGAAGAAGGAUAUUACAAAGCAUGAAGCUCGUGCAAUAUAAGGGCAAUGAUGGUUUUUUCUUUAAAUUAAAAUGGUAAGAUUUUGAAGCUAAAAGAUUAAAAUAUUAAUUAAAUUGCAAACAUUAAAGAUUUUUUUUUUCAAAUGGUUGCUUUGAAAAUGAGAAUAAUAUUAAUAUUUGAAGACUUUUCAAAAUAAAUUACUGUGAUAGAUGCACUAGAAAUUUCUAGCUUUAGUCUAAUGUAUAAAUUGACAAAACGAUAUUAGAAUCCCAGGUGAAAAGAACCCUCUCAUACCAAUUAUUUAAAUUAGGAAUGAUCAUACCUCUGACUCUGCCGAACUGAGGGCGGGGUCUAAACCCCUCAUACGGAGACGCUUGAGAUGGGAAGAGCCCACUUUGACUAAUUCAUUACGAAUAUAAUCGACAUCUUGCUCUUGCAAUCCACGUAAUUCAAGGUCUUCAAUUCUCUGCAGUUGCACGAUCAGCGAAUCCUUCAAGCAAAUCUUGUCAUUGAGGUCGAGACUGAAUUCACGACACCAACUGCCGUUGCUCUCCUCAUCAUCUCCAAUGCGUAUGCUGUACCUUUCCAGCUUCUCCAAGAGCAGGCCUCUGGGCAGAGUGCUGACGUCAUAGACGUGUAAUUCCAAAGAGGUCAAGUUGGGCAAAUGCUUCAACUCCUCAAGGCUUGCAUUCUUAACCCCUCCCACCUCCAUCUCCCAGUAACGAAAGCUUUGAUCUAUAUAUAGUUCUUCUAAAUGUGAUAAUUUUGACAGUAUAUUUGGUGGAAUAACUUCUAGAUAGCAACAAUCCCUCAAAUCAAGCAACUUUAGCCAAGUCAAUUCACCUACUUGUACCGGCAACUUCUUAAUUGUAGAACCUCUUAAGCGAAGGAUUUCUAGUUUCUUCAAGUCUCCUACAACACUUAGAUCAGGCAAGCCGCAGUAACACAAACUCAGUGUUCGAAGGUUUGACAGGAGACCAAGUGAUGAAGGCAGUGACUGUAGAUACAUGUAAGUCAAGUUUACAACUCUGACCUCGAUCAUCCUCUCGAAAAAGUUGUUUGGAAUUGUUAAUGAUGAAGGUUCACGACCACCACCACGUAGAAAAAGAAUUUCGAGUUGAGGACAUUCCAGUACUUCAGGAAGCAAAUUAGUCUUGAUAUCAUGUAAGACGAUUGAAGUGCAAUGCUUUAUUGCACUUCCGUCUGACCAUUCCCUGCAACCAUCAACCUGCUCAUCUGUAGCAGUAAACACAUUUCGUUCAGUAGAUGCAAUUGAUAUGGCGACAUCGCGAACUACAUCAUGCAUAGAAAACAACUCUUCAUCCAAGAAGCUUUCAUGGUCAAGCAACAUACAAGAAGCUUUGAGUGUGCGCACCAAUGUAUGUACUCGAUUUCGUGCUUCUUCAAUCUUAUUCACACCUUGAAAUAAACCCAAUCCCAUACCACACAUUAACAAGUCAUCAAUAGAUGCUAUGGCUGUAUAUCCUAUUAGCAAAAAGAUGUUCUUGAGAUCAUCCCUUCCUAGUUUAUUGUAGCUCAACUCGAUAGCUUUAAAUGCGGCUGGCUGUACAUCCUUAAAAUUCGAUGAAGAAGGCCUUCUUAGCUGUUCCAAUGCAUCCUUCCAUUCACGUAUGCUCUUGCUCCUUAAUGCCCUUGCAACCGUCACAAUGGAAACUGGUAGACCUGCACAUUCCUUUGCCACAUUCCUUGCCACCUCUUCCAAUUCACUACCUUCAACAUAAUCACCUGCCAUCUUCUUGAAUAGACUCCAAGCUUCUUCUUCGUUUAAAACACCAACUGGGAAAUUUGUUCGACAAUCCAUCUUCUCAGACAAUACAUUUAGACUUCUGGCCGUCAACAAUACUUUACAACCAUCUCCAAGAGGAAUUCGGACAUUCCCCAAAUUAAGAUUUUCCCAAAUGUUGUCUAAAACUAUCAGGAUCUUCUUCACUUUUUUUAUACCUUCACAUAACCUGCCUGCCCUUCCUUCAUUACUUUCCUCAUGCAACUUCAGGCCUAAUUUAUCUGCGAUUACUCCUUGAAUCUUUCGUAUGUCUUGCUUCUGAGACACCUCCACAAAAACCACCUGAUCAAAGAGUUUGUCACUCUUGACUUUCCUAGCAACUUCUUCGGCCAGCGUCGUCUUUCCGAUUCCGCCCAUUCCAUAAAUCCCAAGCAUGUUGACAUCGCGAUCUUCUAGUGCACUGAGUAUACUCCUCAAAGUGGACAAUCUUGAUUCAAAGGGCUCGUAGUCUUUGUUAGGGAUAAGCCGAAUAUCCUCUGGAGCAGUACGGUAGGAAAUUCUAUCAAAUUUUCCAUCUCCUCGGACUUUGACAACAGCCUCCUUCUGCCUCCCUGCAUCCUUGCUAAGUUCACGGCGGGUCUUCAAAUUAGGACAUAAUCCCCCGAAACAACGCUCACUUGCAGUGGCUUUGUCUGUAACUUUCUCUGCCUCAACAAUGACAUUGUUCGCCCCUGCAAGCCAAUUCUCAACGUUCUCAUAAAUCUUUUCCCCGUUUAGUUCAGCCUCAUUAACCUGCCUCAACAAUGACUCCCUCUCAUACUUCAGAUUGUCAACUUCAGUCUUGAGAUUCUGUAAGUUGCUCGUGUACUUACUCUCACGCAAAUAGCUAAUUUCGCGAUAUGCGGGAGGAGCCAAGCACUUCACAACUUCCACAACAACAGUAAGAAUGAUUUCAGCCAUCUUCAAUCCUUUGUCCUUGUCUCUCUAUCUCUCUUUUUCUGAAGUUUUGAAAAACAAUUGACUAUUUGGGAAGCACACUGAGUGAUUGAACACAAGUGACCACAACAAGAUGGAACAAAAUAAAAAGGCAAAAAAAUACAAAGAGUGGAUGGAGAAUAAAACAGAGACAGCGGCACAGCUGGACACAACUAGAUAGAGAACAGAGGAAAACCAAAUAACAAGACUUAAGAUUACAACAAACAGAGGCCAAGUAUUGUUGAGAUCAGAAGACGGAAAAUUCAAAAGAGUUGAUGGCAGAUGCUGAAUAACAAGACAACAAUGAACGCAAUAAACAGAAGCAAAGUGUGUUUGUGAUCGACAGACGGAAGUAACGAAAGCGGUUGUUGAUUGAAAAUGAAUGAAUGCAAGGAAAGACUGAUAUUGAAAAUUGAUGUCAAUAGCGAAGGAAUAAUUGAACUUUCGCUUAAUUAUUGUUUGUGGCCUUCUUUUACUUUUUAUUUGUGGGUCAUGUCUUUUGGAACUAAUCAUCUUAGGUUAUCCCUUAUAGCUUUAAGGCCGGUAAACCGGUGUCCGUUGGAUUAGCAUAUAGAAAUCCAACGGUGGAUAUAUAUACUUGGAGAACAAAAUUCAAGAGCAAAGCGAGUGCUGGGCUGCAGUUUCUUAAGGAGAUUUAUAUGUCCUCCUCAAAAAUAAAUGUUUUAAGGUAGAUAUUUAGACUAUUUUAUCAUAAAAUAAAUGUAAUUAAUUUUCAAUAAAUAUCUUAUAUAAAUAUAUAUUUAUUUUUUUAAUUACUAAUGACCUUUAAAUAUACAUAUAUACAUAUCACUAAUUCAAAAAAUAAAUUGUGAUUAUUUGUUAAUGUAUGCGAUUACUUGUGAUGGUAAACAAAGUAGAUAUGGUAUAUUUUGAAGUUAAAUUAAAAAAAAAACAGAGCUUUUACCAUUACUUGCCUUAUCAUCUUUUAAAUUAGAAUUAUUAUUCUUUUAUUUUUCAAGUUGCCAACUCAUCCGCAUUCUUUUUUAUUGAAUUUGAAGAUCAAUGAUUAUAAAAUUGUGUAAAAAUUUUAAGUCAAAACUUUAAAUUAAAAUAAUCUUUAAAUUAUUGAGAAAUAAUAACUUAGUAUAACAAAUAUUAUAUCCUAUAAUAUGCAGAAGCUGAAGCAGCAAAUUGGGGGCUGGAAAUUGCAGAAAAUGCAGCAUGCAUCCCACUGAUUAUUGAAUCAGAUUGCCAAGACGUGGUGAAUUUAAUCACAAAAAAGAAGAGUAGCAAGGUGGAGAUUUUUUGGACUAUCUCGGAAGUUCAUGAAAGGCUGAAACGUCUGAACCAAGUCACUUGUCAACAUACCCCCAGAAGCUGUAAUAGUAUUGCUCAUACUUUAGCUGGUUUUGCUUUAAAAGUUGUGUAACCUACUAUUUGGUUGGAAACUUGCCCAACCCAUCUGCUGUACUUGUUCUCCUAGUUACACUUUCCUUUCAAAAAAAAAAAAUAUCCUAUACUUUAUUGCUACAAAAUUACGAAACCUUAUAUUAUAUUAUGUUUUCAUAUUUCUCCUUUAUAGUGAAGACCAUACUUCUUUUUUAAUAAAUGUUAAAGUAUUAACUUAAAUUUUUUAACCAACACAGUCGACCCUUAAGCUAUAUAUAUUAUAAUAUCCCUAUUCUCUCACAGAUUAAACCAAUCUGAUCUCAGAGUAAGUUGAUACCAUGAGUUUGCAUUUGCCAUCAAAGGAGCAUCAUUACUAAUUAAUAUAGAUUCGAUCAAUAGGCAUGAUAAUAAAUUUUUUUAUCUACAAACAUUAUUUUUGAAAAUAUUAUAUCUUUAAACUUAACUAAAUAUCUUUUAACCAUAUAUGUACAGUUUGUUUGAUGUCUUUUAAAUAGUGGAGAUUACAACAGAACAGAUGCGAAUUAGUAGUGACGCUUGAGUUCAGAAGAUUGAAGUUAAGAAAAUUAAGGAAAGGGUAAGGAUGUAUUUUCAAAGUGAAUUAUUGAGAGUUCAGAGAUCUUUGAAGAUUACUUCCGUCAAGAGCUGGGUCCCAUACUCUUAUGCCUUUGUCCUCCAAUCAACCAUAAGACAAAUUAUUAUUGAGUGUGAACAGACUUAUUAACCACCAAAUUUUCAAACUUGUGAUCCCUACUGAAUCUGCAUUCCCCUUUACAAAAGUAAAAAAAAAAAGGGCAAAUAACGAAACAAAAUUCUGUUCCUUGACUGCAAGUGCUGUCGGCAUUUUCAGACUUGGAAGACCCUUCUACUUGCAAGAUACCACUGAAUUUGUCUUUUUUUUUUAAUUACACUGUAUUAUCUUAUAUUUUAUAAAAAAAUUUAAUAAAUAUUAUAAAUUAUAAAUUUUUAUAUUUAAUAUUCUCAAGAUAAAUUAUCAAACAAAUGAUUCAUUUACUAUUUUUUCCUUUAAAUUUUUGUUAUUAAGAAGAUUUUUGGAUAUUGAACGUGAAGGGCUCAACUGAUCGCUAAUUUUACAGCAAUUGCCCUUUUCUUUCUCCCCAAAUUGUUUUGAAAAAUAUCCAGACUCAUUCAGCGAAGUAUCCGAGGCCAAAUGGCUAAAAGAUGGGACACCCACAUGUGCUUCUAAUUACAAAAUCUAAAGUUAGGGGACCAUAACGUACAUUUAAUAUAAUUUAUGAUAGGGGUCCGCCUAUGUUAUCACUGUACAACAGGUUUUGUCUUUUCUGACUCAAUUGCUGUAAACGUUUGCUGAGCCCCUUGUACUCGAUAUUAUUUACUAUUUAUUUAUAAGUAUUAUAAACAUUUCUGCUUACAUAUUAUAUAAAAAUUUAAUUUGUUUCCUUACACUCUUGUUCAUUUACUAUUUUUUUGUAGUAUCAAAAGAAUUUAUAUUUACAACCAUGAUAUAUUAAUUAUCAUACCACUCUAAUAUUAAUAAAAAGACAAAGACAUCCUUAAAUUAAAACAAAAAAAAAUACUUUCUUCUUUUGAGGAAUUACGGUAUCUCAUCUUCCACCACUCAUCCUCAACAAAAUUUUUAAGGAUAUAACCAUUCAUCUUCUUUAUAAUAUCAUAUCACAAUAAUUAAUACUUUCAUGACAAAAUAAAAAAUAAAUUCCCAUAGAAUACAUUCCUCUCCACUAUUAAUUUCUCUUCAUCAGUAACCUUUAUCGACAAUUAAAACCACCAUUAGACUCAUCAUAAAGAGAGAGUAAGAGAAAGGAAGAAGAAACGAGAAAAAAUAUAUGAACCUUUUAUAAUUUUAUAGUGCGUUCACUAAACGAGAAUCGAAAUGAGGUGAAAUCAAAAUGAGAAAUUAAAAUCAAAAUAAGUUAUUUACUGGAACUAUAUAAAUGGUAAUUGAAAUAAGUUGUAUGGUCAUUAAUGUGUUUAUCUCGUCUUAGAAUCAAAAUUGGAAUGAGUUAAAUUAUAAUAAAUUACUAUAAAAUCAUUAAUUAAUUUUUAUCAUAAUUAUUAUUUUAUAUUUUUAAUUAUUGUGAUUAUUAUUAUUAUUAUUCCAAAAAAUAAUUAUUAUUAAUAUUAUUGUUAAUUAUUAUUAACCAUUAAACUAAAAAGUUACUAUUAAUUAUUGUUAAUAUAUUAAUUAAUUAUAAUACUUUUUAUUGUUGUUAAUAAUAAUAACUUUAUGAUUGAGUGUGAACAGUCCGACUUAUUGAUCACCAAAUUUUUAAAUUUGUGAUCCUCAUUGAAUCUGCGUUCCCCUUUGCAAAAGUGAAAAAAAAAAAAAAAUUGCAAAUAAUGAAACAAAAUUGUCGGCAUUUUCAGACAUGUAAGACCCUUCAACUUGCUUUCGAAGAUGGAAAAUGCUACUCAGCGAGAAUGCCGAGAGAAACGGCAUACAGUUUGUCUCGGCCCCACUCCACGUGAAGACUUUCUCUUUUCACAUUUUUUACGCGUUUCUCUUUUCUCUCCCCCCACGUGAACACCUUUGCCUUUUGCUCGUUCAGGUGAAAGUUUAGAAUUUUGAUCUUAUUUCACAAAGCUAAUUUUUUUAUCACAAGCAGGAGAGAAACGGCAUUUCUUAGCAGUAGUUCAUCACUGUAGUAGCGAGCGAGUGAGGAACAAAAUUACCAACAAUUCUAAAAAAAAAAAUUAUAAAAAAUGAUCACAUGCUAUAAUUAAUCAUGACAAUUGACAACAUUACUCCCACCGAGCAAAAGUUAACUGCAUCUUCUCCCACAUUUAAAAAAAAAAUUAUAUUAUAUAACCCACCAAAGUAUAAGGAGUCUUUCCUUAUAAAAAUUAAUAAAUUACUCUUUAUAUUAAAAAAUUAAAAUUUAAAAUGAAAAUGAUUGAUCAUCAAUUAUUAUUAUUAUUAAAUAAUUAUUUUAAAUAAUAAUAAUCACAAUUAUUAUAACAAACAACAACAAUAAUUAACUAAUGUCAUUUUAAUAACUUAUAACAAUUCAUUUUUUAUUUCAAGAUAAAGUAACCAUAUCAAUAAUAAUAUAUGUCAUUUCGAUUCUAAUUUUUACAGGUAAAGUAAAUAAUUUAUUCUGAUUUUUAUUUUUUAUUUUAUUUUAUUCUAUUCUAAUUCCAUUUGAUUCUGAUUCCAACCAAUUCUAAUUACCGAUUAAAAAUUACAUUGUUACUACUUUAAUAAUAACUAAUGAUUCUCCUCACAAUUCUUAUAGGAUUAUCCUUAUUUUAAAAUAUAUUUUUUAUUCGUGUUUAUUAUAAAUUAAUUAAAUUAUAUCAAUGAAAAUUAAAUAAAAAUUUAAGUAAUAAAAAUGAAAAAAUAUAUGUUUUGGUUUGAAUAAAAAAUUAAUAAUAAAAUAUUUUUCUUAUAUAUUUUAAAUAUUUUUAUUAUAAUAAAUAUUUAUUUUAUAUUCUCAAAAUAAAUUAUUAAGUAAACGAUUCAUUAACUCAUUUUUUUUCCUUUAAAUUUUUGUUAUUAAGAAGAUUUUUGGAUAUUGGCCGUGAAGGGCUCAACUGAUCAUCGCUAAUUUCACAGCAAUUGCCUUUUCUUUUUUUCUUUUUUUUUAAUUGUUUUGAAAAAAUAUCCAGACUCAUUCUGCAAAGUACCUGAGGCCCGCCAAAGCGCCGAAAGUUAGGACACCCACAUGUGCUUUUAUUUACAAAAUCUAAAGUUAGGGGGGGUGUCCAUAACGUACAUUUAAUAUAAUUGAUGGUUGGGUAAAAGUCCAUUAAAUUUCAAUAUUCUAUUAUUUAUUUUUAUAUUAAAAAAUUAUUAAUGUAUGAAAAUUCUUAAAAGUUAACGGAGAAGGAAGAGAAAAAGAAAAAGUGAAUACAAAAGAAAAUAUAAAGAAAAAAAAUUAAACGAGACAAAAAUAUGUGGCGUGGGUCAUUCAUAUCUUUUGUCAUUUCUUUUAUAGAGGUACAUAGGGUAGAUAUUUUGAAGUGAAAAGCAAAUCCAAAGUUAAUGAAAAAGAAAAAAAGAAAAAGUAUAAAUAAACGGUAUUCGCCUCACUUUCAAACAUCUAGUUAAACAUGAAUUUCCUUUUACCAAAAGUAAAUUUCCUCUCGGAUUGUCCUCAUUACGUCAAACACGAAUGAUGACGACGCUCUGUCCGUUUCUGGCUCUUUGCUUUUCUCUCUCACAUCAUAUUUAACUGUUGGAUCUUUCUACUAUGCAGCUGGUGUAUGCAUGAUUCCUUGUGACAUGACAUACAGUCAAUUAAAUUCUGACAUGCUUGCAAUAAAGACUGUUAAAGUGACCGGUUAUUCCGGUUGAAUUCACAAGAUCUCUUGUUUGUGUGUUUAUGUUCCAAGUUGGCUCUUUGCUUUUCUCUCUCACAUCAUAUUUAAGUGUUUUGGAUGGUGGCCAUAGAUUCCAAUAUUUCCUUCAAGAAAACUACAAAAAAAUGAUCAAAGGCAUCAAUUUCUACACUCUCACCGAGCAAUACUCUUAACCCAGAAGUAAGUGUAUAAACCAACCCCAGUCAGUCCAUCAAUGUCGUCAACCUCAUACAGCAUAAAAAAAAUCUGUGUCCAUUAAACCGCCAUUUAAACCGUCUUUAUUGAGCCAUUAGACUAUUCGUGUCGUCUUCCCAUCUCGUUGUAGUAUUUUGCCGUUCAAAUCUAGUUAUCAAUUGGGGAAAAUGGGGACCAAUCUGCAAGUCUUUAAAAUAGAAAGAAACUUUAAUUGGACAAUAUAUUAUAAGUCAACAUUAUAUAAUUACUUUGAACACUUAUAUAACUCAAUCGUUCGAGGUUGAGUGAGGAUAGUACGAUACUUUCUCAAGUUUUCUGAGGACAUUCACGUGACAUUGGACUAUUGACUAUAGUCAAGAGAGAAGUCCAAGGAUGCAAGUGAUGAUGACAGAUUCACAAUUCUUUUGAAGAAAAUAUUUUAUAUAAACUUAAUUAUAUGGUAUAAAAUGAUUGGCCUUAAUAAAAUUAAAAAAAUAAUAAAAAUAAUACACGCCUGGGUCAUGCAAUAUUUUCAACCAACUAAUUUACACGCAAAAUUAAACUUUAUGAGUACAUUUAUUUGCUAGCAGAAACUCUGCCAAAUUUUCCGAAAUGUGAAAGUGAACACUUUUAACAACGGCACAUUCAAAGUUAAUGUUGAUGCUGCUGUUAAUUUUGAAAGGCAAAAGGCCGGCCUGGGGGUUGUUAUUAGAGACUCAUGCAACAAAGUUAAAGUGGCUGUUGUGAAAUCCACUCUAUUUACAGGGGAUGUAAAGACUGCAGAAGCUGAAGCUGUUGAAUGGGGGUUAGUGGUGGCAAAAAGUGCAGCUUUUCAAUGCAUAAUGGUGGAGUCAGAUUGUCAAGAAGUGAAGUUAAUUAACAACAAAGAGGGCAGUAGGACAGAGGUUAUGUGGGUGAUCUCAGAAAUUCAAAGUCUUAGCAAGGAUUUCCAGAAUUUCAACUGCUAUCACACUCCUAGAUCAUGUAAUACUCAUGCCCAUUCCUUAGCUAAGUUAGCUCUAAGGAACAAUGAAACUGUUGUAUGGCUGGAACCAAUUCCAGUGGAAGUCGAAUCUGUGUUAUCAUCUUUGCUUUGAAAUCGUUUAUUUCCUUCUCAAAAAAAAAAAAAAACAACGGCACAAAAUGCCUGUGAUAAUGAAACAAUGUACCCUUCGUGCCUGCUUUCGUCUAAUAAUAUUUGAUACGUACAUAUUCAUUUUAAAAUUGGCGAAUCGUAAUAAAAAAAUUUAUAUAUAAUAAUUGAAUGAGAUCCAUGGUUCACAAUUGCAAAUUAAAGGUUGGUUUUAUAAUAAAAAUCGUUUUGUGCAUACCAAAUUAGAAAAGAUUAUAAGUAAAUUAAGAUUUUCAAAAUUUGACUAGUAUUAUAUUACGUACAUCAAUAUAAUAUAAAUUUCUUAUAUAUAUAUUUUACUCUGUAACCAAUGCUUUCAAAAACUUUGUACUUGUAUGUUUGAACAACUUUUUUCGCUUUCUAUUUAUAUACGAUCUCAUUUAUGUUUACAUAAAUUUUCAUAUGUACCCAAAUUAAGCAUUAAAUACACACACUUUGGUAAGACACAUUUCUAGUAUCAGAAAAUGAUAUUAUAUUGAAUGUAAUGCUUCAAUGAAUUUUAUUACUAUAUACUAAAAUACUCAACGAUCUCCAUUAAAAAAAAAAAAAGCAUGAUUAGAAUGAUUAAAGAUCAUUUGAUGAGGAGUUUCAUCAUUAACUGUGUCGAAACACAGCAGCAAUCCACAAUACACUUAACACGAGAGGGGCACACAAGCAUGCAUGAAUCUUCCACCAUUAAAUCUGAAAUCAUAAAAAAAAAAGAAAUAAGAUGAGUGUUGUUUUACGGUCUGAAAGCCGAUUCCAAAUAAUAAUAAUAAUAAUAGUAAUAGUAAUAGUAAUAGACCUUUGUUAAUAAUUACUACUAGUUGUCUCUGCCUUUUGCAUCUUCCUCCUUUGUAUCAUCGUCCUCUUCCAAUCACACGGCUAGACCAGUAUGUCUCGAGAAUCUCUACUGCCUUCUCAGAGAUCCCGUUGUCGUCAUGACUUCGUAGAUUUUCAAUCUUUUCUAAUCCCUCAGCCUCCUCAACCAACUGGGCAUAUUGAUUAAAAUCUCCAACGGCGGUACCCGUAUUCAUUUCAGCUAACCCGACCUUCAAAAUGUUCUCUAAUCCUUCUAAGCAAACAGUGACGAUCAUUGGAUCAGCGCAUAGAAGCAGAUCACACAAUGGUUUUAUACACCCCUCUUUCACGAGGUACUUGAUUUGCUCAUGAGUGCCAAACUUGGUGGCAUUCGAAAUUGCCCAAGCGGCGUCCUUCUUUGUAUCAAAUUCAGCAUUUUGAAGUAGAUUGACAGUGGGACCAAUUAAGCCGGAAUCAAUUACCGCCUGAAUCUGUUCCCUGUUUCCACAUGCGAUAUUUGAAAUAGUCCUGCAUGCAUCCUUCUUAAUGCGUUUUCCAUGAUUAUGGAUCAACAGGCCCAAAAGGUAUGGCAGUGCACCACAGUUAAUUAUAUACUGAGCCUGGAAAUCAUCCCCCGUCACAAUAUUUCCAAUAGUCCGCAGGGCAGGAGUGAGCACUGAGGAUGAUGAGUGACCAAGGAGCUCAACAAGUCGUGGACAGACACCUGCCUCGAUCACAGCUUGAACAUUGUCAUUCGUACCAUCAGAAAGACAGGAGAGUGCCCAGCAGGCAUCAGUCAAGACCUCUUCAUUGUUUGAACGAAUAAGCUGUGCAAGCGCCGGAAGAGCUGGCCUUACCUGAUCAAAUGGUGGUUCUGGCUUGCCCUUGCAUAAAUUAGACAAUGUCGUUGCGGCAAUUCUCAGCAUUGAAAGCUUAGCAUGCUUAUUUAACUCUGCCAGCAAUGGAAUCAAAGCUCCUUCACUAAGCACAAGAUCACGGCAUCCAGAUGAGUCACCAGCAACAUUUCCCAAUGCCCAAACAGCCUGCUCGCGGACAUCAUCACUUGGGGAAGCAAGCAGCUUCACGAAUAUUGGAACGGCACCGUGGUCAAUCACCACCUUAAUGUUCUCUGAAUUUCCAAAAGCAAUGUUUGAAAGAGCCCAAGCAGCCUCAUACUGAAGUUGCGGAUAGUCUUCCCUCAUAAGAAACUCAACAAAGCGCUGGACAACGCCAGAUUGUAUGACUUUAUCAAUUUGUGGACUCCUCGCAAUCGAAAGCAGUUUGCUGAACUGAGUAGUUGCUUCCAGCUGUAGGCCGCUGUCAUCUGACCAAACCCCAGCAACCAUCCCGGGUAAACUCGCCUACUUAUUUUAGGAGCAGGAGCAAGAGGAGGAAAUUAAGUUAGGGAUUUGGAGUGAGAGUGAAAGUGGAGAAAAAGCAAGAGAGGGAAAAAGCUGAUUGUUGAGAAAUAUAUACCUUUCGUAUGGUUGUGUUAAGGUCGUCCUUCCAAGCCCAACAUGCUUUACCCCGCCCCUGCACUUUGUGUAAUUUGGGCGUACUUAAUUUUCCUUCAGAGAAAAUCUUCAUAUCGGGGCAAUCAUCCACCACUAAUCUUUCCAAAGAUGGGAACUUGAAAGCACAAUUGCCAGAGCAGAAGCUUGUCAGACUUUUUAAGUGUAAAAGCUUCAACUCCUUCAAUUCUCUGAAACUAAUAACCUCAUCUUUUGCUACAACAUCAUCCACCAGUACUAUUUCUGUUAUCAUAUAGCAUGAUGCUAUCUCCAUAUAUCUAAGUCGCACCAGAGUCUUUGCAAUUGAGGAUGUUAAUACGAUUUUCAAGUUGUUGCAAUGCGAUACCACCAAAUUUGUAAGAUUCUGAAAGGAUGUCGAUGAUGGCACUAGAUUGACCAAACGGUCACACCCCACUACACGUAGAAUAACCAAGUUGUUCGCAACAGAGGACUCCUCUAUCAAAAUGUGCUCCAUAGGAUAAAGCCUGUUUGCUUCUCUUAUUUCUACCCACAUCCCAUUUUCAACCUUCUCAUACACCAACGGGGCACUAUAUCCUCGUAUUUGGAGGACUUUCAUUGUGUGAAGUCUCUGGAGGAAGUCACCAAGUGAUAAAAUAGUCCGCUCAUCACCCAACGUCACAUAAAGAUAUUUUAGUUUGCAAAGCAAGCCUUCAGAAAAUAGAUAUUUAUUUGUUACUAAGUGCUCUGCAUCAAUAUUCAACUCUUCCAAAUUAGGAAAUACCUGGGAGAUCAAUCAGAACCCAAAAAAAAAAAAAAAUGCAAGAUGAAUCAAUUGAUGAGAAAUAUAAGUUACCACUAAUUUAUAAAAUAUAUUUUAUUCAAUAAAUCUUAAACUUAAAAAAAAUAGUAAUAAUAAUACGCCUAACAUCUAGAAUAAUUAUGAAUGAAUACUAUACACUAAUCUGUAAGAGAGUUACGUUGCUGACAAUUUGACUUUUAGUAAGAAACCAAGCGAUAAAGGCAAAGGCAAUAUAACUCUAAAGCUUUAUGAUAUAAACUCUCACGGUACAUACAUAAGAAUUGAAAAAUUGAUUAUAAAAUUCUUGUACGUACCCUUUCCAUCAAGAUAUUAGUAGUUCUUUUGUAUCUCGCCAUCAAUUCACGACAUCCAGAUAUCAUUAAUCCUUUCAAGGAUGGAAAUUCAAGAAUAUCAAGAUCUCCAGUGCAGAAGCUUGUGAACUUUUCAAGACCAGACAUCCUCAGAUAUUGCAACUGGGGAAACGUUACAAUAUUAUUCUUCAUUUCUUCUUGGUUGUCCACGACUAUUAACUCUUCCAAGACGGGACAUCUGACUAUCUCAAUGCGUUGGAGUCGAACCAAGCUACUAACAGUAGCAGAUGAAAAUAGACAUCUUAAAUUCUCACAGUCCCACAGGGUCAAGUGUGUUAAAUUCUGAAUACCACAAGACAUGACUGUAACUUGGUUUUGCCAAAUCCUCUCAACAUUUAUUGACACCAACUCCAACUUCUCUAACUCUAGUAACGGAACCUGCUCGAUCAAAAAAUUAACUUGUUAAUUACAAGCAACAAUCAUUUCUGUUGAUCGACAAAUCAAUAAAAUUACUCUUUCUCUGGUUAUAGUUCUUUUCAGUUUUUCAUACAAACAACCGUUAAUCAAGUUUUCCAAAUUAUUCCUUACUAAAUGUAUAGAUUUAGACGGCGGCUAAUAUAAUUCAUAUUGAAAAUAUUCUUUGAUUGUAACGAAUUUUGUAAUAUUAAAUUUUGGUUGAUUCGCAAUAGGACCUACUAUCCAGCGCGAGCAGUUCUCGGGGAUUUAACUACUGGCACCUCGAUUAUAUAAAAAUUUGGAAUAUUUUCAAAGGAAAUCACAUAAUUCCCCCUUGCAAAUUAGGCGAGAAGAGUCUCAUCAACAAUCAAUAAGCAGAUAUCACGAUGUUUAUUCAGUGAUUACAACAUAUUUAUAUAUAUAUAUAUAUAAUAUAUUCAGUGAUUACAACAUAUUUAGUAUUCCAUAACAUGAUGUUUAUAAUAAUAAUUAUUAUUAAUUCACUUAUUGUGUUAGAGUACCUUUUCUUUCUCUAAGAAUGUAUUUGUUACACCCUACUAUACAUCGGAUGAAAAAUUUAGAAUAAUUGUGAAAUAUAAUUAUUAAUCACUCUUUGCCAUAUUUGUUAUCAAACAGGAAUAUAACAAAGAAAAAAAAACAAAAAUUAUAGAGAAUUAAUAAGACGAUUGACUUAUUAAUAACUGACCUUCUCAGGGAAAAGCGUAUUAGAAAUUUGGACAUUGUCCUCCAAAAUGAUUUCAUGUGACUGCAAAUCAUUAGCUGAUUCCUCUUGUCUCUGUUGACAUUGCAGGUGUCUUGAUUUAAGAGUGUAAACUUAAUUGUGAACACAAUCUUAAUGCAUAGAUACAAGAUGUUUAAAAAUUAGUAUAAUAAACUUAGCACUAAAUCCAAAUUUGAUAUUUCGGAUUCCAUGAUUAAGAUUUUUUAAAUAAAAAUUUAAUUGAGUUAAUUUAAAAAUAAAAAUUAAAUAUGAAAAAUUAGACUUGCAAUUAUGGAUUUAAUUUUGAUAAAUAAUGAAUGUUCUCUUUAUAUUUUUUUUAAAAGGUAAAGGAGCAUACAAAGCCCAAAUUCAUUUUUUUAGUCCCUUACUCUCCCAUGAUUCAAACUUGGGUGGUUGUAGGAGGACUGAAAAUAUAUAAGACAGUUAACUUCACUUUUUUUUUUCUUUUUCUUUUUUUCAUUUUUUGUUGAGAGAAAAGAGAAGAAGGAUAUUACAAAGCAUGAAGCUCGUGCAAUAUGAGGGCAAUUAUGGUUUUUUCUUUAAAUUAAAAUGGUAAGAUUCUGAAGCUAAAAGAUUAAAAUAUUAAUUAAAUUGCAAACAUUAAAGAUUUUUUUUCCAAAAUUGGUUGCUUUGAAAAUGAGAAUAAUAUAAUAUUUGAAGACUUUUCAAAAUUAAUUACUGUGAUGCACUAGAAAUUUCUAGCUUUAGUCUAAUGUAUAAAUUGACAAAACGAUAUUAGAAUCCCAGGUGAAAAGAACCCUCUCACACCAAUUAUUUAAAUUAGGAAUGAUCAUACCUCUGACUCUGGCGAACUGAGGGCGAGGCGUGAACCCCUCAUCUCGAGACGCUUGAGAUGGGAAGAGCCCACUUUGACUAAUUCAUUACGAAAAUAAUCGACAUCUUGCUCUUGCAAUCCACAUAAGCGAAGGAAUUCAAUUCUCUGCAGUUGCACGAUCAGCGAAUCCUUCAAGCGAAUCUUGUCAUAUAGCUCGACUCUGAAUUCACGACACCAAAAGUUGGUUCUCUCCCGAAACCAACCUCCAUGUCCAAUGCUUAUUCUGUACCUUUCCAGCUUCUCCAAGAUCAGGCCUCUGGGCAGAGUGCUGACGUCACGGAUGUCUAAUUCCAAAGAGGUCAAGUUGGGCAAAUGCUUCAACUCCUCAAGGCUUGCAUUCUUAACCCCUUCCACCUCCACCUCCCACUCCCAUUCAUCAAAGCUAUUACCACCUAUAUAUAGUUCUUCUAAAUGGGAUAAUUUUGACAGUAUAUUUGGCGGAAUAACUUUUAGGUUCCAACAUUCUCUCAAAUCAAGCAACUUUAGCCAAGUCAAUUCACCUACUUCUACCGGCAACUUCUUAAUUUUAGAACCUCUUAAGCAAAGGAUUUCUAGUUUCUUCAAGUCUCCUACAACACUUAGAUCACGCAAGUUGCAGCGACACAAACUCAGUGUUCGAAGGUUUGACAGGAGACCAAGUGAUGAAGGCAGUGACCGUAGAAACAUGCCAGUCAAGUUUACAACUCUGACCUCGAUCAUCCUCUCGAAAAAGUUGUUUGGCAUUGUUAAUGAUGAAGAUUCACGACGAUCAGCACGUAUAAAAAGAAGUUCGAGUUGAGGACAUUCCAGUACUUCAGGAAGCAAAUUAGUCUUGAUACCAUGUAAGACGAUUGAAGUGCAAUGCUUUAUUGCACUUCCGUCUGACCAUUCCCUGCAACCAUCAACCUGCUCAUUUGUAGCAGUAAACACAUUUCGUUCAGUAGAUGCAAUUGAUACGGCGACAUCGCGAACUACAUCAUGCAUAGAAAACAACUCUUUCUUCUGGCUUAUAUGGUCAAGCAACAAACAAGAAUCUUUGAGCUGGUGCACCAAUGUAUGUACUCGAUUUCGUGCUGCUUCCAUCUUAUUCACACCUUGAAAUAAAGUCAAUCCCAUACCAAACAUUAACAGUUCGUCAAUAGAUGCUAUGGCUGUAUAUCCUAUUAGCAAAAAGAUGUUCUUCAGCUCCUCCCCUACCAAUUUGUCGUAACUCCACUUUAUGGCUUCAUAUGCAUCUGGCUGUACAUCCUUAAAAUUCGAUGAAGAAGGCCUUCCUAGUUUUUCCAAUGCAUCCUUCCAUUCCUGUAUGCUCUUGUUCCUUAAUGCCCUUGCAACCGUCACAAUGGAAAGUGGUAGACCUGCACAUCCCUUUGCCACACCCCUUGCUACCGAUUGGAAUUCACUGCCUUCAAUAUAAUCACCUGCCAUCUUCUUGAAUAGAUUCCAAGCUUCUUCUUCGUUUAAAACACCAAUUGAGAAAUUUGGUCGAGAAUCCAUCUUCCUAGACAAUACAUCUAGACUUCUGGCCGUCAGCAAUACUUUACAACCUUUAUGACCAUCUCCAUGAGGAAUUCCGACAACCCGCAAAUCAAGAUUUUCCCAAAUGUUGUCUAAAAUUAUCAGGAUCUUCUUCUCUGCUUCUAUACGUUUAAAUAAGCUGUUUGCCCUUCCUGAUUCACUUUCCUCAUGAAACUUCAGGCCUAAUUUAUCUGCUAUUUCUCCUUGAAUCUCUCGUAUGUUUUUAUUAUGGGAUACCUCAACAAGAACCACUUGAUAAAAGAGUUCACUCUUGACUUUCCUAGCAACUUCUUCCGCCAGGUUCGUCUUUCCGAUUCCGCCCAUUCCAUAAAUCCCAAGCAUGUUGACAUUGGGAUUUUUUAAUGCAUCCAUUAUUUCAUUCAGAAUGGGCGUUCUUGAUAGAAAGGCCUCGUAGUCUUUGUUAGGGAUAAGCCGAAUAUCCUUUGGAGCAGUACGGUAGGAAAUUCUAUCAAAUCUUCGAUCUCCUCGGACUUUGACAACAGCCUCCUUCUGCCUCUCUGCUUCCUUGCUAAGUCGACGGCGGGUCUUCAAAUUAGGACAUAAUCCCCCGAAACAACGCUUACUUGCAGCGGCUUCAUCUUCUGUAAAUUUAUCUGCCUCUUCAAUGACUUUGUUGGCCCCUUCAAGCCAAUUCCUAACGUUCUCUUCACUUUCUUCCCCGUUUCGUUCAGCCUCAUCAACCUGCCUCAACAAUGACUCCCUCUCAGACUUCAGAUCGUCAACUUCUGCCUUGAGAUUCUGUAAGUUGGUCGUGUACUUACUCUCACGCAAAUAGCUAAUUUUGCGAUAUGCGGGAGGAGCCAAGCACUUCACAACUUCUACAACAAUAGUAAGAAUGAUUUCAGCCAUCUUCAGUCCUUUGUCCCUGUCUCUCUAUCUCUCUUUUUCUGAAUUUUUGAAAAACAAUUGACUAUUUAGGAAGCACACUGAGUGAUUGAACACAAGUGACCACAACAAGAUAGAGAACAGAGGAAAAAAAUAGAAAGAGUGGAUGGAGAAUAAAACCGAGACAGCGGCACAGCUGGACACAACUAGAUAGAGAACAGAGGAAAACCAAAUAACAAGACUUAAGAUUACAACAAACAGAGGCCAAGUAUUAUUGUUGAGAUCAGAAGGUGGAAAAUUCAAAAGAGUUGAUGGCAGAUGCUGAAUAACAAAACAACAAUAAACGCAAUAAACAGAAGCAAAGUGUGUUUGUGAUCGACAGACGGAAGUAAGGAAAGCGGUUGUUGAUUGAAAAUGAAUGAAUGCAACGAAAGACUGAUGUUAAAAACUGAUGUCAAUAGCGAAGGAAUAAUUGAACUUUCGCUGAAUUAUUGUUUGUGGCCUUCUUUUACUUUUUAUUUGUGGGCCAUGUCUUUUGGAACUAAUCAUCUUAGCCUAUGCCUUAUAGCUUGAAGGCCGGUAACCGGUGUCCGUUGGAUUAGCAUAUAGAAAUCCAACGGUGGAUAUAUAUACUUGGAGAAUAAAAUUCAAGAGCAAAGGGAGUGCUGGGCUGCAGUUUCUUAAGGAGAUUUAUAUAUCCUCCUCAAAAAUAAAUGUUUUAAGGUAGAUAUUUAGACUAUUUCAUCAUAAAAUAAAUGUAAUUAAUUUUCAAUAAAUAUCUUAUAUAAAUAUUUAUUUAUUUUUUUAAUUACUAAUGACCUUUGAAUAUACAUAUAUACAUAUCACUAAUUCAAAAAAUAAAUUGUGAUUAUUUGUUAAUGUAUGCGAUUACUUGUGAUGGUAAACAAAGUAGAUAUGGUAUAUUUUGAAGUUAAAUUAAAAAAAAAAAAAACAGAGCUUUUACCAUUACUUGCCUUAUCAUCUUUUAAAUUAGAAUUAUUAUUCUUUUAUUUUUCAAGUUGCCAACUCAUCUGCAUUCUCUUUUAUUGAAUUUGAAGAUCAAUGAUUAUAAAUUUGUGUGAAAAUUUUAAGUCAAAACUUUAAAUUAAAAUAAUCUUUAAGUUAUUGGGAAAUAAUAACUUAGUAUAACAAAUAUUAUAUCCUAUACUUUAUUGCUACAAAAUUACGAAACCUUAUAUUAUAUUAUGUUUCCAUAUUUCUCCUUUAUAGUGAAGACUCAUACUUCUUCUCUAAUAAAUGCUAAAGUAUUGGCUUAAAUUUUUUAACCAGCACAGUAGACCCUUAAGCUAUAUAUACUAUAAUGUCCUUCUUUUCUCACAUAUUAAACCAAUCGGAUCUCAGAGUGAGUUGAUACCAUGACUUUGCAUCAUUCGUGAUCGGGUAAAAGCUCAUUUAGUCCCUGUAUUUUAAGAUUAGUGUCCGUUUAGUCCCUAUAUUUUUAAAAAUACCCUGAAACAUCCAUGUCGUUAAAGUAUUGAUACCCCUACCGUUACUUUUUAUUUCUUUUGGCUUACUUUUACAAUAUUACCCUUUUAUAAUAAUUUUUUUGUUUGGACAUUAAAAAAAAAUAAUUAAAUUAUCAAUUUAACCCUAUAAAAUAAAAUAAAAAUUAUAUUAAGUUUUUUGCAAGCACCAUUUGCUCACUUGUUAGUUUGCAUACAAUUUUUGAUAAUUAAAAAUUAAUAUAAUUUUUUUAGGGUUAAAUUGGUAAUUUAAUUAUUUUCUUUUUAUUAAUGUCCAAACAAAAAAAAUUAUUAUAAAAGGGUAAUAUUGUAAAAGUAAGCCAAAAGAAAUAAAAAGUAACAAUUUAAUUUUUGACAAUUAAAAAUUAAUAUAAUUUUUUAUUUUUUAGGGUUAAAUUGGUAAUUUAAUUAUUUUCUUUUUAUUAAUGUCCAAACAAAAAAAUAUUAUAAAAGGAUAAUAUUGUAAAAGUAAGCCAAAAGAAAUAAAAAGUAAUGGUAGGGGUAUCAAUACUUUAACGGCAGGGAUGUUUCAAGGUAUUUUUUAAAAUAUAAGAACUAAAUGGAUAUUAAUCUUAAAAUACAGGGACUACGUGGGCUUUUACCCUUCGUGAUCAAAGGAGCAUCAUUACUAACUCAUAUAGGCUCAAUCAAUAGGCCUGAUAAUAAUUUUUUUUUUAUCUACAAACACUAUUUUUCAAAAUAUUAUAUCUUAAGACUUAACUAAAUAUUUUUUAACUAUGUAGAUAUAGUUUGUUUGAUCUCUUUUAAAUAGUGGAGAUUACAAACAAACAUAUGUGAAUUAGUAGUAUGUUGAGUUCAGAAGAUUGAAGUAAAGAAAAUUAAGGGUUUCUUGAUCUAGGGAAAUUUCAAAAGAGUGAAGCGUCCUCGAAAUCGGAAGACGAAAAUAAGGAAAGGCUAAGGGUGUAUUUUCAAAGUGAUUCUAUUAGGAGAUCUUUGAAGUAGGAGUGGGCAAUCGGGUUUCGGUUUAGGUUUCAACCCAAUCGGAUUGGAGAAUUGAACCCAAUCGGGUUGAAAACACCAACCCCAACCGAACCGAACCAAAUUUAAUUCGGUUUGGUUCAGUUCGGGUUCAUAAUUCGGAUCGGACUGGGUAGUAAUUCAGGUUAAAAUUUCGGUUCGGGUUAAUUCGGAUUAGAAUAAUUCAAUCUAAAAUUUUGGGUUAGUUCGGUUUAAAACGGGUUGGAACAAUUUAAUCCAAAAAUUCUACCAACAACCACUUAAAAUCUAAAAAUCUAAAUUCCAAACAUCCUUAACAACAAAUAUCAACUACAAACCAUCUUUAACAACAUUUCAACAAUAACAAUAACAAUAAUAACAACAACAAUAAUAAUAAUAACAACUAUGAAUCAACAAUUCAGCAUAUUGCCAUAUUCUAAAUUAAAAAAACACAAAUUAAUUAAUUAAUUAAUUAACAAUCUCCAAUUUAAUUUAUAAUAACAGCAAAAACCCACUCCAAUUUAAUUAAUAACAGUCUCAAAUUGUUCAAUUAUCAGUCAACAGCAACAAACCCACUCCAAUUUAAUUAUAACAAUCUCCAAUUGUUCAAUUAUCAGUCAACAGUAACAAACCCUCUCCAAUUUGUCACGAACAACCUCUAAUUGUUCAAUUAUCAAUCAACAACAACAAACCCACUCCAAAUAAUUGAACAAUUAUUAAUUAAUUAAUUUAAAAUAUCCAAUUUAAUUAAUAACAACACCCAAGAGCAAGUUAGCAAUAAACCCACUACAAAAUCCAAAUAUAAGUAUAAACUAAGUGUCAAAUCGUGACCGUGUGGGGCUGAGUGAGACCGUCGACCGAGGGUGUGAGAAAGGAGAAGAGGGAGCAGGGAGGUAACGUGGUGUGUGUGAGUUUAUAUAUAUAUAUAUAAUUUUUAAAAGUUAAAACAAAAAAAAAAAUUUAACCCAAUCCAAACGCCCACCUCAUAUUACUUCCCUGUUUUUUUUUUUUUUUGAUUACAUGAGACUAUUGCUCAGAUUACAACUUGUUGAUGCGAGAUUCUGGUUCUCCUCAUUCUACGACCAGGAUCUCUACUCGAUCAACUUCACCACGACCAGGAAGUCUGCUCGUAAGGCUCCUUCUCCAGAGGUUCCUGCGCACACAGACAAGUCAGAGUACGCCGGUUGUUUUCCCGGCGCAAACCCUCCGACGCUCAAGUCAGAUAUCCAGGUUUGGGGAACACUUGCCACAAAUCUUAUGGCCUUUAGGUCCGUUCUCUCCCUCUAGAAUUUCUUUAGUCUCUCUUUUAUCUCAAAAAAUUGCCAACCCCUUUACCUUCGUUCGCUACCUUUUUGUAGGCUGCCUCUGAAUCCCAGUUUUCCGCUUUUUGCCAGACGGUAUGGGACUCUGACUGCUGCGUUAUGGGCAAAGGUGGGAUCUUGCGUGUUACGCCACGGUUCUGGGGAAAGCGUGGCUGUCGUGAUUCUGUGAGAUCUUGCAUGUUACGUCAUGGGUCUGGGGAAAGCGUGGCUGUCGCGCCUAGAUUCUCGAGCUGGAGAGCAUGUCUUGCCAACUGUCGUCGGCCGGGUCUCCUCACCACUCGGCCUCUAGCCGAAAUGACCUUAUGCCUCUCACAGGAAGUUGGCCUCGCGGAUGACGUGCUCGUGGACGAACAGGAUAUUUCUGCUCCUGUUCCCCCGCGCACCAGGCUUUUACGGAACACACCGGUCCGCAGAACUCUGCCAUCAGAUACCUGCUCACCAUGCCUGGUCUCGUCGACGUAUUUCUCCCAAACACCGGUCCCCCAGUUUCUGGUGUUGGGUAAUGUAGUGGACCAGCAGUAGAAACUCGACAGUACUCGCUCGCGUGGGAUGGGAAAAGGCUGCCAAGAGUCAUGUCGCAUUUAAUUGCGGACGAGGUGACGUGACAGAAAUCCCCCCCUCCAUUUGAAUUUCAAACCGACGGUUAUGAGACUCUCGGGAUUCGGCGCUGUUAAAUGCUGGCAACCCAAGAAUCCGUCCUCAUUAGGAAAACCAAAUCUUCUCGAACGGCAUAUUCAUUAUUCACUCCGUCUCCGUCUCUCCGGCAAAGCAGUUCCGGCAUAAAAGCCUCCAUCUCUGACUUUCACCGACUGAACCAUUACUUCAGGUAUUUCUUCUAUCUCCUUGGUCUCGGAUAGUUGUAGAUAAUUUCUCUUCUCUUCUGUUUGGGUAGUAGUUGGUGGUGUUGUGGUUAGAACUUAGGGAAUGUCGAAAGGCAAAGAGAAGGUCGUUGAGGUUGACGACGAUGAGUUGGACUUCCUGCCUAGUCUGCUCACCGAUCCUGCUUUUGACCCCGGGAUCCCCUUAGAGCCCACUAGAUCCAGUGUUGGUACUAGCGCUAGGAGGAUGUCUCCCCAAACGACCUCCUCGAGCGAAAAAAACGAUGAGGAGGGGUCUUCUGGAUCGGAGAACACCCUGAGUGAGGGUCGAGGAGAUGAUUCUGGUGAGGCGUCUCCAUCAGGAGCGCCGCGACCCGAAGUGAGGAGUACGAUAGGAGGUAGAGCCCUAUCGCAGGAUUACGCUAUCGAUUAUAUGACGUGCACGACCACGUUUAAUGAGCUCGACGACCUCCGGCUGAGGUAUAGCAUUCCUGGUGAAAUACUUCUCAAGGUCCCAGGAAAGAAGGAUUCUCCUAGCCGACCUCCUAGGGGAUAUGUUACCCUGUAUCUGGAUAGCUUUAAGUACGGGCUGAGGUGUCCCUUGCAACCUUACUUUGCCCGGAUACUUAGCGGGUUGAAUCUAUCUCCUGGUCAGUUGAACCCAAACGGUUGGAGAGUGCUCUCUGGUCUGUUCAUACUGUGGGACAGAUGCUGCCAAAGCGAGCCCACGGUCGACGAGGUGAUGCACCUGUACCAGCUGAAAAGCAGCCCAAAAGACGCCGGCUGGUAUUACUUCCAAUCAAGUACCAAGACCAGGAAACCCAUAACCGAUCUCCCUACUGGUGGUGGUGGGAAUUGGAAGAGGAAGUUCUUCUUCGCAGGGGGUCCCUGGGGUCAGGUUGCACAGGUUGAUGGGAAGGAUUAUCGGGUCUCACCCCGUUUCACGGUCCCAGGUUGCCUGCUCGCUUCAGAUGUCUUGUAUCCAUAAUUGUUCUUGUUUUAUUGGUUUGUCUCUAACCCAGUGUCUGUUUGUGUUGUAGUUUCUUGGGGUGUCCACUUCUCACUCAAACCGGGACAGCUCAAACGGGUCGAGGCUGUGCUAGUCAAUUCCUGCUCGAGCCGAGAGCUGUUAACCACAUAUAACUUGCUCGAGUCUCGCCUGAUACUUCCCGGCCAUAGGAUGGAGGACGCUGUGAUUGGGGCUCUGACCCGAAAACGUUCUCGACCUCCGACCACGAAGAGGGACCAGAGUAAGGAUGCCCCUACUGCAAAGCGGGCCAACAUCGUGCAGCAGGUCCCACCCUUGAAGAUUUUACCUCCCGCUCCUGUAAAAGUCGGGGAAGCCAGUGGAGCAGCCACAGAUCCUGCUUCCUCUUCGCCUCCUGUCGGGCCUCGACCUCGCUUACCUGACAGCCGAGCGGAACACCUGGUCCCCUACCUCAAUGAGUUAUCUAAACUCGUGAGCAAGAAGGACCUGGAGGACUUUGACGGCUGCACCCUGGGUGAGCUGGUGGGGGCCAUGCAGCAUAGCGCUUUCCACCUCAGCUGCAUGACCACCUAUUACAAGGCUAAGGUCGGCCGUUACGACCGGAAGAUGAAGGAGGAUAUUCAAUCGGCGACGACCAGAGCUGACGUUGCCGAGAAGAAAGCAGGGGAGCUGAAUCUCGAGAACCUGAAGCUGGUAGAGCAAGAAUCACUUGCUCAAGCAAAAGCCAUUACCCUUGAAGAGGAGCUUACCAAGGUCAAGGAGGAUCUGCAAAGGCAGAAGGCUAUGUAUGAGGCUCAGCUCGAAUCUCUCCGCGACUCCCACCGAGCCCAGGUCGAGAACUUGGAGGGGGAGGCCGACAACCAGUACGACCAGGGACUUCGGCAUUCCUACCGUUGCAUCAUGGCCGUCCUCGGGAAGCAGCACCCGGAUCUGAAGAUGGAUGACCUUGCAGCUGGUGUUGCUCAACAUAUGGACGAGGAGGCGGCCAAGGAAGGUGCUGAAGAGGUAGAGCCGAUCGUGAUUGAGGAGGAUAACUCUCCUCCUCAUGCAGCCCCUGCUGACGGGGGCGAGGCGAGCACCCCCCCGGACGCAACCGGUGAUACCCCCCUGCACCUGAGGAGGUCCAGCCAACCGAUGCUGCUCGGCUCGCUGAUCCACCAUCUUUUUGACAUAUUUCUUUUGUAUUGUAAUGAACAACGUUAAUGAAAUUUAUCUCCUCUGUUAGCCAUUAACACAUUAAUAAAAAUGUUGUUGAUUACUUUCUUAUGUUGUUAUCAUAGUUAUUUUUCGUCUGAAACUCUGCUCGCCUUUGUCUGAUCGAGCAGGAUCUGGCUCGGCGUAUGGUUUUGCCAUACAUCUUAGAAAAUAUUCCGACGCCUGGGAUUCUGCUCGCCUUCGCGUGGUCGGGUAGAUCCUGGCGAGUUUGGCUUCUAGUUUUGCCAUAUACAGGCUUUGAAUGCUUUGGAGUCUGCUCGCCUUCACGUGGUCGAGCAGAUCCUGGCACGCUUGGCUUCUGUUUCACCAUAAAACAGGUUUUGAAACUUGACGAGCCUUUGUAUGCCUUAGAAAAUAUUCGGAUGCUCGGGGAUUCUGCUGCCUUCUCUUGGCCGAGCAGAUCCUGGCAUGCUCGGCUUCUGUCUCGCCAUAAAUAGGAUUUGAGACUUUGUCGAGCCUUUGUAUGCCUUGGAUUUUUCAAGGCUUGGGAUUCUGCUGCCUUCUCGUGGCCGAGCAGAUCCUGGCAUGCUUGGCUUCUGUCUCGCCAUAAGACAGGCUUUGAGACUUUGUCGAGCCUUUGCAUGCCUUAGAUUCUUCAAGGCUUGGGAUUCUGCUGCCUUCUCGUGGCCGAGCAGAUCCUGGCAUGCUGGGCUCCUGUCUCGCCAUAAGACAGGCUUUGAGACUUUGUCGAGCCUUUGCAUGCCUUAGAUUCUUCAAGGCUUGGGAUUCUGCUGCCUUCUCGUGGCCGAGCAGAUCCUGGCAUGCUGGGCUCCUGUCUCGCCAUAAGACAGGCUUUGAGACUUUGUCGAGCCUUUGCAUGCCUUAGAUUUUUCGGUUUCACGCGAAUGAAAUUCCUCGACGUUCCAUUAAUGACAGUGUUCGACUUACAUAAAAUUGCUUGGACAUAAAGCGUGCAAGAUAAACGAUAAUGAAUGUGAGCAAAAGUAACUUUCAAAUGUGAACAAGUAUUACUGGAAGUAUUUUUGGAGGUGUGCUGCGUUCCAUGGGCGUUUCACCUCGUGGCCGUCCGUGCGAACCAGCUGGUAAGCUCCGGGUCCCGCUAUCUGCUUGACUCUAUAUGGCCCUUCCCAAUUCGGUCCCAGCACUCCUUGAGUCGAAUCUUUGGUGCUCUGAUUCACUCUUCUCAGUACCCAGUCCCCGACCCUGAAUUGCCGUAUGUUCACCUUCUGGUUAUAAUGCCGAGCAACCCUCUGUUGGUAAAUGACUGAUCGCUCGGCUGCUUGCUCCCUCCUUUCCGUUAGCAGAUCAAGAUUCAAACAUAUCUGCUCGUCGUUCUCCUGCUCAUUGAAAUGAUCUGUCCGGUGUGUGGUCGUUCCUAUCUCAGCCGGCACGACCGCUUCAUGUCCGAAAGCCAAAGCGAACGGUGUCUCCCCAGUUGCGGUUUUGUGGGUUGUUCUGUACGCCCAUAGCACACCUGACAGCUCGUCAACCCAAGCACCUUUUUUUGCUCCAAGCCUGGUUUUCAAAAGCCUCUUGAUGGUCUUGUUGGCUGCUUCUACUUGUCCAUUCGAUUGAGGGUGAGCAGGCGAGCAAUACUUCAGCUGUAUCCCGAGGUUCUGGCAGAAAUCCCUGAAGCUGUGAUUAUCGAACUGCCUGCCAUUAUCCGUUACCAAGGCAUAAGGGAUCCCGUAUCGACAGACCAGGUUUCUCCACACGAAGUCUGUUGUUUUCUUCUCUGUGAUCCUGCUAAGGGCUUCUACCUCUAUCCACUUCGUGAAGUAAUCUAUAGCAACUAUUGCAUGUGUUGCUGCUCCUCGUCCCUUUGGCAAUGGGCCGAUCAGAUCAAUUCCCCAUUGAGCGAAUGGCCAAGGGGAGGCCAUAGAGGUGAGCUUCUCUGGUGGUUGGUUAGAGAAAUUUGCAAAACUCUGGCAGCUUACACAACUCCUGGUCUUCUCUUGCGCAUCCCGGUGCAUUGUCGGCCAGAAAUAUCCCUGCCUUAGAACCUUGUGGGCCAGGGACCUCCCGCCAGAAUGAUUUCCGCAAAUUCCUUCAUGUACUUCUCUCAGUACGUAAUCCGCGUCGUCCUCAUCCAAACACCGAAGGAACGGUAGUGUGUAUCCUCGCCGAUACAGUACCCCAUCAAUCAUCGUGUAUCUCGAGGCCUGGGCUCUGAUCUUCCGAGCUCGCAGCUUAUCUGAUGGUAAUACCCCGUCUCUAAGGAAUGAAACUAUCGGGUCCCUCCACGAGCAUUUUUGUUCUAUCCGCAACACCCCCCAAUUCUGCUCGAUACUUGGACUGGACUUCACCUCGAGAGGGACCGACUUUGGCAUUUUUGGGUCGGCUACUGCUGCCAUCCUAGCCAAAAUGUCUGCUCGACUAUUCUGCUCCCUAGGGAUUUGUAUCACCUCCACUGCUUCGAAUUUCCCCAUCAUCUGCUUGACUAUCUUCAGGUACUGCUCCAUCUUCUCCUCUCUUGGUUGGAAUCUUUCAUUGACAUGAUUCGCAACCAGCUGGGAAUCAGUUCUGAUCUUAACUCUGUCUGCUUUCACGGCCUUAGCCAAUUCCAGACCUGCUAUCAAGGCUUCAUACUCUGCCUGGUUAUUUGUGGCUGUAAAUUCCAACUUUACAGCAUAAGAGAUCUCCUCCCCCUCUGGGCCUCCCAAGACAAUCCCUGCUCCUGAACCUCGCUCCCCUGACGACCCAUCCACAGACAUCUGCCAUACUUGAGUUUCAUCACUGCCUAUAACUGCAUCUUGUUGAUCUAAGCAUACUUCGGGUUCUGUGAAUUCAGCUACGAAAUCGGCCAUUGCCUGGGCCUUUAUCGCUGCGCGGGGUUUAUAGUCUAUGUCGAACUCGCUCAGCUCUACAGCCCACUUGACGAGCCGACCAGAAGCAUCUGGCUUGUGCAGAGUUUGACGCAAUGGCUGGUUUGUUAUUACCGUGACCGGGAAUGCUUGAAAAUAUGGCCUCAACUUCCGAGCGGCAACCACAAGGGCGAGUGCCCAUUUCUCCAGCGGUGGGUAUCUGGUCUCAGCGUCGAGGAGGGCCUUGCUGGUGUAGUAUAUCAGAUACUGCACUCCUUCUUCCUCUCUCACCAAAAUAGAACUGGCGGCCCGAUCCGAUACCGCCAAAUACAGAUAUAACUUGUCCCCAUCCCUCGGUGUGGACAGCAGCGGAGCUUGCUGCAAGUAUUGUUUCAAGUUCUGGAAGGCUUCCUCGCAUUCUGGGGUCCAUUCUGUUUUCUUUCCCCUCCUUAUCACUUGAAAGAAUGGCUGACACUUAUCUGUAGCCUUGGAUAUGAAUCUGCUCAACGCCGCCAACCUCCCCGUGAGGCUCUGCAUCUCCUUCAGGUUACGAGGAGACGUCAUCUGCACAAUCGCCUGGAUUUUCUCGGGAUUUGCUUCAAUCCCCCUAUGGCUCACCAUGAAUCCAAGGAAUUUCCCUGACUCGACCCCAAAAGCACACUUCUCCGGGUUGAGCUUCAUCUUAUACUUCCUCAAAAGCUCGAAUGUCUCCUCGAGGUGUCUGACAUGUUCCUUCGGGAUUUUGGACUUGGUGAUCAUGUCAUCCACGUACACCUCCAUGGUUCUCCCAAUCAAUGGCUUAAAGACUUUGUCCACCAGCCUUUGAUAGGUGGCCCCGGCAUUUUUGAGACCGAAUGGCAUUACCCUGUAACAGAACAGACCUUGGUUAGUGAUGAAAGCCGUGCUCUCCUCAUCCUGCUCGUGCAUGGGGAUCUGGUUGUAUCCCGAGAACGCGUCCAUGAAGCUAAGCAGGCCAUGCCCAGCCGUUGAAUCUACUAGCUGAUCGAUCUUUGGCAAAGGGAAGCUGUCUUUCGGGCAUGCCUUAUUGAGGUCUGUGAAAUCCACACACAUCCUCCACUUGCCGUUUGCCUUCUUUACCAACACCACAUUCGAUAUCCACUCAGGGUAACUGACUUCCCGAAUGAACCCUGCUCUCAGGAGCUUCUCCACCUCGCCAUUUAUAGCCUCAUACCUCUCCUGGUUGAAGCACCUCCUCUUCUGCCUUACUGCCCGAGCACCUUUCUUUAUUGCCAGCUUAUGACAUGCUACCUCAGGGUCAAUCCCUGGCAUGUCUUCAUGUGUCCAAGCAAACACAUCAGCAUGAGCCUGUAAGCAUUUCACCAACUCCUGCUUUUGCUCCCCCUUAAGUUUCGACCCGAUUCUGAUCGUCUUUCCCGGGUUCUCUGGUCCCAGGCUCACUGUUUCCAGAUCCUCUACAGGUUCUUGCCUGCCAUUCUUGUUUUCCACUCGGGUAUCGAGGGAUGUUAUCUGCAUUGCUUCCCUUGCUGCCGAGGAGUAGCAGCUUCUUGCGAUCCUCUGGUCUCCUCGUACCACUCCUACUACCCCAUUCACCCGGUACUUCAGAGCCAGAUAAUGGUUGGACAACACCGCUUUGCUCAUCCUUAAAAAUGGCCGACCUAGGAUCAUCUGGUAAGGACCUUCCUCAUCCACCACGACAAAGUCCAGUAUCAUUGUCCUUUCUGUCGGGGAACUCCCAAUUGUGAUAGGCAGUUCGACCACGCCCAGAGGGACCAGCUUCCCUCCUCCGAACCCCUUCAAGGAGGUAUUGGUGUAUUCCAACUUCCGGUCGGCUAUUCCCAUCUCUUCCAGGGUUGACUUAAAUAACACAUCAACUGAGCUCCCUGUGUCAAUCAGUAUCCGGUCAAACUUCUUGCUAGCGACGGUAGCCUUGAUGACUAAAGCAUCCUCGUGGGGGUAUAGAAUCCCUUCCUCAUCCUCAUCCGUCCAUAUGAUUGGCACUUGCCUGACCCUUGCUCGUUUGGCUGCUGGGGUGUUGAAGAGUACCUCUUUACUGGUCAUGGCGUACCUAGCAUAAUUUUUCCUCGAUCUGUUGGAAUCUCCGGCCAAUGUUGGGCCCCCAGCUAUCACCCUUACUGCGGGCUGCUCGCGCCUCAAGUUUCUAUCGCUCUGCUCCCCUUCACCUGUUGUGGCCACCAUCGGGAAAGUCCCAUCCACAAACUCGUCCAGGUACCGAUUUCUCACCAGAUCUUCGACCUGGGUCUUGAGAUCUCUACACUCUGCUGUGGUAUGGCCAUGGGUGUCGUGGAACUUACAAUAACGUCAUCUAUCCCUCCUGUUGGGUAGCUUUGUUAUUGGUGUAGGGAGGUGCAGCAGCCCUCGAUCCUUUAUGGCCUCGUACACCUCAUCCAGGGACAUCUUCAAGGAAGUGUACCGCCCAUAGUCCUGGUUCUGGUCGAUCAGGUGCACUGGUCUUUCUCUAUUUGCCCCGCUCUGAGUUGUGGGCGGUGGAAGUACUUCUGGUCUGCUCGCUCUGCUACCGUGGGAAUAUUGAUGAAGACCACUAGAUGCUGAAUCAUGCCUUCUCCAAGGCUCCCUAGCUGGGGAACGAGGAGGUUGCGCCCCGCUGCGCUGAUACUGUGGUGGCCGCUGAUGAGGCUGGUAAGCAGUUACCCGACCUCCUGCUCCACUACCGGAGGCCUGGUGGUCCCUCCUCCUGAUCGGCCCAUUCCCCGGUAAUGCUUUCUUCUCUUUCCUCCCCAACCCUUCUAACUGAUCUGUUUUAAUCCGUGCGGCCUUCUCCUCUUCAAUCUCGAUGUCUCUCUUAGCCUGCUCGUAUGCGGCUGCGUACGUUUGAAUAGCUGGGCUUCUCAAAUUGUACCACAGCCUUCCUAUCUUCACCCCUUCUUUCAACCCCCUUAACGCCUGAGGGUGGUUGAAGGCUCCCAAGUCGAGGACAGCCCGAUGAAACCUCUUGAUGAAUUCCCGAAGGGUUUCUUGCUCCCCCUGUUUCAUGCUUUUCAGCUCCAUCAUGUCAUCCUCUGGUGCCAUUGCCCCACUAAACUGCUCGGCGAAUUCCUGGCACAUCUGCUCGAAGGUUUUAAUGCUGCCCCGAGGAAGUUUCAUGUACCAUUCUCGUGCACGUCCCUCAAGGGAUAGUGGGAACACCCUGCACCUUUGGGACUGAGAUAAUCCUUGUACCCCAGUUAUGUCGUUGAAGCGCUCUAUGUGCACCAGCGGAUCAGUUCUUCCCGAGUAUCUGAGGUCUGGGAGGCGGAAAUCUCUCGGAAUAACCGCCCUCAUGAUCUCUGCUGCGAGCGGUGAUUCUCCGUCCAGCAUUAUCCUCCAACCAGGGGCUCUGUUCCUUCCUUGCAUGUCGUCAAUUAUCUGCGCUAGUCUGCGCACUUCCUCCUCCAGCUGCCCUGCACGACCAGGGUCACGUGCCUCAACUUGAUCGCGCUCUUGCUCUACAUCAUGCAAGUGUUGCCUCAACUUUGUUUCCUCCGCAUUCACCACCCCGUCGGCCUCGUCAGAAAUCUGUCUUGCCGGGGACUGCUCUCUUUCUCUAUGGGAUUCUCCCCGCAGAGGUACGUUACCUCUCUCCCCACCAUAUCCCCCGGUGGUUUGACUUCUCCUCGCACCAUCGGGACCUGGUGCCACCCCUCCGCCUCUCAACCUUCCCUCUUGGGCCACCCUUCGCUCGCUCCGCAGCUCAUGCAGGAUGGUUGUCAAGGUCUCCAUCUGCUUUUCCAUCCGUUCCAUCCGGUCGAACAUGACUUUUUCCCGUGCUUCACUGACUAUCUCCCUCAGCGUCACGGGAUCGUUAAGCCUCACAUCACCCCCUUGUGCACUAUUUCCUCCUAUCUCCAUUACUUUUCACUUGCUUCACUCCUUUUCUUGCUAUCUACAGAAGCUUUUUUGUAAGGUCCCCACAGACGGUGCCAAAAUGUUGAUGCGAGAUUCUGGUUCUCCUCAUUCUACGACCAGGAUCUCUACUCGAUCAACUUCACCACGACCAGGAAGUCUCCUCGUAAGGCUCCUUCUCCAGAGGUUCCUGCGCACACAGACAAGUCAGAGUACGCCGGUUGUUUUCCCGGCGCAAACCCUCCGACGCUCAAGUCAGAUAUCCAGGUUUGGGGAACACUUGCCACAAAUCUUAUGGCCUUUAGGUCCGUUCUCUCCCUCUAGAAUUUCUUUAGUCUCUCUUUUAUCUCAAAAAAUUGCCAACCCCUUUACCUUCGUUCGCUACCUUUUUGUAGGCUGCCUCUGAAUCCCAGUUUUCCGCUUUUUGCCAGACGGUAUGGGACUCUGACUGCUGCGUUAUGGGCAAAGGUGGGAUCUUGCGUGUUACGCCACGGUUCUGGGGAAAGCGUGGCUGUCGUGAUUCUGUGAGAUCUUGCGUGUUACGUCAUGGGUCUGGGGAAAGCGUGGCUGUCGCGCCUAGAUUCUCGAGCUGGAGAGCAUGUCUUGUCAACUGUCGUCGGCCGGGUCUCCUCGCCACUCGGCCUCUAGCCGAAAUGACCUUAUACCUCUCACAGGAAGUUGGCCUCGCGGAUGACGUGCUCGUGGACGAACAAGAUAUUUCUGCUCCUGUUCCCCCGCGCACCAGGCUUUUACGGAACACACCGGUCCGCAGAACUCUGCCAUCAGAUACCUGCUCACCAUGCCUGGUCUCGUCGACGUAUUUCUCCCAAACACAACUCAUAUUACAUGAGAAUAUAACUGAUAUAUACAAAUCAGACUAUAACUGGGACCAACAUACAUCAAAGCUAAUGGAGCGCUGCCCAGAUUUUAACCCUCUCAAAUAUUCGAGGGAUGUCUACUCCUCGCACUGGGGCAAGGAAGCAGACUGCCUUCACUCAAUUUUAUUUGAAGAAGAAAACACCCCACAUGCAUUGUGGGGGUUCGAACUGCUGCAGCAGCUCUCACCACUCGGCCAAAGACCGAGUGGCUAUAUUACUUCCCUGUUAAGAGCUGGAUCCCACACCCUUGAGCUUUUGUCGUCCCGGUCAACUAUAAAAGCAAAUCAUUAUUGAGUGGGAACAGACUUAUUGAUCACCCAAUUUUCAAACUUGUCAUCGUUAUUGAAUCUGCAUUCCCUUUUAAAAAAUUUUAAAAAAAGUACAAAUAAUGAAACAAAGUUCUAUUCCUUCAACAGUUGAUAGAGUUACGCGGCUUCAACUUGCAAGUGCUGUCGGCAUUUUCAAACUUGUAAUACCCUUACAACUUGCUUUCCAAGAUAGCUAUAAUUAAUAAUGACAACAGUCUCCCUUAUAGCGACUAGUGAGCAACUUGUUUCGUGAAAUUAACAGCAUCUUCUCUCACAUUUUUUAAAAAAUUGAAUUAUAUAACCCACCAAAACUAUAAAGAAUUGUUAGUUUUUCUUCAUUAAAAUUAAUAUAUUGCUCCUCAUUUUGAAAAAUCAAAAUUCAGAAUAAGAAUGAUUGAUACUGUUUAUUUACUAAAAUGAAAAUAAAAUAUAUGAAGCCUACAUAUUUUUGAAAUUAAAAAACAAGAACUUUAUUUUUCAUGGGAAGUGUUGGAAAUCAAGUUCUCAUUAUUUAAACUCUCAAUUGUACCUCACCGAAAUUUCAUAAUUUCACUUUUGUUCUCAAUUAAAAUAUUGUUAUAGUUAUUAUUCUUAUUUUUAUAGUUGUUGUUGAUGAUGAUGAUGAUGAUACAAGAUAAUUAAAUUAAUGAUAAUUAAACCAAUUUGAAUUCAGAGUGAGUGAGUACCAUGACUUCGCAUCAUUUGAUAUCAAAAGAGCAUCAUUACUAACUAAUAUAGGCUCGAUCGAAUUCAUCAUGCGAAGCAUAAUAUCGGCUGUAGGUAUGGAAAUAAAUUUUGUAUCCACAAACACUAUUUUUCAAAAUAUUUUAAGACUUGACUUAGCAUUUUUUAACCAUAUAUGUAUAGGUUGUUUGACCUAUUUUAAAUAGUGGAGAUUACAACAAAUGAACAGAUGUGGAUUAGUAGAGUUGUUGAGUUCAGAAGAUUGAAGUUAACAAAGGGUUUCUUGAUCUAGAGAAAAUUUGAAAGAGCGAAGUGUCUUCGAGAUCAAAAGACGAAAUAAGGAAAGGGUAAGGUUAUACUUUCAAAAUGAAUCUGUUGAGAGAACUUUGAAGAUUACUUCCGUUAAGAGCUGGAUCCCACACUUGAGUCUUCGUCGUCUCAGUCAGUCAGCUGUAAAGUCAGUCAGCUAUAAAGACAAAUUAAUUUUGAGUGUGAAAGGACACAAUUGAUCACCAAAUUUUCAAACUCGUGAUCCUUAUUCAAUCUACAUUCCCAUUUGAAAAACAAUAAAAGAUUAACAUUAAUUUAACUUCAUCUAGAUUCCCAUUUGAAUCUGCAUUCCCAUUCCCUUGUUCUCUGGGAAUGCACAUAAUCAAACAAAAUCCUAUCGGCAUUUUCAAACUCGUGACCCUUCAAGCUUUCUAUGACAACUAUAAUGAAUAAUUACAACAAUGCUACCUAAUAGUGAGCAACUUGUUUGAUGAAAUUAACAGCUUCUUUUCUCUCAUGUAUUUUUAAAAAAUUAAAUUAUCAAAGUUUUUAUUUCAAAAUUAGUGCUAUAGUUCAUUAAUUUUUCAAUUUUUCCUUUUUCUUUCCACACAACAGAUUGAUUUGCCCUCCAAAAAAUAUAUUAUAUUGUUUAAUAUUGUAACUUCAAGAAACUUACAAUAAAUUUUUAAAGAGAUAAAUAGAGAAUGUCAGUCUCCCAUCUACUCAAAAUUAAUAUAUAUCAUUAACUCUUGAUUAUUUUUAUAACAACUAAUAACUUUCUUGGCAGCAUAAUUUUACAGUAUCAUCCUUGUUUGACGUUUGUAAGUAUAUUUUUAUUCAUAUUUAUUAUAAAUUAAUUAAAUCAUAUCAAUGAAAAUUGAAAUAAAAAUUGAAGUACUAAAAAUUUAAAAAAUAUAUUUUGGUGUGAAUAAAAAAUUGAAAAUAAAAAUAUUUUUCUUAUAUUUUUUGUUAUUUUAAAAAUUUUUCUUAUAAUAAAUGUAUAUUUUAUAUGCUCAACUUUUUCUUUUAAUUUUUGUUAUUAGGAGGAUUUUUAGAUAUAAUGAAAAUUGUAAGGUAGUAAGUAAUAUAUAAUAAUUUUAAUAGAGAAAAGUAAAAAAUCUCUUAUUUUAAAAUAUAAGGAGAAAAAUAAUUAAUUUCAAGACAUUUUAGAAGAUAUUUCAAUAUGCGGUGGACCACAAACUCGAGUCUUUGUCAUCUCAGUCAACUAAAAGGACAAAAUAUUGAGGGCAUGGCUAAGGUGCAGAAGCUGCAAGUAACAGCUUCGAACUUUCCCAUUUCCAUCACCUUGCAUUGGGACCUCUUUCUCUCUCCUCUAGCACCCGUGGAAGUUCCCCAUUGGCUACUGUAACUUACAGAAGCUGUAACAUAGAUUUCUCCGAAUAUUGAGCGCGAAGGGCUCAAGUGAUUGUUAAUUUCACAGCAAUUGCCUUUUUUUUUUUCUAAUUAUUGGGAAAUAAUAAUUUAGUAUAACAAAUAUUAUAUCCUAUACUUUAUUGCUACAAAAUUACGAAACCUUAUAUUAUAUUAUGUUUCCAUAUUUCUCCUUUAUAGUGAAGACUCAUACUUCUUCUCUAGUAAAUGUUAAAGCAUUGGCUUAAACUUUUUAACUAGCACAGUAGACCCUUAAGCUAUAUAUACUAUAAUGUCCCUCUUCCCUCACAGAUUAAACCAAUCUAUCUCAGAGUAAGUUUGCAUCAAAGGAGUAUCCUUACUAACUAAUAUAGACUCGAUCAACAGGGAUGACAAUAAUUUUUUUAUCUACGAACAUUAUUUUUUCAAAAUAUUAUAUCUUUAGACUUAACUAAAUAUUUUUUAACCAUAUAUGUAUAGUUCGAUUAAAUAGUGGAGAUUACAAUAAAACAUAUGCGAAUUAGUAGUGAUGUUGAGUUCUAGGUCAAGACGAAAAUAAGGAAAGGAUAAGGGUGUAUUUUCAAAGUGAUUCUAUUGAAAGAUCUUUGAAGAUUACUUUCGUUAAGAGCUGGAUUCCACACUCUUGAGCCUUUGUCGUCCCAGUCAACUAUAAAGACACAUUAUUAUUGAGUGUGAACAUUCCGACUUAUAGAUCACCAAAUUUUUAAACUUGUGAUCUUCGUUGAAUCUGCAAUCCCUUUUGAAAAAAAAAAAAAAAAAGGAAAACUGCAAAUAAUGAAACAAAAUUCUGUUCCUUGAUAGAGUUACGCGGCUUCAACUUGCAAGUGCUGUCGGCAUUUUCAAACUUGUAAGACCCUUCAACUUGCUUUCCAAGAUAGCUAUAAUUAAUAGGAUCCCUCUAAGUUACGUUUAACGUAACAUACAGCCGAUGACAUGAUUAGUUGACCAAUAAUUAUAUGCCAGGUAAACAUAAUAAUAAUAAAAUAGAACUGAUUUAAGCGGUUGGAAGUCGGUCAUCAAAAGAAGUCAACGCAGGCAACACCCUUCUACAGGCGGUUGUCUCUGCCGUCAACUUUUCUGGUUUCUCCGACGACUCAAUCCUUCCCAUUAAGUUAGAAUCCCAAUUUUGCAGGCUCAAAUCUUUCCCGGCUACUGCCAAACCCAAAACCCACAUCAAUGAUAAUCAUCAUCAUCACACCGAAAAACACACACAAUCUCUUCAUCAUCAUCAUUCAAAUCCAACUUCAAAGUUAGAGUUUUUUUUAUUCCAAAUAAAACCCAUAUGGGAAACUCGGCUUGGAGACUGCAAAAUCCGUUUCUAGUUGUGAUUCCUCUCCUCCUUUGCCAUUUUCUUUGAGUCCAAAUAGAACCCAGAUUAAAAAAUUGAUUUUAAAGAAAUUCCAGGUGUGGGUCUGUUUUUGCUUUUGUUCCUAUUGUCGCUGUUUCCUCGAAAUCGAAGUUGAAGUCGAAAUCCAACUCAUUUUCUUCGUCGUUGAGUUCUCCGAGUUCAUGGAUGGAUUCACCUUCUUCUCCGCCGUCUCCACCUCAGAGAAAGGGCUGUUUUUUAUGUUCUCCAAAGAGUGCUUUGAAGAAAAAGAGCAAGAAAAGUCUAAUUCUUGGUGAUGAUCUUGAUUUGCUUGUAAAGAACGAUGAGUUCUUAUCGGAUUUGAAAUUUUUUUUGUGUUAAAGAGCAGGAAAAGAUGCUGCAGAAGGCAAUAAGGGAGCAAGAAAAGGUUAGUGGAGACUGGAGAGGAAGAGAAGAUUGUCAAAUGGGCACACCAAUUCAGCCGGUUUCCCAUCCUUUAGAGCUUUUGGACAAAUUAAACACUAGCCAUUGGAUUAGAUUUUAACACUUUCAACGGACAAGAUUUUUUAAAUUGUACGUUACGUUAAACGUAACUUAGGGAUUGCCUAAUUAAUAAUGACAACCGAAGACGGCUACGUUUGCGGUACAAAAGUUGCACCAUAUUAGACGUUCUUUUUUGUUCUUAUCCGAAGUAACCGUUGGAUUCAAAGGAAAGUGAUCAGACAUUCAAUAGCUUCACACGUGGACAUUAUAGGAUACCGGUCAAAUCGGUUAGUGCUCCUCCACAUCAAACUCACAAGCAUGGCAAUCAUCGUAUCAGCUUGGAAACUUGUUACAAGUGACGAAGAGCAACAGGGUCCGCUCCUCUAGAGUCGGUUAGUGCUCAAUAAUGUUACAGUUUUUAUAAUAUAUGUAACUGGUACGAUCGCUGUCUCAAGUGGUAAACUUUUGAGGCACAAAUUUAGAACGAAAAGUUCCCAAUAAAAUAAGUUAUUUAAUUAAUUAAAUAAGAAUAAAAUGAAUUUGUGAAAAAAAAUUUAAAUUUAAUUUUGAAUUAUUUUGACCAAAAUUUAAGUUUUUUUUUUUAAAUUUGUUUAAGAAAAUGCGUUGUAAUUGUCUUGUUUUAAUUAGAAAAUCAAUGAAAAAAUUAUGUAAAAAAAAAAAAAAAAAAAAAGCAAAACGCUUUGUUUUGGAUGGAGGCCAUAGAUUCCAAUAUUUCCUUCACGAAAACUACAAAAAAAUUAUCAAAGGCAUCAAUUUCUACACUCUCACCGAGCAAUACUCUUAACCCAGAAGAAAGUGUAUAAACCAACCUCAAUCAGUCCAUCAAUGUCGUCAACCUCAUACAGCAUAAACAAAUCUGUGCCCAUUAAACUGCCAUUUAAACCGUCUUUAUUGAGCCAUUAGACUACUUGUGUCAUCUUGCCAUCUCGUUGUAGUAUUUUGCCGCUCAAAUCUAGUUAUCAAUUGGGGAAAAUGGGGACCAAUCUGCAAGUCUUUAAAAUAGAAAGAAACUUUAAUUGGGCACUAUGUUCACUGUAGUGGACCCAGGAGCAGCUAUUUGUGCUUCAAAAAAUAUUUUACUCACUCUAAUUUUAAUAAGAAUAUAUAUUACCAAAUUACUUAUCAUAUAAGUUACUGGACAAUAUAUUAUAAGUCAACAUUAUAUAAUUACUUUGAACACUUAUAUAACCCAAUCCUAAUUUAAUUUAUUAUUCUCAUAACUUAAAUAUAAAAAUUUUUAUUUCCAACUUCUUAAUUAAUAUGUAGAUGAAUAAUAAGGAAAUUAACUUUGAGAAAAAAUUAAAUACAAAAUAUGUGUAAUACUUUAAAAAAAAUAAACAAAAGUAUUGCACAAGAUUAUUUUUUUUGGUGGGGGGGGGGGGGGGGGGGGGCUUUGGCCAUUCUUCUUCUUCUCCUUCUCUCUCUCUCUCUCUCUCUUUUUGUAGUAUUUAUGGAACAUUUUCUAUUGUUAUGUUCUCAUUGCAAGUUAUUUUGGGUGUAAAAUUCAAUAUUGAAAAUAAAUUAAAUAAAAAAAUUAGUAACUAAAAUUAUGUUAAAUUAUUUUUUAACUUAAUUUUUAAUUAUAUUAUUAGUAUAUGUUAAAUCUCUUAAAAAUCGAGUGUUGAAUAAUUUUAUUAGUUUUUUAAAUAAAUAAAAUUAAAUAACUUCAAAAGUUUAAGUAAGGAUAUUUUUAAAUUUUUUAAACAGUGUACAAAGUAAAGUUUAUUUUCUUGUCAGUGGCAAAUGAUCACGACAAGAAAUAUGAAGUAGAAACAGCAGAGCUCAACAAAUCACUAAGAGAAAAUAAGACCAAUAACCAAGCAGAUAAAAGAAAAGCAAAAUAACCCAUCUCAAAAUCACCACAUGCACAAUUUAAGGGGUUUGUGACAUGGGUUUAAACAUGAUUUAACAAGUGCCACCUGUGAAUUGUCAGAGAUUGUAUUUUCAUACACAUGUCAAAUUUUCAAAUCCAACAAAUUGUUAUCUUUAUAAAGAGGCUAAUAUUAUUAUUAUUUUUUUUUUUUGAAGUCUGUUAUACACAGAUAUUACUGACAUUACAUCAGACAUUACAAUUGAUAUUUACAAUCAUACUAUAUAACUGGGACUACCACCAUACAUUGACACACUGAAGUAUAUGCCCAGAUAUUUUAAACCCUCUCUAAUAUUCGAGGGGUGCAUAUCUACUCACAUUUCGUAAGAGAGAGACUGUCUCCACUCAAUUAAUUGAUAAUUGAGGAAGAACUGAAACUAACCUCCAUAAUGCACUUAUGGAGGCUCGAACCCUUGCACUCAACAUUGUAAGUGCAAGGUUUCUCCCAUUGAACCAAAGGCCCAUUGGUUAAUAUUAUUAUUAUCUAUGCAUAGCAUGCUAUAAACAAUUCAUAUUACUAGGGCCUUUGUUUUCUGUACACAACAUAUGGACAGCGGAACAAAUCCCUGAGCUAAAAUCAUCAUAUUCCAAAAUAUUCUAUUAAAUCAACACCACAAAACGCGAACGCUAAACAGAAUUGGAGCAAUUUACCAAAGCUAUUUGUCACGCAAAGCACUAGUACCUCAGAACCCAAUUUGCAAAAAAGCACCAAAAAUGAAAAAUAACAAAUGCCCAGAUGAAAAAUCAGGAAAAAAAAAAUGCUCAAAUCCAAAUUACAACCCCAUAAGCUGAGUCGUUCUCUUCGAACUGAAUUAAAAAAAAAUUAAAAAAAUUAAAAUGGGGAGAUUGACCUCAAACUUUGGAAACAGAAGCGACAGCGAUCUGUUUCUUGUCUGGAGUGUCCAUUUCUAUAAUCUACUUUCUCCGUUUUCAGUCGCUCUGCCGCAGAGCUUCUUCCCUCUGAAGCCGAAGCUCACACACACUUGCAAAACGAAAGCAUUUUUUAUUGAUUGAGAGGCGGGAAGGCGGGAAAAUGAGAGAAAUUUGCAUUUGUUUUCUCUUGGUUUGGUCAUACCUGUGCGGGCCCCAGCUUGACAAGCGGUAUUAUUACUAUUUGUAUAAUUUACAUGACGCGUGUCACGCAAUGACGAUAAAAAAAAAAUAUAUAUUGUUAAUUUUUCACUUAACAUUGAAAUAUCAUAUAAUUUUUCCAAUUUUAUGGUUAUUUUCUCGCCCUUAUGCCACAUUCUUUUGAUCAAACAAUACAGUAAAACUUUUCUAUAAUCAUAAUAUUAGAGCCAAAUUAGCUUUAUUUAUGUAAAGAGGCUAUAGCUUAAUGAAGUUAAAAUUAUAAAAAAAUAUUAUUUUGACUCAAUUAUCUUUAGUGCAAGUGAUAUAAAGUAUAAAUAUAUGGUAAUUAAUUAAUGAACUAUGUCAAAUACAAUAUACUGACAAUGAUAAAAAAGAUAGACAUAAUUUCAAGAAACUAAUACAUAUAUUUAUGCAGUGUUGGGAUUAUACAAAAUUAUCUUAAAAAUGUAAAGAGUAAAGUAUUAUUCUGAUUAUUUAAAAAAUUUAUUUUAUCUUAAUCUUUAAUGCAACAUAGCUUUUAUUUUUUUCUUAGCAACAAAGCAUUGUUCCAAAUAAUUAUUAUUGGAUUCAAAUCAUGUCCUAGGCAUUUUUUCUUCUAGUCGUCUUAAACUUUUAAUGAUUUAUUGGCAUGUGUCAAUCAUUAAUGAAAUUAAAUAACUAAGACUUUGUUUUAAUUAACGUUUACAUAAAUAGACAUCAAAACUCACGUGUGAUUCUUAUCAAUUUUUUUCCUGCAAAUUCUUUUCCUCUCAACUAUUCAUAUUUUGACAUUAAUUUCCAACAAAUUAUUUUUAAAAAAAAGGAGCGUAAAAUGGAGAAAAGUGAUUCACAACAAGGUUUGCAUCUUAAUUUCAAAAUUUUCCUUUCUUUGCUAUUUUUGUGGGUUCUACAAUUGUUGUUUUCACUCUCAGCUGCAGUUCAAUGAACUCUAUUAAUAACCAUGAAGCUUAAUGUAUCAAUUCCAAUGCGACAAGUCCUUCUACGCAUGUUACAACACUUUUUGGUCAUUAUAGGUUGCAAAUGCUCCGUAAUGUACUCAUUCAUAUAACGGAAACGCUAUUAUCAAUAAUGAAAGUUGACUAAGUUUGUAAAUUCUAUUUAACGAAAAAGUAACAUAAAUUUAGUUGAACAAGAGGUAAUUAAUAUGUAAUCUAUGAAACUAGGGUGUGACUAAGUUACAUAGUAAUGUAACUUACAUGAACACAAAAAUAAUUAGUUUUUAAACUACAAGUAGCUUUGGAACAGCUCUUAAAUUGAUAUAAGUUCUAUUAUUAUGUAACUUAGCAAGGUCAGAUAUUUUAAUAAUAGCACAUCACUAUUGUUUCAUGUGAAUGAUGCAAUUGGAUUAGCCCAAGACCAUUCAUACCGUCAUCCCCGGGAGAUGCUAUGGCAAUAGCUUACUCUACCGUGCCAAUGUCAUUAGUAUUAAUCUGAUGAACCUAAGACCAGAUCUAAGCUGAUCUAGAUUCCCCAAGAUCGCACACCACACAGUGAUUAAUGAAUCAAGAACAAUAAACCAUCAAAGAAUCGCAAACUUUCGGGUUACAUGUAAUAAAUGUUUUAAUUAUUAGAUGAUUCAUAAUGUUAGACCAUUUUUUGUAUGUUUUGUAAUCUACGUUUGAUAAUUUAAUUAGCUGAUAAACACUUGAAUAAUAUUAUUUCAUUAACUAUGUCAUUGAUCCCCAGGAAAAAAAAAAAAAAAAAAACCCCCAAUUUAGGAUGUUAUACAUUACUUUUCCAUUACUUCCCAUUUUAGAUUAAUAUCUAUCACAUAUAUUCUUAGUAACUUGUCACCCUUCUAUUUCUGAGAUUGUCCUUACAAUAAGGAUGCCGGCCCCAAUGUUAAAAACUGCUAUCUCUAGGUGUAAAUUCCUUAUAAAAUUCUUUUUUAAUUGAAAUUACUUAAAUAAUUGAAGAUAAAUUAAUUUUUUAUUUCAUUCAAAUAAAAAAAAUCAAUUAAACACUUAAAUAAGCUAUCCUUUUAAUUUUUUUUUACACCCCUCCAGUUUCAUAAUUUAUAUUUAUAAUUUAAAUUUUAAAGGAAAAUAUUUUUUUGAAAAAUUUUAAGAAUUAAGAAUUAUGGGGAUAAAAAUUAUGUAAUAAGAACAAAAUAAUUUAAAAUUUUAAAAUUUGCAUGUAUUAUAAACAAAAACUUGAAAGAAAUACUCUUUUCAGGGUGAGAUUUAAUCAGAAAAAGAUUAAUUUUCAUUUAUGGAUCAGUAUUUUAUAAAUUAAACAGAGGUAUUUUAAGAAAUAGAAUUCAAAAGGCAUGGGAACAAGGGCAUUGGGUUUCCUUUUGUUUUGUAUGGAUUGGGAAAAAUACACGGACAGACAAAGGGAACAGUCAUUAUAAUGCUGCGGAGCUUGUCGGAGAUUCCCUGCCCAUUUGUAGCUUAGACUCCUGGGGUUUUGUUCAUGUCUUUUCUGUAUCCCACUUUCUCAUGCAGCAGAUGUACAUAUGAUGAGAUGAAAACAACAGCAAAAAUUGCUGUCUCAUAAGAGAAAUAGUCAUACAUAGUUGGUUAGGCCUCCUGUCCAUUAACAUAAUAAUGAAUUUUAUGAAAAUUGAUUAUCUCAUUGGAAUUACAUAGAUAUUGGAAAACAUUACUCCAGCCCCACCAUCCCAACCAUUUACUUAGUUCAUCAGUAAAAGCUGGAUUUUCCAUUUGUUCUUGAGAUUCAAAUUAAGGCAACAAGUUGCUCAUUCUAUAUUAUCUAUGUAAUCCUGUAAAAGUGAAGGGCGUUUAGAUGUGGAAAAACCUUACUCCUGCCGCAACACCUCAAACAGAUUGUGAUCAGACAAGACUUAGUUCAUCAUUAGUAGUAGUUGGAGCUUCCAUUUGUUCUAGAGAUUUAAAGGCAGCAAGCUGCUUCCUCAGUGCUACUAAUUCUUCCCCGGCAUUGCAUAUGUAGCCUGAGGCUUGUCUACCAGACAAAGUUGCUCCUUCCAUACUAUCUAUGUAAUCCAGUGAGAGUGAAACCAUUUAGAAGACGUAUCUCUUUCUUUCCAAUAUUUAGAAUGAAACAAUUAUAUACAGUUACCUGUUUUGUAUAUGAGCCGACGAGGAAGAAGUUCUUCACUGGUGUCUUUUGAUCGUGUCUGAAGGAGUCUUUACCAGGUCCCUCACCGCACAAAGAUUGCCCGAUUUUGACAAAAGAUGACCAAAUAACUUCUAAACCUUGGGAUGAUGGAAAUAGAGCUAAAACCUAAUAAAAGGAACCGUGAAUGGAUAGUAUGGACUCAUGUAUAUUAUCCAGAAAGUUGCAUGACCUUUUGUGGUACUCAGGUCACUAAAAAAUGUGAGAUAAACAUCUAGGAUAAGAAAAGCAAAAAAGCAUAACCUAAUACGUAUUAUAUGAAUUGAAGGUGUCACUGAACACUACCAACCUGCUUUGCCACUCUCCUUAUGAUUUCAUCAUUUGGUAAGGGCAUAUAAGGAUCUCCAGGUGUCAAAAUGAAUCUGAAAUAUAAUAUGGCUAUAGUAAGCAACACAGAAUACAAAGACACUUAGCAAAAGGAAGCCAAUCAGAUUCCAUGCACAAAAAAUAACUAAUAAUGACGAGGAUAAGAAAUUUUUCUUACUGGAGCAAUGAACCUUGCCCUUCUCUGUAGUAGUCUUCUGGUGAAGUGAGUGCUAGAUCUGCAAAGCAAGAUAAAUCUGCAUCUGGAGUAUAUGAAAGGUUAUCUAACCCCACAGCUUGCCUCAAUUGUCUACAUGUUCAAAACAAGGAUCUGUUAAAAAAUGGAAAUUUCUUCAAUGCAUUAGUAAAGGGAAGUGAAGUGAAAGCUGAUUUCUUAGGCCUUCACAGAGCAUCAUGUGUUUGAAUUCCGGUAACCUCACAAAAGAUUAGAGCAUCACCUUGACCGUUCUAUGUCUUGCAACUCAGUAACCCAACCAUUGUAUCUAAGCUGCACUGUGACAACAGGAACUCCAACUAGCUCAUAAAUAUUGUUGAAAAAUUUCAUUUCCCUCCACGAUGAUGGAAGCAGUCUUUUAAUUCCAGGGACAUCACAUGCGGCCAUUAAAUAAGAAGUUGAAUAAAGAAAAAUCGUUCAACUAAAUGAUUCAGGAGUUAAAAAAAAAAAUGUAGAAGUAGAAAUAAAUAACGAGGAUUUAACCAUGAACCUGCAACAUAUGCAUCAGCUUGCACAACCUUCUUGUCAGUGGCCUGAAAUAGAAUGAGAAAUUGAAAGACAGUAAGCAUUAAAGAAUAAACUCAAAGAAGCUGCUUCUAACAGAUGAUAUAAACAAUAAAUUUACAAAUGUCAGAUCAUUGCAUUAGCUCUAUGCCUCCAUCAGAGGGAAUAUUAAUAGAUGCAUAAAAAAAUAAUUAGAGCCACAUGUGAAACAAUUUACCUUAGACGUAGCAGAUUUAUCAUAAAGUAUCUCUCUGCAUCCCCACCUAAGAUGGAACCUGUUCUCACAAGAACAGAUCCCAAGGUUGGGAAAAUCAGUUCAUCAUAGGAGAAAACAAAGAAGAUUAACAAAUCACUACAAUGGUGUGAACCCGUAAAUACAAACGUACCUGCCCCCUUUAUCUGUGAUAUAUUUUCUUAUGGGCCCACUCAAAUAAACAUCCGGAGAACCCUUGAGCAUCAGCAAUAGGGAAGCCUCAGUCUUAGUCGCAAACAGUGCAAAUAUAGUAAGCAUACAACGAGCACUGAUGUUAUCACAAUCAAUAAACCCAAGGGCAUACGAAACAGGAUCCCACAUUCUUUGGAACCCUUGGACAAAAACCAAUCAGAGAAGCUUAUCUGUAAGAAGAAAUGAAGUUUUAGGUAAAAUAACAAUCUGUAGGAACAGGGAUUGAAAUUCAACAAACAAGAAAAUAUGAUGUCAUUCUUACACUAUCCAAAUCUCAUAUGUCCUUCAAGGCUCCAUCAGGAUCAACAAGUGCCUUUACAACAGCACUCAGAGCAAGAGCAAGAGCAAGAGCAUUUCUUGCUUUAUCAUAAGUCUGCACUUGAGCAAUUUACGAGGCAAAGUACAUCAAAAGAGAAUCCAAAGGAGGCAAGAAGCUUCAACAUGAAAAAAGGAGUGCUGCCUCAUCAUACUGCUUUGCAAUCACAGUGCAAAAGAUAACAUCAACAAAAUCAAAAUCUAGCAUAAAUCCAUAUGCACUACCUUAAGCUGAUUUGUAGACAAAAGACCCGUUUGGGGCAGCUGCGUGGCAAACGGGUCUUUUGUCUACAAAUCAGCUUAAGGUAGUGCAUACGGGUCCAAAAAUGCGUGAAUCCCAUGUAACGGAGCUCCAAUCAGAAACCCGAAAUCAAGUUCUGGAGUUGAAAAUCAAAAUCAUGAACCAAAUCAGAGUUAUUAUUGAAUUAGACAAUCCAUAAACCAAUAGAAGGUAAAAAAAAAGGAAUAAAAAUUCUUCUAAAUUCUUUCACCAUCAACAAAAUCAGUAAAACACAUACUGAUUCAAAAUGACAUAAAGUUUGUGAAUUGAAAUAAUGCCAACUCCUAAGAAAAAUUAUGACUGCUGAUAUUUUUUCUGAAAUGCUGAUAAAAGCUUCUGCUAUUUACUUUGAAAAAAUAGAGGUUAGAAGCCAAUUUACUUGAAAUUUUGAGUUUAGGCAAGAGGAUGAAUGGCAAAAGUGAAACAUUUUAGGGAAAAAUGUACUUCAGAGGCCAAUGAAAGCAUUCAGAAGAUUGAAAUCUAAAUAAGCAAAACCCCGUGGCCUUGAUCCAACAAAUCCACUGCUGUUGACAUGCCUGCAAGCCCAGCUCCAAUAAUAGCCACUUUCAGCUUUGGUCCUCUAUAAUGUUCCGGUUCUGGUAGAAACAAACCCUUGGGAGCUGCCAAGUAUACCAUCCAAUUAUCCACAGCGAUAAUGGAAAUAUAUAUGUGUUUAAAGGUACUAAAUUCCUAAACAUGAAAUGUAUCCAAAGAGAGACACAAAGCAGAAUUGUGCAAGCAUUUCAAUUCCCAAUAAAUUUUAAGAAUACAAAAUACUCGGUCUGUUCCUCAAUUCCUUUAAUAAAAUUUCCACUAGAGGCUACGGAAGCCACUCAAUAACACUCCAAAGCCAGAUUUUAAAAGUUAUCUUUAACACAAAUUCAAUUCAAAAUUGUUCAAGUGCACCGCCACUUCUCCAUCAAUUCCCUCAAAAAUUCAUAAUUGCCAAACACUACAAACCAAAAAGAGCUUCCAGCAAUAAACGCAUAAAAAUCCACCAAGCAACAUAAAACAAAAUACCCAGAAACCAGAAAAGCCAAACGAUCAAUGCUUGGCAAACAAGCCAAUCAAAUAAAACAAAAAGAAGAGAAAUUUACCAUUAACGCUCAUAUCAGAAACAUUAGUGUCCAAAGAAGCCCGUACACAGAAUCUUGGAUCCUUCACUUGAACCCGAGACCAUGUAACGCCAGUAACUGAAGUUGCAGGAAACAGAACUGAAGAACCCAUAUUGCAAAUCCUGAGCUGAAAUCAAAGAAAUUCAAUUGGAACUCAAUUCAGCUCAACCGAGCGGAGCUCUCUUUUGCUUCAAUAACAAAGUGUUUUUCUUUCAUAUCAACAAAGAUUUGUCAACAUCAACAAAAUUUAACUAAGAAACUAAAAUAAUGCAGUAUCUUUGAGUUUAAGAAUCUAACAAGAUGUUAAGGAAGAGAGUUUUGUCAGGGAACUGUUUCGGAGAGGUUGGCCAAGUGCAUUUUUGUUUUUUUCUUGUUUUGCCCUUUUCAUUAAUGCACAACAUUAGUCCACGUGAAGAGCACAAAAUGCUGGUGGCUUUGUCACUAACGAUAAUGGAUGGAGUGUCCAAAGCAACCAACUAAAUUUUAAAGAGAGGGAAUGAUAAGUAAUAUCUUAAUGGGGUGAUUAAUUAAUUUAUUAUCAAGCAAUUGUAUUUAUUUAUUUAAAAGAUAUCCUUAUCUUUGUACAAGGUUUGAGGAAAGACGACGAUGUUGUGUUGUCACAUAUUUUUACGUUUCUCCAUAAUUCACUGCAACAUCAACUGGGCCACCACCUCUUGCCUCUCCUGGUUCCCCUCAAUUUUCGUAUUCAAUGUCCACCGUUGAUUGUACAUUUAUUAAAAUUCUGUGGUUAUUGUUUUUUUGCAUACAUUUAAUUCCACACGGUCUAUGGAUAGAGCAGGUGCAUCGUAGUUGUGGCCUUAACUGUUAUUGGUAACUCAAUAGCUAAUUCUAAUGUUUCAUCAAGCAGUUUAGAGAUAACCUCUCUCGCUGAACUCCCCGGAGUAACGCAAUCCAGUUUUCCAGUGCAAUCAUCAGACAGUUGAACAGCUUCUGAAUUCCCUUUGCUUUUCUUGUUUUCUUUUCCAUGUAAAGGGAGCUCAGGCUUCAAUAUAUCUGGGGAUUGAGUUCUAAUGAUAAAGACAACAUACGGUAGAGGACACAAAUUGUUAUUAAAGAAUGACGCACUUUUCAACUGAGUACAGUAAAGCAAGAAUGGGUAAUUAGUUUUACCUGCAACGUGAAAAUCUAGACUCCCGACGGUAACCGAUCUUUGGUGAAGCAAAUAAAGAAGAAGGCGAAGUAAAAUUCACUGAGUUGAAUGAGCGAUCAUUGUGUAUGGACUUGAUUUGUUCAAUAGGUGAAAGACUGCUGAUAUAAUUAAAGACUGGAGAAUCCUGCACGUUGACAAGCAUCAUUUUUAAUAUAACAUAGAGUCUUAAAAACCUAGUCAGUGGCAAAUGAUCACGACAAGCAAAAUGAAGUACAAACAGCAGAGCUCAACAAAUCAUUAAGAGAAAAUAAGACCAUUAACCAAGCAGAUAAAAGAAACGCAAAAUAACCCAUCUCAAAUCACCGCAUGCACAAUUUAAGGGGGCUGUUACAUGGGUUUAAGCAUGAUUUAACAAGUGCCACCAGUGAAUUCUCAAAGAUUGAAUUUUCAUACACAUGCAAAUUUCCAAGUCCAACGAAUUGUUGUCUUUCUGAAGAUAUUAACGAUGCAUAGCAUACUAUAAACAAAUCAUAUUAUUAGGGCCUUUCUUUGCUGUACACAACAUAUGUACAGAGGAACAAAUCCAUGAGCUGAAAUCAUCAUAUUCCAAAAUAUUCUACCCAAUCAACACUACAAAACCCUAACGCUAAACAGAAUUGGAGCAAUUUACGAAAGCUAUUUGUCACACAAAGCACUAGUACCUCAGAACCCAAUUUGCAAAAAAGCAACAAAAAUGAAAAAUAACAAAUGCCCAGAUGCAAAAUCAGGAAAAAAUGCUCAAAUCCAAACUACAACCCCAUAAGCUGAGAUUGACCUCAAACUUGGAAACAGAAGCGACAGUGAUCUGUUUCUUAUCUGGAGUGUCCAUUUCUAUAAUCUACUUUGUCCGUUUUCAGUCGCUCCGCCACAAAGCCUCUUCACUCCGAAGCUGAAACUCGCCACACACUUGCAAAACGAAAGCAUUUGAUCGAUUGAGAGGCGGGAAGGCGGGAAAACGAGAGAAAUUUGCUUUUGUUUUUUCUUCGUUUGGUCAUACAUGUGCGGGCCCCAGGUUCACAAGCGUUAUUAUUACUAUUUGAAGGACGCGUGUCAUGCAAUGGCGAGACAAAAAGUGGUGCAAAACUCCAAUGGUCACGAAAUGACGAUAAAAUAAAAAUAUAUCGUUAAUUUUUCACUUAACAUUGGAAUAUCAUAUAAUUUUAAGGUCAUUUUCUCGCCGUUACGCCACAUUCUUUUGAUAAAAUAAUAUGGUAAAACUUUUCUAUAAUCAUGAUAUUAGAACCUAAUUAACUUUAUAUCUAUAAAGAGGUUAUAGCUUAAUAAAGCAAAAUUGUAAAAAAUAUUAUUUUGACUUAAUUAUCUAAAGAGUAAAUAUAUGAUAAUUAAUUAAUAAAUAAUGUCAAAUACAAUAUAUGGACUAUAAUAAAAAAGAUAGACAUAAUUUCAUAAAAUUAAUACAUAUGUUUUUGUAGUGUUGCGAUUAUACAAAGUUAUCUUAAAAGUGUAAAGAGUAAAGUAUUAUUCUAAUUAAUUUUAAAAAAUAUUUUAUUAUUAACCUUUAAUGCAACAUAGUAAUUUUUUUUCCCUAGCAACAAAGUAUUGUUCCAAAUAAUUAUUAUUGGAUCUAGAUCCUGCCCUAGGCAUUUUCUCUACUAAUCCUCAUAAACUUUUAGGGUUUGUUUGGCACGUGAGAUUAGAUUGAACAAACUAUUAUGAUUGGACUAAAUUAGAAGGGAUUGGAUUGGAUUGGAUUGGAUUAUAUAUAGUGCUGACUUAUGUUUGGUAUUGUAUUGGAUUAGAUUAUGUUAAAUUAAAUUUACAUAAAAUUAAAUAGUAUUUACAUUAAUAUUUGAAUUUAAAUAUAAACUAUUUAUAGAUAUUUAACAAGAAAUAUUGUAAUUAAUUAAAAAUAGCAAUUGGGUAGUAUAAUAAAGAAAUAUAAAUUAUUUAAAUUAUAGGUUAUUUCAAAGAGUGAUGAAACAACCACAAAUUCUUGUACAAACUGAUCUUAUACAAACUGAUUUGGCAUUAAUUCAUUGAAUGAAAAUAUAAAAUAAUAAAAAUAAAUCAUGUGGGCCCAAGAUAUAUUUAAUUCAACCAAUUUUAUCAUGACACAUCAAUUUGUACAAGAAUUUGUGACUAUAUUAUUACUCUAUUUUAAAUAUGAGAGAUAUCAUUUCAUUGAAUAAAAUAAAUAAAAUUAUUCAAAUAAUAAAUUAAUUAAUAAAAUUUAAGUAAAUCAUGAAUAAAAAAGAAAUUAAUUAAUUAAAAACAGUAAAUAAUUAAAUAAUUUUUAAUUUAUAAAUAAAAUGGUAUAAUAAAUUAUGGAAGAUACUAUAAAUACACAAAUAUUUUUUUCACAUUAUCUAGUUCUAACUAAACACACAUAAAAAUUAGGAUUAGCAAUCCCAUGAAUUUAGGAUUAAAAUUUGAAUUUAGUCCAUUAAUCCAAUACAUGUGAGCAUGUCAAAUAUGGUAUUAAUAUUUUAUCGCAAUAAUAAGUCCAAUUCUACACUUAAUCCUACCUCCCAAAUAUAACCUUAAGGAUCUAUUGACAUGUGUCAUUAAUGAAAUUAAAUGGCUAAGAUUUUGUUUUAAUUAAUUUUUACCUAAAUAGACAUCAAAACUCAUGUGUGACUCUUGUUAAAUUUUUUCUUACAAAUUCUUUUCCUCUUAAUUCUUUAUAUUUUGACAUUGAUUUCCAGCAAAUUAUUAAAAAAAAGGAGCACAAAUUGAAAAAAAGUGAUUGACAACAAGGUUUGCAUCUUAAUUUCAAAAUUUUCCUUUCUUUGAUGUUUUUGUGGGUUCUAUAAUUUUGGGCGGGUUCUUAUGUAAUGUUACAAUUAACAUUAGAUUAUUUUCACGGUAUAAGGCAAAUCUUGAGAAUGAACCCAUUUCAAUAUGGUUUCCACAAUAUCAGGAUCUUCUUCUCUGCUUCUAUACGUUUAAAUAAGCUGUUUGCCCUUCCUGAUUCACUUUCCUCAUGAAACUUCAGGCCUAAUUUAUCUGCUAUUUCUCCUUGAAUCUCUCGUAUGUUUUUAUUAUGGGAUACCUCAUCUCCUUGAAUCUUUCGUAUGUUUUGAUUACGGGAUACCUCAACAAGAACUACCUGAUAAAAGAGUUCACUCUUGACUUUCCUAGCAACUUCUUCCGCCAGCUUCGUCUUUCCGAUUCCGCCCAUUCCAUAAAUCCCAAGCAUGUUGACAUUGGGAUUUUUUAAUGCAUCCAUUAUGUCAUUCAGAAUGGGCGCUCUUGAUACAAAGGCCUCGUAGUCUUUGUUAGGGAUAAGCCGAAUAUCCUCUGCAGCAGUACGGUAGGAAAUUCUAUCAAAUCUUCUAGCGUCCCGGACUUUGACAAUAGCCUCUUUCAACGUCACUGCUUCCAUGCUAAGUCGACGGCGGGUCUUCAAAUUAGGACACAACCCCUUGAAACAACGCUUAUUUGCUGCGGCUUCAACUUCUGUAAAUUUAUCUGCCUCUUCAAUGACUUUGUUGGCCCCUUCAAGCCAACUCCUAACGUUCUCUUCAAUUUCUUCCCCGUUUCGUUCAGCCUCAUCAACCUGGUGCUCUGUACUCACCCUCUCAGACUUCAGAUUGUCAACUUCUGCCUUGAGAUUCUGUAAGUUGGUAGUGUACUUACUCUCACGCAAAUAGCUAAUUUCGCGAUAUGCGGGAGGAACCAAGCACUUCACAACUUCUACAACAAUAGUAAGAAUGAUUUCAGCCAUCUUCAGUCCUUUGUCCUUGUCUCUCUAUCUCUCUUUUUCUGAAUUUUUGAAAAACAAUUGACUACUUAGGAAGCACACUGAGUGAUUGAACACAAGUGACCACAACAAGAUGGAACAAAAUAAAAAGGAAAAAAAAUACAAAGAGUGGAAGGAGAAUAAAACAGAGACAGCGGCACAGCUGGACACAACUAGAUAGAGAACAGAGCAAAACCAAAUAACAAGACUUAAGAUUACAACAAACAGAGGCCAAGAAUUGUUGAGAUCAGGAGAUGGAAAAUUCAAAAGAGUUGAUGGCAGAUGCUGAAUAACAGAACAACAAUAAACGCAAUAAGCAGAAGCAAAGUGUGUUUGAAUGGAAAGAAAGACUGAUAUUGAAAAUUGAUGUCAAUAGCGAAGGAAUAAUUGAACUUUCGCUGAAUUAUUGUUUGUGGCCUUCUUUUACUUUUUAUUUGUGGGUCAUGUCUUUUGGAACUAAUCAUCUUAGGUUAUGCCUUAUAGCUUUAAGGCCGGUAAACCGGUGUCCGUUGGAUUAGCAUAUAGAAAUCCAACGGUGGAUAUAUAUACUUGGAGAAUAAAAUUCAAGAGCUAAGGGAGUGCUGGGCUGCAGUUUCUUAAGGAGAUUUAUAUAUCCUCCUCAAAAAUAAAUGUUUUAAGGUAGAUAUUUAGACUAUUUCAUCAUAAAAUAAAUGUAAUUAAUUUUCAAUAAAUAUCUUAUAUAAAUAUUUAUUUAUUUUUUUAAUUACUAAUGACCUUUGAAUAUACAUAUAUAUACAUAUCACUUAUGUAUAUACAUAUCACUAAUUCAAAAAAUAAAUUGUGAUUAUUUGUUCAUGUAUGCGAUUACUUGUGAUGGGAAAUAAAAUAGAUAUGGUAUAUUUUGAAGUUAAAUUAAAAAAAAAAAAACAGAGCUUUUACCAUUACUUGCCUUAUCAUCUUUUAAAUUAGAGUUAUUAUUCUUUUAUUUUUCAAGUUGCCAACUCAUCCGCAUUCUCUUUUAUUGAAUUUGAAGAUCAAUGAUUAUAAAUGUGUGUAAAAAUUUUAAGUCAAAACUUUAAAUUAAAAUAAUCUUUAAGUUAUUGAGAAAUAAUAACUUAGUAUAACAAAUAUUAUAUCCUAUACUUUAUUGCUACAAAAUUACGAAACCUUAUAUUAUAUUAUGUUUCCAUAUUUCUCCUUUAUAGUGAAGACUCAUACUUCUUCUCUAUUAAAUGCUAAAGUAUUGGCUUAAAUUUUUUAACCAGCAUAGUAGACCCUUAAGCUAUAUAUACUAUAAUGUCCCUCUUCUCUCAUAGAUUAAACCAAUCUGAUCUCGGAGUGAGUUGAUACCAUGACUUUGCAUAAUUCGUGAUCAAAGGAGCAUCAUUAUUAACUAAUAUAGGCUCCAUCAAUAGGCAUGAUAAUAAUUUUUUUUAUAUACAAACACUGUUUUUCAAAAUAUUAUAUCUUAAGACUUAACUAAAUAUUUUGUAACUAUGUAGAUAUAGUUUGUUUGAUCUCUUUUAAAUAGUGGAGAUUACAAACAAACAUAUGCAAAUUAGUAGUGAUGUUGAGUUUAGAAGAUUGAAGUUAAGAAAAUUAAGGGUUUCUUGAUCUAGAGAAAUUUCAAAUGAGUGAAGUGUCCUUGAAAUCGGAAGACGAAAAUAAGGAAAGGGUAAGGGUGUAUUUUCAAAGUGAUUCUAUUACGAGAUUUUGAAGUAGGGGUGGGCAAGUCGGGUUUUGGUUCGGGUUGUUCAAGUUUCGGUUUGGGUUUCAACCCAAUCGGGUUUGGGAAUUGAAUCCAAUCGGGUUGAAAACGCCAACCCAAACUAAACCGAACCGAAUUUAAUUCAGCUUGGGUUCAUAAUUCGGAUUGGUAAUUCAGGUUAAAAUUUCGGUUCGGGUUAAUUUGGGUUAGAAUAAUUCCAUCUAAAAUUUUGGGUUAGUUUGGUUUAAAACAAAUUGAAACAAUUUAAUCCAAAAAUUAUACCAACAACCACUUAAAAUCCAAAAAUCUCAAUUCCAAACAUCCUUAACAACAAAUAUCAACUACAAACUAUCCUUGAUAACAUUUCAACAAUAACAAUAACAAUAAUAACAACAACAACAAUAAUAAUAAUAAUAACAACAACUAUGAAUCAGCAAUUCAGCAUAUUGCCAUAUUCUAAAUUUAAAAAAACACACAAAUUAUGUAAUUAAUUAAUUAACAAUCUCCAAUUUAAUUUAUAAUAACAACAAAAAUCCUCUCCAAUUUAAUUAAUAACAAUCUCGAAUUGUUCAAUUAUCAGUCAACAACAACAAACCCACUCCAAAUAAUUGAACAAUUGUUAAUUAAUUAAUUAAAAAUAUCUAAUUUAAUUAAUAACAACACCCAAGAGCAAGUCAGCAAUAAACCCACUCAAAAAUCCAAAUAUCAGUAUAAAUUAAGUGUCAAACCUUGAUCGGUGGGAAGCUACAGCGUCGGCAAAUUGUGACCGUGUGGGGCUGAGUAAGACCGUCAACCGAGGGUGUGAGAAGGGAGAAGAGGGAGCAGGGAGGUAACGAUGUGUGUGUGAGUUUAUAUAUAUAUAUAUAUAUAUAAUUUUUAAAACCUAAAACUUAAAAAAAAAAAAAAUUAACCCAAUCCAAACCGCCCACCUCAUAUUACUUCCGUUAAGAGAUGGAUCCCACACUCAUGAGCCUUUGUCGUCCCAGUCAACUAUAAAAACAAAUCAUUAUUGAGUGUGAACAGACUUAUUGAUCACCCAAUUUUCAAACUUGUCAUCCUUAUUGUAUCUGCAUCCCCUUUUGAAAAAUUUUAAAAAAAGUACAAAUAAUGAAACAAAGUUUUGUUCCUUCAACAGUUGAUAGAGUUACGCGGCUUGGACUUGCAAGUGCUGUCGGCAUUUUCAAACUUGUAAGACCCUUCAACUUGCUUUCCAAGAUAGCUAUAAUUAAUAAUGACAACAGUCUCCCUCAUAGCGACUAGUGAGCAACUGAAAUUAACGGCAUCUUCUCUCACAUUUUUAAAAAAAUUGAAUUAUAUAACCCACCAAAACUAUAAAGAAUUGUUAGUUUUUCUUCAUUAAAAUUAAUAUAUUGCUCCUCAUAUUAAAAAAUCAAAAUUCAGAAUAAGAAUGAUUGGUACUGUUUAUUUACUAAAAUGAAAAUAAAAUAUAUGAAGCCUACAUAUUUUUGAAAUUAAAAAACAAGAACUUUAUUUUCCUUGGGGAGUGUUGGAAAUCAAGUUCUUGUUAUUUAAACUCUCAAUUGUAUCUCACCGAAAUUUCAUAAUUCUACUUUUGUCUUCAAUUAAAAUAUUAUUAUAGUUAUUAUUCUUAUUUUUGUAGUUGUUGUUGUUUUUUUUUUUUGGUCUUAUCCACGAGGUAUCCUGGGGAGGGCCCCAACUGUGGGAGGCACCUUUAAGCCCGUACCACAACCCAGACUAGAAGUCCCCGCUCGAACCGGGAGGCACAGGUUCUCCCAACAAAGGCGACUUCCCUGCGACUCGAACUGGGGAGCAAACCCAGUCAAGCCACUUAAGGGGACUCCAUUGCCAGUGGAGCCAACACUUUGUUGGUUGUUGUUGUUGAUUAUGAUAAAUGGUCAGGCAAAUGAUUCAUUUACUUAUUUUUUUCCUUUUAAAUUUUUGUUAUUAAGAAGAUUUUUGGAUAUUUAGCGUGAAGGUCUCAACUGAUCGCUAAUUUCACAGCAACUUCCUUUUUUUUUUCCCUCAAUUGUUUUGAAAAAAUAUCAAGACUCAUUCAGCAAAAUAUCCGAGGCCAAAGCGCCAAAAAUGGGACAGCCACAUGCACUUCUAAUUACAAAAUCUAAAGUUAGGGUGUCCAUAACUUACAUUUAAUAUAAUUUAUAAUUAGGUAAAAUUCAUUCAUUGACCCAGUAAUUUUAUUAUCCUAUUACUUAUAUUUUUAUAUUAAAAAAUUAGUAAGUAGGAAAAUUCUUAAAAGAUAAUGAAGAAGGAAAAGAAAAAGAAAAAGUGUAAAUGAACUGUAUUCACAUAAGUUUCAAACAUGUGAUUCAAUCUGAAUUGGCUUUUUUCAAAAGUAAAUACAAAGGAAAAUAAAAAGAAAAAAGCAAUUAAACGAGACUAAAAUCUGUGGCCUGUGUCAUUCAUAUCUUUUGACAUUUCUUUUAUAGCGGUAUAAAGGGUAGAUAUUUUGAAGUGAAAAGCAAAGCCUUUACUAUUACUUGCCUUAUCAUCUUUUAAAUUAGAGUUAUUAUCCUUUUAUUUUUAAGUAGCCAAAUUAGAGUUAUCAUCCUUUUAUUUUUAAGUAGCCAACUCAUCCGCAUUAUCUAUUAUUGAAUCUAAAGAUAAAUGAUUAUAAAUUUCUCUGAAGAUUUUAAGUCCAAACUAUAAAUCAAAAUAAUCUUAUUGAUUAAGUUAUUGUAUAAUAAUAACCUUAGCAUGACAAAUAUUAAUUCUUCUCUAGUAAAUGCUAAAGUAUUGGCUUAAGUUUUUUAACCAGCACAGUAAACCCUUAAAGCUAUAUAUGCUAUAAUGUCCCUCUUCCCUUACAAAUUAAACCAAUUUGAAUUUAGAGUGAGUGAGUACCAUGAGUUUGCAUCAUUACUAACUAAUACAGGCUCGAUCGAAUUCAUCAUACGAAGUAUAUUAUCGGCUGUAGGUAUGGAAAUAAAUUUUGUAUCCACAAACACUAUUUUUCAAAAUAUUUAAGACUUAACUUAUCAUUUUUUAACCAUAUAUGCAUAGGUUGUUUGACCUAUUUUAAAUAAUGGAGAUUACAACAAAUGAACAUAUGUGGAUUAGUAGUGUUGUUGAGUUCAGAAGAUUGAAGUUAAGAAAAAGGUUUCUUGAUCCAGAGAAAAUUCAAAAGAGCGAAGUGUCUUCGGGAUCAGAAAACGAAAUAAGGAAAGGGUAAGGUUAUACUUUCAAAAUGAAUUUGUUGAGAGAUCUUUGAAGAUUAUUUUCAUUAACAAUUAGAUCCCACACUUGAGUCUUUAUCGUCUCAGUCAGUCAGUUAUAAAGACAAAUUAAUUUUGAGUAUGAAAGGACUUUCAAACUUGUGACCCAGUUAUAAAGACAAAUUAAUUUUGAGUAUGAAAGGACUUUCAAACUUGUGACCCUUCAAGCUUUCUAUGACAGCUAUAAUGAAUAAUUACAACAGUGCUACCUAAUAGUGAGCAACUUGUUUGAUGAAAUUAACAACUUCUUUUCUCUCAUGUAUUUUUAAAAAAAUUGAAUUAUCAAAGCUUUUAUUUCAAAAUUAGUGCUAUAGUUCAUUAAUUUUUCAAAUUUUCCUUUUUUUUUCCACACAACAGAUUGAUUUGCCCUCCAAAAACUGUAUUAGAUUGUUUAAUAUUGUAACUUCAAAAAACUUAUAAUAAAUUUUUAAAGAGAUAAAUAGGGAAUGUCAGUCUCCCAUCUACUCAAAAUUAAUAUAUAUCAUUAACUCCUGAUUAUUUUUAUAACAACUAAUAACUUUCUGGGCAGCAUAAUUUUACAGUAUCAUCCUUGUUUGUAAGUAUAUUUUUUUUCACAUUUAUUAUAAAUUAAUUAAAUCAUAUCAAUGAAAAUUGAAAUAGAAAUUGAAGUACUAAAAAAAAUGUUUUGGUGUGAAUAAAAAAUUGAAAAUAAAAAUAUUUUUAUUAUAUUUUUUUAUUUUUAAAUGGUUUUCUUAUAAUAAAUAUAUAUUUUAUAUUCUCAAAUUGAAUUAUUGAGUAAAUGACUCAUUUACUCACUUUUUCUUUUAAUUUUGUUAUUAGGAGGAUUUUUAGAUAUAAUGAAAAUUGUAAGGUAGUAAGUAAUAUAAAAUAAUUUUAAUAGAGAAAAAUAAAAAAUCUGUUAUUUUAAAAUAUAAGGAGAAAAAUAAUUAAUUUCAAGAUAUUUUAGAAGAUAUUUCAAAUUUUCAAUAUGCGGUGGACUAUAAACUCGAGUCUUUGUCGUCACAGUCAACUAAAAGGACAAAAUAUUGAGUGCGAAGGGCUCAACUGAUUGCUAAUUUCACAGUAAUUGUGUUUUUUCUUUCUUUUUUUAAUUAUUGGGAAAUAAUAACUUAGUAUAACAAAUAUUAGAUCCUAUACUUUAAUGCUGCAAAAUUAUGAAACCUUAUAUUAUAUUAUGUUUCCAUAUUUCUCCUUUAUAGUGAAGACUCACACACUUCUUCUGUAGUAAAUGCUAAAGUAUUGGCCUAAACUUUUUAACCAGCACAAUAAACCCUUAAGUUAUAUAUGCUAUAAUGUACCUCUUCCCUCACAGAUUAAACCAAUCUGAUCUCAGAGUGAGUUUGCAUCGAAGGAGUAUCCUUACUAACUAAUAUAGGCUCGAUCAAUAGGGAUGACAAUAAUUUUUUUAUCUACGAACAUUAUUUUUUCAAAAUAUUAUAUCUUUAGACUUAACUAAAUAUUUUUUUAAUCAUAUAUGUAUAGUUUGUUUGAUCUCUUUUAAAUAGUGGAGAUCACAACAAAGCAAAUGCUAAUUAGUAGUGAUGUUGAGUUCAGAAGAUUGAAGUAAAGAAAACUAAGGGUUUCUUGAUCCAGAGAAAUUUCAAAAGAGUGAAGCGAAAAGUGAAUUUAUUGAGAGAUCUUUGAAGAUUUACUUCCGUUAAGAGUUGGAUGUCACACUUUUUGAGCCUUUGUCGUCCCAAUCAUUCAAUUAUAGGAUCCCUAAGCAUAUAACUUACAAUUCUUUCAUAUAAAUAAUGAGUAGUGUGAACCCAUACAACUUACAACCUUCUCACAUAAAUAAUGAGUAGGUCUAAACUACUCACUAUUCAUAUAAAAAAAUUAUAAAUUAUAUACAUGUAACUUAACAUUAUUCUCCUCUAUAAAGACAUAUUCUUAUUGAGUGUGAAUAGACAUAUUGAUCACUAAAUUUUCAAACUUGUGAUCCUCAUUAAAUGUGAUUCCCCUUUGAAAAAGAAAAAAAAGUGCAAAUAAUGAAACAAAAAUCUGUUCCUUAACAGCAAGUGGUGUCGGCGUUUUCAGACUUGUAACAAGGGAAUGAGAUCCUCUCCUGAACCCGGGUCUCAUUCCCUGUGAAACAAAAAAAGUGCAAAUAAUGAAACAAAAUUCUGUUCCUUAGCAGCAAGUGGCGUCGGCAUUUUCAGACUUGUAAAAGGGAAUGAGGUCCUUUCCUGAACCCGGAUCUCAUUCCCUGUGAAACAAAAAAAGUGCAAAUAAUGGAACAAAAUUUUGUUCCUUAACAGCAAGUGGUGUCGGCAUUUUCAGACUUGUAACAAGGGAAUGAGAUCCUCUCCUGAACCCGGAUCUCAUUCCCUGUGACAAGACCCUUGUCACCCUUCAACUCGCUUUCCAAGAUAGCUAUAUUAAUCGUGACAACAUUACUCUCAGUGAGCAAAAGUUAUCAGCAUCUUCUCCCCAUUUUUUAAAAAAUUGUAUUAUAUAACCCACCAAAACUAUAAAGAGUCUUUUCUUAUUAAAAUUAAUAAAUUACUCUUUAUAUUAAAAAAUUAAAAUUUAAAAUGAAAAUGAUCUGAUGUUUAUUUAUUAAAAUAUAAAUAAAAUAUAUGAAGUUCAUAUUUUUUAAAUUAAAAAAUAAGAACCUAAUUUCAUUCCUUAAAUUCCCAAAUUUACCUCACAAAAAUUCCAUAAACUUACUUUUGUCCUUAAUUAAAAUAUUAUUAUGUUAUUAUUAUGGUUAUUAUUCUUAUUUUUGUAAUAGUUGUUGUUGUUGUUGAUGAUGAUAAUACAUGAUAAUAAAAUUAAUAAUAAUAAAAAUAAUAACUAUAAUUUUAACAAUAGCAGUAAUAAUCAUUAAUAUUAUUGUUGUUGUUCUUAUUUUUAUUCUUAUUCUUAUUAUUAUUAUUAUUAUUAUUAUUAUUAUUAUUAUUAUUAUAAUAAUAAUAUUAUUAUUAUUAUAAUAAUAAUAAUAAUAUUAUUAUUAUUAAAUAAUAAUAUUAUUAUUAUUAAAUAAUUAUUUUGAAUAAUAAUAAUCACAAUUAUUAUAACAAACGACAAUAAUCAACUAAGGUAAUUUUAAUAACUUGUAACGAUUCAUUUUAUUCAAAGAUAUGUGAUUAUUUGUUAAUGUAUGCAAUUACUUGUGAUGGUAAACAAAGUACAUAUGGUAUAUUUUCAAGUUAAAAAAGAAAAACAAAACAUAGUUUUUACCAUUUCUUGCCUUAUCAUCUUUUAAAUUAGAGUUAUUAUUCUUUUUAUUUUUCAAGUUGCCAACUCAUCUGCAUGCUCUUUUAUUGAAUUUGAAGAUCGAUGAUGAUAAAUUUGUGUGAAAAAAUUAAGUCAAAGUUUUAAAUUAAAAUAAUCUUUAAGUUAUUGGGAAAUAAUAACUUAGUUGUAAUAAAUAUUAUAUCCUAUACUUUAUUGCUACAAAAUUACGAAACCAUAUAUUAUAUUAUGUUUUCAUAUUUCUCCUUUAUAGUGAAGACUCGUACUUCAACUUUUUAACCAGCACAGUAGACCUUUAAGCUAUAAAUGUUAUAAUGUCCCUCUUCGCUCAUAGAUUAAAACAAUAUGUAGCCUUCUCUCAUAUAGAAAAACUUUUUGUAUAAGACAAAUUAUUAUGUUAUAGGAAAAAUUACAGUAGACGUAAGCCAUAUAUGUUAUAAUGCUCAUAAGUUUGAAGUUAAGAAAAUUAAGGAAAGGAUAAGGGUGUAUUUUCAAAGUGAAUUAUUAAGAGAUCUUUAAAGAUUACUUUCGUCAAGAUCUGGGUUCCAUACUCUUGAGCCUUUUUCGUCUCAGUCAACUAACAAGACAAAUUAUGAUUGAGUGUGAACCGUCCGACUUAUGGAUCACUAAAUUUUAUCCUUAUUGAAUCUGCGUUCCCCUUUGCAAAAGUAAAAAAAAAAAAGGUGCAAAUAAUAAAACAGAAUUGUUGGCAUUUUCAGACAUGUAAGACCCUUCAACUUGCUUUCCGAGAUGGAAAAUGCUACUCAGCGAGAAUGCCGAGAGAAACGGCAUACAGUUUCUCUCGGCCCCACUCCACGUGAAGACUUUCUCUUUUCACAUUUUUUACGCGUUUCUCUUUUCUCUCCCCCCACGUGAACACUUUUGCCUUUUGCUCGUUCACGUGAAAGUCAGUUUAGAAUUUUGAUCUUAUUAAUCAUGACAAUUGACAACAUUACUCCCACCGAGCAAAAGUUAACAGCAUCUUCUCCCACAUUUUUUUAAAAAAAAUUGUAUUAUAUAACCCACCAAAAGUAUAAAAAGUAUUUUGUUAUUAAAAUUAAUAAAUUACUUUUUAUAUUAAAAAAUUAAAAUUUAAAAUAAGAAUGAUUGAUGAUGUUUAUUUAUUAAAAUAAAAAUAAAUUUUAUGAAGUCUAUAUAUUUUUUAAAUUAAAAAAUAAGAACUUAAUUUCUUAUGAACUGUAUUCACUACUUAGUAUUCUUAAAAGCUAACGGAGAAACCACUCGGCUCAGCCCGAGUGGCUAGGGCUGCUGCCCUCCAAGUUGGAGGGCAGCAGUUCGAACUCCCACAAAAGUAUUGUGGGGGUAUUUUUUUCUUCAAUUAAUUUGAGUGAAGGUAGUCUUCUCUCUUACCCAUGAGUGAGGAGUAGACAUCCCUCGAAUAUUUGUGAGGGUCAAAAUCUGAGCAGAGCUCCAUUAGUAAUUAUGUAAGUUGGUCUCAGUACUAGUCUGAUUUGUAAAUAUCAGUUAUAGUCUCAUGUAUAUGAGUUGUAAUCUGAGCAAUAGUCUCAUGUAAUAAAAAAAAAAAAAAAAAAAAGCUAACGGAGAAGGAAAAGAAAAAAAAAAGUGUAAAUGAACUGUAUUCACCUAAGUUUCAAACAUGCGGUUCAAUCUGAAUUCGCUUUUUUCAAAAGUAAAUACAAAAGAAAAUAUAAAGAAAAAAAUUAAACGAGACAAAAAUCUGUGGCGUGGGUCAUUCAUAUCUUUUGCCAUUUCUUUUGUAGAGGUACAUAGGGUAGAUAUUUUGAAGUGAAAAGCAGAGCCUUUACUGUUGCUUGCCUUAUCAUCUUUUAAAAUUAAAGUUAUUAUUCUUUUAUUUUUAAGUAGCCAACGGAUGGUAGCCAACUCAUCCGUGUUCUGUAUUAUUGAAUUUAAAGAUCAAUGAUUUAUGUUAAUAAAUAUUUUGUUAACUAGCAAAGUUUUUAUUUCAAAAUUACUCCUAUAAUUCAUUAAUUUUUCAAUUUUUCCUUUUUCUAUUCACACAACAGAUUGAUUUGUCCUCCAAAAAAAUGUAUUAGGUCGUUUAAUAUUGUAACAUCAAGAAACUUAUAAUAAAUUUUUAAAGAGAUAAAUAGAGAAUGUCAGUCUCGCAUCUACUCAAAAUUAAUAAAUAUACCACUAACUUCUUAUUAUUUUUAUAAUAACUAAUAACUUUUUUAGCAGUAUAAUUUUAUAAUAUUAUCAUUGUUUGUAAGUACAUUUUUUAUUUAUAUUUAUUAUAAAUUAAUUAAAUCAUAUCAAUAAAAAUUAAAAUAACACAAUAAGUUUUGGAGUGAAUAAAAGAUUGAAAAUAAAAAUAUUUUUCUUAUAUUUUUUGUUAUUUUUAAAUGUUUUUCAUAUAAUAAAUGUACAUUUUAUAUUCUUAAGAUGAAUUUUGAGUAAAUGACUCAUUUACUCAUUUUUUUCUUUAAAUUUUUGUUACUAGGAGGAUUUUUAGAUAUAAUGAAAAUUGUAAAGUAGUAAGUAAUAUAUAAUAAUUUUAAUAGAGAAAAAUAAAAAAUCUCUUAUUUUAAAAUAUAAGGAGAAAAAUAAUUAAUUUUAAGAAAUUUUAGAAAAUAUUUUAAUAUGCUGUGGAUCACACCCUCGAAUCUUUGUCGUCUCAGUCAACUAAAAGGACAAAAUAUUGAGCGUGAAGGCUCAACUGAUUGUUAAUUUCACAGCAAUUACUUUUUUUAUUCUUUCUUUGUUUUUCCUAAUUAUUUUGAAAUAGUAGGUAGCAAUUGCUUACAUCAAAAUAUCUAGACUCACUCGGCAAAGUAUCCGACGCCAAAAUGUCAAAAGGUGGGACACCCAUGCAUCUAAUUACAAAGUCUAAAGUUAAUGAAAAGAGAAAAAGAAAAAGUAUAAAUGAACGGUAUUCACCUCACUUUCAAAUUUAACUGUUGGGUCUUCCUACUAUGCACCUGGUGUAUGCAUGAUUCCUUGUGACAUGACAUACAGCCAAUUAAAUUCUGACAUACUUGCAAUAAGGUCUGUUAAAGUGACCGGUUAUUCCAGUUGAAUUCACAAGAUCUCUUGUUUGCGUGUUUAUGUUCCAAGUUGUGUACUCUGUGUUGCGAGUUCUCUAAUUAGUCUGAAAUUAUCGCAACUGUUAGCUCAAUAAUGUUACAGGUUUUAUAAUAUAUGUCACUGGUAUGAUCGCUGUCACAAAUUUAGAACGAAAAGUUUCUAAUAAAAUAAGUUAUUUAAUUAAUUAAAUAAGAAUAAAAUGAAUUUAAUUUUGAAUUAUUUUGACCAAAAUUUAAGUUUUUUUUAAAUUUGUUUAAAAAAAUGCGUUGUAAUUGUCUUGUUUUAAUUGGAAAAUCAAUGAAAAAAUUAUGUAACAGACAAAAAAAAAAAAAGCAAAACGGCUUGUUUUGGAUGGUGGCCAUAGAUUCCAAUAUUUCCUUCACGAAAACUACAAAAAAUUAUCAAAGGCAUCAAUUUCUACACUCUCACCGAGCAAUACUCUUAACCCAGAAGGAAGUGUAUAAACCAACCCCAAUCAGUCCAUCAAUGUCGUCAACCUCAUACAUCAUAAAAAAAAUCUGUAUCCAUUAAACCGCCAUUUAAACCGUCUUUAUUGAGCCAUUAGACUAUUCGUGUCAUCUUAGCAUCUCGUUGUAAUAUUUUGCCGUUUAAAUCUAGUUAUCAAUGGGAGAAAAUGGAGACCAAUCUGCAAGUCUUUAAAAUAGAUAGGAACUUUAAUUGGGCACUAUGUUCACGGUGGUGGACCCAGCAGUAUUAAUCUUUAGGCAGAGCUAUUUGUAUUUUAAAAAUUAUUUUACACACUCUAAUUUUAAUUAGAAUAUAUAUUACAAAAAUACUUAUCAUAUAAGUUACUAGACAAUAUAUUAUAAGUCAACAUUAUAUAAUUACUUUGAACACUUAUAUAGCACAAUCUUUAUUUAAUUUUUUAUUCUCAUGACUUAAAUAUAAAAAAUUUUAUUUCCAACAGAUGAAUAAUAAAGAAAUUAACUUUGAGAAAAAUUUAAAUACAAAAUAUGUGUAAUACUUUUAAAAAAUAAAAUAAAACAAAAGUAUUGCACAAUAUAUAUUUUUUUUUGGGGGGCUUUGGCCAUUCUUCUUCUUCUCCUUCUCUCUCUCUCUCUCUCUCUUUGGAUAGUAUUUAUGGAACAUUUUCUAUUGUUAUGUUUAAAGCUGUUAAAAUGAGUCAUCAGGUCGUGUUUGUGUCGUGUCAAAUUUAAGUCGACCCAUUUAAUAAUCGUGUCAAAAUAUUGAGACCCAAACCCAACACAAAAAAAUAAUCGGGUUACUCAAUAACCUGCUUAAUAUCUAUAUAUUAAACAAAAAUUACAUCAAAUAUUUACACAUUAUCAUACAUACAUAUGCGCAUACAUACAUACAUCCAUACAUACAUACAUAAUUUAUCGAUAUUAUAAAAUAUAUAUAUGUACUAAAAUAUUACACACACUAUUGAGGUUUUAAUUAUAUAUAUGUAAAUAAUAUUAUAUAUCAAUAUUAUAAAAUAUAGAUGUCUACGAAUAUUUUAUACAUUUAUACUAUUAAAGUUCUAAAUGUAUUUAAAAUUUUAUAAAUAAAAUAUUGCGUCUAUAUUCAUCCUUUUAAAGAAUUAAAAAAAGAAAAUAAUCUCUAAUAUUUGAGUUUUGAUGACAAGAAUUUACAAAUUAUUUUAAAAUAAAAAAUAUAAUCAGGUCAUUGAUCGGGUAAAUAGGUCAAGAAUUUUAAUCCUAACCCGAUACGAAAAAAAAUCGUGUUGACCUAAACCCGGCCCAUUUAAUAAUCGUAUUAAAUUCGACAACCCAUACCCAUUUAUUAAUGUCGUGUUCGUGUCAGGUAAUCGAAUCGUGUCAAAUUUUGCCAGCUCUAGUUAUGUUCUCGUCGCAAGUUAUUUUGGGUCCAAAUACAAUAUUAAAAAUAAAUUAAAUAAAAAAUUAGUAACUAAAAUUAUGUUAAAUUAUUUUUUAUAACUUAAAUUUUAAUUAUAUUAUUGUGAGUAUAUUACUAAAUCUCUUAAAAAUAGAGUGUUGAAUAAUUUUAUUAGUUUUUUAAAUAAAUAAAGUUACCCAAAUCGUUUUAUUAUCACAUUAUUUUCCAUAAAAAAAGUUUACAAUUACCUCUUUAUUGGACAAUUUUGUUCCUUCUCUUACCUUAUGUUCCCUUACAUUCUCAUUUAUGCAUCACCAAGUUUGCUAUAAUGUACGUGAAGAAUAGUUAAAGAGCUCUUUCGUGUCCUUACCCUUUUUUUUGGGUUUACUUUUGCUGCCUUUUUACGUUUCUCCAUAAUUCACUCCAACAUCACUGACGCAUUUUCUUCUUUCUCACUGCAACAUCAACUGGGCCACCACCUCUUGCCUCUGCCGGUUCCCCUCAAUUUUCGUAUUCAAUGUCCACAGUUGAUUGUACAUUUAUUAAAAUUCUGUGGUUUUGCCUAUAUUUAAUUCCACACGGUCUAUCGAUAGAGCAUGUGCAUCGUAGUUGUGGCCUUAACUAUUAUUGGUAACUCAAUAGCUAAUUCUAAUGUUUCAUCAAGCAGUUUAGAGAUAACCUCUCUCGCUGAACUCCCUGGAGUAAUGCAAUCCAGUUUUCCAGUGCAAUCAUCAGACAGUUGAACAGCUUCUGAAUUCCCUUUGCUUUUCUUGUUUUCUUUUCCAUGUAAAGGGAGCUCAGGCUUCAAUAUAUAUAUCUGGGGAUUGGGUACUAAUGAUAAAGACAACAUACGGUAGAGGACACAAAUUGUUAUCAAAGAAUGAUGCACUUUUCAACUGAGUACAGUAAAGCAAGAAUGGGUAAUUAGUUUUACCUGCUAAGCGAAAAUCUAGACUCCCGAAGGUAACAGAUCUUGGGUGAAGCAAAUAAAGAAGAAGGCGAAGUAAAAUUCACUGAGUUGAAUGAGCGAUCAUUGCGUAUGGACUUGAUUUGUUCAAUGGGUGAAAGACUGCUGAUAUAAUUAAAGACUGGAGAAUCCUGCACGUUGACAAGCAUCAUUUUUAAUCUAACAUAGAGUCUUAAAAACCUUGUCAGUGGCAAAUGAUCACGACAAGCAAACUGAAGUUCAAACAGCAGAGCUCAACAAAUCAUUAAGAGAAAAUAAGACCAUUAACCAAGCAGAUGAAAGAAACGCAAAAUAACCCAUCUCAAAUCACCGCAUGCACAAUUUAAGGGGGUUGUGACAUGGGUUUAAGCAUGAUUUAACAAGUGCCACCAGUGAAUUCUCAGAGAUUGAAUUUUCAUACACAUGCAAAUUUCCAAGUCCAACGAAUUGUUGUCUUUCUGAAGAUAUUAACGAUGCAUAGCAUGCUAUAAACAAAUCAUAUUAUUAGGGCCUUUGUUUGCUGUACACAACAUAUGUACAGAGGAACAAAUCCAUGAGCUGAAAUCAUCAUAUUCCAAAAUAUUCUACCCAAUCAACACCACAAAACCCUAACGCUAAACAGAAUUGGAGCAAUUUACGAAAGCUAUUUGUCACACAAAGCGCUAGUACCUCUGAACCCAAUUUGCAGAUGAAAAAUAACAAAUGCCCAAAUGAAAAAAUCAGGAAAAAAAAAUGCUCAAAUUCAAACUACAACCCCAUAAGCUGAGUCGUUCUCUUCAAACUAAAUUUAACACUGAAUAAAAAAAUUAAAAAAUUAAAAUGGGGAGAUUAACCUCAAACUUGGAAACAGAAGCGACAGUGAUCUGUUUCCUGUCUGGAGUGUCCAUUUCUAUAAUCUACUUUGUCUGUUUUCAGUCGCUCCGCCACAAAGCUUUUUCCCUCUGAAACUGAAACUCACACACACUUGCAAAGCGAAAGCAUUUGAUUGAUUGAGAGGCGGGAAGGCGGGAAAAUGGAAGAAAUUUGCUUUUGUUUUUUCUUGGUUUGGUCAAACACGUGCGGGCCCCAGCUUGACAAGCGGUUCUAUUACUACUGUAUUAUCUACAUGACGCGUGUCACGCGAUCUCGAUAGAAAAGUGGUAAAAAAUUCUAAUGAUUACCCAAUGGCGAUAAAAAUAAAAAUAUAUUGUUAAUUUUUUACUUAACAUUGGAAUAUCAUAUAAUUUUAUGGUUAUUUACUCGCCGUUAUGCCAUAUUCUUAUGAUCAAAUAAUACAGUAAAAUUUUUCUAUAAUCAUAACGUUAGAACCAAAUUAAUUUCACUUCUAUAAAAAAAUUAUAGCUUAAUAAAAGUAUAAUUGUAAAAAUUAUUAUUUUAACUUACUUAUCCUUAGUACAAAUGAUGUAAAGUAAAAUAUAUGAUAAUUAAUUAAUGAAUUAUGUCAAAUACAAUGUACGGACAAUGAUAAAAGAUAAUUCAAGUGUGACUCUUAUCAAAUUCUUUUCCCCUCAACUCUUUAUAUUUUGACGCCGAUUUCCAACAAAUUAUUGAAAACAAAGGCAAAAAAUGGAGAAAAGUGAUUGGCUACAAGGUGUGCAUCUUAAUUUCAAAAUUUUCUUUUUCUUUGUUGUUUCUCUAGGUUCUAUAAUUGUUGUUUUCGUGGUCAAUUGCAAUUCAAUGAACUAAAUUAGUAGUAAAUUGCUAUUACUGGGCAUAUAAUUCUAUUGCUGCAAUUUUACUACUGUUUAGCUUUUUUUUUUUAGUUUAUAAUUGCUGUUUUGUUGUCUUUUUUAGGUUUUCAACUGUAGUUUGCUGUUUUUCUAGGUUCUAUAGUUGCUGCUUCGGGAAAAAUAAGAAUAAAUGUGAUCUUGAAUUAUUUAACUCUUAUGAAACAUCUUUAGCUGUUGCAUUUUUUCACUGUAUUAGUAUUGGCGGGAUGGAUGUUGAAUAGGGAUGGCAAAGUCCAUAUCCGGAUCUAAAUUGAUAUUUCUAUAUUCGGAUCCGCAUCCGAAUCUACACAUUUUUUUUUUUUUCGCGAAUCUGGAUGUGGGUAAUCUUCGUAGGGAUUGCAAGCAGAUAUCAUGGAUAUCUAGGUCCGCAUAAAUUAAAAUUUAAUAAUUUAAAAUAUAAUUUAAAAUUCAAUAACUUACCUAAUAAUAUCAAGUAAAAUCCAAUUAUAAUUUAACAAUCAACAAUUCAAUACCUAAAAUAACAUAUAACAUCAUUAAGUCAUAAAUAAAAAUAUCACAAUAUAAAUCAAAAUAAAAAAAAAACAUAAAUCUAAGUUUAGCACCACCACAAAUUCACGAAUAAAAUUAUAAAAACACCACAAAUCCAUAUAAAAUAAUGUGAAUUCCGAUAUAUUUCUUAAUUUAAUUUUACUUCUAUAUUUUUUAGUAAUCCUAUUAUCUUUUUUCAUUUAACUUAUAUAUUUUUCAUUUAAUUUUAAUUUAACAAAUAAUUUAAUUAAAAAAUAAGAUGGAUCCAGAUCCGGAUUUGGAUCCUCUUGGAUUCUAAAUCUUAGGAUCCGAAUUUAAAUUUUUUUAAUAUGUAUAUCUGAAUUCUAAAUCUUUGCGGAUCUGAACCAGAUCCUGAUAUUUUUACCAUUCCUAAUGUUGAAAGGGCAAUAAUUUGUGGGAAAAUAAUUUGACAAGAGUCAUGCAUGAGUUUGGAUGUUUGUAUAAUGUAAAAUUUAUACUUAAUAUGAUUGAAAUUGAGACUAAAAUAUUUUACCUAAAAUUCACUAGCUAGCUUUGCCUUGAUGGGCCUGUGAUCGCCCAUACAUAUUUCUUCAAAUUUAUUAAUAUUUUUGUGCAUAGCAAUUAGGGAUAUAUGACAACAAAUUCUCAUUUUUAGUGUGUCGAAAGUAUAUUCACAAGUUGUGUGCCCCUUGGAAUGGGCACAGCUCACCGACUUGUAGCCUCUUUCUUCAGUUCACCACUCUAGUUGGACUCGCCAAUGAGAUUAAACAUUAAAUACAUCUAAAAUUAUGUCGAUUAAUAUAUGCUCUUUUUAUAUAUUUCCCCUAGCUUAUUAAUAAUUUUAUAGAAUUAUACAAAAAUUGAUAUUUUGUAGCAUAUCAUGUUUGUUUAGUGUUCCCGUGUACUCUAUGUUUGAUAAUUUAAUUAGCUAAUAAGGACAUGAAUAAUAUUAUUUCACUCACUAUGUCAUUGGUCAGAAAAAAAAAAAGGAAAGAAAAACUCAAUUUGAGAUGUUAUACAUUAUUUUUUAUUACUUCCCAUUUCAGAUGAAUAUUUAUCAUAUAUAUUCUUAGUAACUUGUAACCCUUUCUGCUAAGGGUAAAAUGUUUUUGUUACCCCUUAUAUUUAUGAGAUUGUCCUUAUAGUAGUGAUGCUGGCCCCAUUUUCUAAGAGUACAUUUGGAAUUGAGAUUGUGUAGUUGUAGCUUAAAAGUCACAAUAUUAAAAUAUUUGGUCAACACUAGCUAUUGUAGUUUGGAAGCUAUGUUGAUAUGAUUUUUUAUUUGUAUAAUAGAAAAUCUAUUAUAUCUUUAAUAAUUUUGUUAAAAUUAUUAUUUAAACAUUAUAUUUACUAUAUAUUAUUAAUUUUUAUUUUAUAAUUACUGUUUUUUUUCUACAGCAAUUGUAGCUUUUAAGGUUAAUCACCUCAAUCCCAAACAAGAUCUAAAACUGCUAUCUCUAUGUGUAAAUUCCUUAAAAAAAUCUUUUUUAAUUAAAAUUAUUUAAAUAAUUGAAGAUAAAUUAAUUUAUUUUUUAUUUGAAUGAAAAUUCAAUUAAGCAUUUAAAUAAGCUAUUCUCUCUUAACAAAUUUUUUACGCCCAUCUUGUUUCAUAAUUUAUAUUUGUAUUUUAAAUUUUAAUCGAAAGUACGUUUUGAGAAACUUUUAAGAAUUAAGAAUUAUGGAAACAAAAAUUAUGUAAUAAGAAGAAAAUAAUUUAAAUUCUUAAGAUUUGUAUGUAUUUAUAAAUAAAAACUUGCAAGAAAUACUCUUUUCAAGAUAAGAUUUAGUGAGAAAAUUAUUAAAUUUUAAUUUACGAAUUAAUAUUUUAUAAAUUAAACUGGGGGUAUCUUAAGGAAUAUAAUUCAAUUGAAUUCAGAAAGAGUGUUUAUAAGGAUUUUUUAGGGGUGUUAAAAGCUCCACUUAUUUACGCAAGGAAUGGGAAUUAGGGUAUUGGGUAGGAGUGUUCGCGGAUCGGACAUCAAUCCAUAUCCAAUCCAUGAUUUUGUAGAUUAUGAAUUUUCAAUCAAAUCCAAUCUACGGAUUGGUUAAACUCAAUCCAAAUCCAAUUCAUAUAUUUGUGGAUCGGAUGCGGAUUUGACUCAAUUCAUAUCCAAUCCAUCAUUUUGCGGAUUGAUCUGCAGAUUACAAAUUUUUCAUUUGGUCCAAUCCACGAAAUAAUAAAAUGAAAAAAAGUAAUAUAAAAAUAAUUUUACUACCAAUCAAAUUCAAAAUUGAAUAAGAUUUAAAUAAAUAAAUUAUUUAAAUAAAACUAAAAAAAUGCAUUAAAGUUAAAAUACAACACACCGAAAUUAAUUGUUCAAAUGAAGAUAAAAUAAUACAUUUAAAGUUUCAAAAUAUAAUACAUUAAAAUUAAUUGUUGAAUUAAAAUUAUAAUAAUACAUUUAAAGUAUCAAAUUAUGACACAUCAAAAAGAAAAAUAUUUGCUGCCAAUUUGUAUUUUGUACUUUAACUUGAACUAAAUAAACAUAAUUGAAAUGAAUAACAAAUAAAAAAAUUUUAUUGAAUAAAAAAAUUAACAAAUAAAAUAAUUUUGUUUAAUGACUGCUUGCACAGAGAUCAAGAAUCGUUGGAGAAGAUGGCCGAAGGAGAAGUUUAAAGCUAGUAAGAAUCGUUGGGUGUUGGUGGCUCUGUGCUUGCGACAGGGAAGGAUAGGAAGUCAAGGGUUUUUUGUGUGCUUGUUACGGGAAAGUUUAAGAAGUCAAGGUUUUUUGUUUUCUAGUGGCUGCUUUGGUGAAGUGGCAUUUAGGAUAAAUGUUUUGUUUGGUUUAUAAUUUUUUAUUUUGUUUCAGAAUUUUUACAACUUAUCUUUGUAUAUUUUAAUUAUUUAUGUUAUUUUUGAAUAAUGGAUAAGGUAUCUUAUGGUGUUAAUAUAAGUAUGUAAUUACAUUUAACUUACUUAUUUAUUAGUAAUGUCAUAUUUAUAAAUUUUUUAAUUAAAUAAAUAUUUUUUUAAAGAUUGGCGAAUUUUUACGGAUUUACAAAAGUAAAUCCAUAUCCAAUCCACCGCUUGUGGAUUUUUAAAUUUUUAAUCCAAUUCAAUCCACCAAUCCACGGAUAAGAUUUUUACGAACCAAAUUUUUACGGAUCGGACGAAUUGAGCUGAUCGAACCGGAUUCUGAACACCCCUACUAUUGGGUUUCACUUUGUUUUACAUGAAUUUGGGAAAAAUACACGGAUAGACAAGGGAACAGUCAUUGUUAAGCUGUGAAGCUUGUGGAAGAUACCAUUGCCUAUUUGCAGCUUAAACUCCUGGAGCUUUGCUCAUGCUUUCUCUUUCCCACUUUCUCAUGGAACAGAUGUAUACAUCAUGAAAUGAAAACAACAGCACAAAUUGCUGUCUCGUAAGAGAAACAGUCAUACAUAGUAGGUUAGGCCUCAUGUCCAUUAACUUACUAAUGAAUUUUAUGAAAAUUGGCUAUCUCAUUGAAAUUACAUAGGUAUUGGAAACCCUUACUCCAGCUGCAUCAUCUCAUCAGUGAAAGCUGGAUUUUCCAUUUGUUCUUGAGAUUCAUAUUAAGGCAGCAAAUUGCUCAUCCCAUACUAUCUAUGUAAUCCUGUAAAAGGGAAGGGCGUUUAGAUGUGGAAAAACCUUACUCCUGCCGCUGCACCUCAAACAGAUUGCGAUCACACAAGACUUAGUUCAUCAUUAGUAGUAGUUGGAGCUUCCAUUUGUUCUUGAGAUUCAAAGGCAGCAAGCUGCUUCCUCAGUGCUACUAAUUCUUCCCCGGCAUUGCAUAUGUAGGCUGAGGCUUGUCUACCAGACAAAGUUGCUCCUUCCAUACUAUCUAUGUAAUCCUGUGAGAGUGAAACCAUUUAGGAGACAUAUCUCUUUUUUUUCCCAAUAUUUGGGAUGAAACAAUGAUAUACAGUUACCUGUUUUGUAUACGAGCCAGCAAGGAAGAAGUUCUUCACAGGUGUCUUUUGAUCAGGUCUGAAGGGGUCUUUACCAGGUCCCUCACGGUACAAAGAUUGCCCGAUUUUGACAACAGAUGACCAAAUAACUUCUAAACCUUGGGAUGAUGGAAAUAGAGCUAAAACCUAAUAAAAUGAACCAUGAAUGGAUAAUUUGUACUGAUGUAUGUUAUCCAGAAAGUUGCAUGACCUUUUGUGGUACUCAGGUCACUAAAAAAAACGUGAGAUAAACAUCUAGGAUAAGAAAACCAAAAAUAGUAACCUAAUAUGUAUUAUAUGAAUUGAAGGUGUCACUGAACGCUACCAACCUGCUUUGCCACUCUCCUUAUGAUUUCAUCAUUUGGUAAGGGCAUGUAAGGAUCGCCAGGCGUCAAAACACAUCUGCAAGAUAAUAUGGUUAUAGUGAGAAACACAGAAUACAAAGACACUUGGCAAAAGGAAGUCAACCAGAUUCCAUGCACAAAAUGAAACUAAAAACGACAAGGAUUAGAAAUUUUUCUUACUGGAGUAAUGAACCUUGCCCUUCUCUGUAGUAGUCUUCUGGUGAAGUGAGUGCUAGAUCUGCAAAGCAAGAGAAAUCUGCAUCUGGAGUAUACAAAAGGUUAUCUAACCCCAGAGCUUGCCUCAAUUGCCUACAUGUUCAAAACAAGGAUCUGUUAAAAAAUGGAAAUUUCUUCAAUGCCUUAGUAAAGGGAAGUGAAGUGAAAGCUGAUUUCUUAGGCCUUUAAAGAGCAUCUUGUGUUUGAAUUCCUGUAACCUCACAAAAGAUUAGAGCAUCACCUUGACCGUUCUAGGUCUUGCAACUCAGUAACCCAACCAUUGUAUCUAAGCUGCACUGUGACCACAGGAACUCCAACUAGCUCAUAAAUAUUGUUGAAAAUUUUCAUUUCCCUCCACGAUGAUGGAAGCAAUCUUUUAAUUCCAGGGACAUCACAUGCUGCCAUUAAAUAAGAAGUUGAAUAAAGAAAAAUCGUUCAACUAAAUGAUUCAGGAGGAAAAAAAAAAAAUUAGAAGUAGAAAUAAAUAAGGAAGAUUUAACCAUCAACCUGCAACAUAUGCAUCAGCUUGCACAACCUUCUUGUCAGUGGCCUGAAAUAGAAUAAGAACUUGUAAGACACUAAGAAUUAAAGAAUAAACUCAAAGAAGCUGCUUCUAACAGACGAUAUAAACAACAAAUUUACAAAGGUCAUUGCAUUAGCUCCAUGCCUCCAUCAGAGGGAAUAUUAAUAGAUGCGUAAAAAAAUAAUUAGAGCCAUAUGUGCAACAAUUUACCUUAGACAUGGCAAGUCCUCUGACAUAUGUUUCCCCGCUAGCAGAUUUAUCAUAAAGUAUCUCUCUGCACCCCCACCUAAGAUGGAACCUGUUCUCACAAAAACAGAUCCCAAGGUUGGGAAAAUCAGUUCAUCAUAGGAGAAAACAAACAAGAUUAACAAAUCACUACAAUGGUGUGAACCUGUAACUACAACUGUACCUGCCCCCUUUAUCUGUGAUAUAUUUUCUUAUGGGCCCACUCAAAUAAACAUCCGGAGAACCCUUGAGCAUCCGCAAUAGGGAAGCCUCGGUCUUAGUCGCAAACAGUGCAAAUAUAGUAAGCAUACAACGAGCACUGAUGUUAUCACAAUCAAUAAACCCAAGGGCAUAAGCAACAGGAUCCCACAUUCUUUGAAUACUCGUCCGUGUUCCACCCUUGGACAAAAACCAAUCAGAGAAGCUUAUCUGUAAGAAGAAAUAAAGUUUUAGGUAAAAUAACAACUUGCAGGAACAGGGAUUGAAAUUCAAACAAACAAGAAAAUAUGAUGUCAAUUCUUACACUAUCCAAAUCUCGUAUGUCCUUCAAGGCUCCAUCAGGAUCAACAAGUGCCUUUACAACAGGACUCAGAGCAAGAGCAAGAGCAUUUCUUGCUUUAUCAUAAGUCUGCACUUGAGCAAUAUACGAGGCAAAGUACAUCAAAAGAGAAUCCAGAAUAGGCAAGAAGCUUCAACAUGAAAAAAGGAGUACUGCCUCAUCAUACUGCUUUGCAAUCACAGUACAAAAGAUAACAUCAACAAAAUCAAAAUGGAACAUAAAUCCAUAUGCACUACCUUAAGCUGAUUUGUAGACAAAAAUGCGCGAAUCCCAUGCAAUGGAGCUCCAAUCGGAAACCGGAAAUCAAGUUCUGGAGUUGAAAAUCAAAAUCAUGAACCAAAUCAGAGUUAUUAUUGGAUUAGACAAUCCAUAAACCAAUAUAAGGUGAUGUCAAACCAUCAAGCAUAACUAACCACCAAGCACAAUUAUCAGUAGUUUUAAGUGAUCAAGAAAUAACUAUACCACCAAUUUCACCACCCUUAUUUACAAAUGUAUGAGUAUGAUCCUUGACAAGUAAAUUUUUGUCCGCACCGAUCUGUAGACAACCAUGAAAAACUAUCAGAUCAUUAACACAGGUUCCAUGUAAAGAGGAUCUAUGAUUAUGAUCCAUCAUGUUAUUUGAACAACAUUUUCGGAUUUUCUUACAACCCUAAGCUAUAAUCAGUUAUCAUCACUUUAAAUGGUAUGGUCAAGAGGAAUGAUAGUUCUUGUUUCAAGAAUCCCAAAUCAUAAUUCUUUUGCAAGGCUUUUGUGCUUUUACAAUCAUUCAAACACACAUAUCCACAAAUAAGCAAGCUUUACCUUUUUCAUCAAUCGGAACAGAUUAUUGUAGCACCCAAAGAAAACGUGCAGGCCCAUUUCAAUAUGGUUUCCACGCUUAUCGACAAAUGAACCCACUUUACCACCGAUAAAAGACCUUGACUCAUAUAUAUCCACCUGGAAGAAAGGAAAAGGGGAAAAAAUUCUUCUAAUUUCUAUUACGAUCAACAAAAUGAGAAAAACACAUACUAAUUCAAAAUGAAAUAAACUUUGUAAAUUGAAAUAAUGCCUGCUCUUAAGAGAAAUGAUGGCUGCUGAUAUUUUUUCCAAACUGCUGAUAAAAGCUUCUGCUAUUUACUUUGAAAAAAUUGAGGUUAAACCCAUUUACUUGAAAUUUUGAGUUUAGGCAAGAGGAUGAAUGGCAAAAUUGAGACAUUUUAGGGAAAAAGAAAGUACGUCAAGGGCCAAUGUAAACAUUCAAAAGAUUGAAAUCUAAAUGAGCAAAACCUCAUGGCCUUGAUCCAACAAUUCCACUGCUGUUGACAUGCCCGCAAGCCCAGCUCCAAUAAUAGCCACUUUCAGCUUUGGUCCUCUAUAAUGUUCCGGUUCUGGCGGAAACAAACCCUUGGGAGCUGCCAGGUAUACCAUCCAAUUAUCCACAGCGAUAUUGGAAAUAUAUAUGUGUUUGAAAGUACUAAAUUUCUAAACAUGAAAUGUCUUCCAAAAGAAAAACAAAGCAGAAAUUGCAUAAGCAUUUCAAUUCCCAAUAAAUUUCAAGAAUACAUAAUACUCGGUCUGUUCUUCAAUUCCUUUAAUAAAUUUCCACUAGAGGGCACGCAAGCCACUCAAUAACACUCCAAAGCCAGAUUUUCAAACGUUAUCUUGAUCUAUAACUACAAUCCAUGAGCAAUUCUCCCAAAAAUUCAAUCCAAAAUUGUUCCAAGUACACUGCUAAAUUCUCCAUGAAUUCCCUCAAAAAUUUAUAAUCAGCAAACACUACGAACCAAAAAGAGCUGAAGAACCCAGCAAUAAACACAUAAGAAUGCCACCAGAAACCAGAAAAGCCAAAAGAUCAAUACUUGGUACACAAACAAAUCAAAUAAAACAAAAAGAAGAUAAAUUUACCAUUAACACUCAUAUCAGAAACAUUAGCGUCCAAAGAAGCCCGUACACAGAAUCUUCGACACUUCUCUUGAACCCGAGACCAACUAACACCAGUGACUGAAGUUGCAGGAAACAGAACUGAAGAACCCAUAUUGAAAAUCCUGAGCUGAAAUCAAGAAAUUCAAUCGGAACUCAAUUCAGCUCAGCCCAGCUCUGCUCUCUUUUGCUUCGAUAACAAAGUAUUUUUCUUUGAUAUCAACAAAGAUUCGUCGACAUCAACAAAAUUUAAUUAAGAAACUAAAAUAAUACAAAAGGGUAUCUUUAAGUAUAAGAAUCUAACAAGAUGCUAAGGAAGAGAGUUUUGUCAGGGAACUGAACUGUUUUAGAGAGGUUGGCAAAUGGCAAAGUGCUUCUUUGUUUUAUUUUUUUCCUUUUUGUUAUCACACAACAUUUGCGCUCGUGGAGAGCACAAAAUGUUGGUGACUUUGUCACUGACGAUAAUGGAUGAAGUGACUAAACAAAGCAACACAAAUUUUCCACGAGAGGGAGUGAUAACCAUAAGCAGUAAUGUUUGAUUUAAUUUGAUUUUAAUUGGGUGAUUAAUUAAUUUAUUAGUUAUGCAUUUAUUUAAAAGAUACCCUUAUCUUUGGACGGGGUUGAGGAGAGUCCACGAUGGUGCGUUGUCACAUAUUUUUUGGGCCGACCAUUUCUGGUUUCGGCUUAUAUGAGGCUUUUGUAAUUUUAUGCCGUUUUUAACCUUUUUUUUUUUUUUGGUUGCUAGAUUAUAUCAAAGAAAAAUAGAAAAUGUGUAAAGAGAUUUUUGACUUUUGUGCAUGAUUUUUUUUUUUUUAUGUUGAAAAAAAUCUGUUUGAAACUCGGAACCUCCUAUGUCGACUUUAGAACGUCACAGUUUUGAUAUUUAGGGCCAUAAUAUGAAUUAGAAGUGGCAAAAUAAAUAAAAAUUGAAUCGUAAAUGAAUUUGGUCAAAAUUUAAUGGAUUUAAAUUCGAUGUGAUUAUUAAAUAAAUUGUAAUCUUAUGAUUUGGAUUCAAUUUAUUUAUUAAAUAAAUAUCGUUUAAUUCAUUUAUUGUACAAAACUAAACGGAUCGAAUCGUAUCUAGUUUGGAUUCAUCUAUAAUUUAUUUAAUUAAUUUAUACAUAAUUAAUAAUAAAUCAAUCGAAUAUGGAUCCGUUUAUAAUUCAUUUACAAAAAUUAUAAUUGAUAAACAAAAAAUCAAGCAAAAAUAAACUUAAGAGUGGGACUAUUGGCACCCCUCUAAAUAUCUCUUAACACCCCUUUAGUUAUUUUACAAUUUUAACCUUUAUUAAAAUUACAUAAUAAGACAAUUUCUAAUUAAACCCCUACUCAAAAUCAAAUAAUUUUUUCCCCUUAAAAGUUCCUUAUACGGCAUGUUUUCAUUUAAGAAUUUUAAAAUCUUUAUACGGCAUUUGGUAUAAACUCUCUUUUCUUUCUUAAACCCUAAUCUAAGAGUUUCAAAUUGAGGAAAAAAUAAUCAUGCAAAAAGAUGAGGAUGAUAAUAAAAAAGUAAGUUUGCUAUUAUUUUAUUGUUUUAGAAUUAUAAUGACAGGGAGAGUGUUGAACAAUGUUCAACAAAUAUCCCCUUAAUAAAUGUCAACUAUUUGGUUGAUUAUUGCUGAAUAAAUUACUAUUGUUUGAGUUUUGUGUCUUGUAUUAACUUAUGUAAUAUCUGUACAAUGAUUGUGAAGGAGGAAAGUUCUACCAUAGUUGUCAUUCUUGAUAAUAAAGUAGAUGUUAUGGAUUACACUGCUGCAUUCACUACUGAAGAGGUAUAAUGUUAAAUAAAUCUUCUUACAUAUAUUUUCUUUUCUUUGAAUCGUUAACUAAUAUAUUAUUAAACAAUGGGGUUUAUACUAAUAAAUUUAAAUUAAGGGUAUUUUUGUCAUUAAAGGGGUGUUAAAAUAAUUUUAUAAUAUUUUUAAAUAUUUUAAUGGAGUUAAUAAGGAAAAGAGGUGUUGAGAGAUAUUUAGAGGGGUGCCAAUAGUCCCACUCUAAAAUAAAAACUUAUAAAAUGAACAUCCUCCAAAAUACAAAUAAAUCAAUGAACUCAAACCCGAGUUCGAUUCGUUUAUUUAAUUAAUUGAAUCAAAUUCACCCAAUGAAUCAAUUUUUUCAAACUCAAACUCAUUUAAUUUGAAUCGAAUUGAAUAAACGAAUCUUGAUCCGAAUCAUCAACCCCUAAAUAUGAUGUAUCCACUUGAAAAACAAAUAUAAAAAUCUUCUCCAACUGACAUAUAUGAGUUCCAAACUGUGUGGGGAAAAAGGUGGCCAGCCACGCAGUUAUACGAAUUUUAAUCUCUCUUUUCUUGUGUCACCGGAGGCAUUGGCUGGAUGGCCAAAGAUUAGGGUUCAAGUCUACAAUAGAGAAUCUAAAAUUUUCCUCUUUGAAUGUUCCUAAAUGUUUAGCACAGUUUUUCAAUUUAUACUUGAUAGGUCCAACCCUAUAUGCUAUAAUAUUUCUCUUUUUUUUUUUUUUUUACAAGCCAAUCUUAAUUUAGAAGUGAAUCAUAAUAAUGGGUUUGUAAAGAAAUGAAAUUUUUGGUAAUUAGCCAACAAAAAGGAUAAAAAUGGAUUAAGCGAAAGAAGCUAAUACUCAAAAGUAAGUCGAGUACUUGGCUAUCAAAUUAAUGUUCUUGCUCAUUAAUGCAACAUUGGUCUAUCAGAGAAGUUCAGGGGCACAAAAGAGAUGAGAGAUCCACAAUUUUUUUUUGAAGAAAAUAUUUUACAUAAACUUAAUUAUAUGGCAUAAAAUGAUUGGCUGAAAUAAAACUCAAAAAUAAUCUUUUUUUUUUAAAUUUAUAUUUACAUACGGUGUCAUUUAUGUUUACAUAAAUUUUCAUAUGUACCCAAAUUAAGCAUUAAAUACACAGACACUAUGUUAAGGCACAUGUAUAAUUAAUCUUAAUAAUUUCUGAUAGUAUCCUCUAUCUAAGACGAGCAACGCCACUCAUUAUAAUUUAUCACCAAAUAUAGUGAAACUAUUUGUUUUCAUGAAUAACUAGUAAAAAUUAUUUCGUUUGUAAGAGAAAUACUCCGAUUGCUUUUCACUGUUGUAAUAGUUUAGUUAUCAUCAAGUGAUAAAAUAGUGGUCGACUCACCAACAAACUCCACAUCAAGACACUUAAAGUCUGCAAAGCAAGUCUUCUGAAAAUAGACAUUUAUUAGUUACUAUAUGCUUCGCAUCUACUAUCAAUUGUUCCAAAUUGGGGAAUAUCUGGGUGAUCAAUUAAAAAAAAAAUUGUAAAAUGAUCAGUUGAUGUCCUUUGUAAUAAUUUCACAAAAUUAGUACUGUACUUUUUGGAGAAAAUUUAUGAAUUACAAGCUACUACUAGCUGAUACAAUACAUUUAUCCAAUAAAUUUUACCUUUUAGAAAAUAAUAACAAUACACCUAACAUGCAGAAAGUUUGAAAAUUAAAUAGAAAAUUUUAAGUUACCGCGCGCUAGCUUGGACAAUACAUUUUAUUCGAUAAAUCUUAAUCUUUUGCAAAAUAAUAAUAAUGAAACACCUAACAUGCAUGCAGAAUAAUCGUGAAUGAACAUUAUGUAAGAGAGUUAGUUGCUGACAAUUUGACUUUUAGUAAGCAACCAAGUGAUGAAGGCAAUGGCAAAAUAACUCUAAGCAGUCACAUACAUAAGAAUUGAAAAAUUAAUUAUAAAAUUCUUGAAGGUACCUUUUCUAUCAAGAUAUUAGUUAUUUUUUUUAUAUUCACUAUAAAUUCAGGACGUCGAUAUAUCCAUAAUUCUUUGAAGGAUGGAAAUUCAAGAAUAUCUACAUCCCCUAUGAGAAAGCUUGUGAACUUUUCAUGAUCAUACAUCUUCAGAUAUUGUAACUGAGGAAACAUUACAAUAUAUUCUUCCUUUCUUCUUGGAUGUUUGUAACUAUUAACUUGGUUUCGAACAAAGCGUUGGAGUAUUCUAUCUUAAUGCGUAGGAGUCGAACAAAGCUGCUAACCAUAGAAGAUAAAAAAUAGACAUCUUAAAUCCAUACAUUCGCAACAUUUAUUGAAAUCUUAAGUCAUCUUAAGUCAAGUCCGUUAAAUUCUGAAUACCACAAGACAUGACUACAACUUGGUUUUGCCAAAUCCUCUCAACAUUUAUUGAACACAACUCUUAAGUUCUCCAACUUUGGCAACACAACCUGUUCGAUCAAAAAAUUAAAUUCCUGCUAACUACAAGUAAUAAUCGUUUCUGCUCAUGGACAAAUCAAUAAAAUGAAUUUCUUUCGCUUGUUAUGGUUCUCUUUAGUCUUUCAUACAAACAAGCAUCAGUCAAGUUUUCCAAAUUUUUCCUUACUAAUUUGACAUGUACUCUAAAAACAUAGACUAAAGAAAAUGACAAAUCAAAGAAGUGAAUUAAUUUAUUAGUCAAAAUAUAUUUUAAUUUAGUAUUUCCUAACAGUUGUUGUUGUUGUUAUUAUUAUUAUUGUUUUUUUCACUUAGUGUGUGAAGAGUGAAGAGUACUUUUUCUGUUCUUUAAGAACGUAUUUGUUAUGCCCUACAACACUUAGCAUGGAAAACUUAGAUUAAUUUUGGAAUAUAAUUAUCAAUUACUCUUGCCAUAUUUGCUAACAAACAAAAAUACCAAAGAAAAAAAAAGCACAAAAAAAAAAGAAUUAAAAAGACCAAUAUUGGGUUAUUAAUAGCCAACCUUGUCAAUGAAAAGUGUAUCAGAAAUAUCAACGUUGUCCUCCAAAAUGACUAUGACUUUGUUCGACUGCAUAUCAUUUGCUGAUUCCCCUGGUCUCUAUUGACAUUAAAGGCUUCUUGAUUUUAGAGUAUAAACUUAAUUGUGAGUACAAUCUUAAUUCAAAGUGACACAAGGUCUUCAAAAUUGUGAGUACAACCUUAAUCUUAAUUCAGUUUAGCACUAGAAUCAAAUUCAAUAUUUUAGAUUCCAUAACUGAGAUUUUUUAACAAAAGUAUAACAGAGUUAAUUUAGAGUUAAAAGUUAAAUAUGAAAAAUUAAACUUGUUGUCAAUAUGAAUUAAAUAAAUGGGUUCAACUAUGGUGCCCCUCUAGCACCAUACCCCAUAUGUUGUCGUAUUCUUAUUAAUUAAUAGUAAUCAUUAGAUUUAACAUAAAAGUAGCUCAAUGGCUUUGAUGAACUUACUAGGUUAUUGACAGUCCUUGCUGUUUGCAUCCGAAUUAAAAAUGGUAAUGUUUCAAUAUUUUGACUCAUAAGUCUAAAUUGUUUAAAAUUUUUUAACUGAAGUGCAUUGACAUAGUUUGACUAUUAAAUAACUUAUUUUUAAAUUUGCAUUAAUACACAUUAUUACUUACUACACACCAAAUAAAUUGGUAUUUGCUGCUACUCCACUCAAUAUUUGGAAAAAUCAUUAGUCCAUCCUCGCUCGUUACUUUUUUAUUAAUUUAAUCUUGACGCUUUGACCAUAUAAAAAUAUAAUUGUACCAUUAGUUUAUAUGAUUAAAUGAUUGAAAAAAUCCAUUUUAGUUAAAAGACACUUUGUUAGUUUGUAGAGGGAUGCUUUGAUGCACGCCAUCACGCAUCUUGUGGUGCGCAAUGAGACGCAUGUCAUUAUCUCAUUGGUAAUGGUGGGGCUGUGUGGCCCAUAUUACAACCUUACAAAUAAAAUCAUGACACAUAUGCCGUCGCACACUGUAAGAUGUGCGACAACGCGUAUCGGUUCAUAAUUAUAAAUCAUGGAGAAUUUAAUGUUAAUUGAAGGUAAAAUUUAAGAAAUGCAAAUCUUUAAGUGUAUUUCUUCCCUCAGAAGAAGAGUUUUAAUGGAAGAUGAAGCGAUAUGAAAUAUCUUUUAAUCUAGAACAUGACCGAUCUACUUCAAGCCCAAUUUUUUUUUUUUUUUAAAUAUCUUUUAAUAUUUAACAAAGGAAUAAAUUUUUAAAUUUUUUAGUAGCCUUUUAGAUUAUUGGGCCUUGAAGAUUUUGUCAUAAAUUAGUUCAUUUAAUCUUAAAAAUUAAAUGAAACGGGGCGGUAGGUGUAAAAUUUUUGUUAAAAGAAUAUUUUAUUUAAGCAUUUAAUUGAAAUCUCACUCCCAAUAAAUAAUGAAUUAAUUGGUCUUUGGUUAUUUAGAUAAUUUCACACAAAUACACACACACACACAUAUAGUUCUUUUCUAGUGCGGAAGUUUUUAUUUUUUUUCAUACGAGCACGCUUUUAAGUCAUGCAAUUUAAAAGAAUUAAUUUUUAAUGCUAUUAAACCACGUGGCUUUAUAAUUCAUUAAAAGAUAAGUAUGUUAAAACCCACGGCUUAGAGCGUAUCCACAAUAAAAAAAAUGAACGCAUCUGUAUCUGAGAAUGAUGAAUAUAUAUAUAUAUAGCUUUGGAGGCCCCCUCAGAUUUCCUUAUUAAAACCCUAUCCUAAAUAUACCUUACAAAAAAUAUUAAAAAGUUAUAAAAAAUGCAAUGGCACAAAAAUAAUUCCAAAAACUGCCCUCCGUUCCUUUAAUCAUUCUUUUCUUUCUAAUAAAUUCGUGAGGGCUAGGAUUUGUACCUCCACCUCUUACCCUCGGAUAAGAGGUGGGCGCGCGCGUGUGCGCGCAUGCGCUCCUGUGUGUGCGAGUGCGUGUGUGGAGUAAUAAGUUUCACAAAAUUAUCCAAUCCAAGAACUUAGAUUUUUUUAGAGCCCAAAGAGCAGUUACGCCAUACGGUGUGACAAUGUGGAGUAACAAUUUUCACAAAAUUUAAGAAAGUCUAGAAUCUUAAGAUCGAAGAAGCACUCCAUCAUAUAUACUCCAAUAAAUUCUUAUCACCACAUCCUUUUUAUUUCGAGUCUAUAUAGUAAGGAUUGUAUAUAAUUAAUGCAAAAUAAUAUAACAUCUAAUAAUUUUUUUUUAGUUUUUAGUUCAUGCUUAUAACAAUGUUCUAAAUUAAUAGAUGAAAGAAAUAUAUUAGUUUUUAAAAUCAAUUUUUAUUUCUUAUAUUCUAAUUCAUAUUUUAUAUAAAAAAUCGCUGGAAAGAAAUUAAUUUUUUUUCAAAAAAAAAAUGUAAUGGUUAUCAUUCAUGUAUGUUGAAUUUCUAGUGCAAUGACGCUAAUAAUGUUCGAAUACUACUUCAAUGAAUUUUACUACUAAAAUACUAAAUUAUCUUUGUGAAAAAAGAUUGCAUGACUAGAAUGAUUAUAAGCUCAUUUGAUGGCUAGUUUCCUCAUUAUAACAACCGAAACACUCUAACAAUCCAAUAUAUAUAAUACAAGGCACCCAGGCACAAGCAUGAUUAUUGAUUCACACCACACAUGCAUCUCAACUUAAAAAUGGUACUUGAAAAGUCUUUGGGGUGCCUACAAAUUGAAAUUUGGUAACACAAUUAAUGCUAAGAAAUGAAUCUGGCUACCGUAUAUCCUGCAACGACAUGGAUAGGGGACUGUUCCACCAUUCAACCUGAAAUUAUCAAGUGAAAGAAACAAGAUCAUGAGUGUUGUUUGACAAUCUGAAAGCCGGUUCGAAGUAAUAAUAAUAAUGAUAAUAAUUAAUAGACCUUACCAUUAGUCAUCGCAUCAUUGUCUUGUGAAUCUCCCUCCUCAUCCUUAAUCCUCAUUCCCUGCAUACGGGAAACCGGCAGCUUACUGUAUCAUCGUCUUCUUCCAACCACACGACCACGCCAGUAUGUCUCAAGAAUCUUUACUGACUUCUCAUGGAUCUCGUUGCUGUCAUGACUUUGUAGAUUUUCUAUCUUUUCUAAUCCCUCAGCCUUCUCUACCAACUGGGCAUGUUGAUUAACAUUUCCAAUGGCAGUACCCAUAUUCUUUUCAGCUUCCCCAACCUCCAAAAUGUUCUCUAAUCCUGUUAGGCAAACAGUGACAAUCCCUGGAUCAGGGCAUAGGAGGAGAUCACACAAUGGUUUUAUACACCCCGUUCUCACAAGGUACUUGAUUUGCUCAUGAGUACCACCCGAGCUAGCAUUCGAAAUUGCCCAAGCAGCCUCCUUCUUUAUAUAAAAUUCAGCGUUUUGAAGCAGAUUGACAAGGGGACCAAUUAAGCCAGCAUUAAUUACCGCCUGAAUCUGUUCCCUGUUUCCAGCUGUGAUAUUUGAAAUAACCCAGCAUACUUCCUUCUUGAUGCUCUCUUUUCGAUUAUUGACCAACAUGUCCAAAAAGUAUGGCAGUGCACCACAGUUAAUUAUACCCUGAGUCUGGAAAUCGUCCCCCGUCGCAAUAUUUCCAACCGUCCGCAGGGCAGGAGUGAGCACUGAGGGUGAUGGAUGACCAAGGAGCGUAACAAGUUGUGGACAGACACCUGCCUCGAUCACAGCUUGAAUUUUGUCAUUCGUACCAUCAGCAAGAUACGCGAGUGCCCAGCAGGCAUCAGUCAAGACCUUUUCAUCGUUUGAACGAAUAAGCUGUGCAAGCACCGGAAGAGCUGGCCUUAUUUGAUUAAAUGGUGGCUGUGGCUUGCCCCUGCAGAAAUUAGACAAUGUCCAUGUGGCAGUUCUUAGCAUUGAAAGCUUAGCAUGCUCAUUUAACUCUGCCAGCAAUGGAAUCAAAGCCCCUUGACUAAGCACAAGAUCACGGAAUCUAGGCGAGUCACCAGCAACAUUUCCCAAUGCCCAAACAGCCUGCUCGCGGACAUCAUCACUUGGAGAAGCAAGUAGCUUCACAAAUAUUGGAACAGCACCGUGGUCGAUCACUACCUUAGUAUUCUCCGAAGUUCCAGAAGCAAUGUUUGUAAGAGCGCAAGCAGCCUCAAACUGCAGUUGCGGAUGGUCUUCCCUCAUAAGAAACUCAACAAAGCGCGGGACAACGCCAGAUUGUAUGACUUUCUCAAUUGGUGAAUUCCUGCCAAAUGAAAGCAGCCUUCGGAACAGAGUAGUUGCUUGCAGCUGCAACUUCUUGUCAUCUGACCAAACCCCAGCAACCAUCGCGGGCAAAAUUUCCGACUCAGUAUGGAGAUUGAGAGUUGCGGCAGGAGUAGAAAUUGGAAACUGCUGGGAUUGAAGAAAUUCACCUGUCUUCUUGAGAUAUAGGUAUUUUAUGCUUGUAUUAAGGUCGUGCACCCAAAUCCAAUGUUCUCCAUCCGAAAUGCUCAGGUGUACUUUGUGUAACAUGGGUGUGCUCAAUUCUCCUCCAGAGAAAAUCUUCAUACUGGGGCAAUCGUCCAACAGUAAUCUUUUCAAAGAUGGGAAUUUGAAGGCACAAUUGCCAGUGCUGAAGCUUGUCAGAUUUUGCAUUUUUAAAAGCUUCAACUCCCUCAAUUCACUGAAAGCAACAACCUCAUCUUUUGCGGCAUCUUCUGCCAGUACAAUUUCUGCUAUCGUAACGCAUGAUUCUAUUGUCAUUUCUCUGAGUCUCACCAGAGUCUUAGCUAUUGAGGAUGUUAAUAGGUUUUUCAAUCCAUUGCAAUACGAUAUCUCCAAAGUUGCAAGAUUCUGAAAGGAAGUCGAGGAUGGCACUAGAUUGAUCAAAUGGUGACACGACUUUACACGUAGAAUAAGCAAGUUGUUCAAAAUGGAGGACUCUUGUUUCCAAAUGUGCUUCAGAUCACAACACUUGUUUACUUCUCUUAUGAUUACCUCCAUCCCAUUUUCAACCUUUUCUUUUGACAACCAAGCGUCAGAUCCUUCUAUUUGGAGGACUCUCAUGGUGUGAAGUCUUUGGAGGAAAUCAUCAAGUGAUAAAAUAGUAGUUGACUCAUCAACAAACUCCACAUCAAGACAUUUAAGUUUGCAAAGUAAGUCUUCUGAAAAUACACUUUUGUUUGUUACUAUAUGCUUUGCAUCAACUAUCAAUUCUUCUAAAUUGGAGAAAACCUGGGCAAUCAAUCCGUACGGAGAAAAAAAAAAAAAAAACAAGAUGGAUCAGUUUAUGUUCACUCCAACCAAGUCACAAAAUUAAUACAAUACACUUUGAAGGAAAUUUAACAAAACAGAAGGGAAUUGUAGGUUGCAACUAGCUUAUGCAAUAUAUUUGUUCAAUAAAUUUUACCUUAUACAAAUUAAUAAUAAUAAUACACCUAACAUGCAGAAUAAUUAAAAUUAUGAAUGAAUGUUGUGUACUAAUCUAAGAGUUACGUUGCUGAGAAUUUGACUUUUAGGAAGAAACCAUGUGAUGAAGACAAUGGGCAAUUUAACUCUGAGCUAUAUAACAUAUAUUUUCACCGUACGUGCAUAAGAAUUUGAAAAAUUGAUUAUAAAAUUCUUGUACGUACCUUUUUUGUCAAGAUAUUAGUACAUCUCACCAUGAAUUCAGGACAUUUAGAUAUCUGUAAUUCUUUCAAGGAUGGAAAUUCAAGAACAUCUAAAUCUCCUGUGCAGAAGCUUGUGAGGUUUUCAAGAUCAUACAUCUUCAGAUAUUGUAACUGAGGAAAUAUUACAAUAUUAUUCUUCCUUUCUUCUUGGUUGUCCAUGGCUAUUAACUCUUCCAAGACGCGACAUUUUUCUAUCUCAACGCGCUGGAGUCGAACAAAGCUGCUAACUAUAGAAGGUGAAAAUAGACAUCUUAAAUUUACACAGUUGUAUAGGGUCAAGUGCAUUAAAUUCUGAAUACCACAAGACAUGCCUGCAACUUGGUUUUGCCAAAUCCUUUCAACGUUUAUUGAAUGCAACUCCAAGUUCUCCAAAUUUGGUAAUGUAACCUACUCGGUCAAAAAAAUUAACUUGUUAAUUACAAGUAACAAUCAUUUCUGUUGAUAGACAAAUCAAUAAAAUUACUCUUUCUCUUGUCAAAGUUCUUUUCAGUCUUUCGUACAAACAACCGUUAAUCAAGUAUUCCAAAUUAUUCCUCACUAAAUCGAUAUAUGUAUUCUAAAGACAUAUAUAUUAAAGAAAAUGACAAGUCAUAGUAUGAAUGAAUUUAUUGGCCAAAGUUUUUUUAUUUAAUUACAACAUGUUUAGUAUUUCGUAACAUGAUGUUGUUGUUGUUGUUAUUAUUAUUAAUUCUUUUGUUGCGUCAAGUACCUUUUCUUUUCUUUGAGAAUGUAUUUGUUACACCCUACAACACUUUGAAGAAAACUUCUGAAUAAUUGUGAAAUAUAAUUAUUAAUCACUCUUGUCAUAUUUGCUGACAAACUGGAAUAUACCAAACAAAAAAAGUUUAUAGAGAAUUAUUAAAUCCAUUGGGUUAUUAAUAACUGACCUUCUCAAUGAAAAGUGUAUUAGAACUUUUGACAUUGUCCUCCAAGAUGAUUUCAUGGGACCGCAUAUCAUUUGCUGAUUCUUCUUGUCUCUGUUGACAUUGAAGGUGUCUCAAUUUUAGGCAUAAACUUAAUUGUGAGCACAAUCUUAAAGGAUAGACAGAAGAUCUUUAAAACUUAGUCCAAUUAGUUUAGCAUUAGAUUCAAAUUUGAUGUUUUGGAUUCCAUAAUUCAGAUUUUUUAAUAAAAAUUUAAUAGAGUUAAUUUUAAAAUAAAAAUUAAAUAUGAAAAAUUAAACCUCUAACUAUGGAUUUAAAUUAGAUAAAUAAUAAAUAUUCUCUUAAUAAUUUUUUCAAGGUAAGGGAAUGGGUAAAGCCUGAAUUUAUUUAUUUUUAAUUAUUCUGUUACUUUCCUUAAGAUUCAGACUGAGGUGGUUACGUAAACACAACUAUUUGAAAACUACUUGGCCAUGCUCUUUAAUAUGACAUUGUAAGAGUGCUGAGAAUAUAUAAGACCAUUAAUUUCACAUUUUUUAAUAUUAAUUUUAGAUAUAGAUAUCUUUUUAUUGAGAGAAAAGAGAAGAAGGAUAUUAUAAAGCAUGAAGCUCAUGCAGUACAAGGGCUAUAAUGUUAUUUUUAGGGAGGUAGAUUCUGAAGCUAAAAGAUUAAAAUGGUAUGAUUGUGAAGCUAAAAAAUUAAAAUAUUAAUUAAAUUGCGAACAUUAAAGAUUUUUGCAAAAUUGUUUACUUUGAAAAUGAGGAUGAUGUAAUAUUUGAAGACUUUUCAAAGUUAAUUACUAGUAAAUACUGUGAUGCACUAGAAAUUUCUAGCUUUAGCCUAACGUACGUACGUACAGACAGACAGACGGACACAAACACAGACACACAGACACACAGACACACUCACACAUACAUCUACGCACACACACACACCAAAAGAAUCCUCUCAUAUCAAUUAUUUAAAUUAGGAAUGAUCAUACCUUUGACUCUGCCGGAUUGAGGGUGAGGUGGGAACCCCUGAUAUAGAGAUGCUUGAGUUGUGAAGGACCCACUUUGUCUAAUUCAUUAACGAAAUAAUUGACAUCUCGCUCUUCCAAAUCAGAUAACCAAAGAUCUUCAAUUCCCUGCAGUUUCAGGAUCAGCCCAUCCUUCAACCGAAUCUUGGAAUCCAGAUCGAUUUUGAAUUCUCUACACCAGAUGUCGGCGUACUCCCAUCCCCAAACACCUCCAAUAAGUAUUUUGUACCUUUCCAGCUUCUCCAAGAACAAGCCUCUCGGAAGAGUGUUGACAUCUUGGAUUUGUAAUUCUAAAGAGAUCAAAUGCUUCAACUCAUGCAGGCUAGCAUUCUUGACCCCUUCCACCUCCACCUCCCAUUUGUCAAAGCUUCUAGGACCCAUAUAUAGUUCUUCUAAAUGGGAUAACUUUGAUAAAACGUUUGGUGGGAUAAUUUCUAGUUCCCUACAAUCUCUCAGAUCAAGCAACCUUAGCAAAGUCAAUUCACCUACUUCUACAGGCAACCUCUUAAUAUCAGAACCUCGUAGGCAAAGAACCUCUAGUUUCUUCAAGUCUCUAAUAACAGUUAUAUCAAGCAAUUUGCAAUUAUACAAACUCAGGGUUUGAAGGUUUGACAGGAGACCAAGUGAUGAAGGCAGUGACAGUAGAUUCAUGUAACUGAAAUUUAUAACUCUGACCUGUAUCAUCCUCUCGAAAAAUUUGUUUGGAAUUGUUAAUGAUGAAGAUUCCUUAUCAGCACAUAUAUAAAGAAGUUCGAGUUGAGGACAUUCCACUGCUUCAGGAAGCAAAUUAGUCUUGACAUCAUGUAAGACUAUUGAAGUGUAUAGCUUUGUUGCACUUUCGUCCGACCAUUCCCUGCAACCACUAACCUGCUCUUCUGUCGCCGAAAAAACAUUUUGUUCAGUAGAUGCAAUUGAAAUGGCAACAUCGCGAACGACGUCAUGCAUGGAAAACAACCCUUUCUUCUGGCUUAUAUGGUCGAGCAACAUGCAACAAGCUUUGAGUUUGUGCACCAAUGCGUGUGCUCGAGCUCGUGCUACUUGCAUCUUAUUCACACCUUGAAAUAAACCCAUUCCCAUACCAUACAUUAACAAAUCAUCAAUGGAUGCUAUCGCUGUAUAUCCUAUUAGCAAAAAGAUGUUCUUGAGCUCCUCCCCAGCCAAUUUGUCGUAACUCAACUUUAUGGCUUUAUAUGCAGUUGGCUGUACAUUCAUACGAUUCGUUGAGGAAGGCCUUCUUAGCUGUUCCAAUGCAUCCUUCCAAUCAAAUAGGCUAUUAUUGUCCCUUAGUGCCGUUGCUACAGUCACAAUGGCAACAGGCAAACCUGCACAUUCCUUUGCCACAUCCCUUGCUACCUCUUUCAAUUCAUUACCUUCAACAUAAUCACCUGCCAUCUUCUUGAAUAGACUCCAAGCUUCUUCUUCUUUUAAAAAGCUAACUGAGAAAUUUUUUUGAGAAUCCAUCUUCGUUGACAAUGUAUCUAGACUUCUUGCCGUCAACAGCACUUUACAUCCCCUGUGAUCAUCUCCAUGAGGAAUUCCCGCCGCCUUCAAAUCAAGAUUUCCCCAAAUAUUAUCCAAUAUUACAAGGAUCCUCUUCUCUUUCUUCAGUCGAUCAUGAAGCCUUCUUGCCCGACCCGAUUCACUCUCCUCAUCAAAUUUGAGACCUAAUUUAUCUCCGAUUUCUCUUUGGAUCUUUCUUAUGUCUUGACUCUCAGACACCUCAGAAAAAACCACCUGAUCGAAGAGCUUGUCAUUCUCUGCUCUCCUAGCAACUUCUUUAGCUAGCGUCGUCUUUCCGAUGCCGCCGAUUCCAUAAAUCCCGAGCGUGUUAACAUCCCCAUUUUUUAGUGCAUCAGUUAUUUCAUUCAGAAUGGACAUUCUUGAUUCAAAGGCCUCGUAGUCUUUGUUAGGCAUAAGCAAGUUAUCCCCCGGAAUGAUACUGUAAGAAAUAUUAUCAAAUCUUCCAGCUUCCCGGACUUUGACAAUAGCCUCCAUCAGCCUCACUGCUUCCUUGCUAAGUUGACAGCGGGUCUUCAAAUUAGGACACAACCCCUUGAAACAAUGCUUAUUUGCAGUGGCUUCAUCGUUUGUAAAUUCAUCUGCAUCUUCAAUGACAUUGUUGGCCCUUGCAAGCCAAUUCUCAACGUUCUCUUCAAUCUCUUCCCCUUUUCUUUCAGCCUCAUCAACCUUACGCUCUGUAUUCACCCUCUCAGACUUCAGAUUCUCAACUUCAGUCUUUAGAUUCUGUGAGAUGCUAGUGUACUCACUGUCACGCAAAUUGCUAAUUUGGCGAUAUGCAGGAGGAGCCAAGCACUUUACAACUUCUGCAACAAUAUCGAUAAUGAUUUCUGCCAUUCUGUUGAAGCCUUUUCCUUUCUCUCUCGCUCUCUGUAUAGAACUUGGGAAAAACAAUUGACUCGAUAGGAAGCAAACUGAGUGAUCGCACACGAGUGACUAUGAAAUAAUGGGGCAGAGUAUAGAUGGAGAACACGGAACAGAAAGAGCAGGUACCGAAUAAAACAGAGAGAGCAGCAGGACAAGUGUAUAGAUGGAGAACACAGAACAGAGCAAAAUCAAAUAACAAGGUUAAAGAUUACAACAAACAGAGGACAAGUGUUGUUGAGAUCAGAAGAUUGAAGAUUCAAAAGAGUUGAUGGAAGCAGCGGAACAACAAAACAACAAUGAACAUAAUAAACAGAAGCAAAGUGUGUCUCUGAUUUAAAAAUGGGUGUAAUAAGGAAAGGGUUUGUUGGAUAAUGGUUGCGGUCUUCUUCUACUUUUUACGGUGGCAGGCAACAGAGAUUACGGAUGAGAUUAAAAAUUCAAAGGAGUUGAUGGCAGAAAGCUGAAUAACAAACAAGAAAACAGACAGUGAGCACAAUAAUCAGGAGCAAAAUAUAUUUGAACGGAAAGGAUUUUGUUGAUCGCAAUAGAUGAAUGACUGGUAUUGAGCGACAAUGGUUUGCGAAAAGUUUUAAGAAUGACACUCCACAAAUUCAACAAGUCAAGAAAGGAACAAAAGUUGAAAGUGACCCAUUUUAUUUUUGAAGUGCAUGCUAUGCCGUAAAGCCAAAGUUCCUUGGCUAAUUUAAUUUAGAAUUGAAGAGAAAGAAUGAGUAAAUAAAGAUAAACGAUGAGAAGGUGAUAGCUUUAAUUACGAUCAUUUGUUAUGCUAGUAAUGAUAGACCAAGUAUAAAUGUUGAAAGACAGAACAGAAUAUUUGUGAUGUUAGUUGGUACCAAAAAUCCUGAAAACCUGAGUAGUUAAAAACAAAAUUAAAUAUUAAAAUCUACAGAGGAGAAUAAUAGUUUGCUAAAAGUUCAAGGAGUAUCAUUCCUUUCCGCUCAUUGAAGAAAAUCCAGGAACAAUAAUGCUGAUUCCACCAUGUAUAAUUUAAUGUUAAUUAAAGUUAAAGCCAUCAUAUUCGUAAAUAUGCUUCGAUUGAAGCUGUUGUGCGGAAUAUACAUACAACACGCAUCGGUGAAGUUGUCUUGUCCAAACGCGAGUCUUUAAAUGUCCAUUGCUUCCCUCUGAGGAAAAGUAAGCGUGGAAGAUGAAGCAGGCUAAUAUGCUAAAACCGUGUUUGUAUUGUGGGUCGAUUUCUUGCAAGCAUUUCUUAGUCAAAAAGCUUUGUAUAUAUCUAUAAUAUUUAUACGCGGGGGAGGACGUGGAAACUCUGUUUGGUCAACUGAUCAACACAGCUGCAUGAAUUGCUGAUGAAUGAACCAUUUAUGGUUGGUUUUAACCAAAUCAAAAUAAUAGAAAAAGGUCUAUAUAGGAAUAAGACUAUGGCCCUGUCGGUCAAACACUAGUUUUGUAGUUUAGAAGUUAAGUUGAUUUGAUCAACCACUUCUAUGAUGAGAAACACAUAACAUAUUUAUUAUUUUUGUUAAAAUUAUUACUUAGAAAUUAUAUUUUACUACAUACUAUUAACUUUUAUUUUAUAGUUACAGCAACUGCAACUUUAAAGUUAUAGUACUUCAGUAAAAUAAUAGGAUAUAAACCGGUCGUAGAGGAGGAUGGUUUUUCGUGUCUUUUGGGCAUUUCAUCCAAUGCUUGAUAUGAUAAGAAUCAAGCAAUAUUGAUGGAAUCAAAACAAUUAAUCAAAUGAUUAAUUGUCUCUAUCUUAAUUAGUUAUUAAGAUAGAUUGAUUGACUCAAUCUUUGAUAAUCAAUCAUUAUUCUCAAAUUAUGCUAAUUGUAUCAUUUCCUUUUCCAUAUUCUAAAUACUUGUAUAAAUUGAGUCUUCGUGCUCAUAAAUUAAUAAGAGUGAAAUUUAUAUUUUUUAUACUUUUUUGAAAAUUUUUGAUGAUAUAAAUACCACCGCUCUAACAUAAAUACCACUGUUGGGUUUCAAUUGAUCAUACACACAAAUGGAAACACCAAGACCAAAAACUUGCACUCAAGAAUGAGCACAAGUUGUAUAAACUCUAAUUCAAUAGUAGAAAGCAAUCAAACAGAUCAGUGAAGGACAAUCACAACACAAGAAUUUUGCUGGUUCGCUCACGAUGUGACCUACUUUCCAUCCAAGAAUUAAACUAACUCCAUUUCUGAUUAUCCAAUUCAAGGUUAGAAGAUGUAUAUCACUCUAUAAAGAACAAAACUUGAGAAGAAAUUAAACCAACCACAAUUUCUCUCACAAGUUGAGUUGGCCCCCAUAAAACAGAAUCCAGCUCUUUCUCGCGCCCUCUUUGUAUAACGAAAUUAACUGACGCUUGACUUGCUCAGUAUAAGUGAUGGUAACACGUGAGGACCCAAAUGACGAAUUCCAAGUGCUAAAGAGCCUAUCAGCCUAUGUAUUCAUUUGUAUAAUUAAUUUGGUUCAAAAUGAAAAAUUCGUGGUUUGUAAUCCUAACCACUUUGCCGUUGUUCCUAAGACUACAUGUUGAUAUUUGCCAUUAUAAUAUUGUAAGUUUAUAUAAUUAACAAAAUGUUCUGCAAAUGAAAAAUAUUUUGAUGGACAAUCUUCAGUCAAUUGAAAAUUAGUCUCUAUAUCAAAUAUCUUUAGUAAGAACUUACUAACAAUAUAUUUCACUCAAUUUGAAUUAAUAAUUCGAAUCAUUCCAACUUUGAACAGUCUUCAUCUAAGUUUCAAACAUUUGAUUCUAUCUGAAUUCCUUUUUGUCAAAGCUAAAUGAAAAGAAAAACAAAAAAAAAAUGUAAAUGAGACUAAAAUUAACCUGCGGCGUGGGUCAUUCAUUUGAUGUCUUUUGGCGUUUCACGUUCAAUAUUUGUGAAUGUAUAUCAACUUAAAGAAGCAAAGUGUCUUUGAAAUUACAGGAUGUAAAUAAAGCAAAGGGUUUUGUUGAUUGAGAGUGACUGCAAAGAAUUAAUGACUGAUAUUAAAUGAUUUGCAAAAUGGAGGAGAGGCAGGAGAAAAUUAAUUGUUUGCCAAUGUUUUAAUUAAGAAUGAACAAUUUUUGGAAGGAGAAACUUAUCAUCUUUAAGAAAAGAAAAAGUCAAUGAAGGAAUAAAAUAUCCACAGGUUUUGUUAAAGUGAAGAUAUAUGACGUACAAUUGUCAUCUUCUUUAACCUUUUUACUGUGGCGGGCAAUGAACAUCAUUCAAGGAUGAGAACAAAAGUUAAAAGCGACCCAUUUUAUUUUUUAAAGUGCUCUGCUGAAAAGCCAAAGUUCCUUGGCUAAAUUUAGAUGUGAAGCAAAGAAUAAUUAAAUAAAAGAUAAAAGAAUGGAAUAAAUUGUGUGACUGAAGUUGGUCCAGUCCUCGAUGUCUUAUGUCAUCUCCACAGAAUUGCACAAAGAUUAUAAAUGUUGAAAUACAGAACGGAAUAUUUUGUGAUGUGAGUUGGUACCUAAAAUCCUGAAUACUUGAGUGGUUAAAAAGCAAAAUUUAAUAUUAAAUUCUACAGAGGAGAAUAAUAGUUUUCUAAAAGUUCAAGGAGAGAAAUUCCUUUCCGCUCAUUGAAGAAAAUCCGGGAACAAUAAUGCUGAUUCAACCAUGUAUAAUUUAAUGUUAAUUAAAGUUAAAGCCAUCAUAUUGGUAAAUAUGCUUCGAUUAAAGCUGUUGUGUUGAAUGUACAUAUAAUAAUCAUUGGUAAGGUUUCCGAAAUGUGAAUCUUUAAAUGUUCCAUUUCUUCGCUUUGAGGAAAAGUUAAACGUGGAAGACGAAGCAAUGGUAUAACAGUGUUUAAAUUCUUGCGAGCAUUUCACCAAAUACUUGGUACGCAUAAUCAAAGUUUAUUUAACCUGUUUGUAACGUUUGGUUACUGAGAAAGAGUAAAAAGAAAGUUAAGCAUUGAAAGAAAAUUUUCAGAUCAGAUGAUCAUGAUCGUUUUCAUUACAUAUUAAGUCUAAUUACAAGUCCUUUUAUAUCAGUCUCUGGAACAUUCUACAAACAUCAAAAUCAUAUGCUUGAGCUAAAGUUAAUUACAAGUAACCGUGCUAACAAACUGUUAACUGAAUAACAAAUUCAUAACAAACUUGCUGCCAGACUGCCAGAUCACCAGUUUAGUUAUCUAACAAACUUAACGAACUGAAGCAUCUAAAGAAUAUAUUCCAGAGUAUGUUCCUUAACAUGCAUAAAUGGUCAAUCAUACUUGCCAAAAAAAUUGAUGAACAUUCACUUCUAAAGAAGCAAAUUAAUUAGUUUUCUUGUAAAAAUCAUAAUUAGCCAAAGAAAGUUCAUGUGUUUUUUUUUUUUUUUAAAGAUUCAAGACAAUUCUUCAAAGAUGAAAUCAGUUUUUAUUGAUACGUUCAACAAAUUCGAAGGCAUUCGAACCUUCUGUGGCACGAAUUAAUAUAAUAAAAAAACAGUAAUGAUAUACACACUACAAUUAAUAUUGCAGUUACUAGUUAGUACACCUUUACUACUGGGUAAAAAAAAAAAUUAUUUACUACAAAAAUAAAAAAGAAAAUUACACGAUAAGACAAACUAUUUUUGGUCUCUUAUAGAUUUUGUACUAAUUAUUAUAAUAAUUAUCAAUAUUCAUAAGAAAAUAAUGUACAACAAUGAAGGGACAUGGCAGAGGUAAAAAAAGUUAUUUUAUUAUUUUAAUAAAAGUAAAACAUUUAGCAAAGAUUUAUUUUGGUAUUUGGAAGGAUGUACAAAGCAAAAGAGAAUAUGAAAAGGUGAAAAGAGUUAUAAUGAAAAGAGUCACACCCUCCAUGAUAAUAUAAUGAAUUGAACUAUUUUUUUAAAUUUAGUUAAAAAAUUAGCUUAAUUGUAAAUAAAGUGAAAAGAGUUGGGAUGCUUGUCAAUGUCAAUAUUAAAAUUUAAAAAUUUAAUCUUAACCACUCAUUUGACUAGAAGAGAUUGAGAGAGAAAAGAAAUCUAAGAGAAGAUCUUUACCCCCAUGAAUAAACACAAGAUUACUAAAGAAACAAUCAUAAAAACCCUCUCUCUAGAUGAGUAGCGAAAUCCUAAGCAAAGAACCUCCACCGCCGCUGGUGGAUGAUCGUUCAACAAAAAAGGCAAGGUUUAGGGAGCAAGGUGUUGAUGCUGAUAAUCCACUGCCCUUAUCCUUUAAAGAUAAACUGAUGGAAGACCAAAAUGAGCUUGAAGAGGAGAUCUUGGGUAGAGAAGAAGACCUGGAAUUUGAGCCUGAAGACGUGAUUGUAGAAGACAAGAAUAGUAUCCCAUCCAUCUCUUUCUCAGGAAAGAUACAAGCUCAGCUCGUUAAGCCAUGGAUGAACACGAUUGUUGUCAAGUUGCUAGGGAGGUCUAUGGGAUAUAGGGCUCUCUGCAAUAAGCUGAAUGAUCUAUGGAGAACGUUGCAAGGCUUCACAGUUAUAGACCUGGAGAAUGACUUCUUCCUGGUUAGAUUCAAGUCUGAGAUUGAUGCACAGUAUGCUCUCACACAAGGGCCUUGGACCAUUCUUGGCCAUUAUCUCACCGUACAACAGUGGACACCUCAUUUUGAUAGUUCUAAUGUCAAUAUUGAAAACAUUGUGGCUUGGAUUCGCAUACCGGGUAUGCCUCUACACUAUUACCACAAAAGGAUCCUUCGCAUGAUUGGAAACGUCGUGGGAAAAGUGAUUAAAAUUGACUACAACACCGAGUCAGCAAGGAGGGGAAAGUUUGCUCGCAUUGCAGUGGAAAUUUCAUUAAAGAAGCCUCUCUGCUCACAAUUUUUUCUGGAUGGGAAGUUGCAAAAUAUUGAGUAUGAGAAUCUGCCUAUUAUUUGCUUUAAUUGUGGAAUUUACGGGCAUAAGAAUGAUGAUUGCCCACAGUCAAACACAUUGAAAAAUCCGACGGAGAGUUGUGAGAAUAAUGUUGCGGAGGAUAAUCCCGGUGGUGGGGAGGAAAAGUCAUCAUCUUCUGAAGUUCCGGUUAAUCCUAGUUUUGGUCCUUGGAUGAUCGUCAGCCGGAAAGGGAGGGGAAGAGUCAGCAAGGAAGGCGGCUACACAAAAAAUUUCAACCGUUUCCGAGACGGCAAAAGUGAAGGGGGCUCUCGUUUCGAAGUUCUCGAGAAGGAGGAAACUGAAGAAAGAGAAAUUGCUCUCCCUCGAAACCAUAAUGUUUCCACAACCGAAAAUGAACAGCCAGUUACCCACUUUAAAUAUAAAACCAAAAGCAAUCCUAAAACCAACUCCACCAUGCAAAAACCAAGUGUCAACAAUGCCAAGCCCCAAUAUUUGAAUAUUGAACACUCUUUGUCCCCACCAGCUCCCAUGCAUGCAAGAGCACUACCACGUACCCUUUCAACUAACCAUGCACCCUCAACCGAUUUACCAGUUCCCACCACAGUCCCUACUAGCUUGGAUCCCGCAAAGCACACAGCCAUUAAAUUUAUUCCCCCAAGAGUUGAACCUUCAUCUCUAAAUGCAAUUAUUGAUACAUCUCAAUCCAAUUUGAGGCUUGCUGUCCCCACCAUCUAUUUCGGAGACCAUGACAAACCCCCUGAUGAUAAUUUGGCUAUGGACGAUAAUGAAGAGAAUAACCCGGAUGAUGGAAACUCAAUGGAUGAUGAUAGUGAGUAUGAUUCAGCUUCUGUUGAUAGCAGGGCCUCUUUGGAGGAGAAAGAUAACAUGGAAUGUUAAUGAUGUCUCGUAUGGCCAAUCCUUUGUCUUUUUUUUCCUUAAUGAUGAAUUUAUCUAUCCUUUUUUGGAACUGUCAAGGGGUAUCUUCAUCGGGUUUUAAAAGAACUUUUAAAACCAUGAGCAAGAUUUACAAACCUGAUAUUGUUGCUAUUUUGGAGCCUAAAGUCAGUGGGGCUAAAGCUGAUUAUUUUAUUAAAGGAAGUGGCUUUGAAUUCUCACAUAGAGUGGAGGCUGAGGGCUUUGCUGGGGGUAUUUGGAUACUAUGGAAUAGAGGUUUCGCAAUGGAGUUUGUCGUUAACCACAAACAGUACAUUCAUUUUAAAGUUACAGACUUUUCUGGUAAUUGGUCAUGGGUCACUGCAGUAUAUGCCAGCCCCAAUCCCAGCCUUCGAAGGAAAUUUUGGAACGAGCUAGAGUCAAUAGCUAAAUCGAUAAAGGGACCUUGGAUGUUGGGUGGCGAUUUCAACUCAAUUCUUCAUGCUUUAGAGAAAAAAGGUGGCUCACCAAAAAGCAGUGGUAUUUGCAGAUCUUUCAAUAACUGGUUUCACGACAAUCGCCUUAUAGAUUUGCAUUUUAAAGGGCCUUGCUUCACUUGGUCUAGAGGAACCCUGUUUAAAAGACUUGAUCGUGCCAUUUGUAAUGAUCAUUGGAAUAGUUUGUUCACAGAAGCUUCGGUCUUACAUCUCCCAAAAAUUCACUCUGAUCACCGUCCAAUUCUUGUCAGCUUCGACUCAAAUUUGAAUAGGAGGAAUGGUGUAAAACCAUUUCGUUUUUUAGCAGCAUGGCUAAUGGACCAUUCUUUUAUUUCUCUCGUUGCUAAAGAAUGGAGGGAUUCUGAGGGGUAUUUUCAAGCUGCUCAUGAUUUUGUGGAUAAAGUCAGCAAGUGGAAUAGAGAUAAUUUUGGGAAUAUUUUUAAAAGAAAAAGGAGAAUUCUUGCAAGAUUGAAUGGCAUUCAGAGAGCCCUGGAGUGCUUUGAUUCAAAAAGGCUUCUUAAACUAGAAUCCAAAUUGAAGACGGAACUUGAAAAUAUUUUAUCCCAAGAGGAAUUAUUAUGGUACCAAAAGUCAAGGCGUGAAUGGAUUGCUUGCGGGGAUAGAAACACAGCCUAUUUCCAUAGUAAAACAAUUGCUAGAAGAAGAAGGAAUCGAGUGGAUGCUAUUCAAAAUAGUGAGGGCAAGUGGAUUUAUGACAAGGAAGAAAUGAAGACUCACGCCAUUGAUUUUUUCUCUAGACUUUUCAACUGUCAAGAUGAAGAGGUCCGAUUUUACUCCAUUGCAAAUGCCUUUCCAAAGAUUGAGGAAGACAGAAUAGCCGAUAUUUGCAGAGCUGUUCAGAGAGAGGAAAUAAAAGCUACUAUUUUCGGAAUGAAACCAUUAAAGGCUCCAGGAAUUGAUGGACUCCAUGCUCUCUUUUAUCAGACACAAUGGAAUGUGGUUGGUGCUUCAGUUUGCGAUCUUGUGAGUAAUAUUUUUAAAGGCAAUCCCCUUCCCCUAGAACUGAACAGGACCCUUAUUGUCCUUAUCCCAAAAACCAAUAACCCCACCAACAUGAAAUUGUUUCGUCCUAUCAGCCUUUGUCCAGUUCUGUACAAAACAGUCACAAAAAUUUUGGCAAACCGGCUAAAGGAGAUUUUACCUGACUUGAUUGGUCCAACUCAAACUAGUUUCGUCCCCGGAAGGCAUAUCACAGAAAAUAUUGUCAUGGCGCAAGAAAUCAUCCACACAAUGAAAAAUAAAAGGGGUAAAGUUGGGCAGAUGGCUAUCAAAGUAGAUCUUGAGAAGGCUUAUGACAGGCUCCGAUGGGAUUUUAUUCAUGAUACUCUUAAAGAUGUUGGGUUGCCUCAGGAGUUUAUUCGACUUACAAUGGAAUGCAUCACCACAGCUAGAAUGCAAAUCUUAUGGGAAGGGGAGCUCACUGAUGAAUUCACUCCUUCUAGAGGCAUCCGACAGGGAGACCCUCUUUCUCCCUACAUUUUUGUUCUUUGUAUUGAACGUCUUAGUCACGGAAUUAAUCAAGCAGUGUCUGACGGAAGAUGGUGUCCUAUACGUCUUUCACAUAAUGGUGUCCCUCUAACACAUCUCUUUUUUGCAGACGAUUUGCUCCUUAUGGCUGAGGCUUCUUAUAAUCAAGCCCAAGUUAUAAAUAAUGUACUUGACAAUUUCUGCAGCUGCUCAGGGGAGAUGGUUAGUAAACAGAAGACCCGUGUGUUUUUCUCCAAGAAUGUUGAAAAGGCUAUGGCAAGGAAAAUAAGUGAGUCUUUAGGUUUCUCUGCUACGGACAAUCUUGGCAAAUAUCUCGGAAUGCCGCUGCUUCAUAACAGAGUUACCAAAGCUACUUAUCAGGAGAUUGUGGACAAUGUUGAUAAAAAGCUGUCAGGGUGGAACUCAAUGCAUCUCUCUUUAGCUGGAAGAAUUACUCUUGCUCAAUCAGUUAUUCAAGCGGUUCCUAUUUUUGCCAUGCAAACGACAAGGAUUCCUCAGGGAGUGUUAGAUAAAAUUGAUCGGAUUUCUCGGAGAUUCAUUUGGGGAGGAAAUAAUGAAGACCGAAAAAUCAAUCUGCUUAAUUGGGAAAUGGUUUGUACACCGAAAUCUGGAGGUGGUCUUGGCUUGAAGAAUCUUUCUGAUAUGAAUAAUGCUCUGCUUAUGAAAAUUGGAUGGAAUAUGUUGGUUUCUCCACACAGUUUGUGGGUUAAGAUUCUGAGAUCUAAAUAUGGGCUUACCUCAGACUCUAUACCUAUAGCUAUUGACAAUAAGUGCAGUUCUUAUCUUUGGAAAAGCAUAAGCAGAAUCUGGGAUUAUGUGUUACGGGGCAUGAGAUGGACGAUUGGAGAUGGAAAUAAAAUUAACUUUUGGCAUCAGCGUUGGGUUUCAGAAGAAAUAAUUAUUGCAGAUUAUAUUACAAAGCCAAUUCCAGCUGAGUUAAUAAAUAAACGAGUGGCUGAUUUUGUAAAUGCUGAGGGGCAGUGGAACUGGAACAUGAUUAGUACUUUUAUCCCCAAUCAAAUUCUUCUCCAAAUUGCAGCGGUCAAGCCCCCGUCUGAUGGCAAAUGCGAAGAUCUCCUAUAUUGGGCUCACUCAAAAACGGGCAAGUUCACAUCUAAAUCAGCUUACCUUUUUCUGAAUAAUUCCAAUUGCAGCAAAGAUGCUCAUUUCUGGAAAUUAAUUUGGCAAUGGAAAGGGCCCCAACGAGUUAAAAUUUUUUUAUGGUUGGUGAUGCAUGGAAAAAUUAAAACUAGAGAGGAGCUUUUUAAGAGGCAUAUUCUGGAUAAAAUGAAUUGUGAAAGAUGUGGCCAUGAGAGAGAAAACGAGAUGCAUGCACUUAGGGACUGUUUUGUUGCAAAGAGAAUAUGGAAUUGUUUAAUUCCAGUCAACUUCAGACAUCAUUUUUUCUCCUUUAAUCUUCGUGAUUGGCUCUGUUUCAACUUGGGAAAGACUGGUAUCAAUGAAGUGGGGGAUGAAUGGGCAUGUUUAUUUGGAGUGGCUAUCUGGAAAAUUUGGUUUUGGCGUAAUCAAUUUCUUUUCUCACAAAAAUCCCCUUACUGCACCCAUGUUGUUGCUGAAAUUAAAUCUUGGGCUCAAGACAUUCAAAAUGCACGAUCAACUCUUAGUUUCGGUCAGAGUAAUAAGAUCAUCAAAGAUGUUAGAUGGCAAGCUCCCCCUGAAUCUUUUUUCAAAUUAAAUACUGAUGGAUCACGAUUAAAGAAUGGUCUAGCCAGCGCUGGAGGCUUGGUGAGGGAUUGCUCUGGAAAGUGGCAGUUUGGCUUUGGCAUGAACAUUGGAUUUGGAUCGGUGACUACUGCAGAACUUUGGGGACUUUUUCAAGGACUUAAUAUUGCUUGGGACCGUGGCAUUCGUUAUUUAAUUGCAGAGGUGGAUAGCCAAUGUGUUUCCCAACUUAUUUCCUCUACUAGUUUGAUGCCUAAUGCACAUUUUUCUCUCAUAACUGCCAUAAAGGAACUGAUGAAUAGACAAUGGCUCAUUACCAUAAAGCAUAUAUAUCGGGAAGCCAAUUUUGCUGCAGAUUCCAUGGCGAAACUUGCUGGUUCCUUACCCCUUGGACUUCAUGUCUUUGAAAAUCCCCCCGCGGGUCUUGGUUAUUGGUUAUGUAAUGAUAUAUAUGGGACCUCUAUUCCCCGUUCUGUUUUAGCCUAGUUUUACUAGGCUCCAAUGUAUCAAAAAAAAAAAAUGAAUAAACACAAGAUGUAUCAAACGGAUACUUUUGGUAGAGUCAGGGAAUCUGCAAAACUGCUUCUUCCCUUCCCUUUGUAACGAAUUUAAUUGACCUUUGACUUGGUCGGAAUACGCGAUGCACGUAAUGCAAACACGUGAGGACCCAAACGAGGAAUUCCAAAAGCAAACGCCGCGUUUUUUUUUUUUUUUCUGGUCUUGAAUAUUGAUUCAUCAAUAUAAACUAUAUUGAUUAUAUCAUAAGACUAUAAACUAUAUCGUUUCCAUUCAUUAUAUCAUAAGAAUACAAUGAUUAACAAUAUCAAAUUCAAGAGACAAUCAAUAAAAACUGAAGCCAAUAAAUACACAAAAAUAAAACAAUGAAAUUAUUACAGUUUGAAAAAAUAAAAAAUUAUUCAAAUUAAACAAACUGAAAAAAAAGAAGAAGAAGAAAUUGAACAUUUUAAUCAAUAUCUCUUAAUUAAUAGUUAGUAAAUUAACGAAUAUGUACCUUUUGUUUUAAGACUUCUUUUAUCAACGCAGUUCAACGUUACUUUGUCCAAUUUGGGUUUUUGUUCAAUUCUCCUCCACAGAAAUCUUCACACUGGAGCAACCAUCCAUCACUAAUCUUUCCAAAGAUGGGAAUUUGAAGGCAUAAUUGCCAUAACAGAAGCUUGUCAGAAUUUUCAAGUCUAAAACACACGUACAUUCAUUCAGAUUAAAAUAGGAGUUAUACAUCUGAAGGCUAAAAGCACAGAAACAGAGCAACUAAUAACAUAGAAACAGAACCUCAGAUACAAGAAGUGGAACAUUGAACAAUUGACUAGUUAGGAAGCAAACUGACAUUGAGAGAUUAAACACAAGUGAAGUGACUACAACAAUCUAGGGUAGAAAAAAGUUAAAAAAGAAAAGAAAAGAAAAUUACAAGAGUCAGUACAGAACAGAACAAAACAGAGACAACAGCAGGACAAUUAGAGAGGGAGCAGAGCAAUUCUAAAUAACAAGCUAGAGAUCAAAAGAUGCCAAGUGCUGUUGAGAUUAAAAGAUUGAAAGUUCAAAAGAGUUUAUGGCAAAAACUGCAAAUCAAACAGCGCAAUAGUGAGCACAAUAAACAGGAGGGAAUUGUAAUUGAGGUCAAAGAAUGUAAACAAGGGAAGGACUUUCUUGAUUGUAUUGAAUGGUUUUUGCCAAAAGUUUUAAGAAUGACAUUCCACAAUUUCAAGAAGUCAACAAAGCAACGAAAGUUGAAAGUGACCCAUUUUGUUUUUUGAUGUGUUGUGCCAUAACUGCAUAUCUCUAGGUGCUGGAGCUGCUGAGAGCUUCUGAUCGCAGAAGCUGAAAAUAUGUAUUUCAAUUUCUGAAUCAAUCGUGUUAGACUUUGAAAACGAGAAAACAUAUCUGGAAGUUGAUUAUCCCAAAUCCUUUCAACAUUAAUGUUUGAGGAAAUACCUCGACGAGACCAGGCGUGAUGAGCAGAUGCUUGAUGGCAGAGUUCUGCGAACAGGUAAGUCCUGUAAGAGCCAGGUAGCAGGGGAACAAGAGCAGAAAUAUUCUGCUCGUCCACGAAUAUGACAUUUAUGGGGUGAAACUCCUGGUAGAGGCAUGAGCCCAUUCCUGCUAGAGGUUGAAAGGCGAGGAGACCCGGUCAGCGACAGUUGGCAAGACGUGUAUUCCAAUCCGAGAAUCAAGGCACGAAGUCCAUUCCCAUUUGCCCACAACGGCGAUAAUGGGGCGUCCACAUCCGAGAAUGCAGAGAAUAAUGGGCGUGGACUAAAGAAGACGGCGGUUGAGAGGAAGCCUAUAAAAAGGUAGCCAACGAAGGUAAAAGGGUUAGCAAUUUUGAUAUUAUAAGAGAGAAAAAAGAGAAUUCCAAAGAGGAGAAACUAGAGAAAAGCCAUAAGAUCUGUGGCGAACAUUCCCAGAACCUUCAUAUCUGACUUGAGCGUCGGAGGGUUUACGUCAGGAAAACAACCGGCGUGCUCUGACUUGUUUCUGUGGACGCAGGAAUACUUGGAGAAGAAAGCAUACGAGGAGAGAUCCUGGUCGAAGUGAGGUUGAUCGAGCAGAAGUCCUGGUCGUAGGAAGAGCAUAACCAGAAUCUCGCAUCAACAUUUUGGCGCCGUCUGUGGGGAGCUGAGCAAAAAGCUUCUGUUGAUAGCAAGAAGAGAAGGAAAACAACUGAAAAGCAAUGGAGAUAGGAGGAAGUAGCGCACAAGGGGGGGAUAUGAGGCUUAACGAUUCCGUGACGCUGAGCGAGAUAGCCAGCGAAGCACGGGAAAAAGCCAUGUUCGACCGGAUGGAAAAGCAGAUGGAGACCUUGACAACCAUCUUGCAUGAACUGCGGAGCGAGCCAAUGGUACCCCAAGAGGAAAGGGUGAGAGGUGGUGGAGUGGCACCAGGUCCCGAUAGUGUGAGGAGAAGCCAAACCACCAGGAGAUUUGGUGGUGAGAGAGGUAACAUACCUUUGCGGGGAGAAUUUCAUAGAGAGGAAGAGCAGUCCCCGGCAAGACAGAUUUUUGACGAGGACGACGGGGUGGUGAAUGCAGAGGAAACAGAGUUGAGGCAACACUUGCAUGAUGUAGAGCAAGAGCGGGAUCAAGUUGCAGCACGUGACCCUGGUCGUGCAGUGCAGCUGGAGGAGGAAGUGCGCAGGCUAGCGCAGAUAAUUGACAACAUGCAAGGAAGGAGCAGAGCUCCUGGUUGGAGGAUAAUGCUGGACGGAGAAUCACCGCUCGCAGCAGAGAUCAUGAGGGCAAUUAUUCCGAGAGAUUUCCACCUCCCAGACCUCAGAUACUCGGGAAAAACUGAUCCGCUGGUGCACAUAGGUGCAAGGAUUAUCUCAAUCCCAAAGGUGCCGGGUGUUCCCACUAUCCCUUGAGGGACGUGCACGAGAGUGGUACAGGAAACUUCCUCGGGGCAGCAUUAAAACCUUCGAGCAGAUGUGCCAGGAAUUCGCAGAGCAGUUUAGUGGGGCAAUGGCACCAGAAGAUGACAUGAUGGAGCUGAAAAGCAUGAAACAGGGGGAGCAGGAAACCCUUCGGGAAUUCAUCAAGAGGUUUCAUCGUGCAGUCCUCGACUUGGGAGCCUUCAAUCACCCUCAGGCGUUAAGGGGAUUGAAAGAAGGGGUGAAGAUAGGAAGGCUGUGGUACAACUUGAGAAGCCCAGCUAUCCAUACGUAUGCGGCCGCAUACGAGCAGGCUAAGAGAGACAUUGAGAUUGAAGAGGAGAAGGCAGCACGGAUUAAGACAGACCAGUUAGAAGGGUUGGGGAGGAAAGAGAAGAAAGCAUUACCGGGGAAUGGGCCGAUCAGGAGGAGGGACCACCAGACCUCGGGUAGUGGAGCAGGAGGUCGGGUAACUGCUUACCAGCUUCAUCAAAGGCCACCACAGUAUCAGCGCAGCAGGGCGCAAACUCCUCGUUCCCCAGCUAGGGAACCUUGGAGAAGGCAUGAUUCGGCACACGGUGGUCUUCAUCAACAUUCCCACGGUAGCAGAGGGAGCAGACCAGAAGUACUGCUACCGCCCCCAACACAGAACGGAGCAAACAGAGAAAGAGCAGUACACCUGAUCGACCAGAACCAGGAUUAUGGGCGAUAUACAUCCUUGAAAAUGUCCCUGGACGAGGUGUACGAGGCCAUAAAGGAUCGGGGGUUGCUAUACCUUCCUGCUCCAAUAACAAAGCUACCCAACAUGAGGGAUAAGGGACGCUAUUGUAAGUUCCAUGGCACUCAUGGCCACAUCACAGCAGAUUGCAGAGAUCUCAAGACCCAGGUUGAAGAUUUGGUGAGAAAUCGCUAUCUGGACGAGUUUAUAGAUGGGACCUUCCCAAUGGUAGCCUCAACAAGUGAAGGGGAGCAGAGUGACAGGAGCUUGAGGCGCGAGCAGCCUGUAGUAAGGGUGAUAGCUGGGGGCCCGACAUUGGCCGGAGAUUCCAACAGGUCGAGGAAGAAUUAUGCUAGAUAUGCCAUGACCAGCAAAUAGGUAUUCUUCAACACCCCAGCAGUCAAACGAGCAAGGGUCAGGCAAGUGCCAAUCAUGUGGACGGACGAAGAUGAAGAAGGGAUCUUAUACCCCCACGAGGAUGCUCUAGUCAUCAAGGCUACUGUUGCCAGCAAGAAGUUUGACCGGAUACUGGUGGACACAGGAAGCUCAGUUGACGUGUUGUUCAAGUCAACCCUGGGCGAGAUGGGAAUAGCAGAUCUGAAGUUGGAGUACACCAAUACCUCAUUGAAGGGAUUUAGAGGAGGAAAACUGGUCCCUCUGGGCGUGGUCGAGCUGCCUAUCACAAUUGGGAGUUCCCCGACAGAAAGGACAAUGAUACUAGACUUUGUGGUAGUGGAUGAGGAAGGUCCGUACCAGAUGAUCCUUGGACGGCCGUUUCUAAGGAUGAGCAAAGCGGUGCUGUCCAACUACUAUCUAGCUCUCAAGUACCGGGUGAAUGGGGUAGUUGGAGUGGUACGAGGGGACCAGAGAAUCGCUAGAAGCUGCUACUCCUCGGCAGCAAAGGAGGCAAUGCAGAUAACAUCCCUUGACACCCGAGUGGAAAACAAGAAGAGCAGACAAGAACUUGUAGAGGAGCUGGAGACAAUAAGCCUGGGACCAGAGAAUCCGGGAAAGACGAUCAGAAUCGGGUCGAAACUUAAGGAAGAGCAGAAGCAAGAGUUAGUGAAAUGCUUACAGGCUCAUGCAGAUGUGUUUGAAUCUUGAUCUGCUAACGGAAAAGAGGGAUCAAGCAGCCAAGCGGUCAGCCAUUCACCAGCAGAGGGUUUCCCGGUAUUAUAACCAGAAGGUGAACAUACGGCAGUUCAAGGUCGGAGAUUGGGUGUUAAGGAGAGUGAAUCAGAACACCAAAGACUCAACUCAAGGAGUGCUCGAUCCGAAUUGAGAGGGCCAUAUAGAGUCAAGCAGUUAGUUGGACCAGGAGCGUACAAGCUGGUUCGCAUGGAUGGCCACGAGGUGAAGCGCCCAUGGAAUGUAGCACAUCUCAGGAAAUAUUUCCAGUAAGAGCCGUUAAUAUUUUCAAGUUCUUUCUAUUCGUAUUUGCUGUUAUUUAUUUUAUGACCAAACAAUUUCAUGUAAGUUGAAUUCUACAAUUAAUGGAACGUCGAGGAAUUUCAUUCACUUGAAACUGUGAAAAUUCACUAAGGCACGCAAAGGCUCACUAAGUCUCAAAGCCUGUUUAUGGCGAGACAGAAGCCAAGCGUGCCAGGAUCUGCUCGACCACGAGACGGCGAGCAAAAUCCCCAAUCAUCGAAAGAUCCUCCAAGGCAUGCAAAGGCUCACUAAGUCUCAAAGCCUAUUUAUGGCGAGACAGAAGCCAAGCGUGCCAGGAUCAGCUCGACCAUGAGACGGCGAGCAAAAUCCCCAAUCAUCGAAAGAUCCUCCAAGGCAUGUAAAGGCUCACCAAGUCUCAAAGCCUGUGUUAUGGCGAGACAGAAGCCAAGCGUGCCAGGAUCUGCUCGACCACGCGAAGGCGAGCAGACUCCAAAGCAUUCGAGAUAUUUUCUAAGGCAUGCAAAGGCUCACCAAGUCUCAAAGCCUGUGUUAUGGCGAGACAGAAGCCAAGCGUGCCAGGAUCUGCUCGACCACGCGAAGGCGAGCAGACUCCAAAGCAUUCGAGAUAUUUUCUAAGGCAUGCAAAGGCUCACCAAGUCUCAAAGCCUGUUUUAUGGCGAGACAGAAGCCAAGCGUGCCAGGAUCUGCUCGACCCGGCGAAGGCGAGCAGAAUCCCCAAGCAUCGGAAUAUUUUCUAAGGCAUGCAAAGGCUCACCAAGUCUCAAAGCCUGUGUUAUGGCGAGACAGAAGCCACGCGUGCCAGGAUCUGCUCGACCCGGCGAAGGCGAGCAGAAUCCCCAAGCAUCGGAAUAUUUUGUAAGGCAUGCAAAGGCUCACCAAGUCUCAAAGCCUGUUUAUGGCGAGACCAGAAGCCAAGCGUGCCAGGGUUUGCUCGACUGCGAGAAAGCGAGCAGAAUCCCAAGCACUGAAGACUUUUCUAAGGCAUGUGGCAAAACCAUAUGCCAAGCCAGAACCUGCUCGACCAGACGCAGGCGAACAGAUUCUCGAAAGGAAAAAUAACUCAUGAUUACAACGCAGGAAAGUAAAUAAAAAAUAUUUGUAUUAAUUUGUUAGUAAUUAACAAAGCAGAUAAUUUCCAAACGUUGUUCAUUACAAUACAAGAAAUAGACUAAGAGGACGGUGGGUCCGUAAGCCGAGCAGCCUCCGUCAGUUGGUCCACCUCAGGCGCUGGGGGAGUAUCACCAGUCGCGUCCGGGGGGGUGCUGGCCUCACCCACAUCAACAGGAGUGGCACGAGGAGGGGAGUUUCCCUCAACUACGAUAGGCUCCAACCCUUCGGCAUCUUCCUUUGCAGCCUCCUCGUCCAUAUGUUGGGCGACACCAGCCGCAAGGUCGUCCAUCUUCAGGUCAGGGUGCUGCUUCCCGAGGACAGCCAUGAUGCAACGAUAGGAAUGCCGAAGCCCCUGGUCGUACUGGUUGUCAGCCUCCUUCUCCAAAUUCUCAACCUGAGCUCGGUGGGAAUCGCGGAGAGAUUCGAGCUGAGCCUCGUACGCAGCUUUCUGCCCUUGGAGAUCCUCCUUGACCUUGGUCAGCUCUUCCUCGAGGGUAAUGGCUUUUGCUUGAGCAAGAGAUUCUUGCUCCAUCAGCUUCAAAUUCUCGAGAUUCAGCUCCCCAGCUUUCUUCUCAGCAUCGUCAGCUCUGGUCAUCACCGACUGGAUAUCCUCCUUCAUCUUCCUGUCGUAACGGCCAACCUUGGCCUUAUAGUAGGUGGUCAUGCAGCUCAGAUGGAAAGCACUGUACUGCAUAGCCCCCACCAGCUCGCCUAAGGUGCAGCCAUCAAAAUCCUCCAGGUCUUUCUUGGUCACGAGUUUGGAAAGCUCGUUGAGAUAGGGGGCCAAGUGUUCUGCUCGGUUGUCAGAUAGACGAGAUCUAGGCCCGACUGGAGGAGAAGAGGAAGUAGGAUCAGUGGCUGCUCCACUAGUUUCUCCGACUUUGGCAGGAGGAGGAGGUAGAGUCUUCAAGGGAGGAACCUGCUGCACAGUGUUCACCCGCUUCGCAGUGGGAGCGUCCUUGCUCUGGUCUCUCUUCGCAGUUGGAGGUCGAGGACGCUUCCGAGUCAGAGCCUCAAUCACAGCAUCCUCCAUCUGAUGACCAGGGAGAACCAAGUGAGAUUCGAUCAGGUUGUAGGUGGUUAGCAGCUCCCGAUGCGAGCAGGAAUUGGCCAGUACAGCCUCGACCCGUUUAAGCUGGUCAGGUUGGAGUGGGAAAUGAACGCCCCAAGAACCUGCAAACAAGUAGAUAUUGGGUUAGAGGCAAAACAACAGAGUAAGGAUAAUUAUGAAAACAAGACAUCUAAAACGAGCGGGCAACCUAGGACCACGAAACGGGGUGGGACGCGAUAUUUAUUCCCGUCAAUUUGUGCAACCUGACCCCAAGGACCCCCGGCGAAAAAGAAUUUUUUCUUCCAAGUCCCACCACCACCAGUUGGAAGAUCGGUUAUGGGUUUUCUGCUCUUAGUACUAGAUUGGAAGUAGUACCAGCCAACAUCUUUGGGGCUGCUCUUUAGUUGGUACAGAUGCUUCACCUCAUCAACUGUGGGCUCGCUUUGGCAAUAUCUGUCCCACAGUAUGAACAGACCAGAAAGUACCCUUCACCCGUUGGGGUUCAGCUGACCAGGAGCAAGGUUUAGCCCGUUGAGUAUCCGAGCAAAAUAGGGUUGCAAGGGGCACCUCAGCCCAUACUUAAAACUAUCUAGAAAUAUGGUAACAUAUCCCCUAGGGGGUCUGCUAGGACUGUCCUUUUUUCCUGGGAUCCUAAGGGGUAUUUCACCAGGUAUAUGGUACCUAAGUCGGAGGUCAUCGAGCUCGUCGAAUGUGGUCGCGCACGUUAUGUAAUCAAUAGCAUAAUCACGCGCCAAGGCUCUACCUCCUAUUGUACUCUGCCCUUCUGGUCGCGGUCUUCCUGGUAAGGAUCCAUCACUAGAAUCACCUCUUUGAUCCUCAUUUAGGGUAUCUUCCGAGCCAGAAGGUCCCUCCUCACCACUACUUCCGCUCGUGGAGGUCGUUUGGGGAGAUAUCCUCCUAGUGCUAGUGCCAACACUAGAUCUAAUGGGUUCCAAGGGGAUUCCGGGAUCAAAGGCAGGAUCGGUGAGCAGGCUAGGCAGGAAGUUUAACUCAUCGUCGUCAACCUCAACGAUUUUCUCUUUACCCUUCGACAUUCUCUAAACUAUAACUAGAGCAGAACCGCCGACUACUACCCCCCAAGCAAAGCAAAGAGAAAAGAAAUUUAUCUACAACUAACCAAGACCGAGAAAAUAGAAGAAAUACCUGGAGCAAGGAUUCAGUCAGAGAGAGGCAGGGAUGAAAGCUUUAACGCCGAGGUUCAUUCGCCGGAGAAACAAGAAGGGGGAAAGUCGCGAGUUUGUGUUUGAGGGCUUUGGUUUCACUUACUGGGAAGCAAACUCUUGGGUAACCAGGCAUUUAAGAGCCCCGAAACCCGAGGGUCACAUAACCGUCAGUUUGAAAUUCAAAUGGAGGGGCAGAUCUCUGCCACAUCAUCUCAUGCGCAAUUAAAUGCGACACGACUCUUGGCAGCCUUAUCUAGUCCCACGCGAACAAGAAUCAAUGAGUUUCUACUGCUGGUCCAUUACAUUACCCAACACCAGAAACUGGGGGACCGGUGUUUGAGGAAAUACCUCGACGAGACCAGGCGUGAUGAGCAGAUGCUUGAUGGCAGAGUUCUACGAACAGGUAAGUCCUGUAAGAGCUAGGUAGCAGGGGAACAAGAGCAGAAAUAUUCUGCUCGUCCACGAAUAUGACAUUUAUGGGGUGAAACUCCUGGUAGAGGCAUGAGCCCAUUCCUGCUAGAGGUUGAAAGGCGAGGAGACCCGGUCAGCGACAGUUGGCAAGACGUGUAUUCCAAUCCGAGAAUCAAGGCACGAAGCCCAUUCCCAUUUGCCCACAACGGCGAUAAUGGGGCGUCCACAUCCGAGAAUGCAGAGAAUAAUGGGCGUGGACUACAGAAGACGGCGGUUGAGAGGAAGCCUAUAAAAAGGUAGCCAACGAAGGUAAAAGGGUUAGCAAUUUUGAUAUUAUAAGAGAGAAAAAAGAGAAUUCCAAAGAGGAGAAACUAGAGAAAAGCCAUAAGAUCUGUGGCGAACAUUCCCAGAACCUUCAUAUCUGACUUGAGCGUCGGAGGGUUUAUGCCGGGAAAACAACCGGCGUGCUCUGACUUGUUUCUGUGGACGCAGGAAUACUUGGAGAAGAAAGCAUACGAGGAGAGAUCCUGGUCGAAGUGAGGUUGAUCGAGCAGACGUCCUGGUCGUAGGAAGAGCAUAACUAGAAUCUCGCAUCAACAAUUAAUUUUGUACAGCUCCAUGUUGGGCAAGAGAAGCAGAAAAUAAAGUGGAUAAAUUGCUUCUCAUGAAAGUGCUCUACACAAUGUUGCUUUGGGAGUACCAAUUACCUGCUCUCUUUGGCAUUUCGCAUUCAGUAAAUGUAAAUGUGCAAAGACAAUCUAUUGAGUCUGAGAAUUUUUUUUUUUUUAACCAAAUGUAAUAAUAUUAAUCAACGUCGUUAGAACUUAUAACCUCUUAUAUCAACUUUAGAACCAUAAACUUAGAUAUCAAAGUCUAUAACAUGCUUGAUCUACUUCAAGCCCGAAGUUUUUUUUUUUAAUUUUUUUUUGGAAAAAAUUGAUAUUUUUUAAUAGUUAAUAAAGGAAUAAAUUUUUUAUUUUUCAGUAACCUUUUAGAUUGGACCUUAGUCAUAAAUUGGUUCAUUUAAAAUAAAAAAAAAAGACUAAUGUACUUAGAAAAUAAAAAUAAAAAUAAUUCUUUUGCAAGUAACAUCAUAUGUGAGAAAUUAUCCAGUUCAAAAUCUUAAACUCUCUUAAAAGUCCAAAAAAGUUGUUACAACAUACGGUGUAUGAGUGUGGCGUAUUAGUUUCCUCAAACUUUAAGAAAGUUCAGAAUCUUGAACUAGAUGAGCACUCCAUCAUGCAUGGUCCAAUAAGUUCCUAUUAACAAAUCUUUUUAUUUUGAGUCUCUCUCAUAAGGAUUGUAUUUAAUCAAAUGCAAAAUAAUAUAACAUCUAAUAAUUUUUUUAAUUUUUAGUUCAUGCUAAUAAUAAUAAUGUUGGCAUUUAAUAGGUGAAAGAAAUAUAUUAGUUUUUAAGUGUUAAUUUUUAACUCUCAUAUUCUAAAUCAUAAUUUAUAAAAAAAAAAUCGCUGGAAAAAAAUUAAUCUUUUUUCAAAAAAUAUAUAUAUGUAAUGGGUAUCAUUCACGUACGUUGAAUUUCCAGAGGAAUGAAGCUAAUAAUGUUCGAAUGCUACUCCAAUGAUUUCACUACUAAAAUAUUAAAUUAUCUUCAUGAAAAAAUUGUAUGAUUAGAAUGAUUAACUCAAGGCACUCGAGCAUUUAAAAUUGCAUCACUACUAAAAUAUUAAAUAAUCAUGUUCGCAUUUAAUGUUCGCACUCGAGCAUUCCAAUGCAUUUUAACUCAAGGCACGCACGCACAAGCAUGAUUAUUGAUUCACACAUGCAUCUUUAAUUAAUUAACUAAAAUAUGGCACUUGAAAAGUCUUUGGGGGUGCCUACAAAUUGAAAUUUGGUAACACAAUUAAUGCUAAGAAAUUAAUCUGGCUACCGUAUAUCCUGCAACGACAUGGAUAAAGGACUGUUCCACCAUUCAACCUGAAAUCAUCGAGUGAAAGAAACAAGAUAAUGAGCGUUGUUAUAAAUCUGAAAGCCGACUCGAAGUAAUAAUAAUAAUAAUAACAAUUAAUAGACCUUACCAUUGGUUAUCACAUUACUGCCCAGUGCAUCUUCCUCCUCAUUCCCUGCAUGCGACAAACCGGGCUGAGGACCAACCACACGGCCACACCAGUAUGUCGCGAGAAUCUUUACUGACUUCUCAUGGAUCUCGAAGUUAUCAUGACUUUGCAGAUUUUCUAUCUUUUCUAUUCCCUCGGCCUCUUCAAUCAACUGGGCAAACUGAUUAACAUCUCCAAUGUCUGUGUCCGUAUUCUUUUCGGCUUCCCCGACCUGCAAAAUGUUCUCUAAUGCUUUUAGGCAAACAGUGACGAUCUCUGGAUCAGAGCAUAGAAGGAGAUCACACAAUGGUUUUAUACACCCCUCUCUCACGAGGUACUUGAUUUGCUCAUGAGUGCCACCAAAGGUGGCAUUUGAAAUUGCCCAUGCAGCCUCCUUCUUUAUAUAAAAUACAGCAUUUUGAAGCAGAUUGACAAGGAGACCAAUUAAGCCAGCAUCAAUUACCGCCUGAAUCUGUUCCCUGUUUCCACAUGCCAUAUUUGAAAUAAUCCAGCAAACUUCCUUCUUGAUGCUCUUUUUAUGAUUAUGGAUCAACAGGCUCAAAAGGUACUGCAGUGCACCACAGUCAAUUAUACACUGAGUCUGGAAAUCGUUCCCCAUCACAAUAGUUCCAACAGCCUGCAGAGCAGGAGUGAGCACUGAAGGUGAUGGAUGACCAAGGAGCUUAACAAGUUGUGGACAGACACCUGCCUCGAUCACAGCUUGAACUUUGUCAUUCGUACCAUAAGAAAGAUAGGAGAGUGCCCAGCAGGCAUCAGUCAAGACCUCUUCAUCGUUUGAACGAAUAAGCUGUGCAAGCACCGGAAGAGCUGGCCUCACCUGAUCUAAUAUUGGCUGCGGCUUGCCCCCGCAUAAAUUAGCCAACGUCCGUGUGGCUAUUCUCUUCAUUGAAAGUUUUGCAUUGUUAUUUAACUGUGUUAGCAAUGGAAUUAGAGCUCCUUCACUAAGCACAAGAUCACGGAAUCGAGGUGAGCCAGCAGCAACGUUUCCCAAUGCCGAAACAGCCUGCUCCCGGAUAUCAUCACUUGGAGAAGCAAGUAGUUUCACAAAUAUUGGAACAGCACCGUGGUCAAUCACCACCUUCUGCAAAGUUUUAGAAGCAAUGUUUGUAAGAGCCCAAGCAGCCUCAUACUGAAUUUGCGGAUAGUCUUCCCUCAUUAGAAACUCAACAAUGCGCGGGACAACGCCAGAUUGUAUGACUUCCUCAAUUUGUGGACUCCUCUCAUUUGAAAUCACUUUUCGGAACUGAGUAGUUGCUUCCAGCUGCAAGUUGUUGUCAUCUGACCAAACGCCAGCAACCAUCGCGGGCAAAAUUUCCAACCUGGUUUGGAGAUUGAGAUUGGGGGCAGGAGCGAAAGAAAGGAAUUGCUGGGAUGGAGGAGCUUCACGACGCUUCUUGAGGAAGCUUUCCUUUUGAAGAUUUACUUGUUCAAUGGUUGUAUUUAAGCCCUCCUUCCAACCCCAACAUGCUUCAUCCCACAUAUUCAGCUGCACUUUGUGUAACACGGGUGUGCUUAAUUCUCCUCUAGAGAAAAUUUUCAUAUUAGUGCAAUCAUCCACCAGUAAUCUUUCCAAAGAUGGGAAAUUCAAGGCACGAUUGCCAGAGUAGAAGCUUCUCAGACUUUUUAAAUUUAAAAGCUUCAACUCGUUCAAUUCGCUGAAAGCAAUAACCUCAUCUUUCGCUGCAUCAUGAUCAUCGUCAUCGUCUGCCAGUACUAUUUCUGUUAUCAUCUCACAUGCUUCUAUCUUCAUUUCUCUGAGUCGCACCAGAGUCUUUGCAAUUGAGAAUGUUAAUACGUUUCUCAAUCCGUUGCAAUACGAUAUCUCCAAAGUUGUAAGAUUCUGAAAGGAUGUCGAGGAUGGCACAAGAUUGAUCAAACGGUGAAAAUUCGUUACACGUAGAAUAACCAAAUUGUUCAUAAUAGAGGAGGACUCUUGUUUCAAGAUGUACUUCAGAUCAUAACAAUUGAAUGCUUCUCUUAUGAUUAUCUCUAUCCCAUCUUCAACCUUUUCUUUUUCCAACCAACCAUUAAAUCCUUCUAUUCGGAGAACUUUCAUGGUGUGAAAUCUCUGGAGGAAAUCAUCAAGUGAUAAAAUAGCAGUCAACUCAUCAACAAACGCAACAUCAAGGCAUUUAAGUUUGCAUAGCAAGUCUUCUGAAAAUAGAAAUUUAUUUGUUAUUAUAUACUUUGCAUCUACUAUCAACUCUUCCAAAUUGGGAAACACCUGCGUGAUCAAUCAGAACAAACAAAGAAAAUGCAAAAUGGAUAAGUUGAUAUCCUUUCUAACAAUUUCACAAAAUUAGUACUGUGCUUUUUGGAGGAAAUUUAACAAAAUAGAAAAGAAUUAGAAGUUACCACUAGCUAAUACAAUAUGUCCAUCUAAUAAAUUUUAACCUUUUAGAAAAUAAUAAUAAUAUGCCUAACAUGCAGAAAGUACUUAUAACAAUUGAAAAAUUAAUUUUAAAUUUCAUGUACCUAGCUAAUACAAUAUGUUUAUCCAAUAAAUUUUAACCUUUUAGAAAAUAAUAAUAAUACACCUAACAUGCAGAAAGUACAUACAAGAGUUGAAAAAUUAAUUUUAAAUUUCAUGUGCGUACCUUUUUGUUCAAGUCAUUAGUAGUUCUUUUAAAUCUCACCAUGAAUUCAGGACACUGAGAUAUCCAUAAUUCUUUCAAGGAUGGAAAUUCAAGCAUAUGUACGUCUCCUGUGCAGAAGCUUGUGAGUUUUUCAAGAUCAUACAUCUUUAGAUAUUGUAACUGAGGAAACAUUACUUUCUUCCUUUCUUCUUCCUGGUUGUCCAUGACUAUUAACUCUUCCAAGACAUGACAUUUUUCUAUCUUAAUGUAUUGGAGUCGAACAAAGCUGUUAUUGCUAACUGUACAAGAUGAAAAUAGACAUCUUAAAUUCAUACAAUUGUAAAAGGUCAAGUGCGUUAAAUUCUGAAUACCACAAGUCAUGGCUGCAACUUGGUUUUGCCAAAUUCUCUCAAUAUUUAUUGAACGCAACUCCAACUUCUCCAACUUUGGUAACGCAACCUGGUCGAUCAAAAAAUUAACUUCUUGCUUGAUGGACAAAUCAAUAAAAGUAAUCUCUGUCAUGUUAUAGUUAUCUUCAGUCUUUCAUACAAACAAGCAUGAAGCAUCAAUCGAGUUUUCCAAAUUAUUCCUCACUAAUUUGAUAGGUACUCUAAAGAUGUAUGUUCAAGAAAAUGUGAAGUCAUAAAUGUUAAUCAAUUUAUCAGUCAAAAUAUAUUUUCAUUAUUAGGAAUUACAAGAUCAACAAUGCUAUAUUGACAAAAAAUUGAGUUACAAAAUUUUCACAAAAACAAAAAAAGAUUGUCAAUAUCCGGGUAGUUAUCAAUCAACUUUAUUUUUGUCAAGACAUUUUAGUAUUUUCAUGCUUUUGUCAAAAUUUAAAAACCCACUUUUUUGGGUCAAAAUAACAUUUUCCUUACAACAUAUUUGGUAUUCCCUAAUACAUAUGUUUAUUAUUAUUAUUAUUCUUAUUAUUAUCAAUUCAUUUAGUUUGUCAAGAGUACCAAUUAUUUUCUCUGAGAAUGUAUUUGUUACACCUACAACAGUUGAUAUUAAAAAUCAUAUAAUUAUUAAUUACUCUUGCCAUAUCUGCAAAAAAACAAGAAUAUCGAAGGAUGAAAAAGCAAAAAUCAGAGAACUGAAAAGGCCAUUGGGUUAUUAGUAACCAACCUUCUCAAUGAAAAGUGUAUUAGAAAUAUUAACAUUGUCCUCCAAAAUGAUUUCAUUCGACUGCAUAUCAUUUGCUGAUUCCUCCUGUCUCUGUCAACAUUGAAGGCAUCUUGAUUUUAGAGUAUAAAUUUAAUUGUGAACACAAUCUUUAAUACAACGUGACACAAGACCUUUAAAAAUUAGUACAACUUAAUUUGGUACUAGAUCGAAAUUCGAUAUUUUGGAUUGCAAGUUUGAGAUUUCGUUAGAAAACAUAAUAAUAAUAACAGAGUUAAUAUAAAAAAUUAAACUUGUUACCUAUUUAGAUAGAUAAACAAUGAAUAUUCUCUUAAUAUGAUUAUUCUAAGAGUACGGAAAAUAUAAGACAAUUAAUUAUAUAUAUAUAUAUAUUUGUGGUUUUAUCCUGAAGCUAAAAGAUUUAAAUAUUAAUUUAGUUGCAAACAUUAAAGACUUAGCAAAAUUGGUUACUUUGGAAAUGAGCAUGAACAUAACAUUUGAUGAUUUUUAAAAAUUAACUUUGAUGCACAAGAAACUUCUAUUUUUAUUGUAACUUAUAAUCUGACAAAACGAUGUCAUAAUUUUUAUAAAUAUGAUGCUACAUAGUAGUUUUCUGGUCUAAGAUCUUAAAGUGUGGGAAAAGAAAACUUUAAAAUCGCGGGGUUUUAAAGGCUUACAACUUGAAAUGCUUAAACCACACGGUUUAUGCAUUUUCUUGGACGUUCUCGCACUUUAAAAUUCUGGAUUGAAACCUUUCUACGAUGCUACAUACAUGUCUUAUGAUAUUUGGAUACGAUUUAAGGUCUGAAAAAUGGUUUAAAUUCAAGGGUUAGAUCAAUUAAGCUAGGAAAGAAUGACCAAAGCUUUAAUUUAAAAUAAAAUUACCGAUCUAAAUUUGAGAACUCUACACAUAGAAUAAAGUACAAUUACGAUUUUAUUUGAGCUUCUUUAUUAAAGGUUUAUUUUAUGUCAUCCAAGUCUGAUGUCAACAAGAUUUUGUUGUUGGGGAAUAGUAAAAAGUUAUUAAGCUAUUAUAAGUAAAUUUUAUGAUUACAGUAAAAAAGUACUUGAUGUUAUUAUUAUAUUAUUUUUAAUAUUAGAUCCCAAGUGAAAAAUUCCUUCAUACCAAUUAUUUCAAUUAGGAAUGAUCAUACCUUUGACUCUGCCGGCGGAUUGAGGGCGUCGCUGCAACCAUGGAUCCUGAGAAACUUGAGUUCUGAAGAACCCACUUUGGCUAAUUCAUUAGCAAAAUAAUUGACAUCUUGCUCUUGCAAUUCACGUAAUUCAAGGUCUUCAAUUCCCUGCAGUUGCACGAUCAGCCAAUCCUUCAAGCAAAUCUUGUUGUUCAGCCUGAGUCUGAAUUCUCUACGCCAAAUGUUGGUGCUCUCCCAAUACCAAUCUCCAAUACGUAUUCUGUACUUUUCCAGCUUCUCCAAGAACAAGCCUCUGAGCAGAGUGUUGACAUCAUGGAUGUCUAAUUCUAAAGAGGUCAAGUUAGGCAAAUGCUUCAACUCCUCAACGCUAGCAUUCUUAACCCCUUCCACCUCCACCUCCCAUUUUUGAAAGCUUCUACAACUUAUGUAUAGUUCUUCUAAAUGGGAUAAAUUUGAUAAAACAUUUGGUGGGAUAACUUCUAGUUUCCUACAUUCUCUCAAAUCAAGCAAGGUUAGCCAAGUCAAUUGACCUACUUCUGUUGGCAGCUGCUUAAUGUCAGAGCCUCUUAAACAAAGGAUUUCUAGUUUCUUCAAGCCUCCUAUAACACUUAUAUCUAGCAAUUUGCAAUAACACAAACUCAGUGCUCGAAGGUUUAACAGAAAACCAAGUGUUGAAGGCAGUGAUAGUAGAUUCAUGUAAGUCAAGUUUAUAACUCUGACCUGUAUCAUCCUCUUGAAAAAAUUGUUUGGAAUGGUUAAUGAUGAAGAUUCCUUAUCCGCACUUAUAAAAAGAAGUUUGAGUUGAGGACAUUCCACUACUUCAGGAAGCACAUUAGUCCUGACAUCAUGUAAGACGAUCGAAGUGUAACGCUUUACUGCACUUUCGUCUGACCAUUCCCUGAAACCAUCAACCUGCUCAUUUGUCGCUGUCAACGCAUUUUGCUCUCUAGAUGCAAUUGAUAUGGCAACAUCGCGAACAACAUCAUGCAUGGAAAAGAACUCUUCCUUCUUGCUUAUAUGGUCUAGCAACAUGCAAGAAGCUUUGAGUUUGUGCACCAAUGUCAGUACUCGAGCUCGUGCUACUUCCAUCUUAUUGACACCUUGAAAUAAACCUAAUCCCAUACCACACAUUAACAAGGCAUCAAUGGAUGAUAUGGCUGUAUAUCCUAUUAGCAAAAAGAUGUUCUUCAGCUCCUCCCCUUCUAAUUUGUUGUAACUCAACUCUAUUGCUGUAUAUGCAGUUGGCUGUAUGUCUUUGAAAUUCGUUGAGGAUGGCCUUCUUAGUUGUUCCAACGCAUCCUUCCAUUCAAAUAAUCUCUUGUUCCUUAAUGCCCUCGCUAUCGUCACAAUGGAAACAGGCAAACCUGCACAUUCCUUUGCCACAUCCCUUGCUAUCGAUUGGAAUUCACUACCUUCAAUAUAAUCACCUGCCAUCUUCUUGAAUAGACUCCAAGCUUCUUCUUCGUUUAGAACACCAAUUGAGAAAUUUGGUCGAGAAUCCAUCUUCCCAGACAAUACAUCUUGACUUCUGGCCGUCAACAGUACUUUACAACCUUUAUGACCAUCUCCAUGUGGAAUUCCGACAACCCGCAAAUCAAGAUUUUCCCAAAUGUUGUCUAGAAUUAUCAGGAUCUUCUUCUCUGCUUUUAUACGUGUAAAUAAGCUGUUCGCCCUUCCUGAUUCACUCUCCUCAUGAAACUUCAGGCCUAGUUUAUCUCCGAUUUCUCCUUGAAUCUUUCGUAUGUCUUGAUUCUGGGACACCUCAACAAAAACCACCUGAUCAAAGAGUUUGUCGCUCUUGACUUUCCUAGCAAUUUCUUCCGCCAGCAUCGUCUUUCCGAUGCCGCCCAUCCCAUAAAUCCCAAGCAUAUUGACAUCGGGAUCUUCUAGUGCACUGAGUAUAUUCCUCAAAGUGAACAUUCUUGAUUCAAAGGGCUCGUAGUCUUUGUUAGAGAUAAGCCGUAUAUCCUCUGGAGCAGUACAGUAGGAAAUUCUAUCAAAUCUUCGAGCUUCUCGGACUUUGACAACAGCCUCCUUCUGCCUCUCCGCUUCCUUGCUAAGUCGACGGCGGGUCUUCAAAUUAGGACAUAAUCCCUUGAAACAACGCUUAUUUGCAAUGGCUUCAUCGUCUGUAAACUUAACUGCCUCAACAAUGACAUUAUUUGCCGUUGCAAGCCAAUUCUCAACGUUCUCUUCAAUCUCUUCUCCUUUUCUUUUAGCCUCAUCAACCUGGUGCUCUGUGCGCACCCUCUCAGACUUCAGAUGGUCAACUUCAAUCUUGAGAUUCUGUAAGUUGCUCAUGUACUUACUCUCACGCAAAUAGCUAAUUUGGCGAUAUGCGGGAGGAGCCAAGCACUUUACAACUUCUACAACAAUAGUAAGAAUGAUUUCAGCCAUCUUCAGGCCUUUUCCUCUCUCUCUCCUUUUCUGAAUUUUUGAAAAACAAUUGAUCCAAUAAUGAAGCAAACUAAGUGAUUAAACACGAGUGACUACAACAAGAUGGGGCAGAGUAAGAAGAAAAUACAAAGAGUAGAUACAGAAUAAAACAGAGACUAGAUAGAGAACAGAGCAAAACCAGAUAACAAGACUGAAGAUUACAACAAACAGAGGCCAAAUAUUGCUGAGAUCAGAAGAUUGAAAAUUCGAAAGAGUUGACGGCAAAAGCGGAAUACAAGAACAACAAUGAACACAAUAAACAGAAGCAAAGUGUGUUUCUGAUCAAAGGAUGAAAAUGGUAAGGAAGGGUUUGUUUUGUUGACUGGGAAUGAAUGCAAAGAAAGACUGAUAUUAAAAAAUGAUCUCAAUAAUGGAGGAGCGAUUCAACUCUGAAGAGUAAAGUUUUGUCGUAUUCUUUUUAACAACUUCCUUUUAACUUCUUGUUGUGGCAGACAACGGAGAAUAAGGAUGAGAUUAAAAACUAAAAGCGACCCCUCUAUGUCUUUUGGAAUUAAUUAAUCAUCUUAGCCGGAUGUCUUUUGGAAUUAAUUAAGGAAAGUGAUGUUUGCCUCGGGUUAAAUCCCGAAAGGGCUCUAAAACGAUGCCGUUUCAUCUAUUAUUUUGUUUUUGUUUUCAUUCUCGGUAAAACGACGCCGUUUUUCAAAAGGCAAAAUUCUCACACUAAGGCAAAAGCAACGCCAGAACCCAUCUGCUUUCUCUCUCUCUCUUCAUUUCACCACACUAGAAUUUUGAGUACAAUUCUUACCCAGUUGACUUCUCCCAAAACCCAGUUGCCAACACAAACAAACUGCUUGCUUCACUUCAAAAAAUUUGUUGUAAUCAACAACUUGCUUCUGCUGCUGCGGCUAUUGUCGUUGCUGCAGUGGUAUUGAGUCUGCAGAUUCAGAAGAAGCAAGUCCAAUGGAUAGCUCUAAGUCGAGAUUUUCUUGACAAUGGGUGCUGCUAUGCAUUAUUUCUUCAUUAUUAUUAACAGUGUAUUUGUUGAAAUUAUUAUGGUUAUGAAUUAAGUUGAGAGGGCGGUGGGUUUGAGGGUCAAGGCCACGGUUAAGUAAUUUCUGCUUGAUGUGUGUAUUCCAAUAAUUCUUUAUUUUAUUACCUGUGCUUCCUGGUAAUCUUCCAGCUAUCAACAACCACAUUACACAAAUUCAAAACACCCCCCACCCAAAAAAAAAAAUUUUUUUUUUAGAUCUAAUAAUUAAAAUUAACCCACCCCUAAACAAAUAAAAAUUUAAAAAGAAAAAAGAGAGGAGAAGCUUGAUUAAUUACUUGUUUCCUAGCAAACUAUGAAGCUUGAUAAUGAGUUCAUCUUCUUCAUCGGUAAAAUUCCCACGCUUAAGAUCAGGGCGUAGAAAAUUUAUUCAUCUCAAUCAAAGGGUUCUACAGGUGGGUUAAGGGAAUGAAGAGGAAGAAGCAAGGUUUCUGCAGCUGAGUUAAACGAAGAGGAAGAAGAAACUAAUGUGUCCUAACCAAAACGACUUCGUUCUCAACAAAUCAGAAGCGGUGUCGUUUAACAGAAACGGUGUCAUUAACAACAAAUCAGAACAAAAAAAAAAAAAACAAGAGCUGAAACUACGACCUUUGCAGCUGUUUCGGGGUUUGACCCGGGGUAAACAUCAGUGCUGAUUAAUUAAUCAUCUUAGCCGGUUAACCGUUGUCCGUCGGAUUAGGGAACAGAAAUCCAAACGGUGGGAGAUCACUUGCUGAGAGCAUGACCCUUUGUUACCUUAAUGAUGAUUUCCAUGUGAUGAUAAAUAAACCAGAUAGAUAUGGUAGAUAUUUUGAAGUGAAAAAAAGUGAAAAACUUAACCUUUACCAUUGCUUUGCUUUCUUAUUUCAUCUUUUCCCUAGGCUUAUUAUUCUUUUAUUAUUUAAGUUGCCAACUCAUCCACCUUCUGUACUAUCACGAGUUAAUAAGAUCAAUGGUUAAAAAUUUGUAUUAAGAUUUUAAUUCAAAACUUUAAAUUAAAAUAACCUCACCUUGAAGUUAUUGUAAAACAACAACUUGAGACCAUGUGUAAAUACUAUAUCCUAACACCAAGACUGCUAGUUCAAGACUGCUAGUUGACCGUUAGCAUCAUGCCAGUGUAGUAGGGGCGAAGCAUCCUUUUACGCAAACUAAACUCAUGUAUAUUCAUUGAAAUAUGAAGGGCCAAAUUAUUAUUCUAAAAAAAUAUUUGAACACCAAAAUAUGUAUUAGACCCACUUACUCGAUAAAAACAUCAUUAAUGUAAAUUUUUUUUGUAUGAAUACACAUUAAUACCCAAAAAUACCCUUAGUAAACUAAUUAUCAUAAUUUCUCUUAUCCUUUUUCCUUCAGCACCUUUCUAACCUUUAUUAGUCAUGAUUUUGAAACCAAACCCUAGGUUCAUCCUUUUUAAUUUUUUUCAGUACGUUUUUGCCGUUAAAUUAUAAAUAUAUUGUUACAAAUUAUUCGAAACGCGUGAAAACCCAAAAAUACCCUUAGUAAACUAAUUAUCAUAAUUUCUCUUAUCCUUUUUCCUUCAGCACCUUUCUAACCUUUAUUAGUCAUGAUUUUGAAACCAAACCCUAGGUUCAUCCUUUUUAAUUUUUUUCAGUACGUUUUUGCCGUUAAAUUAUAAAUUUAUUGUUACAAAUUAUUCGAAACGCGUGAAAUGUUGAAGAAAGAGCAACUAAUAAUAAAAUUACAUUCAUAAUCAGGAUACUAACUAAAUUCAAGUAAUUAAACAGGUCUCAUAUAAGCUCUUUUGUUGAUGGAUAUACAAUGAUUAACCAACGAUAAAAUUUAUUGUCGAAUUUAAAGAAGUUUCAGAAGAAAAAAAUUGUCGGUGGAAUCAAAUUAAGAAGCUUUACCAACAAUAAAAUUUUUGAGCAAAUGAAGAUUUACAUUGCUAGAGGUGUAGAUGAGGAAAGCAAAUUCAAAAAAAUACAAGUACUGUACACUGAACGAAUUCAGAUAUGGCUUGAAGAUGACAGUAAACAGUAGAACUUUUGUGGCUUGUCUGCAAUGGCAAUAGAGGACUAUUGCUGGUUGUUUCAAAAUGUACGUCAGAUCAUAUCACUUAUUUACUUCUCAUAUGAUUGCCUUCAUCCCAUUUUCAACCUUUUUAUUAGUACUUGGCCUUGGGUGAUCAAUCAGAACAAAAAGAAUUUAAAGAUGGAGUUGAAUGUUCUUUCAAACAAUUUCAUAAAGUACUUUUUUUUUUGGGAGUAAAUUUCACAAAAUAGAAGAGAAUUAAUUUAAAGUUAGUUACCACCAGCUAAUAUUACUUAUCCAAUGAAUACUAACUUUUUAUAUAAAAUCUCGACAAAAGAAGUCUUGGCGGUGAACCCCAUAUUAGUCAAGAGAUUAGUCAUAUUACUGUUUUGUCAGUAAGUGUUAGAGAAAUGAAGAUUCAUAUCAUGUAAAAGGUUGGACGCAUCUAGCAUAGGACCCGUUAAGGCUCGUGUCCCAGCUAGCUUUUGAAAAAUUUUGAUGAUUUUUUUUUAAAUAAUAUAUUUUAUUUAUUAUUUAUGAGAGCAUCUCAGUUGAAUUAUUAAGUGAUAAAAGUGCCACUGCUAACUUUAAAAUAUUUCAUGUCACCCAAGUUAACGUCAUUCUAUAUAAUUUGAUAGCGACCACGAAAAAUGAGAACAUCUGAAAUACAGCUUGUUACCAGUUAUCAUUGCCUUCUGCAUCUUCCUCCUCGUCCUACACUUCAUUAUCCUACUCUUCUUUGUUGUCUUCCUAGUGUUUAGCCAUUAGAAACAAAGAUAUGGCAAUGAUCGUUAAACAAAUCAGAUUAAAAAUGAAGUUGAUUAGCAAAAAUUUGAUAAUUAAAUGCGUGCAAAUGCAGCACAAGAAUCAAAAGAGAAACUAUAUGUUUCGGAAUGACGAGUACGUUACUCUUGUGUGAAAUCAAUGAUACUUCUUUAUUAAUUGUUAAGCGAAUAUGUACCUUUUUUUCUGAAGAUAUAGUUGUUGCAUGGUUGUAUUAAGGUCCUUUUUCUAAAGACAUAGAUGUUGUAUGGUCGUAUUAAGGCCUUACUCCCAAAUCCGACGUUCUUUAAUGUCCCAGCAGUCCCUAACAAAAUCUUCAUGCCAUACUCUGUGUAAAAUGGGUGUGCUGUAUUCUCCUCCCGAGAAAAUCUUCAGACUGGGGCAAAAACUCACAGUUAAUACAUCCAAAGAAGGGAAUUUCAUGGUGCAAUUUACGCCUAAAUAGAAGCUUGUGAGAUCUUUUAGAGAAUGAAGCUACAAAUCCUUCAAUUCACUGAACACAAUUUCAUCAUUCGUUGCUGUUACAUUACUAUUGUUUGGGAGGAAUUACUGGUGCAGACAUGAGGUAAUGAAAUGCCGACACAUGGCAUUAGUGGGUUAAAUUAGUGAAACCAGACAGCUAGAUUGAGAAGGCUGGGAAGCUUAAGCCAAGAUAGGAGACAAGCUUCCCGUAGCUUUGGUAAAAACAUAUGCAAUUGAGGGGCAAAGUCAGAAUCGAUGUCCUUGGUGGAUAAGAUCACGCGUGAACAGUACGUGCUUCAUAUACCAAAUCGAAAAUAUCUUAUUCUGCUGAAGGCAAGGAACCAAUGAGGGAAAAGAAAGCAAAAAAGGGAAUAAGAGAGCUGCCACCUCAGUUAUCCCUUGCAGUGGUCAAAAAACCAGCAGGACCACUGGUUGGAGGAAAGGCCACGCGUAGAAACUAAGGAGCAAGAGGGUGGCUAACUGGCUAUUGGUUUUUUUGUCUCCCUUGUUUGAGUACAUCACCAUCUCGGGACCACAAUUACAGUCUCUAAAAUACCCUCACCCGAGGGAGGGAAACCAAAUCAAUUAGCGUUAUGUAUCCGAAAUGACGGAAAGACCCUCAGGCAACUCCUAAAAUGCUCAAGUCACACUCUCCAACGGUAACCAACUUUCAUUCACCCAAAAAUAUUGCUCUCAUGCAUCUUCUUCCUCAGAGCACACACGGAGAGUAUUUUCACCAAUUUUUUUAUCAGUUUGAAGGUCCAUUUUUGACCUUGAGACAAUCUCUUAUUGUGCAAAAUCUUACUUGAGCGUGAAAGUGUGGUCGCCGGUCACUACUGGCUCCACCUCUAACGUUUGUGUGUGCUCUAGUUUACAGGAUAUGCCAAACUCGAGUUGUGGUGGUUAUGUAGCUCCCUCAUCAUCAUCUGCCACUAUUUCUGCUACCAUAUGGCAUGAUCCUAUACUCAUUUGUCGUAGCCGCACUACAGUCUUUGUUGUUGAUGAGGAAGUUAAUACGUUUCUCAAUCCUUAGCAUCUCCAUAACAUCAAAGUUGAGAUUGAAAAUUCAAAAGAUUUGACGGCAAAGGGCUAAAUAACAAAACAACAAUGAAUAAAAUAGACAGACGCAAAGUGUGGCUUUGAUCAAAAGAUGGAAAUAAGGAAAGGGUUUGUUGAUUGAAAAUUAAUGAAUGCAAAGAAAGACUGAUAUUAAUGAAUGCAAAGAAAGACUGAUAUUAAAAAUUGAUCUCAUGAAUGGGUAAACUUUGAAGAAUAGUGGUUUGUCGUAUUAUUUUCACUAAAAGUGACCCCUCUGCAUUUUUAAGUGCCGCUGGAAAGCCAAUGUUGGUCAUGUCUUUUGGAAUUAAUUAAUCUUCUUAGCUUUAUGGCCGUUUAAUCGUUGUCCAUCGGAUUAGGAAACAACGAUCCAAAUGGUGGAGAUCACCUGCUGAAUCAAAUUCGAAAGCAAGACCCUAACUUUAAUUAUGAUUAUUUGUGACUCUAUUGAUGAUUGCAUGUGAUGGUAAAUAUCUCAGGUAAGUAUGGUAGAUAUUUUUAAGGGAAAAAGUUGCCAACUUAGCUACCUACCUUCUCUGCUAUUAUGGUGCGUUUACUUCCUGCAUUGCGGAGUCAAAAUCUGAAAUAAAAAUAAUUUAUAAUGUUUACUUAUUAAAAUAAAAGGUGAGAAUGAGAAUGAAACAUACAGGAUCCACAUAUUUUUAAGAUAAAGAAUUAGGAAUUAAGUUCUCAUUCCUUAAACUCUCUAUUUUAACCCACUCAAAUUUCAUAAUUUCACUCUUAUCCUCUAUUAAAAUAUUAAUAUAUUAUAUUAUUAUUAUUGUUAUUGUUCUUAUUUUUGUAAUUGUUGUUAAUAAUAAUAAUAACAAUAAUGAUGACGAAAUUAAUGGUUAGAUAUUUUUGUCAAGAUUUUAAUACUAAUCUCACAACUUUAAGUUAUUGUAAAAUAACAAUGUGGUGCAACAAAUACUAUGUAGUGUAUCCUAAAGCUUUAUUACUAAAAGAAUUACAAAAUCUUAUGUUUUCUUAUGUUUUGAUCAAGACAGUUAGUUCUCCCUUGACUUCGUGCUAGUGUAAUAGAGGGGAAAAUGUCUUCGUACAUAAACUAAACUCAAUAAUAUAAAUUCAUUAAAAUACGAAAGGGCAAAAUUAUCAUUCUAAAAAGGGGACUAUUUGAACACCAAAAUAUUUAUUAAAUAGGUAAAGCUAUUUCAACCCACCAAAUUCCUCUCUACACCCAUUUUAAAAAAAUAAAUUCAUUUAUUAAAAAUUAAAAAUUUGGAAAUCUCUAAAUUGCGCUCACUAAUCUCUUUCUCUCUACCUUAUAAUUAUGUAUUCUCUCUUUACUCUUAUAUUCUACAAACUAAACAUUCAAAUUCACUUUUUUUAAUCCUUUUUUUUUUUGGGUUUUUCCUAGUAUACCAUGAUCUUUAUUUCAUGCUUUCUAUUUAUAAGAAUUAUUUUUUCAUUAGCUUUUAUGUUUCGUAAUAAUUAAUUUCUAUAUUUAUUAAAUUUCUUGGCUGAUAAAAAUUUGUUGAUGUAUAUUUUUAAAUAGUGGAUUAUGCUCCUCUUAGUUAGUGAUAUCAAUUAUUUGUAGCUAAAAGAACAUAUUUGAAUGAAUUAAUGAGAAUUUGUUAAAUUGAAAAGAGACACAGAAGAAGAGAUUAAUUAUUUUUCAAAAAAUUAUAUAUAUAAUAAAAUUCUUAACUAAAAAGAGAAUGUAGUAGAGAGUACAUUGCUGGGUUCAAAUAGCCCCACCCUUAUUAAAUUCAUCUACUCAAUAAAUACAUUAUUAAAUUUUAAAAUCUAAAUUUUACUUAAUAGACGCAUGUUAAUACCCAAAAUACACUUAGUAAGCUAAUUAUCACAAUUUCCCUUAUCAUUUUUCUUUCACGGGCUCACGGCCUUUGCUAACCUUUUAUCAGUCAUGAUUUAAUACUGAAACCCUGGCUUCAACCUUUAUAAUUUUUUUAAUAGUUUUUUGUCCUUUAAAUUAUAAAUGUAUUAUUACAAAUCAUUCCAAAGGCAUGAAAUGGUAAAGAAAGAACAACUAAUAGUAAAUAAUAAAAUUACAUUCGCAAUUAUGAUACUAACAAAAUUCAAGAAGUUAAACAAUCACUCACCCACGAUAAAAUUUAUCGUCCAAAUUAAAGAAGUUUGAAAAGAAAUACUUGCUGGUCGAAAUCAAAUUAAGAAGCUUUAUACUUUGAGCACAUUCAAUUAUUUAGCAAGCUCAUAAAUCUUAAUUCUAUUUGUAGAAAUAGGAGAGUAGACGAGAAAACAAAUUCAAAUUAAAACAGAAAUUGUAUGUUUCAAUCAAUGCCUGUCACUUAAUUGUAUUCCCUCCCCCCCCCCCCCGGUUGAGCUGUUGUAUGGUUUUUACUAAGGUCGUGGUCCCAAAGUCCGACGUUCUUUGUCUCACCUGCUCACCUGUACUUUAUGUAUAACUUAGGGUGUGCUUAAUACCCAUAAUAUGUCUCAAAAGCAUGAUCAAGUGAUUUUCAAGCAGGUUUAUUUAAUUAUUUAUCCAAAUUCAAAUCAUCUAAACUUUACCCACGUCACAAAGACAAUAAACGAACCUCCAUAUUUACUAAUCAAGAGGUCAGUCAUACUAUUAUUUUUCGGAUAGAUGUAAGAAAAAUGAAAAUUCAUACGGUGAAAAAAGGUUACUACAAUUGUACCAAAGAUUACGUAGCAUUUUAAGGAGUAUCCAAGAGGAGGAUUAGAAAGGAGCUUAAUUAAUGACCAACAAAAAAUCACAUUUACGGAAAGCACGCUGCAAGCGCAAUACCCAAAUCAACGCCAUGAGCUCAGCAUAAAAAGCUGUUUGAAUACCUAAGAACAUCCCAAACCGCCAAUAUAAGGUCCCUUAAUUACAACACAAAAACCGCAUCACUAGCUGCAAAAUUGACUAUCCCUCCCUGCAAAGGAUAAUAGCUUUCCUUUGCAACCAUUUAGCUUCGAUCUAGCUUUGUCAGUUAGGGCCUGUAAAUGAGAAUGUUUAGGAUAGGACAGCCCUUGAAAAUUGGAACACCCAAGUAGGUUAAAGGAAGGCAGCCCCUCUGAAAUGCCUAAAGAGACAUUAAUUAUCAAUUAAUGAUAAGCACAAAUUUUGACAUAAAUUAAUAUAUAUAUAUAUAUAUAUAUAUAUAUAUAUAUAUAUAUAUAUAUAUAUAUAUAUUUAUCGCCAAUUUAUAUUUGGUAAACACUAACUGCUAUGACUUGAAAGUUAAAUUGACUUAAUACUACAGUUAUAUGAUGAAACGCAUACAAUAUAUUUAUUAUUUUUGUAAAAAAUAUUAUUUAAAAUUAUAUUUAUUACAUUUUAUUAUUUUUAUUUCAUAGCUACAGUUUUUUUUUUCAUAACUGUUGUGCCGUAAAAUCUAUACACUUUAAUACUAAACAGAACCUUACUCAUCACAAAAUUUAGAACAUCCCAGACAAAACUUCUUACCAGUUAUCAUUGCCCUUCUGCAUCUUCCUCCUCGUCCUACACUUCAUUGUCAUCCUCUUCUUUGUUCUCUUCCUAGUAUUUACCCAUUAAAAAUAAAGAUAUGGCAAUGAUCGAUAAACAAAUCAGAUUAAAAAUGAAAUUAAUUAGUAAAAUUUUGAUAAAUGCAUGCACAUGCAGCACAAGAAUCAAAAUAGAAACUAUAUGUUUCAGAAUGAUUAGUGCGUGUUAAAAGUCUAACGCUCAAUUUUAUGAUCCAAUUCAAUUACACUUGUCCAAGCCCAAGUUCAAAGCUCAAUCGAUGGAAGAUUCAAAAAUUGUGUAGAGAAUAGAAGAUGACUUUAAUCAAGAACUAUCAAAUGGUGGUGAAAAUAUCUAAGUUUAGAAAAUUCUUGAGUACUUGGUGAGAUUUGUAAAAUGUGGUUAUCCUAUUUUGAUAAUUUAAUAUUUGCGUGGUUUGUAUUAGUUUUAGGUUAUAAUAAGUACCUCUAGGCUCUUUCUUAGAGGCAUAAAGUGAAAUGCGAAGAAUAAGAGAAAAAUAAGAAGCGUAAGCUACGAGCUGUGUAGCAUUUCUCGUGAAAUAUCAAUAAAAUCCUUUAUGUUUAGUAAAUCAUACAAUUGCUCACAUAGUCUCAAUUUUAUGCACUCUUAGUCCUCCUCUGUUUUCAACAACACAUUACUUUUGAGUGAAAUCAAUAAUAUUUCUUAAUCAAUUACUAAACGAAUACGUACCUUAUUCCGAAGAUAUAGCAUUUGUAUGGUUGUGUUAAGGUCGUGCUCCCAAAUCCAACGUUCUUUAAUGUCCCAACAGUCCCUAACAAAAUCUUCAUGUAAUACUUUGCGUAAAACGGGCGUACUUAAUUCUCCUCCGGAGAAAAUCCUCAUAUUGGGGCAAAAGCUCACAGUUAAUACAUCCAAAGAAGGGAAUUUGAAGGCGUAAUUUAUGCCUGAGUAGAAGCUUCUGAGAUCGUUUAAAGAACGAAGCUCCAACUCCUUCAAUUCACUGAACACAAUUUCAUCAUUUGCUGCUGCUGCAUUAUCUUUAUCUCCCUCAUCAUCGUCAGCCACUAUUUCUGCUACCCUAUGGCAUGAUCCUAUACUCAUGCGUCGUAGCCACACUAGAGUCUUUGCUGUUGAGGAUGUUAAUACGUUUCUCAAUCCUUUGCAUCUCCAUAACAUCAAAGUUGUUAGAUUUCGAAAUGAUGUCGAGGAUGGUACUAGAUUAACCAAAUUAUCAAACUGGAUUACUUCCAACCAUUCCAAAUUUCCCAUAAUGGAGGAGGGAUCUUGUUGUUUCAAAAUGUGCUUCAAACGAUAGCACUUGUUUACUUCACUUAUGAUUGCCUUCAUCCCAUUUUCAACCUUUUCAAAUACUGAGUACGCAACAGAAUAUUGACCUCCUGCUAUAUGGAGAAUUUUAAUUGUUUGGGAGAAAUACGUCGACGAGACCAGGCAUGGUGAGCAGAUAUCUGAUGGCAGAGUUCUGCGAACCGGUGUGUUCCGUAAAAGCCUGGUGCGCGGGGGAACAGGAGCAGAAAUAUCCUGCUCGUCCACGAGCACGUCAUCCGCGAGGCCAAUUUCCUGUAAGAGGCAUAAGGCCAUUCCGGCUAGAGGUCGAGAGGCGAGGAGACCCGGUCGACGGCAGUUGGCAAGACAUGCUCUCCAGCCCGAGAAUCUAGGCACGACAGCCACGCUUUCCCCAGAACCACGGCGGAACACGCAAGAUCCCACGUUUGCCCAUAACGCAGCAUAACGCAGCAGUCGGAGUCCCAUACCGUCCCCCAAAAAGCGGAAACAAGAUCUCACAGAACCACGACAGCCACGCUUUCCCCAGAACCGUGGCGUAACACGCAAGAUCCCACGUUUGCCCAUAACGCAGCAGUCAGAGUCCCGUACCGUCUCGAAAAAAGUGGAAAACUGGGAUUCAGAGGAAGCCUAUAAAAAGGUAGCCAACGAAGGUAAAGGGGUUGGCAUUUUUGAGAUUAGAAAAGAAAUUCAAAAGAAGAGAAAACCACGAAAAAGCCAUAAGAUCCGUGGCAAGCGUUCCCCGAACCUUCAUAUCUGACUUGAGCGUCGGAGGGUUUGCGCCGGGAAAAUAACCGGCGUACUCUGACUUGUCUGUGUGCGCAGGAACCUCUGGAGAAGAAGCCUUGCGAGGAGACCUCCUGGUCGUGAUGAAGUUGAUCGAGCAGAGAUCCUGGUCGUAGAACGAGGAGAACCGGAAUCCCGCAUCAACAUUUUGGCGCCGUCUGUGGGGACGAGAGCAAAAAGCUUCUGUUGAUAGCAAGAAGAGGGGUGAAGCAAGUGAAAAGCAAUGGAGACAGGAGGAAGUAGUGCACAAGGGGGUGAUAGGAGGCUUAACGAUUCCGUGACGCUGAGGGAGAUAGUCAGUGAAGCACGGGAAAAAGUCAUGUUCGACCGGAUGGAACGGAUGGAAAAGCAGAUGGAGACCUUGACAACCAUCCUGCAUGAGCUGCGGAGCGAGCGAAGGGUAACCCAAGAGGGAAGGGUGAGAGGCGGUGGAGUGGCACCAGGUCCCGAUAGUGCGGGGAGAAGUCAAACCACCGGGAGAUUUGGUGGUGAGAGAGGUAACGUACCUCUGCGGGGAGAAAUUCAUAGAGAAAGAGAGCAGUCCCCGGCAAGACAGACUGGUGACGAGGACGACGGGGUGGUGAAUGCAGAGGAAACAGAGUUGAGGCAACACUUGCAUGAUGUAGAGCAAGAGUGGGAUCAAGUUGCAGCACGUGACCCUGGUCGUGCAGUGCAGCUGGAGGAGGAAGUGCGCAGACUAGCGCAGAUAAUUGACGACAUGCAAGGAAGGAACAGAGCCCCUGGUUGGAGGAUAAUGCUGGACGGAGAAUCACCGCUCGCAGCAGAGAUCAUGAGGGCAGUUAUUCCGAGAGAUUUCCGCCUCCCAGACCUCAGAUACUCGGGAAGAACUGAUCCGCUAGCGCACAUAGAGCGCUUCAACGACAUAACUGGGGUACAAGGAUUAUCUCAAUCCCAAAGGUGCAGGGUGUUCCCACUAUCCCUUGAGGGACGUGCACGAGAAUGGUACAGGAAACUUCCUCGGGGCAGCAUUAAAACCUUCGAGCAGAUGUGCCAGGAAUUCGCGGAGCAGUUUAGUGGGGCAAUGGCACCGGAAGAUGACAUGAUGGAGCUGAAAAGCAUGAAACAGGGGGAGCAAGAAAUCCUUCGGGAAUUCAUCAAGAGGUUUCAUCGGGCUGUCCUCGACUUGGGAGCCUUCAACCACCCUCAGGCGUUAAGGGGAUUGAAAGAAGGGGUGAAGAUAGGAAGGCUGUGGUACAAUUCGAGAAGCCCAGCUAUUCAAACGUAUGCAGCCGCAUACGAACAGGCUAAGAGAGACAUCGAGAUUGAAGAGGAGAAGGCUGCACGGAUUAAGACAGACCAGUUAGAAGGGUUGGGGAGGAAAGAGAAGAAAGUAUUACCGGGGAAUGGGCCGAUCAGGAGGAGGGACCACCAGGCCUCCGGUAGUGGAGCAGGAGGUCGGGUAACUGCUUACCAGCCUCAUCAGAGGCCACCACAGUAUCAGCGCAGCAGGGCGCAACCUCCUCGUUCCCCAGCUAGAGAGCCUUGGAGAAGGCAUGAGUCGGCAUCUGGUGGUCUUCAUCAACAUCCCCACGGUAGCAGAGCGAGCAGACCAGAAGUACUUCCACCGCCCCCAACUCAGAGCGGGGCAAACAGAGAAAGAGCAGUGCACCUGAUCGACCAGAACCCGGACUAUGGGCGGUACACUUCCUUAAAGAUGUCCCUGGAUGAGGUGUACGAGGCCAUAAAGGAUCGAGGGCUGCUGCACCUCCCUACACCAAUAACAAAGCUACCCAACAUGAGGGAUAGAGGACGUUAUUGUAAGUUCCAUGGCACCCAUGGCCAUACCACAACAGAGUGUAGAGAUCUCAAGACCUAGGUCGAAGAUUUGGUGAGAAAUCGGUACCUGGACGAGUUUAUGGAUGAGACUUUCCCGAUGGUGGCCACAAUAGGUGAAGGGGAGCAGAGUGGUAGAAACUUGAGGCGCGAGCAGCCCGCAGUAAGGGUGAUAGCUGGGGGCCCAACAUUGGCCGGAGAUUCUAAUAGAUCGAGAAAAAAUUAUGCUAGGUACGCCAUGACCAGUAAGGAGGUACUCUUCAACACCCCAGCAGCCAAACGAGCAAGGGUCAGGCAAGUGCCAAUCAUGUGGACGGAUGAGGAUGAGGAAGGGAUUCUAUACCCCCACGAGGAUGCUUUAGUCAUCAAGGCUACUGUCGCUAGCAAGAAAUUUGACUGGAUACUGAUUGAUACAGGGAGCUCAGUUGAUGUGUUAUUUAAGUCAACCCUGGAAGAGAUGAGAAUAGCCGACCGGAAGUUGGAAUACACCAAUACCUCCUUGAAGGGGUUCGGAGGAGGGAAGCUAGUCCCUCUGGGCGUGGUCGAGCUGCCUAUCACAAUUGGAAGCUCCCCGACAGAAAGAACAAUGAUACUGGACUUUGUCGUAGUGGAUGAGGAAGGUCCUUACCAGAUGAUCCUAGGUCGGCCAUUUUUAAGGAUGAGCAAAGCGGUGUUGUCCAACCAUUAUCUGGCUCUGAAGUACCGGGUGAAUGGGAUAGUAGGAGUGGUACGAGGAGGCCAGAGGAUCGCAAGAGGCUGCUACUCCUCGGCAGUAAGGGAAGCAAUGCAGAUAACAUCCCUCGAUACCCGAGUGGAAAACAAGAAGGGCAGACAAGAACCUGUAGAGGAUCUGGAAACAGUAAGCCUGGGACCAGAGAACCCGGGAAAGACGAUCAGAAUCGGGUCGAGACUUAAGGGAGAGCAAAAGCAGGAGUUGGUGAAAUGCUUACAGGCUCAUGCUGAUGUGUUUGCUUGGACACAUGAAGACAUGCCAGGGAUUGACCCUGAGGUAGCAUGUCAUAAGCUGGCAAUAAAGAAAGGUGCUCGGGCAGUAAGGCAGAAGAGGAGGUGCUUCAACCAGGAGAGGUAUGAGGCUAUAAAUGGCGAGGUGGAGAAGCUCUUGAGAGCAGGAUUCAUUCGGGAAGUCAGUUACCCUGAUUGGAUAUCGAAUGUGGUGUUGGUAAAGAAGGCAAACGGCAAGUGGAGGAUGUGUGUGGAUUUCACAGACCUCAAUAAGGCGUGCCCAAAAGACAGCUUCCCUUUACCAAAGAUCGAUCAGCUAGUAGAUUCAACGGCUGGACAUGGUCUGCUUAGCUUCAUGGACGCGUUCUCGGGAUACAACCAGAUCCCCAUGUACGAGCAGGAUGAGGAGAGCACGACUUUCAUCACUAACCAAGGUUUGUUCUGUUACAGGGUAAUGCCAUUCGGUCUCAAAAAUGCUGGGGCCACCUAUCAAAGGCUGGUGAACAAAGUCUUUAAGCCGUUGAUUGGGAAAACCAUGGAGGUGUACGUGGAUGACAUGAUCACCAAGUCCAAAAUCCCGAAGGAACAUGUCAGACACCUCGAGGAGACAUUCGAGCUUUUGAGGAAGUAUAAGAUGAAGCUCAACCCGGAGAAGUGUGCUUUUGGGGUCGAGUCAGAGAAAUUCCUUGGAUUCAUGGUGAGCCAUAGGGGGAUUGAAGCAAAUCCCGAAAAAAUCCAGGCGAUUGUGCAAAUGACGUCUCCUCGUAACCUGAAGGAGAUGCAGAGCCUGACGGGGAGGUUGGCGGCGUUGAGCAGAUUCAUAUCCAAGGCUACAGAUAAGUGUCAGCCAUUCUUUUAAGUGCUAAGGAGGGGAAAGAAAACAGAAUGGACCCCAGAAUGCGAGGAAGCCUUCCGGAACUUGAAGCAAUACUUGCAGCAAGCUCCGCUGCUGUCCACACCGAGGGAUGGGGACAAGUUGUAUCUGUAUUUGGCGGUAUCGGAUCGGGCCGCCAGUUCUGUUCUGGUGAGAGAGGAAGAAGGAGUUCAGUAUCCGAUAUACUACACCAGCAAGGCCCUGCUCGACGCUGAGACCAGAUACCCACCGUUGGAGAAAUGGGCACUUGCCCUUGUGGUUGCUGCUCGGAAGUUGAGGCCAUAUUUUCAAGCAUUCCCGGUCUCGGUAAUAACAAACCAGCCAUUGCGUCAAACUCUGCACAAGCCAGAUGCCUCUGGUCGGCUCGUCAAGUGGGCUGUAGAGCUGAGCGAGUUCGACAUAGACUAUAAACCCCGCGCAGCGAUAAAAGCCCAGGCAAUGGCCGAUUUCGUAGCUGAAUUCACAGAGCCCGAAGUAUGCUUAGAUCAACAAGAUGCUGUUAUAGGCAAUGACGAAACUCAAGUAUGGCAGAUGUCUGUGGAUGGGUCAUCAGGGGAGCGGGGUUCAGGAGCAGGGAUUGUCUUGGAAGGCCCAGAGGGGGAGGAGAUCUCUUAUGCUGUAAAGUUGGAAUUUGCAGCCACGAAUAACCAGGCAGAGUAUGAAGCCUUGAUAGCAGGUCUGGAAUUGGCUAAGGCCGUGAAAGCAGACAGAGUUAAGAUCAGAACUGAUUCCCAGCUGGUUGCGAAUCAUGUCAGUGAAAGAUUCCAACCAAGAGAGGAGAAGAUGGAGCAGUACCUGAAGAUAGUCAGGCAGAUGAUGGGGAAGUUCGAAGCAGUGGAGGUGAUACAAAUCCCCAGGGAGCAGAAUAGUCGAGCAGACAUUUUGGCUAGGAUGGCAGCAGUAGCCGACCCAAAAAUACCAAAGUCGGUCCCUCUGGAGGUGAAGUCCAGCCCAAGUAUCGAUCAGAAUUUGGGGGUGUUGCGGAUAGAACAAAAAUGCUCGUGGAGGAACCCGAUAGUUUCAUACCUUAGAGACGGGGUAUUACCACCAGAUAAGCUGCGAGCUCGCAAGAUUAGAGCCCAGGCCUCGAGAUACACGAUGAUUGAUGGGGUACUGUAUCGGCGAGGAUAUACACUACCAUUCCUUCGGUGUUUGGAUGAGGACGACGCGGAUUACGUACUGAGAGAAGUACAUGAAGGAAUUUGCGGAAAUCAUUCUGGCGGGAGGUCCCUGGCCCACAAGGUUCUAAGGCAGGGAUAUUUCUGGCCGACAAUGCACCAGGAUGCGCAAGAGAAGACCAGGAGUUGUGUAAGCUGCCAGAGUUUUGCAAAUUUCUCUAACCAACCACCAGAGAAGCUCACCUCCAUGACCUCCCCCUGGCCAUUUGCUCAAUGGGGAAUUGAUCUGAUCGGCCCAUUGCCAAAGGCACGAGGAGCAGCAACACAUGCAAUAGUUGCUAUAGAUUACUUCACGAAGUGGAUAGAAGUAGAAGCCCUUAGCAGGAUCACAGAGAAGAAAACAACAGACUUCGUGUGGAGAAACCUGGUCUGUCGAUACGGGAUCCCUUAUGCCUUGGUAACGGAUAAUGGCAGGCAGUUCGAUAAUCACAGCUUCAGGGAUUUCUGCCAGAACCUCGGGAUAGAGCUGAAGUAUUGCUCGCCUGCUCACCCUCAAUCGAAUGGACAAGUAGAAGCAGCCAACAAGACCAUCAAGAGGCUUUUGAAAACCAGGCUUGGAGCAAAAAAGGGUGCAUGGGUUGACGAGCUGUCAGGUGUGCUAUGGGCAUACAGAACAACCCACAAAACCGCAACCGGGGAGACACCGUUCGCUUUGGCUUUCGGACAUGAAGCGGUCGUACCGGCUGAGAUAGGAACGACCACACACCGGACAAAUCAUUUCAAUGAGCAGGAGAACGACGAGCAGAUAUGUUUGAAUCUUGAUCUGCUAACGGAAAGGAGGGAGCAAGCAGCCGAGCGAUCAGUCAUUUACCAACAGAGGGUUGCUCGGUAUUAUAACCAGAAGGUGAACAUACGGCAAUUCAGGGUCGGAGACUGGGUACUGAGAAGAGUGAAUCAGAGCACCAAAGAUUCGACUCAAGGAGUGCUGGGACCGAAUUGGGAAGGGCCAUAUAAAGUCAAGCAGAUAGCGGGACCCGGAGCUUACAAGCUGGUUCGCACGGACGGCCACGAGGUGAAACGCCCAUGGAACGCAGCACACCUCCGAAAAUACUUCCAGUAAGACUUGUUCACAUUUGAAAGCUAUUUUUGCUCAUGAUCAUUAUCGUUUAUCUUUCACGCUUUAUGUCCAAACAAUUUCAUGUAAGUCGAAUCCUGCCAUUAAUGGAACGUCGAGGAAUUUCUUUCGCUUGAAACCGAGAAAAUUCCCAAAGGCAUGCAAAGGCUCGACAAAGUCUCAAAGCCUGUCUUAUGGCGAGACAGAAGCCAAGCAUGCCAGGAUCUGCUCGGCCACGAGAAGGCGAGCAGAAUCCCAAUCCUCGAAGAAUCCAAGGCAUGCAAAGGCUCGACAAAGUCUCAAAGCCUGUCUUAUGGCGAGACAGAAGCCAAGCAUGCCAGGAUCUGCUCGGCCACGAGAAGGCGAGCAGAAUCCCAAUCCUCGAAGAAUCCAAGGCAUGCAAAGGCUCGACAAAGUCUCAAAGCCUGUCUUAUGGCGAGACAGAAGCCAAGCAUGCCAGGAUCUGCUCGGCCACGAGAAGGCGAGCAGAAUCCCAAUCCUCGAAGAAUCCAAGGCAUGCAAAGGCUCGACAAAGUCUCAAAGCCUGUCUUAUGGCGAGACAGAAGCCAAGCAUGCCAGGAUCUGCUCGGCCACGAGAAGGCGAGCAGAAUCCCAAUCCUCGAAGAAUCCAAGGCAUGCAAAGGCUCGACAAAGUCUCAAAGCCUGUUUUAUGGCGAGACAGAAGCCAAGCAUGCCAGGAUCUGCUCGACCACGAGAAGGCGAGCAGACUCCAAAGCAUUCGAAGAAAUUCCUAAGGCAUGCAAAGGCUCACCAAGUCUCAAAGCCUGUUUUAUGGCGAGACAGAAGCCAAGCGUGCCAGGAUCUGCUCGACCGCGCGAAGGCGAGCCGAAUCCCAGGCAUUGAAGAAUCUUCAAAGGCAUGUGGCAAAACCACGAGCCAAGCCAGAACCUGCUCGUCUAGACAAAGACAAGCAGAUUCUCAAACGAAAAUUAAUUCAUAAUUACAACACAAGAAAGUAAUCAAAAAGCAUUUUUAUUAAUUUGUUAAUAAUUAACAUAGGGGAUAAUCUUCAUGAACAUUGUUCAUUACAAUACAAGAAAUAUGUCAAGAAGAUGGUGGAUCAGUAAGCCCAGCAGCAUCGGUUGGCUGGACCUCCUCAGGUGCAGGAGGGGUAUCACCAGUUGCGUCCGGGGGGGUGCUCGCCUCGCCAACAUCAGCAGGGACUGCACGAGGAGGAGAGUUUUCCUCCUCAAUCACGAUCGGCUCUACCCCUUCGGCAUCUUCCUGGGCCGCCUCCUCGUCCAUAUGUUGAGCAACACCAGCUGCAAGGUCAUCCAUCUUCAGAUCAGGGUGUUGCUUCCCGAGGACGGCCAUGAUGCAACGAUAGGAAUGCCGAAGUCCCUGGUCGUACUGGUUUUCGGCCUCCCUCUCCAAGUUCUCGACCUGAGCUCGGUGGAAGUCGCGAAGAGAUUCGAGCUGAGCCUCAUACAUAGCCUUCUGCCUUUGCAGAUCCUCCUUGACCUUGGUAAGCUCCUCCUCGAGGGUAAUGGCUUUUGCUUGAGCAAGUGAUUCUUGCUCUAUCAGCUUCAGAUUCUCGAGAUUCAGCUCCCCUGCUUUCUUCUCGGCAACGUCAGCUCUGGUCGUCGCCGAUUGAAUAUCCUCCUUCAUCUUCUGGUCGUAGCGGCCAACCUUAGCCUUGUAAUAGGUGGUCAUGCAGCUGAGGUGGAAAGCGCUAUGCUGCAUGGCCCCCACCAGCUCACCCAAGGUGCAGCCGUCAAAGUCCUCCAGGUCCUUCUUGCUCACGAGUUUAGAUAACUCAUUGAGGUAGGGGACCAGGUGUUCUGCUCGGCUGUCAGGUAAGCGAGAUCGAGGCCCGACAGGAGGAGAAGAGGAAGCAGGAUCUGUGGCUGCUCCACUAGCUUCCCCGACUUUUACAGGAGCAGGAGGUAAAAUCUUCAAGGGUGGGACCUGCCGCACGAUGUUGGCCCGCUUUGCAGCAGGGGCAUCCUUACUCUGGUCCCUCUUCGUGGUUGGAAGUCGAGAACGUUUUCGGGUCAGAGCCCCAAUCACAGCGUCCUCCAUCCUAUGGCCAGGAAGUAUCAAGCGAGACUCGAGCAAGUUGUAUGUAGUUAACAGUUCUCGGCUCGAGCAGGAAUUGGCUAGUACAGCCUCGACCCGUUUGAGCUGGUCAGGUUCAAGCGGGAAGUGGACACCCCAAGAACCUGCAACACAAACAAACAUUUGAUUAGAGACAAACCAGUAAAGCGCAAACGACAAGGGAGACAAGACAUCUAAUACGAGCAGGCAACCUGGGACCACGAAAUGGGGUGGGACGCGGAAGUCCUCCCCAUCAACCCGUGCAACUUGACCCCAGGGACCCCCUGCGAAGAAGAACUUCCUCUUCCAAUUCCCACCACCACCAGUAGGGAGAUCGGUUAUGGGUUUCCUGGUCUUGGUACUUGAUUGGAAGUAAUACCAGCCGGCAUCUUUUGGGCUGCUUUUCAGCUGGUACAGGUGCAUCACCUCGUCGACCGUGGGCUCGCUUUGGCAACAUCUGUCCCACAGUAUGAACAGACCAGAGAGCACUCUCCAACCGUUUGGGUUCAACUGACCAGGAAAUAGAUUCAAUCCGCUAAGUAUCCGGGCAAAGUAAGGUUGCAAGGGACACCUCAUCCCAUACUUAAAGCUAUCCAGAUACAGGGUAACAUAUCCCCUAGGAGGCCGGCUAGGGGUAUCCUUCUUGCCUGGGACCUUGAGAAGUAUUUCACCAGGAAUGUUGUACCUAAGACGGAGGUCAGCGAGCUCGUCAAACGUGGUCGUGCACGUCAUAUAGUCGAUGGCAUAAUCACGCAACAAGGCUCUACCCCCUACUGUACCCCGUCCUUCUGGUCGUGACGUUCCAGAUGGAGACACCUCACCAGAGUCACCUUCGCCAUUCUCACUCAAAGUAUCCUCGGAGCCAGAAGAUCUCUCCUCACCAUUACUUCCGCUCGUAGAGGUUGUUUGGGGAGACAUCCUCCUAGGACUAGUCCCGACACUAGACCUAAUGGGCUCUAAGGGGAUCCCGGGGUCAAAAGCAGGAUCGGUGAGCAGACUAGGCAGGAAGUCCAACUCGUCGUCAUCAACCUCAAUGACCUUCUCUUUGCCUUUCGACAUUCCCUAAGCUCUAACCACAACACCACCAACUACUACCCAAACAGAAGAGAAGAGAAAUUAUCUACAACUAUCCGAGACCAAGGAGAUAGAAGAAAUACCUGAAGUAAUGGUUUAGUCGGUGAAAAUCAGAGAUGGAGGCCUUUUAUGCCGGAACUUCUUUGCCGGAGAGACAGAGACGGAGACGGAGUGAAUGAUGAAUAUGCCGUUCGAGAGGAUUUGGUUUUCCUAAUGAGGACGGACUCUUGGGUUGCCAGCAUUUAACAGCGCCGAAUCCCGAGAGUCUCAUAACCGUCGGUUUGAAAUUCAAAUGGAGGGGGGGAUUUCUGCCACGUCACCUCGUCCGCAAUUAAAUGCGACAUGACUCUUGGCAGCCUUUUCCAAUCCCACGCGAGCGAGUACUAACGAGUUUCUACUGCUGGUCCAUUACAUUACCCAACACCAGAAACUGGGGGACCGGUGUUUGGGAGAAAUACGUCGACGAGACCAGGCAUGGUGAGCAGAUAUCUGAUGGCAGAGUUCUGCGAACCGGUGUGUUCCGUAAAAGCCUGGUGCGCGGGGGAACAGGAGCAGAAAUAUCCUGCUCGUCCACGAGCACGUCAUCCGCGAGGCCAAUUUCCUGUAAGAGGCAUAAGACCAUUCCGGCUAGAGGUCGAGAGGCGAGGAGACCCGGUCGACGGCAGUUGGCAAGACAUGCUCUCCGGCCCGAGAAUCUAGGCACGACAGCCACGCUUUCCCCAGAACCACGGCGGAACACGCAAGAUCCCACGUUUGCCCAUAACGCAGCAUAACGCAGCAGUCGGAGUCCCAUACCGUCCCCCAAAAAGCGGAAACAAGAUCUCACAGAACCACGACAGCCACGCUUUCCCCAGAACCGUGGCGUAACACGCAAGAUCCCACGUUUGCCCAUAACGCAGCAGUCAGAGUCCCGUACCGUCUCGAAAAAAGUGGAAAACUGGGAUUUAGAGGAAGCCUAUAAAAAGGUAGCCAACGAAGGUAAAGGGGUUGGCAUUUUUGAGAUUAGAAAAGAAAUUCAAAAGAAGAGAAAACCAUGAAAAAGCCAUAAGAUCCGUGGCAAGCGUUCCCCGAACCUUCAUAUCUGACUUGAGCGUCGGAGGGUUUGCGCCGGGAAAAUAACCGGCGUACUCUGAUUUGUCUGUGUGCGCAGGAACCUCUGGAGAAGAAGCCUUGCGAGGAGACCUCUUGGUCGUGAUGAAGUUGAUCGAGCAGAGAUCCUGGUCGUAGAACGAGGAGAACCGGAAUCCCGCAUCAACAUUAAUGGUAUGAAAUCUUUGGAGGAAAUCAAGUGAUGAAGUAGUAGUCGACCCAUCAAACAUGACCUCAAGACAUUUAAGUUUGCAAAUGAAGUCCUCUGGAAGCUGACAUAUUGUUGCCAUGUGCUUUGCGUCAACUCUCAAACCUUCUAAAGUAGGGAACAUCUGGGUGAUCAAUCAAAAAAAAAAAAAAAAGCCAAAAUGGAGUUGAUGUUCUUUCUUUCAGCAACUAUUUUUUACAGAGAAAAUUUAACAAAAUAGAAUAGAACCAGUUUGAAGUAUACCACUAGUUUAUCCAAUUAACACCUUCGUUUUAGAAAUUAAUAACACUAUUAGUUAAGUGUACAUCCACACUAGUGAGGCAUUUAACUAUCAACAAUUGUUAUGUAUACAAUAAAAUUGUUGAUUGCCCCCAAGGCCCAGCUAAGUAAUUUUCAAUAUGUUUUCACUUACUGGUCACCCGAAUUUAAAUCUUAGAAAAGAUAACAGGGUAAAAAAUUAUGUCCAAAUUUUCCCACACGCUCAUACCUUUGAAAAAAAAAAACAAAAACAAAAACAGAGUUGUGGACAGCUUAAUUUUGCUAGUAAUUAAGGAACCAACGUGAAGAAAAUGAAAACAAAAACAAAGUUGUUGAUGGCUUAUAGUAAAACUCUAAACCCUGUAAAACUAGAGAAAUAUGUUCAAAUAUGUAAUAAAAAUUGAACAAUUAAUUAUAAAAAUAUUGUACGUACCUUUUUUGUCAAUUCAUGAGCAGCUCUUUUAUUGUUAAACAAGAAUUCAGGACAUCUUAGUAUUUGUAAUUCUUUCAAGAAUGGAAAUUCAAUAUGCAGAUCUCCUGUGCAGAAGCUUGUGAGCUUUCUAAGAUCUCUUAUCUUUAGAUAUUGUAACUUAGGGAACAUUACAAUAUUAUUCUUGAUUUCUUCUUGGUCGAUGACUAUUAUCUCUUUCAAGACAGGGCACUCACAUAUCUCAAGGCAUUGGAGUCCAACAAAGCUGCUAAUUAUAGAAGACGUAAAUAGACAGGUUAAAUUCCAACACUUUAACAGAAUCAGGCGCUUUAAAUUCUGAAAACCACAGGACAUGGCUGCAACUUGGUUUUGCCAAAUCCUUUCAAUAUUUAUUGAAGACAAGUACAAGGUCUCCAACUUCGGUAAUGCAACCUGCGCCAUCACAAAGUUAACUUCCUGUUAAUAUUUGUUUUACAUAACGCCAUACUAUUAGUAUUCACAAAGUUAAGUAUUUGCUGCACCUUAUAACUCUCUGAUGAAAAGUUUAGAACAAUUUUGGAAAACGGAAUAUGAUUAUUAACUACUCUUGUCCAUAUUUACUACUAACAAACUAGAAUAAUACAGAACAAAAAAAAAUAAGUAAAGAAUUAAUAAAACCAUUGAGACUUAUUAAUAACUAACCUUCUCAAGAAAAAGUGCCUUGGAAAUAUUGAUAUUGUCCUCCACAAUGAUUCCAUUUAACCGCAUAUUAUUUGUCAACUCCUUAUGUCUCUGUUGUGACAUUGAAAGCAUUUUGAGUUUAGAGCAUGAGCUAAUUGUGAAUAUAAACUUGGAUGCAUAAUGGCACAAGGUCAAUAAAUUAUUAAUGCAACUCAAAUCAAUACUAGAUCUAAAUUUACUAUUUUAUAUUCCUUAAUUAAGAAAUUUAAAAAAUUAAUAGUUAAUUUAAAUAUGAAAAAUUAAACUUAGUAACUGAUAUAAAUUAGAUAAAAACGGAUAUUCUCUUAAUUUUUUUCUAAUUAACCUCAGCAGAAUAAUGAUAGAUUUACUACGUCCUCUAGAAAAGAUUGGAGUUGGAGCUGCCCUUGCACCCUUUUUUUCUUUUUUUUAGCCUCACACUUAUUAUCAAGAUUCGCAUUCCUUCUCUUUAGAGCUUUGAUCAUUAUUCUCAAGCAAUUUUGAGUUCCUGCUCAAUACGACUUGGGAGGGCGAUUUCCGCCACAUUCUAGUUGGAAGAACCAUCAACACAAGAACUUAUGAGUUAGCUCCUGAAUCGUCAAAUCGACCACUGAAUUGCCAUAAGGCAAUAAUUAGGUCUUGCGUUUAAGUGUUUUCGGUGACCCCACUAUGUCCAUAUUCACAUCAACCGGAAAUCUCUCCAAGUUAUUAAACAAGGAACUUCAUUCGCUCCAUCUGAAUCCUUAGAACUAAAGUCAUCGCCUUCAAUACUCCUCGAUUCAGAAGCUGCAAAACUUUGUGAGCCCCCUUGUUUAUCAGAAUCCUUAACUUUCUCCACCCUUUCGUCAUCUCAAUUGAUGUUAAAACUUGAUUCACCAUCUUAUUCCCAGGAUCCAAACUCUGGUGACCAGUAAAAUUAAGCUGUUUGAAAAACGGUAGGCCAGGACAUCUUUCAAAAUUUAUUACUUUCGAGAAUGAGUAUAAAAAUAAUUUUUUAUGACUUUUCAAAGUUAACACUGAUGCACUGGAAAUUUCUAGUUUUAAGCCUAAGGCUAAGAACCUAUACUGUGGUAGAGUAGAAUUGUUCUAGUAUUUGACAAAUUUUUGGUAUGCAAAAAAUUUGGGAAGAUCCGUACCUCUGACUCUGUCGGAUUGGGGGCAGGGGCGCGAAGACCCCGCACCGAGAGAUGCUUGAGUUGUGAAGAACCCGCUUUAGCUAAUUCAUUAACUAAAUAAUUGACAUCCUGCUCUAGCAAUCCAGAUAAUUCAAGGUCUUCAAUUCCUUGCAGUUGCACGAUCAGCCCAUCUUUUAGGCAAAUCUUGGUGUUCAGCUUGAGUCUGAAUUCCCUACAACUCUUUUGUACAGCCCGCCAAAGCCAGCCUCCAAUAUGUAUUCUGAACCUCUCCAGCUUCUUGAAGAACAAGCCUCUCGGUUGGGUGUCGACAUCUUUGAUUUGUAAUUCUAAAGAGGUCAAGUUAGGCAAAUGCUUCAACUCAUCAAGGCUUGCAUUCUUGACCCCAUCAACCACCUCCACUUCCCAUUUGUUAAAGCUGUCACCACCUAUAUACAGUUCUUCUAAACGUGAUAACUUUGAUAGAACAUUUGGCGGAAUAACUUUUAGGAAGAAACAAUUUCUCAAAUCAAGCAACUUUAACUGCGUCAGUUGACCUACUUGUACAGCCAACUGCGUAAUAUCACAACCUCUUAAGCAAAGGAUUUCUAGAUUCUUCAAGUCCCCUACGACACUUGUAUCUUGUAAUUUGCAGUAAUACAAACACAACGUUUGAAGGUUUGUUAGGAGACCAAGUGAUGAAGGCAGUGACAAUAGAUUCAUGUAAGUCAAGCCUAUAACUCUGACCUGUGUCAUUCUCGAGAAAAAAUUGUCUGAAAUUGCUGACGUUGAAGAUUCCCUAUCAACACGUAUAUGAAAAAGUUUCAAUUGAGGACAUUCCAGUACUUCAGGAAGCACAUUAGUUUUGACAUCAGGUAAGACGAUUGAAGUGUAAAGUUUUAUUGCACUUGCUUCUGACCAUUCCCUAUCAACCACAUCAUCUAUUGCCGUAAACACAUUUAGUUCUCUAGAUGCAAUUGAUAUGGCAACAUCGCGAACAACGUCAUGCAUGGAAAAGUAGUCUUCGUUGCUGCUUGUCAUAUCAUCAAGCAACAUACAAGAAGCCUUGAGCUUGUGCACCAAUGUAUGCACUCGAGCUCGUGCUACUUCCAUCCUUUUGAUACCUUGAAAUAAACCCAAUCCCAUACCAUACAUUAACAAGUCAUCAAUGGUAACAAGUCAUCAAUGGAUGCUAUGGCUGUAUAUCCUAUUAGGAAAAAGAUGUUCUUGAUCUCAUCCCCUUCCAAUUUAACGUAACUCAACUCUAUAGCUUUAUAUGCCGUUGGUUGUAUAUCUUUAAAGUUAGUUGAAGAAGGCCUCCCCAGCUGUUCCAAUGCGUCCUUCCAUUCAAAUAAUCUCUUGUUCCUAAGGCCCUUGCAACCGUCACAAUGGAAACUGGCAGACCUGCACAUUCCCUUGCCACAUCUUUUGCUACCCAUUUGAAUUCACUACCUUCAAUAUAAUCACCUGCCAUCUUCUUGAAAAGACUCCAAGCUUCAUCUUCUUUUAAAACGCCAACCGAGAAAUUCUGUUGGGAAUCCAUCUUCCUUGACAAUACAUCCAGACUUCUAGCUGUCAACAGUACUUUACAUCCCUUACGAUCAUCUCCGUGAGGAAUUCCUACAGCCUGGAAAUCAAGAUUUCCCCAAAUAUUAUCUAAGAUUACAAGGAUCGUCUUCUCUUUCUUCAGUCGGUUACGCAGACUUCUUGCUCUUCCCGAAUCGCUCUCCUCAUGAAGUGUUAGGCCUAAUUUAUCUGCAAUUUCUCCUUGAAUCUUUCUUAUGUCUUGAAUUUUGGACACCUCGACAAAAAUCACCUGAUCAAAGAGCUUCUCAGUCUCGGCUUUCCUAGCCACUUCCUUCGCUAGCGUUGUCUUCACAAUACCGCCCAUUCCAUAAAUUCCAAGCAUGUUGACGUCAGGAUUUUUUAAUGCAUCAAGUAUAUCAUUCAAAGUGGACAUUCUUGAUUCACAGGCCUCGUAGUCUUUGAUCGACAGAAGCAAUGUAUCAUCCGGAAUGAUGUUGUAGGAAAUUCUAUCAAACCUUCCAACUUCACGGACUUUGACAAUAGCCUCCUUCUGCCUCUCUGCUUCCUUACUAAGUCGACGGCGGGUCUUCAAAUUAGGACACAACCCCUUGAAGCAGCGCUUGUUUGCUCUAGCAUCAACGCCUGUAAAUUUCCCCGCCUCAUCAAUGAUCCCAUUCACGCUUGUGAGCCACUUCUCAACGUACUCUUCAAUCUCUUCCCCUCUUCUUUUAGCCUUAUCAACCUCACGCUGUUUACUUACCCUCUCAGCCUCCGGAAUCCCAACUUCAGUCUUGAGAUUCUGCAAAUUGCUAGUGUACUUGCUCUUACGCAAAUAGCUCAUUUGGCAAUAUAUAGGAGGAGCCAAGCACUUUGCAACUUCUACAACAACAGAAAGAAUGAUAUCCGCCAUCUUCAAUCUUUUCCUUUCUUUUUUUUUCUGAAUUUUUGAAAUUGUGAAGGGAAGCAAAUACAAACAGAGCAGAGACAACAACUGAACAAUUGGCUAAUUAGUGUGGUUGAGGACAGAAGAUUGAAGGAGAGGGCUUCUUGAUCCUUUUGAGAAAAUUCAGGGGAGUAGAUGGCAAAAAGGGGCAAUGCUGAAUAACAAAAAACAACAACAAAGUGUGACUAUAAUAUUGGUUUGUGUCACAGUCAAAGAAAGUUCAUUGGCGUAAAACGUGGGUGCUACGACUCUUGUGGGUCAGUAACAACUCAAAUUUCUUCACCUUGUUAAUCUUGUAAAUGUGAAGUUGAUAUUUUUCUUCCAAAUUCAUUUUAAAGGUACGGAGGAUGAUGGAAGGAGGACGGUUAUUUUUUGUCUUAUUUUAUUUUCUAUUAUGAAGAAGUCAUGAGUAGUGCCUUUAUUAUUUAAAAAGUACUUUUAUUUGAACACCAUCAAGAUACUAUCAAAACAAAAAAUAAAGAAUUAUUUAUGCUACUGUAGUAUACAAAAUGAUAACAUUAUCUAUGUUAUAGUUCUGUUGUUUCUAUAGUGAUGAGGUUUUUUAUGGCUAAAUAUCAUCUUCCUUAUUCAACCUAAGAUGAAGAAUCUGAUGCAAUCAAAGGAUGGAAAUUCAAUAUGCAAAUAUUCUAAAACUAGUGAUCUUUUCAAAUGGAGAUUUAUGGAGAUGAUGACACACAUUAUCAUUAUUAUUUGUUACUCUCUUUUGAAAAAUUUAAAAAAAAAAUCUCCUUUUCUAUGUUUUAAACCCUUACUUAAAUUAUUUAUUUAUUUUUUAAAUACAAUAAGAAGAAUAAUUUUUAAUAAAUAAAAAAGUGCAAAAACGUUUCAAAAAUAAAUUUAAAAAAAUUAAAUAAGAAAAAAAUUUAUGCGGAGAUUAUUUUAAUUAAGAUUAAAUUUAUCAUUAAAAAGGUGUUAUAAGAAGUAUGGUCGCAAGAGAUUUACAAAGGUGUGCGCCCAAUAAUCCAACUCGACGUUAAAGCAGUAUCACUGCCAGAUGUACUUAGAGAAAUUCAGGAUGCAUUUAGGAUUUACAAAAAAAAAAAACUGGGCCGGCCCAAGCCCGCGGGCUUUAAACCCAGCCUUCUGUUGCGGACCGCCCAAUUCGCUAGCCCAAUUGCCCACAAUUUCGGGCUAGAGAGCCAACACAAGGCCAAGAGUGCUAGCUUGGCCCAAUUCCGGAAGGUUCUAGGCAACUCUAGCACAUGUGAACAUGUAAAUAUUCUAGAAUACUUUAUACAAUUCCAGCACAUGCAAAUAGCUAGGAAAUUGUAAAAUACUCUAGAGUUUGACCAAGUUUGGCAAAGUUAGGUAAAGUUAGGCAAAGUUAGGCAAAGCCUCCCUUAUAAAUAUGGGAUGGCAUUAGGCAUUUGUAUCCAACAAGCAUUGUAAUCUCUCUUUGUGUAAUACAAGUUUCUUUAGCUCAAUUGCUCUCUUCUCUUGUUCGAGAAUCUCUAGGCUUACUUAGCAACAUUCGGCAAAGUUGUCUAAGUGCUGCACGGGUUAGCUGCGCAAAACACUCAUCCCGUGACAAGUGGUAUCAGAGCUAAGGUUUGCACGCACGCAAAUUAGCUCACGAAGCAAUGGCCAACCCUUCGAACGUAGCACAAGAGGGUGUUGUUGGUAUGGAUGUUCCACCGGAACCAAGCCGUGGCCGAGAGGGAGAACGCGCCCAAGGCAAGACUCGCGGCAAGUCCAAGGCCCUAUCUGUGGAUGCGUUGGAGCCUCGUGUAGGCACUCUCGAAAUAGCAUUGUCCGCCGCUCAAGAUAGCCUUGUGGGAUUGGAGGAAAGAGUGGAUGGUCUCGAGGGAGAAUACGCCGAGUUCACGGUGGCCACAAAAGCUCUCAUCCAUGAGCAAGCGAACAUUCUCCGAGGUGAGUUUCAUUCUUUCCAUGAUGAGUUGCUCAAACUUCGUAGUUUUGUUCAGGAUGAACUACGUGCUGUCCGUGCGGAAGUGGAUGAAGUCCGCUCGGAUUGGGCAUGGCACAAGCGCACACUCUCCACAAGUCCAGCUUCCGCAAACUCGAGUGAUGCGUGCCGCAUUGACGUGCCAAAGCCCGACACCUACGAUGGCACACGCAAUGCCACCAUCGUGGACAAUUUCCUCUUUGGGCUGGAUCAAUACUUUGAUGCCAUGGGUGUUCGAGAUGAGGCAUCGAAAGUGGGCACUGCACCCACCUAUCUUAGAGGCGCUGCACAACUAUGGUGGCGUCGCAAGCAUGGCGAGAUGGGCAAGGGCAUUUGCGCCAUCGACACUUGGGCCGACUUCAAGCAAGAACUCCGAAAGCAGUUCACCCCAAGCAAUGCGGAGAAGGAAGCGCGAGUGCGCUUACGUCGCCUCAAGCAAUCGGGUAGCAUUCGGGACUACAUCAACGAGUUCACUACCCUCAUGUUGGAGAUAAGCGACAUGUCCGACAAGGAUUCACUCUUCUACUUCCAAGAUGGCCUCAAGGAUUGGGCCAAGACCGAGCUUGAUAGGCGUGGUGUUCAAACACUUGACGACGCCAUUGCCGUUGCGGAGUCGCUCACCGAAUACUCUACCCAAUCCAAGGACAAAAAGGCCAACCAAGGCAAAGGUGGGGGAGAGAGUCGCAAGGACAAGGGCAACAACCGCAAAGAUUGGGGGCAGAAAAAGCCACCUAGCAACAAGAGUUGGCAAGGAAAAUCGGAGGGCAAGAAGGAGGCGCCAAAGCCGCGAAGCCCAUGCUUCAUAUGCAAUGGUCUUCAUUGGGUACGCGACUGUCCGAAGAAGAGGUCGCUUAAUGCUCUUGCUGCCCAACUCAAGAGCAACCCCGCAAUGUCCACGGAGGAACCCCAACUCAGCAUGGGUUCUCUCCAACGCCUCGGCGCACUCAAUCGCCAACAGUCUGCACUCGUCAAGAAAGGGCUCAUGUAUGUAAGCGCAAAGGUAAACGGUCAGUCCGUUUGCGCGCUGCUAGACACGGGAGCAACACACAAUUUCAUGUCCGUAGACGAGGCCAAGCGCUUAGGCCUCAAGGCCACCAAGGAAGGAGGCACAAUGAAGGCUGUGAACUCACCCGCCAAGCCAAUUGCGGGAAUUGCACAAGGCGUGCACAUCACACUCGGUACGUGGAGCGGAAAGCUUGACUUCUCCAUUGUGCCCAUGGAUGACUUCAAGGUCCUCGGCAUGGAAUUCUUCGACCAAGUCCAUGCCUUCCCGCUGCCCGCUACAAACUCCCUAAGUAUCCUCGACGGGAGUAAGGCAUGCAUGGUUCCCACGGAACGAGGCAAGUCCGAGGAGAAGACACUCUCCGCCAUGCAAUUCAAGAAGGCUUUCAAGAAGGACCCAAGCUUCUUAGUCUCCAUUCGGGAACUAAAUGAGGAAGGAAAUAGCAGAACUUCGCCAAGCCAGGUCCCUCCGAAAAUUCAAGCCGUCCUCAAUGAGUACAAGGACGUGAUGCCUCCAGAACUUCCGAAGAAGCUCCCACCUCUGCGAGAGGUAGAUCAUGCGAUCGAGCUGGAACAAGGCGCGAAGCCAACAGCCUUGGCGCCCUACCGCAUGGCGCCACCUGAAUUAGAGGAGUUGCGGAGACAACUCAAAGACUUGCUGGACGCAGGCUACAUUCGCCCCUCAAAGGCCCCAUUCGGUGCACCCGUGCUCUUCCAAAAGAAAAAGGAUGGAUCGCUGCGGAUGUGCAUCGACUAUAGAGCGCUCAACAAGAUCACUAUCAAGAACAAGUAUCCGAUUCCCUUGAUUGCAGACUUGUUCGACCAGCUUGGCAAAGCGCGGUACUUCACCAAACUUGACUUGCGCUCCGGGUAUUAUCAAGUGCGCAUCGCCAAGGGAGAUGAACCGAAGACAGCGUGCACUACAAGGUACGGGUCUUUCGAAUUCCUUGUGAUGCCUUUUGGUCUUACUAAUGCACCCGCCACAUUUUGCACGCUCAUGAACAAGGUGCUCCAACCAUUCCUCGACCGCUUCGUGGUCGUGUACUUGGAUGACAUAGUGGUGUAUAGCACCACGUUCGAGGAUCAUGCCCGACAUUUGCAACAAGUCCUCCAAGUACUUCGAGACAACGAGCUCUUCCUCAAACUAGAGAAGUGCUCGUUUGCCCAACAAGAGGUGGAGUUCCUUGGCCACAAGAUUGCGGGCGGGAAGAUCAUGAUGGAGAAUGACAAAGUAAAGGCCAUCCUCGAUUGGGAGCCUCUUUCGAAAGUACCCGAACUUCGCUCAUUCCUUGGACUGGUGAAUUACUACCGCCGCUUCAUCAAGGGCUAUUCAGCUAAGGCGGCACCCUUGACGGAUAUGCUCAAGAAAAACAGAACAUGGCAUUGGUCCGAAGAGUGCCAACGGGCAUUCGAGGAGUUGAAGAAGGCAAUUUCGGAGGAACCAGUCCUCGCUCUUCCGGACCACACCAAGCCCUUUGAAGUUCAAACGGAUGCCUCGGAUUUCGCCAUAGGUGGAGUCCUUAUGCAAGAAGGCCACCCAAUAGCGUUCGAGAGUCGAAAGCUAAAUGACACGGAACGCCGCUACACGGUGCAAGAGAAGGAGAUGACCGCAAUCAUACAUUGCUUGCGGGUGUGGCGACAUUACUUGCUUGGCUCGCACUUCACAAUCAUGACGGACAACGUGGCGACAAGCUACUUUUAAACUCAGAAGAAGUUGAGUCCGAAGCAAGCGCGGUGGCAAGAUUUCCUUGCGGAAUUCGACUAUCGGCUGGAGUACAAACCGGGGAAAGCCAAUGUCGUUGCGGACGCUCUAAGCCGCAAGGCCGAAUUGGCAACACUUAGCAUGAGUCAACCGAAGUCCGACCUUGUCUCACGCAUCAAGGAAGGCCUCCAACAAGAUCCGCUAGCAAAGGAUUUGCUGGAGAAGGUGCUCGAGGGAAAGACAAGGCGGUUUUGGCAAGAGGAAGGCAUCCUCCUCACCAAGGGAGAUCGGCUGUUUGUGCCAAGGUGGGGAAAUUUACGGAAGGAAGUAAUCAAGGAGUGCCACGACUCCAAGUGGGCUGGUCACCCAGGACUUGAGCGCACCACCGCACUAGUCCAAGCCUCGUAUUUUUGGCCGCACAUGAGGGACGACAUCGAGGCAUAUGUGCGAACUUGUCUUGUGUGCCAACAAGACAAAGUGGAUCAUCAACUUCCAGCGGGAUUGUUGGAGCCGCUACCACUAGCAACAAGGCCAUGGGAAAGUGUCUCCAUGGAUUUCAUCACAUCGCUGCCCAAGUCCGAAGGUUGCGGAAGCAUCAUGGCAUUGUCGACCGAUACAGCAAGUAUGCCACAUUCAUUGCCGCACUAGCCGAUUGCAAAGCGGACGAGGCAGCCCGCCUAUUCGUCAAGCACAUUGUGAAGCUUUGGGGAGUUCCGAAGAGCAUUGUGAGCGACCGAGACCCUCGAUUCACUGGACGCUUUUGGACGGAACUCUUCAAAAUGUUGGGGACCGAUCUCAAGUUCUCGACAAGCUUCCACCCACAAACGGAUGGGCAGACCGAGCGCAUUAAUGGCCUCCUCGAGAUGUACCUGAGGCAUUAUGUGAGCGCUCACCAGCGGGAUUGGGCGAAGCUACUCGACAUCGCCCAAUUUUCUUAUAACUUGCAGCGAAGCGAGGCUACAGGCAAGAGUCCGUUCGAGAUCAUCAUGGGAUUCCAGCCCAUGACCCCCAAUGCCAUAGCCUCGACUUACGGAGGGAAAAGCCCCGCGGCACACAAGCUCGCCCGCGAAUGGCAUGAGGAAGCGGACAUCACGCGAGCCUAUCUCGACAAAGCCGCAAGGAAAAUGAAGAAAUGGGCUGAUACAAGGAGACGGCAUGUUGAGUACAAGGAAGGAGAUCAAGUCAUGAUCAAGCUCCUACCCCAACAAUUCAAGACUUUGCGGAAAGUUCACAAGGGGUUAGUGAGGCGCUACGAGGGACCCUUCCGAGUUGUUCGACGUGUAGGCAACGUCUCGUAUCAACUCCAACUUCCGCCAAGACUCAAGAUCCAUCCGGUCUUCCAUGUGAGCCUUCUCAAGCCAUAUCAUGACGACAUGGGAGAACCAAGUCGCGGAGAAUCGAGGCGCGCGCCAACUGCCGUUGUCACCGCGUUCGACAAAGAUGUGGACUACAUCAUUGCGGACCGAACGGUUUCGAGGAGGGGCGUGCCAGCACAUAGCGAGUACUUGGUGAAGUGGAAAAACCUCCCCGAGAGCGAAGCCACUUGGGAACGGGAAGAUGAUUUGUGGCAAUUCGCUGAGCACAUCCAGCACUUCAAGCACGAGAGCGCGACGAGGACGCCGCGAGCUUAGGUGGGGGAGGAUGUUGCGGACCGCCCAAUUCGCUAGCCCAAUUGCCCACAAUUUCGGGCUAGAGAGCCAACACAAGGCCAAGAGUGCUAGCUUGGCCCAAUUCCGGAAGGUUCUAGGCAACUCUAGCACAUGUGAACAUGUAAAUAUUCUAGAAUACUUUAUACAAUUCCAGCACAUGCAAAUAGCUAGGAAAUUGUAAAAUACUCUAGAGUUUGACCAAGUUUGGCAAAGUUAGGUAAAGUUAGGCAAAGUUAGGCAAAGCCUCCCUUAUAAAUAUGGGAUGGCAUUAGGCAUUUGUAUCCAACAAGCAUUGUAAUCUCUCUUUGUGUAAUACAAGUUUCUUUAGCUCAAUUGCUCUCUUCUCUUGUUCGAGAAUCUCUAGGCUUACUUAGCAACAUUCGGCAAAGUUGUCUAAGUUCCGCACGGGUUAGCUGCGCAAAACACUCAUCCCGUGACACUUCGGCUUAAAUUAUGAACAAAGGGUUUCACUUUUAUAAAGUCCAUACACAGUAUGCCUAGUUAAGAACCUUCCAUAAAAGUCUGGGCUUAAGCUCGGGUUUUACAACGUAAUGCAUAUACAUAUAACAAAUGAAUUAUAAUAUAUUAAAAAAAAUUAAUUUAAAAAAAAAAACUGAAAUUAAGUAAUUAACAAAAAGAAACCAAGUUGGCAAAUUCCCAAAACUUAAAAUCCCUAAAUUUAUCUCCACUUCCCCAGCUUCUCCAUCAGCCUCUCACCGCACUCUCCGCCGGUAGCCAACAACCAAUGUUUAUUGCCCCACCCUCACAUCAAAUUAAGGAGCCACCACCUUCAGCCGCGAUCCACUGUCCACGCGCGACGCAGCAGAACCAGCAACCCAGCAAUCGUGUAGCACCAAACGGGCGACGCAACAGUGACCCACACCCACCAGCACCAUUGCACGACGUCGCUGCAGCCAAUCGAACACGUGCGACGCAGCAACAGCAGCGAUCUCAGCUCCAACGCGACCUGAACCCAGCAGCACCAGCAGCGCACGCGAACCGACAGUAAACCAUCACCAACUCCAUCGCAAGUAACGUUUGAUUUUCUUUAAUUACUGUAGAAAUUUUGAGAUUACUGAAGCCAUUGUUGAUGACUUGAUGUUGUAAUGGAGAGUAGUUUUGUAGAAGAAUUGAGAGAGAGAGAGAGAGAGUGAAGAAGAAGAAGAAGAAGAAUGUUUCAUUGUUGCCGUAGAAAGUGGAUAACGAAGAAGAAGCAUUGUGUAUCAUUUUCAAUUGCAAAUUCUUUUAAAAAUUAUUAAAGGGCAUUUAUGAUUUAGCUAGUUUAUGGUAUUUUAUCACUUCUAAUUUGCAAAUUUUUAUUUGGAUAAUUCACAAAUUUUUUUACUUAUAUGUACAUUAUUUUUUUUAUGAGAUUUGGUGGAUUCUCACUUGAUAAAAAAGAAAUAAAAAUAAAAAUAUAUUAAAAAUAUUAAAAAUCCAAGCCAAGCCCCACCCAGCCUAGCCCAGCUCUCUCGAGUUUGGACAGCUUUUAGAGGGCUUGGACCUCUUAUCGAUUAUAUGGGCUUGUGCUUGAAAAAGCUCGGCUCAAGCCCGCAAUGUACCAACACUAGAUGCAUUUAGUAUCGGCCUGAACAUCUUUUAAAAAUAAACAAAUCUGUGAAGUCCGUUGGAGAUGCUUAAACGAUUACAUGGGCUUGUGUUUGAAAAAGUCCGGUCCAAGCUCGCAAUGUACCAACCCUAGAUGUAUUUAGUAUCGGCCUGAACAUUUUUGAAAAAUAAACAAAUCUGUGAAGCUUGUUAGAGAUGCUUAAAUGAGUGAAUUAUAUUGGACUAAUUGAAGCCUAAAAGGUCUCCCUUCCCUUACCUUCAAAUUUUCUAUAAUAUUCUUUUUUUUUUUAGAGUUACGACUAAGAAAUCCUUUCUUUUUUUUAAGAUUCAUAAAUAAGCCACUUAAAAAAUUUAUUGACCUUUUAUCAUUAUUCAUAAUUCAUAAUUAUGUCAAUUUGGUUAGCGAUAAUACAACCAUUCGUCUUUUAAUAUUGUGUUUCAUGAAGCUCGCAGACUCCUAGAUUGCUAAAACAAUUGCCCCACAUCUCAUGCUUGAUUGUUUAAACUAGAAUUGAAGUUUGACUUAGCAUCACUAUCAAUGAAAUGAAGCCUAGAAUUUUUUGAAAGCCGUCAAUUUCAGAUCAAAUUAUAUCAACCUCAACAAUACAUAUGUUAUCAUAGCAUUGAAAGUGAAAAAAAAAAAAACGGCAACUUACUUUCAACUGCGGCUCAACAAGGAUUGACCAGAGGACAUGCACAUCUUCACAUUGGCAAGAUUUCACAUCAUCAUACAAAUGUAGAAGACCCAUUAUGAAAAUCAUAAUGGGUCUUGAAUAUUAGAGCAUUGUAUGCAAGGAUUUCUAGCUUCUUCAAGUCUCCUAUUACACUUAUAUCUUGUGAGUUGUAUGAUGAUGUGCCUUCAGAUCAUACAAACCAAUGUUUGAAGGUUUGUUAGGAGCCUAAGUGAUGAACACUGUGACAGUAGGUCCAUGUGAGUCAACUCAUAACUCUUACCUGUAUCAACACGAAUAGAGAGAAGUUUUAACAGAGGACAUUCCAAUACUUGAUCAGAAAGCACAUUAGUCUUUAUAUCACGUAAAACGAUUGAAGUGUAAAGUUUUACCGCUCUUUCGUCAGACCUUUGCCAGGAACCAUCAACCAGCUCACCCGUCGCCGUGAAACAUUUUGAUCUCUAGAAGCAACUGAUAUUGCAACAUCACGAACAACAUUAUGCAUGGUUCCAGCAACAUACAAGAAGCUUUGAGUUCCUAGACCAAUGAACGUACUCGAGCAUGCGCUUCUCCCAUCUUACUAACGCCUUGAAUUAAACCCAAUCCCAUACAAAACUUUAACAAGCGAUCAAUAGAUGCCACGUAGGUUUAUGUUCUUGAGCUCCUCCCCUUCUAAUUUAUUGUAACUCAACUCUAUUGCUUUAUAUGCAGUUGGCUGUAUGUCUUAAAAGUUCGUUGGGGAUGGCCUUCUAAGUUGUUCCAAUGCAUCCUUCCAUUCAAGUAAUCUCUUGUUCCUUAAUGCCCCCGCUACCAUCACAAUGGAAAUUGGCAAACCUGCACAUUCCUUUGACACGACCCUUGCUACCUAUAACAUAAUUACCUGCCAUCAUCUUGAAUAGACUCCAAACUGCUUCUUCUCUCUUUUUUUUUUUUAAAAAAAAAAUUAGCCAAGAACUUUGCCACAUCAACAACAACAGUAACUAUGGUUUCCACCGUCUUUAAUUCUUUUUAAAUUCUUAUUAUUAUUAUUUGUUGAAAUUAAGAGUGAGAAACCUUAAUUCUUUUACCCAAGAAAUCACCACACACUGAUCUUGUUAAGGCAAGAAUGAAAGAUCAAUAUAGAAAUCAGAUUAAGAAUAAGGGUAUUUAACCAGAGACAUGGAUUAAGAAAGAAUAAAGCAAAACGAAAUGCAAAGGGGAUUAUAGAGGUUCGGCUUUGCAGCCUACAUCCUCUUGAGAAACAGAAGCCAUAGCUUUUCUUUGUGCUUAACAGAUUACAAGUCUUAGAGUAAUUGCUACAAGGAACGAUGAUACUCUAAGUAUAGCCCUCAAGGCUUUAUAUACAACUCGGAAGGAAUCAAGAUAUGUGAGCUGUACACUAGCUCUUAUUCUGGGUUUGUUUCAACAAACCCAGAAAACUCCCGCCAAUCCUAACUGUCUGUAACAGCUCUUCAGAUUGAAACGGCAUCAGCAGCUGCCGUUUAACUUAAGCUUGAUUGUGCAAGUCACGUGCGUCACUUAAGCUUUUCGUAUGAUAGAUGCUGGUUGUCAUAUGGCAGUGUUAUCUGUAUGUUUGCUUUGUCGUUUCUUAUCUAAUUCCCGAAACGACAAAGUUGUCUCCUUCAGAAGGUUCUGAUUCAGGUUCACAAUUAACAAUCUCCACCUUGAAUCUGAAUCACAACACUCCUAUGGCUUCUUCUUCUCGAGCUUCUGUAUCUUUAUAUUCUACAGAUGCCAGCUAAGUUUAAGCAGUGCUCAAACUUAGCCAUUGGAACUGGCUUUGUCAACAUAUCAGCAACAUUGUUACUGGUAUAAACCUUCACAAGCUUCACAGUGCCUUUACAGACUUCCAGCCUUAUGAAAUGGAGCUUGAUGUCGAUGUGCUUGGUCUUUUCAUGAUGGACUUGAUUUUUGCUCAGACUGAUAGCACUUUGAUUGUCACAUAGAAUUGUUAUGGAUGAUUGCUCAUACCCCAAUUCAUUUAUCAUGCCCCUUAACCAUAUUGCUUCUUUGAAGGCCUCUGUAGCAGCUGUGUACUCUGCCUCUGUUGUAGAUAGGGCCACUACACUUUGAAGUGAUGCUUUCCAGCUGAUUGUGCAGCUAUUAAGUGUGAAAAGAAAACAAGUGAGUGAUCUUCUGUUAUCUAGAUCUCAUGCAUAGUCAGAGUCAACAGAACCCUCAACCAGAUUGUAGUUAGCUCUCUCCCCUCCAUACAGCAGACCAUAGCUUGUAGUCCCUCUUAGAUACCUCAGUAUCCAUUUCACAGCCCUCCAGUGUUCCUUCCCUGGGUUUGACAUAAACCUGCUGAUCAUGCUUACUGCAACUGACAAAUCAAGUCUUGUUAAGACCAUUGCAUACAUUAGGCAGCCCACUGAGCUAGCAUAUGGUGUUUUCAACAUUUCAGUUUGUUUUGAUUCAGUGCUUGGGCACUGCUGACUUGAUAACCUGAAAUGAGCUGCCAUUGGAGUGGACACUGGUUUACAGUUCAGCAUCCCAAACUUCUCCAAAACUUUGUUGGCAUAUUUUUCUUAUGAUAGAAACAAUGUCCUGGCUGUUCCGUUCCUUAUCAUUUCAACACUUAAGAUGUUUUUUGUUGGGCCAAGAUCUUUCUUGUCAAACUUAUCUCUGAGUUAUUGCUUCAGCAGAUCAAUCAACUUCAUGCUUUUACUGGCCAGAAGCAUGUCAUCAACAUACAGGACAAGAUAGAUCACUUCCUCCCCAUAGGUCUUUCUGAGAUAUACACAGCAGUCAUAACUGGAUUUCUGAAAGUUCAGUUCUUGCAUAUAGCUGUCAAAUUUCAAGUACCACUGUCUGGGAGACUGCUUGAGCCCAUAAAGAGAUUUUUAAAGUAAGCAAACCCAAUCAGGAUUUUGAGUAUUCACAAAGCCCCCAGGUUGUGACAUUACAAUCUCCUCUUGUAGAUCACCAUGUAGGAAGGUUGUUUUAACAUCUAAUUGUUCAAGAUGCAUAUCAUAAACAGCUACCAGUGACAGAAUAAUCCUUAUUGAUGUGUGUCUGACUACAGGUGAGAAGACUUCAGUGUAAUCAACCCCUUCCCUUUAAGUAAAGCCCUUUGCUACCAACCUUGCUUUAAAUCGCUUGGGUUCAACAUCAGGGAUUCCAUCUUUUAUUUUGUAGACCCAUUUGUAGCCCACAACUUUCCUUCAUUCUGGUUUUUGAAUCAAUUUCCAGGUGCCAUUCUUAUUUAGAGAGUCCAUCUCAUCUUCCAUGGCCUUGAUCCAUUGAGCUGAUUCUUUACAUGCUACAGCUUCUUCAUAAGUUUUUGGCUCCUCUUGAUCAACCUUUUGUGCUGCUGUCAAGGCAUAUGCUAUUAAGUCAGCAUAUCCCAAUCUCUCUGGUGCCCUAACUUGUCUCUUCUGUCUGUCUCUAGUAAGCUGAUUAUCUUGUAUUGAGGUGUGCUCUAGUGAUUGAGCACUGGUCUCAUUUGAGCCUUGAGUUUCUCCAGUGUGACUUGUGUUCUGACCAUCCUCAGUUUUUAAUAGCUCCACCUCAAAGUGAGGUGUCUCUGCACUUGGGAUUUUCUGAAUUGUGCUUUGAGCAGAAGUCUGAUUUUUCAGCAUCUCAGACUGAUUGAAAAUUACAUCCCUGCUUAUUAUGUACUUAGGUGGUUUAAGGUCUACACACCACAGCUUGUAACCCUUAGUUCCACUAGGAUACCCUAGGAAAGCACAUUUCAAUGCCCUUAGUUCAAGCUUGCCCUGCUUGAUAUGUGCAUAAGCAGUGCAGCCAAAGAUUCUCAACUUGGUGUAGUCAGUUAAUUUCCCUGACCAAACUUCAUAAGGUGUUUUAAGUUCUAUUGCAGUUGAGGGGCAUCUAUUUAUCUAGUAACAAGCUGUACACAAAGCUUCAGCCCACAAUGUCUUUGGCAGCUUUGAAUGAAAUAACAUGCAUUUAACUCUUUCCAUUAAUGUUCUAUUCAUUCUUUCUGCCAAACCAUUUUGUUGUGGUGUGUGCCUAACAGUUUUGUGUCUCUGGAUUCCACUCUUUUCACACAAAACAUCAAAUUGUUUAUUGCAAAACUCAAGUCCAUUAUCAGUUCUAACUCUUCUAACUUUCCUAUUAGUUUGAGUUUCAAUCAAGGUUUUCCAGGCUUUGAAUCUAUCAAAAGCAUGAUCUUUGCUCCUUAUUGGAUAAACCCAAACCAUCCUAGAGAAGUCAUCUAUCAUAGACAAAAAAUAACAAGCUCCACCUAGAGAUUCAAUCUGUGCUGGUCCCCACAUAUCCUAGUGAAUAUAAUCCAAAGUACCCUUAGUAUUGUGCACUGCAGUUUUAAACCUGGUUCUUGAGGACUUUCCUAGGACACACUCCUCACAGAAUCCAACAGUACUUAUCUUAUCACUCCCUAGAGCUCCCUAUUUUUCUAGUUCUUUCAGUCCACUUUCACUUACAUGACCCAACCUGAAAUGCCACAGUAAUGUUUUAUCUUGUUCCUGUUUUAUCACUAUCCCAGCAUCCCCAGUUAUUGCUGAUCCUUGCAGUAUGUAUAAACCAUGUUGCAUUACACCUUUCAUCAGUAUCAGAGACCCUUUAAUAACUUUUAAGGAGCUUGAUUCAAGUCUGAUACAACACCCUGCCUUACCUAACAUGCUUAGAGAAAUUAGGUUUCUUUUAAUGCCUUACAUUAUCAAGUUCUCUAAUUAUACCAUCAGACAUUUUCAAUCUAACAGAGCCUAUACCAAUGACUUUACAGGAAUCAUUGUUUCCCAUCAAGACUUUACCUCCUUCAAAAGGUUGAUAGCUACUGAAUAAGUGUUUAUGGGGGCACAUGUGAUAGGUGCAGCCAGAGUUAAGAACCCAUUUACCUUCAGUUUGCAUGUUUGAGGCUACCAGAACACCAGCAGAGUCAUAUCUCUCAUCUGAAUCUUCAGAAGCAACAACAGCAUUUCCAUUUCUGUUGUUAGCAUCCUUAGGCUUAAUCUUUCUCUCAGGGCAGUCCCUUUUGAAGUGACCUUCCUUGUGGCAGUGGAAGCACUUCAAGGCCUGUUCUUAGAUUUUGAUCUUUUUUUCUUUUUGCCUUUCCAACCAUCUCUCUUCUCUGAUCUCCCUCUUACUGUCAACCCUUCACCAUCUUUUGUUUCUGAUUUCUUAAAGCUUUCUUUGGAACUCAAAGCUUCCUUGACAUCCUGCAUAGCCAGAGAUUGUCUACCAUAUAAGAGAGUGUCAACAAAAUGUUCAUAAGAAUGUGGUAAUGAAGAUAACAGAAUAAUGGCUUUAUCCUCGUCUUCAAUCUUCACAUUAAUGUCUUCUAGAUCUAAAAUGAUCCUAUUGAAAGCAUCAAUGUGAGUAGUUAAAGAGCUGCCUUCUUCCAUCUGGAGUGUGUAGAGCCUUUUCUUUGUACUCAAUCUUUUUGUCAAAGAUUUCUUUGUGUACAAAUCCUCUAGCUUCUUCCAAAGGCCUGCAGCUGUUGUUUGGUCUCCCACUUCUCUAAGUACUCCAUCUCCUAGACUUAGGAUUAUAGUGCUGUGAGCUUUGUCCAUGGCUUCUUGCAUGUCUUCAUCUUUGACUUUGCUGAUCUUUUUCGAGGUUCUUGGAUCCUCUAGUACUUCUUCAAUUCCCUGGUGAACCAGCAAUGCUCUCAUCUUCAGCCUCCAAAGAUGGAAGUCAUUUUCUCCCGUGAAUUUCUCCACAUCAAGCCUCUGUGUUGCCAUUCUUACUCACAAGAUUCAGGGAUGUGAGCUCUGAUACCAAUUUGUUGAAAUUAAGAGUGAGAAACCUUAAUUCUUUUACCCAAGAAAUCACCACACACUGAUCUUAUUAAGGCAAGAAUGAAAUAUCAAUAUAGAAAUCAGAUUAAGAAUAAGGGUAUUUAACCAGAGACAUGGAUUAAGAAAGAAUAAAGCAAAACGAAAUACAAAAGGGAUUAUAGAGGUUCGGCUUUGCAGCCUACAUCCUCUUGAGAAACAGAAGCCAUAGCUUUUCUUUGUGCUUAACAGAUUACAAGUCUUAGAGUAAUUGCUACAAGGAACGAUGAUACUCUAAGUAUAGCCCUCAAGGCUUUAUAUACAACUCGGAAGGAAUCAAGAUAUGUGAGCUGUACGCCAGCUCUUGAAACAAACCCAGAAAACUCCCGCCAAUCCUAACUGUCUGUAACAGCUCUUCAGAUUGAAAUGGCAUCCGCAGCUGCCGUUUAACUUAAGCUUGAUCGUGCAAGUCACGUGCGUCACUUAAGCUUUUCAUAUGAUAGAUGCUGGUUGUCAUAUGGCAGUGUUAUCUGUAUGUUUGCUUUGUCGUUUCUUAUCCAAUUCCCGAAAAGACAAAGUCGUCUCCUUCAGAAGGUUUUGAUUCAGGUUCACAAUUAACAUUAUUAUUUUUUAAAGUAUGUAAAUGUGAAGGGAGCAAAAUAGAAACAGAGCAGAGACAAUAACCAAACAAUUGAUUAGUUAGGAAGCAAACUGAGUGAUCAAACAGAGACAACUGCAGGACAAUUGGUUAAAAAGAGAGUUUUUAAGAUUAGAAGAACGAGAAUUCGAAAGCGUUGAUGGCAAAAGCUGAAUAACAAAAGUAAACAAGAGUGAACGCAAUAAACAGAGAAGCAAAGUGUAUUUGAGCUCAGAGGAUGUAAAUAAAGUAAAGGAUUUACUGAUUGAGAGUGACUAUAAAAAAUGACUGAUAUUAAAUUGAUUUAUAUAAUGGAGGAGAGGCUGAAGAAUAAUUGUUUGCCAAUGUUUUAACUAAGAAAGAAAUUUGACAAUUUCGACAAGUCAAUGGAGGAAUAAAACUUCCAUACUUACUAAGCACAGUUAAAGUGAAGAUACUUUAUGUACCAUUGUCAUCUUCUUUAACUUUUUGACCGUGGCAGGCAAUGAACAUCAUUCAAGGAUGAGAAUAAAAGUUAAAAAUGACACCCACUUUAUUUUUUAAAGUGUUCUACUGAAAAUCCAAAGUUUCUUAGUUAAAUUUGUUAUAAUUAUGUGCUUUUUAAAGUAUAUUGAUUGAUUUAUAAAUAUAUUUUCUUAUUAAUAAAAUAUAUAAGAUAUUUUUUUAAAUAUCUUAAUUACAUAAUAUUUUGAAUAAAGUCCAUUUAAUCAUAUUAUAUGUAUUUAUAAGUUAUCUUAUGAUUAAAUUUACAAGUAAAGGAAAGAAUAAUUAAAUAAAAGAUUAAUGAUCGGAAUAAAUUGGAAACUGAAGUUGGUCCAGUCCUUGAUGUCUUAUGUCAUCUCCACAAAAUUGCGCAAAGAUUUCUGCCGACAUUUUCAAAAUUUGGAAGGUGUUGGAGCCGAACUAAGUUAUUAAUUACAGAAGAUGAUAGAAAUAAACAUCUUAAAAUCCUACAGUUGUGUACGGUCAAGAGGUUAAAUUUGUUUUGUAUAGUUAUUUCAUCAUAUAUUUAGUAUUUAAUACUAUACCAUACUAAUUAUAAUAAUUAGUAUUUGUUGCACCCUACAACACGUCAGAUGAAAAAUUUAGAAUAAUCUUUUAAUAUUGUUGAGAGAAUGAAAUAGGGUGACCAAGAUAAAGGUGUUUGCUCAUACAUUAUCGUGCUCUCCUCAAAGUAAAAGUGAGCAAAUGGUUGAGCAGAUCACCUCGACCAGGAUGUUGUUUGGUGACCUCGAGCACAUCACCUCGACCAGGAUGUUGUUUGGUGACCUCGAGCACAUCACCUCGACCAGGAUGUUGUUUGGUGACCUCGAGCACAUCACCUCGAACAGGAUGUUAUUGGUCACCUCGAGCAGAUAAUAUGUGGUGACCUCGAGCACAUCACCUCGACCGGGAUGUUAUUGGUCACCUCGAACAGAUCAUCUCGACCGGGAUGUUAUUGGUCACCUCGAACAGAUCAUCUCGACUAGGAUAUUAUUGGUCACCUCGACCAGAAUAAUAUGUGGUGACUUCGAGCACAUCACCUCGGCCAGGAUGUUGUUUGGUGACCUCGAGCACAUCACCUCGAUCAGGAUGUUAUUGGUCACUUCGAGCAGAUCAUCUCGACCAGGAUAUUAUUGGUCACCUUGACCAGAAUAAUAUGUGGUGACAUCGAGCACAUCACCUCGACCAGGAUGUUGUUGGUCACCUCGAGCACAUCACCUCGACCAGGAGGUUACCAGGAAGCACGGCUCAGUCAAAACAUUUUCUCUGAAAUAUUAGGGACCAUAUUUUUAGUGGACUGAAAAUUAGUAGUUUUCUUGAAAAUUCUAGGGGAGAGGAUAAAAACCGCUAUAAUUUCCUAAAAAAACCCUGGGGAAGAGGAAAAAAGGGAUUCCUUUUCCUCUCUCUCUCUCUCUGGGUGACCGAACCCAUUGGAUCUUUUUCUCUCUCUACCAACUAUGAAAUUUCUCUUUCGCCUAUAAUUUCUUUAAGAUUGAUUAUUUUGAAUUCUUUUCCUUUAAAUUUACUUAAAAGCUUUUUGUUUAAAGCAAUCAUAAUUAAGCCACAUGAAUUGUGGUAUGAGUUUUUCCAAGUAAGACCCAAAUUGCUGACUUGAGCGUUUGAGGGUUUUUGCCGGAAAAACUUCCGGCUUCCCCUGACUGUUCUUUGUGCUCACAGGCUCACAGGUCAUCUGAGAUUUGACCAACUCAUCCGGAUUUCGGCAUCAACAAAUAUAAUUAUUAAUUACUCUAUCCUAUAAUUGCUAACAAACAAGAAUAACAAAGAACCCAAAAAAAAAUGUUAUAGAAUUAAUAAGAGCAUUGGGUUAUUAAUUACCAACCUUCUCAAUGAAAAGUACAUUAAAACCAUUGAUAUUGUCCUUCGACGGCUUAUAAUUCUUAAUUCCAUCCAUCUCUGUUGACCUUAAAGCAUCGGGGGUUUAGAGUAUUAUUACUUCAUUGUGAGUAAUUUUAAUGCACACGGUGAAACAAGAUCAUUAAAAAUUAAUACAACUCAGUUUAGCAAUAAAUCAAAAUUUGAUAUGGAUUCCAUAAUUAUGAUACUUUUUCAUUAAACAUUCAAUGGAGUUAAAAUAAAAAUAUAUAUGAAAAACAAAACUUGUUACCGAUCUGGAAGCACAUUAGUCUUGAUAUCACGUAAGACGAUUGAAGUGUAUAGUAUCACUGCACUUUCGUCUGACCACUCCGUGCAACCAUCAACUUGCUCAUUUGUCGCUGAAAACACGUUUUGUUCACCGGAUGCAAUUGAUAUGGCAACAUCGCGAACAACAUCAUGAAUUGAAAAGAGCUUUUCGUUCUUGCUUGUAUGGUCAAGCAACAUACAAGAAGCUUUUAGUUUGUGCACCAAUGUAUGUACUCGAGCCCGUGCUGCUUCCAUCUUAUUCACACCUUGAAAUAGUCCCAAUCCCAUGCCAUACAUUAACAAGUCAUCAAUGGAUGCUAUGGCUGUAUAUCCUAUUAGCAAAAAGGUGCUCUUGAGCUCAUCCCCUUCUAAUUUAUUGUACCCCAACUCUAUAGCUUUAUAUGCAGCUGGCUGUACAUCCUUAAAAUUCGUUGAGGAAGGCCUUCUUAGCUGUUCCAACGCAUCCUUCCAUUCAAAUAAUUCUUGUUCCUUAAUGCCCUUGCUACCGUCAGAAUGGAAACAGGCAAACCUGCACAUUCCUUUGCCACAUCCAUUGCUAGCCAUUUCAAUUCACUACCUUCAGCAUAAUCGCCUUCCAUCUUCUUGAACAGACUUCAAGCCUCUUCUUCUCCUAAGGCACCAAUUAGGAAAUUCUGUUGAGAAUCCAUCUUCCUUAACAAUACAUCUAGACUUCUUGCCGUCAACAACACUUUAAAUCCCCUAUGAUCAUCUGCGUGAGGCAUUCCUACCGCCUUCAAAUUAAGACCUUCCCACAUAUUAUCUGCAAUUUCUCUUUCUUCAGCCGGCUCCAGGGACUCCUUGUCCUACCCGAUUCACUCUCCUCAUCAAAUUUUAGACCUAAUUUAAAUGCAAUUUCUCCUUGAAUCUUUUUUAUGUUUGGGUUUUGGGAAACCUCGGUAAAAACAAUCUGAUCAAAGAGCUUCCCAUUCUUGGCCUUUCUAGCAACUUCUUUCGCUAGAGUCGUCUUUCCGAUGCCGCCCAUUCUAUAAACCCCAAGCAUGUUGACGUAUUUUUUAAUGCACCAUGUAUAUUAUUCAGAGUGGACGUUCUUGAUUCAAAGGACUCGUAAUCUUUGUUAGACAUAAGCAAAGUAUCCUCCGGAAUAAUAGUGGAGGAAAUUCUUUUAAAUCUCCCAGCUUCCUGGAGCUUGACUAUAGCAUUCAUUUGCCUCACUGCUUCCUUGCUAAGUCGAUGGCUGGUCUUCAAAUUAGGCCACAGACCCUUGAAACAACGCUUAGUUUCUGUAGCUUCAUCGCCAACUGUCGUGUAACUGGUGAAACAAAUUCAAUGGCUUCAAAACGGCCUGUGUAUAGCGCGUCUUGAGUUCUUAUUAUUUCAGUACAAACGACAAUAGUUAUUAGUUGCAGCGUUUUGAUGUGCACAUUUAAUACUCAUUGAAACGACUCAUACAUUGCCGUUUCUGGUUUAAUGAAGCACAUGAGAUGCACGUGGAGAAGGAAGCUCGUAUUCAGGUCGUUAGAAGCUGUUUCAUACGUGCCUCACUCGUGAGUUUCUGGAAAUUGCAUCUGGGUUGUCACAAGCUGCUGAAUGCAGCUGAUUCUGGUGCAACAGAACUGAUUUCUUUGCCUCAAAAUUUCAAGGCACCAGAGCCCUUCAGCUGCUGCAGCAUACAAAUUUCUUUGCCUCAAAAUUGGCCUUGUUAGCACUCGCAAGCCAGUUCUCAACGUUCUGUUCAAUCUCUUUUAGCCUCAUCAACCGUGUGCUGCAUAACUAAAUUGGCGUUCCGCCGAAGGAGCCAAGCACUUUGCAACUUCGAUAACAACAGAAACUAUGAUUUCCACCAUCUUAAUCCUUUUCAAUCACUCUUUUUUUUUCCCUCCUUAAAAAUUGGGAGACACUGAAUAAUUGAUUAGUUAGGAAGCAAACUGGCAACAAUAUUGAGCAGAGUAGAAAAAGGAAAAAAAAAAUUUACAACAGUGGAUACAGAACAGAAGAAAACAGGGACAACAACAGGGCAAUUAGAUAUUUAGAUGGGGAGCAGUGCAAUUCUAAAUAAUAGGACUGGAGAUCAGAGGAUGACAAGUGCUGUUGAAAUUACAAGAUUGAAAGUUCAAAAGAGUUUAUGGCUAAAACUGAAUAACAAACAACGUAACAGUGAGCACAAUAAACAGGAGCAUAAGUGUAAUUGAGAUUAAAGGAUGAAAACAAGGAAAGGAUUUUGUUGAUUGCAAUGAAUGAAUGAUACUAAACGACAAUGGUUUUAGCCAAAAGUUGAAUGAGGACAUUCCACAAAUGCAACAAGUCAAGAAAGGAGCACUAGUUGAAACUGGCCCAUUUUAUUUUUUAAGUUCUAUGCUGUAAAGCUAAAGUUCCUCGGCAAAAUUUAGAAUCGAAGAAAAAGAAAUAAAUAGAUAAAAGUAAAGGAUAGGAAGGUGAUAAUAAUUAUGAAUAUUGAUAAUCUAGUGAUGAUAGAUAGACAUAACAGUGGAUAUGUUAAUGUACAAAGCAGAGUAUUUCUGAUGUCAAUUUGUAACAAAAAUAAUCCUAAAUGUUUGAGUAAUUAUUUAAAGCAAAAAUAACAAUGAUGGUUGAUGAGCAUAGUUUAUAUACAUAUUUUACCCUUUAUUAUAUAUUUGCUAGUUAUUUUUGUUACUUAUUUUUAAUUAAUUGUAUUGUUUUAUUGAAUAGGGAAUUAAUUGGAGAUUAUGGAUAAAAAGUGCAUAAAGAAUAACAAGUUUGGGAAAGAAUCAAUCAAAGUUGUGACACAAUUAAGAGUUUAUAGCAUGUGAAGCCAAGAGUAAUUUGCACUAAAAAAGAAUUUCAAUUUUUCAAGUGACCUGGGCGUGCAUAGCAUUGUAAUGAAUGGAAAGCAACUUAAAGGGGCCCACACUUGGCUUUUACAAUUGGAAAAAGGAAUCCUAGUGCAAGCUUAAUUGGUGAGCACGUGAGUGAGAGCAAAGAAAUUAAAAGGCCAAGCCUUUUGACUUAAGGAAAUAACAAGGUCGGUGGGGCCCAUUUUAAAGAGUAAUAUAAAAGCAAGCUUUUGGCUUUUGGAGAGAGGGAGCCGCCAGAGGAGGAAAACGCGAGACAGAGAAGAAAAUCUGCAGUAGUUCGACUUUCAUGGCUGCAUUUAUUUCUUUUGUUGCUCACAAUUCAAGUAUAUUUAGCUAAUUUUCUUAUACUGAGGUUAAGGAUGAAACCCUAUUCAAUGAAAUAAUUAUCUCUUUUUAUUUAAUUAAUUCCCUAUAUAUGUUCUUUGAUGAUUAUGAUUUUUAUUUCACAUGAUUAAUUGGAUGUUAUUAAAAUCUUUUCAUCAAUUCUGUCAUGCAUUAUUGAUUGUUAGGAUUUCGAUUAAUUCUAUGCUUGGAUCUAUAAAGUUUAUACAUGAUUAUCUUUGAUUUUAUGUCUUUCAUUAAAUUGUUUACAUAGAGUGCUUAGGAAAACUUUGACUCUUUGUGGUGGAUUCUGAAACCUUAGUAAUUUGUCUUAUUGAUUUCUCAUUUGCUUUAAUUAUUUUCUUAGUUUAAUUAGUUUAAUUUCUCUUAAAACUCAAUUUGCUCAACUAGGUUAGAAUUAAUAUUAAUUUUAGAUUUAAAUUAGACUUUUCAAUUUAUAACAAUCCCUGUGGGAUCGACCUCGUUAUUACUAUUCUAUUUCUAGAUUCGUGCGCUUGCGAGUAUAUUAAAAUUUUCACAACAAGUUUUUGGCGCCGUUGCCGGGGAUUGUGCCAGAAAAUCAGUUUAAUCUAGGUUGAUUUGAUUCUUCCACUAGUUAUAAUUUAGGUUGUCUUUUAUUUUUUUAAUUAAAAAACACAAAAAAAAACUUUUAUUUGUCUUUAAAUUCAUUGUUUGAUUGUUUGAUUUCUUUUUAUUUUUAAAUUUCGUUUAUUCUUAUUAUUGUUGGUUUAUUUUAUUUUAUUUUUCUUUAUUUUCUUGUGUGGUUAGUUUAUGAGUGUUUGGGAAUGUGAUUCAACAAAUCGUUUGGUUAAAAGAGAUUCGAAAAUUGAUAGGAGUCAAACUAGUUCUUUAGAAGUGAUGGAUGACCUAAAUAGACUAUUGCCAAUACUUCCACCAGUGCAAGCAGAGAAAACCCUUAGAGAAUAUUUUUCACCACUUGCAGCCAACCAACCAUCUUGUAUUGUGUUGCCACAAACUACAGCAACACACUUUGAACUUAAGCCCUCAGUCAUUCAACUUUUACCAUCUUUCCAUGGGUUAGAGAGAGAGGAUCCAUAUUUGCACAUUAAGGAAUUUCUUGACAUAUGCUCUACAUUCCGUUUUCAAAAUUUUAAUGAUGAGUCAAUUAAGCUUCGUAUGUUCCCUUUCUCAUUAAAAGACAAAGCGAAAGCUUGGUUGAAUUCACUUCCUGCUGGGUCUAUUUCUACGUGGGAUGAAUUGAGUAAUAAGUUUCUCACCAAGUUUUUCCCUAUGUCUAAAACAAAUGCCCUUAGGAGAGAGAUAAUUGAUUUUUAUCAAAGAGAUGGUGAGCAAUUUUAUGAGUGUUGGGAAAGAUUUAAUGAUUUACUCCUUAAGUGUCCCCACCAUGGUUUUGAGAAAUGGAGACUUAUACAAUGCUUUUAUAACGGUUUAACCAUGUCGAAUCGUCAUAUGGUAGAGUCUAUGAAUGGUGGGAGAUUUUUGAACCUACAUGAAGGGGCUGCAUGGGAUUUCUUUAAUUCACUUUUUGAGAAUUCUCAACAGUGGGAUUUUUCAAACCAAAGGGAAAAAUCAUCUCAAGUUUCUAGAAAGGGGUUAUAUGAAGUUAAGGAUGAUUUUGAUGUGAAAUCCACUCUAGUUACACUUUCUAGAAAAGUAGAUGCCUUAGCUCUGAACCAAUCAAUGAAUCAUCGUCCUAGUGUAGCUAAUGAGGUUUGUGCUAUUUGUUCUAACUUGUCUCAUACAACACAGAAUUGUCCAUCAUUACCAGCCUAUCCAGAGGCUUAUUCUGAGCAGGUUCAUGCCUUACAAUCGUAUGAAAAAUCCUUCAAUAGUCCAUAUUCAUCCACAUAUAAUCCUAAUUGGAGGAAUCACCCGAAUGUUUCUUGGAAACAAAAUCAACCUUUGUCAAACCAAGGAGGGCAACAAUUUAACAUGCCCAAUCAACAAUUUGUCCUUCCUAACCAAGUAUAUCAUCCUGCCCAACAACCUAUGUCUCAAUUUGUUGCACCCCAACAAAGAAAACCUUCUUUAGAGGAUACACUUCAAAGUUUCAUUCAGUCAACCCAACAAGCUUUUCAGUCAAACACUCAAGCUAUUCUAAAGCUUGAACAACAAUUGGGUCAAUUAGCGACUACUGUAGCGGAGAGAGAAAAAGAAAAAUUUCCAAGUCAACUAGUUCCUAAUCCCAAAGGAGUGCACGAAGUUGGAUCGAGUUCAAGUCAUCAGCAUGAACAAGCAAAAUCUGUUAUGACCUUGAGAAGAGGAAAAUUAUUUGACAACAAGGUGGAGGUUCAAACAAGAAAGACAUCUGAGCAUACUUCUUCAGAUCCAGUUCCAUUACAAGACUCAUCACCAAAUGAUCCUGAAGAGAGUGGUCCGCCAACUUACAUUCCCAAGGCUCCCUUUCCUCAAAGGUUAACAAAGGUAAAGAAAGGGACUUCAACAGGUGAGAUUAUGGAAAUCUUCAAACAGGUAAGUAUAAACAUCCCUUUACUCGAUGUUAUUAAGCAAGUUCCUUCCUAUGCCAAGUUUUUGAAAGAUUUAUGCACUAAAAAGAGAAAUUUACAUGUCACUAAAAAGGCGUUUUUAACUGAACAAACUAGCAAUUUACUUCAAUGUAAAAUGCCACCAAAAUUUAAGGAUCCUGGUUCUCCUACUAUCUCAUGUGUUAUAGGGGACCAAUGUUUUGAUAAAGCAUUAUUGGAUUUGGGUGCUAGUGUUAAUCUCUUGCCUUAUUCUGUUUACAUGCAGCUUGGACUAGGUGAGUUAAAAUCAACUCCUAUUAUUUUACAACUUGCUGAUAGAUCAAUGAAAAUACCUCGUGGUAUUAUAGAGGAUGUGUUGAUACAGAUCGAUAAAUUUUAUUAUCCUGUUGAUUUUAUCGUUAUUGAUACUCAGCAUGUACAUGAUCCUAAGAAACACACUCCAGUUAUUCUAGGUCGUCCUUUCUUAGCUACAGCUAAUGCUCUUAUUAAUUGCAGGAAUGGAAACAUGCAGCUAUCUUUUGGUAAUAUGACCAUGGAAUUGAAUAUUUUUAAUGUUACCAAGCAGCCACAAGAAGAAGAUGAAUUUGUUGAAGCGAAUAUGAUAGAGGAAUUAGUAGAAGAUUCAUUCAUUUCUAACCAUAAUGAUGAUCCAUUAGAGGCAUGUCUAACUCAUUCUGAUUUAUCUUUUAAUGAUGACAGUGCAAUUGCAGAAGUCAGCGCUUUACUUGAUGCACCUCUAAUUACGGACACAACUAAAUGGAAGACAAAGUCAGAACUACUGCCUCAUUCUGAGAAGAAAAUUGGCCCACCUGCGGAGGCACCACCAAAAUUAGAACUCAAAGCACUGCCCGACACUCUGAAAUAUGCAUUCUUGGGAGAAUCUGACACUCUACCAGUUAUUAUUUCUUCUUCCCUCGAUCUUGAGCAAAAAGGUAAGUUGUUAGGCAUUCUAAAAGAGUAUAAGAAGGCAAUAGGAUGGACCAUCGCUGAUAUUAAAGGUAUUAAUCCAGUAGAUUGCAUGCAUCGUAUUCAUCUUGAAGAAAAUGCUAAACCUAUUAGGGAGAUGCAACGUAGGCUAAAUCCUAACAUGAAAGAAGUGGUAAGAGCUGAAGUAAUCAAAUUAUUAGAUGCAGGAAUUAUUUAUCCUAUUUCAGAUAGCUCUUGGGUUAGCCCUGUGCAAGUUGUUCCUAAGAAAUCUGGUGUUACAGUAGUUACUAAUGCUAAUAAUGAAUUAAUUCACACUAGAGUAACUACAGGUUGGCGUGUUUGCAUUGAUUAUAGAAAAUUGAAUUCAUUCACAAGAAAAGAUCAUUUUCCUCUUACAUUUAUUGAUCAAAUGCUUGAUAGACUUGCAGGUCAUGAUUUUUAUUGUUUUCUAGAUGGAUAUUCAGGUUAUAAUCAGAUCCCUAUAGCUCCAGAGGACCAGGAGAAAACUACUUUUACUUGUCCAUUUGGAACUUUUGCAUAUAGGAGAAUGCCAUUUGGUUUAUGCAAUGCACCUGCUACUUUUCAAAGAUGCAUGCUUAGCAUUUUUUCUGAUAUGGUUGAGAGAUUUCUUGAAGUAUUCAUGGAUGAUUUUUCUGUUUAUGGAGAUUCUUUUGAUGAGUGUUUGCAGCAUCUAACAUUAGUUUUGCAGAGAUGUAAAGAAAAGAACUUAGUUCUAAAUUAGGAAAAGUGUCACUUCAUGGUAAAACAAGGUAUUGUCCUUGGUCAUAUAAUUUCCAGCAAAGGUAUAGAAGUCGACAAAGCUAAGGUGGAUUUAAUUUCUAAUCUUCCACAUCCCAAAUCUGUAAAAGAAGUAAGAUCUUUCCUUGGACAUACUGGUUUUUAUAGAAGAUUCAUUAAAGCUUUUAGCAAAAUUUCUAGACCCUUAUGCAAUUUACUUGUUAAGAAUGCACAUUUUAUCUUUGAUGAAUCUUGUCUUGAUGCCUUUGCAAAGCUUAAGAAAUUGUUGACUUCGUCACCUAUUAUUCAGCCACCUAAUUGGGAUUUGCCUUUUGAAAUUAUAUGUAAUGCAUCUGAUUAUGCUGUAGGAGCAGUUUUAGGACAAAGAUUAGAUCGUGUGCCUUAUGUGAUUUAUUAUGCUAGUAUGAAACUCAAUGAUGCACAGUUGAACUAUUCAACUACAGAAAAGAAAUGCUAGCUGUGGUAUUUGCACUUGAUAAAUUCAGAUCUUAUCUUAUAGGUUGUAAAGUGAUUAUUUUUACUGAUCAUGCUGCUUUAAAAUAUUUGUUUACUAAGAAAGAUGCCAAGGCAAGAUUGAUUCAUUGGGUGUUGCUUUUACAAGAAUUUGACAUUGAAUUUAGAGAUAAAAAAGGUUCUGAAAAUGUUGUGGCGGAUCAUUUAUCUCGCCUUGAUCUUAAAUUUAUUCCAGAAUCUUUACCUUUGAAUGAGUCUUUCCCAGAUGAGCAACUUAUGAGUGUAAAUGUUGUACCAUGGUUUGCUGAUAUAGUUAAUUACCUUGCUACAGGUCAAAUCCCAGAGCACUGGACUAAGCAAGAUAGAACAAAGUUCUUAUCUAAAGUGAAGGACUUCUUUUAGGAUGAUCCCUAUUUAUUUAAAUAUUGUGCUGAUCAGAUUAUUAGGCGAUGUGUUCCCGAUAAUGAAAUUCAAAGUGUUAUCUCAUUUUGCCAUGAACAAGCUUGUGGAGGCCACUUUAGUGCUAAAAAGACAGCAACAAAAAUUUUACAGUGUGGUUUUUAUUGGCCUACUCUUUUUCAUGACGCUUAUAUUUUCUGUUCUUUGUGUGAUAGGUGCCAACGUAUGGGUAGCAUUUCAAAGAGGAACAUGAUGCCACUCAAUCCUAUUCUUGUGGUUGAGAUCUUCGAUGUAUGGGGCAUUGAUUUCAUGGGACCUUUCCCUCCAUCUUUUGGUUAUCAGUAUAUAUUGGUUGCAGUGGACUAUAUGCCGAAGUGGGUUGAAGCUAUUCCAUGCAAAACCAAUGAUCAUAGGGUUGUAGUGAAAUUCUUGAAGAGUAAUAUUCUAUCUCGUUUUGGUUUCCCUAGAACAAUCAUUAGUGAUAGUGGUACCCAUUUUUGCAAUAAACCUUUCAAAACUCUUUUGGACAAAUAUUCCAUUACACAUAAGGUUGCCACCCCAUACCAUCCUCAAACCAGUGGCCAAGUAGAGAUUUCUAAUAGAGAGAUCUAGCAGAUUCUAGAGAAAACAGUUAGGCCAGAUAGAAAGGAUUGGUCUUUGAGACUUGAUGAUGCAUUGUGGGCAUAUAGGACUGCUUUUAAAACACCAAUUGGGAUGUCACCUUAUCGACUUGUGUAUGGAAAAGCAUGUCAUCUGCCAGUAGAGUUGGAGCAUUGUGCAUAUUGGGCUAUCAAGAAAUUCAAUUUUGACAUGCAGCAGGCUGGUUCCAAGAGAAGAUUACAACUAGCAGAACUUGAAGAGAUCAGGAAUGAUGCAUAUGAGAAUGCCAAGAUUUAUAAACAGCGAAUGAAAGUCUUUCAUGACAAACACAUUUUGAGAAAAGCCUUUACACCAGGUCAGAAAGUACUUUUAUAUAAUUCCCGAUUGCAUCUCUUUCCAGGUAAGUUACGUUCUCGAUGGUCUGGUCCUUUUAUAGUUCGUACUGUCUUCCCUUAUAGAGCAAUUGAGAUUGAAAACCCUAAAAAUGGUGAUUUAUUUAAGGUCAAUGGGCAAAGAUUAAAACCAUUUUUAGAGUUAAGAACACCAGAAGUUGAGGAGAUACUUUUAGAUGAUCCUGUUUAUCAGGAUUAAUUAAGUCCAUCUUUGUACUCUUGUUUUAUUUUAAUAGUAGGUUUUCUUUUCUUUGUUUGUUUUUCUUUUCUAGUAUUUUUUUUUCUAAUGUUUUCUUUUUAGUUGUCAUUUUUUAAGCUUUCACAGCCCAUCCAAGUGUGUUCUCUCCAACUUUCUUUUUAUUAUUUAUGUUAUUAUUAUUUUUUUUUCUUUCAUUUGUUUGCAUGCAUAUCUUUUGUUUGUGAAACAUUGAGGACAAUGUUCCAAAUUAGUUUGGAGGUGGGAAUAGUGUGUGCUUUGUUUGUUAAAAAAAAAAACCAAAAAAAAAUGAAAAUGAAAAUUUUCAAAAAAAUUGUGUUGUUUUUUUGUUUUUAUGUGAAAAGCCAAUGAUAAAAAUUUGAUUGACAAUGAAUAUGGUUUUUAGAAAGGGUUAAAUAUUGUCUUAGUUUAUACUUGAUUCUUGUGUUAGUUCCUCUUGAUUGAGAUUCUUUAAAUCAUGAGCACUAAUAUCAAUUCUUUCAUAAUUUUGACUUGAAAUUUGAGAUUGACGUAGCCUGAGUUGAGAAUUUUAGAUAGAGUAAAUGACUGUUUGUCUUAAUUCUUAUCUCCACAAUACAAAAUAGUAUAGACAGGCGCCAAAGUCAGAAAUAGCUACCUAUAACCCUUAAGAGUGAAGCUAUCCUUGAGUAAUUUGGGCCUAUGUACCACAAGUAUGUAGAGGAUAAUCUACCAUGAGAAGAAGGCUACCUUAAGGGGUAGAGUGAAAGCUCCUGACUAUGGUUAAAAAAAAAAAAAGAGAAAAAGAAAAGAAAAAAAAAUCAAAUCAAGUGCAUGUGCUGAAAAAAAAAAUCAAAAGAAAAUGCACAUAAAAGCCUGUGAGAGGAAAAAAUUGGAGAUCAAGAUGAUAAGAUUAGUUUGACCUACUCUGUUCUUUGUUUGAGGCGAAGGCUGUUGAUGUUAAGGAAUGGAUUUGAUUGAAUUGAUUUCACACACACACUACAAGAAUCGAAAGAGAGAUGGGAUUGAUUAUUGAAUUAAAGUUAGAACUUUGCCAAUAUUUGAAAUUUUUUUUGAGCUAUAUAAUUUUUGCAAUCUUUGAGGCUAUUUUCAUGUUUUAUUUAAAGUUUUUCGUUCUUUUAAUUUAAUUUAAUUUAUUUAUUUUUUAAAUGAUGUUUGUGGGUAUCAUCACUGAAGCCCUCAUGAGACUAUAACUCGUCCACUAGGGCCGCCUAGGGGUUUAAAGGCUUGUUGCAUACGCUAAAUGCAAUCGCGAUUACCUGCGAAAGUGGUUUAGUUAGGAUUUACUUUUUGUUUCGUUGUUUUUAUUUUUUAUUUUUAGUUUUAGUUUUGCUCGAGGACCAGCAAAAUCUAAGUUUGGGGGUAUUUGAUGAGCAUAAUUUAUAUACAUAUUUUACCCUUUAUUAUAUAUUUGCUAGUUAUUUUUGUUUCUUAUUUUUAAUUAAUUGUAUUGUUUUAUUGAAUAGGGAAUUAAUUGGAGAUUAUGGAUAAAAAGUGCAUAAAGAAUAACAAGUUUGGGAAAGAAUCAAUCAAAGCCGUGACACAAUUAAGAGUUUAUAGCAUGUGAAGCCAAGAGUAAUUUGCACUAAAAAAGAAUUUCAAUUUUUCAAGUGACCUGGGCGUGCAUAGCAUUGUAAUGAAUGGAAAGCAACUUAAAGGGGCCCACACUUGGCUUUUACAAUUGAAAAAAUGAAUCCUAGUGCAAGCUUAAUUGGUGAGCACGUGAGUGAGAGCAAAGAAAUUAAAAGGCCAAGCCUUUUGACUUAAGGAAAUAACAAGGUCGGUGGGGCCCAUUUUAAAGAGUAAUAUGAAAGCAAGCUUUUGGCUUUUGGAGAGAGGGAGCCGCCAGAGGAGGAAAACGCGAGACAGAGAAGAAAAUCUGCAGUAGUUCGACUUUCAUGGCUGCAUUUAUUUCUUUUGUUGCUCACAAUUCAAGUAUGUUUAACUAAUUUUCUUAUACUGAGGUUAAGGAUGAAACCCUAUUCAAUGAAAUAAUUAUCUCUUUUUAUUUAAUUAAUUCCCUAUAUAUGUUCUUUGAUGAUUAUGGUUUUUAUUUCACAUGAUUAAUUGGAUGUUAUUAAAAUCUUUUCAUCAAUUCUGUCAUGCAUUAUUGAUUGUUAGAAUUAAUAUUCGAUUAAUUCUAUGCUUGGAUCUAUAAAGUUUAUACAUGAUUAUCUUUGAUUUUAUGUCUUUCAUUAAAUUGUUUACAUAGAGUGCUUAGGAAAACUUUGACUCUUUGUGGUGGAUUCUGAAACCUUAGUAAUUUGUCUUAUUGAUUUCUCAUUUGCUUUAAUUGUUUUCUUAGUUUAAUUAGUUUAAUUUCUCUUAAAACUCAAUUUGCUCAACUAGGUUAGAAUUAAUAUUAAUUUUAGAUUUAAAUUAGACUUUUCAAUUUAUAACAAUCCCUGUGGGAUCGACCUCGUUAUCACUAUUCUAUUUCUAGAUUCGUGCGCUUGCGAGUAUAUUAAAAUUUUCACAACAAUGGUGGUAAGAGUGAUUUAUAUUCGAAGAAAACGCCGCCACCACUCCGAAGUAUGCAUUCCCGGGUAUAAACAUCUAGUUCUCGAAGAUUCUCACGAGCAUCCGAGUGAUCAACCGCAGGAAGACAAAACAAGGGGUCACUUGAUCGAAUCCUUCCCCAGAAAUGAUCUUUCAGCAAACGCGUACAAUCGCAUAUCUCUAGGUGUUGGGAGCUGCUCAAAACUUCUGAUCACAGAAGCCGAAUUCCAAAAGCUUAACACUCCAAAAACGCAGCAUUUGGGCUCUGGUUUUGAAUUUUGAUUCAUCAACAACAAAAACCAUUCCAACCUUUUCUUGAAAAUCCAAAACCAUUCCAAGUUUAAAAAUAACAUAAACAAUAUCUCUUUGAUUCAUGAAAUAUAGUUAUAAGAAUACAAGAGUUUAUAAUAUUAAAUUGAAGUGGCAAUCAACAAAAUUUGAAGCCAAUAGAACGCUAAAACAAUAAAGUUGUUACAGUUUGACAAAAUAAAAAAAUGUACAAAUUAAACAAACCGAUAAAAAAAAAAAAAAAAAAAAAAACCUUUGUAGACAUAAAAUUUCUUUGCCUCAAAAAAUUUUGAACUUCUUUCACGCCGUCUCCUGUAAAAGUAACAACCAAAUAGUUUUAUUAAAAAAAAAUGUUACAAAAUUGAAACGAAGCAUCUAAGUUUUAUGAAUGCUACCAAAUGACUUCAUAAUCAAAUGACUAACUGAAUGCAAGAUUUGAGUCAAAUAAUUAAAUAGUCUGUAUACCCAAAACAUAAUCUCACAACAUGAAAAGCCAUCAUCAAAUGGUGAUUGGUUGGCAUAAAUAAAAAAUAUUUAGUCACCACAAAAAUCAGAAUCUCCCGAGUAGAACCUACCUGUUAUCACUGUAUUCUGCAGCUUCCUCCUCAUCUCAACUUCGGUGGAGUAGCCAUCAUUAGCUCUGACGAGUGAGGACUAUUACCUGCAGCUAUUGUAUCAUCGUCCUCUUCAACCAGUAUGUCUCGAGAAUCGUUACGGCCUUCUCACGGAUCCCAAGAUGCAUGGAUUAGUUGAUGUAUUUAUUUUAAAGAAAUUUAAUAAAAUAGAAGAGAAUGAAUUUGAACUUAAUUACCACUAGCUAAUACAGAAUAUUUAUCCAAUAAAUUUUAACCUUUUAGAAAAUAAUGACUUUUUGUUCGUAAAAAAUUAUCCAAGUCGUGAAGGCAAUGGAAAUAUAACUUUAAGCUCUAUAAGAAUUGAAAAAUUGAUUAUAAAAUUCUUGCACGUACCUUUUCAACCAAGCUCUAUAAGAAUUUAGGACAUCUAGAUAUCCAUAGCUUUCUCAAGGAUGGAAUUUAAUAAUUUGUACAUCUCCUGUGCAGAAGCUUGUGAGCUUUUUAAGAUCAUACAUCUUUAAAUAUUGUAAUUGAGGAAACAUUACAAUAUUAUUAUUCCGUUUUUCUUGGUCCACGAUUAUUAUCUCUUCCAAGGCAGGGCAUCCCCAUAUCUCAAGGUGCUGGAGUCGAACAAAGAUGUUAUUGCUAACUAUAGAAGAUGAAAAUAGACAUCUUAAAUUCCUACACUUGUAUAGGGUCAAGUGUAUUAAAUUCUGAACACCACAAGAUAGGGCUGAAACUUGGUUUUGCCAAAUCCUCUCAACAUUUAUUGAACGCAACUCCAAUUUCUCCAACUUUGGUAACGCAACCUACUCGAUCAAAAUAAUAACUUCUUGUUAACUACAGUAAUAAUCAUUUCUGCAGAUGGACAAAUCAAUAAACUUAUUAAUCUCUUUCUCAUGUAUAGUUCUCUGAGUCUUUCAUACAACAGUACUAAUCAAGUUUCCAAAUAUUCGUUGCUAAUUUACAUAUAUUCUAAGGACACGUAUAAAGAAAAUAACAAGCUAUAGAUGUGAAUCAAUAAUUAUUUGUCAAAUUAUUUUUUUAUUUUGUAAUUACAACAUACUAAGUAUUUCCUAGUAGAUGCUUUAUUAUUAUUAUCACUAAUUCAAAUCGUGUCUACAGUACCUUUUCUUUCCUCUGAGAAUGUAUUUGCUACAUGCUACAACACUUGUGGCAUGAAAAAUUUAGAAUAAUAUAUAAUUAUUAAUUACUCUUGCAUAUUUCUAACAAACAAGAAUAACAAAGAACAAAAAUACAAAAAUCAUAGAGAAUUAAUAAGCUACAAAAAUACAAAAAUCAUAGAGAAUUAAUAAGCUAUUGGGUUAAUAAUAACCGACCUUCUCAAUAAAAAGUGUAUUAGCAAUACUGAUAUUGUCCUCCAAAAUGAUUUCGUUUGACCGAAUAUCAUAUGACGACUUCUCCUGUCUCUAUUGACAUUGAAGCCAUCUUGAGUUUAGCGUAUAAACUUAAUUAUGAAUGAUCGAAAUGCAUAUUGACAUGAGAUAUUCAAAUAUUAUUACAAUUUAGUUUAGCAUUAGAUCUAAAUCUAAAAUGUUAGAUUUGAUAAUCAAGAAUUCUUUUUUAAAAAAAAUUAAUUGAGUUAAUUUGAACAAAAUAUGAAAAAUUAAAUAAAUAGUGAAUAUUCUCUAAAUAUGAUCAUUAUAAGAGUGCUGAAAAUAUAGGAUGAUUAAUUUCACAUUUUUUAUAUGAAUAUUGCGAAUUUUAUUGAAAGUAAAGGGAAGAAGAAUAAUAUUACGAAGCAUAAUGCUCAUACAAUAAGAAGCUAUUAUGUUAGUUUUUACGGUGGUGUGACACCGAAGCUAAAAGAUUAAAAUAUUAAUUAAAUUGCAAACAUUAAAGAUUUCUCCUAAAUUGAUUAUAUAAAUAUGAAACCUGACGACUUUUCAAAGUUAACUUUGAUACUCUAGAAAUUUCUGGUUUUAGUCUAACUUAUAAAUUAACGUUAUGAUAAGAGAAUAGUUUGCUAGUAAUUAAAGGCUAAGGAUUAAUCUUGAUUAGUGGAGUUAAAAAUGAUGGACAUUAAUUUAUAACUUUUAUAAAUAUGCAGGUCUUAUGAUAUUUGUAUACGAUUUAAUGCUCGGAAAAAUAUUUAAAACUUGAAGGUUAGAUUAAUUAAGCGAGUAAAUAAUGACCAAAAAGCUUUAAUUCGAGCUUCUUUAUUAGAGGUUUAAUUUACGUCAUCCAAAUCUGACAUCAAUAAGAUUUUUUGUCGUUGGAGGACACUAAAAAGUGAGCAAACUAGACUUUUGAUUUUAACCAAUUUUGAUCACCGAAAAUAAAAAAUAGUAUUAUUUUUUUGUUUUUUGUAAUGUGUUAUUUGUAUUUGUAAAUUUUCAUAUUGAUCAUACCUCUGAUUCUUCCGGAUUGAGGGCGAGGUGGGAACCGCAGAUAUAGAGAUGCUUGAGUUGUGAAGAACCCUGCAGUUUGACUAAUUCAUUAACAAAAUUCUGGACAUCUUGCUCUUGCAGUCCCUCUAAUCCAAGGUGUUCAAUUCCCUGUAGCUGCACGAUCAGCACAUCCUUCAAGCAAACCUUGGUAUUCAGCUCGAUUCUGAAAUCUCUACUGUAAAUGUCGUACUUCCGAUUCCAGAAAUAUCCGAUAGGUAUUCUGUACCUUUCCAGCUUCUCGAAGAACAAGCCUCUUGGGAGACUGUUGACAUCUUUGAUGUGUAAAUCCAAAGAGGUCAAAUUAUGCAAAUGCUUCAACUCCAGAAGGCUAGCGUUCUUGACCCCACCUACUUCCACCUCCCAUUUAUAAAAGCUAGUACCUAUAUACAGUUCUUCCAAAUGGGAUAAAUUUGACAAAAUAUUUGGUGGCAUAACUUCUAGUUCGUCACAACCUCUCAAAUCAAGCAACUUUAGCCAAGUCAAUUGACCUACUUCUACUGGCAAGUGGCUAAAACCACAACCUCUUAAGCAAAGGAUUUCUAGUUUCUUCAAGUCUCCUACAACACUUAAACCCAGCAAGUUGCAGUUACACAAACUCAGUGUUCGAAGGUUUGAGAGGAGACCAAGUGAUGAAGGCAGUGGCAGUAGAUUCAUGUAAGUCAAGUUUACAACUCUGACCUGUAUCAUCCUCUCGAAAAAGUUGUUUGGAAUUGUUAAUGAUGACGAUUCCUGAUGAUCAGCACGUACAGAAAAAAGUUUUAGCUGAGGAUAUUCCUGUUGUACUCCAUUAGGAAGCACAUUAGUCUUGAUGUCACGUAAGACGAUUGAAGUGUAAAGUUUUACUGCACUUUCGUCUGACCAUUCCUUGCAACCGUCAAACAGCUCACCUGUCGCCGUAAACACAUUUUUUUCUGCAGAUGCAAUUGAUAUUGCAACAUCACGAACAACAUCAUGCAUAGAAAGGCCUUCGUCUAGCAACAUACAAGAAGCUUUGAGUUUGUAGACCAACGUACUAAUUCGAUCUCGUGCUUCUUCCAUCUUACUGAUACCUUGAUAUAAACCCAAUCCCACACCGUAUCUUAACAAUUCAUCAAUGGAUUCCACAUAAGCAUAUCCUAUUAGCAAAAAGAGGUUCUUGACCUCCUCCCCUUCUAAUUUGUUGUAGCUCAACUCUAUAGCUUUAUAUGCUGCUGGCUGUAUAUCUUUGAAGUUCGUUGAGGAUGGCCUUCUUAGUUGUUUCAACGCAUCCUUCCAUUCAAAUAUACUCGCGCCCCUUAAUGCCCUUGCUACAGUCACAAUGGAAACAGGCAAACCUGCACAUUCCUUCGCCACAUCCCUUGUAACGCAUUUCAAUUCACUACCUUCAACAUAAUCGCCUGCCAUCAUCUUGAAUAGACUCCAAGCUUCUUCUUCUUCUAAAGCACCAACUACGAAAUUUUGUUGAGAAUCCAUCUUCCUUGACAACACCUCUAGACUUCUUGCCGUCAACAGUACUUUACAUCCCUUGUCACCAUCUCCGUGGGGAAUUCCCACCACCUGCAAAUCGAGAUAUUCCCAAAUAUUAUCUAAGAUGACAAGGAUCCUCUUCUCUUUCUUCAGUCGGCUAAAAAGACGUCUUGCCCUUCCCGAUUCGCUCUCCUCACGAAAUGUUAGACCUAAUUUAUCUGCGAUUUCUCCUUGAAUCUUUCUUAUGUCUGGGCUCUGGGACACCUCGGAAAAAACCACAAGAUCAAAGAGCUUGUCAUUUUUGGCUUUUCUUGCAACUUCUUUCGCCAGCAUCGUCUUUCCAAUGCCGCCCAUUCCACAAAUCCCGAGCAUGCUGUUAUCGGGAUUUCUUAAUGCACCAAGAAUAUCAUUCAGAGUGGACAUUCUUGAUUCAAAGUCCUCGUAGCCUUUGUUAGACAUAAGCAAUGUAUCCUCAGGAAUGAUUGUUGGGGAAAAAUCAGGUUUUUAAAUUUUUAUAAAACCUUUUGAAGAUCGCUCUCAUAUAAUAUAUAAGAAUUCGUAUUCUAGAAAUCGUACCUUGUAAAUCUGAGUUUGCUUUUUCCGCUGAAGUGAUUUAGGCUCCUAGAUCACGAUCCGCCACCACCACUCCUGUUAGAUCACGAUCCGUCACCACCACGCUUGUUAGAUCACGAACUGUCUCCAAUGAUCUUCCAGGUUAUGACUCAGGUUCGAUCUGCACUUGACGUGUGGGCGCCUUUAUCACUACCAAAGCAACUAGCACGAGAAAAUUUUUCUCUCAACAAUAGAGAGAAAAAUCUUAUUCUCCGAUUUGUAUAAAGUGGCUUCCUCCUUUUUUCUUUUGGGAAAAAUAAGCCUUUUAUAUCACCUUUUAGUGAAAACCCUAGGCUCCAAAUAAUACCCUAAAUAAAACUCACGUUAUUUUCUUUUUCAAUAGGGGACCCACCUUGUAAAAUAACAUAAGGCCCCUUAUACAAAAGCUAAUUAAAUGGAGCCUCCCACUAAAUGAUAUAUUUAGGCUUUUGACCCAAAUAGCUAGUUAUCUUACUUAUUAGUCCAGUAGUGGUGCAGUCAAUUAAAUGAGCUAACCCGGGGAUCAUUUGGGAACAUACAAUAGUGGCUACAAUAAUUAGGCCUGUAAUUAAACUAGCCCAAUUAUUUAAUUCCAAAUCUACUCCACUAAAAGAUUGGAACUGACUUCCAUAAUUGUAUGCUCGAAUAAUAAUUCGUCCCAAGCCACAUUGAUUUCUUUACUGCACAAUCCUUUGUACCACAUCGUUAAUUAAAUUGAUAUCUCAACUGUCCAAUCAAUUUAAUAACAUCUUAUUCCUUGAUCCUUACUGGUUUUCUCUAAUGAUCAUUUUCAACACACUAAAUAUGUUGAUACACUCUGGCCAGAGAAUUUUAUGAUCAAGUACCGAAAACCUAUCAAGAGAUGUGUUGUACAAAUUCUAUAUUGUUAAUCCAUAACUCCAAUACUCAUAAUUGCUCCCACCAAGAUACCGGGUAAUCUUGACCACAAGGAUGUGUCGUGCCCAUUGGUAACUCAAAUGAAAUAACAAUCACAAUCAUGAAAUCAUAAUUAACUCAAGAUUAAGAUUACAGUAAAAUCAACGCCUAUGAGAUUUAAUAAGUCUGACAGUUAUUACAAAGUUAAUUAAAUCUCAUAUGUGAUCCUGUUCAAUGUAGUCGUACUACAUCAAUAAAUUCAUACAUGAUUAAGACAAAUCAUUCAAUGAAUUUAUUACAGUCUAUACCUAAAUAAAGUGCCCAACUUUAUUUAUCAACUGCGAACUAAAUUUAUUUAAUCAUAAGAUAACUUGUAUUUAUGUCUUCUGUGAAUCCAUAUAGUGAUCACAUAAAUACAUAUAAUAUGAUUAAAUGGACUUUAAUACAAAUAUUAAUGCAAUUAAGAUAUUUGAAUAAAAUACCUCAUUUAUUUUAUUAAUCAGAAAAAAUGUUUAUUACAAUUAAAUAAACACAUAUGCUUUUAAAGAGCAUAUUUUCCCAACAAUCUCCCACUAGCUCUCAAAGCAUAUCUGGCAUAUUGCACAUGCUCUAGGGCUCUAAGUGUAGGUUAUAAAGGUUUCCCACUAAUGGUCAUUGUAAUAAGAUCUGCCAUUUAGCAUCUAAUACCAUUUGGGGUACUGUCAUAUAACCUUUCUACACUAUUCCCUUAUAAGAUGAUACUUCCUUUCAAUAUGUUUUGUUUCUUGUGGUUCCUUGGUUCCUUAGAUUGAGCUACCGCACCACCAUUAUCACAUAAUAGUUUAAGGGGUGCAGUUACAACAGGUACCACCUCAAGAUUUCGUAGGAACUUGCAGAGCCAUAUAGCUUCCUUUGCAGCUUCAGAUGUAGCCACAUAUUCAGCUUUAGUUAUUGAGUCUGUGAUACAAGAUUGUUUCACACUCAUCCAACUAAUAGCUCCACUUCCCAUUGUAAACACAUAGCCGGAAGUUGAUUUUCUAAAAUCCUUAUCUGACAAAAAAUCAGAAUUAGUAUAACCCACUAGAAUAAGUUUAUCACCAGAAUACACAAGUAUAUAAUUUUAAGUUCUUUUCAGAUACUUCAUUAUAUGCUUGACCGCAGUCCAGUGUUCAGGUCCAGGAUUAGACUAACCAUCCCUAUCGCAAAACAGAUGUCUGGCCUAGUGCAAAGCAUGACAUACAUGAGACUUCCCACAGGUGUUGCAUAGGGAACUCGUCUCAUUCUCUCUAUCUCUUCAGAUGUUUUAGGUGAUUGAUCCUUAGAGAAUGUAAUUCCAUGUCUGAAUGGUAAUAAACCAGUCUUGGAAUUUUCCAUGCUAAAUCUAGCCAAUAUCUUAUCGAUAUAGACCGCUUGAGACAAGGCUAAAGUUUUAUUCUUCCGGUCUCGUGGUAACUUGAUACCAAGAAUAUAACUUGCCUCUCCCAGGUCUUUCAUAUCAAAUUGUUCUGCUAACCAACUCUUUAUUGUAGUCAACACUCCUAUAUCGUUUCCAAUUAGAAGAAUAUCGUCUACAUAAAGAAUUAGGAAGGUUACAAUUUUUUCUUGAAUUUUCUUGUACACACAUGGUUCAUCAAUGUUCUGAAUGAAUCCAAACGAUUUUAUCGCUUGAUCAAAUCUGAUGUUCCAUGACCGGGAUGCUUGCUUCAAUCCAUAAAUUGAUCUCUGCAACUUACAUACCAUGUGUUCUUGGCCUUUUUGUAUAAAUCCAUCUGGUUGCUGAUGUAGAUGUUUUCUUCAAGAUGCCCAUUAAGAAAGGCAGUCUUGACAUCCAUUUGCCAAAUUUCAUAAUCUAGCACUGCAGCAAUGGAGAGCAGAAUCCUGAUGGAUUUAAGCAUAGCAACCGGAGAAAAAGUUUCCUUAUAAUUGAUUCCUCUUUUCUGAGUAAACCCUUCGGCUACUAAUCUUGCUUUAAAUGUUUCCACCUUUCCGUCUACUCCUCUUUUUCUCUUGUAGAUCCACUUGCACCCUAUAGGUUUUACCCCAUUUGGCGCCUCUACAAGUUCCCAGACUUUUUUGGAAUACAUAGAUUCCAUUUCUUGAUUCAUGGCCUUUUUCAAAAUUCAACAUCUCUAUCUAUUAGAGCUUCGUUGUAACUAGUGGGAUCUUGUACAUGUUCAUCUGAGAUAGCCAUAUAGGUUUCUCCCAAAAGCAUGUAUCUCGCAAGUAACCUAGUUACCCUCCCACUACGACGAGGUUCUAAAAGUGAUGGUUGUUCACGGAUAAUCCUGUACUGAUCAGCUGGUUGUUGCUGUUCUUCCUGUUCUAUAACAGGUGUUGAAAGCUGAGCAUCAACCUGAUCUCUUUUAUUUCUCUAGUUUUACCUUACUCUUAGGUUAUAAGUCAUUAUAGAGUCUUCCUCAAAGAAAGUAAAGAAUAUUUCUAUAAAUACAUUCCUAUCUUGAGGACUAUAAUUCAGACUUUCCCUUAUUCCUUUAAGAUACCUAAAACAUGCAAGCUUCUGAACACGAAUCCAUCUUGUCUAUCUCAGAUUCUAGUAGAAAUACUAGUAAACUCCAAAUACGAAUGUGUCUCAAACCAUGUUUGUGACUUUUUCAUAAUAUCUUGGAGUAGUUGACACCGAGAUAGAUGAAACUAAGUUCAAUAAACUUUGUAGUUUCAAAUACUAGUAUCUGGAAUCAAAAAGGUAAAUGAUAAACCACUUAGUAUAUAUCUUGUCUUAUACAAAAGAAUCUUGUUUCUCCAUUUAAUUACACUAUUGUAUUAUAGUGUUUAUUGACAACCAAAUAGUGCUUGAAUUCUCCAUAGAGAUAUUCUUUGUUUCGAUCAUAUCGAAGUUCUUUUAUGUUCCUGUCUAAUUGCUUCUGUCUUAUUCACGUACUCUUUUGAAUUUCAAAAGCAAUGGAAUCAUGACGCAUUUAGACAAACAUAAAUAAAAUGAAUAUUCAUCAACAAGAUUGAUAGAAUACUCAUAACCUCUUAUAACAUGUAAACUGAUUAGUCCGUAUACAUUUGUAUGCGCUAAAUCAUCAAAUACAAUGUUAUGCUUUUAGCUCAAAAAGAGCAUCCUUGUCAUAUUACUUUUCUAAAUAAGAUUUAUAGAGUUACAAUGAUCAAUCUUAAUAGGCCAACAAGUCUAUCAUUAAUCAUUUUCUUAAAAUCUUAUUAUAGUUUAUAUGACUUAAGCAUAAAUAUCAGAGGUGAUUUUUGGUUAGAAGAAACAUUUCUUUUCUUAGAUAAAUGCAUAUACUUUUUAUCAUUAUAUUUUACUUUGAAUAGAUCAAUGUACUUCUAUGAUAUAAAUUGUCUUUAUAAAUAACCAAAAUAAGUAAUAAAUAGAGGAUCCAUAAAUAACAGUGUACUCCUGUUUAUUAAAACAAGCCACCGAAAUUAAAUUCCUCUAAUAUUUGGAAAAAUAAAGACAAAUAUCAAAACUAAAGUCUUGUAAAAUUGAUCUAGUCUUUCAAUUGAUAUAAACUAACACGUCCUCAACUGCUGUUUGAAGCUUUCUUCACUUAAUCUCUUGGUUUCCUGAAAACCAAAUAAAUGAAUUACAAAUAAGAUUAGUUAUCUCAGAAUUCAUUAUUGUAUGAAUCAAUAGAAAUCUGAACUAAUUAGGAAGCUUAAAGAUUUCCUAUACCUGAUUUUAAUAAUCUUAGGACAAUCUUUCUUCCAGUGACCCUUCUGUCCACAUUUGUAACACUUGCCUUUUGGCUUGCCACUUCUUUUAGUGGACAGUUUGCCGAUCCCAACUCUUGCUUGCUCAUUCUUGUCUUUCGACUUAAGCCUUGAAGAGAAUCCUUUUUCAGGAAGUUUUCUGCUAUUAUAAAAUUCUUCUAUAGCAUGUAGUUCGUGCAUUAAUUCAAUUAAGGUCAUAUCUUUAUUGUUUAAGAUAUAACUGACCUUAAACUCUUUGAAUGUAUCAGGUAAAGAUUCAAUCACCAUGUUAAUCUUUGAUUUAUCAUUGAUUUGAACACCAUGAAUCUCUACCUCAUUCAAAUAGUCCAUCAUUUUGAGGACAUGAUCACGAACUUUUGUGCCCUCUUCCAUCUUAGUAUCCGUAAUACGUUUUAAUGCUGCUUCUCUGGCAAAAUGGGUAUUUUGCCCAAACAUCUGAUGAAGACUAGCCAUAAUUUCAGUGGCUGUUUCCAUGCUCCGAUGUUUCUUAUGCAGUUCCACAGAAAUCGAAGCCAAUAUAUAGCGCUUAGCCAUUUUGUUAGCUUCGCACCAUUUCUCAUAAGGCUCCCUCUGAUUUCUAUAAUCGUAUAACGAUGGUUCAGGAGGGUAAGGCUGAGUCAAAACAUAUUUGCUUCCCUUAGCAGUGAGAAUAUUAAAUAAAUUGCGUUUCCAAUCUAAAUAAUUUUCGCCAGUGAGUUCAUUUUUAACAAGGAUAAUUAAUAAUGGGUUGAUGGAAGACAUUUUCUGAAAAAAAAAAAAAAUAGACAUGCAUAAAUACUUUGAAACAAUAUUCACAAUAAAUGACAAAAAUGCAAAAAACCAUAAAUGCAUUUUAAUUUAUUGUAACGAUAAUCUAGUACCGCUUUGACAAGCUAUCCGUUGGGGAAGUCAUGUCUACACUUACUAGACCCAAUUAUCCAUUGGAUUAUUUACUUUCAUGUAGAGACAUGAUAAAUAAUUAUCGUUAUCCUUUUGGGCCUAAAUUUGUUAACAGAGCUUCGUUGGGAAGGUUAAUAACAAACUUUAGUUGAGUGUAUAACCAUUGUUUCAAUCUACGUAUUUUUCAUAUCAAUAGUCACCGUUGGGGUGAACAAUCGAUUAAAAAAUAUUUCAAUUUUAUCUUUGAAGAAGUUCAUCAAAUAAAAUAUCUAAUAUAUAUACCCUCCGAAGGGAGCAUCACCGUAUCAUGAAGUCGAGGUAUAUAUAUAAUUUUAUUAUUGAACUAACAAUGGAGCCUGUGGGUAAAUUAUCUUGAAUUUUCCCUCUCCCACUCAAUAUUUUGAAAUUGGUUUUUCCUUUUUAAAACAUACAUAUUAUUAAUUGCAUGCUUCCUAUAAUAUUAUCUAGAUGAUAUCAAAUAUUAUUAAGCAUACGCAAAUAUCAAACAAUAUAAUGAAAUUCAUUAUUAAUGAAUGACAUGUAUCAUUAUGCAUAGAGUGGCACUACCUAUUCUAUAUGACAUGUUAUCAUGGCAUGUGAUCAUCCAAAACAUAACAUAUAGAAAAACAAUUAAAUAAUCUUAAUUCAUGGCUUUCCUAGUAAUGAAAAAUACAUUAACCCUAAGCCUAAUCUUCAUUUGGCUUCUUGUCAAUGUCCAUCUUCCAUAAGUUUGUCUUUGUUAAUGGACUAGGGGAAAUUGGGCUUUUAAAUUUAUAAUUGGUCCAAUUUUAAUUUUGAAAUAAAAUAAAUAGUUUUAAUUUUAUUUUUAUUAAAAUAAAACUUUUAGACCAAAAAUAAAUUUAAUGUAUUUAAUUUUAUCUAUGCAUUUUUAAUCCAUUAAGCCUAAUUGAAAUUGGGCCUAAAACUAGGAUUCUUUAAGCCCAAAACUGUUUUUAGACUUAAAUGCAAAAAAUUAAAACUUGACUGCCCAAAUAAAAAAUUAUGGAACCAUAGGGACCUCCAUGACAAAAGCCAUGAAACCCUAAAUCCAUAUUUUUCUUUCCCCAGCCGCCAUCAUCACAAAGGCAUCCAGCCAUUGUUCACUGUUUCACACCGGACAGCCGCCGAUCUCCGACACAUCUCCAACCGCUGCCGCCUCGCCGGAAACGCAUCAAACCCGCGCGUGCAACUGGAAGCCCUUGCUCACGCUGCUGGUUGCACGCUGCAGCUGCUGGUCACAGCGUGCUCUGCGGGCUUGCAGCGCGCACGCGGCAACUGCUGGGCGUGCAGCGCGCGCUGCUGCCCACGCGGGCCGCGCGCUGCUCGCACAGCAGCGUGUGCUGCUGGCCGUUGCUGAAAUUUCCGUCCUCCAUUGUUUGCGCUCGUUUUCCAGUGAUGAUGCUUCGGUGAUUUACAAAUUUUCAACGCAAAUUUUGGCUUACAAAAUUUCAAUUACAGUAAAAUAAAUCAAGAGGGAAUUAUGGUGAUAAAAAGCCACCCCUCUUGUUACAGAUCCAAACGAAAAAUACAACGGAAAAUCUAACCAUGAAUUAAGACAAACCAAAACAUGCUUUAUUCAUAUAUUAAACAAUUAAUAUAUAUCUGAAUAAAUUGUUCCACUCUAAUACAUAAAUUUCAAGAAUGAUUUCAUACGAAAUUCUUAUAUAUUAAUAUGAGAUGGCUCUGAUACCAAUUGUUGGGGAAAAAUCAGGUUUUUAAAUUUUUAUAAAACCUUUUGAAGAUCGCUCUCAUAUAAUAUAUAAGAAUUCGUAUUCUAGAAAUCGUACCUUGUAAAUCUGAGUUUGCUUUUUCCGCUGAAGUGAUUUAGGCUCCUAGAUCACGAUCCGCCACCACCACUCCUGUUAGAUCACGAUCCGUCACCACCACGCUUGUUAGAUCACGAACUGUCUCCAAUGAUCUUCCAGGUUAUGACUCAGGUUCGAUCUGCACUUGACGUGUGGGCGCCUUUAUCACUACCAAAGCAACUAGCACGAGAAAAUUUUUCUCUCAACAAUAGAGAGAAAAAUCUUAUUCUCCGAUUUGUAUAAAGUGGCUUCCUCCUUUUUUCUUUUGGGAAAAAUAAGCCUUUUAUAUCACCUUUUAGUGAAAACCCUAGGCUCCAAAUAAUACCCUAAAUAAAACUCACGUUAUUUUCUUUUUCAAUAGGGGACCCACCUUGUAAAAUAACAUAAGGCCCCUUAUACAAAAGCUAAUUAAAUGGAGCCUCCCACUAAAUGAUAUAUUUAGGCUUUUGACCCAAAUAGCUAGUUAUCUUACUUAUUAGUCCAGUAGUGGUGCAGUCAAUUAAAUGAGCUAACCCGGGGAUCAUUUGGGAACAUACAAUAGUGGCUACAAUAAUUAGGCCUGUAAUUAAACUAGCCCAAUUAUUUAAUUCCAAAUCUACUCCACUAAAAGAUUGGAACUGACUUCCAUAAUUGUAUGCUCGAAUAAUAAUUCGUCCCAAGCCACAUUGAUUUCUUUACUGCACAAUCCUUUGUACCACAUCGUUAAUUAAAUUGAUAUCUCAACUGUCCAAUCAAUUUAAUAACAUCUUAUUCCUUGAUCCUUACUGGUUUUCUCUAAUGAUCAUUUUCAACACACUAAAUAUGUUGAUACACUCUGGCCAGAGAAUUUUAUGAUCAAGUACCGAAAACCUAUCAAGAGAUGUGUUGUACAAAUUCUAUAUUGUUAAUCCAUAACUCCAAUACUCAUAAUUGCUCCCACCAAGAUACCGGGUAAUCUUGACCACAAGGAUGUGUCGUGCCCAUUGGUAACUCAAAUGAAAUAACAAUCACAAUCAUGAAAUCAUAAUUAACUCAAGAUUAAGAUUACAGUAAAAUCAACGCCUAUGAGAUUUAAUAAGUCUGACAGUUAUUACAAAGUUAAUUAAAUCUCAUAUGUGAUCCUGUUCAAUGUAGUCGUACUACAUCAAUAAAUUCAUACAUGAUUAAGACAAAUCAUUCAAUGAAUUUAUUACAGUCUAUACCUAAAUAAAGUGCCCAACUUUAUUUAUCAACUGCGAACUAAAUUUAUUUAAUCAUAAGAUAACUUGUAUUUAUGUCUUCUGUGAAUCCAUAUAGUGAUCACAUAAAUACAUAUAAUAUGAUUAAAUGGACUUUAAUACAAAUAUUAAUGCAAUUAAGAUAUUUGAAUAAAAUACCUCAUUUAUUUUAUUAAUCAGAAAAAAUGUUUAUUACAAUUAAAUAAACACAUAUGCUUUUAAAGAGCAUAUUUUCCCAACAAUGAUACUGUGGGAAAUUCUUUCAAAUCUCCCAUCUUCCCGAAGCUUGACUAUAGCGUCCAGCUGCCUCACUGCUUCCUUGCUAAGUCUACGGCGCAUCUUCAAAUUAGGACAACAACCCUUGAAACUAUGCUUAUUUGCUGUAGCUUCAACACCUACAAAUUUCUUUCCCUCAACAGUGGCCUCGUUUGCGCUUGCAAGCCAAUUCUGAACGUUCUGUUCAAUCUCUUCACCUUUUCUUUCUGCAUCAUUAACCGCGUUCUCCAUACUCACGAUCUCACCCUCCAGCUUCUCAACUUGAUUAUUGAGAUUCUUAAAGUUUCUAGUGUAGUCGCGCACAUAACUAAAUUGGCGUUCUAUGGAAGGAGCCAAGCACUUUGCAACUUCUAUAACAACAGAAACUAUGAUUUCCACCAUCUUUAAUCCUUUUGGCUCACUCUUUUUUUUUUUUUUUUUUAAGAAAAAAAGACAUUGGGAAACAGAACAGAGACAAGAACUGAAGCACAGAACAAUUGAUUAGUUCGGAAGCAAACUGACACUGAGAGGUUAAGCGCAAGUGAUAUGGGGCAGAGUAAAAAAGGAAAAAAAAAAAACAAGAGUGGAUACGGAACAGAACAACUAUAAGGAGCAGCGCCUAAAUAACAAGACUGGGGAUCAAAGAAUGCCAAGUGUCGUUGAGAUCAUAAGAUUGAAAAUUCAAACGAGUUUAUGGCAAAAACUGAGGAACAAACAAAAGCACAUAACUUAAGAAAAGAUAAGGCAUAUUAGCAAACAACUUCAGCAAGUUUAUCGAUUUAGUUAUUUAAUUCAUGUAAUAAAAUAUUAAAAUCUACAAGGGAGCAUUAUGGCUUGAUAAAAGUUUGAGGUACAUUCCUUCCCUCUAAUUAAAGAAAAUUAGGAAUAAUGCUGAUUCAACCAUGUAUAAUUUAAAUUAAUUGAAGUUAAUAGUCGUAAAUAUGCUUUGAUUAAAGUUGUUGUGUGAAUAUACAUAUAAUAAUUGUUGGUAAAGUUUCUGAAAUGUGACUCCUUUAAAUGUCCAUCUCUUCGCUCUGAGGAAACGUUAACAUGGGAGAUGAAGCUAUAUUGCUAUAACAGUGUUUGAGCAUUUUCACCAAGUACGUAAUAAGUUUAUCAACUUAUGUAUUUAUUUCAUUUCCUAAAUAUGAAAAGCUACAAAGAGAGAAUAAUGGGUUGCUAAAACUUCAAGGAAUGACAUUCAUUUCCGAUCAUUGAAGAAACUCCAUGAAUGCUGAUUCCAUCAUGUAGAAUUUAAUGUUAAUUAAAGAUAAAUUUCAGAAAUGCAAAUCUUUUAAAUGUCCGUUUCUUCACUCUGAGGAAAAGUUCACUUGAAUAUGCUAUAACCGUGUUUGUGUAGUGGGCCAAUUUCUACGAGUAUUUCUUAGUCAAAGUUUCAUACAAAACUAGAAUACUUAUACGCAGGGGAGGACAUGGCAUUUUUAUUGAAGGCAAUUAAUUUGGGAGUAGUGAUGAUGUUCGGUAGCAUAUACGUUGAAGUUCUAGUGCAUAAUGGCAUUUAUGUUGAAUGCUACGUCAAUAAACUUUACUAAAACAUUCCACCUCUUUUUACCGCUUCUGUCAUUGCUCUGAAUCAGCCUCACUUUUUUACCGCUUUGUCGUUGCUCUGAUCAGCCUCACAUUUUACCACAUGUUAGAUUAUCUAAUUACAUUCACUCUGUCACAAGAAGACGCCACCAACUUUAAUUUUUAAUGCUAGCCACUAGUAUGCAUUCCAAAAUAUAAACAUACAAGGGCGGUUUGGGAUAUUUUUGAGGAAGUUUAAAAGUGAUUUGAAAAGAUAAAAGUUAAUUUUAGUAUUUGGUAAAUUUUUUUAGAAAUUAUAUUUAGGAAAAUCACCCUAUCUUAUAGUAGAUUUUGAAAAAAUAAGGAGUAGUUUUUCAACAUCUGAUUUUGAGAAUAAAUUUUAUACUCAAUAUAAUUCCAUAUAUAUCCUCAUAUAGGAAAUACAAUAAUUAACUUUAAAGAGAUAAUUAUUAUUAAUAAUUAUAUUGAGAUAAAAAUAAAAAUAAAAUUAAUAAUAUAAAAUAUUGAUUUUAACUAUCAAUUAUUAUAUAUACACACACUAAAAAAAUUAUACACAUUUUUAUAAACGUGUAAAUAAAUUUUAUUCAACAUUAUAUACAAUCCAGUCAUUUAUAUUCUCAUAGUAGUUUAAGAGUAAUAUUUACCGAACACAUAUGAUUAUUUUUUAAAACUCACAAUACCUUUAAAAUAAAUUUUACCAAACAUUUAACUGAUUUUUUUCAUAAUUGAUUAUUUCUACAGUGUAACUAAUAAUAAUUAUUUUAAAAGAUACAACAUUACCCAACUAUCCCAAAGUCCUCCAAGAUCUUCACGAGUAUAAGUGUAAUUAGUUUGAGUUGAUAACAUCAAAAUCUACUAAUUUACAUAGUUAAAGCCAGGAACUCACAAUAUAACGGCAAAUAUCAAUAUGUAGUCUCAAGUAACAACGGCAUUGGUCAAAAAACUAUGAACAUCUUCUCACAACCACAUCGAGUAAAUGCUGCUCGUAUUGAGUCAAUCUAAAUUCCCUUUUGUCAAAUAUAAAUGAAAAAAAAAAAAAGUAAGUGAGACCAAAAACUAUGGCGAUCAUUCAUGUCUUUUGGCAUUUCACAUUCGAUAUUUGUAAAUAUGCAAAAAACAAUCUAUUGAGUAUGAGAUUCUUAAUUUUUUUUUCACCCAAUCUAUUAAUAUUAUUGGACGUAAUUGGAACUUGGAACCACUUAUGUCAACUUUAAAUUAUAUCAACUUUAGACUGACACACUUAGAUAUCAGAGUUUAUAAAAUGAUUGAUCUACUUCGAGCCCAAAGUUUUUUUUUUUGGAAAAAAAAAAUUUAUCAGUUAAUAAAGGAAUAAAUUUUCAAACUUUUUAGUAACGUUCUAGAUUGGGCCUCGAAAAUCAUAAAAUGGUUCAUUUAAAAAUAAAAAAAAAUUAAUAUUUUUAGAAAACAAAAAUAUAAGAUUGAUAACUGGACCUAGACUCAGCCCGGUCCGGGUUUGAAAUUUCAAGCCUAGGUCCAUCUCUCCCACCAACCGCUGGACUGGACGAUCCAUUCAUAAUUUCGUAUGCUGUUGAUAGAUAUAUAGAGUUUAGCUUUUGGCACCCUUAUUAAAAUCCUUACAACACCUCUUUUGAAUUUUAUUUCUUAAAAUAUCUUAGUUUCAAUUUAUAAAGUAUAAAUCUCUAUGAAAAGAUUAACCAUAUUCCCACAAAAUGUCAUCCUAAAAAAAUUCGCUUUGAAGUUUUAAUUAUAAAGUACAUAUAAAUCCUAAAAUUCUUUAAGUAUUUUCUUUUUAUUAUUUUACUUAUAUCUCCAUAAUUCAAAACAAUUUUAAUUUUUUAAAAAAUUCAAAUUUAAAUUUAAAAUUUAAAUAUAAAUUAUGAAAUGUAUAUUUUGUUAAAAGAAUGUUUUAUUUAAGUGUUUAAUUGACUUUUAACUCAAAAUAAAAAAAAAAAUAAUUUGUCUUUGGUUAUUUAGGUAAUUUCAAUAAAAAAGGGGGUUUCAUGAGGAAUUUUGAGAAGUACAGAAAGGCGUACUCGUACACGUGUUUGCGUGUGGGUGUGGGUAUAGGGGGGGUGUGUUCGUGUGUGUGUAGAGUGGGUUUAUCCAAUUGGGAUCCCUAACUUUAUUAAAAUCAAGAAUAAGAUUAAAAAAACUACUGAUUUCAAUACAUUACAUAACAAAAUAUAGUGUAUUGGAGUCUAUGUUUUUUUUUUCAUUUUUUAGUUUAUUCCUGACUUUAAUAUAGUCAGAAUCUUUGAUUAUAUAUAUAUAUAUAUAUAUAGUACCCCAUAAAAAAUAUUAAAAAAUUAUUAUAAAUCUAAUAGCACAACAACAAUUCCAAAACUGCCCUCCAUAUAUUCCUCUACCUUUUUUUUUUCUUUCUAAUAAAUUCGCAGGGGCUAGGAUCAGUACCUCCACCUCUUACUUGCCGUCAAGAUUAGUUUAAUUAGAACAAAAACAUAGACCCAGAAAAUUUUAAUUUUUCAUUCAAGUUAAAAUUGUAAACUUUUAUAUAUGUUUUAAUCAAGAUUUUUGACGGUUGUGAAAAGCUCCAGUUAUACAUAACAAAUAGAUCGCAAUGGUGUUUUCUCACAUAUUUUGUACAUCUAUUGUUUGGCUUAAAUUGAAUUGUAAAAAUAAUGCCACUAUAAGAAAAUGAACAAUAGAUGACAGACAAUUUGUAACAAAUUCUAAGUAAAAUAACUUAAAUCAUAAUACUAUGACGGAUUCAUAAUAGGAAUUUCAAUCUAUCAUACAUCAAUAAUGGUUUUGUGAGAGAAAUAUUUUCUAUCACGGAUUUAUGAUGGUUUUAUAAUAGAAUUAUCGUUUAUCACAGAUUUAUGAUAGAAUUGUGAUAGAAAUUUGAUCUGUCAAGAAAUUGAGAUAGAAUAAUGAUCUUGACAUGUUUGACCCAAAUUUGAUGUAUUAUUUCAUUUAAAAAAAAUAUGCAUUUUAAUAAUUGAAAAAAAAAAAAACACUAGCAAGACGCUUCCGUUUUUGGUACCUAACACUACUUUUCUUUUUCUUCUCUAAGGGUUAACACUCAUGCACUUGGAAAUCAAAAUCCUAAAAGCUACUUCUGUAGCUCGUUUCUCCUAGCAAGGAUUAUUAAUCCUCAAGUUUGCUUGUUAAUCAUUUUCUUUAUUGCUUUAACUUUUGUUUUAGAGAACUUGUUUCAUGUGAAUGGUCUUGAUCUAGUUGGAAUAAAGAAUUAAAUCCACAAAGAUUGUGAAUCUUAUAUCUUUCAUAGUUUUUUUUUUAAUUGCUUGAACUGCAAAGAACUAGAUUGUUUUGUGUAUGUUUAAGUUUUGUUGGUGCUAGUUUUCCUCUGGGCAGCUCGAUAAUUCUGAAACUGAAAUGUUGAGGGGAUUAUUAGUAAACAUUGUUGAGAAUUUAGAAUUUGGUGUUGUGUGGUUUUUUAUGAUGUUUGAUCAAAGUGGGGCAAAUGCUUUUGCUACACAUUUGGUCCUCCAAUUAUGAGUGGGCUAACCCGGGCUGCAGCCCGGGUAAGUUUUUUUUUUUUUUUUUAAAGUUAAGUAUAAUUUAUAAAUUUAACUUUAUUAAUACUUAUAAAAAAAUAAAUAAAUCUAAUAGCCCACCCCAUAAAACAAUACUAGCUUCGCCAUUGCUUUUACAUAAGGUAGUGCCAUUAAUGAUUUUGUUCAAGGCGGCUGAAUUGGAUUACUUUAGAAAUUUAUAAUUAGGUAUUUUAAAUAAAUGGCUAGAUAUUUGUCUUUUGCUUGAACUCUGUGAAUUUUUAUUUCAUGUUUUCUUAUAUUUUCUUGAUGUUCUCACGGGUUUCAUUAAGUUAUAAUCUUUUUAAUGCUUCGUUUUCUUCUAUUUUAGAACUAGUUUUGAGAUGGAUUCCCCUAUGGAAACUGACAGAAUUUGAUUACUACUACAAAUACUCAUUUGUGAAAAUGGUUUUCUAAUUUUUAUGUGAUGGCUUGUGGUAAAAUUACUAAUUUAAAAUAUAGUGGAGACACGGUUCUUAUGAAAAUGUGAAUCAAUGAUAACAUAUAUUGGCAUUAUAGUAGCAUGCGAUGAACUUUUUCUCCUUUUCUUAAAUUCGGCAAUUGAAUUGUCAGCUCAGCUUUCUUUUAGCUUCUAUGUUCUCUUUUUCUUUGGAGGUACGAUAGAUAUUUUCAAUAGGAUAGUUCAGCUUAUAAAAAAAAUAGUUGUGUGUAAUUAUUAGAGUGUAAACUAUUAUUAAGGUAUGCAGGUUUGUUCAUAGUUACACUGGUUAUUGCUCUAAUUCUUUUCUUGAACAAGAAUAAGAUGCUGAGUUAUGGGACUAGGAGUUACGGAACUAGUAUUCUUGAGGCCAACAAUUGCAGGUUAUUUAGGAUAUUUUGUGAAAUUUUGGAUUGUUGUAGUUUGAAUACUUCAAUGAUAUGGAUUGUAUGGUUAAAUGGAUAUCCAUGUUUAAUUAAUUGGAUUUUUUUAAUUUUUGUAUCAUGUUUAAUAUUUAUUUUAGAUUUAUAAAUUAUUUUAAAAACAAAUUUGUAGAAUUUGAGAAUUCUAAUAACAGCAACAACAACAACGACAACGACAACGACGUUAACAUUAAUUCAAUGCAAAUAAUGAUAACAUUAUAUGUAAUAUCCCAAAUCUCCUAAGGGUAUUUAAGUCUUUUUAAUUUUAGUGAUCCUUUUUACCCUAGUAUAAAUAGAACAAGAUGUCUUUACAAUUACAAGAGAGAAAAUAAAAGAAAAAGAGAGGAAGAAAGUCUUCAUCUUCUUCUUAGUUCUGCCAUAGGCAACACAUGGGAUCAAGUUGUUAUUGUUGGGAGAAGUUUUGGAGGUAAGUUUUAAUCUUGGUUUUUGUUAAAUUGUUGUGGAGAAGCAUGAUUGCAAUAGAAGUAGAAACCUAAGAUUUUACAGAAAUAUGCUGACAGUGAAUUAUUACAAAAAUCAUAGUACUUUGUACAAAUUGAUUUUCAUUCUGAUUUUUGGGUGCGUUAAACUAGACAUCGUCUAGAAUAUUUUGAAACUUGUUUCAAGUUAAUCGGAUAAGAUUUCAAUUAAUUACGAGUUUUCAAAAUCAAGUCUGAAAACCUGGAAAUUUAUGAUUUCAGUGAAUAACGUGAAUUACGAAAUUAUUUUCACCAUAGAUAGACUUCUUCAAAAAUUAUGAAAUUUGGACCAGUGAUUUUUAUAUAUGUCUAGUAUGAUUAUGGAAAUUUUCAUGAUUUUACAAUAAAGCAAUAAAUUGUUUUGUAUUUUUAAAGCAAGUGUGUUCAAAAUAGAAAAUUGUUUGACAAUAUUGAUGAUGUCUAAAACGUCAAUUAUUUUCAAUAGUUUUUUAAAGAAUUAUGUUAUGAAAUUUUUAUCAAAUGAACUUUCAAUUUGUCAGCAUAUGGUCUGUAAAAUUUGAGAUUCUUGGGAAUAAUUUAUUAAAAAUCAGAGAAUAUGGACUGUUAUGUUUUGAGGGCCAAUUAUUGAGGACAUUUGAGGUUGAGCUUAGGAGUUGUUUAAAUUGAGAAGUUUGAGGGCAUUAGAGUUUAUGAUUGAGAUUUGAUUUAAGGAUAUAGAUGAUAUUGAUAAGGAUAUUUUUUAUGAUGAUUAUAGGACGUGGGUGAGUUCGUUGGUUUGUUCUUGAGGUAUUGAGUUGAUUGCUGCGGAGUGAGGUAAGUAGAUUCAUGCAUGAUAUGCUCUAUAAUAAAUGCAAUUUUUUUUAUAAGAAUUAUGUUUAAAUGGAAAUUUUUACAAAAACUGAUUUCUAAAAUAUUUAAAUGAAUUUUGUAAAAUAAAAACGUUUUUAAAUGAGUUUAUAUAAAUGUAUUUUAAAAUGAAUUUUUCUUAAGAAAUUAGUUUUCUUAAACUAAAUGUUUUCUUAAAGAAUUUUCUAAAAGAAUUAAAUGUUCAAAGAAAAGUUCUUAAAUGUUUUAGAAGAUUUUAAAUGCUAUUUAUGAAAGGAUGUAAAGUGGAUUCAAAAAUGUUUUGGCUCAUAGUCCGUAAUAAUGUAUACAAUGCAAAUGUUAUGAUGUUAUGUAAUGUUAUGGCCAGCUUGCUGGUAUGAUGAUGAUCUUGUGCACAAGGAUGUUACGAACAAUGUGGGGUAUAGUACCCUGAAUGAGGAACAAUGCAGGGUAUAACACCCUAAAAGAUGAAUGAUGAAUGAUGAAUGAUGAUGACUACGAGGCAUGAGCUACCAAUAUUUACGCUUUAAUGUUUUUAUAAAUGUUUUAAUGUUUUUAUAAGAAUCCACCCCUUAUGCUAAAUGAAGAUGUUGUUAUAAAAUGUUUACGGUACAUGACAAAGGUUUUCAAAUAUUGUGCAUGGAUUUGCUUACCGAGUUGAUGGCUCACCCCUCGUCUCUAAUAUUUUGCAGAUUGAUUAGAAAUGUGGCUUGGGUGCUUAGAUGGAGAAUGUUUCUUAGUGGAUCUUUGGAGUCGCUUUAAAGAUUAAAUUUGACUAGACUUUUUAUUUUGGAUUAGAGACUUUCCUUUGGAGACUUUAUUUCAUAUGUUUUAUGUAAGGAUUCAAUUGGAGUAUGAAUAAUGAUUGUCUAUCUUGAGAUUUAUUAAGAAGGAUAAAAGAUGUGAGUUUUUCAUUCCAAUUUUACCCUUGUGUUUUCUUGGGUAAUUUUUGGGGUGUUACAUAAUAAUUCAAAAUAAUAAUGCUUUUAAGUAAUUUUAAUAUUGAAAUAAUAUCAAUUUUCAGCCAAAAAUUAAAAAAAAAAUUCCAAAAAUUUAAAUAAUUUUAAUUUCCCAUUAAAAAGAUUGAGUGACAGAUAUAUGACUGUGAAAAACUGUCAUGAAGUGAUGACGGAAGAUAUUCUAUCAUAAAUUAAUAAUAGUGAUAUAGAUGAAGGAUAAAUUGUCUAUCAUACACUCUCUUUUAUUACAGUUAUAUACCGUCAUCUAUUGCCUAUUAUUUUGUAGUGUGCUCUGUAAGUAACAUCAUAUAUUAGAAAUCAGUCCAUGAUCUUGAACUUUCUUAAAGCCCAAAAAAGACAUUAUGUCAGAUAAUAUAAUUAUGUGGCGUAAUAAUUUUCCCAAACUUUAAGAAAAUUUAGAAUUCUGGAUCAGAUGAGUACUCUAUCAUAUAUACACCAAUAAAUUCUUAGAAACAAGUCUUUUUUAUUUCGAGUCUAUAUCGAAAGGAUUUUAUUUAAUUAAAUGGAAAAUAAGAGAACAUCCAAUAAUUUUUUCUUUUUAAGUUUCUAGUUCAUGCUUAUAAUAAUGUUCGAAAUGGAUAGAUGAAAGAAAAAUAUUAGUUUUUUUUAAAAUUAAUUCAUAUAUUCUAAACCAUAAUUUAUAUUAAAAAAAAUCACUGGAAAGAAAUAAUUUUUUUUUUUAAAUACAUAAUGAGUAUCAUUUGAAAAAAAAUUGCAUGAUUAUAGUGAUUACAAGCUUAUUCAAUGGCUAGAUCCAUCAUUAUAACAACCGAAACACUCCAGCAAUCCAAUACAUUUAACAAAAGACACACACUCACAAGCAUGAUUAUUGAUUCACACACGUGUAUUUAAUUAAUGGGAAAUUAUCAUUGCACCACCUUUAUUUUUCCUUAUGUUCAUCUAACCACUACAAAAUUUUAACAUGUACUUUGCACCACUUUUCUUUUCACAUUUGUAUCAACUAGCCACUUUUUCAUUAACAUUAUUAAAUAAUUUUAAUAAAAAUGAUAAUUUUACCCCCAAAUAAAUGAAAAGACUAUUUUAUCUUAUAAAAACUUUUAAAAUUAAAAAUUAUAAUCAUAAAAAAUCCCUAAAUUUAAUUAAAAAAAUCCCGAAUAGAGGUGCUUAACUGAUUUUUACUAAAUUUAGAUUUUACAAAAUUUUAAUAAUUAUUUUUAUUAAAAAUUUUAAUUUUAUAAAAUUUUAAUAAAAAUAAAUGAAUUUAUUUAUUAAAAAUUAUAAUUUUGUAAAAUUUUAUUAAAAUAACUGAAUUAUUUCUUAGAAGAAUAAAUCCUAAAAUUUUAAUAAUUUAGGGGAUUUUUAUUAAAUUCCAAAAUUUUGCAAUUAUUUUUAUAAUUAUAAUUUUAUAUUAAAAUAAUUUAUAUUAAAAAUAAAAAUUCUAAUUUUGGGAUUUAUUUUUAUUAAAUUUAGGGAUAUUUUAUCAUUUUAUUUUUAUUUUUUAAACUUUUUAUAAAAUAAAAUAGUCUUUUCAUUUAUUUGGGGGUAAAAUUGUUAUUUUAUUAAAAUUAUUUAAUAGUGUUAAUGCAAAAGUGGUUAGUUGAUACAAAAGUGAAAAGAAAGGUGGUGCAAAAUAAAUGUUAGAAUUUUGUAGUGGUUGGAUAAAUAUAAGGCAAAAUAAAGGUGAUGCAAUGAUAAUUUCCCUUAAUUAAUUAACUAAAAUACCGUACUUGAAAAGUCUUUGCGGGUGCCUACAAAUUGAUAUUUGGACUGUUCCACCAUUCAACCUGAAAUCAUCAAGUGAAAGAAAGAAAGAUGGCACUAGAUUAAUCAAAUUGUGACACCUCCUUACAUAAGAAUAACCAAAUUGUUCAUAUUAGAGGACUCUUGUUCCAAAAUGUGCUUCAGAUCACAUAACUUAUUUGCUUUUCUUAUGAUAACCUCCGUCCCAUUUUCAACCUUUUCUUUCGACAGCCAUUCAUCAUAUGCUUCUAUUUUGAUAACUUUCAUGGGAGGAAAUCUCUGGAGGAACUCAUCAAGUGAUAAAAUAGUAGUCCACUCAUCAACAAAGUCCACAUCAGGACAUUUUAAGUUUGCAUAGCAAGUCUUCUGAAAAUAGACAAUUAUUUGAUCAAUCAGAACAAAAAAAAUAAAAUUGCUAAAUGGAUUAGUUAAUGUUCUCUCCAACAAUUUCACAAAAUUAGUAUUGUAAUUUUUAGAGGGAAUUUAACCAAAAAAAAAAAAAAAGGCUACGGCUAGCAAAAACAAUAUUUAUUUAUCCAAUAAAUUUUUACCUCUUAGAAAAUAAUAACAAUACACCUAACAUGCAGAAAGUGUACAUAUAAGAAUUGAAUAAUUAAUUAUAACUUUCAUAUACGUACCUUUUCUGUCAAGUCAUCUCAAACAGAGGCCAAGUAUUGUUGACAUCAGAGGAUUGAAAAUACCAAAGGAUUGUUGGCAAAAGCGGGAUAACAAAUCAACAGCGAGCACAAUAAGACGGAAGCAAAAUGUGACUCUGAUCAAAAGAUGUAAAUAAUAAGGUUUGUUUUUUUAUUGGGAAUGAAUGCAAAUGACUGAUAUUACAAAAAAGAUUUCAUUAAUGGAAGAGGGGUAGAAGAAUAAUGGACGUAAAUGAAGAAAGGAUUUUGUAAAUUGUAAUGAAUGACUGAUAUUAAGGUUUGUUUUUUGCCAUACGUUUUAAGAAUGACACCCCACAGAUUCAACAAGUCAACAAAGGGUCAAAAGUUGAAAGUGAGCGUUUUCAUUUUUUAAAUGCAUUCUAUGCUGUAAAGCCAAGGUUCCUUCGCUAAUUUAAUUUAGAAUUGAAUAAAAGAAUGAAUAAAUGAAGAUAAAGAUGAGAAGGUGAUAGCUUUAAUUAUGAUUAUUUGUUAGCCUGGUGAUGACAGACCCAGUAUAAAGGUUAAAAUACAGAGCAGAAUAUUUGUGAUGUCAGUUGGUACCUAAAAUUCUCAGUAUUUGAGUAGUUAAAAGCGAAAUUAAAUAUUAAAAUAGACAAAGGAGAAUAAUGGUUUGCUAAAGGUUCAAGGAGUAUCAUUCCUUUCCGCUCCUUGAAGAAAGUCCAGGAACAAUGAUGCUGAUUCAAGCAUGUAUAAUUUAAUGUUAAUUAAAGUUAAAGCCAUCAUAUUCGUAAAUAUGCUUCGAUUAAUGCACUCAUGUCAAUAUAAGCUCUUUAAAUGUUCCAUUUCUUCACUUUGAGGAAAAGUUGAACGUGGAAGACGAAGCAAUGGUAUAACAGUUUUUAAAUUCUUGCAAGCAUUUCACCAAAUACUUGGUACGCAUAAUCAAAGUUUAUUUAAUCAGUUUGUAACGUUUGGUUACUGAGAAAGAGUAAAAAGAAAGUUAAGCAUUGAAAGAAAAUUUUCAGAUCAGAUGAUCAUGAUCGUUUUCAUUACAUAUUAAGUCUAAUUACAAGUCCUUUUAUAUCAGUCUCUGGAACAUUCUACAAGCAUCAAAAUCAUAUACUUGGGCUAAAGUUAAUUACAAGUUACAAACUUGCUGCCAGAUCACCAGUUUAGUUAUCUAACAAACUUAACGAACUGAAGCAUCUAAAGAAUAUAUUCCAGAGUAUGUUCCUUAACAUGCAUAAAUGGUCAAUCAUACUUGCCAAAAAAAUUGAUGAACAUUCACUUCUAAAGAAGCAAACUAAUGUUUGUAAAAAUCAUAAUUAGCCAAAGAAAGUUCAUGUAUUUUUUUUUUUCCUUUUAAGAUUCAAGACAAUUCUUCAAAGAUGAAAUCAGUUUUUAUUGUUAUAUAUGUGUUUUGAAAAUGGAGAUGAUCGCUAUGCCAAUUAAAAAAAAAAAGUAAUGAUAUACUUACUACAAUUAAUAUGGCAGUUAGUAGUUAGUACACCAUUACUACUGGGUAAAAAAAAAACAAAAACAAAUUUACUACAAAACAAAAGAAAAUUACACGAUAAGACAAACUAUUUCUGGUCUCUUGUGGAUUUUGUACUAAUUAUUAUACUAAUUAUCAAUAUUCAUAAGAAAAUAAUGCACAACAAUGAAGGGACCAUGCAGAGGUAAAAAAAGUUAUUUUAUUUUUUUAAUAAAAGUAAAACAUUUAGCUAAGAUUUAUUUUGGUAUUUGGAAGGAUGUACAAAGCAAAAGAGAAUAUGAUAAAGUGCAAAAAACAAACCACACCCUCCAUGACAAUAUAAUGAGUUGAACUAUUUCUUUUAAAUCUAGUUAAAAAAUUAGCUUAAUUGUAAAUAAAGUGAAAAGAAUUAGGAUGAUUGUAAAUAUUAAAAUUUAAAAUUUAAUUUUGACCACUCAUUUGACUAGAAGAGAUUGAGAGAGAAAAUAAAACUAAGAGAAGAUUUUUACCCCAUGAAUAAACAUGGUCAGAAUACGAACUUAAUUGACCUUUGACUUGGUCAGAAUACGUGAUGCACGUGGUGCAAACACGUGAGCACCCAAAUGACGAAUUCCAAAAGCAAACGCAUCGUUUUUUUUUUCUGGUCUUGAAUAUUGAUUCAUCAACAACAAAUAUCAUGCCGACUUUGGGGAAAAAAGAAAAAAGCACUAUAAACUAUAUCUUUUCCAUUCAUUAUAUCAGAAGAAUACAAUGAUUAAUGAAAGAAAACAGAGUUUGUGUUUGGUAAACGAGAAAGUUAAAAUGAAAGAGAAAGAAAAUGUUGAUAAACUGGAAACUGUAUUCUUAUUAUUAAUUAAUCAACGUAUUUACACACUUAUAUAACAAGUAUCAAUUCUUUGUUAACUUGGUUGUUACACAUGCACGUAGUAGCUCUUGUAACCAAAAUAACAGAUAGAGCCACGUCAGCUAGCUUGCUAUAACAAACUGAGCCAAGGAGCUAAUCUGUUACAGUACAACACACAUUAACAAUCAUGUGCUCACUUCCUCUGUUUCAUCACAAUUAAUCAGAUUCACUAACAUCCCCUCUUAAACUAAAGUUCCUUCCUUUUUCCCUCAUAACUUUCUUUCUCUGCUGCUGUUACUGCUUCACUCAUUUUCAGUUUCACCAACAUCCCCUCUGAAACGAAAAUGCUUGGGUUGAACAUUUAGUUUGCUGCGUAAGUAAUGAAACUGAUUGAAAGUAAGGGCCUUGGUUAAGACAUCUGCUGUUUGAUCUUCACUGGGCACAAAACAAACAUCGAUUUCUUUUGAUGCCACCUUAUCCCUGACGAAGUGAAUGUCCAGCUCAACAUGCUUUGUUUUAGCAUGAUAGACUGGAUUAUAAGCCAAGGCAAUAGCACUCUGAUUGUCACACCACAUAAGUGGGGUUGUGCUUAACGGAACCUGCAACUCAGCAAGUAAAGACUUGAUCCAAACAACUUCUGAAGCAGCAUGAGCUAGAGCUCUAUAUUCAGCCUCUGCACUUGACCUUGAUACAACUGACUGUUUCUUGGAAGACCAUGACACCAAGUUUGGACCCAAAAACACAGCAAAACCAGCCACUGACUUCCUAUCAUCACGAUCACCAGCCCAAUCAGAGUCUGAAAAACAGUUUAUUUGCAGAGCUCCACAAUUGUAAAAUUGAAGUCCAAAAUGAAUUGUGCCUUUAAGAUAUCUUAAUAAUCGUUUGCAAGCCUCCCAAUGGGAAGAUUUUGGACAAGACAAAAAUUGACUGAGCUUAUUGACACUGAAUGAAAUUUCUGGCCUGGUGAGUGUAACAUACUGUAAUGCCCCAAUGAUGCUUCUAUAUUGAGAAACAUUUGCAAUGUCAGUGCCUGAGGCUUUAGUGAGAAACUGACUUGUAGACAUAGGUGUUGGCACUGGACUGCAGUGUGUCAGAUCAUGUUUCAGCAAAAUGUCUGCAAUGUAUUUAGCCUGUGAAAGAUGAAUACCAUUAUGAAGCUUGGAGACUUCAAUGCCUAAGAAAUAGCUAAGUUCCCCAAGAUCUUUCAAUGCAAAAGUGUGCUGCAUAUCUUGAAUUACUUGUUGAACUCUAGCUGAGUUAGAACCAGUGAUGAUGAUAUCAUCAACAUAUACCAAUACUAGGAGUAAGUGACCAUUCUCUCUUUUGUAAAAAAGAGAAUUAUCUGACUUUGAAUUCUGGAAAUUCCACUGAGAAGUCAUGGUUGUUCUGAAUCUGGCAAACCAAGCUCUUGGAGCCUGCUUUAAUCCAUAGAUAGCUUUCCUGAGUUUGCAUAUGUGCUGAGGCUUUUGAGAAUUAACAAAACCCUCUGGCUGUGCCAUAUAAACUUCCUCAUCAAGAAUUCCAUUUAGAAAUGCAUUGUUCACAUCGAUCUAUCUGAGGAUCCAAUUGUUCAUGACUGCAAUGCUCAAAACAACUCUGACAGUAGAAGCUUUAACCACUGGGCUGAAGGUCUCAGUGUAAUCAAUACCAUGGACUUGAUUAAACCCUUUUGCAACCAGUCGUGCUUUGUGCUUCAAAAUGGACCCAUCAGGAUUAUAUUUUAUUCUGAAUACCCAUUUAUUGCCCACCACUUUGACAGGGGCUUUAGGUAACACCAACUCCCAGGUAUGAUUAGCUUGGAGAGCCUGAAACUCUUCUUGCAUGGCUUUUAACCAUUUCGGAUCAGUGAGAGCUUGAGAAACAGAUGUAGGUUCAGAGGGUUGAGCUAGAAGUGCUAAGAGAUAAGCUUUUGGUUUAAAAAUGCCAUUUUUAGAUCUUGUGACCAUGGAGUGGCCAACAGAGGAUGAUGCAGGAAGAAUGUGAGGUGGUGAAUUUCUUAAGGUAUGAUUUGAAGAAUGGGGGGGAGGAUCUGAAGUAUGAUUUGAAGUAUUUGUGGUAGAAUCUGAUAACAUAGAUGAGUGUUGAGAAAAUACCUGAGGAGAUGGUAAGACUGGAGCUGCAGAGUCAUAUGUUGAAGUAGCUGCUAAAGGAGUUUGAAGAUGAACAACAGAAGAAUUUGCAGAGUCUGACUGAAAGACAGAAUCUGUUUGAGAAGACAUAGAGACUGAGGAAAAAUCAAGACCAGGAACAUAAGGAAAUGAUUUUUCAUCAAAGACUACAUGAUUAGAAAUGUAUGUCCUCCCAGAUGAAUGCAGACACAAAUAGCCUUUAUGGUUAGUACUGUACCCAAGAAAAAUACACCUGCCAGUUCUGAAUUCAAGUUUGUGUCUGUUGUAAGGUCUUAGGUAUGGAAAACAUGCACAACCAAAAAUUCUAAGAGUAGAAUAAUCUGGUUUUUGGUGAAAAAGCUUUUGAUAAGGUGAAAUAUUGUUCAAGACUGGUGUGGGAAGUCUGUUUAUUAGGUAAACAGCAGUUUGGAAGGCAUUCCACCAGAAUUUUAAAGGAAGAUGUGCUUGGGCUAGCAAGGUAAGGCCAAUAUCAACAAUAUGUCUAUGUUUUCUUUCAAUCUUCCCAUUUUGAUGAUAAAUAUGAGGGCAAGGAUGCCUAAAAUGAAUCCCUGAGGUACUGAGUAAAGAAGAAAAUGAUCUAAAUUCCCCACCCCAGUCAGUCUGAACCACUUUGAUACUCUUUUGGAGCUGUUUUUCAAUGAAGGUUUUGAACUUGGCAAAAACUGUGAGAGCAUCAGACUUUGAGCUUAAUGGAAAGAUCCAAGUGAAACGGCUAAAAUCAUCUAAGAUGGACAGGUAAUAGACAUAACCUUGAGUGGAAGUGACAUGGGAAGGACCCCAAAGAUCUGCAUAAAGCAGUUGUAAUGGUUCUAUAGUUUUAGUUUGGACAGAAUUAAAAUGCAACAUAUGAUUCUUUCCAAAUUGACAAGCAUCACAGAAUUGUAAGUUCUGAAUUUUAUUGAAACUGCCAAACUGGGUACAUGUACUGAGGAUUGUUUUUAAAAUAUGAGCAGCAGGGUGCCCUAAUCUUCUAUGAAGAAGAUUUACAUCAGCAGCUUUUGUAGCUAUAGCAGACAAACAAGAACUUUUAUUUUCCUGAGGAAGACAAGCAAAAAGAGAAUGAAACUGAUUCUGAUUAAAAGGAAUUGUAUUGACAGCAGCAGACUGAGAAUGAGAGGUUGGACUUUGAACUUUAUAGAGACCCCCUUUAGCAACUCCUUCAAGCAAUAUGAUCCCUGUGCUCCUGGCCUUAACAAAACAACAGGUGCCAACAAAUUCAAGAGUAACAUUAUUGUCAGCAAGCAACUUAGAAACACUAAGUAAGUUCUUAGUGAUUUUAGGGACAUGUAAAACAUGAUUAAGAAGUAAUAAUUCAGGAGUGUUUGUAGUAAGCUUCACUGAUCCAACAUGAUUAAUAAGCAAAGCAUUUCCAUCACCAACAUAUAGCUGUUCAUUACCAACAUACACUUUAGGAUUAACAAGAUUACCUAGAUCAUUUGUGAUAUGGUUGGUUGCUUCACUGUCAAUAUACCAAGAGGGAUCUUCAGCAACCUCAGGAUUGGCAGCACAAGUUGCUGGAGGUGAUGGUCCUGAGGUACUAGGCACACCAUUUGGAAAAUUUCCAGAGUAAUAUGGAGAUGAGUUAUGAGCAAAGCUAGGAGUUGGAAUUCCAUGAAAGUAUCCAGGAGCAAGCAUAUUGAAACCAGAUGUGUAAUUAUAAGGAGUAUACCCAGGAAGAAAACCAGGAUCUGAGUAAGCCAUAUUGGCUUGAUAAGGAACUCCUCUGGGCAUAUAACCAUUUCCAAAAUUAUGUCCAGAAAAAUUUGGCCCUCUGCUAAAAUUAUUAAAAGGCCUGUUACCAAAUUGUCCUCUAAAAUUCCCUCUGCCAAAAUUCUUCUGAGGAACAAAUGAAGGAUUGAACCUAUUUUUGCAUCUAUUUGCUCCAUGACCAGGAAUGAAGCAUAUUUGACAAACAAGAUCAGAAAAAUUUCUUCCACCAGCAAACUUAGAUCCUCCAUUAUUGUUAAAACCUCCAUUAUAACCACCAAAACUUGAACUAUUAUUAUCAUUUCCAAAAUUACCUCCAGAAUUCUUCUGAAAUCCAUUAUUAUUUUUGCCAGAAUAUGAUCCUUUUUUAGCUACAUUUGCAGCCAUAUGAUGUAUGAUAUCAUUAGCAAUUUUGCCUUUCUUUUGAUCGAUUCUAGUUUCAUGAUUCAGAAGUAGUGAGUACAAAUCAUCUAGAGUAAUAGUUCCUUCUCUAGCUAAAACUGCUGUUAUCAAAGACUCAUAAUCAGAAGAAUCGAGACCAGUCAACACAUGCAUAAUAAAAUCACCUAGCUCAACUGGUUUCCCUGCUAAGGCUAAAGUAUCUGCUAUACGUUUGAUUUUAGAAAAAUAUUCAGCCAUAGUCAUAGAUCCUUUUUUAAUUGUCUGGAUCUGCAUUCUAAGAGUUUGAAUUCGUGCUUGAGACUGAGAAAUGAACAUACAGUUAAGUGAUUCCCAGAGUUGCUUUGAAGUUGCACAAUCAAUCACAGUUGAUAGUAAGCUCUGCUGAAUGGACGACAUCAUCCAACUCAAGAGGAGUUGAUCUGUCUUCAUCCAAGCAAUAAACUCAGGGUUUGCUGAUCGUGAUUCAUCAGAGGUUGAAGCUUCACCAAUGCUAGGAAACAAGAUAAACUUCUCUGGACAUUUCAGAUCGCCAUUAAUAAAACCUUCUAAACCAUUUCCUUUAAUCGAAGCCAGAACUUGUGUUCUCCACAGAAUAAAAUUGUUUUGAUCUAACUUGAUUGGUGUGACAAAGCUAUAGGACGAAUUUGAUUGAGUGAUGCUUGCCAUUGUUGGCUCUGACACCAUGAAAGAAAACAGAGUUUGUGUUUGGUAAACGAGAAAGUUAAAAUGAAGGAGAAAGAAAAUGUUGAUAAACUGGAAACUGUAUUCUUAUUAUUAAUUAAUCAACGUAUUUACACACUUAUAUAACAAGUAUCAAUUCUUUGUUAACUUGGUUGUUACACAUGCACGUAGUAGCUCUUGUAACCAAAAUAACAGAUAGAGCCACGUCAGCUAGCUUGCUAUAACAAACUGAGCCAAGGAGCUAAUCUGUUACAGUACAACACACAUUAACAAUCAUGUGCUCACUUCCUCUGUUUCAUCACAAUUAAUCAGAUUCACUAACAAUUAACAAUAUCAAAUUCAAGUGACAAUCAAUAAAAACUGAAGCCAAUAUAUACACAAAACUAAAACAAUGAAAUUGUUACAGUUUGACAAAAUAAAAAAUUAUACAAAUUAAACAAACUGAAAAAAAAGAAAAAAAGAAAUUGUACAUUUCAAUCAAUAUCUCUUAAUUAAUAGUUAGUAAAUUAACGAAUAUGUACCUUUUGUUUUAAGACUUCUUUUGUAUGGCUUAUUGAGGUCACACUCCCAAGUCCAAUGUCCUUUAGGCUUUAUCAACGCAGUUCAACGUUAUUUUGUCCAAUUUGUUCAAUUCUCCUCCACAGAAAUCUUCACAAUGGGCCUGGGGCAACCAUCCAUCACUAAUCUUUCCAAAGAUGGGAAUUUGAAGGCAUAAUUGCCAUAGCAGAAGCUUGUCAGAAAUUUUAAGUCUAAAACACACGUACAUUCAUUCAGAUUAAAAUUGGAGUUAUACAUCUGAAAGCUAAAAGCACAGAAACAGAACAACUAGUAACACAGAAACAGAACCUCAGAUACAAGAAGUGGAACACUGAACAAUUGACUAGUUAGGAAGCAAACUGACAUUGAGAGAUUAAACACAAGUGAAGUGACUACAACAAUCUAGGGUAGGAAAAAGUUAAAAAAUAAAUAAAAAGAAAAUUAAAAGCCAACAACAGCAGGACAAAUAUAGGGAUGGCAAUGGGGCAGAUAUGGGUUGGAUCUACUCUGCUCCAGAUCCAAAUCCAUAAUAAAAAUCAAGAUCCGUAUCUGCUCCAGAUCCGUCAUGAAUCCAUAUUUUUCGCUCCAUAUCCAUAUCCAAAAAAGAAAUAAAUAUCUAUAUCUGCUCCAAAUCCAAAAAAAAAAUUAAAAUUCAAAUUUGCUCUAGAUCCGUCAUGAAUUCUAAAAUUCAGUAAUAAAAAAGUAAUAAUUUUUUAGAUUGAAAAUUGAAGGGUAAAAUGUAUUGAUAAUAAAUAAAUUAUAUAAUUUUUCUCAAAAAUAUAAUAAAUAUUGUAGCUUAUACUUUUACACCAAAACAACAAAUAAGAAAGAUAAUAAAAUAUCAUUCCGAAGUAAUUGCAGGAGUAAGAUCAAUCUAAUAUUCUAUUGUCUCCUUCAUCAUUCUAAUAUCCACGAUACACCUACCCUCAUUCCUACAACAUUAGAUAAUGAUAUAUAAAUUAAAUAUGAUUUAUAUUUAGUCCUUUAUUAUUUUUAUUAUGACCAUAUUUGACUAAAUAUAUGAAUAACUAUAUUCCUUAAAAAUUAUUUGGCCAAUAUAAUAAAAUAAAUUGCCAGGUUAUAUUACUUGGCUUGCAAUUUGAAUAUUGCAUGUACAUGCUUUGGGGCUGGCUGACCUUUAAAUUUACAAAACUAACCUUUAAGUUUUAAGAGUUUAAUGCAUGGUAAAUACUACUAAUAUGUUAUGAAUAAAAUUUAUUAUCAUUAUAAUUUCACAAUUGUUAAGAAACUUUUAAAAUAAAAUAAAAUUAAAAGAUGAGUGGAUAUGGAUAUGGAUUUAGAUAUUAAGAUAGAUCCAGAUCUGCUCCAGAUCCGUCUUAGAUCCGCACAUCGAUAUCCAAAUCCGAUCCAAAUCCAUUUUAAACCGAUCCAAAUCCGAUCCGAUUGGAUUUGGAUCACGUGGAUCUUGGAUCAGAUCCAAUCCAUUGCCAUCCCUAGACAAAUAGAUAGGCAGCAGAGCAACUCUAAAUAACAAGCUGGAGAUCAAAGGAUGCCAAGUGCUGUUGAGAUUAAAAGAUUGAAAGUUCAAAAGAAUUUAUGGCAGACACUGAGAAACAAACAGCGCAAUAGUGAGCACAAUGAACAGGAGCGAAUUGUAAUUGAGGUCAAAUGAUGUAAACAAGGGAAGGACUUUGUUGAUUGUAAUGAAUGAAUGAUACUAAACGAUGAUGGUUUUUGCCAAAAGCUUUAAGAAUGACAUUCCACAAAUUCAAGAAGUCAAUAAAGCAACGAAAGUUGAAAGUGACCCAUUUUAUUUUGAUGUGUUGUGCUAUAAUUGCAUAUCUCUAGGUGCUGGAGCUGCUGAAAGCUUCUGAUCGCAGAAGCUGAAAAUAAUAUUUAAAUUUUUGAAUCAAUCGUGUAAGACUUUGAAAACGAGAAAACAUAUCUGGAAGUUGAUUAUCCCAAAUCUUUUCAACAUUAAUUUUGUACAGUUCCAUGUUGGGCAAGAGAAGCAGAAAAUAAAGUGGAUAAAUUGCUUCUCAUGAAAGUGCUCUACACAAUCUUGCUUUGGGAGUACCAAGUACCUUCUCUGUUUGGCAUUUCACAUUCAGUAUUUGUAAAUGUGGAAAGACAAUCUAUUGAGUCUGAGAAUUUUUUUAUUUUAACCAAAUGUAUUAAUAUUAAUCAACGUUGUUAGAACUCAUAACCUGUUAUAUCAACUUUAGAACCAUAAACUUAGAUAUCUAAGUCUAUAACAUGAUUGAUCUACUUCAAGCCCGAAGUUUUUUUUUUUUAAUUUUUUUGGGAAAAAAUAGAUAUUUUUUAAUAGUUAAUAAAGGAAUAAAUUUUUAAUUUUUUCGGUAACCUUUAGAUUGGACCUUAGUCAUAAAUUGGUUCAUUUAAAAUAAAAAAGACUAAUGUACUUAGAAAAUAAAAAUAAAAAUAAUUCUUUUGCAAGUAACAUCAUAUAUGAGAUAUUAUCCAGUUCAAGAUCUUGGACUCUCUUAAAAGUCCAAAAAAGUUGUUACUGUCAGCAGAUUCUUCUCUUAGAAUAUAGGACCUAUCUAGUUUACUCAUUCAAACUAAUUCAAAUGUAAAGUAUAUCGUUCUGUUAUCUUAUCUCUUUAAAAUAGGCAAAGUAGUUAUGUAUAUUGCUGUAUAUAAAGUCUUACAAUCAAUGGAAAAAUGUAUAUAAAGUCUAUUAUGGUAUCAGAGCAUUAAAGCUCUCCAUUUUUCUUUUCUCUUCUCCCUCUUUCUACUGAUUUUUUUCGAUGGCAAGCAAUCAUUCCAACACUGCUAUCUGAAACACCAAUGAUCCCAACAACACUCUCAUUACGAUCAAUGUCGCAGCUCAAGCUCCUCUCAAAUUAACUACCACCAAUUACCUAUCUUGGAAGUUACAGUUCCAAACACUUUUUGUUGGCUAUGAUCUCCUCGGAUAUAUAGAUGGCUCUAAACCAUGUCCUUCUGCAACUGUAACAGCCAACAACACCACACCCCCAAAUCCUGCAUAUACUUUCUGGAUUCGACAAGACCAAUUGAUUUUAAAUGCAAUCAUUGGAUCAAUCUCUCCCUCUAUAAUCCCGUUUAUUGCUACUACCAAAACAUCACAAGAAGCUUGGACCACACUUGCCAACACAUAUGCCAAACCCUCACGUGGUCGAAUCAAGCAAGUCAAAAAUCAAAUCAAACAAAUGACUAAAGGACCUGAAUCAAUUACUGAAUUUCUGCAAAAUGUGAAGGCAAGAGCUGAUGAGUUGGCUCUACUUGGGUCACCAUUUGAUAAUGAUGACCUCACCGAUAAGAUCCUAAAGACACUUGGUGAUGACUACAAAGAGUUAGUCAGAGCUGUUCAAGCACGAGAUACUCCGAUCUCCUUUGAAGAACUCCAUGAAAAACUCCUCAACUUUGAAGCCACACUCAACAUCACCAAACCACAAAUUGUCUUUCCCAUCACUGCUCAUGUUUCAACUCGCACCAAUAACAACUGGCGCAAUAGCAACAACUAUGCCAACCAAAGUUCAACCAACACCAAUCGGAAUCCAGGACAAUCUCAAAACAACAGUUUGAAUUGACAGCAACGUCCCUACCUUGGCUUUUGCCAACUCUGCAGGAUUCAAGGACACACGGCCAAAAAGUGUCCAUCUUACAAGUUGCAACCAAUCCAACCUACCAACACCAGCACAACCACUCUAUGGCAGCCCAAAGCCAAUUAUGCAGCAGCAACACACAACAGUCAAAAUUGGCUUCUUGACAGUGGUGCAUCUCACCACGUCACAUCAGACCUGCAGAACCUUUCUUUGCACAAUCCAUAUGACGGACACGAUGACAUGAUGAUUGGGGAUGGCACUGAGUUACAGAUAACUCACAUUGGUUCCACCACUCUUACCUCUCCUUAUAAAAAUUUUAAACUAAAUAAUGUUCUCUGUGUACCAAGCAUGAAACGAAAUCUUAUUUCAAUUCAUCAAUUUUGCAAUACCAAUAAUGCUGCUAUUGAGUUCUUACCUCAUACUUUUUCUGUGAAGGAUCUCAGCACAGGGAACACACUGUUGAGGGGCAAAACUAAAGAUGGCGUAUAUGAGUGGCCACUUUCCAGUCCCAUUCUUGCCUUUUCCAGUAUCAGAACUACUUCUCAUGAUUGGCAUCAUAGGCUAGGACACCCAUCUGCUUCUAUUCUUAAGCAAAUUAUCUUUUCCAAUAAAUUGAGUUUAACAUCUUCUUCUUUUGAUUGUCAUGCGUGUCUAACAAAUAAAAGUCACAAGUUGUCCUUUUCACAGUCAACAAUAAAAUCGUCCCAUCCUCUUGAAGUCAUUUACAGUGAUGUUUGGACAUCGCCUGUGGUUUCCAUUGAUAAUUAUAAAUAUUAUGUCAUAUUUGUGGAUCAAUAUACAAGGUACAUAUGGUUUUAUCCACUAAAACAUAAAUCUGACUUGAAAGAAAUAUUUAUCAAGUUCAAAGCCAUUGUUGAAAAGCACUUUGAUCAUUCUAUCAAAAUAUUAUAUUCUGAUAAUGGUGGUGAAUUUAUGGCUCUAACCAAUUUCCUAUCCAUGAAUGGCAUAGCUCAUCUUACCACUCCACCACACACUCCUGAACACAACAGCAUGUUCGAACGAAGACAUCUACACAUUGUAGAAACUGGUUUGGCACUCUUAACCCAUGCCUCUAUUCCAUUAUCUUAUUGGACACAUGCUUUUGCAACAGCUGUUUACUUGAUAAAUAGGAUGCCAACACCAACUAUACACCUUCAAACCCCAUACGAAAAACUUUUUAAAUCGCCACCCAAUUAUACCAAACUUAAGAUAUUUGGAUGCCUCUGCUAUCCAUGGUUAAAACCAUAUAACUCUCACAAGCUAGAGUCCAACUCUAAACCAUGUGUGUUCUUAGGUUAUUCGAAUACUCAAAGUGCAUAUUUCUGUCUUGAUCCCAACACUUCAAGAGUCUAUGUGUCUAGACAUGUAAAGUUUGUCGAAAAUGUUUAUCCUUUUAAGCAUCUUAAACCAGAAGAGUCCAAAACUCACUCCAAUACCAUUGCUACGUGGUUUCCUUCCCCGAUACAAAUACCAACAUCUUUUCCACCGUCACUCAAUACGCUAUCUACCAUGGAAGACCCUCAUCAACUUUCUUGUGCAAAUCCUGAGACACCAACUCUCUCCACAACUACCACCACAAACCUACCCUCUCAUACCAUGACCACACGAGCCAAAAACAACAUCCACAAACCUCUUCGAAAAAUGAAUCUCCAUGCUCAUCUAGCCAAAUUUGACGAAAUUGAACCAACCACAGUCAAUCAAGCUCUCAAAGAGCCCAAAUGGCACUAAGCCAUGUCAGAUGAGUUUAAUGCUUUAGUGACAAAUGGAACCUAGAAAUUGGUCCUUCCAUCUCCACAUUACAAUCUUGUUGGAUGUAAAUGGAUUUAUAGAAUCAAAAGAAAGUCUGAUGGUUCUGUUGACAGGUACAAAGCCCGUUUGGUUGCAAAAGGAUUUCAUCAGAGACCAGGAGUUGAUUUUCAUGACACCUUCAGUCCUGUAGUAAAACCAACUACAGUAUGAAUUGUCUUAAGCAUUGCUGUUAGUCAAGGCUGGCCACUGCAACAACUAGAUGUGAAUAAUGCCUUUCUUCAAGGGCGUUUGUAUGAAGAUGUGUAUAUGGUGCAGCCUCGAGGAUUCAUUGACAACGACAAGUCAAAUUAUGUCUGCAAACUCAGGAAAGCCAUCUAUGGACUAAAACAGGCUCCGCGGGCGUGGUAUCAUGAACUUAAAACUUUUCUCUUACAGUUUGGGUUAAAAAAUUCCUUUGCGGAUACCUCUCUUUUUGUAUUUAAUGAUGGCCAUUGUGUUCUUUAUCUUAUUGUAUAUGUGGAUGAUUUAAUCCUCACGGGUGAUAAGCCUAACAAGAUUACUGAGUUUGUAGCCAUCCUUGCCAAGAAGUUCUCACUCAAAGAUCUUGGAUCGUUAUCAUACUUCUUGGGCAUUGAGAUAGUUCCAAAUUCAAAGGGCCUAAUCAUGUCGCAACGACGAUAUAUACUGGAGUUACUAGAAAAGACGAAAAUGCUAGAAGCAAAACCGGUACUCACACCUCUCCCAACCAAUGCACAGUUAUGUCUGCACCAUGGUACCACAUUACCGGAUGCUACUGAAUACAGAACCGUGGUUGGCAGUCUUCAAUAUCUCCUCAUCAGCCGACCCGACAUUGCUUUUAUUGUUAAUCGCCUAUCACAAUACAUGCACCGACCGACUACAGACCACUGGACAUAUGUUAAAAGGUUGAUGCGCUACUUAUUAGGUACUAUUAAUGAUGGUAUCCAACUAUAUUGCAACACUGGUUUUGAUUUGCAUGCAUUUGCUGAUGCGGAUUGGGGAGGAAACAAGGAUGAUUUUUCAUCUACAGGAGCCUAUAUAAUCUAUCUUGGUCGUAAUCCUAUAUCUUGGAGCUCCAAGAAACAAAGAACUGUGGCCAGAUCCAGCACUGAGGCCGAAUACAGAUAAGUUGCAAACACCGUUGCUGAAGUGAAUUGGAUAUGUUCUUUAUUGACGGAUUUGCACAUUAAGGUGUCUUCUUGCCCUGUUAUUUAUUGUGACAACAUAGGAGCAACGAAACUCUGUUCAAAUCCAGUGUUUCAUUCAAGAAUGAAACAUGUCGCAAUCGAUUUUCAUUUCAUUAGGGAGCAGGUUCAAAGUGGUGCCAUUCGAGUAGCACAUGUUUCGUCGGCUGGCCAGUUGGCAGAUGCUCUUACCAAAGCCCUGCCAAGACCACGAUUUCUUCAACUCAAGGACAAGAUUGGACUGCUCUCCCGAGGUCCAUCUUGAGGGGGCAUGUCAGCAGAUUCUUCUCUUAGAAUAUAGGACCUAUCUAGUUUACUCAUUCAAACUAAUUCAAAUGUAAAGUAUAUCGUUCUGUUAUCUUAUCUCUUUAAAAUAGGCAAAGUAGUUAUGUAUAUUGCUGUAUAUAAAGUCUUACAAUCAAUGGAAAAAUGUGCAGUUCAUUCUCUCAAAAUCCUUUACUCUAUUAGUUACAACAUAUGGUGUAUGAGUGUGGUGUAAUAGUUUUCUCAAACUUUAAGAAAGUUUAGAAUCUCGAACUAGAUGAGCACUCCAUCAUGCAUGCUCCAGUAAAUUCCUAUCAACAGAUCUUUUUAUUUUGAGUCUGUAUCAUAAGGAUUGUAUUUAAUCAAAUGCAAAAUAAUAUAACAUCUAAUAAUUUUUUUUAAUUUUUAGUUCAUACUUAUAAUAAUAAUGUUCGCAUUUAAUAGGUGAAAGAAAUAUAUUAGUUUUUAAGUGUUAAAUUUUAACUCUUAUAUUCUAAAUCAUAAUUUAUAAAAAAAAAAAAAUCGCUGGAAAAAAAUUAAUCUUUUUUCAAAAAAUAUAUGUGCAAUGGGUAUCAUUUAUGUACGUUGAAGCUACUCCAAUGAAUUUCACUACUAAAGUAUUAAAUUAUCUUCAUAAAAAAAUUGCAUGAUUACAAUGAUUAUAAGCUGAUUUAAUGGCUAGUUUCAUCGUUAUAACAACCGAAACACUCCGGCAUUCCAAUGUAUUUUAACUCAAGGCACGCACACGCAAGCAUGAUUAUUGAUUCGCACAUGCAUCUUUGAUUAAUUAACUAAAAUAUGGUACUUGAAAAGUCUUUGGGGGUGCCUGAAAUAAACAAGUGAAAGAGCUUUACCAUUGGUUAUCACAAUGUCAUAUGGUAAGGAAACAAAACCGUACGCUAAUGCAGCGCGACAUUAUUGAAAUUUUAAACUUCCCUAUCAUUUAAUAGAGUCAUCGACAUUACCUUAUACAAUCAACUCAUCACCUCAAUACAUAAUUUUUAAACAGCAGCAAUUUGCCUACUCUGUAUUUUUUAAUAUAUAAUUUCUUUGUACGAGAUACUAAACGACAGUUAGUUGGGUUGGUUGGUUGAGCAACCGUUGAAUAUGUAAACCCAACUUUAGUUACACUCGCACAUGCUACCAAAUAAAACAUCGGAUAUUUUUAAGAUGCAUUCAUUAGAAAAAUAUUUUAGAAUCUUUACUGACUUCCCUGCAUGCGGUAAACAGUUAGAAAUGUUUAUUGAGUGUUUGGCAAGUGAGAAAGUUAAACAAAAGCUAAGAAAACAAAGGAAAGAAUUAUGAAUGUUCUGGAAUCAUUAUUCAAUGAAUCUGAACUUAAUACAGAAUGAGAUACAAUGCUACUUGCAUACUCAGCUGAAUUAACAGCUCAUUGUUGUAACAAACUACUGAUUAACAAUAGCUAAUUAAAACAGAUUAAGCUAGUCUUCACGUGUGCUUGUAACUAUGUAACCACCAGGUGCCAGCUGGACAUUCAGAUCAUCAACUUUCAACCGUAUGCUAUUAUUCUUGCUGUAAUCCUCUGCUUUAUCUCCUGCUUUUCCUAUUGUACAGCAAGCAUGAUGAGCUUCCUUAACAUAAACCAAGCUGAGGACCAACCACACGGCCACACCAGUAUGUCUCGAGAAUCUUUACUGCCUUCUCACGGAUCCCAUUGUUGUCAUGACUUUUCAGACCUUCAAUCUUUUUGAAUCCCUCAUCCUCCUCCACCAACCGAGCAUAUUGAUUAACAUCUCCAAUGGUACUACCCGUGUUCUUUUCAGCUUCCCCGACUUUCAAAAUGUUCUCUAAUCCUUCUAAGCAAACAGUGACGAUCUUUGGAUCAACGCAUAGAAGGAGAUCACACAAUGGUUUUAUACACCCCUCUCUCACGAGGUACUUGAUUUGCUCAUGAGUGCCACGAACGGUGGCAUUUGCAAUUGCCAAUGCAGCCUCCUUCUUUAUAUCAAAUUCAGCAUCUUGAAGCACAUUGACAAGGGGAACAAUUAAGCCAGCAUCAAUUACCGCCUGAAUCUGUUCCCUGUUUCCAGCUGUAAUAUUUGAAAUAGUCCAGCAGGCUACCUUCUUGAUGCUCUUUUUAUGAUUAUGGAUCAACAGGGCCAAAAGGCACGGCACUGCACCAUGGUUAAUUAUACACUGAGUCUGGAAAUCAUCUCCCAUCACAAUAUUUCCGACAGUCCACAGGGCAGGAGUGAGCACUGAGGGUGAUGGAUGACCAAGGAGCUCAACAAGUCGUCGACAGACACCUGCCUCGAUCACAACUUGAAUUUUGUCAUUGGUACCAUAAGAAAGAUAGGAGAGUGUCCAACAGGCGUCACUCAAGACCUCUUCAUCAUCUAAAUGAAUAAGCUGUGCAAGUGCAGGAAGAGCUGGCCUUACCUGAUCAAAUGGUGGCUGUGGCUUGCCCUUACAUAAUUUAGACAAUGUCCAUGUGGCAAUUCUUAACAUUGAAAGCUUAGCGUGCUCAUUUAAUUGUGCCAGCAAUGGAAUCAAAGCUUCUUCACGAAGCACAAGAUUACGGCAUCCAGGUGAGUCGGCAGCCACAUUUCCCAAUGCCCAAACAGCCUGCUCACGGACAUCAUCACUUGGAGAAGCAAGUAGCUUCACAAAUAUUGGAACAGCACCAUGGUCAAUCACCACAUUAGUGUUCAUCGAAGUUCCAGAAGCAAUGUUUGUAAGAGCCCAGGCAGCCUCAUAUUGAAGUUGCGGAUAAUCUUCCCUCAUAAGGAACUCAACAAAGCGCGGGACAACGCCAGCUUGUAUGACAUCCUCAAUUCGUGGACUCCUCUCAAUCGAAAGUAGUAUUCGGAACUGAGUAGUUGCUUCCAGCUGCAAGCUAUUGUCAUCUGACCAAACCCCAGCAACCAUCGCGGGCAAAAUUUCCAACUUAGUCUGAAGAUUAAGACUGGGGCGAGGAGCAGAAGGAAGAAACCGCUGGGAUUGGAGAUCGUCUCGUCGCUUCUUGAUGAAGCUUUCCCUUUUAAGAUUUACCUGUUGUAUGGUUUUAUUAAGGUCGUCCUCCCAUGCCCAACGUUCUCUAUCCCAAGUCUUCAGCUGCACUUUGUGUAACAUGGGUGCGCUUAAUUCUCCUCUUGAGAAAAUCAUCAUAUUGUGACAAUCAUCCACCACUAAUAUUUCCAAAUAUGGGAAUUUGAUGGCACAACUGCCAGAGCAAAAGCUUGUCAGACUUUUCAAAUAAGAAAGCGUCAACUUCUUCAAUUCGUUGAAAACAAUAAUCUCAUCUUUUGCUGCAUCAUCAUCAUCUGCCACAAUUUCUGUUAUCAUAUUGCAUCCACUUAUUUUCAUUUCUCUGAGUCUCACCAGAGUCUUUGCUGCUGAGGAUGUUAAUACAUUUUUCAAUUCUUUGCAAUACGAUACCACCAAAGUUGUUAGAUUUUGAAAGGAUGACGAAGAUGGCACAAGAUUAAUCAAAUGGCUGCACUCGGAUAUCUUCAGCUGUUCCAAAUUGUCCGCAAUGGGGGACUCUUGUUUCAAGAAGUGCUUCAAAUCAUAACACUUGUUUACUUCUCUUACGAUUACCGUCAUCCCAUUUUCAACCGUUUCUUUUGCCUCCCAACCAUAACUUCCUCCUCCUAUACAGAGAACUUUGAUGGUGUGAAAUCUCCGAAGGAAAUCAUCAAGUGAGAAAAUAGUAGUCGACUCAUCACCAAACUCAGCUUCAAGACAUUUAAGUUUGCAAAGCAAGUCCUCUGGAAACAGACUAUUAUUUGUUGCUAUGUGCUUCGCAUCAGCUCUCAAUUCUUCCAAAUUGGGGAAUAACUGGGUGAUCAAUCAUAACCCAAAAAUAAAAAAAUAAAAUGCAUGGAUUAUUUGAUAUAUUUAUAUCAAAGAAAUUUAACAAAAUAGAAGAGAAUGAAUUUGAACUUAAUUAUCACUAGCUAAUACAAAAUAUUUAUCCAAUAAAUUUUAACCUUUUAGAAAAUAAUAACUUUUUAUUCGUAAAAAAUUAACCAAGUCGUGAAGGCAAUGGAAAUAUAACUUUAAGCUCUACAAGAAUUGAAAAAUUGAUUAUAUAAUUCCUUUAUGUACCUUUUCUGCCAAGUCACUAGUAGUUCUUUUAUGGCUCACCAUGAAUUCAGGACAUCUAGAUAUCCAUAACUUUCUCAAGGAUGGAAAUGUAAUAAUAUGUACAUCUCUUGUGCAGAAGCGUGUGAGUUUUUCAAGAUCAUGCAGCUUUAAAUAUUGUAAUUGAGGAAACAUUACAAUAUUAUUAUUCCAUUUUUCUUGGUCCACGAUUAUUAUCUCUUCCAAGACAGGGCAACCCCAUAUCUCAAGGUGCUGCAGUCGAACAAAGAUGCUAUUGCUAAGGAUAGAAGAUGAAAAUAGACAUCUUAAAUUCCUACACUUGUAUAGGGUCAAGUGUAUUAAGUUCUGAACACCACAAGAUAGGGCUGAAACUUGGUUUUGACAAAUCCUCUCAACAUUUAUUGAACGCAACUCCAACUUCUCCAACUUUGGUAACGCAACCUACUCGAUCAAAAUAAUUUCUUGUUAACUACAAGUAAUAAUCAUUUCUGCAGAUGGACAAAUCAAUAAACUUAUUAAUCUCUUUCUCAUGUUAUAGUUCUCUUGAGUCUUUCAUACAAACAAGCACUAAUCAAGUUUUCAAAUUAUUCGUUGCUAAUUUACAUAUAUUCUAAGGACACAUAUUAAAGAAAAUAACAAGCUAUAGAUGUGAAUCAAUAAUCAUUAGUCAAUAAAUUUUUCUAUUUAGUUAUUACAACAUACUUAGUAAUUUCUAGCAGAUGUUUUAUUAUUAUCACUAAUUCAAUUCGUGUGUCUACAGUACCUUUUCUUUCCUCUGAGAACGUAUUUGCUACACGCUACAACACUUGUGGGAUGAAAAAUUUUGAAUAAUAUAUAAUUAUUAAUUACUCUUGCAUAUUUUCUAACAAACGAGAAUAACAAAGAACAAAAAUACAAAAAUCAUAGAGAAUUAAUAAGACUAUUGGGUUAAUAAUAACCUACCUUCUCAAUGAAAAGUGAUUUAGCAAUACUGAUAUCGUCCUCUAAAAUGAUUUCGGUCGACGGAAUAUCAUAUGACGACUUCUCUGGUCUCUGUUGACAUUGAAGCCAUCUUGAGUUUAGCUUAUAAACUUAAUUAUGAGCGAUCUUAAUGCAUAUUGACAUAAGAUAUUCAAAAAUUAGUACAAUUUAGUUUAGCACCAGAUCCAAAUCUGAUAUGUUAGAUUUGAUAAUCAAUAAAUUUUUUAAUAAAAAAUUUAAUUGAGUUAAUUUGACCAAAAUAUGAACAAUUAAACUUGUGCAUUAAGUAAAUAGUGAAUAUUCUCUAAAUAUGAUCAUUAUAAGAGUGCCGAAAAUAUAGGAAGAUUAAUUUCACUUUUUUUUUAUAUGAAUAUUGCGAAUUUUAUUGAAAGUAAAGGGAAGAAGAAUAAUAUUACGAAGCAUAAUGCUCAACAUUAAAGAUUAAUGUUAUGUUAGUUGUUACGGUGGUGUGACAGCGAAGCUAAAAGAUUAAAAUAUUAAUUAAAUUGCAAACAUUAAAGAUUUCUCCUAAAUUGAUUAUAUAAAUAUGAUACCUGAGGAAUUUUCGAAGUUAACUUUGAUACUGUAGAAAUUUCUAGUUUUAUUCUAACGUAUAAAUUAACAGAAUGAUUUUCAUAAUAACUAUAAUUUGCAAAAUUUAGGAAGUUUCAAUAACCUUCUUACAUAUAUGUCUAAUUUAUUUCAACAAAAUUUCGUAAUUUCAUAAAUUAAGGAUAACUUUUUUUUUCUUUUCAACGUCCCAAUCAAAUGCUUAUUGAUAAAAUGAUUUAUGACAUUUCUUAAACUUAGAUCGAUGAGAAUAAACAUUACGAUUCAAAGUAGUACAUGCCUGUAUUUUCUUCCUAACAAUUUCAGAUAGUUUUGAUAAAAGAAUAGUUUGCUAGUAAUUUUAGGCUAAGGAUUAAUCUUGAUUAGUGGAGUUAAAAAUGAUGGACAUUAAUUUUAUAAGUUUUAUAAAUAUGCAGGUGUUACGACAUUUGUAUACGAUUUAAGGUUCGGAAAUUCAUUGACAAAAUUCUGGACAUCUUGCUCUUGCAGUCCCUCUAAUCCAAGGUGUUCAAUUCCCUGCAGCUGCACGAUCAGCACAUCCUUCAAGCAAACCUUGGUAUUCAGCUCGAUUCUGAAAUCUCUACUGUAAAUGUUGUACUUCCAAUUCCAGAAAUAUCCGAUAAGUAUUCUGUACCUUUCCAGCUUCUCGAAGAACAAGCCUCUCGGGAGAUUGUUGACAUCUUUGAUGUGUAAAUCCAAAGAGGUCAAAUUAUGCAAAUGCUUCAACUCCUGAAGGCUGGCGUUCUUGACCCCACCCACCUCCACCUCCCAUUUAUAAAAGCUUCUAUCGCCCAUAGACAGUUCUUCCAAAUGGGAUAAAUUUGACAAAAUAUUUGGUGGAAUAACUUCUAGUUUCCAACAAUCUCUCAAAUCAAGCAACUUUAGCCAAGUCAAUUGACCUACUUCUACUGGCAAGUGGCUAAAACCACAACCUCUUAAGCAAAGGAUUUCUAGUUUCUUCAAGUCUCCUACAACACUUAAACCCAGCAACUUACAGUUACACAAACUCAGUGUUCGAAGGUUUGAGAGGAGACCAAGUGAUGAAGGCAGUGGCAGUAGAUUCAUGUAAGUCAAGUUUACAACUCUGACCUGUAUCAUCCUCUCGAAAAAGUUGUUUGGAAUUGUUAAUGAUGACGAUUCCUGAUGAUCAGCACGUACAGAAAAAAGUUUUAGCUGAGGAUAUUCCAGUUGUACUCCAUUAGGAAGCACAUUAGUCUUGAUGUCACGUAAGACGAUUGAAGUGUAAAGUUUUACUGCACUUUCGUCUGACCAUUCCUUGCAACCGUCAAACAGCUCACCUGUCGCCGUAAACACAUUUUUUUCUGCAGAUGCAAUUGAUAUCGCAACAUCGCGAAUAACAUCGUGCAUAGAAAGGCCUUCAUCUAGCAACAUACAGGAAGCUUUAAGUUCGUAGACCAACGUACUUACUCGAUCUCGUGCUUCUUCCAACUUACUGAUACCUUGAAAUAAACCCAAUCCCACACCGUAUCUUAACAAUUCAUCAAUGGAUUCCACAUAAGCAUAUCCUAUUAGCAAAAAGAGGUUCUUGAGCUCCUCCCCUUCUAAUUUGUUGUAGCUCAACUCUAUAGCUUUAUAUGCUGGUUGUAUAUGUUUGAAGUUCGUUGAGGAUGGCCUCCUUAGUUGUUUCAACGCAUCCCUCCAUUUAAAUAUACUCGCGCUCCUUAACGCCCUUGCUACCGCCACAAUGGAAACAGGCAAACCUGCACAUUCCUUCGCCACAUCCCUUGCAACGCAUUUCAAUUCACUACCUUCAACAUAAUCGCCUGCCAUCUUCUUGAAUAGACUCCACGCUUCUUCUUCUGCUAAAGCACCAACUACGAAAUUUUGUUGAGAUUCCAUCUUCCAUGACAACACCUCUAGACUUCUUGCCGUCAACAGCACUUUACAUCCCUUGUCACCAUCUCCGUGGGGAAUUCCCACCACCUGCAAAUCAAGAUAUUCCCAAAUAUUAUCUAAGAUGACAAGGAUCCUCUUCUCUUUCUUCAGUCGGCUAAAAAGACGUCUUGCCCUUCCCGAUUCGCUCUCCUCACGAAUUGUUAGACCUAAUUUAUCUGCCAUUUCUCCUUGAAUCUUUCUUAUGUCUGGGCUCUGGGACACCUCGGAAAAAACCACAAGAUCAAAGAGCUUGUCAUUUUUGGCUUUUCUUGCAACUUGUUUCGCCAGCAUCGUCUUUCCAAUGCCGCCCAUUCCCCAAAUCCCGAGCAUGUUGAUAUCGGGAUUUCUCAAUGCACCGAGAAUAUCAUUGAGAGUGGACAUUCUUGAUUCAAAGUCCUCGUAGCCUUUGUUGGACAUAAGCAAUGUAUCCUCAGGAAUGAUACUGUGGGAAAUUCUUUCAAAUCUCCCAUCUUCCCGGAGCUUGACUAUAGCGUCCAGCUGCCUCACUGCUUCCUUGCUAAGUCUACUGCGCAUCUUCAAAUUAGGACAAUAACCCUUGAAACUAUGCUUAUUUUCUGUAGCUUCAUCACCUACAAAUUUCUUUGCCUCAACAAUGGCCUUGUUUGCGCUUGCAAGCCAAUUCUGAACGUUCUGUUCAAUCUCUUCACCUUUUCUUUCUGCAUCAUUAACCGCGUUCUCCAUACUCACGAUAUCACCCUCCAGCUUCUCAACUUGAUUAUUGAGAUUCUUAAAGUUUCUAGUGUAGUCGCGCACAUAACCAAAUUGGCGUUCUAUGGAAGGAGCCAAGCACUUUGCAACUUCUAUAACAACAGAAACUAUGAUUUCCACCAUCUUUAAUCCUUUUCGCUCACUCUUUUUUUUUUUUAAAAAAAAAAAGAAAUUGGGAAACAGAACAGAGACAAGAACUGAGGCACAGAACAAUUGAUUAGUUAGGAAGCAAACUGACACUGAGAGAUUAAACGCAAGUGAAGUGACUACAGCAAUAUGGGGCGGAGUAAAAAUGGAAAAAAAACGAGAGUGGAUACAGAACAGAACAAAUAUAGGGAGCAGCGCAAUUCUAAAUAACAAGACUGGAGAUCAAAGAGUGCCAAGUGUCGUUGAGAUCAUAAGAUCAAAAAUCAAUAGAGUUUAUGGCGAAAAGUGAGAGAAAACAGAAGCACAAAACUUAAGAAAAAAUAAGACAAACAAUUUUAGCAAGUUUAUCAAUUUAGUUAUUUAAUUCAUGUAAUAAAAUAUUAAAAUCUACAAGGGAGCAUUAAUUCAGCCAUGUUAAAUUUAAAAAACGAAAGUUAAUAUUCGUAAAUAUGAUUUGAUUAAAGUUGUUGUGUGAAUAUACAUAUAAUAAUUGUUGGUAAAGUUUCGUAAAUAUGAAUCCUUUAAAUGUCCAUCUCUUCCCUCUGAGGAAACGUUAAUAUGGGAGAUGAAGCUAUACUACGAUAAACAGUGUUUGAGCAUUUUCACCAAAUACUUGAUAAGUUUAUCAACUUAUUUAUUUAUUUCAUUUCCUAAAUAUGAAAAGCUACAAAGGGAGAAUAAUGGUUUGCUAAAAGUUCAAGGAAUGACAUUCAUUUCCGAUCAUUGAAGAAAAUCCAUGAAUGCUGAUUCCAUCACGUGGAAUUUAAUGUUAAUUAAAGAUAAAUUUGAGAAAUGCAAAUCUUUUAAAUGUCCGUUUCUUCACUCUGAGGAAAAGUUAUCUUGGAAGAUGAAGCAUGGCUAAUAUGCUAUAACAGUGUUGUAUNNNNNNNNNNNNNNNNNNNNNNNNNNNNNNNNNNNNNNNNNNNNNNNNNNNNNNNNNNNNNNNNNNNNNNNNNNNNNNNNNNNNNNNNNNNNNNNNNNNNNNNNNNNNNNNNNNNNNNNNNNNNNNNNNNNNNNNNNNNNNNNNNNNNNNNNNNNNNNNNNNNNNNNNNNNNNNNNNNNNNNNNNNNNNNNNNNNNNNNNNNNNNNNNNNNNNNNNNNNNNNNNNNNNNNNNNNNNNNNNNNNNNNNNNNNNNNNNNNNNNNNNNNNNNNNNNNNNNNNNNNNNNNNNNNNNNNNNNNNNNNNNNNNNNNNNNNNNNNNNNUAUGCAUUCCAAGGUAUAAACAUAUAAGGGCCGUCUUGGGGGAUAUUUUUCUUUGGAGGUUAAAAAAUGAUUUUGAAAAGUUAAAAAUUAAUUUUUGUGUUUGAUAAAUUUUUUUAGAAAUCACUUUUGGAAAACUUACCUUAUUUUAUAGCAAAUUUUGAAAAGUAAGGAGUAGUCUUUCAACAUCUAAUUUUGAGAAUAAAUUUUAGGGUGGGGCUAUUUGAACCCACUAAUUUACUCAAUAAACCCACUUUUAAAAAUAAUUUUUUUAUCAUUAAAAUACCCCUAAAUUAAAUUACAGUUAUGGACACUAGAAUAUAAUUAAAAAAAAAACAGAAUUUUUACUCUUUAAACCCAUCUUUAUAUUCAACAUAGUUUUAUAGAACCCUAAUCAAAUUUUCAUUAAACCCUAAUCAAUCAAGAGGUGUGAUUCUUCUCUCAAACCAUAUAUUUUGUUAAAUAGUCACAUGUGAUUUGAUUCAGAGUAACAAAAUUAGUUGUUAUUGAUUUGAUGGAUAUUGAUUUUAUGGAGGAACAAAAUAAUAUUGACAAUCAUGAACAGAUAUGAAUUUUUUUUUAUAUUUGAUUUUUGUUUUUUUUUCCUUUUCCAUUCGAAAUUGACAGACAAUGUUGAUAAAUUUUCCCUUUUUUGGAUCAUGAACAAAGUUGACUGUUCUUUGACUUUUCGUCUUAUUGCAUAAAUUUUCCCCUCACUCAAAAUUGUUUAAUUAAUAUUGAUGAUUAAAUUUUCAAUUAAUAAUCAAUUAUUGUUUUUUCCCAAAUUCUGAAAAAAUUAUUUUUUCUCAAAUUCCUCAUAUUAGAUUUUCAUACCAUCAUACAAGAUUUUUCUCACCACUAUAAUAUAACUCAAAAAAAUAAUUUCAUGAUGACAACUAUUUUCUCCAUUUAUAAUGUUUUGAUUCUUUUGUCCUUGAACGAUGGCCAUUCACUCAAAAUUGAUUAUUAAAUUUCCAAUUAAUAAUUAAUUUCUAAUCUAAUGGGUUUAUAAAUAAAUAUUAUGGGUUUAAUGAGUAAAAUUACUAUUAUUAUAAAAACUGGGUUUAGAAAGGGUAUAUUAGGUAUUUUAGUAGGUUUACUGAGUAAAAUUUAAAAUUUUAAAAUUUAAAAGUGGGUUUAUUUAGUAAACAGGUUUAUUGAGUAAAUUGGUGGGUUCAAAUAGCCCCACCCUAAAUUUUAUACUCAAUAUAAUUUCAUACCAUAUAUAUCCUUACAUAAGAAAUAAAAUUAUUAACUUUAAAGAGAUUAUUAUUAUUAACAAUUAUAUUGAGAUAAAAAUAAAUUAAAAUUAAUAAUAUAAAAUAUUUAUUUUAACUAUCAAUUAUUAUAUAUACACACACUAAAAAAAAGUAUACACAUUUUUAUAAAUAUAUAAAUAAAUUUUAUUUAACAUUAUAUCCAAUUCAAUCAUUUACAUUCUUAUAGUAGUUUAAGAGUAACAUUUAUCGAACACAUAUGAUUACUUUUUAAAACUCGUAGCACCUUUAAAAUAAAUUUUAUUAAAUGUUUAAUUAAUUUUCUUUAUAGUUGAUUAUUUCUGUAGUUAUUAUUUUAAAAGAUAUAGCAUUACCAAACUAAAAUGGUUUAUUUAUAAAUUGAGUUGGACUAUUGGCACCCCUCCAAAAUCCUUUUAAAACCCCUCUUCUGUUACAAUUACGUUUAAGAACAAAUACUUUAAUAUAUCUCACAUCUAUUUUAUCUCACUUUAAACUUUUGUAUUUUCUCUCUUAGAAAAAAAAACUCUUGUAUUUUCUCUGCUAUCAAACUCACGCAUGUCAUUUUUUUUUCUCAAAUUCUCUAUAAAUAUUUCUUCAAUUACUAAGACAAUCUAUUGAUAAUAAACAAAAUACAUUCUGACAAAAUUAUCUGCUUUUUUUUAAGGCUCAUAAUAAAUUUUUUUACAUCAUAAUUUUACAGAUAUUUUAUUUAAUUAAUUGAUUUUUAUCAAGAAGUUUAUCACCCCUAAAAGUUUGUUUGUGAGGAGUGAGAAAAUAAUAGAAAAUUAAAAUAUUCACAAAUUAAAUGUGUUUAUUUAGAAAUAAGGGUAUUUUUGGCAUUAAGCUUAGCAUUAUUGAAAAAGGGGUUUAGAAGAAUUUUGGAUGGGUGCCAAUAGUCCAACUCUUAUAAAUUAAAUAUAAAGAUUAAUAACUGGACCUAGACUCAGCUCGGUCCGGGUCUAAAAAUUUCAAGCCUGGGUCCAUCACUCCCACCAACUGCUGGACUGGACGUUCCACUCAUAUGCUGUUGAUAUAUAUAUAGUUUAGCUUUUGGCACCCUUAGGAAAAUUCUUACGACACCUCUUUUGUAUUUUAUUUCUUAAAAUAUCUUAGUUUUAAUUUAGAAAGUAUAAAUCCCGAUAAAAAAAAAAAACCAUAUUCCCACAAAAUGUCAUCCUAGAAAAAGUCUCUUUGAAGUUUUAAUUAUAAAAUACAUAUAAAUCCUAAAUUUUUUUAAUUAUUUUCUUUUUAUUAUUUUACUUAUAUCUCCAUAAUUCAAAACACUUUUAAUUUUUUAAAAAAAUCAAAUUAAAAUUUAAAAUAUAAAUAUAAAUUAUGAAAUGGGGUGCGUGUAAAAAUUUUGUUAAAAGAAUAUUUUAUUUAGGUGUUUAAUUGAAUUUUCAGUCAAAAUAAAAAUAAAUUAAUUUGUCUUUGGUUAUAUAGGUAAUUUCAAUAACAAAGGGGUUUCAUGAGGAAUUUUGAGAAAGACAUACUCGUACGUCAUACAUGUGUGUGUGUGUGUGUGUUGGGGGGGGGGGGGGGGGGGCCAAUUUUGUUUUUUUGGGGGGGGGGGGGGGGUUUUCCCAAAGGGGAACCCCAACUUUUUUAAAUUUGGGAACAAAAAAAAAAAAAAAAAAAAAAACCCCAUUUUCAAAAACCACAAGAAAAAAAAAAAGGGGUUNNNNNNNNNNNNNNNNNNNNNNNNNNNNNNNNNNNNNNNNNNNNNNNNNNNNNNNNNNNNNNNNNNNNNNNNNNNNNNNNNNNNNNNNNNNNNNNNNNNNUUUUUGUGUGUGUGGAGUGGGUUUAUCCAAUAGGGGAUCCCUAACUUUAUUAAAUUUAGGAACAAGAUAAAAAUAAAAUAAAAAAACACCAAUUUCAAUACACUACAUGAAAAAAUAUAGUGUAUUGGAGUUUAUAUUUUAUAUUUUAUUUUUUAGUUUAUUCCUGACUUUAAUAUAUCCCUUAUAAAACCCCUCUCUUGAAGUACCCUACCCCUCUCUUGAAGUACCCUAUAAAAAUAUUAAAAAUUAUAAUAAAUCUAAUAGCACAACAACAAUUCCAAAACUACCCUCCACAUAUAUUCCUCUACUUUUUCUUUUCUUUCUAAUAAAUUCACGAGGGCUAGGAUCAGUACCUCCACCUCUUACUUGCUGUCAAGAUUAGUUUAAUUAGAACAAAAAACACAUAUCUAGAAAAUUUUAAUUUUUCAUUCAAGUUAAAUUUUUAAACUUUAUAUAGGUUUUUAUCAAGAUUUUUGAGGGGUGUGAAAAGCUUCACUCGUGUAUAACCAAUAGAGCACAAUGUGUUUUCUCAUAUAUUUUGUAAUUCUACUAAUUGGCUUAAAUUGAAUUGUAAAAAAUAAUGCCACUAGAAGAAAACAGACAAUAGAUGAUAGACAAUUUGUGACAGAUUCUGGACAAAAUAACUUAAAUCAUAGCACUAUGAAGGAUUUGUAAUAGAAAUUUCAAUCUAUCACAGAUCAAUGAUAGUUUUCUAAUAGAAAUAUUUUUUAUUAUGAAUAUAUGAUGGUUUUGUGAUAGAAUUAUUGUUUAUCACGAAUUUAUGAUAGAAUUGUGAUGAAAAUUUGAUCUACCAAGAAAUUGUGAUAGAAUAAUGAUUUUGACCACGUUUGACUCAAAUUUGAUGUAUUAUUUUAUUUAAGAAAACAAAAGGUACAUUUUAAUAAUUGAAAAAAAAAGAAAGAAAACGCUAGCCAAAUGCUACCGUUUUGGUACUUAACAGUUAACACUCCUUUUCUUUUUCUUCUCUAAGUGUUAAACACUCACACACUUGGAAAUCAAAAUCCAUGAAAGCUACAUUUGUAGCUCGUUUCUCCUUGCGAGAAUUCUUAAUCCCCAAGUUCGCUGGUUAAUCAUUUUCUUUAUUGCUUUAACUUUUGUUUUAGAAAACUUGUUUGAUGUGAAUGGCCUUGGUCUAGUUGAAAUAAAGAAUUAAAUCCACAAAGAUUGUGAAUCUUGUAUCUUUCAUAGUUUUUUUUCUUUAAUUAGCUUGAACUAGAAAGAACUAAAUUGUUUUAUGUAUGUUUGAGUUUUGUUGAUGCUUUUUUUCCUCUAGGCAACUCGAUAAUUCUGAAAUUGAAAUGUUGAAGGGAUUAUUAGUAAAUAUUGUUGAGAAUUUAGAAUCUAGUGUUGUGUGGUUUUUUAUGACGUUUGACCAAAGUGGGAUAAAUGCUCUUGCUACACAUUUGGUCCUCCGAUUAUGAAGUGCGUCAUUUUACAUAACGUAGUGCCAUUAAUGAUUUUGUUCAAGGCGGCCGUAUUGGAUUAUUUUAGAAAUUUAUUAUUAGGUAUUUGAAUAAAUGGUUAGAUAUCUAUCUUUUGUUUGAACUCUGUGAAUUUUUAUUUCAUGUCUUAUUAUAUUUUCUUGAUGUUUUCAUGGGUUUCAUUAAGUUAUAAUCUUUCUAAUGCUUCGCUUUUUUCUAUUUUAGAACUAGUUUUGAGAUGGAUACCCCUAUUGCAAACGACAGAAUUUGAUUGCUGCUACAAAUACUUCAUUUGUGAAAAUGGUUUUCUAAUUUUUAUGUGUUGGCUUGCGGUAAAAUUGCUGAUUUAAAAUAUAGCGAAGACAAAGUUCUUAUGAGAAUUGAAUCGAUGAUAACAUAUAUUGGCAUUAUAGUAGCAUGUGAUGAGCUUUUUUUCUCCUUUCCUUAAAUUAGGCAAUUGAACUGUCAAUUUUGCUUUCUUUUAGCUUCUAUAUUCUCUUUUUCUUUGGAGGUACAAUGGAUGUUUUCAUUUGGAUAGUUCAGCUUAUAAAAAAAAAUAGGUAUGCAUGUUUGUUCAUAGUUACAGUAGUUACUGCUCUAAUUCUUUUCUUGGGCAGGAAUAAGAUGCAGAGUUAUGGGACUCGGAGUUAAGAGACUAGUAUUCUUGAGGCCAACAAUUGCAGGCUAUUUAAGAUAAGUUGUGAAAUUUUGGAUUGUUGUAGUUUGAAUACUUCAAUGGUGUGGAUUGUAUGGUUAAAUGGAUAUCCAGGUUGUAUUAAUUGGGGUUUUUAAUUUUUUGUAUCAUAUUUAAUAUUUAUUUUAGAUUUAUAAAUUUAUUCUAGAAACAAAUUUAUAGAAUUUGAGAAUUCUAAUAGCAGCAGGAUCAACGACGACGACGAUGUUAAUAUUAAUUCAAUACAAAUAAUGAUAACAAUGUAAUUCAAAAUAAUAAUGCUUUUAAUUAAUUUUAAUAUUGAAAUAAUAUCAAUUUUCAGCCAAAAAUUUCAAAAAAAAUCCAAUAAUUUAAAUAAUUUUAAUUUCCCAUUAAAAGAUUGAGUAACAUAUAUAUGACUGUGAAAAACUGUCAUGAAUUCAUGAUGGAAAAUAUUCUAUCAUAAAUUAAUGAUACUGAUAUAGAUGACGGAUAAAUUAUCUGCAAUGCACUCUCUUUUAUGACAGUUAUUUACUAUCAUCUAUUGUUUAUUUUCUUGUAGUGUGCUUUUGUAAGUAACAUCAUUUAUUAUAAAUCAGUCCACGAUCUUGUUUUUAAAGUCCAAAAAAGACAUUAUGUCAUAUGGUGUAAUUAUGUGGCGUAAUAGUUUUCCCAAACUUUAAGAAAGUUUAGAAUCCUAGAUCAGACGAGUACACUCCAUCAUAUAUACUCCAAUAAAUUCUUAGCAACACAUCUUUUUUAUUUCGAGUCUAUAUCGAAAGGAUUUUAUUUAAUUAAAUGCAAACUAAUAUAAAAUCUAAUAAUUUUUUUUUAGUUUCUAGUUCAUGCUUAUAAUAAUGUUCGAAAUUAAUAGAUGAAAGAAAAAUAUUAGUUUUUUUUAAUUUAAUUCAUAUAUUCUAAAUCAUAAUUUAUAUAAAACAAUCGCUGGAAAGAAAUGAAACUUUUUUUAAAAAAUAUAUGUAAUGGGUAUCAUUUGAAAAAAAAAAAAAUUGCAUGACAAAAGGCACGCGCACACAAGCAUGACAAUUGAUUCACACAUGCAUAUUUAAUUAAUUAACUAAAACAUGGUACUUGAAAAGUCUUUGCGGGUGCCUACAAAUUGAUAUUUGGACUGUUCCACCAUUCAACCUGAAAUCAUCAAGUGAAAGAAACAAGAUCAUGCGUGUUGUUAGAUUUUGAAAGGAUAGCGAAGAUGGCACUAGAUUAAUCAAAUUGUGACACCUCCUUACAUAAGAAUAACCAAAUUGUUCAUAUUAGAGGACUCUUGUUCCAAAAUGUGCUUCAGAUCACAUAACUUAUUUGCUUUUCUUAUGAUAACCUCCAUCCCAUUUUCAACCUUUUCUUUCGACAGCCAUUCAUCAUAUCCUUCUAUUUGGAGAACUUUCAUGGUAGGAAAUCUCUUGAGGAAAUCAUCAAGUGAUAAAAUAGGAGUCCACUCAUCAGCAAACUCCACAUUAGGACAUUUUAAGUUUACAUAGCUAGUCUUCCGAAAAUAGACAUUUAUUUGAUCAAUCAGAACAAAAAAAAAAAUUGCAAAAUGGAUUAGUUGAUGUUCUUUCUAACAAUUUCACAAAAUUAGUAUUGUAAUUUUUAGAGAGAAUUUAACAAAAAAGAAAAGAAUUAGAAGCUACGGCUAGCUAAAACAAUAUAUUUAUAAAAAAAAAAACUACCUUUUUAGAAAAUAAUAACAAUACACCUUGUUUGAGGGAAAUACUUCGACGAGACCAGACGUGAUGAGCAGAUAUUGGGUAGUAGAGUUCUGCGAAUAGGUGUGUUCUGUAAGAGCCUGGUAGCAGAGGAGCAGCAGCAGGAAUAUUCUGCUCGUCCACGAAUAUGCCAUUCAUGAGGAUGAACUCCCGUUAGAGGCAUAAGGCCAUUCCUGCUAGGAGGCGAGGCGAGGAGACCCGGUCAACGACAGUUGGCAAGACGUGCGUUCCUAUCCGAGAAUCAAGGCACGAAAUCCAUCUCCAUUCGCCCACAAUGACUACAAUGGGGCAUCCACAUCCGAGGGUGGGGAGAAUAAUGGGCGUGGACUACGGAAGACCGGGAUUCAGAGGAAACCUAUAAAAAGGUAGCCAGCGAAGGUAAAAGGGUUAGACUUUUUGCUAUUAGAACUGAGAAAAGAGAACUCUAAGAACUGAGAUAAAGAGAAGCCAUAAGAUUCGUGGCAAACAUUCCCAGAACCUUCAUUUCUGACUUGAGCGUAGGAGGGUUUGCGCCGGGAAAACAACCGGCGUACUCUGACCUGUCUGUGUACGUAGGAACCUCGGGAGAAGAAGCUUUACGAGGAGAGAUCCUGGUCGUGGUGAAGUUGAUCGAGCAGAGACCCUGGUCGUAGAAAGAGGACAACCAGAAUCUCGCAUCAACAUUUUGGCGCCGUUUGUGGGGAACUGAGCAAAAAGCUUCUGUCGAUAGCAAGAAGAGGAGUGAAGCAAGAAAAGCAAUGGAGACAGGAGGAAGUAGUGCACAAGGAGGUGAUAGGAGGCUUAGCGAUUCCGUGACGCUGAGGGAGAUAGCCAGUGAAGCACGGGAAAAAGCCAUGUUCGACCGGAUGGAACGGAUGGAAAAGCAGAUGGAGACCCUGACAACCAUCCUACAUGAGCUGCGGAGAGAACGAAGGGUAACCCAGGAGGAAAGGGUGAGAGGUGGUGGAGUGGCACCAGGUCCCGAUAGUACGAGGAGAAGUCAAAUCACCGGGAGAUUUGGUGGUGAGGGAGGUAACAUACCUCUGCGGGGAGAAUUUCAUAGAGAGGAAGAGCAAUCCCCGGCAAGACAGAUUUUUGGCGAGGACGACGGGGUGGCGAAUGCGGAGGAAACAGAGUUGAGGCAGCACUUGCAUGACGUAGAGCAAGAACGGGAUCAAGUUGCAGCACGUGACCCUGGUCGUGCAGUGCAGCUGGAGGAGGAAGUGCGCAGACUAGCGCAGAUAAUUGACGACAUGCAAGGAAGGAGCAGAGCUCCUGGUUGGAGGAUAAUGCUGGACGGAGAAUCACCGCUCGCAGCAGAGAUCAUGAGGGCAGUUAUUCCGAGAGAUUUCCGCCUCCCAGACCUUAGAUAUUCGGGACGAACUGAUCCGCUGGUGCACAUAGAGCGCUUCAACGACAUAACUGGGGUACAAGGAUUAUCUCAAUCCCAAAGGUGCAGGGUGUUCCCACUAUCCCUUGAGGGACGUGCACGAGAGUGGUAUAGGAAACUUCCUCGGGGGAGCAUUAAAACCUUCGAGCAGAUGUGCCAAGAGUUUGCAGAGCAAUUUCGUGGGGCAAUGGCACCAGAAGAUGACAUGAUGGAGUUGAAAAGCAUGAAGCAGGGGGAGCAAGAAACCCUUCGGGAGUUCAUCAAGAGGUUUCAUCGUGUUUUCCUCGAUUUGGGAGCCUUCAACCAUCCUCAGGCACUAAGGGGAUUGAAAGAGGGAGUGAAGAUAGGAAGGCUGUGGUACAACUUGAGAAGCCCAGCUAUUCAGACGUAUGCAGCCGCAUACGAGCAGGCUAAAAGAGACAUAGAGAUCGAGGAAGAAAAGGCAGCUCGGAUUAAGACAGACCAGCUGGAGGGGCUGGAAAAGAAAGAGAAGAGGGCAUUACCAGGAAACGGGCCGAUCAGGAGGAGGGACCACCAGGCCUCCGGUAGUGGAGCAGGAGGUCGGGUAACAGCUCACCAGCCUCAUCAGAGGCCACCACAGUAUCAGCGCAGCAGGGCGCAACCUUCUCGCUCCCCAGCUAGGGAACCUUGGAGAAGGCAUGACUCGGCAUAUGGUGGUCUUCAUCAACACUCCCACGGUAGUAGAGGGAGCAGACCAGAAGUGCUGCCAUUGCCUCCAACUCAGAACGGAGCAAAUAGAGAAAGGGCAGUGCACCUGAUCGAGCAGAACCAGGACUAUGGGCGGUAUACUUCCUUGAAGAUGCCCCUGGACGAGGUGUACGAGGCCAUAAAGGACCGAGGAUUGCUGUACCUCCCUGCCACAAUAACAAAGCUACCCAGCAGGAGGGAUAAGGGACGCUAUUGUAAGUUCCAAGGCACACAUGGCCAUACUACAACAGAAUGCAGGUCGAGGAUUUGGUGAGAAAUCGAUACCUGGACGAGUUUAUAGAUGGGACCUUCCCAAUGGUAGCCUCGACAAGCGAAGGGGAGCAGAGUGACAGGAACUUGAGGCGCGAGCAGCCUGCAGUAAGGGUGAUAGCUGGGGGCCCAACAUUGGCCGGAGAUUCCAACAGGUCGAGGAAGAAUUAUGCUAGAUACGCCAUGACCAGCAAAGAUGUAUUCUUCAACACCCCAGCAGCCAAACGUGCAAGAGUCAGGCAAGUGUCAAUCAUGUGGACAGAUGAGGAUGAAGAAGGGAUUCUAUACCCCCACGAGGAUGCGUUGGUCAUCAAGGCCACUGUUGCCAGCAAGAAGUUUGACAGGAUACUGGUUGACACAGGGAGAUCAGUUGAUGUGUUGUUUAAGUCAACCCUGGAGGAGAUGGGAAUAGCAGACCUGAGGUUGGAGCACACCAACACCUCCUUGAAGGGAUUUGGAGGAGGAAAGCUGGUCCCCUUGGGUGUGGUCGAGCUGCCUAUCACAAUCGGAAGCUCCCCGACAGAAAGGACUAUGAUACUGGAUUUUGUGGUGGUUGAUGAAGAGGGUCCUUACCAGAUAAUCCUAGGUCGGCCGUUUCUGAGGAUGAGCAAAGCAGUACUGUCCAACCAUUAUCUUACUCUCAAGUACCGGGUGAAUGGGGUAGUUGGAGUGGUACGAGGAGACCAGAGAAUCGCAGCGUGCCAGGAUCUGCUCAGCCACGAGAAGGCGAGCAGAAUCCCAAGCUUUGAAGAAAUUAUCUAAGGCAUGCAAAGGCUCACCAAGUCUCAAAGCCUGUUUAUGGCGAGACCAGAAGCCAAGCGUGCCAGGAUCUGCUCAGCCACGAGAAGGCGAGCAGAAUCCCAAGCAUUGAAGAAUCUUCUAAGGCAUGUGGCAAAACCAUAUACCAAGCCAGAGCCUGCUCGACCAGACGAAGACGAGCAGACUCUCAAGUGGAAAAAUAACUCGUAAUUACGACAUAAGAGAGUAAUAAAAAACAUUUCUAUUAAUUUGUUAAUAAUUAACAAAGCAGAUAAUCUUCACAAACAUUGUUCAUUACAAUACAAGAAACAUGUUUAAGAAGACGGUGGGUCCGCAAGCCGAGCAGCCUCAGUCGGCUGGUCCACCUCAGGUGCUGGGGGAGUAUCUCCAGUUGCGUCUGGGGGGGUACUCGCCUCAUCAGCAUCAGCAGGGAUUACACGGGGAGGAGAGUUUUCCUCCUCGAUCACCAUUGGCGCCACCUCUUCGGCAUCCUCCUUUGCAGCCUCCUCGUCCAUAUGUUGGGCGACACCAGCUGCAAGGUCGUCCAUCUUUAGAUCAGGAUGUUGCUUCCCGAGGACGGCCAUGAUGCAACGAUAAGAAUGCCGAAGUCCCUGGUCGUACUGGUUGUUGGCCUCCUUCUCCAAGUUCUCGACCUGUGCUCGGUGGGAAUCGCGGAGAGAUUCGAGCUGAGCCUCAUACAUAGCCUUCUGCCUUUGAAGAUCCUCCUUGACCUUGGUCAGCUCCUCCUCGAGGGUAAUGGCUUUUGCUCGAGCAAGAGAUUCUUGCUCUAUCAGCUUCAGGUUCUCGACAUUCAGCUCUCCUGCUUUCUUCUCGGCGCCGUCAGCUCUGGUCCUCGCCGACUGAAUGUCCUCCUUCAUCUUCCUGUCAUAACGGCCGACCUUGGCCUUAUAGUAGGUGGUCAUGCAGCUGAGAUGGAAAGCGCUAUACUGCAUGGCUCCCACCAGCUCGCCCAGGGUGCAGCCAUCAAAGUCCUCCAGGUCUUUCUUACUCACGAGUUUAGAUAACUCAUUAAGAUAGGGGACCAAGUGUUUUGCUCGGCUGUCAGGUAAGCGAGAUCGAGGCCUGACAGGAGGAGAAGAGAAAGCAGGAUCUGUGGCUGCUCCACUAGUUUCCCCGACUUUGGCAGGAGCAGGAGGUAAAGUCUUCAAGGGAGAGACCUGCUGCACGAUGUUGGCCCGCUUUGCAGUAGGGGCGUCCUUAUUCUGGUCCCUCUUCGUGGUUUGAGGUCGAGAACGUUUCCUGUUCAGAGCCCCAAUCACAGCAUCCUCCAUCUUAUGACCAGGGAGUAUCAAGCGAGACUCGAGCAAGUUGUAUGUAGUUAUCAGCUCCCGGCUCGAGCAGGAAUUGGCUAGCACAGCCUCGACCCGUUUGAGCUGGUCAGGUUUGAGCGAGAAAUGAACACCCCAAGAAACUACAACACAAACAGACACUUGGUUAGAGACAAACCAACAAAGCGAGAACAAUUACGAAUACAAGACAUCUAAAGCGAGCAGGCAACCUGGGACCGUGAAACGGGGUGGGACGCGAUAAUCAUUCCCGUCUAUUUGUGCAACUUGACCCCAAGGACCCCCAGCAAAAAAGAAUUUCCUCUUCCAAUUCCCACCACCACCAGUAGGGAGGUCGGUUAUGGGUUUCCUGGUCUUGGUACUAGAUUGAAAGUAGUACCAGCCGGCAUCUUUGGGGCUGCUCUUUAGUUGGUACAGGUGCUUCACCUCAUCAACUGUGGGCUCGCUUUGGCAACAUCUGUCCCACAAUAUGAACAGACCAGAAAGUACUCUCCAACCGUUUGGGUUCAGCUGACCAGGAGAUAGAUUCAGCCCAUUAAGUAUCCGGGCAAAGUAAGGUUGCACGGGACACCUCAGCCCAUACUUAAAGCUAUCCAGAUACAGGGUAACAUAUCCCCUAGGAGGCCGGCUAGGAGUAUCCUUCUUUCCUGGGACCUUAAGAGGGAUUUCACCAGGAAUAUUAUACCUAAGCCGGAGGUCAUUGAGCUCAUCAAACGUGGUUAUGCAUGUCAUGUAAUCAAUAGCGUAAUCCCGCGAUAGGGCUCUACCUCCUAUUGUACUCCGCCCUUCUGGUCGCGACGCUCCUGAUGGGGACACCUCGCCAGAAUCAUCUCCUCGGCCCUCACUCAGGGUGUUCUCCGAGCCAGAAGAUCCCUCUUCAUCACUAUUUCUGCUCGAGGAGGUUGUUUGGGGAGACAUCAUCCUAACGCUAGUGCCGACACUAGAUCUAGUGGGCUCUAAGGGGAUCCCGGGGUCAAAAGCAGGAUCAGUGAGCAGACUAGGCAGGAAGUCCAACUCAUCGUCGUCAACCUCAAUGACCUUCUCUUUACCUUUCGACAUUCCCUAAACUCUAACCACAACAACACCACCAACUACUACCCGAACAAAAGAGAACAGAAAUUAUCUACAACUAUCCGAGACCAAGGAGAUAGAAGAAAUACCUGAAGUAAUGGUUCAGUCGGUGAAAGACAGAAAUUGAGGCCUUUAUGCCGGAACUUCUUUGCCGGAGAGACAGAGACGGAGACGGAGGGAAUGAUGAAUUUGCUGUUUGAAAGGAUUUAGGUUUCCUAAUGGGGACGGACGCUUGGGUUUGCCAGCAUUUAACGACACCAAAUCCCAAGGGCCUCGUAACCGUUGGUUUGAAAUUCGAAUAGAGGGGCAGAUUUCUGCCACAUCACCUCGUCCGCAAUUAAAUGCGAUAUGACUCUUGGCAGCCUUUUCCAAUCCCAAGCGAGCAGGUACUGUCAAGUUUCUACUGCUGGUCCACUACAUUACCCGACACCAGAAAUUGGGGGACCGGUGUUUGAGGGAAAUACUUCGACGAGACCAGACGUGAUGAGCAGAUAUUGGGUAGUAGAGUUCUGCGAACAGAUGUGUUCUGUAAGAGCCUGGUAGCAGAGGAGCAGCAGCAGGAAUAUUCUGCUCAUCCACGAAUAUGCCAUUCAUGAGGAUGAACUCCCGUUAGAGGCAUAAGGCCAUUCCUGCUAGGAGGCGAGGCGAGGAGACCCGGUCAACGACAAUUGGCAAGACGUGCGUUCCUAUCCGAGAAUCAAGGCACGAAGUCCAUCUCCAUUCGCCCACAAUGACUACAAUGGGGCAUCCACAUCCGAGGGUGGGGAGAAUAAUGGGCGUGGACUACGGAAGACCGGGAUUCAGAGGAAGCCUAUAAAAAGGUAGCCAGCGAAGGUAAAAGGGUUAGACUUUUUGCUAUUAGAACUGAGAAAAGAGAACUCUAAGAACUGAGAUAAAGAGAAGCCAUAAGAUUCGUGGCAAACAUUCCCAGAACCUUCAUUUCUGACUUGAGCGUCGGAGGGUUUGCGCCGGGAAAACAACCGGCGUACUCUGACCUGUCUGUGUACGUAGGAACCUCGGGAGAAGAAGCUUUACGAGGAGAGAUCCUGGUCGUGGUGAAGUUGAUCGAGCAGAGACCCUGGUCGUAGAAAGAGGACAACCAGAAUCUCGCAUCAACACACCUAACAUGCAGAAAGUAUAUAUAUAAGAAUUGAAUAAUUAAUUAUAAAUUUCAUAUACGUACCUUUUCUGUCAAGUCAUCUCAAACAGAGGCCAAGUAUUGUUGAGAUCAGAGGAUUGAUAAUAACAAAAGAUUGUUGGCAAAAGCGGAACAACAAAACCGAAGCAAAGUGUGUCUCUGAUCAAAAGAUGGAAAUAAUAAGGAAAGGGUUUGUUGAUUUUUAGGAAUGAAUGCAAAGAGAAUGACCGAUACUAAAAAUUAUUUCAUUAAUGGAGGAGAGGUAGAAGAAUAAUGGACGUAAAUAAGGAAAGGAUUGUGCGGAUUGCAAUGACACUCCACAUCAAGAAAGGAUAAAAAAUUUGAAAGUGAGCCUUUUUAUUUUUUAAGUGCAUGCUACGCUGUAAAGCCAAAGUUCAAUUUAAUUUAGAAUUGAAGAAAAAGAAUGAAUAAAUGAAGAUAAAGGAUGAGAAGGUGAUAGCUUUAAUUAUGAUUAUUUGUUAGCCUAGGGAUGAUAGACCAAGUAUAAAUGUUAAAUUCAGAACAGAAUAUUUAUGAUGUCAGUUGGUACUUGGUACUAAAAUCCUGAAUACUUGAGUAGUUAAAAGCCAAAAUUAAAUAUUAAAAUAUACAAAGGAGAACAAUGGUUUGCUAAAGGUUUAAGGAGUGAGAUUCCUUUCCGCUCAUUGAAGAAAAUCCAGGAACAAUAAUGCUGAUUCAACCAUGUAUAAUUUAAUGUUAAUUAAAGUUAAAGCCAUCAUAUUCGUAAAUAUGCUUCGAUUAAAGCUGUUGUGUUGAAUAUACAUAUAAUAAUCAUUGCUCAAGUUUCCGAAAUGUGAAUCUUUAAAUGUCCAUUUCUUCACUCUGAGGAGAUGUUAACGUGGAAGAUGAAGCAAUGCUAUAACAAUGUUUAAUUUCUUGCGAGCAUUUCACCAAAUACUUGGUACGCAUAAAUGGUCAAUCAUACUUGUCAAAAAAAUUGAUGAACAUUCACUCCUACAGAAGCAAAUCAAUGUUUGUAAAAAUCAUAAUUAGCCAAAGAAAGUUCAUGUAUUUUUUUUUUCUUUUAAGAUUCAAGACAAUUCUUCAAAGAUGAAAUCAGUUUUUAUUGAUACGUUCAACAAAUUCGAAGGCAUUCGAACCUUUUGUGGCACGAAUUGCUAGUUUUCUACACAAUUAAUCAAAUCAACGACAAAGUACAAAAUAUGUUAUUGCAUUUGUUUUGUUAUAUAUGUGUGUUACAAAAAUAGAGAUAAUCGCUAUGCCAAUAAAAUAACAGUAAUGAUAUACUUACUACCAUUAAUAUUGCCGUUAGUAGUUUGUACACCAUUACUACUGGAUAAAAAGAAUUUUACUACAAAACAAAAGAAAAUUAAAUGAUAAGACAAAUUGUUUUUGGUCUCUUAUAGAUUUUGUACUAAUUAUUAUACUAAUUAUCAAUAUUCAUAAGAAAAUAAUGUACAACAAUGAAGGAACCAUACAGAGGUAAAAAUGUUUUUUUUUAAAUUUUUUUUAAUGAAAGUAAAGCAUUUGGCUAAGAUUUAUUUUGGUACUUGGAAGGAUAUACAAAGCAAAAGAGUAUAUGAUAAAGUGCAAAAAACCACACCCUUCAUGGUAAUAUAAUGAGUUGAAUUAUUUUUUAAAUCUAGUUAAAAAUUUAGCUUAAUUGUAAAUAAAGUGAAAAGAGCUAGAUUGAUUGUCAAUAUCAAAAUUUAAAAUUUAAUUUUGAUCACCCAUUUAACUAGAAGAGAUUAAGAGAGGAAAGAAAACUAAGAGAAGAUCUUUGUCCCAUGAAUAAACUCAAGAUGUAUCAAACAGAUACUUUUGGUGAAGUCAGGGGAGCUGCAAGACUGCUCUUUCCCGCCCCUUUGUAACGAACUUAACUGACCUUUGACUUGGUCAGAAUACGUGAUGCACGCAAUGCAAGCACGUGAGGACCCAAAUGAGGAAUUCCAAAAGUUGGACACCCCCAAACGCAGCGUUUUGGUUCUGGUCUUGAAUAUUGAUUCAUCAACAACAAAUUUCUUUCCAAUUUGGGGGGGGGGGGGGGGGGGGACACCAUAAACUAUACCUUUUCCAUUCAUUAUAUCAUAAGAAUACAAUGAUUAACAAUAUCAAAUUUAAGUGACAAUCAAUAAAAACUGAAGCUAAUAUAUACACAACACUGAAACAAUGAAAUUGUUAUAGUUUGACAAAAUAAAAAAUUAUACAAAUUAAACAAACUGAAAAAAGAAAAGAAAUUGUGGUGAGCGCGAAGCAACUGCACUUGGACAUUCAAGAGAAAGAUAGUUAUUUUCCUCCAGAAACAACUACAAUUACAUAAAAAGGGAACUUUUCAUCUCUUUCAAUUUCUUAUACACACAACUGAAGAGAGAUAUAGAAAAUUAAAGGAAAAAAAUGAGAAAAUUAAAGGAAAAAAAAUGAGAGAGAGACACAUAAUAGAUUUUGCAGGAGCACUAUUGUCCCUCAGUUGUGUAUAUAAGAAAUUGAAAGAGAGAAUCCCUUUCUGAAUGAAAAGUUCCCUUUAUAUAGUCAUUAUAGUGUCUUUGACGAAUAUCAGACCGACAUUUUAGACCUUUGGAAACUCAAGACAACAAAGGCUAAUUUAGCCAUUUUAAGAAAUUAUGAUUUCGUCCCCUUCAAUAUUAUCAAUGUAAAUUCCAUCCGUCGUUCCAUUACGGGAAGACCACGCAACCAGAGCAUUAUACCAAUUUUGUAUAUCCACGUCAAUCUUUAUAAUAAUAAUACUAAAAAGUUCCGAAGAGAAAAAGGGGGGAUAGGCGGCGGGUUCCUAUUGGGCCAGAAGUUACGGACUGUAGAAGCUAAGCCACAGAGCUCCCAUUGGAGAGUCGAUCACGGCCACCACCGAGCCCAGCGUGGAUUUACAAGAGCAGUUGGCCGCACUCGUGCUCGUCAAAAAGUGAUAAUAUUUCAGGGCUGAUGCUACAAGACCUGCAUGUAUCUGAUACAUGCAGGUUUUAUGCCAACGGCCAUAAAUGAAUUUAAACAAUAAAUAAUUAAAAAAAUAUAAAAAACUUGAAACCUAUAGAAUCGGUCUCAACACACACCAAACCCCCUCAACACACAUCAAACCCAGGCAUAUAUAUUUGUUGGAAAAAAAAGGAAGUCAAGUGUUAGGCAUCAUCCCAAGAGUCUUAAAACCAUUGGGCAGUUCGUCUGACUCAUCAACUGGAGAAGAGUUAGUCGUCUCAGGUAUGUAAGAAAGAAUAACUGAAAUGCUUAAUCAUGCUGAUGCUUUUAUUUUCCUUCCAGGAGAUCUUGCAACACUAGAGGCACUUAUGACACUAGCAUCUUGGGCCCAUCUACACAUUCACCAGAAACCCAUCGGUUUGUUAAAUGUCAAUAACUUUUAUGAUGGCUUUAUCGCAUUUCUUAACCAUGCAAUAAAAAACUAUUUCAUUCCUUCUAAUGUAAAAAAAACUUUUGAUUUGUGCUCACACUGCUAAUGAGCUACUUGAUCUGUUACAAGCUUAUAAACCGGAGCCAGACACCUGGACCUUUGUGUUGGAGCGCCCAAAUAAUGAUGCCAACAGUAGCCGCAGUAAGAAGUACAAAUUAGAUUUAACUCUCCGCUUGUAAAUAUUUUCUUCUGUGUUGCACCACCCAGGUGAUGUCUUCUAAACUCUACUUCUUUCCUUUCAAACAUUGAGGACAAUGUUUCGUUCUGGUUGGGGGGAGGGAAUAGUCGACAAUUGUGGAAUUUUGGUUAAGUUUUUACUAAUUUUUUGUUGUAGAAACUAACUGUUGCUAACUUUCUGUGUUGAAGAUGGUUGAAUAUGGAGUGUAGUGACUCUAGAAACGUAUCUUCAUCGUUUGAAAAAAAAAAUUUAGACAUUUUUUUUUCUUUAUUAAGUUUUUAUGUUCAUUUUUCUUCUUCUUUUUAAUUUCUCUUCUAUGAAUAUACAUUUUCCAACUUUUGAGUCGAAGAUGGCUGAAUAUGGAGAGUAGUGCCUCUAGAAACGCAUCUUCUAAGUUAAAAAAAAAAAAAACCAUUUUCGUUUUCUAUCAUUUUAAGUGUAACUUUUCUAAUUAGUUUUUAUGCAUGAUUUUCACAUUUCUGAAUGCAUAUUUUCCUUUCAUGUUUAGAAUAGGUUGGGGGGUAUAAUGUUGUUUAAAAAAAAAAAAACAAUUUUGUGUGAUUUGUUUUAACAUUGGAUGACAUGAUUAAUUUCAAAUUUUAGUAUUUGUAUUAUCUUUGGUCUUAAGUGAUGUUACGCUAUGUUUGCUACUUUACAUGUUGAUGUCGGAGACAAAUAUAAGUUGCUUGAAGGAAUGAACAUGUCAUAAAUAAGUGCCAAGUGAGUUAUUGAGCCCAUCAUUUUCUUGGAGAGUAACCCUUUUGCCCAUUCUCUAUACAGCUUAGCAGUUUAUUAUUUUAUACACGAUCUCUAGAUUUCUUUUGAGUUAACCCUUAAAAAAAAUGGUAAAAUUAAAAAAAAAAUGUGUGUUGCUACAUUGGGAGGCCCGUCUAACUAGUAGAUAUGGAUGAUUAUUUAGAGCCGUAAAAGACGAUGGAAAGGCCAUCUUUGAUCCGUUUGAGCCUUUCUAGCUAUCCCUUUUAUUAAAUAUCCAUAGUUAACCCUUUUGAGCCUUUAAAAAAAAAAAAAAACAUUUUCUUUGUCAACUUAUGAUCUUGACCCACUCCGAUUUGGAGUAUUACCCGAUGUCUUAUAAGUUCCAUAACCUAUUUAUGUUUGAGAAAAUGUAAAUAAUUAUGUUGUUCAGUGAAGUUAUGCCAAAUAAAAGCAAAAAACAAAAAAAAAAAACAAAAGUUGUUAUUUCAAAAGAAUAAAAAUAACAAUAAUAGGUGAAAUUCACCUUGCAACUUCCAAAAAAAAAAAAAUUCUCUGCAUUUUUCUCAAACAUACACUUUGUUUUCCUUAUUUCCUUUCUUUGUUAGCCAUGUCCCUAGCCUACAUUACGUCCUAAUAAAAGUCCUUCUUGAUUUUAGGGAACUAUAGCCUGAAGUAGAAGCUAGUUAUAUGGGCUAAAAAGAUGUAGUGAUGCAUAAUAAAAAAAAAAGAAAAAAAAAAGAUAAAUAAAGUGGGUUGACUAACAUUUUUAUUUGACUUGAGAUCGUAUUAUUUCUAAGCUGAUGGCAUAUUUCUUUCAUCUUGGUGAGAGCAUGUGAUAUCACUUCUUUAUUAUUUUCUCUCUCAAGUACCAUUCAUUGGAGUGACUAUUUUUAUUGGGUUUAAUUUCUUUGUGAAAGUGUCACUACUUCCAGUGAGAUUUUGGGGUUUGACAUGUCAUUCUUGAAAGUAGCUAUAACAAAGUCUACUGAGUUGAUUCAUGUGGAUGGUUGAUGUGGGUGUGAUGUUGCUUUAGACUGGAGAUAAUGCUUAUACUUUUAUUUGAUUGCUAUCAUUAAUCUGAUUGAAUAAACACGAGUGUUUCUAAAUAAUAAAAAAAAAUCAUUUUGGUUUUGAAUUUUGUUUUCGCUUUAUUUGCUAGGGACUAGCAAUAAGCUGGUUGGGGGGUGUGUUGAGUGUUAGAAAAUGUAUAUUUAUAAAGGAGAAAAUCGGCAUUUUACACUACAAGUUUUACUAACACCUUUACUUUUAUGAAUUUAACCUUCUUUUGAUUUAAUUCCGUGUGUUUUAUUUUAAUUAAGUAUUUUAUAUAUUUUAGGGGCAUCAUAGUCAUUUCACAAUAAACGAGAGAUCAGAUGGCAAAACGGACAUCACUUUUGAACUCAGGAUGGCCGAAAACCUUAGGAGGAGCAUAAAAGGAAAAAUGGCAUUGUUCACAUGUACGGUACUAUUCACGUGUACGAUACUGUCUACGUUACUGUUCACGACACUGUUCUCAUAGACAGAACGAUGAUGUGGCAUUGACCGAUGAUGUGGCAUUGACUGAUGAGGUGUCACGAUCCUGUUGGGCUAAAAUUCUUAUGUACUGUUGAUGGUGACGUGGCAGCAUAUCAGUGGACGAAAAAUCUCGCGUACGGUACAUGCAUCACACAGGAUUAUUUUCAACCAAACCGCGUCACUGUUCACCCGGGUCAAACCGUGUUACUGUUCACUCGCGUGGUCAAACCGCGUACUGUUGACUGAUGACGUGGCGCAAUUCUGAGCGUCCGAACUGUUUUUAAUCCGAUGGCCAUGAUUUACUCCAUGUAUCUAUAAAAAGGGGGCUUCCCUCCCCUAAUUUGAUAUCUCUGAAUCCAUUUUUGGGAUCCAUUUUCUGUAAUUCCUUCUCCAUCUUGUAUUUUCUACGUAUUUUAAUAAAUUUCCAUUUUGCCCCUAGUUCAAUUAUGAGUGGCUAAUUUUCUUUCAAGCUUGGGUUGAAGGUGAAGUCUCAACAUGUGUCAUGAGCUUUAUUUGGUAAAUUUAUUUUCUCUUCCCCUCUAGUUUUUGUGGAUGUUUUGACUUCUCGUCGACAAAUAAUAAUAAUCUUGUCUAGAUACCGCCUUGGUUACACCGGCUCUCUAGUACAAGGUUAUUAUUAUUUGGCACGAUAAGCCCUUAGCACCAUAUUGAUUAGAGCGUGGUUCAUGAGGUGUGGAUUCCCCCCUCAUGAUUUAAUUGGCAUUAAUAAGGAUUAUUUAGCCCAUGAUGCAUGUUGAUACGGAUCCAGAUACCCAAGUACGUCAUUUCAAUAGAAUUCUCUUCAAUUUAUUCUCGCCAUUUCAAUACCAAUUUUAGAAUUUAUUCUCGCCAUUUUAAUUUAAGUUUUAGCAUAUUCCAAAUCAUUUCCACCACAAAUCCAAUUACCCAUUUACAAAAUUAAUUCUACACAAUUAAAAUCCACCUCCUCGUGGGAUCGACACUCGUCACCAUUGAUCUAUACUACAAUAGAUUCGUGCGCUUGCGAGUACAUUAAAAUUUGCACAACAAAAGUGACCCCAAGUUGUUCUUGAAUAGAUCUUUGUUCCCAUGCAUGAUGGUGGCCACCAUUGGUUUAUGCUGUUGGUUAAAAUUAAAGACAAACAAGCGGAGAUCUGGGAUCCACUACCGGAUGCACGACGGACACGAGAUCGAGAAAUCUAAGUGAAUAGUAUUGUAAGCCCAACUAAUUUUUGAUAAAAAAGAUGAGUUUAGUUUUCUGUGUAUUGUGUUAUUAAUACAUGUGAUGUAUUUUUGCACUUGAAAAUAGUUACACUCGUUGGAUGCUAUACUUCAUGGCAUCGUGGAUGCUAUACUUCAUGGCAUCGUGGAUGCUACAUAUUUAGUAACUUGGAGUUUCUUGUCAUUUGUAGCGACCCAUAGGGAAGGAGUUCCACGGCAACCUAACGGUUUUGAUUGUGGAGUUUACGUCAUCAAAUUUAUGGAUAUUCCUGGAAUCAUCACCAACAAAUCGUAUGUGGUACGCUCCCUUAUUUGCCUUAUGUGGUUUCUUAGUUGAUUUUACUACUGUUGUUGGGCCAUUGACAUGAUGAAAGUGCAUGAUUAUUUCCGCAGCAUGACUCACAGAAUGUUCAGGCGCAACUUGCGUUACAACUUAUAAACUCUCCGUUCAACGAACAAUGCGAUCAAUUAUUGGCGUUGGCUAAUGCACACUACAGUAACACUGCAACGUACAUAAAUGAAUCGAAGCUUGCAUCAACAGUGAAGCCUCGUAAUGUGUCCACCAGAAAAGGUCAUAUGAACAGUUGCACAAAACAUCUUUUCAGGCGGAAGGGCUGAGAUUGUUGUGAAUAUAGAUUAUGAUAAUUUUUUGAUAACUUCAUUCACAACUCUAAACUUUUGCUAAAUUUACCUUGUAACUGGCGUUGACGUACGAGUCAUGUAAAUUGUUUUGAUGAUCCGAAGCCGUAGAGGGAUCAAUUGGGCAAUUAUAAUUUUUUCCUUCGUCAACCGGUUGUAUUAAUUAAUACAUGUUGAAAUGAAGAUAAUUGCUGUAAAUGUUGCUAUUAUCACUAAGUACGCAAAAUAUGUUAUUACAUUGCCAUUGUUCACUUCUUACAUGAUAAUAUAACUCAAUGAUUUCCAAAAAGUUCGUUCUGCCCCCUCGGUUCAGAUCCAAAAAGUGCAUUAUUAGCGAUCAUCCUCUAUCCUCCAAGUAUGUGUACCGUCGUCAACUAAGCAUAAUAUAAAUCCGAGUUAGUUAAACAACCUAAGAAAGUUUGCCAGGCAAAUUCAUAUAUCAAGGGAUAUCACUUACAAGUUAUUAUGAGGCCACCAAUUAUAGUAUGUGCUUGCAUCGGUUUCAUAGGUUAUACCAAUUGUGUUACUGCUGUCGUAAUGGCCGUCAAUUCCUUCUGAGAUGUCAUGCCUCCAAGGACAAGUUGUCUUGAACGUAAAUGUUGGGGAACUUGGCGAGCCUAAUUCCAUCGAAACAGGUGGUGUUAACACAUUAUAAGAACAAUGCCUUGGCUGAUCGUCAGUCGAAACACAACCAGUACCGCCAACGUUGCAAUGAAGGUCAUUAGGCUGCAUGUCCUUUGGCGGAUAUAGCGGGCAAGUCCGUUUAGUAUGGCUAGACUAAAAACACUUACUGCAUUUGCGAUUUUUAACCCCAUCAUGUUUAACGGUUUUAGAGCUACCUUUACUGUUAACUGUAACCGAGUCUUUCAACUUCAUACUUGCUUGAAGUACAUAAUUCCUGGCUCGUUUAGCUGAUUCAUCAUCGGCAACCAUCUGUUCAACGCGAAGCGUCAGCCGUUGAAUCUCGUCUAACGCUAUCAUAUAACUUUGUUCAUUCUUUGUAGCGAAAAGACAAAGAUUCGUACAUGCCACUGAAAGUGAGCAAACCUUUGCUGUUUCUAACACUUCCUUAUCAAGGUGUGACGCUGCAGCGGUCAUUUUCAUCACUUUACUCACCUUCACUGAUUUUUUUCAGUGACCAAGAAUCAAUGUUGGUGGUAUGCGAACUAGUUGCUCGAAUUUCAUGACGUGAAAUAUAUGCCUGUAUGGAAUACCUGCUGAUUCCAUCAUUUUACAUGAAUAAGUAAUUGCAACUUCUUUAUUAUAAAGUACCACUGUCCAUUUUUAUUCUGGAUGCUGAAAUUUCGUCAAAAUAUAGAUGUUGGAAUUAGCUGUCUUAGCACACCCGAGCAUAAUUAGCGUGGCUUCUCCGAGGAUCUCCAUCCGAAACCACUUCAAUACAUUCCUUGUAUAUAUUUCGGAUGCAUGUUUUUCAAUGCUUUGCAGAUGUGUUGUAAGAACUGGGGCUGUGUGGUUUGUCUCAUACUCAUCUUGGACUUCUUUGUGCCGUAUGCAAUACAUUGCACGAUGAAUUUGUCUAAUGAAAUCAUAUAGUUUUAGCUUCUGCUCAACAAAGCGACACAAGUGAGAAUUCAAGCUCUCACACCUUUGUGUGGUUCGCAUUCCGGCGAAAAAAGUUCCUUUCAAAUAAGCCUCUGUCCAUUUUCUACGCUUUGCAUACAUUUUUUCCACCCAAGAAUUUUGUUCCAGUCCCAGAUCAUAGACAAUAGAGAACCAAUCUCGAUCAAACUCCUCCAUGGACAUUGGAUUCAACAUUAACUGCCGAAACUUCGACGUGAACUCAUUUCUCUUCACAUUUGCUUGUGCAUUCCGCUCAAGAUGCCAGCAGCAGAGUCGGUGUACAUAUCCAGACAUAACCGUUUUAAUCGCUUUACAUAGCUUUAUCACCAUCUGUUAUGACACUUAUGGGUUUUUUUUGUUUCAUUGCUGAUAAGAAAGUCUGUAGCAGCUACACAUAUGAUUCAACAGUUUCGUCAAUCAGUAUCGCAAAUCCAAAAACAGUAGUUCUUUUAUGAUGAUUUACACCAACGAAUGCGACUAAAGGUUUGUUGUAUGCAUUUUUCUUGUACGAUGUACUUAGAAAAUAAAAAUAAAAAUAAUUCUUUUGCAAGUAACAUCAUAGAUGAGAAAUUAUCCAGUUCAAGAUCUUGGACUCUCUUAAAUGUCCAAAAAACUUGUUACAACAUAUGGUGUAUGAGUGUGGCGUAAUAGUUAAAUAAUAAUGUUAAAAUUAUAACAAUGAUAAAUAAUAAUGUUCGCAUUUAAUGGCUAGUUUCAUCAUUAUAACAACCAAAACACUCGAGCAUUCCAAUGCAUUUUAACUCAAGGCACGCACGCACGAGCAUGAUUACUGAUUCACACAUGCAUCUUUAAUUAAUUAACUAAAAUUUGGUACUUGAAAAGUCUUUGGGAGUGCCCACAAAUUGAAAUUUGGUACCACAAUUAACGCUAAGAAAUGAAUCUGGCUACGGCAUAUCCUGCAACGACAUGGAUAAAGGACUGUUCCACCAUUCAACCUGAAAUCAUCAAGUGAAAGAAACAAGAUCAUGAGCGUUGUUUUUUUAUAUUGUGAAAGCCGACUCGAAGUAAUAAUAAUAAUAAUUAAUAGACCUUACCAUUGGUUAUCACAUUAUUGUCCAGUGCAUCUUCCUCCCCAUUCCCUGCAUACAGUUAACCAAGCUGAGGACCAACCACACGGCCACACCAGUAUGUCUCGAGAAUCUUUACUGACUUCUCAUGGAUCUUGUUGUUGUCAUGACUUCGUAGAUUUUCUAUCUUUUCUAAUCCCUCAGCCUCUUCAACCAACUGGGCAUACUGAUUAACAUCUCCAAUGGCUGUGUCCAUAUUCUUUUCAGCUUCCCCGACCUUCAAAAUGUUCUCUAAUCCUUGUAAGCAAACAGUGACGAUCUUUGGAUCAGCGCAAAGAAGGAGAUCACACAAUGGUUUUAUACACCCCUCUCUCACGAGGUACUUGAUUUGCUCAUGAGUGUCAACCUUGGUGGCAUUUGAAAUUGCCCGUGCGGCCCACUCCUUUAUAUCAAAUUCAGCAUUUUGAAGCAGAUUGACAAGGGGACCAAUAAAGCCAGCAUCAAUUACCGCCUGAAUCUGUUCCUUGUUUCCAGCUGUGAUAUUUGCAAUAAUCCAGCAUGCAAACUUCUUAAUGCGAUUUUCAUGAUCAUGGAUCAACAGGCCCAAAAGGUACGGCAGUGCACCACAGUUAAUUAUACACUGAGUCUGGAAAUCAUCUCCCCUCACAAUAUUU